This 412460-nucleotide long non-coding RNA is filed under the name Triticum aestivum (bread wheat). RNAcentral describes it as "long non-coding RNA (TAES_LNC008307)". The stretch from base 246447 to 246581 matches the Rfam family "MIR1120/MIR1122 microRNA precursor family". Lineage: Eukaryota; Viridiplantae; Streptophyta; Magnoliopsida; Poales; Poaceae. The record is from RNAcentral.
GGCAUCUUCAUCUUUAGGUAGGCGUAGUGGGGCACAGCCAUGAACUUGGCCAAAGCAGGUCGGCCAAGUAGUGCAUGAUAGGGGCUCUCCAAAUCCACCACCUUGAACCAUAUUGCUUCCCGGCGAAAAUGAUCUUUGUCUCCGAAGAGAACAUCCAUUUUGAUCUUGCCGAUUGGAGAGCAAGAUAGACCGGGUACGAUACCAUGGAAGAUGGUGCGGCUCGGCAUGAGCUGCUUUGCUUUGAUGUUCAGCUUGUCCAUGGUAUCGCGGUACAGUAUGUUGAUACUGCUUCCGCCGUCUAUCAGGACACGGGAAAAUCUGGCAGCUCGCCUCUCCGUCGCGAGGGUGACGUCCAAGACCAUCGCAUAGGAGCCAGGCGAAGGCAUCACCUCUGGGUGGUCGGCCUGGCUCCAGCUGAUUGGCUUUUCCGACCAGUGCAUGAACUCGGCGGUGCUAGAGGCGACUGCAUUCACCUCUUGGUGCUGUCGGCGUCGGCUGCGCUUGUCGUCGGCUUGACUUGUGAAGACGACAUAGGCAGCGUGCUCUUCGGGGAAUUCGUCCUGGAUGGCGCCGACCGCCGGCCGAGCCGCCGGCUGAUGGGGAGCUGGAGGCGGCGGGCCGGGAGGCGGAGGCGGCACCAUCCCUUUGCCCUUGGUGAUGCGGGUGAGCCAGUGGCAUUUCCGUGUUGUAUGGUUGGACGGCUUCGCGCCGCUGUGGAACUUGCAGGGAGCAUCGAGCGCUUGUUCGUAGGAGAAAGACGGCUGCCAGGGUGGCCGGCCACCCUUCUUCUUGGGAGUUGGCCGCUCUUCGGGCUGCUCGUCUUCAAUUGUGGCCACCUGCCGACUGGAGGAAGUUAGCAUGGGGCCCUUGCGCUUGUGGUCAUUCUGGUAGGGGCGCCGAUUAGGGUCGCCAGCCGGCGUCUUGGGAGCCGGAGCAACUACGUUCCCCGAGACGUCCACUCGGAGCUCGGUCUUCAUUGAGGAGUCGGCAGUGGCGUACUUGUCAGCGAUGACCAGUAGCUCGUCGAGGGUAGCCGGCUCGUCGCAGAGGAGUCGGUGCUUGAGGAGGGUGCCCUCUCGGCACCCGGCAGUGAAGUACUCGAUGGCCUGAACCUCAUGCACUCCCUCGCAGGAGUUGCGGAGCUCGGCCCAUCGCGUGAGGUAGUCGCGGGUCGACUCGUUGGGCCCCUGGACGCAGAGGGAGAGCUGGUGAGGCUUCGGAGGCCGCUUGUAGGUGCUAGUGAAGUUGCGGACAAAAACUUCGGUGAAGUCCAGCCAACUGUUGAUGCUGUAGGGCUUGAGGCUGUUGAGCCAUGUACGCGCCGUGCCUUGCAGCAUCAGGGGGACGUACUUCACGGCGACGCGCCGAUUGCCGUUGGCGAUGCUGACGGCCGUGGAGUAGUCGAUGAGCCAAUCUUCCGGCUUUACUGAGCCGUUGUACUUGGGCGUGUCUCUGGGAAGCGAGAACCCUUUGGGGAAGGGCUCGUCGCGGAUGCGGGGGCCAAAGCAUGGCGGGCCGACAUCGUCUUCUUCUUCUAACGCCAAGGAUCGAGCAAGGUGGUCGAUCCUGUGGCGGGCGUCGUUUUCGCCGACUCCUUCUCGGCGGCCGAGUCGGUCGCCAAGAGUCGGAUGUGUGACAGGCGGUGGAGUGAGGCGUCUUUCUCUUCGAGGCGGGGGAGGAGGCAGGUUUCCCUGGUGCUCUACAGCUCGAGGGCGGCCAUCCGCGUCGCGCUCAAUGGUAAUGCGAGUCCGGCUGUGGCUGGUAGCCGGCUCCUUGUCUUUCUUCUGGCGCGGGCCGCUCGCAGUCGGCGAGCGGGACGUCGCGGCGUGUUCCUGGCGCGGGGGAUGACUAUCAGCACGGGCGCCGGCUUCGUGUCGUUCUGCAGUCGCGUCGAUCAGCUGCUGGAUCCGUCUUGUCAUGUAGGGGAGCUCAUCGGCUCCCAGCCCAUUGAGCUCCUCUGCAGCCGCCUGAGCGGCUCGCAGAUUCUCGAGCGGGGUGGCGUAGACGGGGCGAUCUGCGCCCAACAUGCUGGCAACGGCUGCGCCGCGCUUCUGGACGAAGCCGGCUCGGCUCGGGCCGCUAGGCGGCGGCGUGCCGAAGGCGGCGCGGUCGACUUCGCGCUGGUGGGCCUCGGUGAGGCGUCUCAUCGAGGCUAUCUUCUUGCCCUCCGCGAUGAGGGCAAGGCGGCGUGCCUCCAGGGUCUCGGCAUCGGCGUCGGCCGGGAUGGGGACAGAGAGGUCAUGCAUCGCCGCUGGCUGAGCGUCGCGGGCAUUCUCGCCCGAGUUGGAGACGUGGCUAAUGACCAGCACUUCGGUGAUAGCGCUGCUGCCGCUGUCAGCUCGAGGGAGGGGGUCGUCGAAGACCACCACGUCGGGGGGGGUAGGCGUCGAGCGACGCGGUGUCGGAGUCGAUGAGCAUCGGGUCGGUGGAGCCGACCGACUCCACAUCUGCAGUAGGCUCGCUGGAGACGUGAAGCUGGUCGAGGAGGCUGACGAGGCGGCUCUCGGGGUAGUCGGUGCCUGCGUCGGACGCAGGCUCGUCGGAGAUGCGAGUCUCGCCGAGCAAGUCGGCGAGGCAGCUCGCUGCGCAGGCGUCGUCAACGCCUUGCAGCGCGUCAAGGCAAACGCCAUCGGGCGCAGCAGGCUGCUGCGCUCGCGGGGGAGGAAGAGGGUUCCCGUCCAGAACAGGUCUCCGGACGACGGUGCACCUGGCCCCACGGUGGGCGCCAAAUGUCGGGUGGUUGGUGCGACAUAUGCCAAGGGAUGACUUAUCAUUGUGGGAGCCAAUAAAACGUCGCCGGUGCCUGGAAACGGGAUGAGGCGAAGACAUGCACGCCGGCGAAUCUUACCCAGGUUCGGGGCUCUCCGAGGAGAUAACACCCCUAGUCCUGCUCUGCGGGGUCUCCGCAUGAUCACUAGAUCGAUAAAAGGUGGCUACAAUCGCUCCUAGAGCUGUUGAGAUCAAGGGAGAAGAAGAACAAGGCUAGCUCUUGCUUCUCUCUAUCUAUGGUGUGUGUGCUAUGCUUAGAGGGCAACUCUAUGCUCAGAGGCCAUCUAUGCUUGGGUGCCAACCCUUUGCAUGGGUGCUCCGGGGGGUUUAUAUAGGCCUACCCCUCGGGGGUACAAUGGUAAUCCGACUGGGAACCGGUCCCAGCCUUCAGUGUCUACGCUUGCCGGCUUCUCCGCCGGCUGCUGGGCCCCGCCAGCUGGUGGGUCCCGCCGGCUGCCGGCUACUUGGUCGAUAGGCUGGCCCCACCGCCUAGGGUCUUGUCGGCGGCCGCUUACUGUAGUCUCGCCUGUGAUGAUGAGGGCUUUGUUGAGGUAAGCGUGGCUAAAGUGGACCGCCUCGGGGGCUAUCACUGUAGCCUUACCUCGUCUUGUCUCCUUAAUGGGGCUCCUGCUUCAAGGAAGGGAGUAGCCGGCUUCUGGAGGUCGGCUAUGUUCUUGGCCGACUGGGAAAGGCCGGGCCGCCUUCACGCCUCUCUCUGGCUGAAGGGGCCCGCAGUCCUUGGGCCGUACAGGAGUGGGUCGUAGAUGACGUCGAGGCUAGCAUGGCUACAGUGCCGAGCCGCAAGGGAGACGGCCGUCCCGUACGGCCUCCUGUAGCCAUGCCCGCCUCGGGCUUCGGGGGUAGUGGGCCGCACUGUGGCCACACCCCGUCGUGUCGCCGUUAUGUGGGAACAGCUUUGGUGGUUGUGGUCUCGGCCGGCUGCUAGGAGCCGGCGUCCUUCUUGGUCGGCUUCUUGGAGUCGGCCACCCCGUAGUCACCCUGGGGAGAGGUUACUCGAGGCUGGGUCGCCUUCCGGGAGUCGGCUUUUAGAGGUAGCCGGCCAGGGAAGGCGGCCCAAAUGCUUGGAGUGCUUGAAGGCCCAAAGGCCUGAUAAUUUUUCUGAAGAGCCAGGGGUAGUCGGUUUGGCUACCCGUGGCCAAUUACUCCGACAUGUUCAUCGGGAGGGGUGUGGUGUACCGCAAAACGAGACUCUACGGGAUACUGUUCAUCUCCACCGUCGACCUCCUCCAGCCUCCACGGGCUACUGUUCAUCUACCGUCCACCUCCUCCAGCCUCCACCAGCGACUGUUCAUCCACGGGCUCCUGUUCAUCCAGCCUCCACCGCUCCUCCACCGGCUACUGUUCAACCAGCCCUCUCCACGGGACCUGUUCAACCACCCCUCCACGGGCUACUGUUCAUCAGGCCCUCCACCGGCUACUGUUCAACCAGCCCUCCACAGGGUCGUCCUGUUCAUCCAGCCCUCCACGGGGUCAUGUUCAUCCACCCCUCCACCGUCUCGAUCGAUCGGGGUACUGUUCACCCGGCGGCAACGGCCUCUACUACCACGGGGUCCUGUUCAUCCAAUCCCCCACUGGGAACUGUUCAUCCAAACCCCCCAACAACGCUCACUGUUCAUCCAGAGGCAGCAUCGAUCGGCUUCAGUUAGCAGCCGUAGUGAAGGAAUCACUCGGGUUCAGUUAACAGCAAGGGAUCGAUCGAUCGCUUGGGUUCAGUAACGCGUAGCCUGUAGUGCAAUCGCUCGGGUGCAGUAGGCGAACGCCUCGCUCGGGUUCAGUUAGAGCCCAACGCCUCACACCCACGUGCGUACGUGUACGAGAGAAAUGCGCAUCGCUCGGCCCCCGACCACCCACCGUACCGGGAAAUCCCCGAUAUUUUCCGCGCCCUCGCUUCUACCACGGUUUUUUCCGUCAUGGACAGCCCAAAGAAUGUCAUGCAGCUGCGUCUCCGGCCCGCCCAGGACGAAAAGCCCAUUUUUUGUCAUGAUUUUUUGUCAUAGAAGUAGGAGCCCACCACAUCUAUGAUGAUACCGGGUUUUGUCACAAUUUUCGUCAUAGAAGUGUCAUAAGUAUGACAGAAAAAAAAUCCGUUCAGCCCAAAAUCUAUGUGUCUUUUUUUUUGUAGUGUAUUGCUCCCCCGCAACGGCGCCAGAAAAGAGCUUGAUAAUCCCCAAGUGCAGGGAAUCAUCGUAGCAAUUCCCAAAGGUGGAAGUGAUAAGUAUGGAGUGUCGAACCCACAAGGAGCUAAAGGUAAGAUCAAUAUUCUCUCAAGUCCUAUCUGCCACUGAUACGACUCUAUGUACACCGAACGUUUGCUUCCAACUAGAAACGAGAAACAAAACUACGUUGUGGGUAUGAAGAGGAUAACUUUGCAUGAUAUCGGAGAGCUAGCUAAAACAUAAAAGUAGGUGUUGUUAUCAUAAAGUUAGAAUAUAUUACUAAAUAUUAUAAAUAGCGAGUGUGGAAUAAUGAUGGGUCGGUGUGUGCGGAAUUAUCCUAGGCAAUUGUUAACAAGACCGGUAUUCACUAUUGCAAUUUCAUAUGAGGGAGAGGCAUCAGCUAACAUACUUUCUCUUCUUGGAUCAUAUGCACUAAUGAUUGGAACUCUAGCAAGCAUCCGCAACUACUAAAGAUCAUUAAGGUAAAACCCAACCAUAGCAUUAAAGCAUCAAGUCCCCUUUAUCCCAUACGCAACAACCCCCUUACUCGGGUUUAUGCUUCUGUCACUCAAGCAACCCACUAUAAGCGAAUCAUGAACAUAUUGCAGCACCCUACAGCGGGAAUCCCUCACGCUUGUGUGACACGGAGGGCACAAUAGGACAGCACCAAAAUAAAACAUACAACUCAUACCAAUCUAGAUCAUCAAUCAACCCAAAGACAAAGGAUAUCUACUCAAAACAUCAUAGGAUGGCAACACAUCAUUGGAUCAUAAUAUGUGGCAUAAAGCACCAUGUUCAAGUAGGGAUUACAGCAGGGUGUGGGAGAGUGGACCGCGUAAAAGAGAUGAGGAUGGUGAUGAUGAUGGUGAUGUUGAUGAAGAUGGUCACCGCGGCGAUGAUUCCCCUCCCGACGGCACUCCGGCACCACUGAGAGAGAGGAGGAGAGGUUCUCCCCCUUGUGCUUCCUCCUCCAUGGCCUCCCCCCUAGAUGGGGAGAGGUUCUCCCUCUGGUCCUUGGCCUUGAUGGCGAUGAUGGCCCCUCCAGGAUCCUCCUCCAUGGCCUCCGGUGAUAAUGGCCCCCUCCGACAGGGUGCCAGAGAGGGCCUAGAUUGAUUUCUCGUGGCUACAGAGGCUUGCGGCGGCGGAACUUCCGAUCUAGGUUAUUUUCUGGGCAUUUAUAGGAGAGGUUGGCGUCGAGAACAAGUCAGGGGGCCCACGGGAAGUCCACGAGGCGCAGGGGCGCGCCCCAGGGGGGUGGACGCGCCCUCCACCCUCAUGGGGCCCACGGGACUCCCCUCCAGUAACUCUUUGUUCCAUUAUUUUUUAUAUUUUCCAGAAAAAAUCUCCGUUGAUUUUCAGCGCAUUCCGAGAUCUUUUAUUUCUGCACAAAAACAACACCAUGGUAGUUUUGCUGAAAACAGCGUCAGUCCGGGUUAGUUCUAAUCAAAUCAUACCAAAAUAAUAUAAAACUAUUGUGAACAUGGCAUGAAUGCUUCAUAAAUUAUAGACACGUUGGAGACGUAUCAGCGGUGUGGAGGCACAAUGCUCCCCAAGAAGCCACUAGGGCCACCGUAUUCUCCUCACGCCCUCACACAAUGCGAUGCCGUGAUUCCACUAUUGGUGCCCUUGGAGGCGGUGACCGAACCUUUACAAACAAGGUUGGGGCAAUCUCCACAACUUAAUUGGAGGCUCCCAACAACACCACGAAGCUUCACCACAAUGUAAUAUGGCUCCACGGUGACCUCAACCGUCUAGGGUGCUCAAACACCCAAGAGUAACAAGAUCCGCAAGGUACUAGUGGGGGGAAUCAAAUUUCUCUUGGUGGAAGUGUAGAUCGUGGCCUUCUCAACCGAUCCCUAGAAAAUCAACAAGUUUGAUUGGCUAGGGAGAGAGAUCGGGCGAAAAUGGAGCUUAGAGCAACAAUGGAGCUUGGGGAUGGAAGAGGUGGUCAACUCGGAGAAGAAGACUCCCCUUUUAUAGUGAAAGAACAAUUCCAACCAUUAUCCACCAACUCAGCCUGCGACACGCGGUACUACCGUACCAUAUAAGGGGUACUAUCGCAAGGGCCCGCGGUACUACCGCGGAGAACUGUGGUACUACUGCUAGCACGGCAGGGGCUAAGACCAGUCCUGAUGCGCUAAGGCAGGGAGCGGUAGAACCGCUAGCGCGGUACUACCGCGCCCCCUUGCGGUACUACCGCAAGGCAGGAAUAGUCUAGGCUGGGAAGGCACGGACAUAUAAAAAUACAUCCGUGACUACUUCCGCUGAGUUUUUAUCUACGCAAAAAUCCAACAUGGUACUACCGCAAGCCUGGAGCGGUACUACCACAUAGGGCGCGGAUGUAAAAAAAUUACAUCCGCCCCUACUUCUGCUCAUGCUGUUGUGCCAGGCCAGAGCCCACGGUACUACCGCACCGAUGGAGUGCUACUACCACGUAGGACGCAGAUGUACAAAAUUACAUCCGCCCCUACUUCCGCUCGAGCAGCUGCGCCUGGCUUGAGGCCACGGUACUACCGCUCCCAAGGAGUCGUACUACCGUGAGCACCUGCAGUACUACCAUGCUGGUGGCCGGUACUACCGCAAGGGCCUGCGGUACUACCGCUCCGAAGAGCAGUACUGUCGCAUGCCUCAGUUCAGCAACACUAGGAGUCAUUCAUUUUGCAGAGACACGGAGAGACGGAGGAUGCUCCAAAGAGCCAAAGGAAAGGUGGUGCAAAAAGGAACGGACGUGUACGUGUUGAUUCCACCCAAACCUUUCCAACACAGACCCCCUCUUAAUAGUACAGCUUUCCUACGACUCAAAUCCAUCGAAAAGAAACGUAGUGAAAUGCCAUCUUCAAUAGUCUUCGAGGGGCACCAAAUCGUCUUGUGUUUAGACAUGAUAUAUCUGAAAUGCUCAAUGCACAUGAUUAGUCCGCAAAAGCAUUGACAUCAAUCACCAAAACUACUAAGGGAUAAAUAUGCCCUUACAAUCUCCCCCAUUUUGGUGGAUUGAUGACAAUACGGGAUUUGCGCAUAGGGAUAUAAAAUGAAACAAAGGCAAACCCACCAUCUAUAAAAUAUAGACGGGCUCCCCCUAGAUGUGUGCACUCUAGAGAAGUGCUUUGGACUCCACGGCACACAUACUAGGAUCAACACUCCCCCUAUAUUUUAUAGACAAGGCAUAUCUUGCAACAAUACAACUAACACUAAGCAAGUAGGCAAGAUAAUAAUUAUGUGCAUAACGAAAAAGGGCACAAGAUAGCAUAGGCUUACAGGCUACUAAGCAUUAAAGACAAUAAAAUACGCUAGAGAGCAUAUGUCUUACACCAUAUGAUAGAGAACUAGGUCUUACGAGCACAAACCAAACCAAAGCAAACGAGGUUCAACAGAACGAAAGCAAAGCGACAGAGCGAAAGAACACGACACAAGACUCGCAAAUCCUACACUCUCUCCCCCUUUGGCAUCGAGACACCAAAAAGGCAGAUAUGACACCUACGACACAGGUGGUAGCUCAGGCUAAAGCGAUCACUCGUCGCGCUCCUCGUCAGUCUCAGCAACAGGAAUGGUCUCCUCCUUCUCCUCCUCAGAUUCAGUGCACUCGUAGCCCUGCUUCGCCAUCCAUUCUGCCUCUGGGGUGAUGUGCUUCUCGGACCCCCUUGAUAUCUCCUGGCCAAACAUCCUCAAGAUCCUCUUGUCGCGACGGUGACUCUCCUUCUGAGAAAGUGAGACCUGUACUGGCCCUUGGCCUGCAUGCAGAACAGAGCCUUCAUCUUAUUCUUCAGCUUCUUAGCCUAAGAAGGCUCAGAAGAUGAAGGCGAGUAGCCGGCAGAGCUGUCCUCAUCAGCGUCCUCCUCCUCGAUCUCAUCCUCAUCCACAUCCAUCUGAGCAGCCGCUGCCUCAGCACGGGUAGUGGUGUUAGCCCACUAGCUCUUGAUGCAGAGCUUGAUGGGCUCAUGACAAAUCCAGUCCGGGGCAACAAACUCAUCAUCGGGAUAGAGCUUCUCCCAAGUCUUCAUGAUCAAGAGAAAUAGGUAAGGUCCAUAGAUGGGUACCUUACGGUUGAACACCGCAAACCAUAGCUCGCACCACAUGAUAUGUGAGACAUCAAGUGGUUGCGUCUGAGCAUGACGCGCCUCCUCACAAAUGAGCAUCAUAUCCACGAGAUAGGCAUGCACCUUAUCCUUGUCACCAAUGCGCUAAAAGAGAGAGUUGCGGAAGAUUCGAUGCAUGAUGUCAGGGAAUGAGUUCAGCACCCACGCCUUCUUGCCACUGGGAAGCGUCUUCUCAACAUAGUAGGACUGAAGCUUGUUCUUGCUGGCUGACUCGGGCUUGGCAUGAGGGCGAGCACCAACGGGCGUGUUGAUCCCCUCAUCAGGAACCUGAAGCAAAUCCAUGAAGUCCUUCCACUUAGCAGUCAUCUGUUGUCCAUUGGUCAUCCAGGUCAUGGUCCGUUCCUCAUCAGUAUGGAAGUGUAUCGAGCAAAGAACUGUGCCACAAUCUCAGGGUCAAAGUCCAGGUGGAAAGAGACCACAUCCUCAAUGCCAAACUGCUCCACCAGUUCCAAAGCCUCACCAAAAUAGUCACGGUGCUUAUCCUGCCUCAUAUGAUUCAUGUCAAUCCAGUGCACACCCACGUAGAUGUUCUGCUUGGCCUUGAUCACAUCUAGAUAGAUAAGAUCUGCUACUUGGUCCAGAACAAAUCAUUCCCUCUGAAGUUUGCACGGGGAUUCACAUAGGGUUUGAUCUUCCUUCGAGUGACAAACUCAGCCAGUGGUAUCUCAUCCAUGCCCAUUGAUGGCUCCUUGUGGUUGGUGGCGGUGGUCUUGGUUCUGCGUUGGGGGGCAUUGCAGCCCUCUGGAGCUUCAUCUUGGUUGCGCAUGCGCUUCGAGCCCAUGUCGCGGAUAGGAUUCGACCGACGGACAUUGGAACCGGAGCCACCACCUAUGACACACAACACAAGAACAUGCAAGAGAAGCGAGAAGGAUCAAUGCAAAGACCACAGCAAAAAAAUGAAACAAGUAGAAAUAACAUUGGGUAGUUGCCACAGGGAAGGUUCAACCUCAACAGUAGUACCGCACCAUUGUGCGGAACUAAAAUUUUACCGCUGCUCCAGCCGUGGUAGUACCACGCCAGGAUGGCACUGUAGUACCGUGCCUGGAGCGGAAGUAAAAUUUUACUUCCGCGCCUCGCGCGGUAGUACCACUCCUGAGGAGCGGUAGUACCGUAGGAGGUGACAAUGGCCAGAGCGGUAGUACCGCACGGGAGGUGCGGUAGUACCGCUCGGGGUCAGAUCCGAGGUGAAUCAGAUCUGGGCACAGCCGCAACAGCGGAGCGGUACUACGGUUGAUCAAAAAUUCCGUGUGGCAACACACCAAAUAGCAUAUCUACAACACUACUACUCUCCUCCAUCCUACUCUUGCAAAGAUUUGGCCUAAAAUCUCAAGAACAACAUGCAUCUCCCCAAAAACCUAGAGAGAAAACAACAAAGCAAAGAGCCAGGGAUUUGGGGAGAAACCUUGUUCCAUGGCAAGAGGGCGAGGUGGGGAACGAUCCCACCGGUCGGAAUGCGAGGAGAGCGGCCGGAUACAGAGAUCCGGCGAGGUCCUCCGGCGCCGUUCUUGGGCAGGAGAGAGAGAGACGACGUGGGGAAAAGGAGUUGAAUGGGUAUGGGGGAGUUAGAACUCCCCUUGCUCGCUCUUAACCCCCACGCGCUCACGACCGCGUGGUAGUACCGCGGGUCAUUGUGGUCGUACCGCCCAGGAAGAAGUACCGCACGCUGGGUGGUGGUACCGCUCGUCUAGCGACAGUAAAAAAUUACUGCCGUGCUGGUUGCGGUAGUACCGUGCACAGCUCCUGCGAUAGUACCGUGGCGGGCCACGGUAGUACCGUAGACCCAAGAAAAUCCAAGUUUCACAAACAAGAGAGGGAAACAGCCUUUGCAAUGCAACCUUCACGCAAACGGACACACCAAGGAGCUAGCACACGAGGUAACUCAAACACAAGCACGGCACGAAGAAAGAAAGGCAAGAGACAACAGGGACCAAACACGCGACACAACCUCUCCAAAGAGAGGGCGGUGGCCAGAGCCACCUAUGUUUGAGUCAAUUGGUGUAGGAGAUAUGCCCUAGAGGCAAUAAUAAAUGUUCUUGAUUAUCUCCUGGUUCAUAAUUAUGUUUAUGUUCCAUGCUAUAACUGCUAUGGUUCUCGAGUCUGCAAUAACCACGAGGCUCGGAGGAAGACUCAUAUGCAUGUGUGGAAUAAUAAAGGGCAAAAUGUAUUCCUAGUCUGGCCUCUAAGACUAGCUCAAGUAUUGCAAGAUGGUUCUGUUUUCCCGAUCAUGGGCAUGUCUAUGCCAGCAACCUUGAGGGCACAAUGUUAAGAGAACAUUUGUGUUGAAUCGACCUGGAUUGAUGUUAUGCUAAGAGAUUCAUUCGUCACAAGUUAAUGGUACAUAACACAGAAAUGGUUAUCGUUUGCAAAAUUCCUUAGACCAUGAGAGUAUCGAGUUUCUUCAUGCUUGCUUCAUGAACUUUGGGGUUUGUUAAACGUCAUCCGUAAAUGGGUGGCUAUUACGGCGGCUUACGGGUUCAUGGAAAAGUGUGUAAAGUAACUUGAUAGCUCAAGAUUGUGAUUUGCUCCUCUGACGAUGGAGAGAUAUUCUCGGCCCCUCUCAGUAUUACGGUAUCCAUCAUCGUCUGGCCAGACACAGUGUGAUUUUAUCACUGGGAUGCCGGAACACGGAAACGAGAAAAGAGAACAAAACCGAUAAUGAGGUAACUUGCAUGGUGGACAAAUUGUUCGUCCAUGUGGAUGCAAUACUCACCUCGGGUGUUUGUGACAUAUUGCAAAGCAACAGGAAUAGCUCACUGCAACUGGAGGUUCACUCGAAUAUUUAUUCCUGUGGGUAUAGGGGUCAAUAUGGGUGUCCACGGCUCCGAUGUUGAUCAUUGAUCGGAAGGGGUUCUGGGUCAUGUCUAUACUUCACCGAACCUAUAGGGUCACAAGCUUAAGGGUCAUCUAUCUGCUGAAUACUAGACAGGGAGUCUGAGAGAAAAUCAUCAAAAAAGUUUCGGACACCGAGAAGUUUCGUACAGCGGAAAAGUUCCGCAGAGACAGGUCACCAGAUGAGUUUCGGUGAAACCGAAAACGCUGUUUUGGGGUAUGCCAUUAAGUCAAAAUGGUUUCGGCACAUGCCUGAUAAUUCUUGGAGGGUACCAGAAUCAUUCUGGAAACUUUUUGGAAUUUUAGAAAUAAAAACCGGAAAUGUUCCGGAGCUGCAGGAACCGGUUCAGAUGCUUUUCGCAUAUGAAAAUCACUAAACUGGAAUUGUUCCAGAACGCGUUGAAAAUUAUUAUGAUAGGUACUAGAAAUGUUCUAAGCCCACAUAAAUAUUUUCAGUUCGAACGGACGCUGAAAAAUGUCGUCGUGAAUAGUGAAGUGCUUUUUGGGAUAUUUUAUGGAAAGCCACCUUUUGGGGCUUUGCCCAAAAGAUCUAGGGAUGACAUGGAAGGGUGGGAACCUCCUUUUGGGGGGCCCCACAAGGGGUGGGACGUUCAUGGGUGCAGCUCAUCCAUGGGGCCCCACUUGUCCCUUGUUUACACUCUUUAGGUCCUUGGGAAGGACUCCAUUUCAUGUGGGUUUUGGGUUUUCUUGUAAAACCACCCUACCCCUUGGGAUUUCCUAUAAAUAGAGGUGGAGGGGCAGCCCUCCACUCUCAUCCCUUGCUCUCAUACACAUGCCAGGCAUUAUCUGGCUUCUUCUCUCCCUCCCACGAAAGGAGUUUCAUAGAGCCGUAAGGCUGUCUGGGUUCCGGUAGGAACUAGUUCUGGACGGCGAAGCCCUGCCGGAUAGAUGACACCGUAUGUGUGCAACUCUGUAGAGAGAUCAUAGUUUCGGUCUUAGUUCGUGAGUGCCUCCCGAAGGGCUGUCCGUGUGACCGUCCAAGUUUCGAAGGUCCUCCCGAAGGGCUGUCCGAGUGACCGUUCGAGUUUCGAAGGCCCUCCCGAAGGGCUGUCCGCGACACCGUCUGGGGGGUUGUUCGACCACCUCCCGGAGGGCUGUCUGAGGAGCAGAUGAGGGUAUACAUCCUCGCGGUUGGGAGGUUGUAAAUCCUAGCUGCGGGGAUCUGCACCGCCGAUCGUCAUCGACUCUAGUUCCCGCUGCGCUACGAGUCGGUAACGAAAAAGAUCAAACCAUGUAUGCAUUCUCCAUAGUGGUCCUGGGCUGGUGCGUAGGUCGGAAAUUUUUUGUUUUCUGUCGCGUUACCCUUCAGUGGCAUCAAGAGCCGUGCUAUGCAUAGAUGCAGGUUUCGAUCUAGAAUACAUGGAGAUGUAUGGGUAUUGCAUAUAUAAUUAGGUAGUAGAUGAGAUCUGUUGCUGAAAAUUAUUUAUGCGGGUGACAAACGAAAUCAGUUACCCGACAUUCUUGUUGCUUCCCUAGAAUUUGCGUUUGCUCAAUCUCGAGACAGCAUGGUGGAAUUUGACAAAGUUCUGGCAAUCCGUGAUCCUGAUUGAUCAUGGAAGUGCUAUCAGUUCUUUGGGUUCUGCCGUAGUCAAAAGAAAGAUGAAAUUCGCAGAUGAAAGGGCAUUGCAGAUAUGAUCCGCACGGGGGUCAUGCGUAUGACGAAGUUUAGUAUGGGGCUCAAGAUUUAAUUAUCCCAUGUUUCAUAAACCCCGAGAUGUUAAUCUAGCACCUUGAAUAAUCAUACUUGAUGAUAAAACGUUGGUAGCUGCGGUUUAAGUCAAAACCUUAGAAGCCACGUAAAAUAAAAUUUUGCAUAAACCGAUUAGAGGCGUCUAACUUGGUUUUGCAGGAUGUGCAUGUGAUGUGGUAUAGCAGUGCUCAUAAUAAUUUGAUUAUGUAUGAGAUGACUAUAUGAUGUAAUUAACAUGACCUGCGUGUCAUGAUUCGGCAUGAUGGUUGGAGCCAUAUGAUUGCACUUUAAUGACCUGCGUGUGAAUUGCCUAAGAUGUUUAUCCCUUAUGAUGCACCCUUCUUGAUUGCGCGGUAGUCGCUUUUUAUUAGGGUGAUCUCUCACUAAAAUAUCAAGUAGUUAGUGUUCUCCCAAGUGUAGCACCGUCACGGCACCUAUCUUUUCGGGGUGCGCCAUGGACGCAUGGGUACGAACGAUUAGAGAAGUGUGAGGCGGGUGAGGUCAGACCUCACAGCAAGAUCACUUGGUUGUCUUGACGUUCAUGGCAGGAUCGUCCUAAGCUCGGAACACACGCAUCGAAAGAUGAGCAAGAGUCACAUAUAUAUGUGAUUGGCAAGUUGGCCUACCGAUUAAAAUUCCCGUUAUGAGAUGAUGAUUCUAUGGCGAUGAAUUGAAGUCUCGAUCUUGUAUCACUCAUAAUCAAUGUUGAGAGAUAUUGAUUUGAGUGGGAGUGCACUGUUGAAUUAACAUGUUUAAUUCUUAGUGCAAUUAAUUAUGAACAUUCUCUAAGUGUUUCUUGCAAAAUAGUUGUAGAAUAAUGGCUCGCGAUUCCACUUUCCCUGUUAAAAUUGAAUAGCUGUUAAAUAUCUGGUUAAAACUUUACGAUUGGUAACGUAAUAUGAGGAUUUUCCUCAAAAGUGCUGAGAAGGACUUUGUCCUAUCGCAUGCUUUCCGUAUCCUCCCGCUAAUGCUAUGGAUCAUGUGAGUCUUGUCCUUCGAUCCAAAAGCUAGAAUUCUGUUACGGUCAAGUGGAAUAUGUUUGCUUCCAUGAAACCCGAACUUCGAAAGUUGGGAUAGUUAUAUGAUAUUCAUGGAACUGAAAAUUAUUUUCAGAUACAAACAAAGGAAUGUUUGUUUGCAAGUAUUAGUAAAAGUAUUUACUAUGCACUUGACUGUUGGGAAAGGGAUCCAGAAGAACGCCUGUCAUAUAAUGAAAGGUGAAUAAAACAACAACUUAAAGAAAAAGGAAGUGUCCAAAGGGUGUUAGUAUGACUUACACGCCUAGGAAGUCCGGGGCUAACGCCACUCUUAAGUUGGGUGCUUCUUUUGCAAGUAGGAGAAAUACUAAAAGUUAAAUUGUUAGAAGUAUAAAGGCAGAAAGAAAGAUGCCUGGAAUAUCCAGCUCAUGUUUGAAUGUCAUACAAGUUUUUGAUAUAUAGUAGGCUGGUCAAAGAUAUAGUUCUUGGGAAUUAUGGUUAAACAUGUUAAUCACUAAUUCUUGGGUAUUGUGAGUUAAUCACAAAGAUACCCGCUCGAUUGCAUUCUGUUACGAAUCAAUGUAAGAGCUACUAUGGCCUAAAAAGACUAGCCAGAAAUGAGGUUAAGGUAUACACAGGGAACAUAGUAAAUGUUACUAUACCUUCCAUCGGUGUAUUUCCGUUUGUAUUUAUUUUCAUAAUUCAUUUAGAGUUUUACAAAUUCUAGCCCAUUGCAUACGGUAUCUUGCAAGAAGGUUGUUCAUAAGAGAACUUUUUAUAUUUGAUGUUAUGAAUAACACAAGGGCCAUACUUUCAUUAUGAAUGAGAUGUAUGUUAUGGAUAUUGAUAAUAAUACAGUACCUCUGGAUUUACUUACAUAAUUCAUUUUGGAGUUUCAUACACUCUAGCCCAUUGCACAAUGUUUGUUGCAAAAGAGUUGUUCAUAAAAACAACAAUUGUUGUUAAGUAUUAUGAAUAACAUGAAGGGCCAUGCUUCCAUCCAAGAUGGGAUGUAUGUUAUGAAUAUUGAUGGUAAUAAGAUACAUCCAUAACACUGGCGCUAAAUGUCGCAAGACUAAAAGAAUACUACACAAGUGUGGCACUACAUUUGGUCACAUUGGAGAAACCCGCAUGGAAAAUUCCAUUAUCAUGGAUUUUGAAGACCUUUUGAUUUUGAAUCAUCUGACACUUGCAACUUUCCUCCAAAAAGUGAAGUGACUAAAAUACCGUUCACAGGCCAUAAGGAACGAACAACAAACUUAUUAGUGAUCAUACAUUUGACAUGUGUAGUCUGAUAAGUGUUGUUAGUGGUGGAUUUAUUUAUCUUCAGAAAUGACUCAAGUAGAUAUAUGGAUAUUUACCUGAUGAGACGUAAGUCUGGAUCUUUUGAAAUCAUUCGAAAGGUUUUCAAAAAUGAAGUAGAAGUUAUUGUAACAACACAAUUAUGUUUCUGCAAUUUGAUUGCACAAAGGAAUAUUUGAGUUACAUGUUUAGCGAAUGUCUGAUGAGUUGUGAAAGGGGUUUCAUAACUUGCACCUCCGGGAACACCACUGCAAGUGAAAAGUCCGUGGAGGCGUAAUCUAACCAUUUAUGACAUGGUAAGGUCAAAUAAGACAUAAAUAAAUUUUCCAUUAUCCCUUUUAAAGUGAUGCUUUAGAGACUGCGGCUUUUACACUGAAAAGAGCUACAUCGGGUCUGUUGAAAUGAAGCCAUGGUAUGGUACGCCCAACCAUGUUAUAUCUUUUCUUAACAUAUGGAAUAUGGGGCUUGUGUAAAAGGUUACAAAUCUAUUCCAAAUCAGACAAGUGCUACUUUGUAGGUUAUACCAAAAUGUUGGGUAUUCCUCCCUCACUAUACCGAGGCAAAUAGUUUUGCCGCGAAACGGUGUGCUUUUAAAGAGAAUGGUUCUUUCUAAAAGGUGAGUGGGAGAAUAGUGCAACUCAACGAGAUAAACAGUAUCUUCGUCAUCAGAUCAAAGGAAAGAGGCCUUGGAAGUUAUUCCAUAGUUUCCGACUGCGACUGAUACGGAAGUCUCUACAAUAAAAUGUAUGAACUUCGGUCGAACUUGCAGCUGAACCACGUAGGCAAGGCUCGUGCAAACCUCUCAGGUGCGCAAAUGAGAUAUUGUUGUUAGACAACAUUAUACCUGCGAUACACAAGGAAGCGUUGAUGGGCCCUCACUCCGGAAUUGGCUAAAUGCCAAUACAAGCCGAGUUAGUUUCUGUAUAAGUGAUUCAAGAUUAAAACCUUGAUACACCUUUCGGAAGACUUAGAGUCUAACGAAUAUUUAUGGAACUUAAAACUGAUAUGGAUAAAAAUGUUUUAUCCAUAAAGCUCGACUUGUUGAAAUAACAAGUUCAAGUGUUGACUAUGAUGAGGUUGUUUUCAUCGUAGCGAUGCUUAAAGUCGGUUCGGGUUGAACUAGCAAUUAAUACAUAUUUCAAUCAUGAGAUAUGAAACAUGGAUGACAAUAGGAUUUCCAUCUGAUGGAAAUGAAACCAAGGACUUGCAUGUGUUAGAGUCCAAGGCAUUUUGUCUAUCCAGAGGAUGCUAGUAAGGGUGCAAACUUCAGAGUUCCAGCGAUGGACAGAAGAGAGCAAAAUGGGGUUGGAAUCUUCGUGCUUUGAUGAAAUGGUCAAAGGGGUUUUACUUCAUCAAUGGGUAACGAAGAUGCUUGUAUUUCAAGAAAGUAAGUGCAAGCGUAAUAAAUAUUUCUAAAAACCUUGUGUGCUUGACAGAUUGUUAAUUGGAAAUAAAUUUCUUGACACGAAUUAGGACUUCAUUUGAAAAUAGUUUUUUGAUGAAGUGCUUAGGCUAAAUAGCCUCAAUAUUAGGCAUAAUGAUCUAUGGAGAUAGAUUUACCUAAUAGGGCUAAGCAAUGAAUACAUAUUGACAAGGUGCUAAAACCUUUUCGCAUUUAAAACCGCCAAGGAGUGAUUCUUGCCGGAGUCACAUGGAAGAGUUUUUUGCAAGACUUGGUGUCCGAAAACACUGAUGAGCAAAAUACAUGAUGUAGAUUCCACACACUUUUGUGUUUGGAUUAAUCAUAUAUCCAUGGUAUGUAAAACAACCAGAUAUGUCCGAUACUCCCAUGCUGUUGCGAGUAUGGAUACUAAAGUGAUCAAAGUACUGAUCGUGGGACAACAGUGAAAGAUGUCAUUGAGUACUAGAGUAAGUACUGAUGAUAUGUUUUCUUGCAAGUGGAGAUCAUGAAGAUUUCAUUGUAGAAUGUUACAUCGAUACAGUAUUCAUCUUUUCUCCAUGCGAUUUUCGAUUUAAGUUAAAGGUGUUUGUAUAAUACACAAUAUGGUGGCACGGUAGUUGGAAAUUGUUCCCAACGGGAUACUGUGGCGAAUUCUAUAACAAAUGACUAAGUAUGUUGACGCUUUAGAAGUGACAAACAAGAUGUUGAAUCAUAUAGUUCAUAAAUGAACUUAGUACGGUUCCAAGAUGGCUUUUGUAAAUGGGACACUACUGCAGGUAGUUUCUCCAUAACUCAGUCUGAGGAAUCCAGGUUCGACUUGUGAUUCACAUACAUAAAAGCCAAGUCCGCACAAAAUAUGAAUUUUGUGAAAGCAUGAAAACGCGAGGAUAUGCAGAGAUACACACGGAGCUGAAAUUGUCAGAUCCGAUGGACAUCAGGCUAUACCACAUGCGAAGCAUUUUUUUACACCAGUAUGCCAUAGGUGUAAACUGCAUUAGCAUUAACUAGAUUAUUGACUCUAGUUCAAGUGGGAGUCUGUAGGAGAUAUGGCAUAGAGGAAUUAAUAAAUGUUCUUGAUUAUCUCCCGGUUCAUAAUUAUGUUUAUGUUCCAUGCUAUAACUGCUAUGGUUCUCGAGUCUGCAAUAAUCACGAGGCUCGGAGGAAGACUCAUAUGCACGUGUGGAAUAAUAAACGGUAAAAUGUAUUCCUAGUCUGGCCUCUAAGACUAGCUCAAGUAUUGCAUGAUGGUUCUGUUUUCCUGAUCACGGGCAUGUCUAUGCCAGCAACCUUGAGGGCACAAUGUUAAGAGAACAUUUGGGUUGAAUCGACCCGGAUUGAUGUUAUGCUAAGAGAUUCAUUCGUCACAAGUUAAUGGUACAUAACACAAAGAUGGUUAACGUUUGCAUAAUUCCUUAGACCAUGAGAGUAUCGAGUUUCUUCAUGCUUGCUUCAUGAACUUUGGGGUUUGUUAAACGUCAUCCAUAAAUGGGUGGCUAUUACAGCGGCUUACGGGUUCAUGGAAAAGUGUGUCAAUUAACUUGAUAGCUCAAGAUUGGGAUUUUCUCGUCCAACGAUGGAGAGAUAUUCUCGGGCCCUCUCGGUAUUACCGUAUCCAUCAUCUUCUGGCCAGACACAGUGUGAUUUUAUCACUGGGAUGCCGGAACACGAAAACGAGAAAAGAGAACAAAACCGGUAACGAGGUAAUUUGCAUGGUGGAAAAAUUGUUCGUCCAUGGGGAUGCAAUAAAUCUCACCUCGGGUGUUUGUGACAUAUCACGAAGCAACAGGAAUAGCUCACUGCAACUAGAGGUUCAGUCGAAUAUUUAUUCGUGUGGGUAUAGGGGUUAAUAUGGGUGUCCACGGCUCCGAUGUUGAUCAUUGAUCGGAAGGGGUUCCGGGUCAUGUCUAUACUUCACCGAACCUAUAGGGUCACACGCUUAAGGGUCAUCUAUAUGCUGAAUACAAGACAGGGAGUCUGAGAGAAAAUCAUCGAAAAAGUUUCGGACAGCGGAAAAGUUCCGCAGAGAGAGGUCACCGGAUGAGUUUCGGUGAAACCGAAAAAGUUGUUCGGGUAUGACAUUAAGUCAAAAUGGUUUCGGCACAUGCCUGAUAAUUCUUGGAGGGUGCCAGAAUCAUUCUGGAAACUUUUUGGAAAUUUCAGAAAUAAAAACCGGAAAUGUUCCGGAGCUGCAGGAACCGGUUCAGAUGCUUUUCGCAGAUGAAAAUCACUAAACUAGAAUUGUUCCAGAAUGCGUUGAAAAUUAUUAUGGUAGGUACUAGAAAUGUUCUAAGCCCACAUAAAUAUUUUCAGUUCGAACGGACGCUGAAAAAUGUCGUCGUGAAUAGUGAAAGUGCUUUUUGGGAUAUUUUAUGGAACACAUUUUGGGGCUUUGCCCAAAAGAUCUAGGGAUGCCAUGGAAGGAUGGGAACCUCCUUUUGGGGGGCCCCACAAGGGGUGGGACGUUCAUGGGUGCAGCUCAUCCAUGGGGCCCCACUUGUCCCUUGUUUUCACUCUUUAGGUUCUUGGGAAGGACUCCAUUUCAUGUGGGUUUUGGGUUUUCUUGUAAAACCACCCUACCCCUUGGGAUUUCCUAUAAAUAGAGGUGGAGGGGCAGCCCUCCACUCUCAUCCCUUGCUCUCAUACACAUGCCAUGCAUUAUCUGACUUCUUCUCUCCCUCCCACGAAAAGAGUUUCGUAGAGCCGUAAGGCUGUCUGGGUUCCGGUAGGAACUAGUUCUGGACGGCGAAGCCCUGCCGGAUAGAUGACACCGUAUGUGUGCAACUCUAUAGAGAUAUCGUAGUUUUGGUCUUAGUUCGUGAGUGCCUCCCGAAGGGCUGUCCGUGUGACCGUCCGAGUUUCGAAGGUCCUCCCGAAGGGCUGUCCAUGACACCGUCCGGGGGGGCUGUUCGACUGCCUCCCGGAGGGCUGUCUGAGGAGCAGAUGAGGGUAUACAUCCUCGCGGUUGGGAGGUUGUAAAUCCUAGCUGCGGGGAUCUGCACCGCCGAUCGUCAUCGACUCUACUUCCCUCUGCGCUACGAGUCGGUAACGAAAAAGAUCAAACCAUGUAUGCAGUCUCCAUAGUGGUCCUGGGCUGGUGCGUAGGUCGAAAUUUUUUUGUUUUCUGUCGCGUUACCCUACAGUGGCAUCAAGAGCCGUGCUAUGCGUAGAUGCAGGUUUCGAUCUAGAAUACAUGGAGAUGUAUGGGUAUUGCAUAAUAUAAUUAGGUAGUAGAUGAGAUCUAUUGCUGAAAAUUAUUUAUGCGGGUGACGAUGAAAUCUGUUACCCGACAUUCUUGUUGCUUCCCUAGAAUUUGUGUUUGCUCAAUCUCGAGACAGCAUGGUGGAAUUUGACAAAGUUCUGGCAAUCCGUGAUCCUGAUUGAUCAUGGAAGUGCUAUCAGUUCUUUGGGUUCUGUCGUAGUCAAAAGAAAGAUGAAAUUCGCAGAUGAAAGGGCAUUGCAGAUAUGAUCCGCAUGGGGGUCAUGCGUAUGACGAAGUUUAGUAUGGGGCUGAAGAUUUAAUUAUCUCGUGUUUCAUAAACCCCGAGAUGUUAAUCUAGCAACUUGAAUAAUCAUACUUGAUGAUAAAAUGUUGGUAGCUGCCGUUUAAGUCAAAACCUUAGAAGCCACGUAAAAUAAAAUUUUGCAUAAACCGAUUAGAGGCGACUAACUUGGUUUUGCAAGAUGUGUGUCGGAGUAAAUGGCCACGGGUAGCCUAACCGACUACCCCUGGUUCUUCAGAAAAAUUAUCAGGCCUUUGGGCCUUCCAACGCUCCAAGCAUUGGACCCCCUUCCCUGGCCGGCUACCUCGGAAGCCGACUCCCGGAAGGCGGCCCAGCCUCAAGCGACCUCCCUCCCCAAGACAACCGCGGGGUGGCCGACUCCAAGGAGCCGGCCUCAAAAAGCGCCGACUACAAGAAGCCGGCCGAGACCACAACCACCAAAGCUACUUCCUCAUAACUGUGACAAGACGGGGUGUGACCACAGUGCGGCCCACUACCCCCAAAGCCCGAGGCGGGCAUGGCUACAGGAGGCCGUACGGGACGGCCGUCUCCCGUGCGGCUCGGCACUGUAGCCAUGCUAGCCUCAACGUCAUCCACGACAGACUCCUGUACGGCCCACGGGCGGCGGGCCCCUUCCGCCAGAGAGAGGCGUGGAGGCGGCCCGGCCUCUCCCAGUCGGCCGAAGGGUGUAGCCGGCCCCCAGAAGCCGGCUACCCCCUUCCUCGAAGUAGGAGCCCCAUUAAGGAGACUAGACAAGGUAAGGCUACAGUGAGAGCCCCCGAGGCGGCCCACUGUAGCCACGCUUACCUCGACAAAGCCCUCGUAAUCAGAGGCGAGGCUACAGUAAGCAGCCGCCGACGAGACCCUAGGCGGUGGGGCCGGCCUGUCGACCAAGGAGCCGGCAGCCGGCAGAACCCACCAGUCGGCGGGACCCAACAGCCGGCGGAGAAGCCGGCGAGCGUAGACACUGACGGCUAGAACCGGUGCCCAGCCGGAUUACCAUUGUACCCCCGGGGGGUAGGCCUAUAUAAACCCCCCGGAGCACCCAUGCAAAGGGGAGCUUCUGAACACAGCACACACACCAUAGAGAUAGAGAGAAGCAAGAGCUAGCCUUGUUCUUCUUCUUCCUUGAACCCAACAGCUCUAGGAGCGAUUGUAGCUACCUUUCCUUGAUCUAGUGAUCAUGCGGAGACCCCGCAGAGCAGGACUAGGGGUGUUAUCUCCACGGAGAGCCCCGAACCUGGGUAAGAUCCGCCGGCGUGCAUGUCUUCGCCUCAUCCCGUUUCCAGGCACCGGCGACGUCUUAUUGGCACCCACAAUGAUAAGCCAUCCAUUGGCAUAUGCCGCACCAACCACCCGACAUUUGGCGCCCACCGUGGGGCCAGGUGCACCGUCGUCCGGAGACCUGUUCUGGACGGGAACCCUCUUCCUCCCCCGCGAGCGCAGCCAGCCCGCUGCGCCCGAUGGCAUUUGCCUCGACGCGCUGCAAGGCGUCGACGACGCGCUGCAAGGCGUCGACGACGCCUGCGCGGCGAGCUGCCUCGCCGAUCUGCUCGGCGAGGCUCGCAUCUCCGACGAGCCUGCGUCCGACGCAGGCACCGACUACCCCGAGAACCGCCUCGUCAGCCUCCUCGACCAGCUUCACGUCUCCAGCGAGCCUGCUGCGGACAUGGAGUCAGUCGGCUCCACCGACCCGAUGCUCAUCGACUCCGACACAACAUCGCUUGACGCCUACCCCUCCGACGUGGUGAUCUUCGACGACCCCCUCCCUCGAGCUGACAGCGGCAGCAGCGCUGUCACCGAAGUGCUGGUCAUCAGCCAUGUCGCCAACUCGGGCGAGAACGCCCGCGACGCCCUGCAAGCGGCAAUGCACGACCUCUCCGUCCCCAUCCUGGCCGACGCCGACGCCGAGACCCUGGAGGCACGCCGCCUUGCCCUCAUCGCGGAGGGCCAGAAGAUAGCCUCCAUGAGAUGCCUCACCGAGGCCCACUAGCGCGAAGUCGACCGCGCCGCCUUCGGUACGCCGCCGCCUAGCGGCCCGAGCCGAGCCGGCUUCGUCCAGAAGCGCGGCGCGGCCGUCGCCAGCAUGCUGGGGGCAGAUCACCCCGUCUACGCCACCCCGCUCGAGAAUCUGCAAGCCGCUCAGGCGGCCGCAGAAGAGCUCAAUGGGCUGGGAGCCGAUGAGCUCCCCUACGUGACGAGGCGGAUCCAGCAGCUGCUCCACGCGGCUGCAGAACGGCACGAAGCCGGCGCCCGUGCUGAUAGUCAUCCCCCCCGCCGGGAGCACGCCGCGACAUCCCGCUCGCCGACUGCGAGCGGCGCGCGCCAGAAGAAAGACAAGGAGCCGGCUGCCAGCCGCAGCCGGACUCGCAUUACCAUCGAGCGCGACGCGGAGGGCCGCCCUCGAGCGGUGGAACACCAAGGGAAUCUGCCUCCUCCCCCGCCUCAAAGAGAAAGACGCCUCACUCCGCCGCCUAUCACACACCCGACUCUUGGCGACCGAAUCGGCCGCCGAGAAGGAGUCAGCGAGAACGACGCCCGCCACAGGAUCGACCACCUUGCUCGAUCCCUGGCGUUAGAAGAAGAAGACGAUGUCGGCCCGCCAUACUUUGGCCCCCGCAUCCGCAACGAGCCCUUCCCCAAACGAUUCUCGCUCCCCAGAGACACGCCCAAGUACAAUGGCUCGGUGAAGCCGGAAGAUUGGCUCAUCGACUACUCCACGGCCGUCAGCAUAGCCAACGGCAAUCGGCGCGUCGCCGUGAAGUACGUCCCCCUCAUGCUGCAAGGCACUGCGCGCACAUGGCUCAACAGCCUCAAGCCCUACAGCAUCAACAGUUGGCUAGACUUCACCGAAGUCUUCGUCCGCAACUUCACCAGCACCUACAAGCGGCCUCCCAAGCCUCGCCAGCUCUCCCUCUGCGUCCAGGGGCCCAACGAGUCGACCCGCGACUACCUCACGCGAUGGGCCGAGCUCCGCAACUCUUGCGAGGGGGUGCAUGAGGUCCAAGCCAUCGAGUACUUCACCGCCGGGUGCCGAGAGGGCACCCUCCUCAAGCACCGACUCCUCUGCGACGAGCCGGCCACCCUCGACGAGUUGCUGGUGAUCGCGGACAAGUACGCCACAGCCGACUCCUCAAUGAAGACCGAGCUGAGAGUAGACGCCUCUGGGAAGGUGAUUGCUCCGGCUCCCAAGAUGCCGGCUGGCGACCCCAACCGGCGCCCCUACCAGAACGAUCACAAGCGUAAGGCCCCCAUGCCGACUUCCACCAGUCGGCAGGUGGCCACAGUUGAAGACGAGCAGCCCGAAGAACGGCCCGCUCCCAAGAAGAAGGGUGGAAGGCCGGCUUGGCAGCCGUCUUUCUCCUACGAACAUGCUCUCGACGCCCCCUGCAAGUUCCACAGCGGCGUGAAGCCGUCCAACCACACAACCCGGAAAUGCCACUGGCUCCCGCAUCACCAAGGGCGACGCGAUGUUGCCGCCUCCGCCUCCCGGCCCGCCGCCUCCAGCCCCCCAGCAGCCGGCGGCUCGGCCGGCAGUCGGCGCCAUCCAAGACGAAUUUCCCGAAGAGCACGCCGCCUACAUCGUCUUCACCAGUCAAGCCGACGACAAGCGCAGCCGACGCCGACAGCAUCAAGAAGUGAAUGCAGUCGCCACUAGCGCUCCCGAGUUCAUGCACUGGUCAGAAAAACCAGUCAGCUGGAGCCAGGCCGACCACCCAGAGGUGAUGCCUUCACCUGGCUCCUAUGCAAUGGUCUUGGAUGUCACCCUCGCGACGGAGAGGCGAGCGGCCCGAUUCUCCCGAGUCCUGAUAGAUGGCGGAAGCAGUAUCAACAUACUGUACCGCGAUACCAUGGAGAAGCUGAACAUCAAAGCAAAGCAGCUCAUGCCGAGUCGCACCGUCUUCCAUGGUAUCGUCCCCGGCCUAUCUUGCUCCCCAAUCGGCAAGAUUAAAAUGGAUGUUCUCUUCGGAGACAAAGAUCAUUUUCGCCGAGAAGCAAUCUGGUUCGAGGUGGUGGAUUUGGAGAGCCCCUAUCAUGCUCUGCUUGGCAGACCUGCCCUGGCCAAGUUCAUGGCCGUGCCCCACUACGCCUACCUAAAGAUGAAGAUGCCGAGCUCGAAGGGGAUCAUCACAGUAGCCGGCGACUACAAGAAGUCCAUCGAGUGCGCCAUGGCCAGUAGCCGGCUGGCCGAGUCCCUCGUGGUGGCUGGAGAGAAGAAGAUGCUGGAGCGGGUUGUGGCCAUGGCCGGCAAGCAGCCGGCCUUGUCCCCCAACCCCAAAGAUUGUGAAGCGCAGGGCUCCUUCCAGCCUGCCAAAGAGACGAAGAAGAUACCUCUGGACCCGGAGAACCCGGAGAGGUUCGCUGUCAUUGGGGCGAACUUGGACAGUAAAUAGGAAGGCGAGCUCGUCGACUUCCUCCGUGAGAAUCGAGACAUCUUUGCAUGGUCCCCAAAGGACAUGCCGGGUGUCCCAAAGGAUUUCGCCGAGCACAAGUUACAUGUCCGAGUUGACGCGAAGCCGGUCAAGCAACCCCUCCGCCGACUGUCAGAAGAGAAGCGAAGAAUUGUGGGAGAAGAGAUAGCCCGGCUCCUUGCCGCUGGCUUUAUCAUGAAAGUGUUCUUUCCAGAGUGGCUUGCCAACCCUGUUUUGGUUCUGAAGAAGAAUAACAAGUGGCGUAUGUGUAUAGGCUACACCAGCCUGAACAAGGCCUGCCCAAAGGAUCCGUUUGCUCUGCCGCGGAUUGACCAAGUGAUAGACUCCACAGCCGGAUGCGAGUUGUUAAGUUUUUUGGAUGCGUACUCAGGGUACCAUCAGAUCAAGUUGGCCCCAGCUGACAGCCUGAAGACUGCCUUCAUCACACCCUUUGGAGCUUUCUGCUACCUGACAAUGACAUUCGGCUUGAGAAAUGCCGGUGCCACUUUUCAGCGUUGCAUGCAGAAAUGCCUCUUGAAACAACUCGGCAGAAAUGCCCACGUCUAUGUAGACGACAUUGUGGUGAAGACAGAGAAGCGCGGUACCUUGCUGGAAGACCUGAAAGAAACAUUUGCCAACUUGCGCCGAUUCCAAAUCAAACUCAACCCCGAGAAGUGCAUGUUCGGAGUACCAGCCGGCCAGCUGCUAGGCUUCCUGGUCUCUGAACGCGGCAUCGAGUGCAACCCCGUCAAGAUCAAGGCCAUCAAGAGGAUGGAGAUUCCCACCAAGCUGCGAGAUGUGCAGAAGUUCACUGGCUGCUUAGCCUCCCUGAAUCGUUUCAUCAGCCGACUAGGAGAGAAGGCUCUCCCCCUGUACCGACUCAUGAAGAAGUCCACUCACUUCGAGUGGAAUGAUCAAGCCGACCAAGCCUUCCAUGAGUUGAAGAAAAUGCUGACCACUCCACCUGUCCUGGCUGCGCCGACUGAAAAGGAGCCCAUGCUCCUCUACAUCGCCGCGACUAGCCGAGUCGUCAGCACUGUUGUUGUGGUCCAGCGCCCGGAGGAAGGCCGAGCCCAGCUAGUCCAGAGGCCGGUGUACUAUCUCAGCGAAGUGCUGUCCAGCUCAAAGCAAAACUACCCGCACUACCAGAAGAUGUGCUCUGGGGUGUACUUCGCUGCCAAGAAACUGAAGCCCUACUUCCAAGAGCACCCCAUCACGGUCGUGUGCACUGCCCCGCUUGCCGAGAUCAUAGGCAGCUGGGAUGCAUCCGACCGGGUAGCCAAAUGGGCCAUUGCAUUGGCGCCCUACACGAUCUUCUACCAACCCCGCACCGCCAUCAAGUCGCAAGCAUUGGCCGACUUCCUCGUCGACUGGGCCGAGACCCAGUACCUACCGCCGGCUCCCGACUCUACCCAUUGGCGGAUGCAUUUCGACGGGUCCAAGAUGCGCACCGGCUUGGGAGCCGGCAUCGUCUUCACCUCUCCCAAAGGCGACAAGCUCAAGUACACGUUGCAGAUCCACUUCGCCGCCUCCAACAACAUGGCCGAGUACGAGGCGCUCGUACAUGGGCUCCGGCUAGCCAAAGAACUCGGCAUACGCCGGAUCCUGUGCUACGGCGACUCAAACUUGGUGGUCCAGCAAUCGUCUGGCGACUGGGACGCCAAGGACGCGAACAUGGCGAGCUAUCGAUUCCUCGUCCAGCAGAUCAGCGGAUACUUCGAGGGGUGCGAGUUCCUCCACGUACCAAGGGCCGACAACGACCAAGCAGAUGCCCUAGCACGAAUCGGCUCCACCCGACAAGCCAUACCGACUGGCGUCUCCCUCCAGCGCCUCCUCAAGCCGUCCAUCAAGCCGUCUCCAGAGUCGGAUUCCAUCUUCGUACCGCCUGCACCAGAUACAGCCGGAUCCGAUUGGAGAGGCCCCGCAGGCGGCACGGGGACUUCAACAACUGGCCCGGGGACUACCGUAGUCGCACCCGGCCCGGGGACUUCAGAACCCGGCCCGGGGACUGCAACGACACAAGAAGCAGUGGCUGACUCACCCAACCCACCCACCCGAGUCAUGGUGGCCACAUUAACAGAAGAAGAAGUCACAGCUCCCUCAUGGGCCCAGCCCAUCCUCAAGUUCCUAGUCAGCAGAGAGCUGCCGGCUGAUGAGAUCUCCGCAAGACUAAUGCAACGACGAGCCGCAGCAUAUACAAUAAUCAACAGAGACCUUGUGAAGCGCAGCGUCACUGGAGUCUUCCAGCGUUGCGUCGAGCCAGAAAAAGGUGUGGCAAUCCUCAAAGACAUCCACCAAGGCGAAUGCGGCCACCACGCAGCCUCAAGAUCCCUUGUGGCCAAGGCUUUCCGCCAUGGUUUCUUCUGGCCGACUGCCUUGGAGGAUGCUAAAGAAAUAGUCAAGAGCUGCAGAGGAUGCCAAGUUUUUAGUUCCAAGCAACAUCUGCCGGCUUCUGCACUCAAGACCAUUCCCCUCACCUGGCCUUUUGCUGUCUGGGGACUGGACAUGGUGGGCCCUUUCAAGACAGCCCGAGGCGGCUUGACACAUCUACUUGUUGCUGUGGACAAGUUCACAAAGUGGAUUGAAGCAAAGCCAAUCAAGAGGCUCAAUGGGCCGACUGCCGUAACAUUCAUCACCGACAUCACUACUCGGUACGGCGUGCCGCACAGCAUCAUCACCGACAACGGCACGAACUUUGCCAAAGGAGCACUGGCACGUUUCUGCGUGACGCAGGGCAUCCGACUGGACUUAGCGUCCGUUGCCCACCCGCAGUCAAACGGCCAGGUCGAGCGAGCAAAUGGACUCAUCCUCUCCGGCAUCAAGCCUCGACUGGUUGUACCACUGGAGCAAUCGGCCGGCUGCUGGCUCGAGGAGCUGCCGGCUGUACUUUGGAGUCUGCGCACUACACCCAACAAGUCAACCGGCUUUACUCCAUUUUUCCUCGUGUACGGUGCCGAGGCUGUCAUCCCAACAGACAUCAAGUUCGACUCGCCUCGGAUCACCAUGUACACAGAGGAGGAGGCCAAAGAAGCAAGAGAAGACGGUGUGGACCUACUGGAAGAAGGCCGGAUGUUAGCACUCAGCCGGUCCGCUAUCUACCAGCAAGGCCUGCGUCGCUACCACAACCGCAAUGUCAAGCCAAGAUCCUUCCAAGAGGGCGACCUUGUGCUUCGGCUGAUCCAGCGAACAGCCGGCCAGCACAAGCUCUCGGCCCCUUGGGAAGGCCCCUUCGUCGUCAGCAAGGCACUCGGCAACGACUCCUACUACUUGAUCGACGCGCAAAAACCAAGAGACGCAAGAGAGACGACUCCGGCAAGGAGUCGGAGCGACCAUGGAACGCAAACCUCCUGAGACGAUUUUAUAGUUGAAAGCAGUAUGUGUCAUGCUACCCCUUUUGUAUUAAGUACAAACCAACAGGCCCCCCGAACAGUACUCGGGGACUGCCUUUGUUUAUCUAUGAAUGACAAGUGUCAUAUCCAUGAAUGUAUUAUUACAUUUGAAUUCUUGUCUGGGACCGGGUUCGACUAGUCGGCCCGGGGACUGGCCGCCUCGAGCUAUAUUAAAGGUUCUACCUGAAGUCAGAAAAGUAGUGUGCCGGCUCCAGAAUCCUCUCUUGUUGAAAGUCGCAGCUCGAAGAACCGACUGUCCGACUAGCAAGAGGCAAGGCAAAAAGGAUGCCCACACGAAAAACGGCUAAGGACUAAUGAACCUAUAUAGCAACAAGACGGCCUCCAAACAUGCCUGCCGGCUGUCAGAAUAGCCGGCUGGCCGGCUCCCUAAAAACUUAGCUUUAGUCCAGUGAAGCUAGAUUACUUGCCCUCCCAAUCGGCCAAGCACUUCUCCAGCAACAGAUUGCAGAGCACCUGUUGGACUGGGAAGGCGGCAACCAAGGGAGGGCGGCAAAGGAAACAGCAGAAGGACGAAAAGCAAAGUACAAGAAAAAGCCAAAUGCAUGCAUAAGUUAUAUAUACAUAUAAGGCCCCCAGCAGGCUGGCCAUCAACAUGGUUCGAAUACACCCCCAGUGGGUGGAAUUGUGCAGACUUAACAGAAGUUUUGUUCCAAAAGUAACAAGACAGGAAAACAAAAGACGGCGGACUAGACUAAGGCGCGGUGCGGAGGCCGAGCUGGUCGGUGAAGGCGGCCUGGCCGGCUGAAGGAGCGGCCGCCUAGCGGGUCUCGGCCUGGCCGCCACCACGGGCAGGCGACGCACUCGCGCGUGGCGUAGUGCUAGAGGCGCGGUCAAGAUGAGGCUGGUCGGCUGCUCCACCAGCCGGCUCGGCGUCUUCACCCUCCUCCUCCUCCUCUUCACCCUCAUCGCUGGAGUCGAUCUCCUCCGCCGAGUCUUCACCGUCCGCCGGGUUCAGCCCGAACCACUCCUCCGGCUGGGCGACACCAUUGUCGUCUACCUCGGGGGCGAAGACGCUGGUGUCGGUGUAGUCGGCGAUCGCCGAAGCCCGCCGGAUGAUAGCCGGCCGCGCCGGCUCCAGCUCCGUGUCGGUUUGUUGCCGCCAGGUAGCCAGCUGAUCCAGGCUCAGGCCGGGAUACCAGGCCUUGACGAACUCAAGCGCCCGCCUGGCGCCGGAGCGAGCCGCCGAGGCCUUCCAGGCUUCGAAGCGGCCGACUGCCACCUCCAGCCAGUCGGCAGUCCGACGGGGGUGCGGGGAACCGCCUGGCCGGGCCAGAGGGUGGCCAAGACUUGCGCCCCGACGCGCUGAAGCCGGCGCAGCAGUUGGUGAGCCGGCUGGAUACGGGCUUGGAUCGCCAAAAGCUGUUCCUCCAGCGAGCGGCCGGUUGUGGGCGAGAUUUCAAAGCCAGCCUGCCUUCGUGCUUGGCGACGUGCCUCGAUGGUCUGGUUGGCGGCAGUAGAAUAGCCAGGGAAAUACUCUGCGCAAGAAAGGAAGAAAAGAACACCAAAAUCAGAAAACAAGCCAAAGUGGCAGAUGGCAAGAAAGGACGAAGAGGUAGGCGGCUUACCGUCAACCAGAUCUUCGAUCUGGCCGUAGCCAGAGAUCAGAGUCUACCUGGCCUCAGCCCAGCCAGCCGCCUCCCUCUCGAACUCGGCCUGGAGAGUGGCUUCGCGGUCCUGCGCAGCCUUUAGGGCUGCCUUGUGGCCUUCCUCCUGGUCGGCCAGCUUCUUGACCAGGCGGUCGCGCUCCUGCACCAAGGCGGCGAGCUCGGCAUCCUUGGCACGAAGGGCAGUCUGAGACUCUCCCAGCUGUGCCCUCAGACUGGCGUUGGCCGCUGCAGAGACGGCAGAAGAAGAAAAAAGAAUAGAAAGAAGAAGUCGUCAAGGAAGAUCCGACCCGACUGCUCAGCAGUCGGCCCGAAUCUCGGGGACUACACCCAGUGGGUGCGCUGACGCGCCCCCACAUGAGACAAAGAACCAAGCACAUACCUCGGCUCUCAGUAAGGUCGGCGGUCUUCUGGGUCAGCUCCCGAGCCUGGGAGUUGAAGGCGGUCGCAUGAAGAUUGUGGUAGUCCUGCAGAAUAGACAGAAGAUCGGAGUAAGAACAAGAAUGGCAAAGGCAAAUCCUCCAAGGAGUUCCAAGCCGCCUGCUCAGCAGCCGACUCGGAACUCGGGGACUACACCCAGUGGGUGCGCUGACGCGCCCCCACGGAAGAAAUCAAGAUCAAGAAGAAGCAAGAUAAGAAGCCUAACCCGGAUGGCCGCCCGCGUCGCGAGGAACUCGUCGGUGUACUGCCUCAGCGCCGUAGCCUGGGCCUGGAGCCGGGUCCGGACGUCCUGCGCGGCCACGUUCACCAUGGCCGUCCCUCCGCCUGGCGUCCAUCCCGAGGUAGCACUGGCCGCCUCCGCAUCCUAGGCCGACGAGCAGGAGCCCACGGCCGGCUGCGGCUCCGACGCGGCCUUCUGUGGCUCCGACGCGGCCCUCCCCGCGCGCCGGCUCGACGGAAUCCGGACCGCCGUCUCAGCCCUCACGGCCGCUUCGCCCCCCGCCGACGGUGCAGGCGACGGAUCAGGCUGGCCGCCUUGGGCCGUCCCAGUUGGCGGGGUCGGCACCGGCGCCCUGUCCAAGAUGAUGACGUCGUCGCUUCCCCCCAACCCUGGCUGGUCGCCGCUGGCUCCCUCUGGCGAGGGCUCCAUGGGCCCCGGCGCCGCAACACGCAGAGGGGUGACCAUCAAGACCUCCCCCGCUGCUUCUGCUACUUCAGCCUCUGCUUGGGCCCUGGCUGCAGCAUCGGCGAGCGCCUUUGCCGCCUCCUCCUCCCGUGCCGCCUGGGCGGGCCGCCGCCUUCCGUGCCUCCGCCUCCCGUGCCUCCUGCUCCUCCCGCGCCUCCCGCGCGUUCCGUUCCGUCGCCGCCUGAAGCUCAGCACGGGGGUCCACGCGACGAGUGGUACUCCCAGACCCCCUCGGCGACUCCACGACGGAGCCGGCAGCCGCCCGCUCAAGCGAAAGCGGAGCCCUGAUCAUUGGAAAAGAAGACAAGAGCUCAAGAACCACCAAAGAAAAGGAAUAAAAAAGAGUAUAGGAAAGAAAGUGAACUUACGCCGACACGGUCUGCGGUUGCUUCACCGCCUUGCAGAAGCGAGCCGCCUUUGCAGCCGCCUCCUCCCGCCUGGUGGCUGCCGCCCCGCCUCUGGGCUUCUUCGUUCGGCUGCCGAACAAACCCUGGGCGGCACGACGCUUUUGACCCCCACCCCGAGCAGGCAGCGCGGCGGAGGAACCCGCGCCGCGUCCAGAUGCCGGCUGGCGGCGCGGGACAACUUCGGCCUCAUCGUCGUCCGGCCAGUCGUCAAAGGUGGCACUGAGCCCGGAGCCGCCUGCUUCGCCGCCGGCUUGGCCACCACCCGGCUCGACAUCGUCGUCCAUACCGACCGCCCUCAGGUCGGGGUCAUCCCGAUCGUGUUCGGUCCGGUCGGGGACGAACCGGCGCUCCGCGUCUGACCCGCCAGCCGGCCGAAGAAGAGGGCUCUGUUGAAGAACAAGCCGACUAAGUCAGAGUCGGCCAAGAGGUACUCGGCAUCAAAGCUGAGAGAAAAAGAAGAGACAAGGAGAGCAUACCGUAGGCGGCGGGUUGGCUCGGCUAUAUGGCUCCUUGCGGAACUGCCACUCCACGGAGAGUUUGCAGUUCGCGAGGUAGUUCACCAUAAAGGCCACCUCCUCGUGCGGCAUCUCCUUGGUGCACAUCCGGCUCGGAUCGAGCUCGCCGCUCAUCUAACAGAUCAGAUGAGGCCGGCUCUGGAGCGGAAGAACCUGGCGCGUGACGAACGCGGCCAGAAGGUCGGGCCCCGUCAAGCCCUCUGCCUGGGUCAGCUCCCGCACGCGGGCGACGGCGGCGGACCCGGCCGGCGUCAGAGUCACGGCCCGGAAGGACCAUUGGGACCGCCUGCCCUCCGGCGGGCCGGCUACGUAAGCCGGCAGGUUGAUGUAGUCGCCCCGCGGGGCGAUGUUCCGUACAUAGAAGUAUGAUUUUUGCCACUUCUUCACCGAUUGGAUCAGCGUGAUGACGGGGAAGGGGUUGUCGGCGACCGAUCUCCGCGACGCGAUGAAGGCGCCAGUUGAGCCGGCACGCCCCGCAUGCGCGUGCCCAGCUUCGACUGGAAGAACUCCCCCCAGAGCUCGAGGGUGGGGAGGACGCCGAGGUAGCCCUCGCACAGGGUGACGAAGGCGGACAGCAGCACCACCGCGUUUGGGGUGAGAUGGUGCGGCUGGAGCUGAUAGAAGUCGAGCCAGGAGCGGAAGAAGGCGCUCGCGGGCAGGCCGAUGCCGCGCAAGAAAUGCGAGCGGAAGACCACCCGCUCGCCCUCCCGCGGCUCCGCCGUGAUUUCCCUCGCCGGUGCGAGACGGACCUCCACUUUGUCCGCGUCGAGCAGCCUCCGCGUCUGGCGGAGGAACUCGACGUGGACCUCGUGGACGUUGGAGCCGUCCCAAUCCCCGCCAUACUGCUCCGUGGCGGGAGGCAUGGCGAAAACAAGCGCGGCGGUGGAGGAAUGCAUGGUGGAAGAGCGCGGCAGCGAGGCGCUGUCGCAAGAACCGGCAAGCGAAGAAGAUGGAGGAGGUGGGAGGAGCGUGCGAGGGCCUGCCGCCCUCCACCUCCCCCUACUUAUAGCUUCGCGAGGCAGGACCAGGGAAGCCGAACGUGGGGGGAGUCGUGGGAUUAACUGCACCCACUCCCCCCACGCCUCGCGAUUAUUGCGCAUAAAUGCGAGCCGAAACUGCCGCACCAGACGUGCGGGCGGUUUCGGGAUGCAGACGAUCCGCGCCUGGGCCGGGCGCGGACGUGGCGGGCCCCCUCCCUGCGGCGACGUCCCGUCACGCGCGUGGGCUGGCAGGCUUUCCGGCCAAGAGGGGCCACGUGGUUCGCAGACGGCCAGUGGCCGGCCCGCGGCCCGGUGCACGCACUGGCGGGCUCCCGCCCUCCGACUUCGGAAGUUUUCGACCUAGGCGGCACGCCUAACUAGAGUCGGCUCCCAGCUGCCGACUUGCUAAGAUGGGAAGCUGAUCGAGCUUCUCAACUCCUACUCAACCUCGAAGCCCAAUUAGCUUCGGGGACUACUGUCGGAGUAAAUGGCCACGGGUAGCCUAACCGACUACCCCUGGUUCUUCAGAAAAAUUAUCAGGCCUUUGGGCCUUCCAACGCUCCAAGCAUUGGACCCCCUUCCCUGGCCGGCUACCUCGGAAGCCGACUCCCGGAAGGCGGCCCAGCCUCAAGCGACCUCCCUCCCCAAGACAACCGCGGGGUGGCCGACUCCAAGGAGCCGGCCUCAAAAAGCGCCGACUCCAAGAAGCCGGCCGAGACCACAACCACCAAAGCUACUCCCUCAUAACGGUGACAAGACGGGGUGUGGCCACAGUGCGGCCCACUACCCCCAAAGCCCGAGGCGGGCAUGGCUACAGGAGGCCGUACGGGACGGCCGUCUCCGGUGCGGCUCGGCACUGUAGCCAUGCUAGCCUCAACGUCAUCCACGACAGACUCAUGUAUGGACCACAGGCGGCGGGCCCCUUCCGCCAGAGAGAGGCGUGGAGGCGGCCCGGCCUCCCCCAGUCGGCCGAAGGGUGUAGCCGGCCCCCAGAAGCCGGCUACCCCCUUCCUCGAAGCAGGAGCCCCAUUAAGGAGACUAGACAAGGUAAGGCUACAGUGAGAGCCCCCGAGGCGGCCCACUGUAGCCACGCUUACCUCGACAAAGCCCUCGUCAUCAGAGGCGAGGCUACAGUAAGCAGCCGCUGACAAGACCCUAGGCGGUGGGGCCGGCCUGUCGACCAAGGAGCCGGCAACCGGCGGGACCCACCAGUCGGCGGGACAAAAUAGCCGGCGGAGAAGCCGGCGAGCGUAGACACUGACGGCUGGGACCGGUGCCCAGCCGGAUUACCAUUGUACCCCCGGGGGGUAGGCCUAUAUAAAUCCCACGGAGCACCCAUGCAAAGGGGAGCUUCUGAACACAGCACACACACCAUAGAGAUAGAGAGAAGCAAGAGCUAGCCUUAUUCUUCUUCUCCCUUCAACCCAACAGCUCUAGGAGCGAUUGUAGCUACCUUUCCUUGAUCUAGUGAUCAUGCGGAGACCCCGCAGAGCAGGACUAGGGGUGUUAUCUCCACGGAGAGCCCCGAACCUGGGUAAGAUCCGCCGGCGUGCAUGUCUUCGCCUCAUCCCGUUUCUAGGCACCGGCGACGUCCUAUUGGCACCCACAAUGAUAAGUCAUCCAUUGGCAUAUGUCGCACCAACCACCCGACAAUGUGCAUGUGAUGUGGUAUAGCAGUGCUCAUAAUAAUUUGAUUAUGUAUGAGAUGACUAUAUGAUGUAAUUAACAUGACAUGCGUGUCAUGAUUCGGCAUGAUGGCUGGAGCCAUAUGAUUGCACUUUAAUGACCUGCCUGUCAACCUUAAGUAAUGCAUUUAUUUUAUCCGCUAUGGAGAUAGCAAUAUUAUCUGGUGCAUUGACAAGGUGCUGGCAAUCUUCAUGAAGGUGAACACCGACGCGAAUGCCAAAGACGAAGAAAUGAAAGACUUCUCCGUCAGAAAGGGCUAUACCAUAUCAUGCUAUUAUGAAUUGCCUGAGAUGUUUAUCCCUUAUGAUGCACCCUUCUUGAUUGCGCGGUAGUCGCUUUUUAUUAGGGUGAUCUCUCACUAAAAUAUCAAGUAGUUAGUGUUCUCCCAAGUGUAGCACCGUCACGGCACCUAUCUUUUCGGGGUGCGCCAUGGACGCAUGGGUACGAACGAUUAGAGAAGUGUGAGGCGGGUGAGGUCAGACCUCGCAGCAAGAUCACUUGGUUGUCUUGACGUUCAUGGCAGGAUCGUCGUGAGCUCGAAACACACGCAUCAAAAGAUGAGCAAGAGUCACAUAGAGAUGUGAUUGGCAAGUUGGCCUACCGAUUAAAAUUCCCGUUAUGAGAUGAUGAUUCUAUGGCGAUGAAUUGAAGUCUGGAUCUUGUAUCACUCAUAGUCAAUGUUGAGAGAUAUUGAUUUGAGUGGGAGUGCACUGUUGAAUUAACAUGUUUAAUUCUUAGUGCAAUUAAUUAUGAAUACUGUCUAAGUGUUUCUUGCAAAAUAGUUGUAGAAUAAUGGCUCGCGAUUCCACUUUCCCUAUUAAAAUUGAAUAGCUGUUAAAUAUAUGGUUAACACUUUACGAUUGGUAACGUAAUAUGAGGAUUGUCCUCAGAAGUGCCGAGAAGGAAUUUUUCCUAUCGCAUGCUUUCCGUAUCCUCCCGCUAAUGCUAUGGAUCAUGUGACUCUCGGCCUUCGAUCCAAAAGCUAUUAUUCUGUUACGGUCAAGUGGAAUAUGUUUGCUUCCAUGAAACCCGAACUUCGAAAGUUGGGAUAGUUAUAUGAUAUUCAUGGAACUGAAAAUUAUUUCCAGAUACAAACAAAGCAAUGUUUGUUUGCAAGUAUUAGUAGAAGUGUUUACUAUGCACUUGACUGUUGGGAAAGGUAUCCAGAAGAACGCCUAUCAUAUAAUGAAAGGUGAAUAAAACAACAACUUAAAGAGAAAGGAAGUGUCCAAAGGGUGUUAGUAUGACUUACACGCCUAGGAAGUCCGGGGCUAACGCCACUCUUAAGUUGGGUGCUUCUUUUGCGAGUAGGAGAAAUACUAAAAGUUAAACUGUUAGAAGUAUAAAGGCAGAAAGAAAGAUGACUGGAAUAUCCAGCUCAUGUAUGAAUGUCAUACAAGUUUUUGAUGUAUAGUAGGUUGGUCAAAGAUAUAGUUCUUGGGAAUUAUGGUUAAACAUGUUAAUCACUAAUUCUUGGGUAUUGUGAGUUAAUCACAAAGAUACCCGCUCGAUUGCAUUCUGUUACGAAUCAAUGUAAGAGCUACUAUGGCCUAAAACGACUAUCCAGAAAUGAGGUUAAGGUAUACACAGGGAACAUAGUAAAUGUUACUAUACCUUCCAUCGGUGUAUUGCCGUCUGUAUUUAUUUUCAUAAUUCAUUCAGAGUUUUACAAACUCUAGCCCAUUGCAUAAGGUAUCUUGCAAGAAGGUUGUUCAUAAGCGAAAUUUUUAUGUUCGAUGUUAUGAAUAACACAAGGGCCAUACUUUCAUUAUGAAUCAGAUGUAUGUUAUGGAUAUUGAUAAUAAUACAAUACCUCUGGGUUUACUUUCAUAAUUCAUUUUAGAGUUUCAUACACUCUAGCCCAUUGCACAAUGUUUGUUGCAAAAGAGUUGUUCAUAAAAACAACAAUUGUUGUUAAGUAUUAUGAAUAACGUGAAGGGCCAUGCUUCCAUCCAAGAUGGGAUGUAUGUUAUGAAUAUUGAUGGUAAUAUGAUACAUCCAUAACAAUGGCGCUAAAUGUCGCAAGACUAAAAGAAUACCACACAAGUGUGGCACUACAUUUGGUCACAUUGGAGAAACCCGCAUGGAAAAUUCCAUUAUGAUGGAUUUUGAAGUCUUUUUGAUUUUGAAUCAUCUGACACUUGCAACUUUCCUCCGAAAAGUGAAGUGACUAAAAUACCAUUCACAGGCCAUAAGGAACGAACAACAAACUUAUUAGUGAUCAUACAUUUGAUGUGUGUAGUCUGAUAAGUGUUGUUAGUGGUGGAUUUAUUUAUCUUCAGAAAUGACUCAAGUAAAUAUAUGGAUAUUUACUUGAUGAGACGUAAGUCUGGAUCUUUUGAAAUCAUUCGAAAGGUUUUCAAAAAUGAAGUAGAAGUUAUUGUAACAAGACAAUUAUGUUUCUGCAAUUUGAUUGCACAAAGGAAUAUUUGAGUUACAUGUUUAGCAAAUGUCUAAUGAGUUGUGAAAGGGGUUUCAUACCUUGCACCUCCCGGAACACCACUGCAAGUGAAAAGUCCGUGGAGACGUAAUCUAACCAUUUAUGACAUGGUAAGGUCAAAUAAGACAUAAAUAAAUUUUCCAUUAUCCCUUUUAAAGUGAUGCUUUAGAGACUGCGGCUUUUACACUGAAAAGAGCUACAUCGGGUCUGUUGAAAUGAAGCCAUGGUAUGGUACGCCCAACCAUGUUAUAUCUUUUCUUAACAUCUGGAAUAUGGGGCUUGUGUAAAAGGUUACAAACCUAUUCCAAAUCAGACAAGUGCUACUUUGUAGGUUAUACCAAAAUGUUGGGUAUUCCUCCCUCACUAUACCGAGGCAAAUAGUUUUGCUGCGAAACAGUGUGCUUUUAAAGAGAAUGGUUCUUUCAAAAAGGUGAGUGGGAGAAUAGUGCAACUCGACGAGAUAAACAGUAUCUUCGUCAUCAGAUCAAAGGAAAGAUACCUUGGAAGUAAUUCCAUAGUUUCCUACUGCGACUGAUACGGAAGUCUCUACAAUAAAAUGUAUGAACUUCGGUCGAACUUGCAGCAGAACCACGUAGGCAAGGCUCGUGCAAACCUCUCAGGUGCGCAAACGAGAUAUUGUUGUUAGACAACAUUAUACCUGCGAUACACAAGGAAGCGUUGAUGCGCCCUGACUCCGGAAUUGGCUAAAUGCCAAUACAACCCAAGUUAGUUUCCGUAUCAGUGAUUCAAGAUUAAAACCUUGAUACACCGUUCAGAAGACUUAGAGUCUAACGAAUAUUUAUGAAACUUAAAACUGAUACGGAUAAAAAUGUUUUAUCCAUAAAGCUCGACUUGUUGAAAUAACAAGUUCAAGUGUUGACUACGAUGAGGUUGUUUUCAUCGUAGCGAUGCUUAAAGUCGGUUCGGGUUGAACUAGCAAUUAAUACAUAUUUCAAUCAUGAGAUAUGAAACAUGGAUGACAAUAGGAUUUCCAUCUGAUGGAAAUGAAACCAAGGACUUGCAUGUGUUACAGUCCAAGGCAUUUUGUCUAUCCAGAGGAUGCUAGUAAGGGUGCAAACUUAAGAGUUCCAGCGAUGGACAGAAGAGAGCAAAAUGGGGUUGGAAUCUUUGUGCUUUGAUGAAAUGGUCAAAGGGGUUUGACUUCAUCAAUGGGUAAUGAAGAUGCUUGUAUUUGAAGAAAGUAAGUGGGAGCGUAAUAAUAUUUCUAAAAACCUUGUGUGCUUGACACAUUGUUAAUUGGAAAUAAAUUUCUUGACACGAAUUAGGACUUCAUUUGAAAAUAGUUUUUUGAUGAAGUGCUUAGGCUAAAUAGCCUCAAUAUUAGGCAUAAUGAUCUAUGGAGAUAGAUUUACCUAAUAGGGCUAAGCAAUGAAUACAUAUUGACAAGGUGCUAAAACCUUUUAGCAUUUAAAACCGCCAAGGAGUGAUUCUUGCCGGAGUCACAUGGAAGAGUCUUUUGCAAGACUUGGUGUCCCAAAACACUGAUGAGCAAAAUACAUGAUGAAGAUUCCGCACACUUAUGUGUUUGGAUUAAUCAUAUAUUCCAUGGUAUGUAAAACAACCAGAUAUGUCCGAUACUCCCAAGGUGUUGCAAGUAUGGAUACCAUAGUGAUCAAAGUACUGAUCGUGGGACAAAAGUGAAAGAUGUCAUUGAGUACUAGAGUAAGUACUGAUGAUAUGUUUUCUCGCAAGCGGAGAUCAUGAAGAGUUCAUUGUCAAAUGUUACAUCGAUACAGUCUUCAUCUUUUCUCCAUGCGAUUUUCGAUUUAAGAUAAAGGUUUUUGUAUAAUACACAAUAUGGUGGCACGGUAGUUGGAAAUUGUUCCCAACAGGAUACUAUGGCGAAUUCUACAACAAAUGACUAAGUAUGUUGACGCUUUAGAGGCGACAAACAAGAUGUUGAAUCAUAUAGUUCAUUCAUGAACUUAGUAUGGUUCCAAGAUGGCUUUUGUCAAUGGGACACUACUGCAGGUAGUUUCUCCAUAACUCAGUCUGAGGAAUCCAGGUUCGACUUGUGAUUCACAUACAUAAAAGCCAAGUCCGCACAAAAUAUGAAUUUUGUGAAAGCAUGAAAACGCGAGGAUAUGCAGAGAUACACACGGAGCUGAAAUUGUUAGAUCCGAUGGACAUCAGGCUAUACCAUAUGCGAAGCAUUUUUUACACCAGUAUGCCAUAGGUGUAAAGUGCAUUAGCAUUAACUAGAUUAUUGAUUCUAGUGCAAGUGGGAGUCUGUAGGAGAUAUGCCCUAGAGGCAAUAAUAAAUGUUCUUGAUUAUCUCCCGGUUCAUAAUUAUGUUUAUGUUCCAUGCUAUAACUGCUAUGGUUCUCGAGUCUGCAAUAACCACGAGGCUCGGAGGAAGACUCAUAUGCACAUGUGGAAUAAUAAACGGUAAAAUGUAUUCCUACUCUGGCCUCUAAGACUAGCUCAAGUAUUGCAUGAUGGUUCUGUUUUCCUGAUCAUGGGCAUGUCUAUGCCAGCAACCUUGAGGGCACAAUUUUAAGAGGACAUUUGUGUUGAAUCGACCCGGAUUGAUGUUAUGCUAAGAGAUUCAUUCGUCACAAGUUAAUGGUACAUAACACAGAGAUGGUUAACGUUUGCAUAAUUCCUUAGACCAUGAGAGUAUCAAGUUUCUUCAUGCUUGCUUCAUGAACUUUGGGGUUUGUUAAACGUCUUCCGUAAAUGGGUGGCUAUUACGGCGGCUUACGGGUUCAUGGAAAAGUGUGUCAAGUAACUUGAUAGCUCAAGAUUGGGAUUUGCUCCUCCGACGAUGGAGAGAUAUUCUCGCGCCCUCUCGGUAUUACGGUAUCCAUCAUCGUCUGGCCAGACACAGUGUGAUUUUAUCACUGGGAUGCCAGAACACGGAAACGAGAAAAGAGAACAAAACCGGUAACGAGGUAACUUGCAUGGUGGACAAAUUGUUCGUCCAUGGGGAUGCAAUAAAUCUCACCUCGGGUGUUUGUGACAUAUCGUGAAGUAACAGGAAUAGCUCACAGCAACUGGAGGUUCACUCGAAUAUUUAUUCGUGUGGGUAUAGGGGUCAAUAUGGGUGUCCACGGCUCAGAUGUUGAUCAUUGAUCGGAAGGGGUUCCGGGUCAUGUCUAUACUUCACCGAACCUAUAGGGUCACAUGCUUAAGGGUCAUCUAUCUGCUGAAUACAAGACAGGGAGUCUGAGAGAAAAUCAUCGAAAAAGUUUCGGACGGCGGAAAAGUUCCGCAGAGAGAGGUCACCGGAUGAGUUUCAGUGAAACCGAAAAAGUUGUUUCGGGGUAUGCCAUUAAGUCAAAAUGGUUUCGGCACAUGCCUGAUAAUUCUUGGAGGGUGCCAGAAUCAUUCUGGAAACUUUUUGGAAAUUUCAGAAAUAAUAACCGGAAAUGUUUCGGAGCUGCAGGAACCGGUUCAGAUGCUUUUCGGAGAUGAAAAUCACUAAACUGGAAUUGUUCCAGAACGCGUUGAAAAUUAUUAUGGUAGGUACUAGAAAUGUUCUAAGCCCACAUAAAUAUUUUUAGUUCGAACGGACGCUGAAAAAUGUCGUCGUGAAUAGUGAAAGUGCUUUUUGGGAUAUUUUAUGGAAAGCCACCUUUUGGGGCUUUGCCCAAAAGAUCUAGGGAUGACAUGGAAGGGUGGGAACCUCCUUUUGGGGGGCCCCACAGGGGGUGGGACUUUCAUGGGUGCAGCUCAUCCAUGGGGCCCCACUUGUCCCUUGUUUUCACUCUUUAGGUCCUUGGGAAGGACUCCAUUUCAUGUGGGUUUUGGGUUUUCUUGUAAAACCACCCUACCCCUUGGGAUUUCCUAUAAAUAGAGGUGGAGGGGCAGCCCUCCACUCUCAUCCCUUGCUCUCAUACACAUGCCAUGCAUUAUCUAGCUUCUUCUCUCCCUCCCACGAAAGGAAUUUCAUAGAGCCGUAAGGCUGUCUGGGUUCCGGUAGGAACUAGUUCUGGACGGCGAAGCCCUGCCGGAUAGAUGACACCGUAUGUGUGCAACUCUAUAGAGAGAUCGUAGUUUUGGUCUUAGUUCGUGAGUGCCUCCCGAAGGGCUGUCCGUGUGACCGUCCGAGUUUCGAAGGCCCUCCCGAAGGGCUGUCCGAGUGACCGUUCGAGUUUCGAAGGUCCUCCCGAAGGGCUGUCCGCGACACCGUCCGGGGGGGGCUGUUCGACCGCCUCCCAGAGGGCUGUCUGAGGAGCAGAUUAGGGUAUACAUCCUCGCGGUUGGGAGGUUGUAAAUCCUAGCUGCGGGGAUCUGCACCGCCGAUCGUCCUCGACUCUUCCCGCUGCGCUACGAGUCGGUAACAAAAAAGAUCAAACCAUGUAUGCAGUCUCCAUAGUGGUCCUGGGCUGGUGCGCAGGUCGGAAAUUUUUUGUUUUCUGUCGUGUUACCCUACAAUUGGUAUGGUACCGCGAAGAAUUAUCCUUGGGCCCAUGACCAAAACUCGUCUUUGAAGCACAAGUACCAUCAAAAAUGGCUAAUGUGAAAGAUUUGAUCAAUUUAUGCAUAAUGGGGGGAGGGAGAGUUCAGUGAGAGAACAACACUCCCCCUAUGUCCAUGCCUACACCUAAACAAGAUAACAAGUUGAGUAUGGUGGGGUGUGCAAGGGUUCAAGCCACAUUGCUCGAAUCAAUGAUAUUUAGCUCAUGCCUUAACUCGCGAAAUCUUGCUUCAUCCAAGGGCUUCGUGAAGAUAUCUACAAGGUUAUCAUGAGUGUUGACAUAGUUGAGCUCGAUCUCCCCUCGCCUAAUAUGAUCCCGGAUGAAGUGAUACCGAAUCUCAAUAUGCUUCGGCUUGUAGUGCACCGGGUUGAGAGAAAUCUUGAUGGCACUUUCACUGUCACACCAAAGAGGCACUUUGUCACAAAUGACACCGUAAUCCUUUAAAGUUUGCCUCAUCCAUAGAAGUUGUGCACAACAACUACCGGCCGCCACAUACUCCGCUUCGGUGGACAAGAGAGAUACACAACUUUGCUUCUUAGAAGACCAACUCACCAAGGAGCAACCAAGAAAUUGGCACCCUCCGGAAGUGUACUUCCUAUCCACUUUGUCUCCCGCCCAAUCAGAGUCCAAAUAUCCUACGAGUUUGAAAUUUGCACCUCUUGGGUACCAUAAGCCAAAGUUUGGGGUAUAAGCCAAAUAUCGAAUAAUUCGCUUGACCGCCACAAAGUGGCUUUCCUUAGGUGCGGCUUGAAACCGAGCACAAAUUCCCACACUCAACAUGAUAUCCGGUCUAGAUGCACAAAGGUAAAGCAAGGAGCCAAUCAUGGAGCGAUAUACCUUUUGAUCCACCUCUUUACCAUUGGGAUCUAUGUCAAGUUGGCAUUUGACGGGUAUUGGAGUGGAAGCCGGCUUGACAUCACUUAGCUUGAAUCUCUUGAGCAUGUCUUGAGUGUAUUUGGCUUGGUUGAUGAAGGUUCCUUCUCUUAUUUGCUUGACUUCGAACCUGAGAAAGAACUUCAACUCUCCCAUCGAAGACAUCUUGAACUUUGAGGUCAUGAGUGCGGAAAAUUCCUCAUUGAAAGCUUUGUUAGGGGAACCAGAGAUAAUAUCAUCAACAUAUAGUUGGCACACAAACAACUCCCCUUUGACCUUCUUAGUAAAAAGAGUGGGGUCGAUUUUCCCAACUUCAGAUCCACGAUCUUGCAACAACUCGGUAAGGUGGUCAUACCACACACGUGGGGCUUGUUUAAGGCCAUAGAGUGCCUUAUCGAGUUGAUACACAUGAUCGGGGAAGUAGGGAUCCUCGAAACUGGGGGGUUGUUUGACAUACACCAACUCAUUAAUAGGACCAUUAAGAAAAGCACUCUUCACAUCCAUUUGUUGCAACUUAAAGUUAUGAUGAGAAGCAUAAGCAAUCGACAAACGAAUGGAUUCAAGGCGAGCAACGGGUGCAAAGGUUUCACCGUAGUCGAUACCCUCGACUUGGGAGUAGGCUUGAGCUACCAACCGAGCCUUGUUGUGAAUGAUAAUCCCAUGAGCAUCUUGCUUGUUCUUGAAUAUCCACUUGGUUCCAAUGACAUUAUGGUUCCCCGUUGGCCUUGGCACCAAUCUCCACACCUUGUUGUGCUCGAAGUUGUUGAGUUCUUCAUGCAUCGCAUUAAGCCAAUCCGGAUCUUCGAGCGCCUCAUAGACCUUUUGGGGUUCAACACAAGAGACAAACGCGUGAUGUUCACAAUAGUUUGCUAAUUGUCUACGAGUGCUUACCCCCUUUCGUAUGCUUUCAAGCACAUUCGUCAUGAGAUGACCCUUGGUAGAUAGCUUGGAUGCAAUCUUGGCGGCACGACGCUCCAAUUCCUCCUCAGGGGUGAGUUGAGGAGCGGAAACUUGAUCAUCUUGAGCGUCGUCUUGAGCUUGUUCUUGAUCUUGAGCUUACUCUUGAUCUUGAACUUGCUCGGGGGAGCGAACUUGACCUUGGGCAUCACUUGGUGGUUCACCACCAUCUUAAGGUUGAUCUUGACCUUGAUCUUGUCCAUUUGGUUGAGUGCCUUCACUUUGUUCUUCGGAAGCGUGUGGGUCUUGGGUUGGUGAUGGUUCCACUUGAGUGGAACAUUGUCCUUCUCCUUCGGCCACAAGGGGUUCCUCAAUGGGUAGGAUAUGACCAACACCCAUUCUUCCUAUGGCUUGGGGAGGAAUUUCAUAACCUACAUCACAAGUACCACUUUGCUCCACUUGGGAGCCGUUAUUCUCAUCAAACUCCACGUUACACGUCGGGACUUAUUGAGGACACUUUAAGCAUGAGAGUUUGUAGCAUAACCAACAAAUAUGCCCUCAUGAGCUCUAGCCUCAAAUUUAGACAAACGAACACCUUUCUUGAGAAUGAAACACAUACACCCGAACACCCGAAAGUACUUGAGGUUGGGCUUGUUACCGGUGAGAAUCUCAUAUGGAGUUUUGUUCAAGCCUUUGCGGAGAUAGAGCCGGUUGGAUGCAUGACACGCGGUGUUGAUGGCUUCGGCCCAAAAGUUGUAUGGAGACUUGAACUCCGCCAUCAUGGUCAUUGCCGCAUCCAUCAACGUCCGGUUCUUUCUCUCCGCUACACCAUUUUGUUGAGGGGUGUAAGGUGCGGAAUGUUGAUGCUUGAUACCCUCAUCACUAAGGAACUCAUCCAAGGUGUAGUUCUUGAACUCGGUGCCGUUGUCACUUCUUAUCGUCAAGAUCUUUGCAUUGUGUUGCCGUUGAGCUUCAUUUGCAAAGGCAAUGAUGGUUUGUUGGGUCUCACUCUUCCUCUUGAAGAAAUAUACCCAAGUGUAUCUUGAAUAAUCAUCUACAAUCACCAAGCAAUACUUUCUACCCCCAAGACUAUCAAAGGAUGCAGGCCCAAAGAGAUCCAAGUGAAGGAGCUCCAAAGGCCUCUUCGAGUAAAUAAUAGUCGUGGGAGGGUGAGCAUUCUCAUGUAGCUUUCCUUUGAUACAAGCACUGCAAGCAUGAUCUUUGGCAAAACUAACAUUUGUUAGUCCAUGGACAUGGUCCCCCUUGAGAAGACUUUGCAAAGAUCUCAUAUUGACAUGGGCUAAACGGCGAUGCCAAAGCCAUCCCACGUCAACUUUAGGCAUUAGGCAUGCCGCGGUCUUAGUGGGUCGCUUCAAGAAGUUAAUCACAUAGAGACCAUUCUCGACAUGCCCAACAAAGGCUACUUUAAGAGUCUUGCUCCACAAGAGGGCCACGGUAUCAAUAUCAAAGAAAGUAGCAAAGCCCAUAAGUGCAAGUUGACGAACGGAAAGUAAAUUGUAUGCAAGGGACUCAACAAGCAUGACUUUCUCGAUCGUGAGAUCAUGAGAAAUGACAACCUUGCCAAGACCCAAUACCUUAGAAGACGAGGCAUCACCCCACUCGACAUUGGUGGGCAUAGAUGGAAUCUUGUGCACGUCCACCACCAAGUCCUUGCUUACGGUCAUAUGAUUAGUGGCUCCACUAUUGAGCAACCAUGAUCCCCCACCGGAAGCAAACACCUACAAGAGAUCAAUGCUUGGUCUUAGGUACCCAUUUUGUAAUGGGUCCUUUGAUGUUAGUGACAAGGGUCUUAGGAACCCAAAUGGACCAUUCAAUGUACUCAUAAGGAGAACCAACAAAUUUAGCAUAAACAUGUCCAUCACUAGCACAACAUAACACAUAGGAAGGGUUAAAGUCGCCGGCUUUGUUGGAAGGGGUGGCAUUGCCUUUCUUGACACCACCACCCUUCACAUUGUUCUUCUUAUCCUUAGAAGAACCCUCUCCCUCUUUCACAAAAGUUUGCUUGAGAGGAGGAGGUCGUUUGGCCUUGUCAUUCUUUUUCUUGUUCUUGGACUUGGGUGCGAACCCAAUCCCUUCCUUGGCCACAACUUCCUUUUGAUUGCUCAAAAUGUCAUUGAGGUUCUUCUCACCUUGUAUCAUGACACAAGGCCUUUCUCAAGUUGCUCCUUCAACUUUGCAUUCUCCUCAACAAGAUGCACAUGCUCACAACAAGGGUUAGUAGCAUUUGCAUUAUCAAUUAAAACCAUAUGAGGAAAGGUGGCUUUCUGCUUGGUUAGCUUCACUUGGAGUUGAUCAUGAGACUCUUUAAGACUAGCAUGAGUACCCUUCAAGGCCUCGGGAGCCUUGUCAAGUAAACCAAACUCCUCCUUGAGUCUAGCAAGAUCAACCCCAAGUUUGGCCUUCUCGGAAUUUAGCACACGGGAUACAACACGAGCAUGAUCAAGAUCUUUCUUUAAUUUAGCAUGGUCAUCGUUUUGUGACUCCUCAAGAGUCGAACGGUGUCCACGCUCUUCCUCAAGCGCAUUAAAGAGAUCAAAUAUCUCAUCGGCAUAGUCACAACUAUGCCCCUCCAUCUUAGAGAUGGUUUCUUCGUGAGCCUCGACCAUGUCAGUGGCUUCACCAAGUUGUUCCAAGAGAGCAACAAAGUGCUUCUUGGAUUUACCCUUGAGCUUACUCAUAAAAGAGUCAAAUUCAUUUUCCUCCUCAUUAGACCCCUCAUUUUCAUCAAUGCAAUCCGUAAAAGAAGGAUUAGUAAUGAUGGUAGUAUUGAUGUUGGGGGUUACCUUGUUGGUGGCUUUAGCCAUGAGGCACUUGGCAGUAAUGUUCUCGUUGGGUGAGUCGAAGAGGGACACCCGUGGAGUUGUUGCAAUGGCCACAAAGGCCAUGGCAACCGAGUCACCAUAUUCAUCAUCAUCAUCAUCCUCAUUGUACUCUUCUUCUGCCACCAACCCCUUAGGAGGAGUCUUCUUAGUGAAGUUGCUCUUGUUGGGGAAAGACUUGGCCUUGUAUUUUUGGAUGAGCUUGCCACCAUUGUCUUCCCUCUUCUCAUAUGGGCAUUCCGCAACAAAGUGGCUCACAUUGCCACAAUUAUAGCAAUUCCUCACACGUUGCUUGCCCUUCAAGCCACUUGAGUUGCUCUUGUUGAAGUUGGGCCUUGUGUUCUUCUUGCUCCAAAAUUGCCUUGAAGCGAGAGCCAUGUGCUCAUCAUAAGCAUACUUUGUAUCUUCGGGGUUGCUCUCCUCUUCUUCCUCUUCAUCAUCUUCUUCCACACUAACCUUGGCCUUCAAAGCAAGGUUGGCCUUCUUAGCUCUUUGAGAAUGCAAUACCGCAUUGUUGGCAGUCUUAUCCAAGAUCCUCAUUGCCACAAACUCAUCCAAAACUUCACUUGAAGACAAGGUGUGGAAGUCUGGCCUUUGACGGAUGACGGAGGACAUGGCCUUAUGGUAAGGCAUCAUGGCCUUGAGGAACUUGCGCUUGAUCCAAUUGUCGUCCGUAUCCUUGCUUCCAUGAUCUCAAAGUGAGACCGCGAGAGUGGUUAGCCUUUGGUAAAGCUCACGAGGUUCUUCAUCUUCAUUCAUUGCAAACUCAUCGGCUUCAUCUUGCACCACUUCAUAGUUUGAGUAUUGAAUGCUUGUGCUUCCCUUGUAAAGGGAUACAACAUGGUGCCAUGCUUCCUUGGCCACGGUGAAAGGUCGGAGAUGAGCAAUAUCUUCGGAUGGAAUUGCAUCUUGGAUGAUGAAGAGAGCAUUCUCGUUGAAUUGAUGGUCCGCGGCUUCUCUAGGGGUGAAGUUGCUUGGGUCAUGCGGAUAGAAACCUUGCUCAAUGAUUCUCCAAAGGUUAGUAUUCACAUGAUUUAAAUGGCGUUUAAAGCGAAAGACCCAAGAGUCAAAAUCCUCAUUUUUCACAAUCUUAGGAGGAGAACCCGCAUGAUUUAAAUGAGUGGAGGGAACCGGUCCUCCAUAAGUAAGAGGUGGUUCAACCUGGGCAAAGAUACCGUUACCAUUUUUACCACUAGAUGAAGGAGCUUUUUCACUAGUAGCUUCCCCCUUGUCGGAGUUAGCAUCUGUCACCUUGUUAGUGGGAUCACCCACUUUCAUUAGUGCGGUGGAUAAUUUAAGCCCUUCUAAGAACUUGUUAAACAUGCUUUCAACCUCGGUCGUCAUGGAGGUUUUCAAUGUGUCCAAAGCCACAUUGAAUUCCUCACGAGAGAUCGUGGUUCCCCCAUCACCCGUAGACAAGACCGGGUUCACACCGGAGUGCUCCUCCCCACCGUCUACGGUGUCAACCAUACUCUUCGGACGGUAAAGUCCUUAAUAAAGAGACAAGGCUCUGAUACCAAUUGAAAGGAUCGAUAUAGUUGACUAGAGGGGGUGAAUAGGCAACUAACAAUUUUUAGCUUUUCUUCACCAAUUUAAACUUUGCAUCAAAGUACGUUGUCUAGAUAUGCAACUAGGUGAGCAACCUAUAUGAUGCAACAACAACAAGCACACAAGCAAGCUAGGGAAACAAGUCAAUAUAAGCUUGCACAAGUAGAGGUAAGAAAUAACCAAGAGUGGAGCCGGUGGAGACGAGGAUGUGUUACCGAAGUUCCUUCCCUUUGAGAGGAAGUACGUCUCCGUUGGAGCGGUGUGGAGGCACAAUGCUCCCCAAGAAGCCACUAGGGCCACUGUAUUCUCCUCACUCCCUCACACAAUGCGAGAUGUCGUGAUUCCACUAUUGGUGCCCUUGGAGGCGGUGACCGGACCUUUACAAACAAGGUUGGGGCAAUCUCCACAACUUAAUUGGAGGCUCCCAACAACACCACGAAGCUUCACCAUAAUGGAAUAUGGCUUCGCGGUGACCUCAACCGUCUAGGGUGCUCAAACACCCAAGAGUAACAAGAUCCGCAAGGGACUAGUGGGGGGAUCAAAUUUCUCCUGGUGGAAGUGUAGAUCGUGGCCUUCUCAACCGAUCCCUAGAAAAUCAACAAGUUUGCUUGGCUAGGGAGAGAGAUCUGGCGAAAAUGGAGCUUAGAGCAACAAUGGAGCUUGGGGAUGGAAGAGGUGGUCAAUUCGGAGAAGAAGACUCCCCUUUUAUAGUGAAAGAACAAAAUCAAUCGUUAUCCACCAACUCAGCAUGCGACACACGGUACUACCGCAAGGGCCCACGGUACUACCACGGAGAACUGCGGUACUACCGCUGGCACAGCUGUCGGUGUAAAAACCGACGGAUCUCGGGUAGGGGGUCCUGAACUGUGCGUCUAAGGUCGAUGGUUAGCAGGAGACGGGGGACACGAUGUUUACCCAGGUUCGGGCCCUCUCUAUGGAGGUAAUACCCUACUUCCUGCUUGAUUGAUCUUGAUGAAUAUGAGUGUUACAAGAGUUGAUCUACCACGAGAUCGUAAUGGCUAAACCCUAGAAGUCUAGCCUGUAUGACUAUGGUCAUGAGUCUAUCCUUUUCGGACUACACCCUCCGGUUUAUAUAGACACCGGGGGGAUUGAGGGAGUCCUGGAUUAGGGGGUCCUUGGACAGCCGGACUAUAUCCUUUGGCCGGACUGUUGGACUAUGAAGAUACAAGAUUGAAGACUUCGUGAAAGUGCGUUAUAUCGACUAGAGGGGGGUGAAUAGGCGACUUUUAUGAAUUCUUCAUUGAGGAAUUUGUGGGUGAGGAAAUUCCUUAGCGAAGAACUACUUGCAGCAGAAUAAGUACUCAGAAGUAAACAUAACAGAAUACAAGCAUGGUCAUCAUGAUGAAAUGAAGACAAGCACAGAGUACAGAAAGCGUAAACAUAGGAUAACACAAGAUGAAGACAAACAGACUAAAGAAAUUGAACUGAGGAAAUUUGAGAAAGUCUUCAGUCAAAGUCUUCAAACAUAGAUAUGACAAGCACACAACACAGUAAUGAGGAAAUGAAAGAGUUGAGGAAAUAGAACCAGUAAGCUCGGUGAAGACAAUGAUUUGGUAGACCAGUUCCAACUGCUGUCUCAGUUGUACAUCUGGUUGGAGCGGCUAGGUAUUUAAACCUGAGGACACACAGUCCCGGACACCCAGUCCUGAACACACAGUCCAGGACACCUAGUCCUCACAAUAUUCUCCUUGAGCUAAGGUCACACAGCCCUCGCCCAAUCACUCGUGGUAAGUCUUCAGGUGACUUCCGAACCUUCACAAACUCGGUCACUUGGCGAUCCACAAUUCCUCUUGGAUGCUCUAGACCAUGACGCCUAACCGUCUGGAAGAAGCAUAGUCUUCAAAGGUAACAAGCGUCGGAUCCACACAGGAUCAAUCUCUUCAGUGAUGCUCAAUCACUUUGGGUUUUUAGGUGUUUGGGUUUGGAGUUUUCCUCACUUGAUGAUUUUCGCUCAAAGUCCUCAGAGGAUGGGAUGCUCUCAAUUGACAAGUGUCAGUUUCUCUCGGAGCAGCCAACCAGCUAGUGGUUGUAGGGGGCGGCUAUUUAUAGCCUAGGGAGCAGCCCGACAUGAUAAGACAUAAAUGCCCUUCAAUGAUAUGACCGUUAGGUGGGUAGAUAUUUUGGGACAGCUGGCGCAUAGCACAGCAACGGUCGGAAAUUUGAGUAUCAAAUUCCUCAGGGCUAUCAUGUUCCUCACUGUGUAGGCAAUUCGCACUGGCAAAUUCCUAACUCCUCAGUCAGAACAAAUUCCUCAGAGACCAGAAGAACUUCGUCUCUGUCACUGAAGAAUAUGACUGGACUGUAUGAGAUUUCCAAUGGCUUUACUCCAAGGGAUUGGUAGGUGUAGGAUUUUGAGUUGAGCAUCACAUGGAAAUUUUUCCUUAGUAUUUCCUCGACCCCCUUUAACAGUACGGUGUUUCCUAUGACUCAAGAAAGAGAACAUGAAACUACGAAAACAAAAGUCUUCACGCUUCAUGUUCCUCAAAUGAAUACCAAGUCUUCAAGGUCACACCAAUUUCUUCACUUUCAAAGUCUUUAGAAAGUCUUCAGAAAUCCAAAGUCUUCAGUCGAAGAACUUCAUUUUUAGGGGUCGACUUUCUCUGUAAAUAUCAAACUCCUCAUAGACUUAUGGACCUGUGUACACUCAUAAACACAUUAGUCCCUUAACCUAUAAGUCUUCAAUACACCAAAAUCACUAAGGGGCACUAGAUGCACUUACAAUCUCCCCCUUUUUGGUGAUUGAUGAUAAUAUAGGUUAAGUUUUCAACGGGGAUAAACAAAUGAAGUGUAAAUACUGAUAUUGAGGAAUUUGAUUGCAAGAUAUAGAAGAACUCCCCCUGAAGAUGUGCAUAGUGAGGAAUUUGCUUUUGAAGCAAUGCACACUUGAAGAGUUGAAUCAUGGAGAUCUCCCCCUAUAUCUUGUAAUUCAUACACGCAUUUGACAUAAUAUAUGAAGAAUUUGAAAUGCAUGAUGAAAUAUGGUGACUGAUGUAAUUCAGCAUGCGUGCAAUAACAUUAACGAGGAAUAAGCAUGCAGAAGAAAGCAAAAGUAUCAGGCCACCAUAGAGUUUAAGUUUACAACUCGAUCCAACAAAGUCAUCAGAAGAACGCGAGUUGUAACUUUAGAAAAAAAACACCCAUAUAAGAUAGACCCGCUUGAAGACUAACUCAAAUUUCUCCCCCUUUGUCAUCAAAUGACCAAAAGGGUCGAAAAUGAGGACUAACGCCCCUGAAGAAUAUCAAGGUGAUGAAGGAGCGUCAGCGUUGUUGGGGUCGUUUGUUGGAGUAGGGCAUGUUGUAGUGUCGUCCAAGUCUUCAUGUUCAUCAGUGUCACGUGAUGAAGAAUAGGAGCUGGCCACCAAGGAAGGAACCUUUACCUUCUUGUACUUCUUCGGAGGAGGUGCAGCCCAGUCAAGAUCUUCCUUGAGACCCAUUUUCUUCAGAUCUUCUUCAUCAUAUAUGUGCGACAGAACAGCCCAGGUGCGGUUGAGGGUUUCAUGAAGGUAGUGGUGGUUUUUCUUCACUGCAUUGUGGGUAGCAGUCAUGUUGUGAAGAAUUGAACCAAACUGACGCUCGACCCAUUUAUGAUUGCGAUCAACCUUCUGGUGAAGACUGAGGAGAAGCUCACGGCCAGUCAUCACCCUGGGUGCUGUGCCUUGAGGAUUUUGCUUGGGUGCGUUGGCGGCAGAGUCAUGGGUGGCAGAGUCAUCAUUGGUGGAGUAGGAUGCAGCCUUGCGAAAUUGUCCAUCCAAUGGACGAAUGUCUUCAUCAAUAACAGCAGUAGCCUUGCCCUUUUCAUCAGCUGAGGAAAAUGUCCGUUUGAGGACUUCAAUCGGGGGCAAGUGGCUGCAAUGAUUCAGUGUAUCAACUUUGUAGUUGAGUGAAGACCUUGUUCUGAUGAAUCUCAUAAUCCACGGAGCAUAAGGCUUCAACUCAAAUGGUGACAUUGUGACAUUGGCCAGAGUCCUCAUGAAGAAAUCAUGGAAGUUGACGGGAACACCAUGAAUGAUAUUGAAGAGCAGAUUCUUCAUGAUGCCAACGACUUCUUCUUCAUUCGAGUCAUGGCCCUUGAUAGGACUCAUUGUCUUCGUCAGAAUGCGAUAGACAGUCUGAGGCACAUACAGCAAUUCCUUCACAAGGAAUUUUGUUCUUGGAGCCUGACCUAGCUUCAAAGGCUUCAUCAGCACUUGCAUAUAGUGAUCGGUAAGCUCAGGUUCAUUGUAGAUGCAACAAGCACCUUCAAGGGCGGACUAAGAGGAAAAGCAUGAAGCAAUUCAGUAGCUGGUGCUUUGUAAUGAGUGUUUUCAGACAUCCAGUCCAGCACCCAUGAAUUCACCUCUUCAGAGUUGCUGGUGAUGUGCAGAGUUGCAUAGAAUUGAAGAAUUAGCUCUUCAUUCCAAUCACAUAUGUCAGUGCAGAAAUUUAAUAGUCCAGCGUCAUAGAGAACACGGAGGACUGGCCCGAAGCAUGGCAAAGAUUCCAUAUCCACGUGAGGAAUGUGCUCAUGAUCGAAGACUUUGUCUUUGUUGAACAGCACUGAGGAAUAGAAAUUUUCCUGGAUGGCAGUCCAGAAACGCCUCUUCCUUAUGCAAGCAGAGUCAUAAGGGUUGUAAUCAGUGAAGAAUACAUGCUCGCCAAAGAAGGCAUCAGCCUUGAAUUUUUGCUUCCUUGAGAAUGGAUCCUUUGGCUUGGGCAGUGGAGUGUCAGUCAGUUGCAUGAUGACCUCAGGAAUCGCAAUCUCAGGUUCUUCAGGCUGAGGAAUUUCUGGUUCCUCUUCAGUGGCAGCCUGGUUCUUCAAUUCCUCAUUCUCAUUUUCUUCAGCACUAGCGGCUGGAAUGUCUUCAUGAGCUUCAUCAGAUCCCAUUUGAACUGUAGUGGCUGGGGACUGAGGAAUUUGCUGCAGUGGAGUGAAGAGUGGAGAAUUGGGGUGCUGACUUUCCCAAAAGUCAUCAUUCAUUGCUGGUGUGGUACAGCCAAUGUGCACAUCUUCUUCUUCAAUUUCUUCAACGCCAGCCUCUUCAGCAGUAAACUGAGGCAUAGGCGAGGAAACUGUGGGGGUUGAAGGGAUUUUAUCCACAUCAAUUUCUUCAUCCAUCUGCUCUGACGUAGCAGCAGAGGGAUUUUCUUCAUCAGAUCCGCUAGGGAUCACAUAUUCUUCAUCAAAAGGGAUGAUUUCCUUUGAUGGAAUGGAGGAAACUGGAACAGCAUCAAUUGGAUUAGCAAAUGAGCUUGUCAAUUUCUUCAUCUUCUUCGGUGCUGAAGAAUCUGAAGGAGCUGAUGCUUUCCUUUUCUUCACUGCUGCACGCUCUGCAGCCUUGGUCUUCUUCACAUCUGAUGCAGAUGGAAGGAUUGGAGUUGGAGUAGGCGCAGGAGGAGCAGAGGAAUAUGGUUGAUUUUCUUCAGGCACAACUGAUGCAGUUGCCCUGACCUCUUCAUUUUCUUCAGGCGCACCACUGGUGGGUGCCCUGGCAAUUUCUUCAGUGGCUGGAAUGCAGUCAUCAGCCCUGGAACUCACAUUUUCUUCAGCAGCCUGAUUGUCAUCAGCGGUGCUGGCAUGUUCUUCAGUUGGCAGAGCAGAGGCUUCAGCCUGAGGAAUUUCUUGUUGCGAUGGGGCUGCAACAUUUGAGGUGAACAACUUAGUCAGUUUGACAAACCUGACCUUGGCUCCUUUCCAAUCAGCAUAGUAAGCAUUGAAAUCAUCGCUGCGGACUCUGAUUUCAGAUUGGAUCAUCACAAGUUCAUCAGUUGUCAUAGAGACAACGUUGCUUCAAUAAUUUCUCCUUCCUGUACUGAGCUUUCUUGAGCUGUCUGGCCUUCUCAAAUUUCCAUUUUUUUCUUGGAUGAAGGCAGUCAACAUAUGACUUUGACCAGGAGUUAGCUUGAAGUCAGGCAUAGGAGUGUUUGGGUCCUUGUGCCAGAGGUCAAUGUUGUCGAGGAUCAACUUUGGAUGCAAAAGCAGUGGCACAUCUGUGCCCUUGGCUCUAGCGACCCUGACUUGCCUGUCUCUGAUGAUUUCAGCAAGUUCUUCAUCAUCAGCUUCGUCUUCUUCAGACGGGACUUGGAAGGCUACCUGCCUCUUGUGAGGACUUGGGCGAGAGCCUCGUCCAGCAGUGGUCUUUGUCUUCAGCAGAGAUGGUCCUGUUGAAGAAUUUGGUGCAGCUGGGGAACUAGCUGAAGCUCCUGAGGCAAUGGAGAUGCCUGUAGUCCUUUGGCAUGUGGCAAGAUGCACAGGUGCUGAGGAUUUGGGCGGAGCAACUGAGGACUUUGGAGGAGCAGGAGUGGCUUGAGGAAUUGGCCGUGAGGGCUUGGCUGAGGAAAUUGGUCGUGAGGGCAUUGAAGAAGAGGCACUUUGCUUGUGCGCGGGCUUCUUUGCCAUGGAUUUCUUCGGCCUUACAGAGGCCUCAGCAACAGCAGCAGUAGAGUCUUCGUUGAAUUUCCUCACUGCAUCUUUUGCCUGUUUGGCAAACUUGGCCUGGCGCUUGGCCCAUUCUUCAGGAAAAUCCUCACCGCGCUUGAUGCUAGUGGGAUCUGCCUCUUGGCCAGGUGCCAAUGGUGGUCUUGAGCAUGGAGGAGUAACAGCGAAUUUCUUCAUGUAUUUUGGAGUCACAUACCUGUACUCCCUCCACUCUUUUGCCCAUCUCCAUUCUAUCCUCUGAAUGCGCACCUUGCGCUGAUUUUUAUCUUCCUCAGGGGGUGUGCAGUACCCAGCAUAAAUGUCCUCAGGGAUUUCAAAGGCAGUAUUGAUUUCAGGCCUCUUUCCUCCUUUCUGUGGCUUCUUUCCAUCAGCCAUUUUCUUCAGUUGAGGAAUUUGAACAAUUGAACUCUCUGAAGAAGUAUGCAACUUUUCUUCGAGGAACGCUGCAAAUGAGUUAAGUUAAUGAGAACCUAGUGAUUCAGCAGCGGACAUGAGUACCUGUGAACAGAGUAUAGUUGCGAGGAAUUUGGAGAGGUCAUAUGCGUUCUCAGAAGGUUUUUCAAAAAGAACAAGUUUCAGGAAUUUGACCAGUUGAGUCUUGAAGAAUUUCACUAAGCGUUCUUUGUCUUAGGUUCCAAAGUUGUAUAGAUCAAAGAUCCACACAAUUGAGGAAUCUUGAAGAAAAAUGAUGCUUAGGGAAACGAAUCAAGAACAGAUGAGAUGUAAGGUGUUUUGUGUGUGAAAAUUUUGAAGAAUAAACACAUUUGAAGAUUUUGUAGGAAUCAUUUGAAUCAAAAGGGGCAGUAAAAGUAACUUUUAAUUACCCUGAACGAAGAACACGACGAACUGUGAGGUGGAGAAGUGAGGUUUGUCUGUGCAGAUCUUCCACGCCCUAACUCGGCGGAGGAAGACGGCUACAGCGGCGGCGGAGUGAAGAUUUCCGCGGCCGGCGCGAGUACGGCGGCGACGAGGUCGAGGCAGUGAAGCUCUUCCUCACCGGCGACGAUGAAGUAGCGGCGGCGCUAGGGUUUGAGAAGCUUGAGCUGGAGAGAGGUCGAGCGGAGUAAAAGAAGUGAGGAAGGGGAGAGGGGGUAUUUAUAGCCACGGUGAAAAACCUUUCGCCCGAGGAAAUUGGACGAACGUGCCCCUGACCCUUCUCAUUCGCUUGACUUGUGUCACCCACGUACUGAGAAGUGGAGAUCCUGUUAGAUCAUGGGUGAAUAGAUAAGUAUAUCGUGGGAUGCGGAACGGUUUGAGCGGCAAAGCCAAAAAUUUGGAUAAGAUCAGUUAAAAGUUCCGUUCGCAAAUUCUUCAGCUGACAAGGACACAGUGAAGAUUUUGAACGAGUUUCAAAUAGAAUGCACAUGAAGAAUUUGUGAAUAGAUUGGGUUGAGUAUAGCAUAGAGGGGGAAGGGUCCGAUCACAUUCACUUAGCAGAAACACCAACUUGAAGAAUUAGCCAUAAGUGANNNNNNNNNNNNNNNNNNNNNNNNNNNNNNNNNNNNNNNNNNNNNNNNNNNNNNNNNNNNNNNNNNNNNNNNNNNNNNNNNNNNNNNNNNNNNNNNNNNNNNNNNNNNNNNNNNNNNNNNNNNNNNNNNNNNNNNNNNNNNNNNNNNNNNNNNNNNNNNNNNNNNNNNNNNNNNNNNNNNNNNNNNNNNNNNNNNNNNNNNNNNNNNNNNNNNNNNNNNNNNNNNNNNNNNNNNNNNNNNNNNNNNNNNNNNNNNNNNNNNNNNNNNNNNNNNNNNNNNNNNNNNNNNNNNNNNNNNNNNNNNNNNNNNNNNNNNNNNNNNNNNNNNNNNNNNNNNNNNNNNNNNNNNNNNNNNNNNNNNNNNNNNNNNNNNNNNNNNNNAUAUAUAUAUAUAUAUAUAUAUAUAUAUAUAUAUAUAUAUAUAUAUAUAUAUAUAUAUAUAUAGCCAAUGAAGAAAAACGACAGAAACAGUGAAGACAAGGCAAAGUUGAAGAAAAUGAACAACUGAGGAAUUUCAAAAAACUGAGGAAAAACUCAAAUUGAAGAUUUUCAACUUUUGUGGUGGCGUGUCCCACCGUAUAAGAAUGAUGAUUUCAGACACCGCGUACAAUUGUCGUAGGGUUCUGAGAAUCAAAUUCUUCAUUAAUUUCUUCACACUUAGAGUGUUAUUCUUCGUUGAUUGAAGAAAAAUGUUUCUUCAUGUGUUGCACAUCUAAGUCAUCAAUUUUGCAUAAGUGUUAGGAUGAGUGUCCUUUUCAAAGAACAUUCGAAGAUUCUAGGAUAUUUAGCUCACACCGCAACUUGCUAAAUCUCUUCUCAUCCAAGGGCUUUGUGAAGAUAUCGGCUAGCUGUUCUUCAGUCUUCACAUGCUCAAUAGAAAUUUCGACCUUCAACACAUGAUCGCGAAGAAAAUGAUGACGAAUCUGAAUGUGCUUUGUCUUCGAGUGUUGAACUGGGUUGUGAGCAAUCUUGAUGGCACUCUCAUUGUCACAGAAGAUAGGCACAUUCUUCACGUUGACUCCGUAGUCCUUGAGUGUUUGCUUCAUCCACAGCAAUUGAGCACAGCAAGAGCCAGCAGCAAUGUACUCAGCUUCAGCAGUAGACAGUGAUACGCAGUUCUGUUUCUUCGAGGACCAACAGACCAAAGAUCGUCCGAGGAAAUGACAUGUACCAGAUGUUGACUUGCGGUCCACACGAUCACCAGCAUAGUCAGAGUCAGAAUAUCCAAUGAGAUCAAAAGCCGAGCCCUUGGGGUACCAUAAUCCUAGUGUUGGUGUGUGAGCUAGAUAUCGAAGAAUAUGCUUCAUAGCCUUAUGGUGUGAUUCCUUCGGUGUAGCUUGAAAUCGGGCACACAUGCAAACACUAAGCAUUAUAUCUGGCCUAGAUGCACAUAAAUACAAUAAAGAACCAAUCAUGGAGCGGUAUACCUUUUGAUCAAAGUCAAUACCAUUUUCAUCAGUGCACAGAUGGCCAUUUGUGGGCAUAGGAAUUUUGACGCCUUUGCAAUCUUGCAUGCCGAAUUUCCUCAGUACAUCCUUGAGGUAUUUCUCCUGAGAUAUGAAUAUGCCAUUGCGCUGUUGACGAAUUUGAAGACCUAAGAAGAAUUUCAACUCUCCCAUCAUAGACAUUUGAUAUUCUUCACUCAUCAUAUAGGCAAAUUCAUCACUAUAACGUUGGUCAGUACAGCCAAAGAUGAUAUCAUCAACAUAUAUUUGACACACAAACAAUUCAUCAUCAUAUGAUUUAGUGAAAAGAGUAGGGUCGAGUGAACCAGGUUUGAAGCAUUUCUUCAUGAGGAAUUCCUUCAAAGUAUCAUACCACGCCCGAGAGGCUUGCUUGAGGCCAUAGAGGGCCUUAUUUAGUCUGAAGACUUUUUCAGGAUGCUUAGGAUCUUCAAAACUUGGGGGUUGAGCAACAUAUACUUCUUCCUCAAGCUUACCAUUGAGGAAUGCACUUUUCACAUCCAUUUGAUAUAAAGUGAUAUCAUGAUGGUUAGCACAAGUAAAUAAUAUUCGAAUAGCUUCAAGUCUAGCAACAGGUGCAAAAGUUUCAUCGAAAUCAAUUCCUUCAACCUGUGUGUAGCCUUGAGCUACUAGCCGUGCCUUAUUCCUCACCACAAGGCCAUUUUCAUCUUGCUUAUUGCGGUAGAUCCAGUUUGUGCCAAUGAUAUUGUGUUUGCGAGGAUCUGGACGAUUGACCAGUUCCCAAACGUUGUUGAGCUCGAACUGAUGUAAUUCUUCUUGCAUGGCCUGAAUCCACUCAGGCUCCAGAAAUGCUUCAUCUACCUUAGUGGGCUCUGUGAUAGAGACAAAAGCAUAGUGCCCACAAAAGUUAGAUAAAUGUGAAGCUUUUGAGCGUGUGAGAGGACCUGGUGCUUCAAUGUCAUCGAUGAUCUUUUCAACUUGCACUUCUUUUGCAACGCGAGGAUGAGUUGGUUGUCGUCGAGGAAUUUGAUCAGCAUUUUCUUCAGCACCAUUUUCUUCAGCAUUUUCUUCAGGUGCAUUAGCUCGACGUUCUUCACGUUCUGGAAUGAAUUCUUCAGCAGAUUCUUCGGUAGGAAUGACAUCCUCAGUAGCCUUGAACUUGAUAGUUUCCUCAGGUGCUGGUUCAUCUAUCACAGAGGGUAGGUGCUCUCUUUGCGAGCCAUUAGUUUCACCGAACCGCACAUCUAUAGUUUCGACAACCUUGUGAAGAACGUUGUUGAAGACUCUGUAGGUGUGCGAGUCCUUUCCGUAACCAAGCAUAAAGCCUUCAUGUGCUUUUGGUGCAAAGUUAGCAUUGUGAUGAGGAUCUCUAAUCCAACAUUUAGCACCGAAGAUUUUGAAAUAACUCACAUUGGGUUUCUUGUCAGUGAGGAGUUCAUAGGCAGUCUUCUUGAAGAAUCUGUGAAGAUAUACCCUGUUGAUGAUGUGGCACGGAGUAUAAAUUGCCUCAAUCCAGAAGUGACGAAGUGUCUUGUACUCAUCAAGCAUAGUGCGAGCCAUCUCAACAAGAGUUCUGUUCUUGCGCUCCACGACGCCAUUCUGCUGAGGAGUAUAAGGAGCAAAUAACUCAUGAGUAAUACCAAGUUCAUCAAGAUAGUCAUCAAGACCAGAAUUCUUGAACUCAGUUCCAUUGUCACUUCUAAUGUGCUUGAUCUUCACACCAAAGUUGGUUGAAGCCCUCGAGGAAAAUCGUUUGAAGACUUCCUGCACUUCAUGUUUGUAAGUAACAAUGUGUACCCAUGUGUAACGAGAGUAAUCAUCAACAAUAACAAGGCCAUAGAGAGAUGCGUCAUUUGUGACAGCUGAGUAAUGGUUAGGACCAAAGAGGUCCAUGUGAAGCAAUUCGAAUGGUCGAGUAGUGGUCAUGAUAGUCUUCGUUGGAUGCUUAGCCUUGGUCAUCUUUCCAGCUUCACAAGCUCCACACAAGUGAUCCUUGAGGAAUUUUACAUUCUCAAUGCCAAUGACAUGCUUCUUCUUCACAAGCGUGUGCAAAUUCCUCAUGCUUGCAUGACCAAGUCGUCGAUGCCAUAGCCACCCUUCUGAGGCUUUUGCAAGUAGGCACAUGGCUAGUUGCGGUCCUGUAGAGAAAUCAACAAUAUACAAGUCUCCUCCCCUAAAGCCUUCGAAGACUUUGGAAUUGUCAGUUUCCAUAACCACAACACAACGAUACUUGCCAAAGACAAAUACCAUAUCAAGAUCACAAAGCAUUGAGACAGACAUAAGAUUGUAUCCUAAGGACUCGACAAGCAUGAUUUUGUCCAUGUGUCGAUCCUUUGUGAUCGCAACCUUACCUAGACCCAAUACCUAACUUUUGCCUUUGUCAGCGAAGAUGAUAUGCUUCAGAUGCGAUGGUGACAAAGGUGCAUCCAUCAAUAGAUUCUUGUCACCAGUCAUGUGAUUUGUACAUCCACUAUCGAGGACCCACUCAGUGGCUUUGGGUUGAUCAUCCUGCAGAUGAAUUAGUGCAGCUUACGAACUUCAUAUACUUCAUCAGUGAAGAAUAUGACAUCACAUUUCAUCAGACGAAUUUCAUGAAGCAAUACAACAGUUAAAACAGUAUGAGGACGUGAGAAAUGAAAGUUCAUUUCUUCAUGAUUAGCCUGCUUCCGUUCAGGCAUUCUUCAGGUCUCCAGCAAAUUCUUCAGACGUUUAAGUACGUCUAGAGACCUGACCCUGCAGAAGAGAUUAGUUCUUUUACUUCACCACCCUCAUCUGAAGGGGUGGCAAAGAGUUCAUCACUCUGCGAGCUCCAUACGAGAAAGGUGGCAUAGAAGCCAAUCCAUUUCAUUUCACAAAAGAGGAGUUAGGGUAAGCAUAUGAAUAAGCACAGAAAUUCUUCGAGGACUUAUGAACAUAAUGAUUAGAAGAAUAAUGCUCAUAUUCAUAGCCCUUGGCUCUUCCCUGCGAAACAGAGUUGUUAGCACGAUGAUGUUCAUAUGAGGACUUUGAUCCUUUUGAGGAAUUUGAUCCAUGUGAGGAAUUUGGUCCGUAUGAGGACUUGGAUCCAUAUGAAGAAUUUGGUCCAUAUGAAGAAUUUGAUCUGGGGUCCUUAUUCUUCACAGGUGGGGUCAUGAGGACAUUCACCUGAAGACUUUCAAGGCACCUUUUGGGAACCCAGAUUUUCUUCAUAGGAGAACCGUUCCUGCAGUUAGUGCCAACAUAUCUAGCAAAUACUUCACCAUUCUGAUUUUUGAACAGUUUAUAGUUGGAGUCAAAUGACUCAUCAAAAGAAUGAGAAGAUUCACAUGUAAACCCAGAUAAAUUAGACGGAUCAAGUGGAGGCCCCUUUGUAGCAACCCAUGAGGUUUUGGGGUACUGCUCAUGCUUCCAAUAUGUACCAUCAGCAUUGAGUUUCCUAUCAAAGGCAAUACCCUCUUUCCUAGGGUUCCUGUUGAGGAUAUCACAAAGAGUCUGAUGUGUACAUGCCUGUCAUGUACAAUUCCUUCAGCCCUGCAUCGUCAGUGAUACUAGCAAUGUCCUCAGAUGAGGAAUUAGUGAUAGCAGAGAUAGUUGAGGAAUUUGUAGCAUUAGAAGCAUUUGAACAUUCAGGUGAAGAAUUAGCAGAUUCACGUUCAAUGCAUUUCAAACAUGGAGGAACAAAUUUUUCCUAAGCAGCGCUGAUUUUUUGAGCAAGUAAUGAAUCGCGCUCCUUCUGAAGAUCUUCAUAACUCACUCUUAGCUUUUCAAGAUCUUGCUUUCUUUGAAGAAAUUCAUAAGAAAGCUUCUCAUGAUCAGACAAGAGAGUGUUAUGAUGACCUUGAAUGUUGUCAAACCUCGUCUGAAGUCUCUGAAGAUUUUCAGUCAAGGUUUUAGUGUGAUCCAUUUCUUCACCCAACAUAUCAUCACUUUUGUCUAGCAUGUUUUGAACCUUUUCAAGGGCCCUUUGUUGUUUCACAGCAAUCUUAGCAAGUUUAGAAUAGCUGGGCUUAAGGUUUUCAUCAGAUUCAUUCUCACUUGAUUCAGAGGAGGUAUAUUUGAGUACCUUGGCACCCUUUGCCAUGAAGCAAUAGGUGGGAGCAUAGUCAUCAUUGCCUUCUCCAGCCUUGUUGGUGAGGUCAUUUUCUUCAGUGUUGAAGAUAGACUUGCUGACAAAUGCAGUAGCGAGGGCUAGGCUCGCCACACCGGAUUUGGAAUCCUCAGAUGCCUCCUCUUCCUCAUUUUCUUCAGAUUCAGCCUCGGAGUCCAUUUCCUUGCCAAUGAAUGCCCGAGCCUUCUUGGAGAUGCUCUUCUUGUGAGAUGAAGACUUUGAGGAUUUUGAUGAUGAGGAUUUUGAGGAUUUCUUCUUUUUCUUCGCAUCAUUAGAACUGUAAUCCUUGUAUUUCUUCUUCUUUGAUUCCUUUUCCCACUGAGGACAAUCUUGAAUGGUGUGUCCUGGUUUCUUGCAUUUGUGACAAAGCCUCUUCUUGUAGUCACUGGAUGAGGAAUCAUUGCUCCUUGAGGGUCUUCCAAAGCGACCACGUCUUGAGAACUUCUAGAAUUUCUUCACGAGCAGUGCUAGAUCAUUGCUCAGUUCUUCAGGGUCACCAAGGCUGCUGUCAGAGUCUUCAUCCUCAGACUCAGAAACUGUCUUGGCCUUCAGUGCACGUGAUUUGCCAUAGCUCAAACCAUAUAGAUCUCUCUUUUCAGCAAGCUGGAACUCAUGAGUGUAGCCUUUCGAGGAUAUCAGCGGGGUCAAGUGACUUGUAAUCAGCACGUUCUUGUAUCAUCAAUGCCAGAGUAUCAAAUGAAGAAUCAAGCGAUCUCAACAAUUUCUUCACCACCUCAUGGUCGGUGAUGUCAGUGGCACCAAGUGCUUGAAGCUCAUUUGAGAUGUCAGUGAGGCGAUCGAAGGUUUGUUGAACAUUUUCAUUGUCGAGUCUUUUGAAGCGGUUGAAGAGAUUGCGAAGAACAUCAACUCGAGAGUCACGCUGAGUUGAGACUCCUUCAUUCACUUUGGAUAGCCUAUCCCAGAUAAGCUUAGAAGUUUCCAAAGCACUCACUCUUCCCUACUGUCCUUUGCUCAGAUGGCCACGUAUGAUAUUCUUCGCUUGAGAAUCGAGUUGCUUGAAUCUCUUCACAUCGGUAGCGUUCAGUGAGGGUGAGACAGAGGGAACACCACUUUCCACAACAUACCAGAGAUCGUUAUCAAUUGCCUCAAGAUGCAUUCGCAUCUUAUUCUUCCAGUAGGGGUAGUCCAUCCCAUCAAAGGUAGGACACCCAGCACAGACCUUGAUCAUACAUGCGGUCGACAUAACUAAAACUCCAGGCGGUUAAACCAAAAUCUCACAGAACAAGGGAGUACCUUGCUCUGAUACCAAUUGAAAGUGCGUUAUAUCUACUAGAGGGGGGUGAAUAGGCGAUUUUUAUGAAUUGUUCAUUGAGGAAUUUGUGGGUGAGGAAAUUCCUUAGCAAAGAACUACUUGCAGCGGAAUAAGUACUCAGAAGUAAACAUAACAGAAUACAAGCAUGGUCAUCAUGAUGAAAUAAAGACAAGCACAGAGUACAGAAAGCGUAAACACAGGAUAACAGAAGAUGAAGACAAACAGACUGAAGAAAUUGAACUGAGGAAAUUUGAGAAAGUCUUCAGUCAAAGUCUUCAAACACAGAUAUGACAAGCACACAACAUAGUAAUGAGGAAAAGAAAGAGUUGAGGAAAUAGAACCAGUAAGCUCGGUGAAGACAAUUAUUUGGUAGACCAGUUCCAACUGUUGUCUCAGUUGUACAUCUGGUUGGAGCGGCUAGGUAUUUCAACCUGAGGACACACAGUCCCGGACACCCAGUCCUGAACACACAGUCCAGGACACCUAGUCCUCACCGUAUUCUCCUUGAGCUAAGGUCACACAGACCUCGCCCAAUCACUCGUGGUAAGUCUUCAGGUGACUUCCGAACCUUCACAAACUCGGUCACUCGGCGAUCCACAAUUCCUCUUGGAUGCUCUAGACCAUGACGCCUAACCGUCUGGAAGAAGCACAGUCUUCAAAGGUAACAAGCGUCGGAUCCACGCAGGAUCAAUCUCUUCAGUGAUGCUCAAUCACUUUGGGUUUGUAGGUGUUUGGGUUUGGAUUUUUCCUCACUUGAUGAUUUUCGCUCUAAGUCCUCGGAGGAUGGGAUGCUCUCAAUUGACAAGUGUCAGUUUCUCUCGGAGCAGCCAACCAGCUAGUGGUUGUAGGGGCGGCUAUUUGUGGCCUAGGGAGCAGCCCGACAUGAUAAGACAUAAAUGCCCUUCAAUGAUAUGACCGUUAGGUGGGUAGAUAUUUUGGGACAGCUAGCGCAUAGCACAGCAACGGUCGGAAAUUUGAGUAUCAAAUUCCUAAAGGCUAUCAUGUUCCUCACUGUGUAGGCAAUCCGCACUGGCGAAUUCCUAACUCCUCAGUCAGAACAAAUUCCUCAGAGACCAGAAGAACUUCGUCUUUGUCACUGAAGAAUAUGACUGGACUGUAUGAGAUUUCCAAUGGCUUCACUCGAAGGGAUUGGUAGGUGUAGGAUUUUGAGUUCAGCAUCACAUGGAAAUUUUUCCUUAGUAUUUCCUCGACCCCCUUUAACAGUACGGUGUUUCCUAUGACUCAAGAAAGAGAAAAUGAAACUAUGAAAACAAAAGUCUUCACGCUUCAUGUUCCUCAAAUGAAUACCAAGUCUUCAAGGUCACACCAAUUUCUUCACUUUCAAAGUCUUCAGAAAGUCUUCAGAAAUCCCAAGUCUUUAGUCGAAGAACUUCAUUUUUAGGGGUCGACUUUCUCUGUAAAUAUCAAACUCCUCAUAGACGUAUGGACCUGUGUACACUCAUAAACACAUUAGUCCCUUAACCUAUAAGUCUUCAAUACACCAAAAUCACUAAGGGGCACUAGAUGCACUUACACUUCGUGCCAUGUCCGGGUGGGACUCUCCUUGGCAUGGAAGGCAAUCUUGGCAAUACGGAUAUGUUGAUCUCCUCCCUUGUAACCGACUCUGUGUAACCAUAGCCCCCUCUGGUGUCUAUAUAAACCGGAGGGUUUAGUCCGUAGGACAAUAACAAUCAUACCAUAGGCUAGCUUCUAGGGUUUAGCCUGUACGAUCUCGUGGUAGAUCAACUCUUGUAAUACUCAUAUCAUCAAGAUCAAUCAAGCAGGACCAUGAGGGUGGAUGCUUCGUCGUCGCCCCCCACUCCCUCCCCGUCCAGGUGGGAGCUUCACCAGGCACGCGUUGAUGUGGAUUUAGCCCGCGUCGGCUCUUCCUUACAGUAGCAGGUGGAGGAGAAAAAAAAGGAAGGAAGAAGAUGAGGAGGGGGACGAGUGGAGGAGAAGGAGCCGGAAGGGAUAAGGUGGGGAGGAAAAAGCGAUGGACUGAGGGGGCGCGUGGCGUGCGUACGAGGCGGCUUACCGAGAUAGAAAAUCAUCCGGUUUAAACUAAAUGUUUUCCAAUCUCUUCCAAAGGGGCAAGGUGAUACAACCAGCUGAGCAUAUUUUGAACAAUUUUUUUAAAACCCCGAACAUAUUUUCAAAUUUUUGAACAAUUUUGAAUUCUAAACACUGUUAAAGUUUGCACAUUUUGAAAAAAGAAACAGAAAAAAGGAAAGAAAAUAAAAAGAAGAAAGAAACAGAAAAGAUAAAGGCGAAAACGAAAAUAAAAAAGAAACAGAAAAGAAUAAAACUUAAAAAACCUAAAUGAAAAUCAGCCACAAAAAACAACAGGAAAAAAGAAAAACCUAUUCAGGGAUCCCUCGCCAACGAUCGAUUGAGCCAGCUUGCAUCUCGUGUGUGCCACACAGAGGCUCAAUAUCUUAUUGGCGUCCGAGCUACCUACCCGAUCCGCAAAACCUUGUUGUUAAACCUCAUGUAUUUGUGUACGACUACCUUGUACACUAGAGUAUAACAGAGCGUGCGUGUGUGCAGUUUUGUCAAUCAGCACACACGACCGCCUCCUCCGAACAUGGCCCGGCCACGAUCACCAUCGUGGGCUCGCGCCCUCUGUUCCCCACUAUAUAAAUGUAACCAUCCUGAUCAAUACAAAGCGUGUUCGAUCUUCUCUCCCUCAAAGACAUGUGUGCCAUGAUCUAAGAGAUUUUGUUUCGGUACUCCGAUCAUUUUUACUCCGCGUAUUAUAUUUGUGUCAAGUCAAAAUUGUAAAGUUUGAUUAAAUUAACAUUAAAAAAUAUCAACAUCUACAGUACCAAAUUUAUGUACAAUGAAACUGCAUUUCAUAAUGAAUCUAACAAUAUUAAUUGCAAUUGUGAAUGUUGAUAUUUGUUUCUAUAAGUUUGGUCCAAAUAUAGCUAAUUUGACUUCGGAUAAAACUUAUAUGUGAACUAAAAAUGACCGGAGGGUGUUUUUUUUUGGACGUAAUGCCGUCAUGCGUGGUAAACUGGAGGACACAGCAGCGGCAAACAAUAGUUUCGGGCCGUGGUCAAUCAUUAACUGGGCCAAGGUACAAGAUUUAGUGGGCCGAGCCCCAUAAAAUCUAACAACCCCCACUAGGUCUCAUAGGCAAAUUGGAUUACAUUGUUCCAAUUGUAUUGUUUGAUAUGCCUGCAAUUCAGUGGAGACCUAUUAAAAUUGAGCUUCACCUAGACAAGCAGCUACAUUUGUCCACAACUGAAGAAUGGACUAUGCCUUGAUUAUUAGUCUUGCGUGAACAAGUUUUACUGAAUGUCAUUAUUUUUUUUGAGACAAUCUCGCGAAGCUUUAUUUAAACUGCAUCAAUGUUUACAGAGAUAAAAGAUAAGUUGCUGGGGUGUCCUAACCAAACAUGGCGGCCCACCCCCUAACUUCAAAACGUGCUUCGCUAGAUUGUGAGUUUCGAAAUUCGAGCUCCUAAACUCAUGCUCAAUGUUACAAACCGCAAAUGAGGCUUUAUGCUCCGUGAUUUCAUGUAGAAUAGCACCAUAGCUAGUAGGGUUCCUUCGCUUGAGAUCAUCAAUUACAACCUUACAGUCCGAAGCAAGGUGAACAUGUUGCACAUUUAGAUCAUCCGCAAGUGCAAGCCCUUCCCUUAUAGCAAGGGAAUCCAACGUUGGAGGGUCGCUCAGCCCCCUGAUCACAAUUGCUGAUGCACCCUGGAAACAACCAUUGUGGUCGCGGCAGAUAGCAGCCGCCACCCCUCUGCCACGUGCGACCGCGGCAUCCACAUUUAUCUUGGUGCAACCAUCCAUGGGAGGAAGCCAGCGAGUUGGUCGUGCAGCAGUUUGUUGCCUUCUCUCUGGCCUUGGCUCCUGUAUGAUUUUAAGAUCCCUCAAGUAGGAUUUGAUGAACUGGUUUGUGGCUUGGGAGCUCUGAAAGACGUCCUCAUAGAUCGCUUUACGUCUUGCUCGCCAAAUGGCCCAUAGGGUCACCACUAAAACAUUAUACUCCUCCUGGCUCAGUGUAUCAUGCAGAUUAAAAAGCCAGUUUCUUGCGUUGGUCUCAUCAUUCAGGCUUAUUUGUUCUACCAGAUAUUGAUCAGAAAGUGCCCAGAUGCACCGUGAGUUUGUAUUCCAGAAGAGCGUGUCUCCAAGAAUCAUCUCGCCCGCACAGCGCACAUGUUCUCGUUGUGGACAUAUUUCGGUGGUGGAGGAGGUCUGCUGUAGGCAUCGGGUGCCUUGCUAAGCGCUAGAGAAAAACCUUCAGCUUAGAUGGUACCUUUGUGUGCCAUAAUUCAGUCCAUGCUAUACUGUUAUCCCGAAGAUCAGAGGCACCUGCAUUCUCUUCCAUCCAGUUCUCCCUAUGCUCCUUUUUGUUUUGCACCAAGUGAUAGGGCGACUUUACCGUGAAUCUGCCACUGCGCUCUCCAGUCCAAGCCCAGAAAUCCUCGAUCGCCCUGUGCAAAAGGGCGGGGAAAGAAUCGCUUCAGCAUCGAAAGGCAGAAAUGUUGCCCGAAUAACAUCUUCGCGCAGGUCACUGUGGUGUUGUCAAUCAGUUCCGCAACCCUAGACGGCGGAGUAUCCGUUAACGAGAUGAUCGGCCGCAUCGGCCCAAUCCUGGGAAUCCAGUUUGUGUUCCAAAUGUCUGUGGUUGCCCCAUUCCCUAUUCUCCUGAUGAUGCCCUGCUUCGAUAUCUCUCUACCAUCCAAUACCGCUCGCCAAAUCUGCGAAGGGUUGCUACCCAACUCUGCUUCCAUGAAAGUCGUAUUUGGGUAGUAGGCCGCUUUAAGCAUUCUUGCACUGAGAGAUAGUGGAUCAUCGAGCAGCCUCCACGCUUGCCGAGCCAACAAGGACAAUUUAAAGAUCUCGAUGUCUCUAAAGCCCAUUCCUCCCAAGUAUUUCGGUUUUUUCAUAACAUCCCAGGAGACCCAAGCGGGCUUUCUCUUACCCCUUUUACUACCCCACCAAAAUUGGUGGAUGAUAGCAUUGAUGUUGUCGCACAAGCCUCGGGGUAAUCUGAAACAAGCCAUGGAGUAAACCGAAAUAGCUUGUGCCACCGAUUUUAUUAGCACUUCCUUCCCUGCUGCAGAUAACAAUUUCUCCAUCCAACCUCUUACUUUUUCCCAACCUCUAUCGCGCAGGUACUUGAACGUGCCCAUCUUGGACUGUCCAGCAUCUGUAGGCAUGCCCAAAUAUCGAUCACUUAAAGACUCAUUCUGGACAUUCAAGUUCUGCUUGAUACUAUCUCGUAGAGCUUGCGGACACCCGUUUCUAAAAAAUAUGGACGAUUUUGCAUGGUUGAUUCUCUGACCGGAAGCAUUACAAUAGGUUUCCAGAAGGUUUGAAACCCUAGUCGCACCUUGAUCACUUGCCUUGAAAAGCAGCAGGCUGUCGUCAGCAAACAAAAGAUGAUUAAUAGGCCGUGCAGACGCUGCCACCUUAAUACCCUCAAACCCUGACGAAUUAGAAGUUGUCUUUAAAAGGCACGAAAGGCCCUCUGGUGCAAUCAAGAAAAGGUAAGGAGAGAUAGGAUCUCCCUGUCGUAUACCUCUGCUUGGUAAAAAUUCUUGUAACUUUUCUCCAUUAAAAAGAACUGAAAAAGAGACUGACUGAACCAUACCCAUGAAUGUCUACACCCAAGAUUGUGCAAAACCCAGUUUCUCCAUCAUUGCUUGUAGGUAAGGCCACUCUAGCCUAUCAUAUGCUUUCAUCAUAUCAAGCUUCAAAGCACAAAAGGUAUUAGAUUUAGCUCUGCUUCUCUUCAUAAAAUGCAGACACUCGUAGGCACAGAUGAUGUUGUCAGUUAUCAGUCUGCCAGGAACAAACGCAGACUGUUCCUCAGAUAUGAUGCAUGGAAGGAUCACUUUUAGCCUGUUUGACACAACUUUCGAAGCAAUUUUAUAGAUUACAUUACAUAAACUUAUUGGCCGAAACUGAGAGAGUUGAGUUGGAUUGAGAACCUUUGGGAUGAGUACCAGAACGGUGUCAUUGAUACACGCAGCCUCCUCCUCCCCUCUCACAAUUCUCAGAACUGCCUUUGUCACUUCCUCUCCACAAAUAUCUCAAUGCCGCUGAUAAAAAUGUGCUGGGAAACCAUCCGGGCCUGGGGCCUUAGUUGGCAUCAUCUGGAACAGUGCUGUUUUUACUUCCUCUGUUGUAUACGGUGCUAGAAGCAUAGCAUUCAUCUCAUUAGAAACCUUCCUGGGUACAUGUGACAGCACUUGUUCCAUACCUGACACCCCUUCCGAAGUAUAGAGAUUUUUAUAAAACUCUGUUACCAUAUUUCUGAGCUCUGAGUGAUCCUCGGUUAGUGUAACAUCCCAAAAUUCUAAAUUUUGGAAUGUUAUAUUAAAUAGAUAGAUUUGAUUGAUUGUUUGGUUGUUGUGUGAUUGAUUGACUGAAAGUGAGUGAAAUUCGAAACUUUUGAAAGUUAAAUGAGAGGGAAUAAAAGGACUUUCCCACACUUUCAUUUUUGCUUUUAUGAUCUCCGUAAAUUCAAAUUCUUUUCACCACAAAACCCUAGAGAGAAGAUGACAUGACUUCUUCCAUUUAUUUAAAUGACAAGGGGGUGUUGAAAAUAUUUGAAUUUUAUUUGAGAAUAUUCCCAAUUCAGAAACUUUAUGCAACUCAAUGAUUUUCACGAGAGAAGAUAAAAUGACUUCUUCAUAAUAUAUGAAAUAUGAGUUGGGAGUUUCAAAGGAUCAAAUUCAAAGUCCUUUUGGGAAUUAUUUUUAAUUUGGAGUUAUUUGGGUUUUAUUCAAAUUAUUUUUCUCCAAAAAUAAAAUAUAUGGAAAAUAGGGUAACAUGAUUCCCUACAUCAGAAAAUUGGAGAGAAAUAAAUUUGAAAUCAUUUUGGUAUUUUUAAAAUGAUUUUUACUGCAUUUUAUUAGAACAGUAGCACUCUUUGCUUUAUUUAAAUUUGUGUGAAUUUUAUUUGGCGUUGUAAAAAUGUUCAUGUUGUAGAAAAUCUUUUUCUGAAAAUUUUGAUAUAUUAUACGCCUAUAUAAUAUUUUUUUUAUUUCCUUUGUUUUAUUUAUUUUGUUUGUCUGUGUUUUUUUAAUAAAAAAAAAGAACUUUUCCCCGCGGACCGAACUGGGCCGGCCCAGCUCCCAGCCAAGCCACGGCCCAGCCGGCCCACCGCCUCGUCUUCCAGCUUGGGACGGAGUCCCGAGCGAGCACGCAUCGCCGCCGCCGUGCCCGACCCGGCCUCGCCCGCGCUUGGCCCCUCCUCCACGCCACCGCCUUCCCCCUCCUCCUAUAAAUCCCGCAGCCCCGACCCCCUCUCCACUCCUCCCGUUUUCGCCGCCGCCGCUGCACACAACUGCCGCCGCCCGACAAGAUCCGCCGCCGCCGCCUCCUCNNNNNNNNNNNNNNNNNNNNNNNNNNNNNNNNNNNNNNNNNNNNNNNNNNNNNNNNNNNNNNNNNNNNNNNNNNNNNNNNNNNNNNNNNNNNNNNNNNNNNNNNNNNNNNNNNNNNNNNNNNNNNNNNNNNNNNNNNNNNNNNNNNNNNNNNNNNNNNNNNNNNNNNNNNNNNNNNNNNNNNNNNNNNNNNNNNNNNNNNNNNNNNNNNNNNNNNNNNNNNNNNNNNNNNNNNNNNNNNNNNNNNNNNNNNNNNNNNNNNNNNNNNNNNNNNNNNNNNNNNNNNNNNNNNNNNNNNNNNNNNNNNNNNNNNNNNNNNNNNNNNNNNNNNNNNNNNNNNNNNNNNNNNNNNNNNNNNNNNNNNNNNNNNNNNNNNNNNNNNNNNNNNNNNNNNNNNNNNNNNNNNNNNNNNNNNNNNNNNNNNNNNNNNNNNNNNNNNNNNNNNNNNNNNNNNNNNNNNNNNNNNNNNNNNNNNNNNNNNNNNNNNNNNNNNNNNNNNNNNNNNNNNNNNNNNNNNNNNNNNNNNNNNNNNNNNNNNNNNNNNNNNNNNNNNNNNNNNNNNNNNNNNNNNNNNNNNNNNNNNNNNNNNNNNNNNNNNNNNNNNNNNNNNNNNNNNNNNNNNNNNNNNNNNNNNNNNNNNNNNNGGAGACGCCCGCCCCACCGCCGGAGUUGACCGAACCGGUAAGACCGCUGUCGACCGGUCCAGAUCGGUUUUUUUUUAAAACCGUUUUAUUUCAUUAUGCAGCGGAUGUUUUCCGUUUAGAUCUCCUUAGCGAACGGUUUUGUUAGUAAGCGUUCGGCAGCGAACGUUCGCUCGGUAGAGUUUUUCUUUUCUUUUCUUUUCUUUUUAAUUUCGGCCAGGGGCUUAUCCGUGAAUAUUUUAUUUACAUAUUAGUCCCUAAUCUUCAAACGGCUACAACUUUUUGCUCGUUUGUCCAAAUCCAACGAAACCAACGCCCACGUCUUCGUUAUGAUCCCCUCUAUCCAGUAAAUCCAACUCAAACAUGUUUUUGAAAGUUUAAAAUUUGAAUUAGACCAGAUUUGAAUUCAAACUUCGUUUGAUCGUAACUUGAGUUUCGUAGCUCCGAUUUAGUUGAUUCUUUUUGCAAAUCGAAGCUCUUGACCUAAACUUUCUGAUAAGGCCAAAUUCAUAUAAUUUUGGUACUGUUAGAAAUUGUUUUAUGUUGCAAGAGUUAUUUGCUUGGUUUUGAUGUUUUCCGAAUCGUCGUUUUCGUUCUUCCCGAUCUUUUGAGUGAUUGCUUAUGUAUGGUUACCAUUGCUUGCUUACGAUAGAUUGACCAGAGUGUGACGAGUAGAACUAUCAAGAGUUUUGAGUGCGAAUCAUCUUCAUCAACAUUGUAGGCAAGUAACACUUUGAUCAUAUCCCCCUUACUACCCAGUUUUAUUGCAUUAGAUCAAUCCUCAAACAUUGCACGGUUAGGAUCUAAUUAAACUGUGGGAAUUGGGAAGUAGAUGAGGUAGUACCUAUCACCUGUUUCAUUAUCAAACCCUUGGGAGUUACUUCUACGUUGCUUAUAUUGCUAUGCUAUGCUUGUAGACGUGGAUUGGGUUUGAGAGAUAUUCACGACAGAUGUGAGAUUGUUAAUUAAUGGUUUACUUAAGGUGGCAACUAAAACUCACAUCUGGGUGGAUUGAGGUACCUGGGUAUUCCAGGAUUGCCUGUUUUUCUUUUGGACCGCCACCCAGGUUCAAAGGAAUCAUGAGAUUAUUCAUGCUAGAAACUUCCGUGUGCAGCCACAAGCUAUUAUGGGCUCUAGCAUAGUUGAUUAAGUCGUGUGAACUCUUACAGUGGUAGACUAGCAGAUGUAGGGGAUGUAGGUGGUACGGUCUACCCAUCGUAAGGUGCUAACGCUUCUGAAAGACUAUGUCUCGAUCAUCCAUUACUCAAACACCAUGUAGUGCGAGUAAUCCAACGGAGGCGGUCGAGUCUUGUGGGGAAAAGUGCACAAACCUCUGCAGAGUGUAUAAACUAAUCAUGGUUAGCCGUGUCCCCGGUUAUGGACAACUUGAGUAUCUAGUACUUGGAUUAUCAUGUUGAUCUCAUCAUGUUACUUUAAUUAAUCUUGUUGGGUUAAUGAUGAUACUUAAUUGGGACUGAGAUGAUGUCAACCAUUUCAAUGUUUCACAACCACCAUGAUAGUUAAAUAAAAUUUAUUCCUUUGUAGUAGGGAAAAAUUGGCUUUUCACAAAAACAUUAUAACCAUAGAGAUUUUCCACCAGCCAUAUAUGCAUGUAGUGAUAGCCCUUGUUCAUCAUUUCUCUAUGGUGUUAAUUUGCCAGCAUAUUCCAUGUGCGGACCCGUUUUCGGGCUGCAACGUUUCAUGUUGCAGGAUUCUUACGACGAGUAAGUGAUACGUUAGGGUUACGAUUUCUACACUCAACUUUGCCGUUGGUGUUGAUGGGAAUCCACAACCUUGUUACUUUCGCUAUUUGGAUUGAGGUAAUAGUAUUUACGUUACUUUAUACAUGUGAUUUACCUAUGUUAUAAAUCCUCGAGUAUUGUGUGUGUCAGCAUACCGAUCCAGGGAUGACACUUAAGCACAAAGACUUGACCGUCUGAGGUCGGGUCGCUACAGUUAGCACCCCCCAACGAGUUCAUAAGUGCCUUAAUCAUGUUUUUCUUUCUCCGUUGGCUGGCGCGAAGAUGAAAGAAACGUGUAUUUCUGUCUCCCGCCGUGAGCCACUCUAGCCUUGAUUGCUGUCUCCACAUGAGUUCCUCUCUGUGAUACAACUCUACCAAGUUCUCGCUGAUCUUUAGUUCAAUACGAGAAGGUGCAGUCCUUGCAGGGUCAUUUCGAAGUCGUUCGAGCUCAAGCUUUAGUUUUCUGAUUUCUUUCUUGACCGAACCGAAAGUGGUCUUGUUCCACCUCCCUAGAUCCCGCGCUACAUGCUCCAGCUUGGCCCUCAAGCCCGCCAUUACCGCUGCUUGGCCUCCUUCUGUCCAGCGCGACAGAAUAGUUCCAGACCAUGAUUCAUAAGUUUCCCACAUAACUUCAUACUUGAACUCUCUCCUUCUGUUGGGUGGACGUGUCCCUUGGUAGUUCAGAAUAAUGGGGCAGUGAACGGAUGUUGCUGCUGUUAGAUGCUUGAUGUGAGCUCUGGGAACAUCUCGUUCCACUCCACAGUGGUUAAUGCCCGAUCUAGCCGGACCCUGGUGUAACUGCCUCCAGUUACUUUCUUUUCAUACGUCCAAAAGGGCCCCUAAUAACCCAUGUCCAUCAACAUGCACACAUCAGUCGCUUCCCUGAAGCCCUGUAUCUGCGCAUUGCUCCUCCCCCAACGCCCACUUGUUCUUCCGGGCGUAAUACUUCAUUAAAAUCACCUAUGCAAACCCACGGAAGCUCACUCAAAGUGCCGAUUCCCUUCAACGUGUCCCACGUCCUGUGACGUAGAUUUGUCUGUGAUUCGCCAUAAAAAAGUGUCAAUCUCCACUUGUCCCUGUCCGGUUCUUCCACAGAACAAUCGAUAUGAUAAACCGAAUAACCAAGUAUUUCAAUCUUUAUUGGGUUGUUCCAAAAAAUCCCUAAACCUCCACUUCUUCCUUGACUACUUACAGUAUAGCCAUUAUCAUUGCCAAUAGAUCCUGCUAAAUUUUCUACCCUUGUUUUCUCUAUCUGAGUUUCAACAAUACAAAUAAAGGUAGGGGCAAAGGUACGCGCUAAAUCGCGUAAUUCUCGAACUGUCGCGGCCUUGCCCGCCCCACGACAGUUCCAACUCAGUAUACUCAUUGUGCCCGGCGGUACUCCUCGCGGGAGCCCGCCGAUGUUGCAUUGGGUGUUGUUGCUUCAGCUGGACCAUUCUUGCCCUCGGUUGUGACUGCCAUCGUCUCCAGAUCAUCCUCAACCCUGGCCUUCUUUGGCCUCUUGCUCUCUUUCCUAGGAGACACAUAAACAGGGGGGAGGGGGGACUAGUGUCUGAGCGACUACCAGCUCCCUCGACUGAUUCCCUCUUGGCCCGUCUGCCUCAGACGAACUGGCUCCAUUCUCAACAGAAAGUCUUUUGUUUGGAAGCUGGAUAUGAUCUUGCUCAUACUCCUCCACUAAAGGGAUUUUGCUUGUGUCAGCCCCGUCACCUCUCUCUCUGUCCACCGCGACCGAUUCAUUGGUUUUGGGCUGUUGCUGGCGUGCAUUGAAGCGCCAACUCUGAUUAGGGUUAUAGGCUUCACGACCCCUUCCACGUCCACCUGAUCUAGCUCCUCCCCUUCCGCGCUGUGGCGUGAAGUUUCCCCGUCCUGCAGGUCUGAAACGGGUUCUGUCCGCAUACAGAAAUUCUCCCCACUCAAACUUUGAUUCAUCAUGCUCUCCAUCUCCACAUUCCUCGUGCCAAUGCCCAAACUCUCCACAGUUAUAGCAGAAGACGGGUAGUUUUUCAUAUUUGACCCGGUACCUGACCCUUUCUUCUCCCUUUUUCCCUGUGACAAACCUCUUGAUCUUAGCAUUGAUGUCAAACUUCACCCUGACCCUGACAAACUCACCAAAAAAAACUGCUGGUAACUUCAGCUGCACCUCUUGCACCUCUCCAAUCCUGGUUGCCAAGCCUUUGACUACAGGCUCGAUCAAGAACUUGUCGGGGAGGCAAUGUAUUUGUGCCCAGACAGCCAGUUUAUCGAGCCUAAACGAUUCUGGGUUCUUAAACCCGUCGUACUCCUCCAAGAUCACUGCCUGAUCUCUGAACAACCAUGGACCUUCAAACAUUGCCUUGUUCCAGUCCCCAGACAUCCAAACUGUGUCGUGAAUAGAUUAUCACGGAUUUUCCUCCACGCCACCGGGCGAGCCGGGUUCCAUGCUGCCCUCAUAUCCCCAUACAAAGCAUUAGGGCUGAAGGUUUUUGGUGUAUGGACCCUUGCGAUCGCGAGCCACUUCGCCGGUUCCGCCAUGUCCGUCAGUUCUUCCUCCCAGAUGAAAUCAUCCUCCUCCUCUUCCUGCAGGGUGAGCCUCUGUAGUUUCCUCUCCCUUCAUCUUUUGCGAUCUUGCGUUGUCCGCCAUCCCCCCGAUCCAAUCUAUUCCAGUUGACUCCGCCUCCUCCUUGACGAAAAACAGCCAGGUAGAUCACUUGCCAACGAAGAGGGAGCAGUCCCAAACCCAGUACCGCCGAUCAGAUCGACAGGAAGCGAGAGAUAAAAGAUUCCGACGGUGGCCGCCGGAAGAGAUCAAAACCCUAGGGUUUUUUGCCUAGGGGAGAUGAGAAAUCCUGUACGCAUUAUUUACUGAAUGUCAUUAGUGGUACAUGGCUGCUAGGGCUACCUCGCGGGGUGGAUCAAAUAAGUCGUACUCCUGGCCUUUCAUGAGUUUACUGUAGACACUUGCAAUAUCACUGUCAAACAUUUAAUACUACGAUUUGAUGGGUAAAAUAAUUAUUUUUUAUUAUUUCAUGGUAACACACGGACAUUUAGCUGGUGUAAUGAUACUUGCGAAAUAAAUAUAUUUUCGAAAUUUGUAUGCAUGGGCAUCAACGUUAUCUUUAUCCACCCACACCAUGAUGGAGGCAAAACAAAACUUGCACGCAUUCCUGAACGAACAAACAGACGGACAACUUUUGCAUCCAGCCCCUCCGCUUUACCCCUUUUCUCCCGCCCUCGCAACCACCUCCCCUGUCCUCCCCAGAGUCUCUUCUCUUCUCUCGUCGCCUCCCGAGUCUCCGGCAACCACGCCAGCGCGGCCAUGGAGCAAGGCACCGACUCCGCGGCGGCGAGGCGGAUGGCCAGGGUCGCCUCCCACCUCUGCCCGCCCACCUCGCAGGCACGAACCCGCAACCACCCCUCCCUCCCUCUGCUUGUUUGCUCCUCUCUCUGCUCAGAUUUGGUCGGAGCGAGAUCCUUCCUACCCAGAGGGGGAGUGCUAGUUCUUCCCCUGAUUAGCUCUCGCCGCCGGCCGUGGUGGCAUCCGGUGGUCCCUCCCCGCGGCGCUUCUGCGCGUAGCUGCUUAGCCUGGGCGCAUCCGUUCUUUCCAGGAUCCUCGUGCGGCCGAAGACGCAUGGCUUGUAUGCUUCGGAGUUAGGGAUCCAUGGACCAGGAAACGACUGUCGAGUAGCCUUGUCUAAAUCUGAGUUGAGUCUAUGCAAGGUUCGGGUCUGAAGUUGCUGCUUCGGGAAGCCUAAUAAUAGACACCACCACAGUUCUUGUGUACAACAAAUACUGAAACAAGGACCAUUGGAUUUGUUAUUACAGAUGCAGCAAUUACUAGAAAAGUAGUAGUACAAGCACUAGCCAGUUGAUAAGCAAGUACAAGCACUAGCCAGUAUUGCUAUAUCUAGCUGUCGGGGAAAUUCAGAAUCAUCUGAAUUAUUCUUAGCUAGUGAUUUUGUCAUACAACUUCCUAAAUUUAGCUCUUAAACUUAGUUAAACCUGUGGAACUGUCGUGGUUGACCAAUACAUAAAAGGUAUCAUCGACUCCAGAAUCGGCUUCUACUAGACUAAAUUUCACUUUUAUUAUUUUGAAGAUGGAGGAGGUGGCCAUCUUGAAGGGCUCUAAUUGCCGUGCAAAAGGUGCGGCACCAGGGUUCAAGGUCGCAGUCCUGGGUGCAUCUGGUGGGAUCGGCCAGCCGCUCUCGCUGCUUAUGAAGAUGAACCCUCUUGUUUCGGUGCUCCAUUUGUAUGAUGUUGUCAACACACCUGGUGUCACAGCUGACAUUAGCCACAUGAACACUGGUGCUGUGGUAUGCCCCUUAACCCUGUAUUUAUGUCCUUUUUUGGCUUUUUGCGAAGUUCCUCACUGAAAAUUGAUUCUGAAAGGAUACUAUAGUUGCAUGUUGGUAGACCUCUAGUACAGUUGCUCUCCAUGUGAUCCGUGUAGGUUAUGUUUAGAGGAAAUGAAUUACUGAAGGAAUGUAUGUCUUCUCUACUGCCCUUUUAGCUCGUACAAUAGUUUUUUUUAUAGCAAAGGGAUCUCUUCCCGGAUUUCCAUUAAAGAAAUCAAUCGAGGUACAUAUGGUAGAGGUUUGGAAAUUAGCAUUAGCCAGCUGGCUGUUACUGUGUUAAAAAUCUUAUAAUCCAUAACUCAGCAAACAAGUAGCCAGUUUCCAGUGGCAUCAUGCAUUGUUCUUAAAGUCAUGUUGCAUCAGGAGUGUGGCAGAGGUCUCCGAAGAAUAUAUGAAGUAUCUGAUCAUUCAGUAAUAAUUGUGGAUUAAAUCUGAGAACAAUAAAUAAUGUUGCAAGGAAAAAAUAUAACCUACUUGAAUUUUAUGUAAGAGGCAGAUAUUUGAUUGGCCCAUUAUUAAUAGCUGUCCACAUAUCUUUGUCCGCCCUAGCCUAUGCAUACAAUUAUCGCUUGAUUCUUGAACCUUAAAGGUUAUCUGAUCAUUGGGUGGAAUUAUGCUAAGGUAUAAUUUAUACAGGUGCGUGGCUUCUUGGGUCAGCCACAAUUGGAAAGUGCUCUUACUGGAAUGGAUCUUGUGAUCAUUCCUGCUGGCAUUCCUCGGAAACCUGGGAUGACAAGGGAUGAUUUGUUCAACAUCAAUGCUGGGAUUGUUCGGACUCUUUGCGAGGGAAUUGCAAAAUGCUGCCCAAAUGCGAUUGUGAAUGUGAUCAGUAAUCCUGUAAAUUCUACCGUUCCGAUUGCUGCUGAAGUAUUUAAAAAAGCUGGAACAUAUUAUCCUAAGCGUCUAUUGGGGGUGACAACACUUGAUGUAGUGAGAGCCAAUACCUUUGUGGUAUGUACUUCAAAAUUGUUUGCCAUAGUGCCCAAUUAUAUUGGUAGUUUCUAUAUGGACAGGUUCUCAAAUUCCUAUUCCUGUCAUUCUCUGUCUACAGGGAGAGGUUCUUGGACUUGACCCCAGAGAUGUCAAUGUUCCUGUUGUUGGUGGGCAUGCAGGAGUUACGAUAUUACCACUCCUUUCACAGGUUAUUAGCACUUGCAGCUGCUUCAAAUUUUGAACCAUAUAUGCAGCUGAAAAAUUGUUUCCAUCUGAUGUAACUAGUAGUUACUCUGUUCAUUUUUACGUUUUCCUUCAUUGAACUUUGUUGUUUUCGUAGGUGAAUCCUCCCUGUUCGUUUACCUCAGAAGAAAUUAGUUAUCUCACUUCUCGCAUACAGAAUGGUGGGACAGAAGUAGUUGAGGUAUGGUUUCCCUUACCAUCUAAUGCCAUAUCUUGUACGCACAGUGGAGGGAAUAAAAGUCAAUUUAAAAGUUUCUUUUGCAAUUGCUUUCUCUGAACAGUGGCUUAGUGACGAAGUAAUAGUUUUGUAUUAGCUAUGAAUACUGUAUUGUGUCCGAUCGCAAGAGCUAGAAUGUUCUUACAAAUUAAACACAUCAUUAAUCUGAACUCACAGCAGAACUGAGGAUCUGCAAUAGAUUGGCAAAGAAGCAAGGAGAAAGAAAGAAGGUGGAGAUAAGUUAGGGAGGACUGAAAUUCCAUCUCAAUGCCUUUACAGACUUGGUCCUCUCCUUUAUGUUGCUGAAAGCUUGGAUCGAGACGUUUUUCAAACAUGACAAACUCAAUUGAUAGCGUCCCUCGUGUAGUAACAGUGCAGCUCAAACAUUCUUCAGAUAUCUCUCAUUUCAUUUGUCUUCAGAGUCCGGCAUACUGGUUUGCAGUUCUUCAGCUUAUAGUUAACAAAGCUGAAUAAGAUCUGACGAGCUAUGUUUUGAGAACAUGAGAGUUAGACCUCAGUAGAUGUGAGAUGGAUAUGUGAAAUUACCAAAUUCCUUGUGUUCUAUAAUAGACAAAGAUGCAUAUAUUAGUUUAUUCGAGAGCUUCACAGUGUUGACAACAAAGGUCAAUUAUCAGGUGCAUGUUAACUGUUAAGUUGAGCAGAAACCUUCUUGUACACAAUACUUUUACCCGCAUAGGGGGCUAUACUAAUUUCUAGUGCUAGCUGCGGACACAUGUUCUGGUUUGGUGGCUGCCUGACAGUCAAUAGAAUUUUCCUAAGCUGUUGGCUGGCCGGCCGGCCAGUGUUUGACCAGUGUUGUGUUGUAGAGGAACCUUGACCACUGUUGUAUUAAUGCGAUGAAGUUCCUUUCUGACAAUCCAAAUUCAUUUCAGGCGAAGGCAGGAGCAGGAUCAGCAACCCUUUCCAUGGUUUGUCUCCCCCAACUUACAUCCCCAUCAGUCAACCUGGUUUGUAUGCUCCGACGAUGGCUGAAGCAACACUAAAUCUUCCCUUUUUUUUUAAAUUUCAGGCCUACGCAGCAGCCAAAUUCGCGGACGCCUGCCUGAGAGGGCUGCGCGGCGACGCCGGGAUAGUGGAGUGCUCUUACAUAGCCUCUCAGGUUAUUAUUUCUUUCUCUCAGCUCAUCCCUAAGCAAUCAUUCCUAGCCGACCGACAAGCAUUUUCUGAAUCGCAAAAUCUUGUUCUUCAUUGCGUGUCUUGAAGGUGACGGAGCUGCCCUUCUUCGCGUCCAAGGUGCGGCUGGGCCGGUCCGGCGUCGAGGAGGUCCUGCCGCUCGGCCCGCUGAACGAGUUUGAGAGGUCUGCAGCUGAGCACAUACAUACAUAGCCUAGGGAAGGAUGAUUUGCUUGUGUCGCCCAAUUUAAUGUUGCCUUGUCGCCGUGGUGCAGGGCCGGGCUGGAGAAGGCCAAGGGCGAGCUGGCCGAGAGCAUCCACAAGGGCGUCGCUUUCGCCAACAAGUGAAGAUGGGAAGAAAAUCCUAGCACGCAGCUCCGUAUCUUUCGCCGAAAUGCUCCAAGGCCAGCAUAGAAAUCUGAGAUGCCUUUUGCUUCCUGCCUGCUCCCGCCUGGGAGCAACAGUCCCCGUGUGAUGUGAUGUAAAUCUCCCUGUCAUAACAAUAAUAAUAAUAAUAAAAUUGUACAGUAUUUUGUACCGGUAUAUACGAUGCGGACUACCCGAUGUUUACGGCUGUAUAAUAAAUAAAUACGACAGAUCUGAUGAUUGAUUAGAUUAUAAUAAUAAAAAGGUAAACAAAACAAAAGUUCAAGUUGGCUCGCUCUUGUGCCAUUUAUUGUUCUCUUGCUGAUUAACCCGAUGUCACCUGGAUCGGCCCAAUGGGCAGACGACAAGUGUCCCCAUCAGCCUAGCCCCACCUGGGGCGCUCCCAGACCGCUCUGCGAAUCCCACGGCAUAUUCGCCAGUUGUUCCAUCUCCGUGCGCGGCCGCCCGCGUGGCGCCCCUUACACGCGGGCCCCCGGGAGGACCGCCCGCCCGCCGGCCCCACCCGCAGAGAGACGCGGCGUCCCGUGUGCUCGUCAAAAACAAUAGGCGAACCAGCGGCGCCCCCGUUUGCAUCUGCAUCGUCGCUAUAAGAAAGCAGGGGCCGCCCCUCCGGUCCGCCCACCCGUACAGCGAACCCGCACCCCUCUCGCUCUCCGCUCCAUCUGGUCCGAUUCGAUUCGAUUCGAUCUCGGCUUCCUCUCCAAGCCACGCGAGACCAGCCAUGGCGGCGACGAUCCAGUCCGUGAAGGCCCGCCAGAUCUUCGACAGCCGCGGCAACCCCACCGUCGAGGUACGCACGCGCGCGCCCAUCCCCCGUCCGUCUCCCUGAUCUGUGCGUUGUGGUCCGGUUCGACUCGAUCUGCUAGCGGUAAGGGGUGCCGCGAUCGUUCGUGCGUGCGUGCGUUCGUAGCAGCGGCUCGGCUUUUUCGAUUGCGCGUCCGAUCUGGUCCGGUUCGCCCGCGGGGCGUGGGCUGGGGUUUCUGCGCAGCAGAGCGUAGGGUUUCUGACGGACCCUUUCGGUCAGAGUCGAGGGGUUUUGGGUAGGUGGGUGAGCCUGAGCCAGCAGGAUGUUUUUUGAGUUGGGCGGGUUGGGUUAUGCUAGAUUCGGCGCGAGGUGGUUUGUUCAGUCAGAUGCCAUGGCGCGUGCAAUUUUCAUGUUAGCCUGCUUGUCAUCUAUUUUUGGUUUUAUCCACGGAUCGGUUUGUUUGUCAUGCUCAUGCUCAGUUUGUGGUUGCUCAAAAGCAAAAGCUAGUCGGAAAAGCCCGAUUAUCGCCGUCCACCUGGCUGCCAUAGUGUCUAUGUAGCUUAUCUUAUAAUCCUUGUGGUUUGGCGUCCUAGUGAUGCUCUGAUUUUGUUGUUUGCUGUGACGGAAAUGUAAGAUGAGGUUGCUGACUUCACUCUUGUUGUGUGCAUCAGGUUGAUGUGUGCUGCUCAGAUGGAACCUUCGCCAGGGCCGCCGUUCCCAGCGGUGCAUCAACUGGUGGGUCAUUUUUGUUAUUGCAUCACCGCUGUUUUCCUUUCAACCUUAGAAUCAACUUUUGCCUUGGUUCCUGUCUAGUGAAGGUACACAAUGUCCCUGUCAUCAUUUAUUGACUGAAUGAAGCUAAUCUUGUCUGAAUCAUCCCUCUUAUGUAGGUGUCUAUGAAGCUUUGGAGCUGAGGGACGGUGGAUCUGACUACUUGGGCAAGGGUGUUUCCAAGGUUUACAUUCGUUUGACUGGAUUUUAUCUUCACAAUCUGUAAAUCUAUGUUGCGGUUCUUGCUGAUUUAAUGUGGCUGCUGCUUAUACUCACAUUCUGUAAAUCUAUGCCAUAAUUCUUGGCUAUUUAAUAUGACCAAACUUAUUUUAACAUGCUGCUUUCAUCCAAGCAAUGUUCCCUGCGGCUGUAUGACUUACUAUUUCUACUCUGUGCCAGGUUUUAUAAAAAAAAUCGUAAUAAUGUUAUAAUGUGAACUAAAUAUGUUUUAUUGUGUUCCCUGUCUCUGCAUGGCAUUUUUUGGAUACAUUGNNNNNNNNNNNNNNNNNNNNNNNNNNNNNNNNNNNNNNNNNNNNNNNNNNNNNNNNNNNNNNNNNNNNNNNNNNNNNNNNNNNNNNNNNNNNNNNNNNNNNNNNNNNNNNNNNNNNNNNNNNNNNNNNNNNNNNNNNNNNNNNNNNNNNNNNNNNNNNNNNNNNNNNNNNNNNNNNNNNNNNNNNNNNNNNNNNNNNNNNNNNNNNNNNNNNNNNNNNNNNNNNNNNNNNNNNNNNNNNNNNNNNNNNNNNNNNNNNNNNNNNNNNNNNNNNNNNNNNNNNNNNNNNNNNNNNNNNNNNNNNNNNNNNNNNNNNNNNNNNNNNNNNNUAUAAAUCUCACGUCGUAUAUUUUUCCUUGCUAAUAAACCAACUUGCUGAAGACCACCAUAAAAUGAACAGCGGGGGAUCAUUUAGUGGACUGUAGAAUAACUGCAUUUAUGGCAUGAUGUUUCACUAGAAUAACUGCAUCUAAUGGUGGUUUCUACUGCAGUUGACAUUAUAUUACCAACUGCAUGCAUAAUUUAGUUCUUGUGAUAUUUACAUGUUUUUGCUGUUCUGUCACAGGCUGUUAACAAUGUGAACUCCAUUAUUGCACCCGCUUUGGUCGGCAAGGUUAGUUUUGUCUUUGCCCCCCUUUCUCUUUCAUGAGAUUUGAGAAUGCAUAAUUUACUCAUUGCUCUUUUUCCUUCUACAGGACCCUACCGCUCAAACUGAGCUCGACAACUUUAUGGUUCAGCAGCUUGAUGGAACCAAGAAUGAGUGGGGUUGGUGCAAGCAAAAGGUAUAACAUAUAACCCAUGAUGACUUUUACUUUUAGAAGUCUAGUAGCAAAUACUUAUUUCCAUUUGUAGGUUCCCUUCUAACAGUCUGAUUUCUUUUGUGAAUUCAGCUUGGUGCUAAUGCAAUCCUGGCUGUAUCACUAGCUGUUUGCAAAGCUGGAGCCAGCGUCAAGAAGAUUCCACUGUACCAGGUAUGCAGCAUAUUAAUCCCCUCUGAUCAUUCUUCAUGUGUUUGCUUUUAGCUAUCCUGUUUUCUAACAUGAGAUAUUCUUCACUGCAGCACAUUGCCAACCUUGCUGGCAACAAGCAAUUGGUUUUGCCCGUUCCUGCGUUCAAUGUCAUCAAUGGUGGAUCCCAUGCUGGAAACAAGCUUGCUAUGCAGGCAAUGCUCUGAACUAAGAUUUCCACAUGUGCUGUCAUGUUGUUUCCGCACAUGUGUUAUUUAUGCCUAUACUUGCAUAUCUGCAGGAGUUCAUGAUCCUUCCUACUGGAGCUACCUCAUUCAAGGAGGCAAUGAAGAUGGGCGUUGAAGUGUACCACAACUUGAAGGUAAUACUUUAUUCUUAGUUUUUUUUUGUCCCUAUCAUCUUGUAAAACAUAAAUUCACCGAAACUGUCAUUUUCUGUAACAGUCUGUUAUCAAGAAGAAGUACGGGCAGGAUGCCACCAAUGUCGGAGAUGAAGGUGGUUUUGCUCCUAACAUUCAGGUAUUUUCCUUGUUUUCUUAGGUUAUGAACUGCAGUUCCUUGCUUUGGCAUGCCUUGGUGUUUUGACAGCAGCCGUUGACUGUUAUGUUUUAAUGUAUAGAACUACUGUUUUACUACAAAAUUGAGAGUCAAUGUAGGGUGGGAAUUGAGUUUGUUUUGUUUUCUGGUAUUUUAGGAGAACAAGGAGGGCCUUGAGCUCUUGAAGACUGCAAUUGAAAAGGCUGGAUACACCGGCAAGGUUUGUCUGCUUGAAUUGAUCUGUUCUUGUGCACUUCUCUCUCAAGUUUUAGUUUGAAGCUAAAUUAGCUUUGUUGCUAUGGGAAAUUCUAGGUUGUCAUUGGAAUGGAUGUUGCUGCUUCAGAGUUCUACAAUGACAAGGACAAAACCUAUGACCUCAACUUCAAGGAAGAGGUAAGCAGCCCCAUUGUUUAUUUUGUGGUAACAAUUUGUUCUCCUUUCAUGAGCAUUUUUAACAUCCCCUUCUCUUGUUGUAGAACAACGAUGGUUCCCAGAAGAUAUCUGGAGAUAGCCUGAAGAACGUAUACAAGUCAUUCGUGAGCGAGUACCCCAUUGUGUCGAUUGAGGACCCGUUUGACCAGGAUGACUGGGUGCACUAUGCUAAGAUGACUGAAGAAUGUGGAGUGGAAGUUCAGAUUGUUGGUGAUGACCUUCUAGUCACCAACCCAACUGUGAGUGAUUUGCUCUGUCGAGUAGGUGGUCACUUUCAUUUUGUUGGACCACUGCAAUUGCUUAUAUCAUUUUGUUGUGCAGAGAGUUGCAAAGGCAAUCCAGGAGAAGUCAUGCAAUGCUCUUCUGCUCAAGGUAUUAUUCUGUUAAACCAGAAGUUGGUUCUUACUCGUUAUUUUCCUGUGACGAGUAUAGAGUGAUGUCCUGCACAUUCUGACUGUUCAUCCUUUGCACGUAAUAGGUUAACCAAAUUGGAUCCGUCACUGAGAGUAUCGAGGCCGUGAAGAUGUCAAAACAUGCCGGCUGGGGUGUGAUGACCAGUCACAGGAGGUACAUGAUAGGAGAUACUUCCUUGUUGUGCGAGUUUUCCCCUUUGUUUCUCUUGUUACCAUCUGUAUGCUUAUUUACAUUUGCUGUCUGCAGUGGUGAGACCGAGGACACAUUCAUUGCUGAUUUGGCUGUUGGUCUGUCCACGGUAUGGUUUUAUAAUCUGCAUAGUUAGCAUUUGUCGGGGCAAUUUUAACGAGACUGGUCGCAAUGCUCAUAAACCUUCUGGGUGUAACUGACCAGUGUUUGUUUAUGUGCAACAGGGUCAGAUUAAGACCGGGGCUCCGUGCCGCUCAGAGCGUCUUGCCAAGUACAACCAGGCAAGUAGCUCUCCCUGUUUAUUCUUGUUCUGUUGAAGCAAUCUCCUGAUAUUAUGUUGGCCAACAGUACCUUGCAAUCAAACAAAAGAAAUUUAUGUGAUCCUCAUGUGUUAUUCGUUUAUUAAGUGCUGUGUGUUCAUUUCUCAUUUGCUGUGUGUCUCAUUUGUGUCUGAUCUUGACAGUAUUCAUUUUCUGCGAAGCCAAACUAACGGCUAUUUUUUCAAAUUGAACAGCUUCUGAGGAUCGAGGAGGAGCUGGGCGAUGCCGCGGUGUACGCUGGCCUCAAGUUCCGUGCACCGGUGGAGCCCUACUAGAUGGGAUCUGCACGAGUUUUUGUGAAAAUGGGUGUGUUUAACCUCCGGAAUGAACUCUGGUUGAAGCUCUUAGGAUUGAGCAAUAAUGAAUGCCGCGCAUGUUUUAUGUGAACGGAACGGAUAUGUACCCCCAAACUUGCUCCAAUUUUGGUCCUUGUGGAUAUGUACCUGAUUCGGCCCUGAACCUUUUGGAUGUGUAAUACUAGUUUUUGGCGCAUCAUCUUUGCCGUUAUUGUGUUAGUUUACUUGUUGCAGAAAGCAUGCUUCUGAGAAACUUGCUUUCAUCUUUGUUUGCUAUUCUCAAAACACUGGUUUUCCAUUGCCAUCUGUUUUUCUUUUAAAGAAACUUGCUUCUGUUGUCAUUGAUGGGGCGUCCUGGUUGAUUGGAGAUGAGUACUUGAAGCACGUCAUGAUUUCGGAGGUUUGCCUCUGACAGCAACGGAUUUCAACUAGAAAAACUGGGCGAAAAACAGAUUGAAAACCGGCUGAAAACCAUCAUAUCUGAACAAAUUACUCCAUAGGUGAUUGUCGAGAUAACCCACAUUGUAGCGGACGCGUGAAGGUGAAUGAAAAUCUGCACAAAAACUUAGCCACUUGCAACCACCUUCAAUCUUGCCACAAAAGCCUGGACACCACCACCGCUAACCAUCGGUCCUGCUUGUCGUGAGCUCCAAGAUGAAGCCCCUGAGAGGGAAAAUGACACACCCGAGUGCCACAAUCGUCCGAUCACAAGAUCAAGGGUUUCCCUUGAAGAGGGAGGCCAUGAUGGUCGGGUCCCUGCAGGAGGUGUGCGAUAGCAUAACACCGAUGCCUAAAGGAAGGUUAAGGACGACCACAACCGCAACCAUUGUUGGUCAUGGCACAAAGGUCGAGAUGGGGUCUUCACCCAAGCUCCCUUACCACCUCGGUCGCACAUCAUCCCGCACUGGCGCCGGCAAGACCGCCAACCACCGUCUCUCACAAACCAUCAUCCCACACUGGCGCCGGCAAUGUCUCUUCUCUCUACUCGAAUCAUUAUCACAUGGGCCGCUCGUAAAGAUGGAAGUUACUCUCUGGGCCAUUUGAUCGUCACGUUGAAAGGCCAUUCACGAAAGCAUCUUUCAAAGCCGGGCUGCAUUGCAUUCUUUUGUCACAAGAUUCAUUGAUGUCCAAAUUAUUCAUGAGAAGAAGCCGUUAGCUGCUGUGGUGGGCAUUGCUACUGCAAAUAUGGGUGCUCAUCGCCCCAAGGGGCCCCCUCCGUACUUUGCAAAAAUCCACCUUGACGCGACUAUUCAGCCAUGUAUGGGAGAAUCGGCGGUGGCUGUUUGCCGGGACAACAACGACAACUAUCUACGCAGCUCGGCACUAGUUAUUGGAGGUGUUCAUGGCCCAACGGCUGGCUUGCCGUGAAGCUCUAUCAUUAGCAAGAGACCUUCAUCUACACAAUUUUAUCAUAACAUCUGAUUCUAAACAAGUUGCGGGAGAUAUUAGGCAAGGUAGCUAGGGUAGAGUUAGUGCCAUCAUCAGUGAGAUCAAAGCAGAGCAGCUUCUUUUAAUUGUAAUUUUACUUUCGAAUGUCGUGUUAUUAAUUUCGACGCACAUAGUUUACUAGUGAGGUUCUCUUUCUUUACCUCGGCCCGAAUUGUAUCCCACUAAUUAUGGUCUUUGAUCCCCUAAAAAAAUGAUUUUUGAUUAAUAAAAUUGGCUUUACCCUAAAAAGGUAAAAAAUAAUUAUCUCCCAAAAAAAGCUAAAACGAAAAAAAAACAUCACCCCAUCUUCUCCCCACUCCUUGAUGGCGCCUCCCGCCGCCGGGGAAACCCCACCUACGGAGGCUGCGGAGAACAGCGCCAAGACCGAGGAGUCGCGGUGGCUCGCGGCCCUCUCCGAGCCAGAGCUCGUCCGUGACGCCCCUCCUCUUCUUAUUCUCUCUUAGCUUCUCUUCCUAACGACUGGUGUUAAUGGCGCCACGGUGGUGUUGUGCAGGAUCUCCUCAUCAGCCUGAAGAUGCUGGCCGUGAAGCGGGCGGAGACGGCCGGCCGCCCCCACCUCGCCGACGGGUUCGAUCUGCGCACGCUGCGUGCCCUCGGUACUUACUACCUGAACCACUUUGCCAGACACUCAUCAUAUAUAGCCGCAGCGAUCUCUUUGCUGAGCAACAUGCUAUAUGCUUGUGCUUUUCCAGGUGUUGUUUUGCUGGAGGAUUUCAAGGCACGGUUAGAAGAAACCUCGGUCGAUGCAUCCGUUCUUGAUAGACUUGCGCUGUCGAGGGACUGUGUCGCGGAUGCCGGCGGCGGCAGUGGUGACUCUGAGGUGCUCAGGCGGCACGGCAAAGAUGAGCCAAAGCCAAAUAGCGUCAAGAGAGAACGAAAGCAGAGGCAGGAUGGGUGAGUCCUUUUGAGUAUUCGGUCGGUUUGGCUGAAGCAGUGCAGUCCAAUUUAGCUCAUGCCGAUAGUUUCUUGAGGUUCUGUCACUACUAAUGCAGUUACGGCGUGUUUGCGUAUGAUGCAGGCGCCAUGGAGAAACCGUGAAAAGCAAGAAGAAAAGAAAACUGAGCGAGAGGAGAUAGCAUCGAGAGAGCAGACUGCGACGAUCUUCCUACUGAUAGUGAUCUAGUGCAAACACCGCCCAGGGAUGUAUGUCGUUGAGCGACAACACUGAAGCUGCUGCUGCUGCUGUUAGUGGUGUAAAUUUUGCUUUUUUUUUAUCUGAACUCGAAACUUGUUUUGGGAAUGCAACCCGGCAGGGAAGGGAUGCCGUGAACUGAUGAUGAUGACUGCUGUGGCAACCAGGCGUAGUUUAAUGCAUCUUCGUUUCAGGACUCUCUUAACUGUGCCAUGAUUUCUUUUCUAGCAGCUGUAGGUUGCUGGGACCUGGGAGCAUGAGACACUCCCCUCCAGGAAACUGCUUUCGAAUCAACAACUAGGGUGGGUUAGCUGCUGGAUUCUAAUUUGUUUCGUUGCCUAGGCACCAGUUAGGUCGAUCAUAGCACAACUAAGAAUAUGAUUUCACCUCCUAUUCUUGGCAAAUAAUAUUUAGUGUCACAAAUUCAGUUGCUAGCAACAUGACGAUAUUUUCAGUAUCUAAUAGCAUUGCUAAUAAACCUUGCACCUUUUUUUUGGCAAAUGAUUACCUCUACUGAGCAAUGCCACAGCCUCUCAGGAAUGUGGAGAAUUUGGUUUAGCGUUAGCUGAAUCUUUAGUCUCUACAACAAUGCACCAAUAUCAAUUUUUGGAUUCUGCAACAAAUUAACUGAAAUAAUUUUCAAGGCAUAUCAGUGUUGAUGUUGAUUAAUUAUUCACUGCCAGGCUAAGAUCCUUUGGCAUCUUCUGUCACGGCAGCUGAAGAUGAUGAUUUAUAAUUUUAUAUAGUUGACUUGUCUGUUGUGACAUAAACUUACUUACUCUUUGUUUCCUUGAUUAAAUUUUCUUUUUUGUGGGGAUCUUAUGCACGGAAAGACCAUGUGCAUAACUUUACAUGCAUGUUCUUCCACCUAGACUGCUCUACGGCUGUGUUAAGGUGCCGGUUGGUUGACAAUGGUCACACAUUCAUAAUAUGAAUGUCUAUACAAGGGAUUAGGAUCCUAGUCUGUGAUGCAGUUUUUCUUCUAGAUGUACUAGUUCAACUCCUUUUCAUCAGUAUUUGAUGUUAAACUAGAUUCUUGUGCAGAUGGUUACCUCUUCUGAACAAUGCUUGCAAUGCUCUGGAAUGCUGAAAAACUAGUUUACCUUUUUGCUGAUUCUUUUUUAAUUCUUACAAAUUUAGUUGAGUUGCAUAACUAUAUUAUAUCUUAUAAGUAGCCAUCCGAGUACUUCUGUUAACUAAUGAUUUAGAGACUCACGGUGACCGUGUGACCAUUGGAUAACGCCGUCGAGGUGUUAACAAACUGGUGUUACCAAUAGAACAUCUCACAUUUAAUUUGCAUUUCUUGAUGUUUUAUAAUAGCACAUACCAUCUCUCCUGAAAUUUUAGAGACGACCAAUGAAUCACAGGUCUUGAUCAGUUUGUCCUUCUAUACAUACAAUUUGAUCGACUCAGGAACUAUCGAGAGGACAAAAACGACAGACGGACAGAUAAUCAACACAUAUCCAAGUUGUUUCAAAUUAAUUGCAGCCUGCAGGAUGCAACCUAUCACCAGAAUCUAAUUUCAAUUAUAGGAUUUUGGAAGCGCUUACCAGCUAGUCAUAAAGUUCAACAAUCUCUGAAUUGCUGCGGUGUCUGAAGAGCAGGAUGAGAACAGGUAGCUCCAGAAGCUGUAGAAGUUCACCCUCUCGUUGCACUUAUUUGUAGCCUGCAUAGCUCAUCUUUUGCUUCUUGUGGCACACCACCUACUUAAUUAAUAGAAUGAGUCAUAUAUUUGAACUCUCUACCUUGUUUAUCCUGCCAACCCAAACCCAAGAUAAAAGAUAUUAGUCAAUAAUAAUAAUAAAUGCUGACCAAAAUACCACUGUGUUAUUACAACUGUUGUUUCGGUGCUACCACAGUACACGAUGCGCGCAGAUUCAGGUUGCCACAGCUAUCACAAAUGCAACACUUAAUAUACUACCACCGUGGCAACUGGCAAGUCACAAAAGUUAUCAGUCCUUGGAUUUAAGUGAAGAUAGUUCACCUUCUUUGUGUACAUGACACCAGCAGAUCAGAAGAUAAUACACCAAAUGCACAUAAAAGACAAUACAGUUAACACCAUCUUGUUUACAGCAAGGCAAUAUAGUAGCAUGCCUCUGACACAUCAUCUUGUUUGAAUGCCUUCCGGCAAGAAAUGGACAACUAGUCUAUUUCUCUCACAUUUUCAGAGUAACACCAUCAACAGUGGCAGGACCAAGCUGCUCCAGCCUAAACAAUUGACUGGUACUGCUGGUUAAGCAAUGCAAACUACUACGAAACGUAACUUACUGUCAGCGCAUCGUCAAUAACUUAUAACCACAUGGCAGAGAUUAGCAAUCAUAGCUGAAAUGGAUCACUACUUUUGAUAUGUCAGUUUACCAAAAGAAAAGAAGCACAGGUCCAGUUCUUGCAGGCAACGAACCAACAGAGUAUUGGCAAUCAUUCGGCAAUUCCCAUCCAGCCAGCACUAAUACCACUUCUACUUUCAGAUAACCAGAGUCAGACAGGCACCAAGUAAACAGAACCAUCUACAGUUGCUACUAGAUGUACAAUCUAAGAGGAGGUGAACUUGGUGACGGCCUUGGUGCCCUCGGAGACGGCGUGCUUGGCGAGCUCGCCGGGGAGGACGAGGCGUACGGAGGUCUGGAUCUCCCGGGAGGUGAUGGUGGGCUUCUUGUUGUAGCGGGCGAGCUUGGCGGCCUCGCCGGCGAGCUUCUCGAAGAUGUCGUUGAUGAAGGAGUUCAUGAUGGACAUGGCCUUGGAGGAGAUGCCGAUGUCGGGGUGCACCUGCUUCAGCACCUUGAAGAUGUAGAUCUUGUACGUCUCCACGCUCUUCUUGCUCUUCUUCUUCGACUUUUUGUCGCCGCCGCCCUCCUUGCCGGAAGUCUUGCUCUUGCCCGCCGCCGGCAGCCGCUUCUCGGCCCUGGGCUUCUUCCCGGCCGGCGCCUUCUCGGCCUUCUCCGUCGUGGCCUCCUCCUCCGCGGGCUUCUUCGCCGCCGGCUUCUUCUCCGCCGCCUUGGGGGCCAUCGCUGCUUCUGGAGCGGGGAAAGGGGAAGCCGCCGAAGCCGGUGCGGGUUGGUUUGUUGGGGAAAGGUUGGGAGAUUUGGAACGAGAUGCUGGGAAAGGAGGAGCGGAGCUGAAGGAUUUAUACAGGGAGAGAUGUGACUGCUGAUUGGUGGAGGCGUGGUUGUCCCGGAUCAGUGACGUGGGACGGUGUGAGGCGUUCGGUGCUGUUUGGAUGGACGAUCGUGAUCUCUGCCGGGCGGACCGUGGUUUUCUUGAAAAAAAUUGGACCCUGAUAAGGCCCGAACGUUCGGUAGAAGCCCUUUCCAUACCGAAGAAAUGAGGAAUGCUGCGUCCACGCAAAGCUAUCUAAGGUUUACGUUUGUCUAAAAAAAAAAAGCUAUCUAAGGUUUACGUAGUGCUGCUGAUUUGGCAAAUUGGAAUAGGGAAGGGAGAGGGGCCCACACCCAUGAAAAUUAGGGGGAGGAGAGAAUUAAAGGGAAAGUUACGUAGGAUCACGUAACAGGUUACGUUGAUGUAAUAUUAGUGCCGAACAAAUUGUUCCCCAAGGCAGAAACGACCCAACGAUUCCGCUCGGAGCGGGGGUGUAGUGGGAAGAGAUGGAUUCGUUCGGCCGAUGGCGUGGUUGCGUUCGGCCGAUGGCGUGGUUGCGCCGAAGGCCUGAGGAAAAUGACGCGGCACCAUAAUUGCUUCAAGAUGCGUGUGAUUUCAUCCGACGGCCAUCGUGGUGUUCGGCCCAAAAGCUUAAAAUCUGGUCAUUCGGGAGUUAUAGGUUCCGAAGUUUUUUUAGGCGAACAGUGCACUUCACUUAAUAAAAAAUGUCUACGUGGAUACAAAUAUUUUCUGGAGGUUUUUUUAGGGGAAGGCCACAAUGGUUAGUGUCGGGGCCGGAUUUCCGGGACAUAAAUUCCCAGCAAACGACCCUUAUGUCACCACCAGCCCCAGGAUUACUGUUGCUGAUGGACAUUUCCUUGAUACAGAAUUCCAAGCAAUUACAAGUAUUUGAGUACAAGACCUUAUAGGUCCAUUGAGUACAACAAUGAUUUCUAGUGGCAGGUGAUGGAAACGACUCGUGGAUCUCCAACGUUGGUGGAACUCCAUUCCCACGGGAACAGCUGACCUGGAUAACUCCUAUCUCGCGUGGCUGCUAUCUCCGAAUCCUAGGUUGCGGGGUGUCUUCGUAGUGCUCGUCUCUGAGUCAUGAUCUGGCCAAGACAAUAGCCAGGGACAAGCCAGUGAGUACGUUUGAAUGUACUCGCAAACAUCAAGAACAAAAGAUAUACCGGAUGCAUAUGCUCAUGAUGAAUUAAAUUAUACUACCUCAUUUCCGGUUUAUAGGGCUCAAUUCAAAAAUCUCACCAACCAAGGUGGAUGAUGAGUGAUGGAAUAAUUUUCGUGGUUUGUAAAAGCACUCAAUUAAUGCGUUCGUUUUCCUCAAAGAAUUGUGUUUACCAGUGCAUUAAUUGCAAUGCAUGCAUGCAUGAAGUACAUGCAUUGGUCAAGUUUCUCAUAAUCCUUGCAUGCAAUGAAUUAAUGCAUCUUGAAAUCUGAGCAUGUGAUGGGGAACAAUCAAAUUGAGACUUAUAAAACGAGAAACCGAAAUUUUUGAGAUAAGCCCUAUAAACCGGGAAGGAGGGAGUAUGCAUGUGCUGACCGAGAAUAAAAGCAUGGCAUGACAAAUAUUCAUACGGUGCAGAAGGGUAAAUAAGUCAUAUGAUUAGUAAAUCAAAGAAAUGAAACGAAACAUCGGGCGUUGGACCGCCCAAAAAAUUCCAAGAGAAAUGCCAAACGGGUGUCUAAGAGAGAAUCGGGCGAGACAGGACCGCCCGAGAACUCAAGCGACGCCACGAGAGGUCUUGAAAAUGCAUGCCACAGUCGGGUGUCUGAAGCGACGCCUCAUAAAGGGCUUAUAUGAAAAUAAUAAAACGAGUAUCCAGGUGGACUAGCCAUCCUAAGUGAUACUCAUAAAAGAAAAGAAAACGAGUAUCCCGGGUAGUCUAGCCAUCCCAAGAGAUACUCAAGGUUAAACAUAAAAUGAAAAGGUUAGUCCACAACAAUAUCCAUAUCAACAAUAAUAUUCAUAGUGGCACCAGUAGUGACAAUAAUUAUCCUGCAGAACGAACCAUGAUCAAUUUAAUUAUUUCCUUCGGAGACUGACACUAAGACCGACACUUGACCAACUGUCGGGGGGAUGAACCCCGGGCAGGCAACGGAACCCGUAUCCUUUUCAAAAAUGACGAGGCCAACAUCGCCCCUCAAGCCGGCACGUGCUUGGCCGGGUCGCCCAACCCGGCCAACCCCCUCGACCCGGCCAAACUUCCAACCCGGCCGGACUCCUCAACUCGGCCCCAACAACCAGCUCAAGACAGUCAAACCCGGCACCAAGACUUCUCCAACAAGCCAGCUCCACCCUUGGCGCGUUCCUCAACCCGGCCACGGGUCAGUUCCCGUCCCAGCCCAGCCGUACGAUGGGACGAGUCUCCACCUACCAAUGACCGAGGCAACAGUGCCCCGCCCAUGCCUCUGGUCAGCCGGGGCAUGGCAACAGUGCCCCACCUACCCACUGACCAGGGCCGGCGUGGCAACAGUGCAACCAUCGUCACCAAUGACGCCAGCAAGCGGCGACCUGACGGAGCGCCACUGUAGCCGACUGAUAACCCACAAGUAUAGGGGAUCACAACAGUUCUCGAGGGUAGAGUAUUCAACCCAAAUUUAUUGAUUCGACACAAGGGGAGCCAAAGAAUAUUCUCAAGUAUUAGCAGUUGAGUUGUCAAUUCAAGCACACCUGGAUAACUUAAUAUCUGCAGCAAAGUAUUUAGUAGCAAAGUAGUAUGGAAGUAACGGUAACGGUGGCAAAAGUAACCGUAGCAACUUUGUAGUAAUUGUAACAGUGGCAAUGGUAAAGUAACUAAGCAAAGAUCUAUAUGUGAAAAGCUCGUAGGCAUUGGAUCAGUGAUGGAUAAUUAUGUCGGAUGCGAUUAUUCAUGUAACAGUUAUAACAUAGGGUGACACAGAACUAGCUCCAGUUCAUCAAUGUAAUGUAGGCAUGUAUUCCGAUUAUAGUCAUACAUGCUUAUGGAAAAGAACUUGCAUGACAUCUUUUGUCCUACCCUCCCGUAGCAGCGGAGUCCUAUUGGAAACUAAGGAUAUUAAGGCCUCCUUUUAAUAGAGUACCGGACCAAAGCAUUAACACUUAGUGAAUACAUGAACUCCUCAAACUACGGUCAUCACCGGGAGUGGUCCCGAUUAUUGUCACUUCGGGGUUACCAGAUCAUAACACAUAAUAGGUGACUAUAGACUUGCAAGAUAGGAUCAAGAACUCACAUAUAUUCAUGAAAACAUAAUAGGUUCAGAUCUGAAAUCAUGGCACUCGGGCCCUAGUGACAAGCAUUAAGCAUAGCAAAGUCAUAGCAACAUCAAUCUCAGAACAUAAUGGAUACUAGGGAUCAAACCCUAACAAAACUAGCUCGAUUACAUGAUAAAUUUCAUCCAACCCAUCACCGUCCAGCAAGCCUACGAUGGAAUUACUCACGCACGGCGGUGAGCAUCAUGAAAUUGGUGAUGGAGGAAGGUUGAUGAUGAUGACGGUGACGGAUUCCCCUCUCCGGAGCCCCGAACGGACUCCAGAUCAGCCCUCCCGAGAGAGAUUAGGGCUUGGCGGCGGCUCCGUAUCAUAAAACGCGAUGAAUCCUUCUCUCUGAUUUUUUUCUCCCCGAACGUGAAUAUAUAGAGUUGGAGUUGAGGUCGGUGGAGCACCAGGGGGCCCACGAGGCAGGGGGCGCGCCUAGGGGGGCAGGCGCGCCCCCACCCUCGUGGACAGGGUGUGGGCCCCCUGGUCUUGAUUCUUUCGCCAGCAUUUUUUAUAAAAUUCCAAAAAUAUUCUCCGUGAAGUUUCAGGUCAUUCCGAGAACUUUUAUUUCUGCACGAAAAUAACACCAUGGCAAUUCUGCUGAAAACAGCGUUAGUCCGGGUUAGUUCCAUUCAAAUCAUGCAAGUUAGAGUCCAAAACAAGGGCAAAAGUGUUUGGAAAAGUAGAUACGAUGGAGACGUAUCAACUCCCCCAAGUUCAAACCUUUGCUUGUCCUCAAGCAAUUCAGUUGAUAAACUGAAAGUGAUAAAGAAAAACUUUUAAAAACUCUGUUUGCUCUCGUUGUUGCAAAUAUGUAAAGCCAGCAUUCAAGUUUUCAACAAAGAUUAUGAACUAACCAUAUUCACAAUAACAUUUAGGUCUCAUGUUUACUCAUAUCAAUAGCAUAAUCAACUAGCGAGCAAUAAUAAUAAAUCUCGGAUGACAACACUUUCUCAAAAUAAUCAUAAUAUGAUAUAACAAGAUGGUAUCUCGUUAGCCCUUUCUGAGACCGCAAAACAUAAAUGCAGAGCACCUCUGAAGAUCAAGGACUGACUAAACAUUGUAAUUCAUGGUAAAAGAGAUCCAGUCAUAGUCAUACUCAAUAUAAAUUAAUAGUAAUGGAUGCAAAUGACAGCGGUGCUCUCCAACUGGUGCUUUUUAAUAAGAGGAGGAUGACUCAACAUAAAAGUAAAUAGAUAGGCCCUUCGCAGAGGGAAGCAGGGAUUUGUAGAGGUGCUAGAGCUUGAUUUUUGAAAUAGAGAUCAAUAAUAUUUUGAGCGGCAUACUUUCAUUGUCAACAUAACAACCGAGAGAUCUCGAUAUCUUCCAUGCUACACACAUUAUAGGCGGUUCCCAAACAGAAUGAUAAAGUUUAUACUCCCCCUCCACCAACAAGCAUCAAUCCAUGGCUUGCCCGAAACAAUGGGUGCCUCCAACUAACAACAAUCCUGGGGGAGUUUUGUUUGCAAUUAUUUUUAUUUGGUUUGAGCAUGGGACUGGGCAUUCCGGUGACCAGCCAUUUUCUCGUGAGUGAGGAGCGGAGUCCACUCCUCUUGAGAAUAACCCGCCUAGCAUGGAAGAUACAGAUAGCCCUAGUUGAUACAUGAGCUAUUCGAGCAUACAAAACAGAAUUUCAUUUGAAGGUUUAGAGUUUGGCACAUACAAAUUUACUUGGAACGGCAGGUAGAUACCGCAUAUAGGAAGGUAUGGUGGACUCAUAUGGAAUAACUUUGGGGUUUAUGGAAGUGGAUGCACAAGCAGUAUUCACGCUUAGUACAAGUGAAGGCUAGAAAGAGACUGGGAAGCGACCAACUAGAGAGCGACAACAGUCAUGAACAUGCAUUAAAAUUAAUAAACAUCGAGUGCAAGCAUGAGUAGGAUAUAAUCCACCAUGAACAUAAAUAUCGUGGAGGCUAUGUUGAUUUUGUUUCAACUACAUGCAUGAACAUGUGCCAAGUCAAGCCACUCGAAUCAUUCAAAGGAGGAUACCAUCCUAUGAUACCACAUCACAACCAUUUUAAUAGCAUGUUGGCACGCAAGGUAAACCAUUAUAAACUCCUAGCAAAUUAAGCAUGGCAUAAGCAACUAUAAUCUCUAAUUGUCAUUGCAAAUAUGUUUCAUUCAUAAUAGGCUGAAUCAGGAACGAUGAACUAAUCAUAUUUACAAAAACAAGAGAGGUCGAGUUCAUACCAGCUUCUCUCAUCUCAAUCAGUCCAUCAUAUAUCGUCAUUAUUGCCUUUCACUUGCACGGUCGAGGUGUGGACAAUAAUAAUAGUGCACGUGCAUUGGACUAAGCUGAAUUUUGCGAGCAUUUAAUUCAAGGGAGAAGACAAGGUAAUAUGGGCUCUUGGUUAAAUCAACAAUAAUGCAUAUGAGAGCCACUUCAACAUUUCCAUUAUGGUCUUCUCCUCUCGACCCCCAAAGAAAAAGGAAUAAAAUAAAACUAUUUACACGGGAAAGCUCCCAACAAACAAAAAGAAGAACGAGAAAUCUUUUUGGGUUUUCUUUUUAAUUAUUACUACUACAGGCAUGGAAAGUAAACUAGCUAAAAGCUACAACUAUUCUUUUUGUUUUUCUUAAGGUUUAUCAAACACACAAGAAGAAAGCAUAAAAAGAAAAAUAAACCAGCAUGGAUAGUACAAUGAAAAAGUAUGAGCACCAACAACUAGAAUGGGUGUGUGAACAUGAAUGUAAUGUCGGUGAGAAAUACGUACUCCCCCAAGCUUAGGCUUUUGGCCUAAGUUUCUCUAUGCCCAUGGAUCAAAGUUGUAGCUGGGGUCGUACUGAGAUGCAACAACUAUUGCCUCAUGAGCUGCAGCUUGGAGGCGAGCUGCCUCCGUCCUCCUCUCGUACUCGGUCGCCUCCUUCCUGGUUAUAAUAUAUCUCCUUUUUGCCUGAAAGUCAAAGAAAGUAGGAGCGGGGAGAGCAAUAUGGACAGCUUGACGCCUGUCAAACAUUAGUCGGUACUGGAGGGGCUGUUCAUUCCUCUCAACAAACUGAUGGCGAACCAUAGCAUUAUAAUCUAAAUAAGCAGGAGGCAAUUCCAUAUCAUUUUCAUGUAUGGGUAUCUCAAGAUAAUUAGCCACACGGGUUGCAUAAAUUCCACCAAACAAAUCUUCACUAAUACUGUUAUUAUGCAACCUACGUGCAACAAUGCCCCCCAAGUUAUAUUGUUUAUCUCCUAACACAACACUCUUGAGAACACUAAGAUCUGGAACACACAUGUGACAUGCCUCAUCCUUACCGUUUAUGCAUCUACCUAUAAAGAGAGCAAAAUAAUGUAUAGCAGGAAAAUGAAUGCUCCCUAUGGUAGCUUGUGUUAUUUCUCUAGAUUCCCCCACAGUGAUACUAGCAAGGAAAUCUUUAAACUCAGAUUUGCAAGGUUCACUAGCACUACCCCAUUGCGGGAGUUUACAAGCAGUAUUAAAAUCUUCUAAGUCCAUGGUAUAAGAUUUAUUAUAAAGAUCAAAUAGGACCGUGUGAGAAUUGUGUGAAGAUGUAAAUUUAAACCUUCUCACAAAGGAAUCAGUAAGGUGGUAGUAUUGAGGGCACUUAUCUAACAUGAAGCCCUCGAGUUCAGCAUUACGCACAUACGCGUCAAAUUCAUCCUUAAUUCCUGCUUGGACCAUGAAAUUUUAUGACGGCCAUUCACAAGGCCGCACUUGAGCUUCUCUUGGUGGUUCAUGGUCCGGCUCACGUAUUGCAGGCCUGGGUCCCUGCUUCCUUGAAGAAUCACCUUGGUACAUUUUCCUAAAUAUAUUUCUUCCUCUGAAAUAUUUCUGAAAUUUUUAGUAACUCGAAAUAAAAGUGAACCAAACUCAACAAAAUUGAUAGCAACCACUCCCACAAGUGCCUAGAGACUAUAUCAUGCAUUAGAACUACUUGGGACCAAAUAAAUUUGAUAUGCAAGCUCAAGAACAGGGUCACCUAAGCAACAAAAAUUUGCAAUGAAUAAAGCACUAGAACAAAAACUAAUUGGACCAUUGGAGGAGUCACAUAUCAAAGAACAAUCCCCCAAAGCAGUUUUGUGAGUGGAGCUUUGAGCAAGGAGAUCGAAAAUCGCAGCAAAACUAGCUAGAACACGGGUUUGAGCUAGGUGGUGAUUUUUUCUGGAGAAAGACAAAGUGUGUGGGUGCUGGAAUAAGUGGAGGGGGGCCACCAGGGGUCCACGAGGCAGGGGGCGCGCCCAGGGGGUGGGCGCGCCCUGGACCCUCGUGGCCAGGUGUUGGCUCCCCUUGAUGUGUUCUCAGUGCCAGAUAUUCUCAAAUAUUCUAGAAAAAAUCAUAUUUCAAUUGCAGGGCAUUUGGAGAACUUUUAUUUUCGGGGUAUUUUUUAUUGCAGGGAUAAUUCAGAAAACUGACAGAAAAUACUAUUUUUGCUUUAUUUAAUCUAAAUAACAGAAAGUAAAAAGAGGGUACAGAGAGUUGUGUUUUCUAACUUCAUCCAUCUCAUGCUCAUCAAAAGGAAUCCACUAACAAGGUUGAUCAAGUCUUGUUAACAAACUCAUUCCGAAUCGCAUGAAACCAGAGAAUUUUUGAAUAGCACUAGGUUACCUCAACGGGGAUAUGCACGUCCCCAACAAUAAGAAUAUCAUAUUUCUUCUUGACAGUAGGAAGAGGAAAUUCAAAACCUCCAAUAGUGAUCGUUGGAAUCUUUCCAAUAGAAUUGAUACUGUGGACUUGAGGUUGUUUCCUCGGAAAGUGUACCGUAUGCUCAUUACCAUUAACAUGAAAAGUGACAUUGCCUUUGUUGCAAUCAAUAAUAUCCUCUACAGUAUUCAAAAAGGGUCUACCAAGGAUAAUAGACAUACUAUCGUCCUCGGGAAUAUCAAGAAUAACAAAGUCCGUUAGAAUAGUAACGUUUGCAACCACAACAGGCACAUCCUCACAAAUACCGACAGGUAUAGCAGUUGAUUUAUCGUCCAUUUGCAAAGAUAUUUCAGUAGGUGUCAACUUAUUCAAAUCAAGUCUACGAUAUAAAGAGAGAGGCAUAACACUAACACCGGCUCCAAGAUCACAUAAAGCAGUUUUAACAUAGUUUCUUUUAAUGGAGCAUGGUAUAGUUGGUACUCCUGGGUCUCCAAGUUUCUUUGGUAUUCCACCCUUAAAAGUGUAAUUAGCAAGCAUGGUGGAAAUUUCAGCUUCCGGUAUCUUUCUUUUAUUUGUAACAAUAUCUUUCAUGUAUUUAGCAUAAGGAUUCAUUUUAAGCAUAUCAGUCAAAUGCAUAUGCAAAAAGAUAGGUCUAAUCAUUUCAGCAAAGUGCUCAAAAUCCUCAUCAUCCUUCUUCUUGGAUGGUUUAGGAGGAAAGGGCAUGGGUUUCUGAACCCAUGGUUCUCUUUCUUUACCGUGCUUCCUAGCAACGAAGUCUCUCUUAUCAUAACGUUGAUUCUUUGAUUGUGGGUUAUCAAGAUCAAUAGCAGGUUCAAUUUCUACAUCAUUGUUAUCGCUAGGUUGAGCAUCAACAUGAACAUUAUCAUUAACAUUAUCACUAGGUUCAUGUUCAUCACCAGAUUGUGUUUCAGCAUCAGAAAUAGAAAUAUCAUUGGGAUUCUCAGGUGUGUCAACAACAGGUUCACUAGAAGCAUGCAAAGUCCUAUCAUUUUUCUUUUUCUUCUUCUUAGAAGGACUAGGUGCAUCAACAUUAGUUCUCUGAGAAUCUUGCUCAAUUCUCUUAGGGUGACCCUCAGGAUACAAAGGUUCCUGAGUCAUUUUACCCCCUCUAGUCAUAACUCUAACAACAUUAGCAUUUUUAUUAUUAUUUAAUUCAUUGAGCAAAUCAUUUUGAGCUUUAAGCACUUGUUCUACUUGAGUGGUAACCAUAGAAGCAUGUUUACUAAUAAGUUUAAGUUCACCUUUUACUCUAGACAUAUAAUCACUCAAGUGUUCAAUCAUAUAAGCAUUACGUUUCAAUUGUCUACCAACAUAAGCAUUGAAGUUUUCUUGUUUAACAAUAAAAUCAUCAAACUCAUCCAAGCAUUGGCUAGCAAACUUAGUAGAUGGGAUUUCACCCUUAUCAUAUCUAUAGAGAGAAUUUACCUUUACUACCUGUGUCGGGUUAUCAAGACCGUGUAUUUCUUCAAUAGGUGGUAAAUUAAGACCAUGUAUUUCUUCAAUAGGAGGUAAAUUCUUAACAUCUUCAGCUUUAAUGCCUUUUUCUUUCAUAGAUUUCUUUGCCUCUUGCAUAUCUUCAGGACUGAGAAAUAGAUGCCCCUUUUCUUCGUAGUUGGCUUAGGAGUUGGUUCAGGAAGUGUCCAAUUAUUUUCAUUAGUCAAAAUAUUAUUCAAUAGCAAUUCAGCUUGAUCAACUGUUCUUUCCCUGAAAACACAACCAGCACAACUAUCCAGGUGGUCUCUGGAAGCAUCUAGUAGUCCAUUAUAAAAGAUAUCAAGUAUUUCAUUUUUCUUGAGAGGAUGAUCAGGAAAAGCAUUAAGUAAUUGGAGAAGCCUCACCCAAGCAUGUGGGAGACUCUCUUCUUCAAUUUGCACAAAAUUAUAUAUUUCCCUUAAAGCAGCUUGUUUCUUAUGAGCGGGGAAAUAUUUAGCAGAGAAGUAAUAAAUCAUAUCCUGGGGACUACGCACACAACCAGGAUCAAGAGAAUUAAACCAUGUCUUAGCAUCACCCUUUAAUGAGAAUGGAAAUAAUUUAAGGAUAUAGUAGUAGCGAGUUUUCUCAUCAUUAGUGAAUAGGGUGGCUAUAUCAUUUAAUUUAGUAAGAUGUGCAACAACAAUUUCAGAUUCAUAGCCAUAAAAAGGAUCAGAUUCAACCAAAGUGAUUAUCUCAGGAUCAACAGAGAAAUCAUAAUCCUUAUCAGUAACACAGAUAGGUGAAGUAGCAAAAGCAAGGUCAUAUUUCAUUCUAGCAUUCAAAGAUUUUUCUUUCAGCUUAGCUAAUAAUUUCUUAAGAUCAUUCCUAUCGUUGCAAGCAAGAAAGUCUCUAACAGUUUCUUCAUCCAUAACAUAACCCUCAGGCACAAUAGGCAAUUCAUAUCUAGGGGGAGAAUCUUCAUCAUCACUUUCAUCAAUAUUAUCAGUUUCAAUAAUUUCAUUCUCUCUAGCCCUAGCAAGUUGUUCAUCACGAAAUUCACCUAGUGGCACACUAUUAUCAAGCAUAGAAGUAGUUUCAUCAUAAGUAUCAUGCAUAGCAGAAGUGGCAUCAUCAAUAACAUGCGACAUAUCAGAAUUAAUAGCAGAAGAAGGUUUAGGUGUCGCAAGUUUACUCAAAACAGAAGGAGAAUCAAGUGCAGAGCUAGAUGGCAGUUCCUUACCACCCCUCGUAGUUGAGGGAUAAAUUUUGGUUUUCUCGUCUUCCAAGUUCCUCAUAGUGACCAGCAGAUAUAAAUCCCAAGUGACUCAAAGAAUAGAGCUAUGCUCCCCGGCAACGGCGCCAGAAAAUAGUCUUGAUAACCCACAAGUAUAGGGGAUCGCAACAGUUUUCGAGGGUAGAGUAUUCAACCCAAAUUUAUUGAUUCGACACAAGGGGAGCCAAAGAAUAUUCUCAAGUAUUAGCAGUUGAGUUGUCAAUUCAACCACACCUGGAUAACUUAAUAUCUGCAGCAAAGUAUUUAGUGGCAAAGUAGUAUGGAAGUAACGAUAACGGUGGCAAAAGUAACAGUAGCAACUUUGUAGUAAUUGUAACAGUGGAUAUGGUAAAGUAACUAAGCAAAGAUCAAUAUGUGAAAAGCUCGUAGGCAUUGGAUCAGUGAUGGAUAAUUAUGUCGGAUGCGAUUAUUCAUGCAACAGUUAUAACAUAGGGUGACACAGAACUAGCUCCAGUUCAUCAAUGUAAUGUAGGCAUGUAUUCCGAAUAUAGUCAUACGUGCUUAUGGAAAAGAACUUGCAUGCCAUCUUUUGUCCUACCCUCCCGUGGCAGUGGGGUCCUAUUGGAAACUAAGGGAUAUUAAGGCCUCCUUUUAAUAGAGUAUCAGACCAAAGCAUUCACACUUAGUGAAUACAUGAACUCCUCAAACUACGGUCAUCACCGGGAGUGGUCCCGAUUAUUGUCACUUCGGGGUUACCGGAUCAUAACACAUAAUAGGUGACUAUAGACUUGCAAGAUAGGAUCAAGAACUCACAUAUAUUCAUGAAAACAUAAUAGUUUCAGAUCUGAAAUCAUGGCACUCGGGCCCUAGUGACAAGCAUUAAGCAUAGCAAAGUCAUAGCAACAUCAAUCUCAGAACAUAAUGGAUACUAGGGAUCAAACCCUAGCAAAACUAACUCGAUUACAUGAUAAAUCUCAUCCAACCCAUCACCGUCCAGCCAGCCUAUGAUGGAAUUACUCACGCACGGCGGUGAGCAUCAUGAAAUUGGUGAUGGAGGAAGGUUGAUGAUGACGACAGCGACGGAUUCCCCUCUCCCGAGCCCCGAACGGACUCCAGAUCAGCCCUCCCGAGAGAGAUUAGGGCUUGGCGGCGGCUCCGUAUCGUAAAACGCAAUGAAUCCUUCUCUCUGAUUUUUUUCUCCCCGAAAGUGAAUAUAUGGAGUUGGAGUUGAGGUCGAUGGAGCGUCAGGGGGCCCACGAGGUAGGGGGCGCGCCCCCACCCUUGUGGACAGGGUGUGGGCCCCAUGACGUGGAUUUUUCUUCCAGUAUUUUUAAUAUUUUCCAAAAAGAUGUUCCGUGGAGUUUCAGGUCAUUCCGAGAACUUUUGUUUCUACACAUAAAUAACACCAUGGAAAGUCUGCUGAAAACAGCGUCAGUCCGGGUUAGUUCCAUUCAAAUCAUGCAAGUUAGAGUCCAAAACAAGGGCAAAAGUGUUUGGAAAAGUAGAUACGAUGGAGACGUAUCACCGACUCAACCCGGCCACUCCCUGACGAUCGACAAGACGGCCAACAGUGCCCCCAUACCCGGCGGGCCCAGCGCCCGGAGAACCCGGCGAGCCCUGACCCCAGGCAGGUCCCAGCGCCGGCUUCUCGGACAAUGACAAUCCGGCCCCACGGCCUUGUAACAUUACCCUUGUACCCCUGGGGGGUUGGCCUAUCACUACUAGGGAAAACCUUAUACAUAGAAUCUUAGCAGCAGCGCGGCACAAAAAGAGGCGCUACUGCUAAUUAGCAGUAGCGAGGUUAAGAAAAGCACGCUACUGAUGUAUAGCGCGUGAUGUCUAAACCGCGCUGCUACAAAAAUCUACCGACACUACCCAACAACCUAAGUUUACCAGCAGCGCUGUGUGACGAUGCGCGCUACUGCUAAUGCGAUAGUAGUAGCGUGCUUUUGAGUCACGUCGCUGCUGCUAAUUUUGAAAUUGUCCACACGGUUGGCCCGUUUAGCAGUAGCGCGUGUGAUGAAAGGGCGCUGUUGCUAAGCUCUUAGCAGUAGCGCGUUUUUCCUCCCGCGCUACUGCUAAGACGCAGCACCCCACCACCUUUUCCCACCCGUACGUCCUCCCCUCCCCCAUCUCCUCUCCUCCCUUUCCCCUACCUCCCACAUCCUCCCUCUCUCACUCUUCUUCUUCCUCAAUACUUCUUCCUCAAUACUUCUCCCCCCAUUACUCUCCCUCUUCUACCUACCUUUCUCUCUCUUCAUUACUCCUAGCUAACUAACACCACCUCCAUCAAUGCAUCUCCUUUCUCUUUUUCCUUCCCCCUCCACUAGUUGAAGUUGUCUCCUCCCAAAUUAGCUAGCUAGGUAGAUGUAGCAUUUAGUCAAGUGACCUAUUUGCCCCCUAACUAGAUCUAUCUUUGUCAAGAAGAGCUUUGUGCACUUGAUCUCCCUACAUCAUCAUCUCCACCGUGUGCUCGAUCUCGAGAUAGAGGUGAUUAAAAUUUCAUGCUUUUGCAAAAUGGAAAUAUGUGUAUGUGUGUGUGAUAUGAUAAUUGGGCAAUAUGAUGGAAAUUGUGUGUGUGGCAUGAGUUGACGCCAAAUUGUGCUUUUGAGUUGCCUAUGUUUUGCCGAAAUGUCGAUUUAUUUCCGUUUCGGCGAAUUCCGGGCAAACUCUAGAUCUAUAUAUGUCCUAUUUUUAGGGAAGGUCAUGCCGAAUUUUUGUAUGACUUUGAUGCAUGCACGCAUUUUUAUAAUCAAUUUGUUUAUUAUUACCGUGCAGACGUUCAUGAUGGCAGUGGAACGAUGGUGGACAGGUGGUUGCGGUCGGUGGUGUAGGACAUGAAAGAAAAUAACCGGACAGAGGUUUUAUGUCCGUGUCAGAAAUGCAAAGGAAUAGUUUGGCUCGACCCCUAUGACGAUGGUCGUGUCGAAGCACACCUGCUCAUGACUGGUUUCAUGGAUGGCUAUACUCGAUGGAUAAUUGAAGAUGAGGAUGACGAUGUUGAGGACACCGACGGGGCAGGCAAUGACGACACGGGGCAAGAAGAAGAGAUGAUCGAUAAUGGCGGCGGGGAAGAGGCCGGACAUGGCGGCGGAGAAGGGGCCGGACAUGGUGGCGGAGAGAACGACAUGGACUCCACGCAGCAGAGUUCGUCGGUACUAAGUUCAAUCGUGCGGGACCCUCAUGUUCAAGCACUGCUUCACAAGGAGACGAGUACUGAGAGAGCUGCUUCUAGAGAGGAGGCUAAGCUGGAGCAACUGGUGGUAGACUCAAACACUCCAUUGUAUGAUGGUUGCAAUCCUGAGGUGACCCGCUUGAGUUUCACGCUCCAACUCCUGAAGACGAAGGCUAAAAACAAAUGGACCGACACUAGCCUCGAUGAGCAUCUCAAGUACCUAAAGGAUGUUCUUCCCGCGGGGAAUCUAUGUCCUACUAGUGUUGAUGAGGCCAAGAAGAUCGUGUGCCCUCUUGAUCUGCCGCACGUUAGAUACCAUGCAUGCAUCAACGAUUGCAUAAUUUAUCGGAAGGAGCACGCGGAAAAAACCAGCUGUCCGGUGUGCAAUGCUUCUCGAUACAAGAAGGCCGGGAAGAAAUGUCCCCAGAAAGUUGUAUGGUACUUACCGAUCACUCCCCGUCUCCAGCAGUAUUUCAUAGAUCCCAAGGAAGCAAAGCUAAUGCGCUGGCACGCGGAGAGGAAGAAGCCCGACGAUGGAGAUGAUCCGAAGCUGAGACACGUCAAGGAUGGAAGCCAGUGGAGAGCGUUGAACAACUUCUAUCGGUAUUUCGAAUGUGAUGCAAGGAACAUCGUGCUCGGCGCGUGUACCGAUGGCAUGAAUCCGUUUGGCAACCAGAACACCAACCAUAGCACAUGGCCCGUGUUUGUAUGGAUGUACAACCUCCCCCUGGUUGUGCAUGAAGUCGAAGUACAUUCACAUGAGCAUGCUUAUUCAAGGGCCAAAACAACCAGGAAAUAAUAUUAAUUUGUAUCUUGGGCUACUUCAAGAGGAGUUAGACACAUUAUGGAAAACAACGGCCAAGACAUGGGACACCAGCAAAGGCGAGUAUUUCUACAUGAGAGCCGCGCUGAUCACGACGGUGCACGACUAUCUCGGUUAUGGAUAUGUCGUAGGCCAGGUGUGCCAUGGAUAUUGCGAAUGCACGCGGUGCAUGGAUGAUACGACGUCUCAGCAGCUAACGUCAAGGAAAGAUGGCGGGUCUGGGAAAAUCGUGUACAUGGGGCAUCGAAGAUGGCUCGAACAGGACGACCCAUGGAGAAACCAUGGAGAUCUAUUCAAUGGUCACGCCGAGCAUCGAGGACCUCCACGUAAGCGGAGCGGUGCCGAAAUCGAUGAGCUGUUGAAAAACUGGAAGGAGUGCCCCGCGCCGGGGAAGACGAUGAAAAAGGCGCCAGAGCCGCUGCUGAAGGUAUGGAAGACGAAGUCUGUGUUCUGGGACUUGAGUACUGGCACAAACUCGAUACACCUCAUUACCUUGAUCAAAUGCAUAUCUGUAAGAAUGUCCUUGAGAGAUUGCUCGCGACACUGAUGAUCAUGCCGGAUAAGACCAAGGAUGGGCCGAAGGCAAGAAAAGACUUGCAAGAUUUGAAAAUCAGGGAAGAUCUGCACAUGCCGCCCCGUAAAAAGUUAGACGAGACAGAGACGGAGACAAAGGCGCGGGAGAAGAAGGGCAAGAAAAUAAAGAAAUAGGAUUAUUGCCCCCCUUCUUGCUUCACCUUAAGUCAGGCUGAGAUCGAUCAAUUCUUUAAGUGCCUUACUGGAGUCAAAGUUAGUUCCGGUUACUGUGGCAAGAUAAGUAGAUAUCUAGACACGGACAAGAAAAGGUUCAGCGGGAUGAAGUCCCAUGACUGUCAUGUGAUGAUGACGCAGAUACUACCUAUUGCCCUUAGAGGGAUAAUGGACAAGCACGUCCGUGACACGCUUAUUGGUCUCUGCAACUUUUUCGACGUCAUCUCUCGAAAGUCGAUCAGUCUGAAGCAGCUCCGAAGGCUACAGGAAGAGAUCAUUGUGAUACUGAAUGAGCUUGAGAUGUACUUCCCGCCCGCGUUCUUUGAUGUGAUGGUGCAUCUGUGUGUCCAUAUUGUGGACGACAUAAUAGACCUGGGGCCGUCAUUUCUGCACAACAUGAUGCCGUUUGAGAGGAUGAAUGGGAUCAUCAAAGGAUUCGUUCGUAACAUGUCCCGUCCGGAUGGAAGCAUCGUCCAGGGCUAUCUGACACAAGAGUGCAUCUCUUUCUGCAAGAAUUUUCUAUAUGGCGCAGACCAGCUGCCUGGUGUUAGUGUUGGUUUGCCCAUUAACAAGCACGAUGGGAGGCUCGAAGGAGAAGGUCACUCCAACGGUCGCAGGGAACUGCACGUGGCAUACUCAGAUCGACGCAGCGACUUUGACAGAACAAACUUGGUAGUGCUACAACACCUAGACGAGGUAGAUCCUUUCGUGGCACUGCACAAAGAAAUUAUCGCAAAGAAGUAUCGUGACCGGGGGGUAUGCAGGACGGACGCCGAAGUUACUAGAGAGCACAACUCCACUUUCCUGCAUUGGUUCAAAGAGCAUAUUAUUGCUAAUCCCCCGGAGGAGGGCUCUAAGGACGGAUUACUCAUAUACGCCUUAGCACAUGGCCCCUCGCCCAACCUCGUUACCUAUCAGGCAUACGAUAUCAAUGGAUACACGUUCUACACGGAGGCCACAGAUAUGGACAGUGAUGAUCAGAACUCAGGGGUGACGAUGGAAUGCAUGACCGGCAGCGACAACAGCGCAACUGAAAGAUUUUACGGAAGGGUCGAGGAGAUCUGGGAGCUUGACUACUAUGGACUGCACAACACGACGAUGUUCCGUGUCAGAUGGGCUAAGAAUGUCGAAAGAGAAAACCGAAAUUUCACUACCAUGACUAUACCCGACGCCAAGAGCCCUACCGUGAACGCUAUCGCAAAAAACGAGCCAUGGGUACACGCUAAGCACGUGACACAAUGCUUCUUCAUAACCGACCCGCGCAAUCCCAGCCGUGUUAUCAUGAGGAGAGGCAAAAGGAACAUCAUUUGAAUGGAUGGAGGCGCCAACGAGGAAGACUACGAUCAGUACGGCAACCCAAUGAGGGAAGAUGACGAUGAUGAUGAAGUAUACGUCAAAAUAAGAAUCAAUACUACAUUACCUAAGAAAAAUCGUACUCCAUGGAAAAGGCAAAGUCACAAUGAGGGGCUCAAUUAUUCUUCAACGAACAAGAAGGGAAAGAAGCUGACUCAAAAACGAAAACGUCAAUGAUGAGGAACCGUAUGUAUGUUAUCGGUCAAAUGAUGUAAUAUAUAUGUUCCUAUUUUGUAUACACACUUAGCCAUUAUUAUGCAUGGGUCCAAUAAUGUAAUAUAUAUACAUAUGUUCCUAGUUUGUAUACAUAUUUAACCGUCAAAUGAUGCAAUAUAUAUCGCCUUCCAUUCGUUCACUGCUCUCGGAAAAAAAGAAAAGUAAAGUGAGAGAAAAUAAAGGAAAAGAAAAUAGAAGGAAACAAACAGGAAAACUGUUAUAUAGGUGUUAUAGCAGCAGCACUUUUGUGAGAGAAGAGCUACAACUAGUCAAGAUAGCAGUAGCGGUUUCUACACGAAACCGCUAUAGCUACCUCGGGUAGCUAUAGCGCGUUUUUCCUAAACGCGCUACUGCUAUGCCCACUUAACCCCCAAAAUCGGUCCCCACUCCUCUAUUCAUCCCACCUCUUUUCCCCCAAAUCCCCCGUCGCACCGCGCGCCGGAGCCCUGCCCUCGUCGGGCCUCUGCGCUCGCCCCCGACCCCGACCGACCCCGGCGCCGGCUCCGUCCCCNNNNNNNNNNNNNNNNNNNNNNNNNNNNNNNNNNNNNNNNNNNNNNNNNNNNNNNNNNNNNNNNNNNNNNNNNNNNNNNNNNNNNNNNNNNNNNNNNNNNNNNNNNNNNNNNNNNNNNNNNNNNNNNNNNNNNNNNNNNNNNNNNNNNNNNNNNNNNNNNNNNNNNNNNNNNNNNNNNNNNNNNNNNNNNNNNNNNNNNNNNNNNNNNNNNNNNNNNNNNNNNNNNNNNNNNNNNNNNNNNNNNNNNNNNNNNNNNNNNNNNNNNNNNNNNNNNNNNNNNNNNNNNNNNNNNNNNNNNNNNNNNNNNNNNNNNNNNNNNNNNNNNNNNNNNNNNNNNNNNNNNNNNNNNNNNNNNNNNNNNNNNNNNNNNNNNNNNNNNNCCCCGACCCCGACCGGCCCCAGCGCUCGCCCACGGCCCCGGCCCCGACCCCGGCUCCGGCCCCGGCGCUCGACCCCGACACCGACCCCUCCCAACCUCGGCCGUCGUCGGGACUGCACCCUCCAUAAGCCCCCCACCGCUCCUCCUCUCUCUGGUAGCUAGGGUUUUUGGUUAAUUUACUUAGGUUUUAGUUAGGGAAGAUGGUUAAUUAGGUUAUAUAUUUAGUUAUGAAUUUAGCUAGGUUUUUUCUUCAAGUUCUAUAUUUUUCUUCCUUCUAUAUGCAAAUUUGAAGUGGACAUGUGAUAUGUGGACAUGUGAUGUUUUGGACAUGUCAUAUUUGGAAUUUGGACAUGUCAUUUGGACAUGAUGAUUAUGUGCAGGGUAAAUGAUCCAAGUGGCCUAUGUUACGCCGGAAUGUUGAUUCAUUUCUGUUCCGGUGAAUUUCAGGCGCUCGAUAUGUCCAUUUUUUUAGCAAAGGUCAUGCCAAAAUUUUCCGUGAAUUUUGGCAUGAUUUGUGCUAGACAGUAGGCAUAUCGAGUGCCGCGAGUUGCUGGGAAACGACAUUCCAGCAAACAUAGAUUUCUUUUUUAUGUCAUUUCUCAUUUUUUCAUAGUUUUAGAAUUAAACGACGAGACUUAAUCAUAGGAAACAUGUCGAACAACAAAGAAAUCGGGCCUACUGACCAAGAUGCAGACGAGAUGGAUUAUGAGGGUGAACAAGAGUACCUUGACUAUUUGACUGCUAAGAAAUUCCAAAGUCAAUGUUUGUAGGUCGGCCUAGAUGAUGGUACUGACGCCGACAUCGACACCGACGGCGCCGGCACCGAUGGCGGCGCCGAGACGGGCGGGGAAGGUAUCGGCGGGGAAGAUACCGGCGGGGAAGGUACUGGUGCCGAUGCCGCUAUCGAAAGGAAGAAGCAGAAGAAGCAGAGGAUACAAAAACCUAACAACCUAGGGAUUGGACGACUGGUGAUCACAAAGAUGGCACCUGGCAAGUUUGAGCCAUUAGAGGCGGAAGAACCUCGCAAGUGCUAUGGGAACCAAGUAGGAUGCAUCCUACGGGAAUGCGCGAGCAUCAACGACGAUGACUUAAGGAGUAAAGAACAUUUGAUGCAGUUGCUCCCGACGAAGUUGCCCAAGAGACUCAAGUUCCCCGACCGGGAUGAUAACAUAGAACAACCGUGGGAUGAUCCGAAGAUGAAAAAGAUUAACAAUCACGCCAUGGGCAUGUUCAGCAAUGAUUUGGCCUCCUGGAAAGGGGGGGUGAAACGAGCUAUUGAGGAUGAGGAACCCCUGUCCAAGAUUCUGGAGGAAAAUCCGACACUUACGGAAGAGGAGUUCGAAAAGUUCAAGGACACUUGCGCUACCGAGGCAGCCAAGGCUAAGGCUGCAAAAUUCAAGAGCCUUCAGCAAAGGAACACGGGGAAGCAUCGCCCCGGAAGUCGUGGCUACCUCGGUAAAAGGUCCAUAUGGGAUAAGGAGGACGCGGAACGUGAAGCCACGGGUAUCCCAGACCCCAUCGCGAAGUUCACCAACCCCUUGGAGCGUGACUUCAUCAGGGCCCGCUACAAGUGGGACAAGGAAAAGAAGGUUUUUUACACGGACCAGAUCACGAGGAAAUUGAUUAGACUACUGGUAAUUAUUCUUUUACCACCUUACAUUUAGCUCCAUAUCUAGUCGACUACACAUUCCUAAACAGUUCACACUCCUUCUGCAGGAGAAGCAACACCAGCUUGCAGCCGAAAGCCCUACUUCUCCGAUGAGGCCCAAGUGGGACACCCCUCUCAACCGGGCCUUGAACGAACUUAAGGGACUGCCUUUGGGCCAGCGGCCGCAAUAUAGUCGUGUGCACGGCGCUGGAGACGGCGCCACGUGGAAGGUGUUUUAGAACGAGGGCCCGGAGGCCAAGAAGCAGAAAAAGAAGUUUAGUCAGGCGGACAUCAACGAGAAGGUGAAGCUUGCGGUCGAGAAAAAAGCAGCUGAGGAUGCGAAAAAAAUAGCCGAGGAGAAAAAUGAGUUGCUACAACAGGCAGUCAAUGCAGCUGUAACUGCCUACAGAAAUGAUUUCGCUACUAACUUGGUUCCAGCUAUCAUCAACUGGACAAAGGAAAAUCCAGACAAGACGGUACAUGAUUUCCCGUUGCCCAGUUUCGUCAGGAGCAACUCCAUGAACAACAACACCACCGCACCAUCACUUGCUCACGCAACUGGGCCUCCUCUCGCAGUUGCUCCCGCUCAUAGCAGCCAUCCUCAGUCUCUGGCGCGCUAGGUGGGCCUUCAUCUUUGGCUGAGCUCGACGCCCUCACGGUAAUUACAUGUCGCACCAAAAUAUAUAGAAUAUUCCAUUUUCGUUGCCUUUCGGAUGUUUUAUGCCACAGACAUAUGUUUUUGCAGGCCGAAGAAACCCCGUGCACCAUACUCUACUUGAUCAAAGGCCAAAAGGUGGACGUGGGAAAGGGGAUGAUAAUUGUAAGUGCAUCUAGUGCCACCCCUAGUUGGUUUUGGAGUAUUGACGACAAACCUGGUUGAGGGACUAAUGUGUUUGUGAGAAUUGCAGGAUAACACAGGUAGUAGUCCCUCAUUGAUUCGGUUUACCUACCGGAGUUGACCCCUAAAAAUGUAUGAAGACAUUGAAGACAAUGGUGGUAUGUGAAGAUAUUCACAUUGAAGACUAUGACCUGAGAAGACAUUGUGUGAAGAGUAUGGAGCGCGAAGACUUAGUUGUUUCGUUGUUUCCUUUUCUUCUUUGUUGAGUCGUAGGAACCACCGUACUGUUAAGUGGGGUCCCAGUGAACAAAGUCAGAGUGACUGAAGUGAUGCUCAACCAAAAUCCUAUGUCUUCGAGCGAAGACAAUGAGAGCAAAUCAUAUCCAGAGCUGGAUGAGUCAGCUUACUUGCAGCCCAAGUCAAGCUGUCGCGUGUGUUUGAAAUAUGACCGUUGGAACACGUGUCAGUUCCUGAGUGACCCAGGGUCAUUUCGGACAAAUUAGGUCGGGUUGCCUAGUGGCUAUAAAUAGCCCACCCCCUACACCAUAAAUUGGUGGCUGCUCAGAGUUAGUGCACGGCUUCUGUCGUUUGAGAGCAACCCACCUCCGAAGCUUUUGAGAGAGAGAAAUCCUUGCGAGGACAAAGCCCAAACACCCAGAGCCAAAGAGUGUUAGGCAUCACUGAAGUCUUUCUGUCCGCGUGACCUGAAGACUUGUUACACUUGAGGACUGUGAAUCCUCCAGCCAGUUAGGCGUCGCGUUCUGAGCAUCCAAGAGUCAUUGUGGAUCGCCGGUGAACGAAGUCUGUGAAGGUUUGGAAGUCUACCUUGAAGACUUACCAGAGUGAUUGGGCGAGGACUGGGUGUCCUUAGCUCAAGGGGAAUAAGGUGAAGACGUGGUCUUCUGAGUUGAAUCUCAGCCUCCCUAACCAGACGUACAGUUGUCACAGCAACUGGAACUGGUCCAACAAAUCCUGUGUCCUCACCAAGUGACUGGUUCUAUCCUCUCCCUCUCUUUACCUACAGUUUGUCUUCGUGAAGUCAUUGCCUGCUUGCACUACUUGUUUGACUUCACUGUGUGACUACUAUCAUUGUUUGGCUUCAUACCAUCUUCCAUCCUGAUCUGUUCUACCUAGCUGCUAUUAGUCUUCGUGCUUUCACUUCAUUGCAUACUUGACUAUGGCUUGCUUAGUGUAGUCCACCUUCCACUGCAUAUCAAUAGGUUCAUUUCUAUUUGGACGUUCAUAAGACUCGCCUAUUCACCCCCCUCUAGUCGAUAACUAGCACUUUCAAUUGGUAUCAGAGCAAGGUACUCCCUUGUUCUGUGUGAUUUGGUUUAACCACCUGAAGUUUUAGCUAUGUCGACUGCAGGGAUAAUCAAAGUCUCCGCUGCUUGCCCCGUCUUCGAUGGAACUGAAUAUCCCUACUGGAAGAAUAAGAUGCGCAUGCAUCUUGAAGCCAUUGAUGUCGACCUCUGGUAUGUCGUCAAGAAUGGCGUUCCCAAGACUGGUGAAGGUGUCACCCCUGCUGAUGUCAAGAAGUUCAUUCAACUGGAUUCUACUGCCAAGAAUAUCAUCUGUGGUCAUCUGACCAAAGGAUAGUAUGGCCGUGUGAGUGCUCUGGAAAUGUCGAAGCUAGUCUGGGACUGGCUCUCCAAGGUCAACGAAGGCGUCUCAACCCAGAGAGAUCAAAGGAUCAGUGUUCUUCGCAACCUCUUCAACCGCUUCAAGAGAAAUGACAAUGAGAAUGUCCAGCUCACGUUUGAUCGCCUCACUGACAUCACAAAUGAGCUACGUGCUCUCGGCGCCACUGAGAUCACCAAGCAUGAAAUCUGCAAGACACUACGGAGAUCACUUGACAGCUCGUUUGACACCCUUGCCCUGAUGAUACAAGAACGCCCUGACUUCAAGACACUCGAUCCGUCUGAUAUACUUGAGAGGCUCAACACACAUGAGUUCCAGCUAUCUGAGAAAAGAGAUAUCUAUGGUCCCAACUAUGGCCGAACUCGUGCUUUGAAGGCAAAAGCUGUUUCCUCAUCUGAAGAAGAAUCUGACUGCAGUUCUGAUGAUCCUGAAGAUAUUGGAAAGGAACUUGCUAUGCUUGUGAAGAAGUUCCUGAAGUUCACUAAGGAGAAGGGCUUCAGAAAGUCUUCACGAUCGAGCUCAAGAAAUGAUGAAGCUUCCACUCAUGACUACAAGAAGAGAACAUGUCACAAGUGCAAGAAACCUGGACACUACAUCUCUGAGUGUCCACAGUGGGACAAUGAGAACAACAAGAAUAAGAAGAGCAAGGAAUAUGAUUCUGAUGACAAGAAGAAGAAGAAAUCCUCAAAGUCCUCUUCCAAGUCCUCAUCCAAGUCUUCAUCUCACAAGAAGAGCUCAUCUGGCAAGGCUCGUGCCUUUGUGGGCAAGGAGAUGGAUUCAGAGGAGGAGUCUGCUUCUGAGGAGGCGGAGGUGGAGUCUGAGGAGGAGUCCGACCCUGGCAUUGCAAGUCUGGCUCUAGCUACAGCCUACGUCGCCAAGUCUAUCUUCAACACUGAAGACAAUGGCCCCGUCACCAACGCUGAUGCUAAUGACAAGGACGACUCUGCUCCCACCUACUGCUUCAUGGCACGUGGUGCCAAGGUAAAAUCACGCUAUGCUUACUUUCAAACAUCAAGUGAAGACGACUCUGAUUGUGAAUCCAAACCCAGCUACAAAACACUUGCUAAAAUUGUAGCUGAACAACAGAAAGCUAUGGAACAUACUGAAAAACUGUUAGACAAACACGAUGACCUGUUGGACGCGGAAAUGACCCGUUCUCAGUCCUUAAUUGAAUACAUAAAAAAUAUUCAUGUUAAGUACCAGGAACUUGAAAGUCGUCAUGAAACGCUCUCAACCACUCAUGAAAAGCUCUCCUAUGAUUAUCUUCAAAGGAAGCUAGAGAUUGAGAAAUUGAGAGCGGCUCAUGAAGAUCUUCAAAAAGAAAAUGAGUCACUUCGCGCUCAACAGAUCAUGAAACGCUCUCAACCACUCAUGAAAAGCUCUCCUAUGAUUAUCUUCAAAGGAAGCUAGAGAUUGAGAAAUUGAGAGCGGCUCAUGAAGAUCUUCAAAAAGAAAAUGAGUCACUUCGCGCUCAACAGAUCAGUUCCGCUCAGGAAGGAUUUGAACCACCAUGUCUAAAAUGCCUUGAGCGUGAUAACGCUACUUCUAUUGCUGAAUGUUCUACUGCUGCUACUGUUGCAAUAUCUUCAACUGUUGAUGUGGUAACUAACCCCUCUGCUGAGGAUACCACUACUAUUGCUGAUGAAAAUGCUAGGUUAAAUACAUUGCUUGAAACAGGGAUGUACAAAAGUCUCAAAGGGCAUCAGACAUUGUGCGAUGUCCUCAAAAAGCAGAUUUUGAACCAAAACCCUAGGAAAGAGGGUGUUGGGUUCGAGAGGAAAAUGAAUGUUGAUGGCUCCUACUGGAAGCCUGAGCAGUAUCCCAAAACCACAUGGGUUGCUGCAAAGGGACCUUCAGUGGAUCCAUCCACCUUAUCUGGCUUCACUUGUGCUAACCCUAUUAUCAUUGAUGAAUCCUUUGAUGCAAACUAUAAACUGUUUAAGAAUCAGAAUGGUGAAGUGUUUGCCAGGUAUAUUGGUACUAACUGCAGGAAUGGGCCACCUAUGAAGAAGAUCUGGGUUCCCAAAAGUUGUCUUGAGAAUCUUCCUGUGAAUAUCAUCAUGACACCACCUGGGAAGAAGACAAAUCUCAGACCAAAGGCUUCAUAUGGUCCAAAGGCUUCAUACAGAUACAGGACUCAACUGAGUCACCCUAACGCCAAUGUUUUGCAGGGAAAUCGUACUAAGACUUAUGAAUAUGAGCGUGUGUCUUCAAACCGCUAUGUUCGUAAAACUAAGAACUUUUCUGCUUAUUCAUAUGAGUAUCAUUCAUCUCCUGCAAGGCUAUUUGCUAGGGCUCCAAAGCCGAAGUUCUCAGAUGCUGCACUUAGACUCAUUGCUUCUAAGCCACCCCUGAAGAUGUGGGUGGUUAAGAAGAAUUAACUUUCUUUUGCAGGGAAAGGUCUCCAGCCGGAAAUCAAAGGCGUUUGAUGCUAUUGCUGGGGACCUAAAACAUCUUGUAGGGCGCAAGAUCAAAUGCCCAAAUGGUCUUACUAUGUAUUUUGUUCCUGAAUCGCUUGCCAAUCAUCCUAUCAGUCCUAAUCUUGAUCUGAGCUUUGAUAAUCCUCUUGCCCGUCAAAUGUUUAUGCUUCACAAUACUCUUGGUGAAGCCUAUCCCCCUAACUGUACUAUAGGGUAUGACACUUCAUGCUUUAGAAUGGACGAUGGACAGCGGAUGCACUAAUCAUAUGACUGGUGAUCGAAGUCUUCUCAUGGACUCAACCUUACGACCAUCUGACAAGAGUCACAUCACAUUUGCUGACACUGGUAAAAGCAAGGUAUUGGGUCUAGGUAGAGUUGCAAUCUCAAAGGAUCAGCACAUGGAUAAAGUGAUGCUUGUUGAAUCCCUUGGUUUCAACUUAAUGUCUGUCUCAAUGCUUUGUGACUUAAACAUGAUUGUGAUAUUUGGAAAAUAUCGUUGCCUUGUACUAAUGGAAUCUGACAAAUCUUUAGUCUUUGAAGGGUACCGGAAAGAUGAGCUGUACAUGGUAGAUUUCUCAGCAGGACCACAGCUUGCCGUAUGUCUUCUUGCAAAAGCUUCAGAGUGCUGGCUCUGGCAUCGGAGGCUAGGGCAUGCUAGCAUGAGGAACUUGCAUACUCUCGCAAAGAAGAAGCAUGUCAUAGGCAUCGAGGGCGUCAAGUUCAAGAAGGAUCACUUGUGCGGUGCCUGCGAAGCUGGAAAGUUGACUAGGGCCAAGCAUCCCUCGAAGACAAUCAUGACGACAUCACAACCCUUCAAGCUGCUACACAUGGACUUAUUUGGCCCUACUCACUACUCUACUCUCACUACUACUGCUUGUCUUUAUGGCUUCGUCAUUGUUGAUGAUUACUCAAGAUAUACGUGGGUGCAUAUAAUUCUCUACAAGACUGAAGUGCAGGAUGUCUUCAGACAAUUCGCCAACCGUGCCAUGAACAACUAUGGCGUCAAGAUCAAGCACAUCAGAAGUGACAACGGCACAGAGUUCAAAAACACCGGCCACGAUCUUUACUUGGAUACACUGGGAAUCACUCAUGAGUUCUCAGCUCCGUAUACACCUCAGCAGAAUGGCAUCGUGGAGCGCAAGAACAGAACGCUCAUUGAGAUGACAUGGACAAUGCUUGAUGAAUACAAGACUCCAAGAAAGUUCUGGCCUGAAGCUAUUGAUACUGCAUGCCAUGUCAUCAACCGUGUUUAUCCUCACAAGCUUCUGAAGAAAACAUCCUAUGAACUCCUCACUGGUAAGAAGCCGAAUGUCAGUUACUUCAGAGUAUUUGGUGCUAGGUGCUGGAUCAAGGAUCCACAUCACACUUCAAAAUUUGCACCGAAAGCACAUGAAUGUUUUAUGCUCGGUUACGGAAAGGAUUCGCACUCCUACAGAGUCUUCAACCUCUUUCACUAUAAAGUGGUUGAAACUAUGGAUGUGCGGUUCGAUGAGACUAACGGCUCGCAAAGAGAGCACCUGCCAAAUGUGCUAGAUGAUGUUCCACCUAGUGAAUCCAUCAAGCUCAUGGGAACUAGAGAAAUCAUACCGUCUGAAGCACAGCCUGAAGAGGAACUUAUCAUUUCUGCACCUAAUCAACCAGAAGACAGUGCUCAGCCCGAAGACAAUCCUCCUAACGAUGACAAUGAUCAGCAAGAGCAAAAUCUUUGUCCGGUUCAUCCUCGUGUUGCAACUGAAGUACAGAUUGAGAAGAUAAUUGAUAGCAUCAAUGCGCCUGGUCCACUCACUCGUUCAAGAGCAACACAGCUAGCAAAUUUUUGUGGGCACUUUGCAUUUGUCUCAAUAUCUGAACCCAAGAAAGUCGCUGAAGCCUUCAUGGAACUUGAAUGGAUUCAAGCCAUGCAAGAAGAGCUUCAACAGUUCAAGCUGAACAAUGUCUGGGAACUUGUCAAGCGUCCUGACCCCCGCAAGCACAACAUAAUAGGCACACAAUGGAUAUAUCGCAACAAGCAAGAUGAGCAUGGUUAAGUUGUCAGAAACAAGGCUCGUCUCGUUGCUCAAGGAUACACUCAAGUUGAAGGGAUUGACUUCGAUGAAACAUUUGCUCCUUUGGCUAGGCUUGAAGCUAUUCGCAUAUUGCUAGCCUAUGCAAAUCAUCACAACAUCCUGCUGUAUCAAAUGGAUGUGAAGAGUGCAUUUCUCAAUGGAAAGAUUGAAGAAGAAGUGUAUGUUGCACAACCUCCUGGCUUUGAAGAUCCAAAACAUCCUGAUAUGGUGUACAAACUAAACAAGGCACUGUAUGGCCUCAAACAAGCCCCUCGCGCUUGGUAUGAUACACUCAAAGACUUCCUGAAGAGCAAAGGCUUCAAACUUGGUUCCCUGGAUCCCACACUCUUCACGAAGACAUAUGAUGGUGAACUAUUUGUAUGCCAAAUAUACGUGGAUGACAUUAUCUUCGGCUGCACCAACCAAAAAUACAGUGAUGAGUUUGGACACAUGAUGCAAGAGCAAUAUCAGAUGUCCAUGAUGGGUGAGCUGAAGUUCUUCCUUGCUCUUCAAAUCCGUCAACAAAGCAAUGGCAUCUUCAUAUCUCAAGAGAAAUAUCUCAAAGAUUGCCUGAAGAAGUUUGGAAUGCAAGACUGCAAAGGUUACACGACGCCAAUGCCAACCAAGAGUCAUUUGGGUCCUGAAGCCAAUGGUAAAGAGUUCGAUCAAAAGGUAUACCGCUCCAUGAUUGGUUCUUUACUUUAUUUAUGUGCAUCUAGGCCAGAUAUUAUGCUUAGUGUUUGCAUGUGUGCUCGAUUUCAAGCGGCACCAAAGGAAUCACAUCACUUAGCUGUGAAGCGAAUUCUUCGAUAUUUGGCUUACACCCCAACAUUAGGAUUAUGGUAUCCAAAGGGCUCAGAGUUUGAUCUAGUUGGAUUCUCGGAUGCUGAUUAUGCUGGUGACAAGGUGGAUCGCAAGUCUACAUCAGGCACAUGUCACUUUCUGGGACGAUCACUUGUCUGUUGGUCUUCAAAGAAGCAGAACUGUGUAUCACUCUCCACUGCUGAAUCUGAAUACAUUACUGCUGGAUCUUGUUGCGCUCAGCUUCUAUGGAUGAAGCAAACACUCAAGGACUAUGGCAUCCAUCUGAAACAAGUACCACUAUACUGCGACAAUGAAAACGCCAUCAAGAUUGCCAACAACCCAGUUCAGCACUCGAAGACAAAGCACACUGAAAUUCGUCAUCACUUUCUCAGAGAUCAUGUCAUGAAGGAAGAUAUUGAUAUCAUACACGUCAACACUGAAGAGCAACUGGCAGAUAUCUUCACAAAGCCCUUGGAUGAGAAAAGGUUUUGCAAGUUGCGGUGUGAGCUAAAUAUCUUGGAAUCCUCAAAUGUCCUGUGAUCAGGCACAUCUCCUAACACUUAUGCAUGUUGAUGACUUCGAUGUGCAACACACGAAGUAAAGUAUAUCUUCAAUCAAUGAAGACUUACACUCUAAGUGUGAAUACAUUAACGCGAAAUUUGACUUCGGAGCGCCACAAUAAUUGUGCGCCGUGUCUGGGUCUAAUACUUCCUAUACGGUGGGUAACACCACCACCAAAUUUUUCUGUUUGAAGUGUUUUUCUCAUGGCGUUACAUUUGCUAUGUCUUCGCAUUUGGUUUGUCUUCAAUAUCAACAUGACUUCAUGUUUUUCUUCACAAUGAUGAUUUGGUUUCAUUCUGAUAUAUACAUAUACAUAUAUUAGUGUUCUGUCCUCUACAGCAUUCACUUAUAGCUAUGUCUUCUUGUUUGAAUCUUUUGAACUAAGUGAACUAGAUGAUUCCCCGCGCGUUGCUGCGGGACUUUGUUGUGGAUUUUCUGUGACAUCACUACAUCAAAUAAGAAAAUAACUUGAACAAAUAAUAUGAUAGAUUUUUCCAUAGGGAGUUGUGAAUGGCUGCCGAACAACACAACCCACUAUCGAAACAUGGACCCUAAAUAAUAAGCAAUACAACAUGGCAAGCAUUCACACAAUGGUAAGACGACAAAUUUCCAAAAAAAAGUAUGUACUGUAUUGACAUAGUUCAAGCAAAUACAUAUAGAAGCAAGAAUGUUGAGCCCCCCAAGCUGUAAGGGCUUAAAGAUGGCUCCUGGAAGAUGGGUCACUAAACAUUAUUUGUGUGAAAACAGUACUACAUACACCUGCAAGCUACCAAGAAGAGAAGUGAACGACAUAAGCUUACGGAAUACGGAUAUGGGAAAAAGGGUCAAAUUUGGUGCUUGCAAAGAUGAGUAUUUUUAGUUUGGCUGUUGAGUCAGUGAACUCAUGUGUUAAGAUGCUGUUUUGAUUGAUACCAAGAAUACAUGAGAUCUCAUGUGCUUUUAGAUAAAGUGAUAGAUAUAAUACAUGAGAACUUGAGAUCUCAAGUACUUCAUCAACCUAACUAACCUCUAUUAAGUUAUCUACGGUACUUUUUCAGCUCGUGCAACCAGGGUUGGUCAUGGGAUUAGAACAGGUGGCAAUGGUGUGUGCGUGGCGUGGUCCGCGAGUACGUCCAUGACCUUGUAGAACCGCGACCCCCAAUCUUAUAACCACAAGGGUAAAUUAGAAAGAUUAUCAAAAACUCAGUACCGACUAACAAAAUAAUAUGGUCCCUUGUAUUGUGCUCCACAUGCUAGUUAACCUUAAAACUGUUCUCAGAAAGUGUCUCAUUAAAUUGAUUUAAUUAAUAACAUGUUAAUACAUAAGUGCUCCACAUGCUAGUUAACCUUAAAACUGUUCUCAGAAAGUGCCUCAUUACAUUGAUUUAGUUAAUAACAUGUUAAAUACAUAAGGCGGGGAACAUGCAAAGACAUGGAUGUGUCUCAUAAAUUCAUAGUACGAACAUUGAUUCACUGAAUUCAAUAUAGGUAAAGUCUCAAGUUCACCAUAGUAAUCUGACAACAAAAGAGAGAACCUGGCAUAUAGAGGGGAUCGUGACGGGUCGCAGGCAAUGUCGAGGGCACAGCUGGGUCCUGGCCUAAUACGUUUCCCACCCUCCCGUUAGUGAUUGCAAGAGAAACCUGCAUGAAAAGGUGGCCUGAUAAGGACAAUUCUAAUUCAGCAACUUAGUAGUAAUUUAUUGAUGACUAAACAAACUGUAUUGACCACGUAGGUAUGCUAAUAUGGCUGUAGUUCUACCUGUAGACUAAAGAUGGUCAAAAAUUCGGUAAUAUCCAUGUAGAAAAUCAUGGAUGCACACCAUUUGAUCAGUUGGUAGCAGUGAACACCAAAGUAAGAGAGCAUUUUAUGUAGCUUCAGAUAGUAAGCAGCAAAGUAACAGUGGCAAUACAUGGUCGCAUCAAGGCUCUUUUUGGGUAUGCAUUUAUAGAUAAGUCAAUUUGACCUGCAGCUUUAGGAAGACAGUUAAAUUUAAGAGCGAAAUAUCAGUAUAGCAGUCAGAUCGAUAGUAUCAAGUUUCAGCAUCUCUAUAAUCUGAUAUUUGCAUCAACCAAGCAUGAAUAUUGCAACACGGUAUCUCUGCAGCUUGUGCAGUUAUACAAACAUCAAUUGUAAAAUCUCUGUAUUAAGAACGGACCUGUAAAAAACAAAAAACUGGAUGUCCGAGACCAGAAUCAACGAACGCCGCGAGUAAGAAGGUGUAGGGAGAACCUUGCAUGGAGAAGGACAGUAGCAAAAUGGCCACCCACCCACCCACCCGCCCGCCGCCACCCUAAAACCCUAGCCCACUCACCGCCGGCGAUCUCCACGUCUGACCGUGGGAUCACUCAUCGAAUCCGGCCAUCGUGUUCGGCGUCGUCUGCUCCCUCUUUUGGUUGUCAUCUCAAUGGCGGUACAUGCUUCCAUCUCCCUAGGUUUGGAUUUCUCAGCGGGGAUGAGCAUGGCGCAUGAGAUCGGCCGCUUGUUUCACCGCACGGUCCAUCCUACGGAUCGAUCUGGCCACUUUGUCCUGGUGGCUUCAUUUGCAUGGCACUCUUUCCAUUUGGACGAGGACAAUGUGGGCUUGGCACUUGAAUCAGCCAUUGGUGGAUAUUGUUCUGCUCUCAAGGUAUCUCAACUGCAUGAUCGUGUUUUCUCUUUCAAUGUUUCGUGCAAAGAAGUUGGGUUUUUUAUCUUGCAUCAAAGGAGUUUUGUCUACCCGCAAUUCAAAUGUUACUUUCAUCUUUGGGGUCAUGGUGGCCCAGAUUGGGAAAAAGAAUUUAGGUUAUGGCAAUCUGAAUGUGAUCAGGAGUGGACUUUGAUUAGUCCCUCUAAGAAGAGAGCUAGGUUAGGAUUGGAAGCCAUGCAACAUGCCCCAAGGAAAUCUUCUCUCUGUACUCAAUCAGCUAGAUCUAAGCAUUCCAAGCAUAUUCAAUUUGCCACGUUCAUGCAAUACCCGACUAGAAAAGGUUAUAAUUAUGGGCCUACGUCUGAUGAGGUCACAAUUGUCCGGGAGGCAGGCUAUGUGGUCUCUGGGCAUGAAGCUGUUUCUUCUACGUCGUCGGCAUCUUCGCCGGUACCUGUUUCUUCUUCGUCAUCGGCAUCUUCGCCGCCGGCGUGCCCAGUCAUUCAGUUUGGAACGUUGCCGCCAUCCCCGCAGGGAUCCCAUGCAUGCGACAAGUCUGGAUUUUCGGGUGGUCUAUUGUUACCUGCCACGGCAAGUUUAGACUCGCCCGUAUUGCCUUCUGUUGCAUCUUUGGACCUUGUCACGGCCCUGGGCUCUAGUGCCCAGCCCAUCUACCUAUCGGAUGAUGAAGUUGAAAGCCCAUCUUCGCCGGCGAUUCAGUUUCCCUCUCCAAAAGAUAUUGUUGAUGAUCUGCAGAGUUUUGAUGAGAUGAUUGAGGAUUUAGCUGCAAGCUAUUGGGACUACCAGAAUUGUUUGGGCAUGCGCCACACGUCAGAGACCUGCACAAACCUGAUACGGUGCAGAAAUUGUUUUCGUUCCGGUCAUAUUAAAAAAGAUUGCACCGGUCACGCUCCUGACUUAUCCCUUUGGGUGCCCAAAGUCCCAUCACCUUGCUUUGGAAAUCAUGAGAGGAAGGAAAUUUACUCUGCUUCCCUUGCCUCUUCGGUUUCCCAAGAACAAACGCCUCCCCAGCAUAAAACCCCACCUCCUGCUACUCCACCGUCAUCGCCAUUGCCACGCCCGCCGCCGCAAACCACAUAUCACCAAGCAGCAUCAAGCUCUGAUCCUCGCCCGCCUCCCCCAAUGGCGGUGUAUGAGAUCGAUCCGUUUUGCUUCAUCCCUGCUGGCUUCGACAUUGUGGAUGGUGGUGCGGAUCGUCUGCCGCGCACCUACUACACUCCGGCGAUCCCUCCCCCCCCGAGUGCAUGAGCAGUACAUGGUGGCAAUCGUUGAGCCCGUCCCCCCGGCUCAUCUGGUUGGUGCUCGUCGGCAGGAGGUGCUUAACUUCUUAGUUCAGACCAUGCAUGUUCCUGUCCUCUCUGCUCAAACUUGGUUUCAAGGAGUUGGUUUAUUCAAGAUGGAAGAUCCUGUGGUCCGUGACUCUUUCACUUCGCAUCCGCCUUUUCCUUUGGGUUUAGAUGAGGAUGGCCAGGAGUUCUUCGUCAGAUUAAUUUUGCAUAACCAGGGAGAGGGUUUCAGAGCUCUACAUGGACACAUACAUGGUUGGUUGAUGUUUAUUGGCAUACCUCUGGAUUACCGUAAUACACAGUGCAUUGCGGAUAUGGUUAGUACCUUUGAUCAGUUCCACUACUGGAAUAGUAUAGAUCGUCAGAAAGUCAGAUCAUUGGUUCGAGCUUCGUUCCCUGACAAUGCGCUGGUUCCACGCUCGGUUGCUUUUAGGGAAUUUCCUAAUUGGGGCGGUACUCUAGUUUCUUGGACGGCUGGCUGCUAUAUCCUGGAUGGUGACUUUGCUGAGGCUAUGGUUCCAGCGGAUGAGGACCCUAUGCCCCUAGAUGGCAACCCACAUCCCAUGCCAGGCGCUAAUGCUCCCCCUCAGCCAUUCUGGGCCAUGCCGCCGUACCCUGCUUUGGGUUGGAAUGCGGUGCCCCCUGGUCAUGAUCAAGGACACAAUGAUGCUCAAGGAUGGGGACAGAACUUGAACAAUGAAGGUGGUUGGGGGCCUUGGGAGGAAGCCAACCAGCCCGCCCAUGAACCUGUACAGGACCCAAUCGUACAGGACCAAAACUCCAUGAUCCUCAAUCCAUCCAUGAAUUCUGAUGAUGAUGCUGACAUGGAAGAUGUUCAGGAGCCUUUGGUCCAUGUUCAUCCAGCGGGGCCGCUCGAUCCUAUCAACCUGGGUAUUGUCAGGGUGUUCUAUGGGCCGGUGCCACCACCAGCAAUGAUUUGGGAAAAAUCUUUCAAGUCCUUGAUGCCAGAGUUCUUAAUCAUGAAUAUUCCAGCCUUUCUGCCAGGCCUUUGCUUGCCGCCCUUGCCUGUUAAGUUGAGCUCGCCUCUUUUGGAGCAAUGCUGGCACUCCCUGGCUUUCUACAAGACUGAUUUCUGCACUCAACCACGCCCCUCUAUUGUACUUCAAGACAUACCAGAUGAUUCGCAGGACCCUGCCUCUCAAGCAAUGGAUCAUUCCCAGGAUGAGUUCCUGUUCAGAUCUGUCACCCCCUCGCCCUUGGGGAAGAGACCACGGCAAGCUCGUCACUCCAAGCGUGAUGUUCAGAUCGUUCAAGAGUUGGCUGAUUUUUCUGUCAGACGGAUGACACGCAACUGUGCAAAAAGGACUGGCAUGAAGCCCACCUCUGCAAUUCCUGUGAAGCCUACUCCUCUCCGUCGCCCAAGGCCAAGAAGCUCAAGCUCGACGCGGAUGCAGGCCAAGAUACUCCUCUGCCACCUCCGACGCUGAUCGCUACAAUGCAGGCAAUCGGCUCUUCACUUGUGUAACGCCCACGAUGCGGCUAUAUCUCCCACGUGUCGAGGCACGACUUAGAGGCAUAACCGCAUUGUGGUUUUGUCGCAAGAAGGGUCAUCUUCACACAAUCCCAUGUAAUGAACAAGAAUGGGAUAAAUAGAGUUGGCUUACAAUCGCCACUUCACACAAUACAUAAAUUAAUUCAUACAUCAUCCAAAAUCCACACAUAGACCGACUACGGUCAAAUCCAAAUGAAAAGAAGAUAACCCCAAAUGCUAGAUCCCCGAUCGUCCCAACUGGGCUCCACUACUGAUCAUCAGGAAACGAAACAUAGUAACGACCAAGUUCUUCGUCGAACUCCCGUUAGAGCUCGGUAGCAUCACCUGCACUGGUAUCAUCGGCACCUGCAACUGUUUGGAAGUAUCUGGUGAGUCACGAGGACUCAGCAAUCUCACACCUGCGAGAUCAAGACUAUUUAAGCUUAUGGGUAGGAGAAGGUAGUGAGGUGGAGCUGCAGCAAGCACUAAGCAUGUAUGGUGGCUAACAUACGCAAAUAAGAGCGAGAAGAGAAGCAACGGAACGGUCGUCAACUAGUAAUGAUCAAGAAGUGAUCCUGAACUCCUACUUACGUCAAACAUAACCCACAAACCGUGUUCACUUCCCGGACUCCGCCGAAAAGAGACCAUCACGGUUACACACGCGGCUGAUGCGUUUUAGUUAAGUCAAGUGUCAAGUUCUCUACAACCGGACAUUAACAAAUUCCCAUCUGCCACAUAACCGCGGGCACGGCUCUCGAAAGUUUAUACCCUGCAGGGGUGUCCCAACUUACCCCAUUAUAAGCUCUCACGGUCAACGAAGGAUAUUCCUUCUCCCGGGAAGACCCGAUCAGUCUCGGAAUCUCGGUUUACAAAACAUUUCGACAAUGGUAAAACAAGACCAGCAAAGCCGCCCGAAUGUGCCGACAAAUCCUGAUAGGAGCUGCACAUAUCUCGUUCUCAGGGCACACCGGAUUGUCCAAACUUCCGGUAGGCGAGCCCAGAGUUGCCCCUGGUGGCCACCGGUGGCUGACAGGUUGGACCAACACUCAGAGGAGCACUAGCCCAGGGGUUCAAAAUAAAGAUGACCCUUGAGUCUGCAGAACCCAAGGGAAAAAAAGGCUUAGGUGGCAAAUCUUAAAACCAAGGUUGGGCCUUGCUGGAGGAGUUUUAUUCAAGGCGAACUGUCAAGGGGGUCCCAUAAAUCACCCAACCGCGUAAGGAACGCAAAAUCAAGGAACAUAACACCGGUAUGACGGAAACAGGGCGGCAAGAGUGGAACAAAACACCAGGCAUAAGGCCGAGCCUUCCACCCUUUACCAAAUAUAUAGAUGCAUUAAUAAAAUAAGAGAUAUUGUGAUAUGCCAAAAUAUCCAUGUUCCAACAUGGAACCAACUUCAACUUCACCUGCAACUAGCAACGCUAUAAGAAGGGCUGAGCAAAAGCGGUAACUUAGCCAAACAACGGGUUGCUAGGAAAGGAUGGUUAGAGGAUUGACAUGGCAACAUGGGAGGCAUGAUAUAGCAAGUGGUAGGUAGCGCAACAUAGCAAUAGAACGAACAACUAGCAAGCAAAGAUAGAAGUGAUUUCGAGGGUAUGGUCAUCUUGCCUGAAAUCCCGCAAGGAAGAAGAACGAGUCCAUGAAGAAGACAAACGGACGUAGUCGAAUGAAUCCUCACAAACGCAACAUUACUGGAACUAUCAAGGGGAAGCGCAACCGGAAAGAAGCAAACAACAUGGUAAACAACCAUCACAUAAGCAUGGCAUGAUGCACAAUCAAGUAUGAUGCAUGUCCGGUUUAAAGAGGCAUGGCAAGGUGAAGCAAACAAUACUACAAUUUAAGUGGAGCUCAAUAUGCAACGGGUUGCAUAUUGACGAAACACCACAUCAAUUAUUUAGUUCGCUCUUGUUUAUGCUACUCAUCAAUAUUAAAUGUUGGUUAACAUGGCAAGAGGUGAGGCUUAACAAAACUACCUAUCUAGGCAAAUUUAAAUGAGGCCGGAACAACAAACAACAAUUCCGGAAAAUCCUCAUGUGCAUAUUUUAUAUUUGGUACUGUUCUGCCUAAAACCAUAUUUUAAUGGUAUUAAACAGUAAAACAAAGUGCACCAUGUUAAUCUAUGCAUUUUUCCACUCCAAUUACGUAUAAAGUUUAUUUAAUUCGGAGCUACGGUUAUUUAAAUAUGAAAUAAAUCUUUUUAGCAUGGCAUUUGAGCAAAUUUAAUCAAACAGCAAUUUAAACAUUUCAAACAUGGAUGAAAGUAGCAUAUUAUGAAACUAGAAAAAAUUCUAAGCAUUUUACAUGUCUAAAUCAUUUUAAUCCGAUGCACGGUUGUUGAGUUAUUAAAUGCAUGAUGUUGAGGGUUUUUCUGUAAAACUGCAGUUCCUGGAAAAAUAGUUAAAAUCGUUCCGUGGAAAAAAACAUGAAUCGGGCCGAAUCUGCUGGCCCAACAGUGCACAGAGGGGGCGCUGGAUCUGAUGCUCACCAUGGGUUUGGCCCGGGUCGGUGGAGAGGGGAGGCAGGGCGAAGUGGGGCUGGAGACGCGUUGGGCCUUCGCGCCCUUGCAGCCCACGCACGCGACGAGGAGGCACGAGGCAGCAGGCGUCGCCCUUCUUUGCUUGAUGCAGAGACUGAAGCCGACCGCGGUGGCUUCAGGUGAGACAGGGGACGACAUCUACGCGGGGAACGCAAGGAGGCGGCGGAGACGAGCGGAACCAGACGCGUGAUGGUGUUCUCCGGCGAGGUGGCACGCGGGCGAAGCUGAAGGUUGCGGCGCAUGUUCUCUGUUCAAAUGCAGAGAAGGUUUCAGAGAGAUAAAGAAAUCGGGGUGGAAACAAGAAGGCCGUGAGGAGGCUUGCUGACCAGCGAAGGAAUGGCCAGGAUCCGGCGGAUCCUGAUGCGAUCGAGGCUGGGGAACGGCGAGGCCGGAUGGAUCCACCUCGGACCCGGCGAGGCAGCUUGAGCUCGGCGGCUGGACUCGUUCUGUAGGCAAACAGAGAGGGAGAGAUAUUUAGAGAAGCAGAACGAAAAGGGAAAGAAGAGAGAAGGCGAGGGCGACGGGCGCGCGACUUGCAGGGCUCCGGCGACGAGGCAACGCGGCGGCCACGGACUUGGCGAAGCAGGGGAGCUCCGGGACAUGCGGGACGCGGGGAUGGACGCUGGAGGACGGAUCCGUCCGUCUCCCGGCUGGCCUGGUGCAAACGGCGGCGAGGGAGCUGCGGCCAACCAUGGCUGUUCCUGGUACAGAGAGGGAGAGGCAUGAGAGACGAGGGAGAGGUGCGGCGGCCUGCUCGUACUCGAUGGCGAAGGGACGAAGCAGCAUCGGCGGUGGCGCUCGCCGGCACGGUGCUGGAGACGGCAGAUGCAAGGGCAAGGGAGGAGCACGACGCAGGGGCUCCUCGGGCUCAGACGUGAGGAAGGAGGAGGCAACUGCGGGCUGGUUGGUCCGAUGAAGAAAAUGAGGGAGGAUUUUUGGAUCGGGAGGGGAUCCCGAGGUGGGAGACGACCAGGUGGAGUGUGGCGGCGGCUAGGAGGACAAGGGGGUGGAUUUCUACGGUUAUCCAAAAUGGACUAGGAAUUGACUAUAAAUAUGGAAAGGAGGGAAGUUUGGAUCUUCUGAUUGAAAUCUGACGGACGAGAAUAAAUAGGCUACGGAGUCCAAUAAAUAAAACAAUCAUAUCUUAGGGAUACUUGGAGAUGAUCCGGAUCCAUCGGUAACGACAGCCGGGUUCGGGUUCAGGGAAGUUUUGGAAGCGCACACGAGGGGGUCUGUGCACUAUACAGAGAGACUCCAGUUUAGGCAAGAGGGAAACGGAGAACAAGGUUGGCUCAGAACGGUCAACAAAAGCAAGGGGGGAUGCGGCAACUACGAGUAGAUGCGAGUUUUAAAAAGAAUGACGACAACGAGUGCCGAUGCAAUGCGGAUGAUGCCAUGAUGAAAUGCAACAAACAAAAUAAAACACACGACGGCAACGAAGAACAUUGAAGGCUUCUGAAGCGUCGGUCUUGGGGCGUUACAACACUCCACCACUACAAGAGGAUCUCGUCCCGAGAUCUAAGGACGGCACCGGAGAAAAGCGGAAGAGGAAGAGAAGAGGUAAAGCUAAGUUGCUUCUUUGACAAACGAGUGAAACCACGAACCUUGAGAGAUUGAAUGAAUGAAAAGAGAGAAUACAAGGGAGAUGAACGAGAUUGAAAACACUCCGUUAUCAAAGAGGAACAAGGAACAUUGCGAGAACCUUUGUAGGUUGAAUAAUAUGAAACAAGAGCUUAACGGAUCAGAAGGAAUAUGAAAGCACACCGGUAGAAAAGAGAAACAAGGAACACCAUGUGAACCUUGGAGUUUGCAAAGCUAUGAAUGACGAGAACAAUGGACGAGAAGUACAUGCAAGCACUCAGGUUGAAACGAGAUGUACAAGGAACGAUAAGGAUCAAUUACGAUAACGCUCCGGUUGGAAAAUGGAAGGGAUAGAAUAUGAACUUGGCAAAAUGAAAGCACUUGGACGAGACUCCGGUUAAAAUAGGAAUGAUAGACACAACACUCCGGUUAAAUGGAUAAGUAAGAAAAGAACACGAUCCUCACAAUUCGAUAUGAUGAGCGAAGAGAGCAACAUCACCAUGCCUCCGGAAGAAAAAAUAGAAGAUAGAUCAUUGGAAUAAAGGAAUGGAGAAGAAAAUGCCAACUUCUGCCACCAAUGAUCUUGGAAAGCACCCUUCCAAGAAUGUUAGAACGGAGUUGUUGGAAAAAACCAACAACGAAACGAAUAAGCUUGUAGUGGGCUAAUGGAAACAUCUCAACAUUAUGAGGUGACAAACGGCCACUAAAGGAAGACAUUGGUUUGAGUGAGAGCACCAAGGCGAUGAAAAACUUCUUUCACCAAGAGGAUAGGAGAAAACUUGGAUCAUUGAUAAGCACCAUAAUAGCAACAUUCCUUAGGGAAGGCUUUAAGUGAAACAUGACACAAGAUAAAUCCAACGAAGAGAUUGGUGGAUUUAAAAUAUCUCAUUCUUGACAACAUGUGAAUCAUGAAACGCGAACUCAAAUUGUCAAGAAUGACAUAACACCACCUCAAAUGAUAAGGUAGAAUGAAUUGCACUUUAGAAUGCAAGAUGAAGAAUGCUUGGAAUCCACAAAACAAAACAUGUGUUGAGCACCAUGUUUAUUUUGAAGUAUGGCUUGACAGUUCAUAGCUUCGAGAGAAAUCUUGAAGAACAAUUGAAGAAUGAAAGGAAUCCUUGACGAAGCACCAUGUAGAGCCUCCAUGAAGAACUCCGGUCAAACCAGGAUGAUAGAAAGAGAUAGAAGUUGAAAACACAAGGUGAAGCCUUGCGAUGAUUUAGAUGUAGCUUCGCGACGAGAUAAUGCGAAAAAACUUGGAACUUCGGAAAAGAAAAGAUGAAUCAUCCGGAAUCGAGAAUGUGAUAUGAUGAACAACUCUGGAAAGAAGGAACUAGAUCACUUGGAUGAAAAAUAAUAAGAAUUACGUUAUGCGUAUCCUUCACCAAUUUAAAUUGAUGACAAGCAACGGAUUUGGCAUACUACUUAUUUUUGUAGAAAGGAUUAAGAUAGAUAUGGCGCAAAGUUGGGAAGGUCUUCAACGAACCACCGGUAGGAUUGAAAAGAACGAAUGAAUCUAUAUGAUAACGAAGGAAGAGAAUUCUUGAACGAACCACCGUAAGAAUUGAAAAUGAACGAAGAAAAGAUAAAGAAACACCGGGAAGAAUUAGAAAAUGAACGAAGAAACUUGAGAGAAUUUAGAUAAAAGUGAACGAAGAGAUCAUGAGCUGAUUAGAGAAUACUUGAACGAUGCACCGGAAGAAUAUGGAGAUGAACGAAGAGACAUCAAUUUAGAAUAAUUGGAGAACGAGGCUGAAAACUUAGAACGAAGAAAUCUUCUGAAAUGAUGGCCUUUGGAUGAUCAAGAAACAAAAACAACUCAUGAAAUGCUCCAGAUGGGUAUGAAAAGAAUUUUCACAAUCGAAAAACAAUUAUGAGAGGAUGGCAUAAGCUAGAACUAUGAAUCUUCAAGAGAAUGGACAAGAUUUAAGAGAAACUCUUCUUCGGUCUUCAAAUGUUGAGAAUGACGAUGAGAAACACCACCAUGAAUUGUUGAGGCACUCCGCAAUGAAAUUAGAAAGGUUGAACCAACGAUGAAAAGAAUUUGAAAGAUCUUGGAGAAGGAGUAUGACUGAUGAUACUUCAUUCUUACAUCAAACUUCUAAAAGAAUUUGGGAAUAGCUCCGAAAAGAAUUAGAAGAGUCAGGUAAGAUCCUGGGAAAAGACCUAUGGGUUAGGGCCCACUCAAAAGAUACACCGUUGAAUGACUAAAAGAAAGAUUGCGCCGGUUGAAUUAAAUGGCUCAAAAGAGAUAACAACCUCGAGAUAGCUUGAAUGGAUUGGGAAUGGAAAUGCGAAUCUUCUGAGAUAUCUUCAGCACUCCAGAUAACAUGAAUAGCAAGAGGUGGAUGAUUAAGAGAUGCACCGACAUGAGAAAGCAUUUGAAACAAGGAAAGGAAUGUGAUUAACCCCGAAAACUUGAAUUGAAUCCACCGGAGAAGAAAAGAGAAUGAUGAACUUGAAGCUCCGUUAGUAUCUUCCUGAGAAUCACCGGAUAAGAACAUUGACGGAAAAGGAUGGAGAGACUUCCCAUCAAUAAAAAGGAUACUUGGUUAAGAAAUCUUAGUCCUUGAAGAAAAAGGGUGGGAGGGCGGGAAAACAAAGACAAUUUGGGACGGAUGAAACAAACAACGUUGGGAAAAACUGAGAGGUGAUCUUGUGAAUGUUGAAAUGAUCGGAUCCACUUGAAGAGAAGCACACCGGUUGAAAAGAAUUAAUAUGACAACCUCGAUGAUCGAAAGGAUUAGCAACCACAUAGAAAUAUGAGAACACCACUUAGAAUAAGGUAUGGAAUCAACACUUCGCAUUGAAGCAACUCGAAUACCACAAAACAAAACAACAACAAAGGAUUGGCUCGCAAAAUAAGCCAGAACAAACAUAUGAUAGAUAUUUCAUCCGAAGUUUUCGUGGUGGGGCCCACACGGGCUCGAUCGUACAGCACCAUCAUGUACAAGGCAGUGCACAUGACAUACGAAGCGUCCCCGAGUCGGCAUAGCCAAGGAAUCUUUAAGACACUACGAGACCACUGUAAAACCAACCGUGGAUAGGCAGACCACUAGACGUCGAACCCCAAUCUCAUAUCAUGCUUCUGUCGGAAAGAUAUCCUAUGAGCUACUUGAAUUCCCACUUAUAAACUCCCGAAACUUUCUGGUUAUGCAAUCAGGUGUUGGGGAUAUAGGGGACGCAAUAUAUCUCACCCAAACUAACAAUACCUAGAUCCAGCUGUAUCCAUCCCUCAACACAUAACCAACAAACCUUCGGAAAUCAUUUACCUCAACCUUCGAAAAGCAUCCGUUAUACGAGUUAUGGCAAUACUCCCGAACUCCCGCCCCAGUACUGGGUGGCGUCGAGGUGAUCUCACCAACAACUGCAUAAAAGAGAUUUUCGAUGUCGGCGAAAAAAACUCAGGUAUUCCAGAACUGCAACGAUAAAAUUGUGACGACAACACCUCGGAGCUCAACUCCCCGGGACACUGCCACAACCCCUAAAUGUCAGGAGGCACCAAGAACAAUGUUCUCGUCACAAAACCAUUGGAACGAUUCCAAGAUACCCGCGUGAUCCUAAAAAAAAAUUCGUGAAAUUUGAGGAGAGGAGAGCCAAAACUUCUACGUCAGGGGGCCUCACCAGAGAGAUGAAGGGACUGAGGAGUAAAAAGAAUCCUACUCUCCGAUAUAUAUAAUCCUAAGACUCAAAACAUUUUUGUUCUAGACUCAACAACACCAGCGAUUCGAUCAAGCAGGGGGCUCCUAAGUCGGCGAUGGCUCUGAUACCAACUUGUAACGCCCACGAUGCGGCUAUAUCUCCCAUGUGUCGAGGCACGACUUAGAGGCAUAACCGCAUUGUGGUUUUGUCGCAAGAAGGGUCAUCUUCACACAAUCCCAUGUAAUGAACAAGAAUGGGAUAAAGAGAGUUGGCUUAUAAUCGCCACUUCACACAAUACAUAAAUUAAUUCAUACAUCAUCCAAAAUCCACACAUAGACCGACUACGGUCAAAUCCAAAUGAAAAGAAGAUAACCCCAAAUGCUAGAUCCCCGAUCGUCCCAACUGGGCUCCACUACUGAUCAUCAGGAAACGAAACAUAGUAACGACCAAGUUCUUCGUCGAACUCCCGUUAGAGCUCGGUAGCAUCACCUGCACUGGUAUCAUCGGCACCUGCAACGGUUUGGAAGUAUCUGGUGAGUCACGACGACUCAGCAAUCUCACACCCGCGAGAUCAAGACUAUUUAAGCUUAUGGGUAGGAGAAGGUAGUGAGGUGGAGCUGCAGCAAGCACUAAGCAUGUAUGGUGGCUAACAUACGCAAAUAAGAGCGAGAAGAGAAGCAACGGAACGGUCGUCAACUAGUAAUGAUCAAGAAGUGAUCAUGAACUCCUACUUACGUCAAACAUAACCCACAAACCGUGUUCACUUCCCGGACUCCGCCGAAAAGAGACCAUCACGGUUACACACGCGGUUGAUGCGUUUUAAUCAAGUCAAGUGUCAAGUUCUCUACAACCGAACAUUAACAAAUUCCCAUCUGCCACAUAACCGCGGGCACGGCUCUCGAAAGUUUAUACCCUGCAGGGGUGUCCCAACUUAGCCCAUUAUAAGCUCUCACGGUCAACGAAGGAUAUUCCUUCUCCCGGGAAGACCCGAUCAGUCUCGGAAUCCCGGUUUACAAAACAUUUCGACAAUGGUAAAACAAGACCAGCAAAGCCGCCCGAAUGUGCCGACAAAUCCUGAUAGGAGCCGCACAUAUCUCGUUCUCAGGGCACACCGGAUUGUCCAAACUUCCGGUAGGCAAGCCCAGAGUUGCCCCUGGUGGCCACCGGCGGCUAACAGGUUGGACCAACACUCAGAGGAGCACUGGCCCGGGGAUUUAAAAUAAAGAUGACCCUUGAGUCUGCAGAACCCAAGGGAAAAAGGCUUAGGUGGCAAAUGUUAAAACCAAGGUUGGGCCUUGCUGGAGGAGUUUUAUUCAAGGCGAACUGUCAAGGGGGUCCCAUAAAUCACCCAACCGCGUAAGGAACGCAAAAUCAAGGAACAUAACACCGGUAUGACGGAAACUAGGGCGGCAAGAGUGGAACAAAACACCAGGCAUAAGGCCGACCUUCCACCCUUUACCAAAUAUAUAGAUGCAUUAAUAAAAUAAGAGAUAUUGUGAUUUGCCAAAAUAUCCAUGUUCCAACAUGGAACCAACUUCAACUUCACUUGCAACUAGCAACGCUAUAAGAAGGGCUGAGCAAAAGCGGUAACUUAGCCAAACAACGGUUUGCUAGGAAAGGAUGGUUAGAGGCUUGCCAUGGCAACAUGGGAGGCAUGAUAUAGCAAGUGGUAGGUAGCGCAGCAUAGCAAUAGAACGAACAACUAGCAAGCAAAGAUAGAAGUGAUUUCGAGGGUAUGGUCAUCUUGCCUGAAAUCCCGCAAGGAAGAAGAACGAGUCCAUGAAGAAGACAGACGGACGUAGUCGAAUGAAUCCUCACAAACGCAAUAUUACCGGAACUAUCAAGGGGAAGCGCAACCGGAAAGAAGCAAACAACAUGGUAAACAACCAUCACAUAAGCAUGGCAUGAUGCACAAUCAAGUAUGAUGCAUGUCCGGUUUAAAGAGGCAAGGCAAGGUGAAGCAAACAAUACUACAAUUUAAGUGGAGCUCAAUAUGCAACGGGUUGCAUAUUGACGAAACACAACAUCAAUUAUUUAGUUCGCUCUUGUUUAUGCUACUCAUCAAUAUUAAAUGUUGGUUAACAUGGCAAGAGGCGAGGCAUAAGAAAACUACCUAUCUAGGCAAAUUUAAAGGAGGGCGGAACAACAAACAACAAUUCCGGAAAAUCCUCAUGUGCAUAUUUUAGAUUUGGUACUGUUCUGCCUAAAACCAUAUUUUAAUGGUAUUAAACAGUAAAACAAAGUGCACCAUGUUAAUCUAUGCAUUUUUCCACUCCAAUUACAUAUAAAGUUUAUUUAAUUCGGAGCUACGGUUAUUUAAAUAUGAAAUAAAUCAUUUUAGCAUGGCAUUUGAGCAAAUUUAAUCAAACAGCAAUUUAAACAUUUCAAACAUGGAUGAAAGUAGGAUAUUAUGAAACUAGACAAAAUUCUAAGCAUUUUACAUGUCUAAAUCAUUUUAAUCGGAUGCACGGUUGUUGAGUUAUUAAAUGCAUGAUGUUGAGGGUUUUUCUAUAAAACUGCAGUUCCUGGAAAAAUAGUUAAAAUCGUUCCGUGGAAAAAAAACAUGAAUCGGGCCGAAUCUGCUGGCCCAACAGUGCACAGAGGGGGCGCUGGAUCUGAUGCUCACCAUGGGUUUGGCCCGGGUCGGUGGAGAGGGGAGGCAUGGCGAAGUGGGGCUGGAGACGCGCUGGGCCUUGGCGCCCUUGAAGCCCACGCACGCGACAAGGAGGCAUGAGGCAGCAGGCGUCGCCCUUCUCUGCUCGAUGCAGAGACUGAAGCCGACCGCGGUGGCUUCAGGUGAGACAGGGGACGACGUCUACGCGGGGAACGCAAGGAGGCGGCGGAGACGAGCGAAACCAGACGCGUGACGGUGUUCUCCGGCGAGGUGGCGCGCGGGCGAAGCUGAAGGUGGCGGCACAUGUUCUCUGUUCAAACACAGAGAAGGUUUCAGAGAGAGAAAGAAAUCGGGGAGGAAACAAGGAGGCCGUGAGGGGGCUUGCUGACCGACGAAGGAAUGGCCAGGAUCCGGCGGAUCCUGAUGCGGGCGAGGCUGGGGAACGGCGAGGCCGGAUGGAUCCACCUCGGACCCGAUGAGGCAGCUUGAGCUCGGUGGCUGGACUCGUUCUGUAGGCAAACAAAGAGGGAGAGAUAUUUAGAGAAGCAGAACGGAAAGGGAAAGAAGAGAGAAGGCGUGGACGACGGGCGCGCGACCUGCAUGGCUCCGGCGAUGAGGCAACUCGGUGGCCACGGACUUGGCGAAGCAGGGGAGCUCCGGGACGUGCGGGACGCGGGGAUGGACGCCGGAGGACGGAUCCGUCCGUCUCCCGGGUGGCCUGGUGCAAACGGCGGCGAGGGAGCUGCGGCCAACCAUGGCUGUUCCUGGUACAGAGAGGGAGAGGCAUGAGAGACGAGGGAGAGGUGCGGCGGCCUGCUCGUGCUCGAUGGCGAAGGGACGAAGCAGCUUCGGCGGUGGCGCUCGCCGGCGCGGUGCUGGAGGCGGCAGAUGCAAGGGCAAGGGAGGAGCACGGCGCAGGGGCUCCUCGGGCUCAGACGUGAGGAAGGAGGAGGCAGCUGCGGGCUGGUUGGUCCGGUGAAGAAAAUGAGGGAGGAUUUUUGGAUCGGGAGGGGAUGCCGAGGUGGGAGACGACCAGGUGGAGUGUGGCGGCGGCUAGGAGGACAAGGGGGAGGAUUUCUAGGGUUAUCCAAAAUGGACUAGGAAUUGACUAUAAAUAUGGAAAGGAGGGAAGUUUGGAUCUUCUGAUUGAAAUCUGACGGACGAGAAUAAAUAGGCUACGGAGUCCAAUAAAUAAAACAAUGAUAUCUUAGGGAUACUUGGAGAUGAUCCGGAUCCAUCGGUAACGACAGCCGGGUUCGGGUUCAGGGAAGUUUUGGAAGCGCACACGAGGGGGUCUAUGCACUAUACAGAGAGACUCCAGUUUAGGCAAGAGGGAAACGAAGAACAAGGUUGGUCUCAGAAUGGUCAACAAAAGCAAGGGGGGACGCGGCAACUACGAGCAGAUGCGAGUUUUAAAAACAAUGACUACAACGAGUGCCGAUGCAAUGCGGAUGAUGCCAUGAUGAAAUGCAACAAACAAAAUAAAACGCACGACGGCAACGAAGAACAUUGAAGGCUUCUGAAGCGUCGGUCUUGGGGCGUUACAACUUGGCAUCGCUCCGGACGAUUUAUCGGAGGAGAAGCUUAUGGCUCCUCCUAAACAAGCUCCACAAGACGAGGGUUCUCAUGAUGAGUGAUUUACAGAGUUAUUUGCUGGGACCAAGGAAACAUCUGGUCGUUUGUUCUUUUGGUUUUCUUUUGUCUUAUGUCGCUCUGAACUUGUCUGAUGUGGCUGUGUGUUACUCUGCGGAAGUUAUACCUAAACUGUUAAGCAGCUCAGUAGGAUUCUAUUGUCUUAUGUUAGUUAUUUAUGGAGACUACAUCGUUUCGUAAUUGGAAUGUGCUGUGUUGGAAUGUACGUGGUCUGAAUUCUGAUGCUCGCCAGCGUGAUAUUAGAGCUAAGAUCGAGGAGAGCCACUGCUCCGUAAUUUGUUUACAGGAAACUAAGUGUGAGCAGUUUGACAUUAGGAAGAUUCGGUCCUUCUGCCCUAGGCGUUUUGAUCAGUUUGCUUUCUCUCCUUCUGUGGGUGCCUCUGGUGGAAUUUUGGUCAUUUGGAAUUCUUCUGUCUUUGAGGGGCAGCUAGUGGAGGUCCAACGCUUCAGUGUUGUUGUUGUUGUUUCUUUCAAGUCUGUUCGUAACUCAGAACGAUGGACUCUGGUUUCAGUGUAUGGGCCAUGUGAGGGUCAACCUAGAGACGAUUUUGUGAGUUGGUUAUAUCAUCUAACUAUCCCUCUGGAUGAGAAUUGGUUGCUCCUUGGUGAUUUUAACUUCAUUCGCUCUCUAGAUAACAGAAAUCUGCCAGGAGGUGAUAUAAAUGACAUCUUUCUCUUUAAUGAAAUUAUUGGUCAUCUUGGGCUAAUGGAACUGCCAAUAAAGGGUAGAAGCUUUACUUGGUCCAAUAUGCAGCAAAUCCCUCUCCUGGAACAGCUCGAUUGGUUCUUCACAACCUCCGACUGGAUCUCUCACUACCCUAAUACAGUUGUCUUUCCUUUGGCUAAAACUGCAUCAGAUCACGUGCCAUGUGUGGUUUUAAUUGACACUAAAAUCCCCAAGUCCAAGGUUUUUAGGUUUGAAAAUUUCUGGGUGGAAAUACCAGGGUUUAUGGAGUGUGUCAAGAAAUCUUGGGAGGCCCCUGUGUUUUCUGACCUCUCUGCAUCUGCAGUUUUAACCAGGAAAUUUAAACGCCUCAGGUAUGAUUUGAGAGUUUGGAGUAAAACCUCUCUUACCUUAAGAAGUUAACUGUGGAUUGCAGCAAGGUUAUUCUCUAUUUUGAUAAGAUGGAGUUAAGACCACUCGUUAGAACUGAGUUCAAUUUCAGAAAAAUCGUCAAGCUUCAUUAUGAGCAUUUGUUGAAACUCCACUAUAUUUAUUGGAAGCAGAGGUGUACGAUCAGGUAUAUCAAGGUGGGUGAGGAAAACUCCAAAAUUUUCCAUGCCAUGGCAUCUGAGCGCAUGAGGAAAAACUCUAUAGCUAGUCUGAAAACCCCGAGGAUGGAUGAUCCCGUUUCAGAUCAUGAUCAAAUGGCGGGAAUCCUCCGGGCUUCCUUCAAAAACCGAAUGGGCCAGGCCCAGGACAUCUCAAUGGGCUACGAUUUGGGCGCACUCAUUCAGCCUGUCCCUGGUUUGGAGGAAUUUUCACUUCCCUUCUCUGAUGCUGAGAUUCAAAAGGUUUUGCAAGAGCUGCCAACCGAUCGGGCACCAGGGCCUGAUGGUUUUAAUGGCAUGUUUGUCAAGCGCUGUUGGCCGAUCGUCGAGAAAGAUUUCUUGAGUUUGAUCAAAGACUUUUAUGAAGGGAAAGUUUCUCUGGAAAAUAUUAAUGGAUCUCUCAUUACCCUCAUCCCUAAGAUGAUAUCUCCUGAGGGGCCGGAUGAUUUUAGGCCUAUUUCUCUUACCAACACCUGCUUGAAGUUUCUAACCAAGUUGUUGGCUAAUAGGUUGCAAAGGGUGAUUUUGAAUUGCAUCCAUAAAAACCAGUAUGGCUUUCUCAAGGGUAGAUCAAUCCAGGACUGUCUGGCUAUUGUUAUUCUGAAAUUGGAUUUUGCCAAGGCUUUUGAUAUAGUUAAUCAUGAGGUUAUUUUGCCGAUGCUCAAACACAAAGGUUUUGAUGAUAAAUGGAUUGGUUGGGUCAAAGAGAUCCUUUCUACAGGGUCUUCUUCUGUGUUGCUCAAUGGCAUCCCUGGCAAGCAGUUCAAGUGCAAAUGUGGGGUCAGACAAGGGGAUCCUUUAUCACCUCUUCUAUAUGUAAUAGCAGCUGACCUUUUACAAUCUGUGGUUAAUCAAAUGCUGGCCCAGGGUAUCUUAUCACUCCCAAUCCCCACACAUGACCAGGAGUUCCCUAUUAUACAGUAUGCUGAUGAUACUGUUAUCUUUCUGUCACCCAGAGAUGAGGAGCUGGUUGCUCUCAAGAACAUGCUGCUUACCUUUCAGCAAUCUACUGGUCUCAAGGUCAAUUUUGCAAAGUCUUUAAUGAUCCACUCAACCUUGAGGAAGGUGAAGCAAUUAGGUUAGCUGCUGUGUUGGGCUGCAGGAUUGGCCAACUCCCUUUUACUUAUUUAGGGUUGCCCCUUGGAACCACUAGGCCCAGGAUUGUUGAUCUCAUGCCUUUAGUGAACACUUUGGAGAGGCGUCUGACUGCUAGCUCAUGUAUGCUAAACCAAGGAUCUCGUUUGCAGCUCCUAACUUCAGUCCUGACUUCUUUGCCAAUCUACUUUCUUUGUAGUUUGCAAAUCCCACCUGGUAUUAUCAAGCAGUUGGACAGAAUCUUCAGACAGUGCCUCUGGAGGGGGAGUUCUGAUGUUCCCAAGCAAUCUUUGGCCGCUUGGGAUUUAGUCUGUCGGCCAAAAGACAAAGGUGGUCUUGGGGUUAUCAACUUAAACAUUCAAAACAAGGGUCUUCUGCUCAAGCAUUUGCAUAAAUUUUAUAAUAAGGCUGACAUACCCUGGGUGUCCCUCAUCUGGAACAGUUAUUAUGCUGAUGGUGUUCCACACGCUACAACCCCAGUGGGCUCCUUUUGGUGGAGACAUAUCCUCAAGCUCCAUGAUGCAUACACAGCUAUUGCCUCAGUGCACAUCAACAUGGGUGACUCUGCUCUGUUUUGGACUGAUGCUUGGUUUAUUGGUGGCUCUUCUAGACCUUUAUGUUGGAGAUUGCCAAGGUUAUUUUCCUUUGUUAACAAUGACAAGGUUUCAGUGCAUGAAUUCCUCAUAUCGCAGGAUAUUUUUACCAUGUUCUUCUUGCCAUUGUCUCAUGAGGCUGCUCAGGAGUUGCAAGUGCUAGAAGAUUGGAUCAUGGCCUUGAACAGGGACACCAACAUACCAGAUGUUUGGGUUUGGCCGGGCAGAUCUAGUAGUUUCUCAGCCAAGAGUUUCUACACCUUGAUGCACUCACAUUUACCCACAAUUCAACCGUGUAAAUGGUUGUGGAAAAGCAGAUGCACCAUGAAGAUCAAAGUCUUUGGAUGGUUACUUUUGUUUAACAGGCUUAACACCAAGGACCUUCUGAUCCGCAGGCACUGGAGAUCCCCCCUGGAUGAUAAUCUUUGUGUUAUCUGUCAUGAAUUUUCAUAUGAGGAUACGCUGCAUUUGUUCUUCAACUGUAAUUUCAGUCGGAGGGUUUGGAACUACCUUUCUAUUGACUGGUCAAGAGGGCCGGAUAUUCAGCAAUGUAUCCAACAUGCUAGCUCAAGCUUCAGGCAUCCUUUCUUCUUCGAAGUAAUUUUGACGGCAUCAUGGAAUAUUUGGAUCCUCAGGAAUGGCAGAACUUUUAGAGGGGAGAGAGCUACUUUUGCUGCUUGGCGGUCUAACUUUGUACAUGAUCUUUCACUCCUAACUCAUAGGCUCAAGGAUGAUACCAGCAUCAAGCUUAAAGCUUGGAUAAAUGCUUUAGCCUAAUUAGUCCAGGUAGGUAGUUCUAGUCUUGUACCUUAGCUUUGUAGGCUAAUUUCUUAGCUCCUAUAUAUAAUCCUACUAUUCCUUUUUGUACAGUUGCUCGAUUUCAAUAAAGGGCUGUGGGGCUUUGCCUCACAGUAAAUAUUAAAAAAAAACCUUGCAUGGAGAAGUGAGACGACGCCUAGGUUGUAGGUGUGUCCCGGGGAGCACGUGCAGCACCAGUAGGCGAUGAUUAGUGGAUCUGUUGAUGAUCAAAUUCAUCACAUCCCAUGAUCAUACGGACUACGGAGGGUGAAACAUGGCGAUUGUGGAUCAGAGGUGCAGGCUUGAGACAACGGGAAUGGAGCAGGUUCGCCACUUAAAAGGGGAGGGGGAAGUUCGUCGGCUACACGCACAUGAGCAGGAGCAAUAAACCCAGCCGUUCCUUUUCUCGAUAGUGGAUCUGUCGAUUGGAGAAGAUGAAGAGGAAAAGGGGCGGCCGUGAAGAACACUGGAGGUGUUAUGGGAAGAACAGGAGUGCCAUGAUGGGAGGGAAUUGAAGCGAUGGGCAAGGCACUACGAUGGGGAAGAAGAAGCGACGGGGAAGAAGCGCGAGGGGAUCCCCUUUGGGGGAUAAAAAUAUCUGACGCUACAAAGCGGUGCGCCUGGAAAAAAAGGACGACUUCUUUAGAGAAAAAAAGGGACAUGAAGAAAAUGAUGCCAAGUGACGUGGCAUCAUCACAAUCUAGGAAAAAUCAAUAGUGGGAGUUUAGGAAUAGAGGAUGACGUGGCACACUGAUGUGGAUAGUGUGCAUGAUGAGAGAAUAGGGAGUAGUGGGGAGUAACUUCUUAAAAAUGGUAGAUGUGAUCGGACCCUAACCUCUCUAUGCUUUCUGCCUCAAACUCUAUAUAUCCAAAUCAUAUGCAUUCUGUUGAAACGGUCAAAUGUAUUCUCUGCGUCCUUGUCAGCGGAAGAUACAGAGACAAACAUUAAAUCUAUUUUAAAUGCUCAAUUCUUAUUGCCUGAAACCCGGAGAAGCCGGAACGAUCAUCCGACAGUCCAGGCGGGCGUGGGAACGUGGGACAACUCCCAAUGUGUUGCAUGUUCGCCAUGUGUCCCUCAGAUGUGAACCACCAGGGGCGCCUGCGUAAUUGUGCUGUGCUGUCCCUUUCCCUAUAAAUACACAUCCAAUCGCGGUCAAAAUCUUUCUUCCACCUCUCCACCUCAACAAACCCUAGCGCCAUCGCUAGCUCUCGACGACGCCGGCGACGAAGCGCUUAGCUGCCGCGACCUCUCCGACGCCGUCUUCACGCCGGCCGCGGACAUCGUCUUCUCCGCCGCCGCCUUAGGUGUCCUCCGUCGCCAAGUUAGGGCACGGAAGAUCGAACUGCUCGGCCUCAUCUUCUACUCCGUCUAGCAGUUCAUCGUGUGGUAAAUUAAAACCCUCUUUUUACCGUCUUUUUGAUCCUAUAGAUUAAUCCUUUCUACCAAAAGUGGUUUCUGCCUCCACAAAUUUGGAUCUAUCCUGUUUGCAUCUCAUAUGAUGCCUAGUAUAUUCACUUAUGCUUCACACGUAGUUAGAUUCCUCACUUGUACGUAUUCUUGGAUUCGUACAAAUCUGGAACCAACUCUCAACAUAUAAGUGAAUGUCUUCGCGCUAUGAGGUCAAUGGCUUCUAAACUGAUUUAUCUUCAAAAUCUUCUAAGAAUGCAUAUGACCUCUUCCCCUUCCCUCGCAUCUCUAAUGCUGUCACAGGUACAUGUCCGUGGGAGAAUCCCUUGGUUCUCAUAGUCUGCAUUCAUUUGCAGAAUUCUUACAACAUCAUAUCAACUCUCCCGAAGCCAGUUCCUGUCUGACCAGCAGACGGAAGCCUUUGACAGUGUUGAAGCCAUUCAGUCUGAACCUCAUGGCAAUAGAAAAGUCUGCAAGGAAGGGUGGCAGACAGCGCCGUGGGAACACAUCGAAGGAUUUGCCACCAUAUCUCUAUGAGCUGUACAAGACAGAUCCAGAGGAGGACUACAAUCAGUGAAAACCCCGAAUCCAAUGGAUUCGAAGAUAUUGGGCAGAACAAUGGUACAAGUACAGGUUCGUGACCCAGGAAUAUGCUGAGAAGAAUGCCAUCAAGCGACCCUGGGGAGACAUCUUGUACAAAAAUCUUCCACCCAAGUCCAGAGCUGAAGCCAUUGAACAAGGCUUCUACCCUUGCAUGGUCCGUGGACCACAGCCUGCAGAUGCCGACCCAUCUUCAUUGCUAUGGUGUCGUGACGACAAUCUGUUCAAGCGCAACUUCCAGUUUGCCAAGAACUCGGCCAAAGAAAACAAGAAGUCGCGGGGAUUAGACUUCAACCCCGGUCCCUCUGCUCCUCGUGCUGAUGGCACACGCGAAGCUGAACCCAAUCUUGUUGGUCCCUUCUACAACCUGGAAGGUCUCAUCACUCAUAUUAUGGUUCAAGGGACAGACGUGGAUCAACCUACAGAUGACGCUGAUUCUGACGAAGCGCCUGCACCACCGAAGACUAAGAAGCUGAAGAAACCCAAGGCUUCGAAGCCUUCCACUGCACCAAAAGCUUCGCAAGCGAAGCCUCUGGCCACUGCUCCUUCUCCACCAGGUGUGCAGUCUGAAGCCCAUGCACACCACUGGUCCAGCUCUGACCCCUGCUGCUGUUUUGAGGAAUGAAAAUGACGCCAUUGAUCUGUCAAGUGAUGACGAUCUUGCCGAUGACGCUCUUGAGCAGCUGAUAAAGAGCAAGCAAGAGGCAUAAAUCUUCAAUGAUUUGCCUCUCUUUGACGUGGAAGUAUUGAACAACUUCAUUGAUGAGUGGUUUGACACCCCCAAUCUCAGCUUUGAUGAUCUGCAACUUCCCAUUGGGCUAAGCGUCUCCUUCCAUGGCGCCAUUGCUGCUGAGCUGGCUCUUGCACAGAAAAUUGUUGAGCUGAAGCACAAGAUCGACUAUGAAAAGGCUCAGUUCAAGAAGCACAUGGCCAAGCUCAGCGUAACAGACGUCCAGAACUUCAAGGUCGUGCUGCAUGAGCUCAAGGAAGCGUUUCACAAGAAACGUGAAGAAGCCAAAGGUUCUCGAGAGCGCAUGAAGCUUCUGGCUGCAAAGUGUGUUCAAGCUUACAAUGAAGCUGAGAAGCGCAAGGCACUUGGGCAUCCUGGCAUCGACCCUAAGAUGGCUGCCAAGCAGAAGAAGAAGCCUGCUGUGGACCAAGCUGAACCAUCCAGGCGGGAAGAACCUCGCAUUGUCUUCCCCGCUAGUAUGACAUGCGUGAAGCCUAAGGUCCCCAUAGUGGCUUCAGAGCUUCAGAAGACAAGGGCAGCCGAAGCCAAAGCCAGAAAGCUCAAGACCAAGAACACCACUGACAAUGCUCCACCCACCAAGAAGCGCAAGACCAAGAAGAAAGAUCGGGCUGCUCCCACAGAGCCCCUUGUCGUCGAGCCAAUUUCUGUUGCUCGUCCUCCAUCUGCACAACAAGAAUGUCGUUUGAUAGUUCAUGAGCCUGCUUCCCCAAAGGCUCUUGAAGUUGAAGACAUUCCAGCUGUUGACCCCACCGCAGCUGAAGACAUUUGUCAUCAAUACAAUGUUGAAGAUGAUUAAGUCCUUCCUCAGAUCGAGCAUAAUGUGGUAUCAUCGCCUGUUCUCACGAACAACGAACUCAUCAGCAUUGGUCGUCCUUUGACGCUAAUUGCUCAGGAUGACUCAUGGGCUGAUCACCCUCAAGACUCCCCUCGUCAAGCAGAAACACCAGUUACUCCCCCAACUCAAGUCACCACUCCGAUGAUUGAAGAUGAAGACUUUGUGGCCCAACCAACUCCAUCUCCACAAGCGUCACCAGCAUUCCGCAGGCUUCGCAAAGGACCAAGGCCACAGGUCACUCUGUCAAGUGUUCCAGAAGGAGAAGAGCGCCAAUCGGUUUCUCGCCAAGUAUUUCCUGAAGCCUCUCCAACUGUGAACAACCCUGAGUCUGAAGCCAACGCAGCUGAAGAUAUUCCGGCUGCAUCAGCCGAUGACCAAGAAGAAGAACCAAGAGUUGAAGAAGUUCGUGUUGCUACACCCCUGUCCAACCCUGAAAUUGUUCUCGAGGAGAACGUGACCGACCCUCCAGCUACUCAAGUGGAGGUCAACAACAUUCAGGCGAUCACCAACACCAACACUGAAGCCAAUGACGUUGUCAUGGCUGAAGCUAAUGUGGCGCCUGAAGUCAAUGUGGUGCCUGAAGUGAUAGCACCUGAUGCAAAUCAGCAGCCUGAAGUCACAACCACUGUCACUGCUCCUGUACCGCCUCCCAGGCCACAUACUAUUGAGCAAGCAUACAACUAUGGUCAGCUGAUCACUGUCAGAUGGCCUAUUCUGGUUCCUCCACCUGCUGCUGGUCCGCAGUUUGAUUACCAUGUCGAGCACAGGCCUCAGGUCCAGAAGCCAAAGCCAAGACUGCCCAGGUUUCCAGGUACUGCCACUUCACCAGGGUCCUUUCUUUGACAGCGCCAAGAACCCCUAUUCCAAGCCAAGGAUUUCAUCUAAUCGGUUCUGGAGCUGUCAGCAGCGCAGCUACUACUCAUGUGUUCUCUAUGAUCAAGGGCACAUCUUCCCUCAUAUGCGUCUUGACUGUGAAGCCAUUGCCGGAUUGCCAUGCCUUGAAGAGCCCUUGACUGCUUCCGUGAUGCUGGAUUGCUGAAUUUUGUGACUGAUAAGGAUCAUUGGAAUGAAGAGCUUCUGCUGCAAUUCUAUGCCACCCUCCACAUUCGCGGCCACAACAGGGAUCCGAAGACAUGGGUCCUUGAGUGGAUGUGUCGGUGUACAAAAAGAGGGGUGCGUUUUUGUACCCCUUUACCUGUGCACGGGCAGUCGGAGCGGCGCCCACGGUCACGCCAAGCAGAACAGGGGAGGUAAGCCAAGGUAAGACCGAAGCCCAAGAUAAUCAGAGCAAAGCCAAGGCCAAGACCACAAAGAGCAGAGGGACGAAGCAGAUUCCCCCGGCAAGACCCUUGCCGGGGCAGCCUCAGCAGCCCCGGCAAGAUCCUUGCCGGGGCAGCUCGCCCCACACCAACAGAGCGAGCCACCCUUGAGCCCACGGUCCCCAACGCCAUCAUCCACGUGGGCCCAGGGCUCGGGAAGGCACCUCUGUGGUGGCAUGCAGAUCUUUGUGAAGACAUAUUCAAGGUCAGAUGAGGAUUAGAAGACGACGAUCCUCGGCAAGAUCCUCGCCGAGGAAGGCCACCAGAGCCCCGGCAAGGCCCUUGCCGGGGACGACAGCGCGCCACGGCAACACCCUUGCCGGGCCACACGGCAAGACCCUCGCUCGGCCACCCGGCAAGGCCCUCACCAAGGACGCCAGCGGGGCCACCGCCAGGCCCAUGCCAACCAAGCUUCCACCGCCGUUCACAUGCAGCUGCCAGCCCAACCAGCUGGGCGGGCACCUGCGUGGCGACAUGCAGCCUCCAGGCCAACUCAUCAAGCGCCUGCGUGGCGGCAUGCAGAUCUUCGUGAAGGCUCCACCACCGCGCCACCUCAGCUGCCUGCCUGCCUACAUGGCGCCGCACACAUCGCUGGCCAGGGCGCGUGUCAAAGCGAGGAGGAGCGGCGACGGAUGGGACGGGCCUCGCCCCCGUCCCCAAUAAAGCAAGGAGACACCUAAGCUACGCAUUAAUGCGUCUUGUCCUGUAAUACGAGCGAUAAGCUCAGGGCACUGUACGCCUUUCCACCUCCUGUGUGCCACUGUGGCAGCCCCUUCCGACUAUAAAAGGAGGCCCGUGGCAUACUGGAGAAGGAUUCGGCUCUUUCGAACCACGCACUCACCACAGCUAGUUCGAGAGCUCAAGAACUCUCUGAAAUACACCCUCCAAAGCAGGACUAGGGUUUUACGCAUCCUCGCGGCCCGAACCUGGGUAAACGAUCCUUGUGCUGUCUACUAGCCCUGCUCUUCUCGCAACCCCGCGCCCCGGCAACCGUAGUAGGGAUUCUUGUGAUCCCAUAGGUGUCGUUCCACACCGACAUCUUUGGCGCGCCAGGUAGGGGAGUGCAAUUGUGAGAAUCUGGUCUAGUAGUUAGCCUAGCGGUUCUUCAUCGCCAUGGCUCCCAAGAAGAAGAUGGCCACGGCGAUCGGCUCAUUGGGAGCCGAACGGCCCGUGCCGGUGCGCACGAGCAGUGGACCGGUCGUGGGCAGGACCCGGGCCGCGGUCCGCGAGCACCAGCAUCGCCCUGGCAGUCAGAACCUGGCGAGUGGCGUCGUUUGCGCCCUAGAUGACCGGCCGCACGUCGCCAGAUCCAAAGACGGAGCUGGGGCCCCCGCAGGCGGCGCGGGGCCCUCCAGGGGUGUCGUUGUGCCACCUCCGGGCGGCGCAGCGACCUCCAAGACGCCCACGCCGGCGACCACUGCGCGCUCUUCCCAUGGUGUGCGCGCCGAUCAGCGUCACCACGCUGGUGACCCUGGGCACCGCCGUGGGAAGAGCCCUGUGCGUCAUCCGCGGGAUGAAGGGGUUCAGCAUGCCCACCGAAGCGCUGGCGAAAAUGGCAUGCAGCUGCUGGGUCGUAACGGAGCUCCUUCUAACAUAGUUAGAAGUCGAAGCGCGCCGCGAUCCACGCAGCAGUCGCCGCCGCCCACGCCAGCAGAAGCUUUGGCACGCGCGCGCAGCUGCUCCUCGACUUCUGUAACGCCCACGAUGCGGCUAUAUCUCCCACGUGUCGAGGCACGACUUAGAGGCAUAACCGCAUUGUGGUUUUGUCGCAAGAAGGGUCAUCUUCACACAAUCCCAUGUAAUGAACAAGAAUGGGAUAACGAGAGUUGGCUUACAAUCGCCACUUCACACAAUACAUAAAUAUAAUUCAUACAUCAUCCAAAAUACACACAUAGACCAACUACGGUCAAGAUCCAAAUGAAAAUAAGAAAACCCCAAAUGCUAGAUCCCCGAUCGUCCCAACUGGGCUCCACUACUGAUCAUCAGGAAAAGACACAUAGUAACGACCACGUUCCUCAUCGAACUCCCACUUGAGGUCGAUCCCAUCAUCUGCACUGGCAUCGUCGGCACCUGCAACUGUUUUGGUAGAAUCUGUGAGUCACGAGGACUCAGCAAUCUCACACCCGCGAGAUCAAGCCUAUUUAAGCUUAUAGGACAGGAUGGUGUAAUGAGGUGGAGCUGCAGCAGGCACUAAGCAUAUAUGGUGGCUAACAUACGCAAAAGAGAGCGAGAAGAGAAGCAAUGGAACGGUCGUCAUCUAGUAAUGAUCAAGAAGCGAUCCUGAACUCCUACUUACGUCAAACAUAACUCAAACCGUGUUCACUUCCCGGACUCCGCCGAGAAGAGACCAUCACGGCUACACACACGGUUGAUGUAUUUUAAUUGGGUCAAGUGACAAGUUCUCUACAACCGGACAUUAACAAAUUCCCAUAUGCCUCAUAACCGCGGGCACGGCUUUCGAAAGAUAAUACCCUGCAGGGGUGUCCCAACUUAGCCCAUCAUAAGCUCUCGAAUGUGCCGACAAAUCCCGAUAGGAGCUGCACAUAUCUCGUUCUCAGGGCACAACGGAUGGGCAAGACGUCGGGUUGGCAUAGACCCUGGUUGCCCGGGGGCGCCGGACAUCGCCCAGUUUGGGCCAGCACUUGAAGGAGCACUGGUCCGGGGGUUUAAAAUAAAGAUGACCCUCGGGCUCACGAAAAACCGGGGGAAAAGGCUUAGGUGGCAAAUGGUAAAACCAAGGUUGGGCCUUGCUGGAGGAGUUUUAUUCAAGGCGAACUGUCAAGGGGGUCCCAUAAUCACCCAACCGCGUAAGGAACGCAAACUCAGGGAACAUAUCCCGGUAUGACAGAAACUAGGGCGGCAAGAGUGGAACAAAACACCAGGCAUAAGGCCGAGCCUUCCACCCUUUACCAAAAAUAUAGAUGCAUUAAUUAAAUAAGAGAUAUUAUGAUAUCCCAACAUAUCCAUGUUCCAACAUGGAACCAACUUCAACUUCACCUGCAACUAGCAACGCUAUAAGAAGGGCUGAGCAAAAGCGGUAACUUAGCCAAACAACGGUUUGCUAGGAAAGGAUGGUUAGAGGCUGUCAUGGCAAUAUGGGAGGCAUGAUGUAGCAAGUGAUAGGUAGCGCAGCAUGGCAAUAGAGCGAACAACUAGCAAAGCAAAGAUUGAAGUGAUUUCGAGGGUAUGGUCAUCUUGCCUGCAAGGUUCUCAGAGUUGUCGAAAGCUUGAUCCUCGUAAGCGUACUCAACAGGUUCCUCGUUCACGAACUCGUCUCCCGGCUCUACCCAAAACAAGAACACAAGCAAUGGAACCACAAUCAAUCACGGGAAAUGCACAAGCAACAUGAUGCAAUACAUGAAUGAUAUGCAAGAUAUGAUAUGCGAUGCAUAUGCGUGCGCCGGAAGAAAAAUGAUGAACAAGGCAGUAACUUGGCAAACCAAGUAUGCCACUGGAAAGAUGAGAUGAUUUCGGUCGAAAUCGAUAUAAAGAUCACCGGAAACGGAUGCACGGUUCGCGAAAGGCAAGCAAAACAAGAAUGACACGAAUCUGUGAUUAACAGCAUGAUAUCACUUAGAAUACAUCAAGUAACUAUGCUACAGCACUCCAACAUAGCAACAAAGCAUAUGAAAGUAAUCUAAAGGAGGUGUUUGACAAAAGAUGAACACUGAGCUACGGCUAGAUCACAACAUAACAGGCUCAAACAAGCAUGGCAAAAGUGCGAAAGAUAUCAGGUUAACAGACUUGGUGAAAUUACUGGACAUGGCUGAAACAGCAUCAGGUAGCAAUGUUCAGAGCAAGAAACACACAUGCUACAGGAACUUAAUAUAGCAAAACAAGGCAUGGAAUGAAUCUACUAAAUGCAUAGAACAAAAGUCCCUUACUGACCAUAAGCGAAAAACGACCAAAAGUUAUGAUGGCAACCAUGUGAACAUAGCAAGUUUCGUUAACAGGUUACAGACUUGGCAGAAAACAGAGCAUGGCAGAAACAAUAAUAUGAAGGCAUCUUGGUAAGCUUGAUGCACUCACCACAAAGAAAUUCAUGACAAAACAAGCAUACCUACAGCAAGAUGGCAUGUUUAUGAAGCUAUCCAUGGCAAGAGCAAGUACAUAGCAUGUAUGAAACAACUACAACAAGCUUGGCAAAUUGAAUAACACGUAAACAAUCUGCCAUAAAUAUUUUAUAGCAAAAGUAGAGCAAGAUUGAGUCAUUCUAUGGCACUCCAUAAUUGCAAACAAGGGUAGUAGUGGAUCAAUUACAACAAUAUCUACAAAACAUCCUUACUGAACAUCUCCAAAAUAUGCAUGGAUCUCUCUGUAGCAUCAAGUUUACAUGGCAACAAAAUAACAGCAGACAAAGACUUGGAGAAAUCACCAAGUCUCUGAAAUCAGAAACAUUACAGAGCCUAGUUUGCAUGCUUGUGCUAGUCACCACACAGAUCACAAAAAUACAUGGCAUACACCUCUGUAAAUAUGGCAUGGCAUACAUCAAAACACAUGUAGAGCUCCUACUCAUAAGAUGCACAUAUCAAAUGCAACAAAAAUAACAAAUCCUCAUGUUCUGAUAAGUAACAGCAGUUAACAGCAUAUAGCACGCUUGCACCAGAGAUUUGGGCAUCAAGAUCAACUCAAAUGAACAUAGUGCAAUUGAACAAAAUGUAGAGCAUCACAAGACGAACAUUUCGAUAUAUUACAUGCACGAAACGGAGCUAUAUGCAGAGAGUUAUGCCAUGAUGAACAGGGGUAUAUAAUGUGAACAUGCAAAAGACUUGGGAAUAUUUUCGGGGAGAGGAGAGGAAAGUCAACCGUGGGCUUCCUCGAUCCAGAUCUGGCCCGGGCCGGGCUUCGAGCUCGCCGGCGGUGGAUGGCGACGCCGGAGGAGAGGAGGGAGAGGCCGGAGGGAGGCGGCGCUCGGGGCCGCUGGCGGCGGAGGAGGGGGGCGCCGGCGACGGGCACGGCUCGGGCGGCGCCGACNNNNNNNNNNNNNNNNNNNNNNNNNNNNNNNNNNNNNNNNNNNNNNNNNNNNNNNNNNNNNNNNNNNNNNNNNNNNNNNNNNNNNNNNNNNNNNNNNNNNNNNNNNNNNNNNNNNNNNNNNNNNNNNNNNNNNNNNNNNNNNNNNNNNNNNNNNNNNNNNNNNNNNNNNNNNNNNNNNNNNNNNNNNNNNNNNNNNNNNNNNNNNNNNNNNNNNNNNNNNNNNNNNNNNNNNNNNNNNNNNNNNNNNNNNNNNNNNNNNNNNNNNNNNNNNNNNNNNNNNNNNNNNNNNNNNNNNNNNNNNNNNNNNNNNNNNNNNNNNNNNNNNNNNNNNNNNNNNNNNNNNNNNNNNNNNNNNNNNNNNNNNNNNNNNNNNNNNNNNNNNNNNNNNNNNNNNNNNNNNNNNNNNNNNNNNNNNNNNNNNNNNNNNNNNNNNNNNNNNNNNNNNNNNNNNNNNNNNNNNNNNNNNNNNNNNNNNNNNNNNNNNNNNNNNNNNNNNNNNNNNNNNNNNNNNNNNNNNNNNNNNNNNNNNNNNNNNNNNCGUAGCGGACGCGGAGAGGCUGCGGGCGGCGGCGCGUUUGUCCGGCGGGGUACGGACAUGUCCGGCGGCGCGGAGGGAUAGGGUUAGGGUUUGGACUGCGGAUUAUCUCGGGAGGGGUGCAAUUAUAUAGGUAGAGGGAGCUAGGAGACUCAAAACGAGGUGCGGUUUUCGCCCACACGAUCGUGAUCGAACGACCUAGAGCAUGGAAAUGACUUGGAGGGGUUUUGGGCUGUUUAGAGAGGGGGUUUUGUGGCAACACACAGAAGGCAUCUGCGGUUACCCGGUUAACCGUUGGAGUACCGAACGACCUCCAAAUGGAACGAAACUUGACCGGUGGUCUCCCGGUGGUAUACCAAGGCCACUUGACAAGCCUCGGUCCAUUCCGAGAACGUUCGACACCCGCUCACGAAAAGAAACAAGAGGGGUGCGCCGAAGGAGGUGGGAGUGCCGGAUUGCAAAACGGACAACGGGGAAAUUGCUCGGAUGCAUGAGACGAACACGUAUGCAAAUGCAAUGCACAUGAUGACAUGAUAUGAUAUGCAUGACAUGAAAAAAAUGCAAAAUGAAAGACAAAACCCGACCACGGAGGGAAUAUCAUAACACAUAGCCGAAAAUGGCAAGAGUUGGAGUUACAAAUAUGGAAAGUUACAUCCGGGGUGUUACAACACUCCACCACUACGAGAGGAUCUCGUCCCGAGAUCUAGGACUGAAAGAACUCCGGAUAUUCGGAACGAAGAUGGUCCUCGCGUUCCCAGGUGGCUUCUCGGUCGGAAUGGUGUGACCACUUCACUUUCAGGAAUUUGAUUGACUUGCUGCGAGUCUUGCGCUCAGUUUCUUCAAGAAUAGCAACGGGGUGCUCAUGUUAAGACAAAUCUACUUGGAGGUCAAUCUCUUUGAAGUUGAUAGUGCGCUCAGGCGUCUUGAAGGACUUGCGGAGCUGUGACACAUGGAACACAUCGUGCACGUUCACGAAGUUGGAAGGAAGCUCAAGUUGAUAGGCGAGGUCGCCUCUUUUGCGAAUGAUCUUGAAAGGACCCACGUAUCUAGGGGCAAGCUUCCCUUUGAUACCGAAGCGACGAGUGCCUUUCAUUGGAGAGACGCGGAGGUAGACAUGGUCUCCGAUCUCGAAAGCCAAAUCACGGUGCUUACUAUCAUAGUAACUCUUCUGGUGCGAUUGCGCGGCUUUGAGAUUAUCACUGAUGACUUUACACAUUUCUUCAGCUUCAGUGAUUAAGUCAUUGCCAAGAAGUUGGCGUUCACCAGUCUCUGACCAAUUGAGAGGAGUACGACACUUUCUGCCAUAGAGAAUCUCGAAUGGGGCCUUGCCCGAACUCGCUUGGAAGCUGUUGUUGUAGGAGAAUUCAGCAUAUGUAAGACAAUCUUCCCAUUUCAUGCCAAAGGAAAUGACACAAGCCCUGAGCAUAUCUUCAAGAAUUUGAUUGACUCGCUCGACUUGGCCACUAGUUUGAGGAUGGAAAGCUGUGCUGAAGCGAAUGUUGGUGCCCAUGGCCUUCUGGAAGGAGUCCCAGAACUUAGAGGUGAAGAUGCUUCCACGAUCAGAAGAAAUCAAUUGUGGAAUGCCGUGCAAGGAGACAAUUCUGGAGGUGUAUAGCUCUGCCAACUGAGCUGCUGUGAUAGACUCUUUCAUUGGAAGGAAAUGAGCCACUUUAGAAAGCUUGUCGAUGACAACGAAGAUAGCAUCAUUUCCGCGCUUGGACUUGGGAAAACCAGUCACGAAGUCCAUUUCGAUAUGAUCAAACUUCCACUCUGGGAUAGCAAGAGGUUGGAGGAGACCACCUGGUCGUUGGUGUUCUGCUUUCACUCUUCGACAGACAUCACAUUCAUUCACGAAUUGAGCAAUUUCUCGCUUCAUUCGAGUCCACCAAUACGACCGCUUGAGGUCAUGGUACAUCUUCAUACUUCCAGGAUGAAUGGAAAGAAGAGAAUUGUGCGCCUCGUUCAUAAUGACUUUCCUUAGAUCACCUUUAGGAACCACAAUCCGGUCCUCGAAGAACAAAGUGUCUCUGUCAUCAAUGCGAUAACACUUGUAUUUGGAAAGACCCUUGUCGACACCACGUUUCACCUUCUUCACCAUGGUAUCCAGGAGUUGUGCCUCACGAAUUUGAUCUUCCAAAGUAGGAGAGACUAUGAGGUUGGCAAGAAAGCCUUGAGGAACAACUUGGAGAUUCAGCUUGCGGAAAGCUUCACAAAGAUCCGGUUGGAAAGGCUUGAGAAUUAAGCUGUUGCAAUAAGCCUUCCUGCUUAAAGCAUCUGCAAUGACAUUGGCCUUGUCUGAGUAUAUUCAAUACUCGGAUUGUACUCUUGAAUCAUUUCGACCCAUCGAGUCUGCCUGAGGUUGAGGUUGGGCUGAGUGAAGAUGUACUUGAGACUCUUGUGAUCGGUGAAUAUGUCCACUUGUCUUCCCAACAAGAGAUGUCUCCACGUUAUUAAUGCAUGGACAACUGCCGCCAACUCAAGAUCGUGAGUGGGGUAGUUCUUUUCAUUGGGCUUCAACUGACAAGAGGUAUAGGACACAACUUUCUUCUCUUGCAUUAACACAACACCGAGACCUUGGAGAGAAGCAUCACAGAAAACUUCAAAUGGCUGGAUUCGUCAGGAGGAGUUAAGACAGGAGCUGUGACGAGUUUCUCUUUGAGAGUGUUGAAAGCAACAUCACACUCAGGAGACCAGACAUACUUCACAUGCUUUUGGAGGAGGUUGGAAAGAGGCUUUGCAAUCUUAGAGAAAUUCUCAACGAAUCUUCGGCAAUAGCUUGCAAGACCAAGAAAACUGCGGAGCUGCUUGACAUUCUGAGGAGGUUCCCAAUUCACAAUUGCGGACACCUUCUCGGGGUUAACAGCGAUGCCCUUGGCAGAGAUGAUGUGACCAAGGUAAAGAACUUCAUCAAGCCAAAACUCACAUUUGGAAAACUUCGCAUAGAAUUGAUACUCUCUGAGCUUGUCGAGCACCAAUCUCAAAUGUUUGGCAUGAUCCUUCUUAUUCUUGGAGAAGACCAAGAUAUCAUCGAGAUACACCAGGACGAAUUCAUUGGUAUAGGGGUUGAAGAUGAAAUUCAUCAUCCGAGAGAAUGUUGGAGGAGCAUUGACAAGGCCGAAAGACACGACAGUAUAUUCAUAAGAACCAAAGCUUGUUCUGAAUGCUGUCUUGGGAAUAUCUUCUUCACGAAUGCGAAUCUGAUGAUAACCCAUGCGAAGGUCAAGCUUGGAGAAUACUUUAGCACCUUUGAGUUGCUCGAAUAGCUCAUUGAUGUUGGGAAGUGGAUACUUGUUCUUGAUUGUCUUCUUGUUCAAUGGACGGUAGUCGACACAAAGUCGGUCCGUGCCAUCCUUCUUCUUUACAAAAAGAACACCACAACCCCAUGGAGAAGAACUCGGUCUGAUCAAACCCAGACGCUCUUGUUCAUCGAGCUGUUUCUUCAAUUCCUUCAGCUCCUUGGGUCCAAGCUUGUAUGGACGCUUGCAAACGGGUUCAGUUCCUGGCUCAAGAUCGAUAACGAACUCAACUGGCCGGCGAGGAGGCAUACCCGGAAGCUCUUCUGGAAAGACAUCUUGAUACUCACAAACAACUGGAAUUUGAGAGAUGGCAUUCAAUUCGCCCUUCUCAUUGAGAGAAAAUAACCGAAUGGUUUCAUCACGAGCGGCAUAGAUAAUCACAUCCUCAGAAGAGUGUGUCAAUUGAAUUUCCCUGGCAGCACAAUCAAGUUGAGCCUUGUACUUAGAAAGCCAGUCCAUCCCGAGAAUUAGAUCAAUAUCCGAGUCACCAAGAACCAUUGGAGAAGACAGAAAUUUAUAAUUGCCCAUCUUGAUAGAAACAUCCGGAGCCAUCAUUUUGGUAUUCAUGAAUAAUCCCGGAGCGGAAACCGCUAUCGGCUUAGGAAGAUCAACAGUAUGCAAAUUGUUCAUGGAUGCAAAAGGUCUUGAUAUGAAAGAAAUAGAUGCACCAGUAUCAAACAAGACUUUUGCAGGAAUAUCAUUAACAGGAAGAUUACCCAUUAUCACAUCAGUAUAUUCCUCCGCUUGAGCUGCAUUCAUCAUGUUCACCUUUGCAGACUUUGGAUUAUGCUUGACCACUGCAUUGUUGAAAGAUCUGACAGGGGGAGGAGGCGGAAGACGCCUUUGGUUGAAGCACUUGUUAGCAUAGUGACCUUUCUGCUGACACUUGUUGCAAGUCACCUCUGAGAGUGGACGGUGAUAAGGAGCAUUGGACUUUGGAGCUUGAUUCUGAGACUUGUUCUGAUAGCCAGAGUUGGAAGAGUGGGAAGAACCAUGGCCACCUUUGUUCUUCUGCUGGUAAGGCUGACGAAACGGAGGAGGAGGCAACCAGAACUUCUGUUGCUUAGCUGCCACAAGUGAGGAAGAAGAAGACUGCACUGCAUCCCUGACUCUCUUCUUAGAAGCCUCACACUUGAGCUGAGCAGCCUCUUGCUUCAGUGCCAUAUUGUAGAAUUGAUCAAACUGAGUAGGCUCAACAAGAACGAGAGCUAACUGCAGAUCCUCUCUAAGGCCACCUCUGAAGUGAUAGAUCAUGCUCUUUUCAUCAGGAACGUCUUGUUUAGCGAAGCGAGCAAGUUUCUGAAACUGGAUGUUGAAUUGAUACACAGACAUGUUGCCUUGCUUGAGAUUGCAGAACUCCUCACGCUUGCUCUCAACAACACUUUGUGGAAUGUGGUGCGCUUUGAAAUCCCGACAGAAGUCAGUCCAAGUAAUCACAGGACCUCCUCUGGAAUCUUUGUAUUGUUGAUACCAAUCAGCAACUUGGUCCUUGAGCUAAAAAGAAGCGAACUUGACAUAGUCCUCAGGCUUGACAUUGCUACAUUCAAAAUGCUUGUUGAUGUCCACGAGCCAAUCAUCGGCAUCCGUGGCCUCGGCACAGUAGCUGAAAGACUUGGGCUGAUUUGCGAGAAACUGGUUGAGGGUAGCGAAGUGAGGCUGAUUGUUGCCUUGGCCUUGAUUCCCUUGAUUGCCUUGCCCUUGGGUGCGGUCUUGCAAGAGUUGCAGAAUCAUCUGAGCAUUGGCGUUGGUGGCUGCCAUGAUAGCUUGCCAUGCCUCCGGAGGUGGAGGUGGUGGUGGAGGGUUCUCUUGACUCCCUUCAUUGCGAUCCGGAUUCUGACGCGUUGGCGGAGCCAUCCUGAAGAGGGUGACGUCCGUUAGCAUCUUGAUAGACAAAUAGACAAGUAGAAUCAACAGAUAGAAAUUGCAACAUAUAGUCUUCACAAUAAACAUUCGAACGAGGAUGAACGAAUGAAUUCCAUAGUAAAUCAUUGCACUUCCAUAAAUUGAGAAGCCACUUAGAACAAGGUAUGGAAAUCAACAUUUGACUUCGAAGCAACUCGAAUACCACAAUUCAAAACAAAACAAAGUAUUGGCUUGCAGAAUAAGCCGGAACAAACAUAUGAUAGAUAUUUCGUCCGAAGUUUUCGUGGUGGGGCCCACACGGGCUCGAUCAUACAGCACCAUCAUGUACAAGGCUGUGCACAUGACAUACGAAGCGUCCCCGAGUCGGCAUAGCCAAGGACUCUUUAAGACACUACGAGACCACUAUAAGACCAACCGUGUACAGGCGGACCACUAGACGUCGAACCCCAAUCUCAUAUCAUGCGUCUAUCGGAAAGAUAUCCUAAGAGCUACUUGAAUUCCCACUUAUAAACUCCCGAAACUUUCUGUUUAUGCAAUCUGGUGUUGGGGAUACAGGGGACACAAAAUAUAUCACCCAAACUAGCAAUCCCUAGAUCCAGCUGUAUCCAUCCGUCAACACAUAACCAAGAAACCUUCGGAAAUCGUGUACCUCAACCUUCGAAAAACAUCCGUUAUACGAGUUAUGGCAAUACUCCCGAACUCCCGCCCCAGUACUGGGUGGCGUCGAGGUGAUCUCACCAACAACUGCAUAAAAGAGAUUUCGAUGUCGGCGAAACUCAGGUAUUCCAGAACUGCAACGAUAAAAUUGUGACGACAACACCUCGGAGCUCAACUCCCCGGGACACUGCCACAACCCCUAAAUGUCAGGAGGCACCAAGAACAAUGUUCUCGUCACAAAACCAUCAGAACGAUUCUAAGAUACCCGCGUGAUCCUAAAUUUUUUUUAGUGAAAAUUGAGGAGAGAAUAGUCAAAACUUCUAUGUCAGGAGACCUCACCAGAGCGAUGAAAGGACUGAGGAGUAAAAAGAAUCCUACUCUCCGAUAUAUAUAAUCCUAAGACUCAAAACAUUUUUGCUCUAGACUCAACAACGCCAGCGAUUCGAUCAAGCAGGGGGCUCCUAAGUCGGAGAUGGCUCUGAUUACCAACUUGUAACGCCCACGAUGCGGCUAUAUCUCCCACGUGUCGAGGCACGACUUAGAGGCAUAACCGCAUUGUGGUUUUGUCGCAAGAAGGGUCAUCUUCACACAAUCCCAUGUAAUGAACAAGAAUGGGAUAACGAGAGUUGGCUUACAAUCGCCACUUCACACAAUACAUAAAUAUAAUUCAUACAUCAUCCAAAAUACACACAUAGACCAACUACGGUCAAGAUCCAAAUGAAAAUAAGACAACCCCAAAUGCUAGAUCCCCGAUCGUCCCAACUGGGCUCCACUACUGAUCAUCAGGAAAAGACACAUAGUAACGACCACGUUCCUCAUCGAACUCCCACUUGAGGUCGAUCCCAUCAUCUGCACUGGCAUCGUCGGCACCUGCAACUAUUUUGGUAGAAUCUGUGAGUCACGAGGACUCAACAAUCUCACACCCGCGAGAUCAAGACUAUUUAAGCUUAUAGGACAGGAUGGUGUAAUGAGGUGGAGCUGCAGCAGGCACUAAGCAUAUAUGGUGGCUAACAUACGCAAAAGAGAGCGAGAAGAGAAGCAACGGAACGGUCGUCAUCUAGUAAUGAUCAAGAAGUGAUCCUGAACUCCUACUUACGUCAAACAUAACUCAAACCGUGUUCACUUCCCGGACUCCGUCGAGAAGAGACCAUCACGGCUACACACACGGUUGAUGUAUUUUAAUUGGGUCAAGUGACAAGUUCUCUACAACCGGACAUUAACAAAUUCCCAUCUGCCUCAUAACCGCGGGCACGGCUUUCGAAAGAUAAUACCCUGCAGGGGUGUCCCAACUUAGCCCAUCAUAAGCUCUCACGGUCAACGAAGGAUAAACCUUCUCCCGGAAAGACCCGAUCAGUCUCGGAAUCCCGGUUUACAAGACAUUUCGACAAUGGUAAAACAAGACCAGCAAAGCCACCCGAAUGUGCCGACAAAUCCCGGUAGGAGCUGCACAUAUCUCAUUCUCAGGGCACAACGGAUGGGCAAGACGUCGGGUUGGCAUAGACCCUGGUUGCCCUGGGGGCGCCGGACAUCGCCCAGUUUGGGCCAGCACUCGAAGGAGCACUGGUCCGGGGGUUUAAAAUAAAGAUGACCCUCGGGCUCGCGAAAACCCGUGGGAAAAGGCUUAGGUGGCAAAUGGUAAAACCAAGGUUGGGCCUUGCUGGAGGAGUUUUAUUCAAGGCGAACUGUCAAGGGGGUCCCAUAAUCACCCAACCGCGUAAGGAACGCAAACUCAAGGAACAUAAUCCCGGUAUGACAGAAACUAGGGCGGCAAGAGUGGAACAAAACACCAGGCAUAAGGCCGAGCCUUCCACCCUUUACCAAAAAUAUAGAUGCAUUAAUUAAAUAAGAGAUAUUGUGAUAUCCCAACAUAUCCAUGUUCCAACAUGGAACCAACUUCAACUUCACCUGCAACUAGCAACGCUAUAAGAAGGGCUGAGCAAAAGCGGUAACUUAGCCAAACAACGGUUUGCUAGGAAAGGAUGGUUAGAGGCUGUCAUGGCAAUAUGGGAGGCAUGAUAUAGCAAGUGAUAGGUAGCGCAGCAUGGCAAUAGAGCGAACAACUAGCAAAGCAAAGAUAGAAGUGAUUUCGAGGGUAUGGUCAUCUUGCCUGCAAGGUUCUCAGAGUUGUCGAAAGCUUGAUCCUCAUAAGCGUACUCAACAGGUUCCUCGUUCACGAACUCGUCUCCCGGCACUACCCAAAACAAGAACACAAGCAACGGAACCACAAUCAAUCACGGGAAAUGCAAUAGCAACAUGAUGCAAUACAUGAAUGAUAUGCAAGAUAUGAUAUGCGAAGCAUAUGCGUGCUCCGGAAGAAAAAUGAUGAACAAGGCAGUAACUUGGCAAACCAAGUAUGCCACUGGAAAGAUGAGAUGAUUUCGGUCGAAAUCGAUAUAAAGAUCACCGGAAACGGAUGCACGGUUCGCGAAAGGCAAGCAAAACAAGAAUGACACGAAUCUGUAAUUAACAGCAUGAUAGCACUUAGAAUACAUCAAGUAACUAUGCUACAGCACUCCAACAUAGCAAAAAAGCAUAUGACAGUAAUCUACAGGAGGUGUUUGACAAAAGAUGAACACUGAGCUACAGCUAGAUCACAAGAUAACAGGCUCAAACAAGCAUGGCAAAAGUGCGAAAGAUAUCAGGUUCACAGACUUGGUGAAAUUACUGGACAUGGCUGAAACAGCAUCAGGUAGCAAUGUUCAGAGCAAGAAAAACACAUGCUACAAGAACUUAACAUCGCGAAACAAGGAUGGCAUGAAUCUACUAAAUGCAUAGAACAAAAGUCACUUACUGACCAUAAGCCAAAAAGGACCAAAAGUUAUGAUGGCAACCAUGUGAACAUAGCAAGUUUCGUUAACAGGUUACAGACUUGGCAGAAAACAGAGCAUGGCAGAAACAAUAAUAUGAAGGCAUCUUGGUAAGCUUGAUGCACUCACCACAAAGAAAUUCAUGACAAAAUAAGCAUACCUACAGCAAGAUGGCAUGUUUAUGAAGCUAUCCAUGGCAAGAGAAAGUACAUAGCAUGUAUGAAACAACUACAACAAGCUUGGCAAAAUUGAAUAACACGUAAACAAUCUGCCAGAAAUAUUUUAUAGAAAAAGUAGAGCAAGAUUGAGUCAUUCUAUGGCACUCCAUAAUUGCAAACAAGGGCAGGAAUGGAUCAAUUACAACAAUAUCUACAAAACAUCCUUACUGAACAUCUCCAAAAUAUGCAUGGAUCUCUCUAUAGCAUCAAGUUUACAUGACAACAAAAUAACAGCAGACAGACUUGGAGAAAUCACCAAGUCUCUGAAAUCAGAAACAUUAUGGAGCCUAGUUUGCAUGCUUGUGCUAGUCACCACAGAGAUCACAAAAAUACAUGGCAUACACCUCUGUAAAUAUGGCAUGGCAUACAUCAAAACACAUGUAGAGCUCCUACUCAUAAGAUGCACAUAUCAAAUGCAACAAAAAUAACAAAUCCUCAUGUUCUGUUAAGUAACAGCAGUUAACAGCAUAUAGCACUCUUGCACCAGAGAGUUUGGCAUCAAGAUGAACUCAAAUGAACAUGGUGCAAUUGAACAAAAUGUAGAGCAUCAUGAGACGAACAUUUCGAUAUAUUACAUGUACGAAACGGAGCUAUAUGCAGAGAGUUAUGCCAUGAUGAACAGGGGUAUAUAAUGUGAAAAUGCAAAAGACUUGGGAAUAUUUUCGGGGAGAGGUUUGGAAAGUCAACCGUGGGCUUCCUCGAUCCAAAUCUGGCCGGGGCCGGGCUUCGAGCUCGCCGGCGGUGGAUGGCGACGCCGGAGGAGAGGAGGGAGAGGCCGGAGGGAGGCGGCGCUCGGGGCCGCGGGCGGCGGAGGAGGGGGGCGCCGGCGACGGGCGCUGCUCGGGCGGCGCCGACGACGGGCGAGGCGGCGAGCGGCGGCGGGGCCNNNNNNNNNNNNNNNNNNNNNNNNNNNNNNNNNNNNNNNNNNNNNNNNNNNNNNNNNNNNNNNNNNNNNNNNNNNNNNNNNNNNNNNNNNNNNNNNNNNNNNNNNNNNNNNNNNNNNNNNNNNNNNNNNNNNNNNNNNNNNNNNNNNNNNNNNNNNNNNNNNNNNNNNNNNNNNNNNNNNNNNNNNNNNNNNNNNNNNNNNNNNNNNNNNNNNNNNNNNNNNNNNNNNNNNNNNNNNNNNNNNNNNNNNNNNNNNNNNNNNNNNNNNNNNNNNNNNNNNNNNNNNNNNNNNNNNNNNNNNNNNNNNNNNNNNNNNNNNNNNNNNNNNNNNNNNNNNNNNNNNNNNNNNNNNNNNNNNNNNNNNNNNNNNNNNNNNNNNNNNNNNNNNNNNNNNNNNNNNNNNNNNNNNNNNNNNNNNNNNNNNNNNNNNNNNNNNNNNNNNNNNNNNNNNNNNNNNNNNNNNNNNNNNNNNNNNNNNNNNNNNNNNNNNNNNNNNNNNNNNNNNNNNNNNNNNNNNNNNNNNNNNNNNNNNNNNNNNNNNNNNNNNNNNNNNNNNNNNNNNNNNNNNNNNNNNNNNNNNNNNNNCACGGGGCGGACGCGGAGAGGCUGCGGGCGGCGGCGCAUUAGUCCGGCGGGGUACGGACGUGUCCGACGGCGCGGAGGGAUAGGGUUAGGGUUUGGACUACGGAUUAUCUCGGGAGGGGUGCAAUUAUAUAGGUAGAGGGAGCUAGGAGACUCCAAACGAGGUGCGGUUUUCGCCCACACGAUCGUGAUCGAAAAACCUAGAGCAUGGAAAUGACUUGGAGGGGUUUUGGGAUGUUUAGAGAGGGGGUUUUGCGGCAACACACAGAAGGCAUCUGCGGUUACCCGGUUAACCGUUGGAGUACCAAACGACCUCCAAAUGGAACGAAACUUGACCGGUGGUCUCCCGGUGGUAUACCAAGGCCACUUGACAAGCCUCGGUCCAUUCCGAGAACGUUCGACACCCGCUCACGAAAAGAAACAAGAUGGGUGCGUCGGAGGAGGUGGGAGUGCCGGAUUGCAAAACGGACAACGGGGAAACUGCUCGGAUGCAUGAGACGAACAUGUAUGCAAAUGCAAUGCACAUGAUGACAUGAUAUGAUAUGCAUGACAUGAACAAAAUGCAAAACGAAAGACAAAACCCGACCACGGAGGGAAUAUCAUAACACAUAGCCGAAAAUGGCAAGAGUUGGAGUUACAAAUAUGGAAAGUUACAUCCGGGGUGUUACAACUUCCCUCCUGUUGCAGAGAAGCUCGACAAGUGGAGGGCCACCAUCCGGAGCCUCGUCGCCAUCGCCAACAAAGACGAUCCACGACCAGCGGGGCCCUCAGGUCGGCGCUCCACCGAGCCACCACGUGCUGGCGCUGGGAGGACCGGGGGAGCUGCGGCCACGGUGCACUCUCCUCCUCCUCGCCAGCCGCCGCGGGCGUCUGCCCGUCGUGACGACGCUUGUGAUAACAUCUCAAUAGCGUCGUCCGACCCACGGACCCUCCGCGACCAGCGCCAGGUCCUUCGGGAACGAGCUCACAAAGACGCUCGAACCAGCGUCGAACGCCGACGCGAAACGCGCGUCCAGUCGGACAAGCGGGCGGGACCCGCUAUGGACCACCCGGCACCGGGGGGCUCCGGCGGCCUACCUUACGAGGUGGGAUGCCCGGCCUUUACCCGUGAGCUGCGGCAGUUCCAGUGGCCGUCCCAUUGCACGUUCAAGCCCGACGUCAGCGAGAAGUACACUAGCAGGACCCAUCCGUCCGAGUUCCUCAGCAUCUACACCAUCGCGAUGCAGGCUGCUGGGGCUCGCGACGACAAGGUGCUUGCCAACUAUUUCCCGCUGGUGCUCAAGCCCAAUGUGAUGUCUUGGUUGAUGCACUUGCCGGUGGAUUCCAUUUCUUCCUGGUCGAAUCUGUGCCAUGAGUUCGUUGGCGCCUUCACAGGAGGCCACCAAGCUCAUGGCCAGGCCAGUGAUCUGCAUAUCAUUCCCCAGAAGGAAGGGGAGACCCUACGCAAGUACAUCCAGAGAUUCAGCCGGGUGCAGUACAACAUCCCUGACGUUCAUCCCGCCGCUGUGAUUAGCGCGUUCCACCAGAACAUGCGCAAUCGCAAGAUGCGCGAGGAGCUGGCGAUGACCAAGGUCAAGGAUGUGGCCGAGCUCUACGUUCUGGCCGAUAGAUGCGCCCGGGCUGAAGAGGGAAGGAAGUACCCCGGCGAAGACGCCGGCACGGAAACCGACUCUACCGAUGAGGACGCCGCUACCCCGACGAAGAAGGGCCGGCGUUGCAACAGGAAACGCAAGGGCCAGGCCGUGCUUGCCGUUGAGGGAUCUGACGACACCGGUGCCGGCAAGAAGGUCAAGGCAGGCGCUCCCGGCAAGGAGAUUCCGGGUGCGCCGCCUGCCGGGCCUUGGUGGCUACCGACAAGCCAGGGAGCUCCGGCAAGCAAUACUGCAAGAUCCACCGCACCAAGGGCCACGACCUCCAGAACUGCCGACAAGUCGAGCUGCUUGCUGAUAAGCAAAAGGCUGAGUACAAGAGGCGGGACAAGGAGAAGGACAAGGACGGUGCCGAGGGAUCCGACAAGAAGCGUGGCGGCCAAGGAGGCUGCCCCGGCAAGGACAACCAGCAAGAGAGGCCCGCCCGGGGCCGCGACAAGAAACAAGAAGAUGAUGAUCACGACGAGGAGGACGAGUCUGGUGAGCAAGGGUUCCAGAAGGCUACGGAGGCCAUGUGCGUCGAUGGCGGCGCCUCGCUGCAUACCUCUCACCGCCAGCUCAAGCAGUGGGCGCGUGAGAUUACAGCAGCAGAGUCGUUGUUCGACUCUCAGAAGCCACUGAAGUGGUCCAACACGCCCCUCAUCUUUGACGCCGAGGACCACCCUAACCGCACUACCGCGGUCGGGUGUUUGCCAUUGUUGGUCACACCAACGAUACGCAACCUCAGGGUGAACAAGAUGUUGGUUGACAGCGGGGCCGGCUUGAACCUGAUUUCGCCUGUCGUGAUCAAAAGGUUGCAAAUCCCUGAUGGAUACCUCGAGGAAACGGGCAUGUUUCAAGGGGUCAAUCCAGGGAGGAGCCAGCCGAAGGGAAAGGUCACACUGCCCGUGACAUUUGGAGGAGAGUUGAACUACAGGACAGAGAGGAUUGUCUUCGACGUGGCCGAGAUCCCCUUGCCCUAUAACGGGAUCCUCAGCCGCCCGGCACUAGCCAAGUUCAUGGCGGCAUCACACUAUGCCUACAACAUGCUAAAGAUGCCUGGGCCGUUGACCAUCAUCUUCGUCCCCUCCGGCAAGAAGGACAUGCUGAUCUGCGCCGACCAACUCUACCGGGAAGCAGUUGCAGCAGCUGCCGUCAAGGCACCUGCUCCUGCCGCUGAAGGGCUGGGAGGGAAGAAGAAGCCCGACAAGACCUCUCGCACCCACUCCGGCAAGCGCACCUCCUCGGAGUGUUGCGCUACCGUCGAGGACGUGCCAGAGAGCUCUACCGACAAGAGCAAGAGAUCCAGAGCCGAGCCGCCGCAGACCAAGAAGGUGCCCAUCAGGGAGGAUGGCGCGGGAGGGGUCUUCACCAUAGGCUUCACCCUCGACAGCAAAUAGGAAGGCGCGCUCGUCACCUUCCUGCGGGCGAAUGUCGACGUGUUUGCGUGGCAAGCAUCUGACAUCCCCGGUGUUCCCAGGGAGGUGAUUGAGGACCACCUAGCUGUCUGCCCCCACGCGCGGCCCGUCAAGCAGAAGGUCAGAAAGCAGGCUCUGGAGAGGCAGGAGUUCAUCACAGAGGAGAUCAGGAAGUUGGAAGCGGCAGGUUUGGUGAGAGGAGUGCUCCACCCGACGUGGUUGGCCAAUCCGGUAGUGGUGCGCAAGGCGAAUGGGAAGUGGAGGCUGUGUAUUGAUUACACAGAUAUCAAUAAGGCUUGUCCUAAGGACCCCUUCCCGUUGCCGCGCAUCGACCAGAUUGUUGACUCCACAGCCGGGUGUGAUCUGUUAUCAUUCCUCGACGCCUACUCAGGCUACCACCAGAUCUUCAUGACAAGAGAGGAUGAAGAGAAGACAACAUUCAUCACCCCAUGUGGUACGUAUUGCUUUUUACGGAUGCCUUUCGGGUUGAAGAGUGCUGGCUCAACGUUCGCAAGAGCAGUCCAAAUUGGUUUUGAACCUCAGCUCCAUAGAAAUAUGGAGGCCUACAUGGAUGACAUAGUGGUCAAAACCAAGGACGGGCCACCUCUUGUGCAAGAUCUGGAAGAGACAUUUGCCAACCUGCGCAAGAUCAACCUCAAGCUGAACCCUGAGAAGUGUGUCUUCGGCGUUCCAUCCGGCAAGCUUCUCGGGUUCUUUGUGUCGCAGCGCGGGAUCGAGGCAAACCCAGACAAGAUCAAGGCUAUUGGGUUGAUUGAGGCGCCCAAGCGGAUCAAAGAUGUGCGUCGGCUCACCGGCUGCGUUGCCGCCAUGAGCCGAUUCAUCUCCAAGUCUGCCGAGCGCGCCCUUCCCUUCUUCAGAAUCUUGAAAAAGGCAGGCCCAAUGGAGUGGACCCCAGAAGCCGAGGCAGCAUUGCAGGAUCUAAAGAAAUACCUUUCCUCCACGCCAAUACUGGUUGCGCCUAAACCACAAGAGCCGUUGCUGCUGUAUCUGGCGGCGACGAAUCAAGUGGUCAGCGCUGCGCGGGUGGCACAGAGGGAGGUCAACGAGGAGGCAGUGACAACGGCAGAACCAGCGGAUGGCAAGCCCAAGAUUCCCCCGGUAGGGCCUGGUGCCAGCAAGGCGAGGCCCCCGACAGAGUCUGAUGCCGCCGAGGCAGUGCCUGCGCAGUCAAGUGAGGUGGUGCAGAAGAAGAAGAUGAUGCAGCACCCGGUUUACUUUGUCAGCUCCCUCUUGCAGGGAGCUAGAUCGAGGUACUCCGGUGUGCAGAAAUUGCUCUUCGGCCUCCUGAUGGCCUCGAGGAAGCUGCGUCAUUACUUCCAAGCCCACGAGAUCACCGUCGUCACCCGCCUCCCAUUGCAACGGAUACUGUACAACCUAGAUGCGACUGGAAGGAUUGUGGAAUGGGCCUUGGAGUUGUCAAGCUUCGGUUUAAAGUUUGAAAGUACCUCGAGAAUUCAGAGCAGAGUCUUGGUGGAGUUCAUUGCAGAAUGGACCUCAACGCCCGACGAAGAAAUCCAGGAGACCACUCUCCCCGGCAAGGAAGCAGACCGCGACUGGAUCAUGUACUUUGAUGGGGCUUUCUCGCUGCAAGGCGCCGGUGCCGGUGUGCUGCUCGUCGCGCCAACCGGAGAGCACCUCAAGUACAUUAUCCAGAUGCACUUCCCCAGGGAGAUGUCCACCAACAACACUGCUGAGUACGAGGGAUUGCUCGCCGGUCUCAGGAUCGCGGCAGACCUUGGGGUUAAGAAGCUCAUCGUCAGGGGAGACUCGCAGCUUGUUGUUAGGCAUGUCAACAAGGAUUACCAGAGCCCAUUGAUGGAGGCCUACGUAGAUGAGGUGAGGAAGCUGGAGGAACGCUUUGACGGUAUCCAAGCGGAGCACGUCCCCCGAAUGGAGAACGACAUCGCCGAUUACCUGUCAAAGCGUGCUGCAUUCAAGCUACCUGUGGAACUAGGUACCUUUUUACUCCGGUUAACUCAACCAUCCGUCGAGCCAUCAACGGGGCAGAACAAGCAGAAGUAGUCAGGUCCCGGCAAGUACUUUCCUACCGAGCCCCCUGGGGCCGCCGGCAAGGGUGCUGCCGCGGACGCUGAGCCUGCCCAAGAGCAACUGGCUCCGGCAGGGCGUCAAGCCCUGGCCGUAGAGACAGCCGUUCCCAUGGCGGAAGAAAUGCCUUUGGCCCUUGCCGUCGAGCCCCAGGCUCCGGCAUGGGCGCAGCAUACCGUCCAAUUCCUCCAAACAGGGGAGCUUCCUCAGGAGCAGGAAGAAGCGGAAAAAGUAGCCCGUCGGUCCGCCCUGUACCAGUUCGUCGAUGACGUCCUGUACAGGAGAAGGCCGAACGGCGUGAAAUUGAAGUGCAUCCCCCGGGAGGAAGGACUGGUGCUGUUGGCGGAGAUACAUGGAGGCAUAUGUGGCUCCCACAUAGGGUCGAGGGCCCUUUCCAGAAAGGCGUUCCGGCAAGGUUUCUUCUGGCCCACCGCCCUCCAGGAUGCGACGGCAGUAGUAACCAAGUGUGAAGCGUGUCAGUUCCAUUCAAAGAAGCUUCAUCAACCAUCCCAAGCCCUUCAAACAAUCCCUCUCUCCUGGCCAUUCUCGGUCUGGGUCUCGACAUACUGGGCCCUUUCCCCCGCGCUGUCGGGGGCUUUGAGUACUUGUACGUUGCAAUCGACAAGUUCACAAAGUGGCCGGAGGUGGAAGCAGUGAGAAAGGUGACUGCUCAGUCACCUGUCAAGUUUUUCAAGGGACUGGUCUGCCAUUUUGGUGUGCCAAAUAGAGUCAUCACCGACAACGGCACGCAGUUCACGAGCCACACCUUCAUGCAAUACAUUCAAGACCUCGGCAGCAAGGUCUGUUUUGCUUCCGUGGCACACCCACGGAGCAACGGCCAAGCGGAGAGGGCGAAUGUUGAAGUGUUGCGAGGCCUAAGGACAAAGACUUUUGACAAGCUGCGCAAGAGCGGAAGGCGCUGGAUUGAUGAAUUGCCGGCGGUUCUUUGGUCGAUCAGAAUGACGCCAAAUCGAGCCACCAGCCAGACACCUUUUGCCCUGGUCUACGGGGCAGAAGCAGUUCUCCCCACGGAACUCAUAUACGGGUCACCUCAAGUGCUAGCUUAUGAUGAGCUUGAGUAAGAGCAGUUGCGCAAAGAUGACGCGACGCUCCUUGAGGAAGAUCGUCUUCGGGCGGCUGUGAGAGUAGCACGCUACCAGCAAGCCUUGCGCCGCUACCAUAGCCGCAAGGUUCAUGCCCGAAGCUUUGAGGAAGGCGACCUUGUUCUUCGGCGCGUUCAGUCGGCCAAGAAUGCCAACAAGUUGACGCCGAAGUGGGAAGGCCCUUAUCGGGUAAUACGAGUCACCAGGCCCGGCGCAGUCCGCCUGGAGACCGAAGAUGCCGUCCCAGUGAGCAACUCCUGGAACAUCGAGCAUCUUCGCAAGUUUUACCCAUAAGGUGCGGCUUGCCGGGCCUCCCGGCAAGCCACCUUUUGUACAAGCUUUGCCGGCAAGGCAUGUGACCCUUUGUACAAAGCCAGGCACAAACCCUGAGCAUAAAUAAAUGAAGCGCUGGCGCCCUAAGUCAUAGCAUGCAUGCUAGGUCGAGUCCCUUCCUUGGUUAGGGUUGAUAGUACUCAGCAGCGACUAACCCCUAGCUUAGAGGUCGAGUGCGCGUCUAUCUGUUUCUCUUCUGUCCUCUUUUGGUUCGCAGGGCACAUGAGCACUUCUACCGAGCUACUUGGAAGAAAGAAAACGGAACAGCGUCCUGACCCCGGCAAACCAGAGUUGCCGGGGGCUGCAAGCACAAGGAUCCAACCGCGGCAAGAUGAGAUUGCCAGGGGCUGCAGAUCUAGAUAAGUCUUUCAUCCUCUGUCAUGUAUUUCGGAACCGGACUGGGGCAUGUGAAACCUCGUUUUUAUCUCUAGGCUGCCGUGCUCCCCUUUUUCCUAUACCUAAGGAUUAUUUCCUGGGUUCGGAUUUGGUUGUAGCCGCGGUAGCAAGGAGGUAGAACGAGGAGCCUAAAGCCCACUUCAUCCCUGCCUCCGCCAAGAGCGCGAGAAGGUCGAGUGGAGUGGGGGGACGGCAAGGUCUGUUGCCGGGUGAAAAACGUUUAUCUUAAACAAUAACAAGGAUUCGCUCCUUGUCGCGGGAUUUACCCAUGAACGAAAAACCCGGCAAGCAUCCCUUUUUCAUUAAAAACAUCCCAUACAGGUACAGUUCGUACGGAAUGAAAAACUUGAGCAAGGGGAUUACAAGUUCUAAAUUUAACGAAGGCCCGCAGGCUUACAAACUAAAAAAGAGAUAAGAUGCCCGUAAUCCCUUUCUUGUCCCUGUCCUCAGGAGGCAGGUCGAGGAGGCGAGAGGGCAAAAGGGGCGCCUAGGCGAGCUACGAGCAGCAGAAAGCACCAAGAGAACACCUCGGUGGCUGCCCACGGGUGGGUCGGUGAUGACGGUGCCGGGAAAGGAGCUGGAAGAUGAGGCGGCAGGACCGGCAAUACGCGAUGAAGGCGUCGGUGCCCGCGUACUCCGAGUUGAUGGCCUUGCCACCCGCCCUCUUCCUCUUCCGCAGCCUCCCGACGCUAGCCUCCCAAGGAGACGGCCCCGAGAAGUUCAAGGAGCUGGCCCCACCCCUGGCAAACCUCUGCCGGAGGAGCGGCCAGGUGCAGAUGCUGCUGCUGCCGCACCCGCCCAGGCGCGGGGCGUCCGACGCCUAGUCGGACUCGUCCCCGUCAUCUGCCCCGCUGUCCUCCUCAUCACUUUCACUCGAGGAAGAGCUUCCAUCAUCGGAAUCUUCGUCGGAGGAGCUUUCCACGCAGCACUUCAGGCGAGUUCCAAACUCUCCGAAGACCUUGACGGAGAGCAGGCCAUCCUCCAUUAAUUUGAAGUAGAGGACGAGCCCCGCCGUCAGGCUGUGGAUGCGAGCAAACGUCUUCCAUCCACGGCGGAUGUACAUAACCCGAGGAGCCGAGAAGUCGACGUAGACCCGCGUGCCCCCGUUCCCACAGCCCCUCAUGUGCAACCUGAGGGUCUGGGGCGGGUCACGCUCCAUCACCCGAGCAAACGGGGCGGGGAGACGAAGACGAUGACACGGAGGCCGGCGCAGCCUGAUGAAGAACUCGCGGGGCUGGUCUCCGACAUGGCCUUCCAUCGGAAAAGGCAACAUUGGCGGGGGCGAAGCCGGCGCGCCGCCUCGUCCUCCUCUUCCCCGAGCACUGCGACCUCUGCCCCGGCCUCGCCCACGGCCUCGCCCCCUCCCCCUUCCCCUCGCGGCCGGCUCCACCACCGCGGGCUCAGGAGGAGAAGGGACGCGCUGUCGAGCGGCGACCCUCGCCGCCACCGUCGAAGGACCAGGAUUCCCUUUCUCCAUGGCGAGUGAAAGGAAGAAGCAGAAGCGAGAGGAGAUAGAUGACAGAAGAGUGCGAGACGCCAUCUCUCCUCCCCCUUCCUUAUAAGGGAGCGGGGUCGGGGCUCGGCUGCCCCGCUCGGCCAAUCCGGCCACCAGAGGCGCAGGGAAUCGGGACCGACCCGCUGCCCCAACCAGCGACGGCCUGGUUUCCCGCCUCCACCGCUUGCCACCCCAAGUGCAUGGAGGACGCGUGGCGAACGUGCAGAACCGAGGGGACGGGCGAAGCGACCUCUCCCCACCCCGUGAUCGUGGGGAGUGGACGCCUUGAAGACCGCACCCUGGCCCCGUUCAGUAAAUGAGCCGCGCCUCCACGCCUCCCUCUUUUUACAGGGAAGGCGCGAGCCGCCUCUUUACUGCGAUGUGACGCAUGCAUGUGGAGACCGCCCCAUGCAUGCCGCCCAUGUCACGCACACCCCUCCACGCCGCGCUGCGGGCGCGGGUCGUGGGUAGUGCAGCGCGCGAAAAGUCUUACCACGGUAAAAAACUGCCCCGCCUGCCCGCGCACCGUUUUGGGCCUGGCCUAACAACGUGUCGUGCUUAUGUGUAGCAACACGAACUUCUUCAACUCUUGGUUCUUCUUCUUGGUCAUCGGCUGAUGUGUCGGUGUACAAAAAGAGGGGUGCGUUUUUGUACCCCUUUACCUGUGCACGGGUAGUCGGAGCGGCGCCCACGGUCACGCCAAGCAGAACAGGGGAGGUAAGCCAAGGUAAGACCGAAGCCCAAGAUAAUCAGAGCAAAGCCAAGGCCAAGACCACAAAGAGCAGAGGGACAAAGCAGGUUCCCCCGGCAAGACCCUUGCCGGGGCAGCCCCGUCAAGAUCCUUGCCGGGGCAGCUCGCCCCACACCAACAGAGCGAGCCACCCUUGAGCCCACGGUCCCCAACGCCAUCAUCCACGUGGGGCCAGGGCUCGGGAAGGCACCUCUGUGGUGGCAUGCAGAUCUUUGUGAAGACAUAUUCAAGGUCAGAUGAGGAUUAGAAGACGACGAUCCUUGGCAAGACCAGACCCCCGGCAAGGCCCUUUCCGGGGACGACAGCGCGCCACGGCAAGACCCUCGCCGGGCCACCCGGCAAGGCCCUCACCAUGGACGCCAGCGGGGCCACGGCCAGGCCCACGCCAACCAAGCUUCCACCGCCGUUCACAUGCAGCUGCCAGCCCAACCAGCUGGGCAGACACCUGCGUGGCGACAUGCAGCCCCCAGGCCAACUCAUCAAGCGCCUGCGUGGCGGCAUGCAGAUCUUCGUGAAGGCUCCACCACCACGCCACCUCAGCUGCCUGCCUGCCUACAUGGCGCCGCACGCAUCGCUGGCCAGGGCGCGUGUCAAAGCGAGGAGGAGCGGCGACGGACGGGACGGGCCUCGCCCCCGUCCCCAAUAAAGCAAGGGGACACCUAAGCUACGCAUUAAAUGCGUCUUGUCCUGUAAUGCGAGCGAUAAGCUCAGGGCACUGUACGCCUUUCCACCUCGUGUGUGCCACUGUGGCAGCCCCUUCCGACUAUAAAAGGAGGCCUGUGGCAUACUGGAGAAGGAUUCGGCUCUUUCGAACCACGCACUCACCACAGCUAGUUCGAGAGCUCAAGAACUCUCUGAAAUACACCCACCAAAGCAGGACUAGGGUUUUACGCAUCCUCGCGGCCCAAACCUGGGUAAAUGAUCCUUGUGCUGUCUACUAGCCCUGCUCUUCUCGCAACCCCGUGCCCCGGCAACCGUAGUAGGGAUUCUUGUGAUCACAUAGGUGUCGUUCCACACCGACAGGAUGACAGGCAACGUACACCAUGAAGCUAAAGCUUUUGACAUUAUUGAGCUCACUGGUCCGCCCACUCCAGGUGAACUAUAUGAACCUGGUUGUCAGCUUCACCGCAAUGCUUUGGAGAGCAUCUUUUAGAAGCCAGAGCCCAACAUGAGCCAAAUGCUGAGCACGAUGAAGCCUCUGCCACAUGACGCUGAUUACCCAAAGGAAUUCUUUGUUGAAGACCUAGAGUAUCUGCCCCGCACUAUUUAUCAUAUCAUCAGGCGAACUCUAUGGCCUGUCAAAGGACAUUCUUCAGCAGCGAAACUUGAAGGAGCAAUGAAGACUUUGGUCUUUUAUAUCUUCAAUGGCAUCAACUUCAAUGCUCAAGACUUCUUUAUCAGGCAGUUGGCUGCAUCAGGCUCUGAUCUCUUUGGACCGAAGUUCUACGCUCCAUGGGUUAUGCGCCUCAUCAAGCUACAUUCAGCUGUGAACUAUCAGCCCUCUGCUCGCAACCAUCUGAUCUUUCUGCCAGAGGUUGAUAUGUCAGUUGAAGCCAUAUACCCAGAGCCUGCCAAGGAGCCUGUUUGUCUUCACAAUGCUGAUCACCAAAGCUUCACACAACCCAUUGAAGGAGUCCAGGCAGUCACUCGUGUUUAUCCUUUGGCUGGCAAUACACGCUUACCUUGCCGUGCUCAAACUGAAGCCACUGAAAGCACUAUUGCUCAAAGGCCUCGGAAGCGAUCUCGUGUUCUCAAUGACCGAGAACUUCUUGUUGCCCUGCAUCAGAAACAGGAUAAGCAUCACUUCUGGCUGAAGUGGCAGAUGCAAAGCCUCUUGGUGGACGUCAAUCGCAUUCGCAAUCUUGCCACCAAGAAUGCCUUUGUUACACAUGAAACCUGUCGGAGGUCAUGGAAGAGUUUGACAUUGCUCAGUGCUGAAGCAGAUCUUCAAGACGAUGGCUUCACUGAAAGAUUCAAGUUUGACUCCACUCCUCCAAGGAAUGCUAUCUUGUGUCGACCUCCGUCUCUUGAAGACUCUGACUAUUCCUCCUCCGCUGCAAUGGUGAAUGCCAGAGUAAUCGAUGAUCAAGAUGAUGCUACUUCACCUCCUCCAACUUCAGCGCGUAUCGACACUGCACCAAGUUCGUCUGCACCGCCAAACCCCGACGCCGACCCUGCAUCCUCUCCUACUCCUUCUGGGAAUGAGUAGAGGCUCUAUGUCUUCAAACCUUUUUGGUCCUUACUGACAAAAGGGGGAUAAGCAUAUGAGUUGAUAGUCUUCAAGCGGGUCCAUAUGGGCGGUUGCUUUAUAUUUUGCCUAGUGUUUACAACUCUCGCUUUUGAAACAUUUGGUUCUUUUGAGUUGUAACACUUAAACUUGAUGGUCGUCUGCUACCUCUUUGCUAUUCUGUGAUGCGAUGAUAAAUUCCGCAUGUGCGAUGAUAAAUCCCGCACGAAGUCAAAUUGCAGACGUCCAUUUUUCAUUAUGCAUGUCAUUAUCUUCGUUAUAUCAAAUCAUGCAUGAUGAAUUGUCUUCAUAAGUGAAGAGAAUCUCCACAAGUACAACCUGCCAUGUGCAUUUGCAUUCCAAAAGCAAAUUACUUAUAUGCACAUCUUCAGGGGGAGCCUUUUGCUACUUAUGAAGACAAUACCUAAACCCCAGUGAACAAAGUCAGAGUGACUAAAGUGAUGCUCAACCAAAAUCCUAUGUCUUCGAGCGAAGACAAUGAGAGCAAAUCUUAUCCAGAGCUGGAUGAGUCAGCUUACUUGCAGCCCAAGUCAAGCUGUCGCGUGUGUUUGAAAUCUGACCAUUGGAACACGAGUGACCCAGGGUCAUUUCAGACAGAUCAGGUCGGGUUGCCUAGUGGCUAUAAAUAGCCCACCCCCUACACCAUAAAUUGGUGGCUGCUCAGAGUUAGUGCAUGACUUCUGUCAUUUGAGAGCAACCCACCUCCGAAGCUUUUGAGAGAGAGAAAUCCUUGCGAGGACAAAGCCCAAACACCCAGAGCCAAAGAGUGUUAGGCAUCACUGAAGUCUUUUUGUCCGCGUGACCUGAAGACUUGUUACACUUGAGGACAGUGAAUCCUCCAGCCGGUUAGGCGUCGCGUUCUGAGCAUCCAAGAGUCAUUGUGGAUCGCCGGUGAACGAAGUCUGUGAAGGUUUGGAAGUCUACCUUGAAGACUUACCUACAGUUUGUCUUCGUGAAGUCAUUGCCUGCUUGCACUACUUGUUUGACUUCACUGUGUGACUACUAUCAUUGUUUGGCUUCAUACCAUCUUCCAUCCUGAUCUGUUCUACCUAGCUGCUAUUAGUCUUCGUGCUUUCACUUUAUUGCAUACUUGACUAUGGCUUGCUUAGUGUAGUCUACCUUCCGCUGCAUAUCAAUAGGUUCAUUUCUAUUUGUUUGUCUUCGAAACUCUCAUGUUUUGAAGACGUUCAUAAAAAUCGCCUAUUCACCCCCCUCUAGUCGAUAACUAGCACUUUCAAUAAUGAACCCCUUGCAACCCACGUUCCACAACCAGCCGAUCCCCGCUGGGCACUUCAAGGUUAACUUGUCCAGUGUGAAAUCGGGGCACGGGGAUUUGCCUCCUCCAGUACAGCAUGUGGGAGAGGACGACGAGACCCCGCCGCGGAUUGGAAGCUGCCAGGGUUGGGUGCUGCUAUGGCCGAAGAAUCUUAUUCACCUGGAGCCGGCCGAGAGCACACCAAUAACCACACAUCAACAAGCAUGUGCGGAGACCACCACCCCGCCUACGCAAUUACCAGCUCCUGUAGUGCCGGGUGAGAGCGGCGGACGACGUGAUGAAGGGGGUGCAAUAGUACUGGCUGCUGUAAUAGGUCCUGUAGAACAAAGAAUGGAUGAUGAGACGGAGGUCGACCCAAUGGGUUUCCUCAAUACAAACGCGUAUGACUGUGACUUAGAUAUGAUGAGUCAACCAUAUGACGAACCGGGCUAUCAGCAUGCUAAUGAGGAUAUGGAUGAUCUGCCCGGGCAGGAAGGUCGUAGCAGGGAUUGCAAAAAGUCUCUCUUCAUGAAAUCCUCACAGGACACGCCUGAAGAUGCUGCCUCAACACAGGCUCAACUAGCCGGGGGUCGUACAGUGCUUAGCCCGGGAACACCGGGGCAGGGGUUAAGGAAGGGUCUGGAAGGUGUGCCCAAGAAAAAGGAGAGGAAGAGAUCGGGGAAGAUAGCUGCCUCCAAACAAGCCAGAGCACAUAGCAGCCAGACGAUGGAUUCUGAAGAGCGUGUACCCGUGAAAUGUGCGGCCAUGUUCCAUCUCAUGGGCGAGCCGAUGCUACCGCCAAAACCGCUGGAGGCACUAUCAGGGGAUCUGAGGAGACUGCACGACCAUGUGGUGUCGACUGAGAAAAGCCUACUAGCCUCGAAGGAUCCAGGAUAUCUGACAUACGCGGCUCGUGUGCCUGAGGGGAAGUGCGACGUCGACACACGGCCCGUGGAGGUGUUCUUCCUGCGGUUUGACCAUAUCUUUGAGAUGUUUCUGACAAGGUGGCUCGAUUUUACAAUCGUUCGCCUUUUUGCGCUACAUAUGAGCUCCGUCAUGAAGAGAGAAGAAGUCUCGCAAAUCUGUGUGGCGGAUCCGUACUACAUGCACGAGUCUUUCUUGAGUCUCGUCGACUUUGAGUGUGAAACCGCUAGGGACUACCUCCAAAACUUCAUGGUACAGAAUACGGACCAGGAAAUUGUCCUCCUGCCUUAUCAUCCAAAGUAAGUCAAUUCCGGACAACCCUUUCGUACAUUUCAAUCAUUCCUUCUUGCUCAUAUGGAGAGUAAUUUGAGGUGUCUUUUCCCCGCAGCAACGGGCGCGCCGUCCUUAUCGUUCUUUACCUGCGAGUCUCCCACACCGUGUAUUUUGACCCUUCUAGAGACUACGAGAAAAAGGACUACACCCACAUAAUGAAUAUUCUAGAUGAUGCUCUCCAAGGCUUCAGCAUUAGAGGUGGCCACAUGCAGAUCAGGAAACAAAGGAACAAGAAGAUGGGUUUUGCGCAUAAAACUAACUUCUGUUGCAUCCAUGUCCCAGAACCAAGUAAGAAGGAUGGAUUCUACAUCCUCCAUCUCAUGAUUGAGUUCAGCACGGAUCACCAAAAGCUUCGCAUGACAAGCAGAAAUGAUGAUCAUAUCCACAAGUGGCUAGAAUCUCAUGGAGAAGCGGAUUAUAAACUUAGAGAUGACUUCUUUCGCAUCCAAAGGGACAUUGCGAUGAUCAUCAUGAAAGAAGUCGUCGAUGAGAAGGGGAUGUUCCACCACGGCCCUAUAUCGCGAGCUGACGUCCGAACUCGCAUAGGCAUGCAACGUCAAGACCUUAUGCCGUUUAACAAGCUAGGGUCCAUCCUCGAUGAUAUGGAAGGAUGGAACUUCUAGUGAUUUAUGAUGCCGAUGAUGAUGAUAUGUGUCGGUUGAACUUGUAUACUUUCUGUAGCGAUGAAACUUUGUGAUGUCCAUGGUCCCUGCCAAACUUGCAUAACGCUACUUUGUUAGUUUGCGUACGAUGACCUGCGUACCUCUAGUUAAUUAGUUUGCGUACUGUAUGUUGCAUCUAGUUGCUAACCCUUUCUUUUUCGUGUUGCUCUAGUAUAUUUUGUUGCAUAUGAUUGUACAUCCUCUUCAUGAAGAUGCAUCUCUAACAGGUACCUAGUUUCUUGAUGGCGAGAUGGCAGUGCUAUGUCGUGUACAAAGGGAAGGUUCCGGGGGUGUACAACGAGUGGCCUGAGUGUUAGGCGCAAGUGAAUGGGGUCUCGGGCGCCAGCCAUAAAGGCUUCAAAAGCAAACAAGAAGGAGAAGCUAGUUACUUGAGGUUCACGCUAGCGCGAGAGAGGACUCGUAACCGCCGCCUCAUGUACUGCAUAGUUCCGCUCUCACUCAUAGUGAUAGCUCUUCUCGCGUAUACCAUUGUUUAGAUGGAUGACGUUGUAGUUGCAAGUAUUCGAGACUUGCAUGUAUCGCUAUUUUUGAGAUGAUGACGAGAUACCACUUUGUGUUGGAUGAUGAUUAUGAUGAGACUAUUUGUAUGUAUAUGCUAUGAUUACAUUUCUGGUCUCGGAGCCAUUUGUAUGUGCAUCAUGAUGACAUUUGUAUCUGCUAAAGAUUCCUGUAUAAAGCCUGUUCAAAUACAAAACAAACAUGCAGAAAAAAACAAAAACUACUAAAAUUAGCAGUAGCGAGUGGAGAAAAGUUAGCAGCAGCGUCACAGUAGCAGUAGCGCGUCCUGGCAAAGCGCGCUAGAGCUAUUAGCAGUAGCAAGCUUCCACGAAGCACGCUGCUGCUACACUUGUAUAGCAGUAGCGCGGGUGUGCACGCGUUGCUGCUAUGGGUUAGCUGUAGCGCCUUAUUAGUAGCGUCGGUCCCUGCGCUACUGAUAUACCUAGAAACCGCGCUGCUGCUAGCACUACAAAAAAAAAAGACACAUCCAUGACAUUUUGGGCCGAACGAAUUUUUUUUUCUGUCAUACUUAUGACACUUCUAUGACAAUAAUUGUGACAAAACACGGUAUCAUCAUAGAUGUGGUGGGGUCCUACUUCUAUGACAAAAAAUCAUGAUAGAAAAUGGGCUUUUCGUCCUGGGCGGGCCGGAGACGCAGCUGCAUGACAUUCUUUGGGCCGUCCAUGACGGAAAAAACCGUGGUAGAAGCGAGGGCGAGGAAAAUAUCGGGGUGUUCCCGGUUAUGGUGGGUGGUCGGGGCCGAGCGAUGCGCGUUUCUCUUGUACACGCACGCGCGUGGGUGCGAGGCGUUGGGCUCUAACUGAACCCGAGCGAGGCGUUGGGCUCUAACUGAACCCGAGCGUUUGCACUGCAGGCUACACGUUACUGAACUCGAGCGAUCGAUCGAUGGCUGUUAACUAAACCCGAUCGAGCGAUUCCUUCGCUACUACUGCUAACUGAAGCCGAUCGAUGCUGCCUCUGGAUGAACAGUGAGCGUUGCUGGGGGGGGGGGUUGGAUGAACAGUUCCCAGUGAGGGUGGAUGAACAGGACCCUGUGGUGUUGCCUCUGGAUGAACNNNNNNNNNNNNNNNNNNNNNNNNNNNNNNNNNNNNNNNNNNNNNNNNNNNNNNNNNNNNNNNNNNNNNNNNNNNNNNNNNNNNNNNNNNNNNNNNNNNNNNNNNNNNNNNNNNNNNNNNNNNNNNNNNNNNNNNNNNNNNNNNNNNNNNNNNNNNNNNNNNNNNNNNNNNNNGGUUUGGAUGAAUAGUCCAGGCGGGGGUGGAUGAACAGGACCCCGUGGUGUUGCCUCUGGAUGAACAGGACCCCGAUCGAUCGAGCCGGUUGGGGCUGGAUGAACAGGACCCCAUGGAGGGCUGGAUGAACAGGACCACCCCGUGGAGGGCUGGAUGAACAGUAGACGGUGGAGGGCUGGAUGAACAGUAGCCCGUGGAGGGGUGGUUGAACAGGAGCCCGUGGAGAGGGCUGGUUGAACAGUAGCCGGUGGAGUAGCGCGCGGUGGAGGCUGGAUGAACAGGAGCCCGUGGAUGAACAGUCGCAGGUGGAGGCUGGAGGAGGUCGACGGUGGAUGAACAGUAGGCCGUGGAGGCUGGAGGGGGUCGACGAUGGAGAUGAACAGUAUCCCGUGGAGUCCCGUUUUGCGGUACGCCACACCCCUCCCGAUGAACAGGACCCCCUUUGUAGCGCUCCAACACAAGUCCGUUUCCUCCGUUUUGCGGUACGCCACACCCCUCCGAUCAACAGGACCCCCGUUUCGACCGUAGGAGGUCUGUUUCCUCCGUUUUGCGGUACGCCAGACCCCUCCUGAUGAACAAGAUCCCGUUUCGAAUGUGGCCGGGCGAACACAAGGCCGUUUCCUCCGUUCUGCGGUACGCCAGGCCUCGUUUCCAUCGGCUGUUCCGUCCAAGCCGGUUGGCUCCCACGCGUUCCGUUGCCUCCCGAUGAACACGACACAUUCCGUUGCCUCCCCAUGAACACGACGACGACGCAGUUUCUCCAUUCCGACCCAGCCAUGUACACGAGCCCUGGCCGUACGUACGCACGAGUAGGCGUUCGAGACCCCGCCCGUAUGUACGUACGUGGCCGUAUUUACUUUCUUGCACCCUGGCCGCUGUACGUACAUGUACAUGCUACGUGCGCGCCUCUACAUUGACCAGUAUGUACGUACACGUUCGCGAUCAGAAUGACAACGCUACGUAUGCUUCGACCAGGUGGGUCCCGACUGUCAGGCACUUCCUUGCGUGCGAAGAUGUAGCUGGUGGGUCCCAGCAGUCAGUGGGGCGAAUUAUUUUUUUUUGCCCGGACGCACUUCCUUGCAUGCGAAGAUGUCGCUGGUAGGUCCCAGCAGUCAGGGGGGAAACGUUUCUUUUCACGAAAUACGGUUGCCCGUUCGGUGGGUCCUUGCUGUCAGGUGGAGGAAUCAUUAUUUUCCGCGUAAUAAGGAGGCACUUCCUUGCUGCGUCCGUGGACCCAGCCGUCAGCCUCUCCACGUACAGUCCACAUCCGAUGGAAGCCGUUCCUUGACCACGUUGACCACGGGGUGCCGAGAGCACCAGGGCGGUGGACGACGGCGAGGCCUAGGAAGGGGACGACACGGAGCCGGGGAAGACGCGGCAGUGGAUGCCCACGCGUAGAGGAGUAUGAGGGUUCACUGGUUCGCUGUGGUGUGAGGCUGUUGUCGCCGCAGAAUAACAGGGGGUGUGGGUGAGUAGAGGGAUGGCCUGGCCAGCGGUGGGAGUAGUAGAUGUGGUGAGGCCUCCGCGACGUCGCAGCCGGCCACGAGAGGCAGGAGCACGAGGCACGACCGGCGCUGCUUUGGGCGGCUGGAGCAAGAAGACCAGAGGUUGAAGAAGCACUACGGCCGUUGGAUGGACAUCGUACGGUCACUGGAGCUAGAAUCAUUCAUAUUGACUAAGUUGACAAAGCACUCCGUCCCCAUCAACUUAGUAGGCCCACAAGUCAGCCUCCCACCAAGGUGGGUCCCAACUAGCAGGGGGAGUAUUCAUUUUUUGUGCGUAAUAAGGAGGCACUUCCGGUGGGUCCGAGCUGACAGCGGGGGGAAUGUUUUUUCGCGAAAUACGGUGGCCCAUCCGGUGGGUCCCAGCAAUCAGGGGGGAAACGUUUUUUCGCGAAAUACGGUUGCCCGUCCGGUGGGUCCCUGCUGUCAGGUGGAGGAAUAAUUAUUUUCCGCGUAAUAAGGAGGCACUUCCUUGCUGCGGCCGUGGACCCAGCUGUCAGCCUCUCCACGUACAGUCCACGUCCGAUGGAAGCCGUUCCUUGACCACGUUGACCACGCCGCGCCGAGAGCACCAGGGAGGUGGAUGACGGCGAGGCCUAGGAAGGGGACUACGCAGAGCUGGGGAAGACGCGGCAGUUGAAGCUCGCGCGGAGAGGAGUACGAGGGUUCACUGGUUCGGCUGCGGUGUGAGGCUGCCGUCGCCGCAGAAUAACAGGGGGUGUGGGUGAGUAGAGGGAUGGCCUAGCCAGCAGUGGGAGUAGUAGGGGGCAGUGAGGCCUCCGCGGCAUCACAGCCGGCCACGGGAGGCAGGAGCACGCGGCAUGACCGGCGCUGCUUUGGGCUGCUGGAGCAAGAAGACCAGAGGUUGAAGAAGCACUACGGCCGUUGGAUGGACAUCGUACGGUCACUUCAGCUAGAAUCGUUUAUAUUGACUAAGUUGACAAAGCCCUUGGUACGCGUCAACUUAGUAGGCCCACAGGUCAGCCUCUGAAACGGUGCACCCCAGAUGUCAGGGGGAGGAAUCAUUUUUUGGGCGGCUGAAGCAAGAAUAUCCGAGAUUGAAGAAGAAGCACGACAUCCGUUGGAUGGACAUCCAACGGCCACAGCUGCCAGAACCGUUGUUGUUGACAAAGCCUUGCAUACGCGUCAACUUAGUUUUUUUUAGGGGACGCGUCAACUUAGAAGGCCCACAAGUGUGUGGCAAAGAACAUAUAGCCCAUUUGCGAUUUGUAAGAAUGUACAGCCCAUUUUUUAAUUCUAAUGGAAUUUACUACAUCCCAUUUAUAGUUUGUUAAAAGUACAGCCCAUUUUUUAAUUGUAAUGGAAUUUACUAUAGCUCAUUUACAGUUUGUUAAAAGUACAACUCAUUUUCUAGCUAGGACAAUGAUUAAUAAUUUCAACCAACCGCUCAAAACAGAAUUAAAAAGAAAUUCCCACAUUUUUAUGGGAUCCGAAAUAUUUUUAUCCCAAAUUUCUAGUCAGACUAAAUAUAAUUUCAAAAUAAAGUUGUAUUACGUUAAAAUCCAACGAAAUAUUACACGCGCAACAAGUAAUGAAAUUAAAAUUUUCAAAUUCCAAAAAUAAUAUAUUUUUUAAACUAAUUACGUGUUUGGUGCAUUUUUUUAUAGUUACUGCCCAGUUAUUAUAAUUACAUCCCAUUUAUUAUUUCUUAAAGUCCAUUUUCCUGUUAAGCCUAAUGCAUACCUUCUAGGAAAGUUUGCAGCCCAGCGGGGCGGAGAAUAACAAGUUGACCCGGAUAUUGUGUACAACUGUCGGCCCAAUUGCAUUGCUAAUGUUGAGAAAAAAGCCUGUGUAGUACAGUACAACCUAACAUGGCUACUCAACCCACAUUCAGCGACGCCGGAAAGGCCCAAACAAGGCUUCUAUACAACUUUUUGAAGUCACUGAGCUCAAUUAAUAACUUAAGAAAAAAGUUAGAUUACAGCGGAACCUAAUUAAAAGCUGUCACGAGCAAAGAAAUAAUUCAACGGGUCCCACUUGUGCGUGUGUGCGUGUGCGUGUGUGUGUGUGUGUGUGUGAGAGAGAGAGACCCAUCGGUCGAUGCUCAUAAAUACAUCUUUCAGCCAUAUGCAUUGCUGAUGCUCAGUAAAAACUUAUAUAGUUGACACAAUCAUAUAGAACAUCAUAGCACACCGAACUUGCAUACAAAAAUUUCAUGCAGGCGGCACAAUCAGGAUGGAAGGAGUGGAUCGCUACGGGUAGGGCUAUGUUGAAACCAACGAACUCGUACAUAACGGUUCAUCGUAUUUAUCAAUGACAGGGAAAUAUCUUGACUACUGUGCAAAGAAAACAGACAGACAACACAAUAAGUUCUGCUAGCACAUUAAGUUGACGUACAUCCCUUUCUAAAAAAAGUUUAGGUACAAAAUUACAACAUGUCACAAUCAAAUGUACUGGCACAUCAGUGCUUCACACCCAUAGCUCGGAUUUAACUAGUAUCUGACAAGAUUCAGUUGUUACCUCAAAUUAGAGCACAUCCAGGCAGCCAGCCCUGCCUCUUCUCCCAAAGAAGCAGUGGCCUCCGCCGCGCGAUGGAGUAGGCCCUGUGCCAUCCAUCGUUCCGAGCAACACGGGGAAAGUCUGACGUUGACUCCUAUAAUGGACGUCGUCGACGGACCCUGGCACCAGCGGUGGCGGCAGGACUUCGAUUGAUGGAUUGACCACUUUGUCGACAUGCACGAACACUCGAUACAGGUACAUCCCUAACGUGGUCCGCGGCGGCCUUGGUGGCGACGAAUAGUACAACCCCGCUUCCUGAACCGGUAUCUCAACACCAAUCACCUUCGGUAUAGUGGACGGCUUCUUCAUCCAUGCCAUAACCAUCAGAGCCCAGCUGUUUGGAGGAACAAACAUACUUACGAGCUCACCUCCAAGGUCGUUGAUAAGCUCAUUCAUGGACUCGCUGUUCCAAGCACGUCGAGGCAUGCCGUGGAAGGUAAGCUUUGUUAAAAACUCAAGCUCAGAGGGCACCGAGCCCCAUCCUGGGUGCCACCGAUCAAAGCUCACCAGCGCGCCAUCGCAGAACAAACGCCGGGAAGAUUCAAACACACGACUGUAGUCGAAAGUUGUCCGGAACCUGACGAAGAAAUCAGCUGAUGGCGGACAGACUUCAACGAGUAAGUCACUUAUUUGGAUGCCGUGCGCAAUAACAAGAGCUUUGACAAGGUCGUCCAGCGAGACGGGAGGCCGGUCGCCGUUGAUGGUUACCAUCAGCACUUUGCCGGCAAACUGGUCAUCAAGCGCCGCCAUGCCACUGUUGAGCGACAGCAUGCAGUGACCGAAGGCAGGAUGGACCUCAGGAUCUCUGGCUCGGAGAUCCGCAUUGACCGGUGACAUGAUGGUGAGCUUGAGUACAGGGAGUACAGGAGGGGGAUUUGGGGGAACUGGAGUAGGAAUCGAGAUUCUAGAGGUGGGGGAGGGGCGGGAGAUUGGGGAUGAAAAGGUAGCUUGAAUUUCGAACACGCGCCAAUAUGCUCUCGGCGCGCAAGCGCACGAAAACACCGGUGGCACCCACAUGUCGGCCUAAGAGUCCUUAUUCUUUCUUUUUUGGAGAGCCUGGCCUUUUUUUUGAGGAUCUUUUGAGAGCCCGGCCUGAGAGUCAUAAUUGACCUGUUUGGCAUUGCGUUACUACUCGGCCCAUAUUCAACGACACCUCACUGGCCCAAACAAGUGUACAUCAUUGAAAAGACACUGAGCUCAAAUUAUAUAACUUGAAAAAAGGAGAUACACUCUGAACACUGGAGAAUGGUGAUGCCCUCAUUUAGCCCACCAGUAGUUCGAGACAAUAAAUAGUUCGAAACAACGAUAUAUACAACAUUCAAACACUAACUAGUGACUACUACUGACAUAAACAACAAGACAUGAUAGUUCAUAAGAAGUCUUGCUACACCACCAAAACGCACCCAUCUGCAGCGCUCAGACUCUCGUGAUCCAGACGAGAAUGACAUUCUAAACAGAGGUAACUAUUACAUAGUAAGAGUGACAUAGACGAGGAUGACCAAAUGACAAGGAAUAUGCAUAACAAAAGAAAGAACUACCCAUCCAGAACAAGCAGCAAAGACAACAAAGUCAUUCGAAGAGAUGAUCCAACACCAUCAUAAUCUGCAGCCCUGCUUCAGCGACCAAUGAUCCGGAGACACCAGUACUUCACCCUUCUGAUGCAACAGCGCAAUUACCUAUCAACCUGAAGGCUUGAACCACAUCACUGCCUGUCGUAAUUGAGACAUCCAAGGAUCAAAGUUAAUCCGGAUGCCUUUGUCAUUCUCACCUUCUUUUGGUUGCAGGCUGUAUCGUUGACAAUCAGGGGAGUUUGCUCCCGAACUCCUAGGGCUUGCCGUGUAGACACAAUUUUCCAUAGCAAACAGAGCCUCUCUGCCAUCAAGGUCCUUGCCAACGGUGAUCUCCUGGUUAAUCGGAUAAUUGAGUCCAAGAAAUAGAGAGUAUGAACCAAGGUUGUUUACCCGCCUCCAACUAAAAAAUCCUGAAGGCCCCAACAAGCUGGUAUCCUGCUCAUAGACGUAACAACCACUGUCCGGAUACUCACGUAUUUCAUGGUGCUUGUAUACAAUGGGGUUUUUGCAAUAUAACUUUUCUGGCUCAUGUGUCCGAAUGAUCAUUAGUCUUUUGCCAUCGUCUGAUCGAGCUAGGAACCAGUUGUGCUUCCCUAUUUUUGGCAAAGGUGGUGUGAUUACAAAGGGCAGUAACUAUAGGGACACUGCAUCAUAUAAAAAAGGACAGACAUUGUUAAUGUAAGAUUAGCAUUGUUCAGAGUAUGAGUAGGAUAAUGCAAGAAGCAACAUUGAUAUGUCCCUGUUGGAACUGGGAGGAAAAUACAGGGAAAUGUAUACUGGGUUCGAAAAUAUAGAAGUGCCAUGCAUGGUUAUACUCAUGUUAUCUCGCAAUCGAUUCUUCACAGGAAACUACCAUGUCAUGCAUGUUAUGUAAUCAUGUUCUAUCCUCACAAACAAAUUCUUCAAGGUAACUAACAGACCAUGCAUUGUUAUAUACUCGUGUUCUGUGGGCAAAUUUUUUGUGAGGAUAUUAUUCUAGCCAUUGAUUGCUGAAGGGCGAAUAUAGGUAUGUACACAUGGUAAGUGUCGUGGAAUUGUCACGGCAGAUGUCCUCGAGCUAGGACUUAGUCGUGGAGCCAUCGCAACUAGGAAGCUUAAAGGGGUUAAACGGGACAAGGAACACGGGGUUUAUACUGGUUCAGCCCCUUACGGUGAAGGUAAAAGCCUACCUCCAGUUGAGGUGGUAUUGCUUAUGGUUUCGAUGACCAGGGAGCUUAAUUGCUAUGCCUGGCUCUCGACGAGAUCUUACUUGUCCCUAAACCGCCGCCGGGUCGUCCCUUUAUAUAGAGAGGUUGACGCCCAGCGGCUCUCAGAGUCCCGGCCGGCUCAUAAGAGUGUCCGGCUCGGACUCUCAACUAUUCUUGCCUUACACUACAAGUCUUGCCAUACGGCGGUCUAUCACUACGGGCCUUAAGCCAUCUCCGGGUCUUAGGCCCAUCAUUGACCCGCUGUCUUCAAGCUCGGUACUGGGCUUCGCGUGAUGACCAUUAUGAGUAACCCGGCCCCUCCUAGCGGGUGACUCUAAUGGUUAUAUCCUCAACAUUAGGCCCCAGAUUGAUUUGAACCUGUUCAUGUCAAUGUUCAAUUCUUUUGAGAGAAAGGAUCUUCCGGCUUCUGGUCGUGCGAAGAUUAUAACCCGCCGUGACGUCAUCUUCUGGAUUCUUGGUAACCCGCCAUGACGUCAUCUUCCAUUAAGUCCAUUUUUUUAUUCCACCAUAUCCGCAACGGAUCUUAUCUUUAAUUGCCAUCCUGAAAAUUGAGGCAUUUUUGUGGUGAGAUAAUCACGCCGUGACCUCCUCGUUUCUCGUGCCCACUUAUGAGCCUCACCUUAUAAAUAGCCCGGCCCAUGAGGCUCCAGUUACUGGUCGCCUCCAUCAUCUUCCUCCUCUCGCCACUGUACUGCCGCUCGAGCUCCACCGCCGCCACCGCCGCGGGUCUCCUCGUCUUCCCCGACUCAGGCCGCUGCAUCAACCUGACUUGACCAGAGAAACGGCGGCGACCUCCGCAACUCUCCAGCACCCGUAAGCCCUUGCCACUCCAUAGAAUAGAUCUGCAUUAGGGUUCUUUUCUGUUCUUCCCGUGUUCGUCGCCGUUCAUCGCGAGCUCUUGAUAGAUUUCAUUAUUACCACCUUUUCUUGAUCUUUAGACUGCAUAGAACUGCUGCGGUAGCUGUUUCACACCCAUUCCCAAUGUACAUAGAUCCCCUUUCAUUGCAUAAAGGCUCCGUUCAAACCCUUGAACUUUUUCUGUGUCUGUUCUAGGUCUAGAAAUUUUUCCUUUUAGCCAACCGUUUGAUCCAAAAUAAUUACUGCGAUCUGUGAAACUUGUUUUCACCACACUUAGUCAAAAAUUCGAUCUGCUGAGCUAUGGAGGCUCACAUUUCCGGCUUAAAAGAAGCCACGCUCCGUAAACUUUCCGGCUCAUUUAAUGAUAAAGCUGUAGACAAUUUGAAUUACUCACGAUAUCUUCAGCGGCUUAGAUAACCCGAUGCACUUAACCAUAUGUCAUUAGGCCCCUCUCAUAAGCCGCCAUUUGAGUAUUAAACUGUAGACAUGUGCCGGCUUAUAAUUGAACCGGACUUUUUCCUUUUGUCAUAGGCUUCAUCUUUCACAAUGCCUCCCAAAGCUCCCAAGGCACCCAUCACGUGCAACUGGAUGAGAUCCAAUGUCACCGACGACACUUUAGCUGAUUUCAUAAAGACGGGUUACUUGCCCAAGAAGGAAAUCAUGUCCUAUCAUGCCCCUGACCCGUCGGAAGAGAGACCUCAACCUAGAGAUGGUGAGGUGGUGAUAUUCGCUGAUCACAUGAGCCGGGGCUUCGCACCGCCCGGCUCAAAAUUCUUUAGGGAUGUUCUGAACUUCUUCGAUCUGCGGCCGCAAGACAUAGGACCCAAUUCCGUGUCAAAUAUAUGCAACUUCCAAGUAUUCCGCGAAGUCUAUCUUGGAGAAGAGCCCAGCCUGCUGCUCUUUAGAGAGCUUUUUUAUCUGAACCGCCAGAAUGAGUGCGCCAACGGGCCGAGCCUGGAAGUUGGUGGAAUCUCCAUUCAACGCCGGAGAGAUUGCCUCUUUCCUUAUGCUGAGCCGCCAAGCCAUCCAAAGGACUGGAACCAGACGUGGUUUUAUUGUCAGGACACUUCUCCGGCUGACGAGAGCCCUCUGCUUGGCUUUCGUGCCCUGCGUCUGGAACCAAAUCACCCUUUGCCAGACAAACUCUCUCAAGCUGAGCGUCAACCUCUGAUCCCCACCAUCAACAAGAUCAAGGCUCUCCUGGGAAACGGCCUCAACGGCAUUGAUCUGGUCCGGGUUUGGAUCUCUUGGCGGGUGAUCCCCUUGAGCCGCCGCCCCGGCUUAAUGUGUGCUUACACGGGCCGGAAGGAUGACCCCCUGCGGCACAGCCCCAACGAUCUUCCUGAGGACGUUGUGGAUGACAUGACUAAGUCUCUCCUGAACGAGAGCUUAGCCGACUGUGGGAGAACCGCCCUGAACCCCUUCUGCCAAGCUAACCCGGCUCCGGCGGUAAGCCACUGACCUGAACACCUUGGUUUUCUUUUUAAUAGUUUCCAUCUAGACCUUAAGAAAUCUUUGUUGUAUGUUUCAGGCUAAUGACAAGUUCUGGAAGGUCAAAUAUGACCAUGAAGCGGCCAAAAAAGCCAAGAAGGCUAAGAAAGCCGCCAGGAGAGCCACUCCCUGCAAGAAGGGAAGCAGGCCUACUGCCUCAGAGCUGCAUCAGCUAAGUGACAUCUCCGAGUCAGAGGUAACCCCUGAAUCUGUAGGCUCUUGUUUUGUUUCUUGUUUAUUCCUAUCCACCUUACCGAUACCGAUUAUCAGCAGGAGGACACCGGAGCGAGUAUCCCGGUGACUGAAGAGGUAACUACACUUUUCUCCGACUCGGAGCCCUUGCCAAGGCUGAAAGUCCGAAGAGUAACUCGGAAAGUAAGAUUUUCACAUCCUUUAGCUUAUCAAGAUCCUCAAUUUCUUUUGAAGCGACAGAUUCAUGAGAGUCGACGGCACACCCGGACCAACAAGGAUGCAGACCUCUCCUCCGGCUUACCUGAAGCAUCAAGGAAGCGCCGGACCGAGGUUAUCUCCAACUUAUAUCCUUUUCAUCCUUUGGCGGGCGUUACUCGUCAACCGCUCAAUUCUUCUUAUUCAAAUUAUCAGGACACUUCACCUUCCUCUGGUGAUUCUAUGCAAUCGAACCUGCCGGCUUUCAAGACCGCACCCGGGUAAUGAUGAUCAUCUUAUAUUGUGCUUAUCUUUACUCAUACUUUUGUACUAACCUUUUGUCCUUUCAGUGCUCAAGCAAAGCUCAGCAAGAGAGCGAAGAAGAAUAAACCGGUCGAAGACCCGGUCUUGACUGAGCCGGAGGUUUCAGCUCAAGAGCCGCCAGCUGCCUCUGCUCCUAAAGCCACCGCUCCAACCGACGAGCCAAUCACAGAGACUUUUGCUAACCCGGAGAUCUCCAGCCCAGCUCAGCCGGCCGAUGACCCGGACGUGGUAAUCACCCGGACGGAAUUUGUCGAGCCGGGGAGACCCACUGCGCUGGCUAAGUGCUCUGCCAAGGAAGAGUUGCUAGAGCGCCGCAGGGCCAAGCUGGACAUCACCAACUACGCUAACUUGAGCAUUGGAGAUAUCAUCUCCGGCUAUGUCAAUCAGGUGCACAACAGCCGGGACCUGGAGAUCGACAUGGUGAAGCAGAUACAGCAGAAAUCUGAGGUACCACUCUCUUGCUUACUGCAUAGUCAUCUUUACCAUACUAGCCCCCAAGUCUACUACUUAUGAUAGAAUAUGUUGUAGACUUAACUUCCGGCUUACUUUCAUGAACCGGCAAUUUGUAGAUAGAACCUUUCAGCAUACAUUAGCCCCCAAGUGCCAAGUGUCUUUGCUUGGAAAGUGCUUGGGACUUUAAAGUUGUAUAAUAAUUAUUCAUACUAUAACCCGGAAAUUGUACAGGCUGCUUGCAAGAAAUUUUAGGCUGAUAUCUCUGAGCUGAAGAACCGCCUGAAGACUCAGGAAACUGAGACCCGGAAGGCCAACGCUAAAUUUGAGUCCAGUGUUGCUGCUCAAGAGAAGCUGAAGAAGAAGUUUGAAACCGAAAGGAAGACUUGGGCCGAAGAGAAGGCUGCUCUGGUCAGCCGGGCCGAACAGGCGGAGGCGGCUCUGACGGAGAGAACCGCCGAACUCUCCGGCUUAAAACGCCAUGUGUCACAGAUGGUCGCCGCAAUCUUCGGUAAGUCAUUCUACAGGCUUUAAACAAGUUUAUAGUCUUUAUGUCUCAUAAUUCCCAUCAUUGCUAGCGGCUUAUCUUACUUUGUUAAACAGGUCCCAGAAGCGCCAACCUCAACCAGAACAUGCUGACCAAGCUGAAGGCCGUGUACACUUUGGUGGAGCAACUCUACACCGGGUCACAACGCGCCUUGGCCGCUGUGGCCCUGUCCAAUGAGGUUCCAACUCACCUGGCGGACGUACUUCAGCGGCUUGCCGUUCUUCCUCAGCGUUUCCAAGAGCUGCGACGGGCCUCUGCAAGAGCCGGAGCCAUAGCUGCUCUGAGCCGGGCCAAGGCUUUCUUUCCAGAGCUAGACCCGGCUGACAUCGCACUUAGAUACCCCAGCCUGAAGGAAGACGGCACCCCCUUCGACCAAAAAGACUUUGCAGCCUGUGUGAAGAUCAUGCGCCCGGUGGCCACCCUGAUUGGGAAUGACACCGACCUUACCAAGUACCAGCCGGGCUACGACGCAGAGAAUCAGAGGGUCCCUACUCCGCGUUAUGAAGCCAUCAGCUUGGUCCCGCCGACUCGUAAGCACACCUUUGCCCCAGAAAUUGACCCGGCCGGGUUAAUUGACGAGGAGGCUCAGUUUGAAGCAUUGAGCGGCAUUGACUGGAAAUCGUCAACCUUCCAGGUCAUGGGAACAGCCGGAGGAGCGGAGAGGGAUGAGUUGGAAGCUUCAACUCAACAAGCAUCUUGACUUGUAGGCGGCUCAUGAGUACAUCUUAAAACAAUGCCUCAUCUUUUGGACUCGGGGAGUCUUGUAAUAGAGUAGGACAAAUACUUAAUUUUGUCGUGCCAUCGUGCACGUGUUGAAUGCUUAGCUCCGUUGAAACUGAUUUUUCUUAUUCCUCCGGGUUAUAAUUGAUCAGUUAUUUUCCUUAAGCUCGAAUAGCUGUAUUGAACCAUCCUGCAUAGAAAACAAGUCACAAGUCUCUAGGCGGCUUACCGCACUGAGAAUCAUAAACCUUAUAUAUAUAACCCGGAAUAUGAACGAAGUCACCAAAGACUGGCCCUCAAUUAUAUCUUUGAUGUAACUGUAACAGCAUACUUACAAACCUUCAAGCAUACUUCCGGUUCAUGUAACCCGAAUAGUAUGGUUAAAAUCUCAAUGCCGGUUCACCAGUAUCGAUAAGGCUUAUUGCGUGUUACCCAAGUUAAGCCGGCGGAGCCAAAAACCGCCCUUGCACACUGCUGAUGUGACCAAAAGAACUUGUUGUAAGUCAGAAGAUCAAAACUUAGGGGCUUCCAGUUCGAAUACGACCAGAGAACCUUCCAAAGGGGUUAAGCUAAGAUUCGAAUGCGAUCAUAUAGCCCCCAGUGGCUUUGGCAAUGCCGAUCAAGAGGGUACCGACAGCUAUGUUCUAUUUGGUUCGAAUACGACCCAUGUUUGAACAGGAAGCCCCCAAAUGACCUUAAGAGUUGUUUAAUGACGGUGAUUCGAAUACAAUCCACGUCGGUUCCCAAAGGGGGUUGAGCUAUGAUUCAAAUAUGGUCAAAGAAAACUCCCCAAUGAGCUCGGCACUUUGCCAAUCAAGUGGGUAUCGACAGCUAUGUUCUCUUUGGUUCGAAUAUGACCCAUGUUUGAACAGGAAGCCCCCAGGUGAUUAUACUGCUUACGGCUAGAUUCGAAUACGAUCAUAAGCCGGAUCCACCUCCAAGUGACCACGUGAUGUUGUAAUGGAAAUAACAUGUUUACCUUUGGAGGAGAAAAGGACAGAGGUCCUGCUUUAUUAUUUAACAUAAUAUAUACAUGGCUAUAGAGAUAUGUACAUUAUGAGAGCCGGUGGCUCAAGUGUAAUAAGGCCGAAGCUGAGCUAUGUUCCACGGCCGACGGGUUUCUUCCUCCGACUUGCGUGAAUCUUUAUGCUCCCGAACAUCAAUAAGGUAGUAUGACCUGUUGUGCAAGUUCUUGCUGACCACAAAGGGCCCUUCCCAAGGCGGGGAUAGCUUGUGUGCAUCUGUUUGAUCUUGGAUGAGCCGGAGCACCAGGUCACCCUCCUGGAAGACCCGGGACUUAACCCGGUGACAGUGAUAACGGCGCAGGGCUUGUUGGUAAAUCGCUGAACGAGCUGCUGCCACAUCACGCUGUUCGUCCAACAGGUCAAGGGCAUCUUGGCGCGCCUGUUCAUUAUCCACCUCAACAUAAGCCGCCACUCGAGGCGAGUCAUGACGGAUGUCACUGGGGAGGACUGCUUCCGCUCCAUAAACCAUGAAGAAGGGCGUGUAACCCGUAGACCUGUUAGGAGUAGUAUUGAUGCUCCAUAACACGGAGGGUAGCUCCUCCAGCCAACAACCCGGCGUCCGUUGCAAAGGGACUAAAAGCCGGGGCUUAAUGCCCUUCAAAAUCUCCUGAUUAGCUCUCUCAGCUUGACCAUUGGAUUGAGGAUGAGCCACUGAUGAAACAUCAAGUCGAAUAUGCUCCCGUUGACAAAACUCCUCCAUGGCGCCUUCAGACAGAUUGGUACCAUUAUCAGUUAUAAUGCUGUGUGGAAAGCCAAAGUGAAAUAUCACCCUUUUCAUGAACUGAACCGCCGUGGCUGCAUCACACUUGCUAACUGGCUCUGCUUCAACCCACUUUGUGAAUUUGUCAACUGCCACCAAAAGGUGGGUCUUCUUAUCCUUGGACCUUUUAAAAGGCCCAACCAUAUCAAGCCCCCAGACCACAAAUGGCCAAGUGAUUGGUAUCAUCCUCAACUCUUGAGCUGGCACAUGAGCCCGUCGCGAGAACCUCUGACAAUCGUCACAUUUACUGACCAAGUCCUCCGCAUCAGCAUGAGCCGUCAGCCAAUAAAAACCAUGACGGAAAGCCUUGGCCACGAGAGAUUUUGAGCCGGCAUGAUGGCCACAAUCCCCUUCGUGAAUCUUACGCAAAAUAUCUUGGCCUUCCUCAGGGGAAAUACAACGCUGGGAAGUUCCAGUAACACUACGACGAUGCAGCUCGCCAUUGAUGAUGACCAUUGACUUAGCCCGCCGGGUUAUUUGUCUGGCCAAAGUUUCAUCCACAUGCAAAUCUCCCCGGGUCAUGUAAGCCAAGUAUGGUACUGUCCAGUCUAGGGUGAUGUGGAGAGCCGCCACCAAAUGUGCUUCCGGGUCAGGGACAGCCAAGUCUUCCUCUGUAGGUAACUUAACAGAAGGGUUAUGCAAGAUGUCCAAGAAAGUAUUAGGCGGCAUCGGCUUUCGCUGAGAGCCCAGCCGGCUUAAAGCAUCAGCCGCCUCGUUCUUCCUGCGAUCGAUGUGCUCUACUUGGUAACCCUGGAAGUGUCCAGCAACGGCAUCAACUUCACGGCGAUAAGCCGCCAUGAGAGGGUCCUUGGAAUCCCACUUGCCUGAUACUUGUUGAGCCACUAGAUCUGAGUCGCCCAAACAUCUUACUCUGCUCAAGCUCAUCUCCUUAGCCACCCGAAGACCAUGGAGCAAAGCCUCGUACUCGGCCGCAUUGUUAGUGCAUGGAAACAUCAACCUUAGCACAUAACGGAACUUGUCACCUUUAGGGGAAGUCAACACGACUCCAGCCCCCGAGCCCUCCAAUUGCCUAGACCCAUCGAAGUGAAUAGUCUAAUAUGUAUUAUCCAGCUUUUCUUCAGGCACUUGUAGCUCUGUCCAAUCGUUGAUGAAAUCCACCAAGGCUUGAGAUUUAAUAGCAGUGCGUGGUACGUAUUUCAGACCAUGAGGCCCGAGCUCUAUAGCCCACUUAGCCACUCUUCCUGUGGCUUCUCUAUUUUGGAUGAUAUCUCCAAGGGGAGCAGAACUAACCACAGUGAUAGGGUGACCCUGGAAAUAAUGCUUAAGCUUCCGGCUUGCCAUGAACACACCAUAAACAAGCUUCUGCCAAUGUGGAUACCGCUGUUUGGACUCGAUGAGCACUUCACUGACGUAAUAAACCGGCCGCUGAACCGGAUACUCCUUACCCUCUUCCUUGCGCUCCACCACCACAGCCACACUGACGGCUCGUGUGUUAGCAGCUACAUACAGUAAUAAGGGCUCCUUGUCAACCAGAGCAGCAAGGAGUGGGGGCUCCGCCAGCUGUCUCUUCAAAUCCUCAAAAGCAGUAUUAGCAACGUCAUUCAAGACAAAGUCAUCAGUUUUCUUCAUCAACUGGUACAGUGGCAUGGCCUUUUCACCCAAACGGCUUAUAAACCGGCUCAAAGCAGCAAUGCGGCCUGCUAGACGCUGGACGUCGUUUAGACACGCCGGCUUAGCCAGAGAGGUGAUUGCCUUGAUUUUUUCCGGGUUAGCUUCAAUGCCUCUGUUAGAAACCAGGAAACCCAAGAGUUUGCCUGCAGGAACACCAAAAACACACUUGGCCGGGUUAAGCAUCAUCUUGUAAACCCGGAGAUUAUCAAAGGUUUCUCUAAGGUCAUCGACCAGAGUCUCCUUUUCCCUGGAUUUAACCACGAUAUCAUCCACAUAGGCAUGAACAUUGCGCCCAAUCUGGUUAUGAAGACAAUUCUGCACACAACGCUGGUAAGUCGCCUGUGCGCUCUUGAGUCCGAAAGGCAUAGACACAUAACAGAAGGCUCCAAAGGGAGUGAUGAACGCCGUCUUCUCUUGGUCCUUAACUGCCAUUUUAAUCUGAUGGUAUCCAGAAUAAGCAUCCAAGAAACUUAAACGCUCACAACCCGCCGUGGCAUCAAUGAUUCGAUCAAUACGGGGGAGAGCAAAAGGAUCAGCCGGGCACGCCUUAUUUAUGUCCGUGUAGUCCACACACAUCCACCAGGUGCCAUUCUUCUUGAGCACGAGCACCGGGUUAGCUAACCAUUCUGGGUGAAAGACUUCAACAAUAAACCCAGCCGCCAAGAGCCGGGCCACCUCCUCACCAAUGGCUUUCCGCCUCUCUUCAUUAAACCGCCGUAGGAAUUGCCUGACCGGCUUAAAUUUCGGAUCAACAUUGAGAGUGUGCUCAGCGAGUUCUCUAGGUACACCUGGCAUGUCAGAAGGUUUCCAUGCAAAGAUGUCCCUGUUCUCACGGAUGAACUCGAUGAGCGCGCUUUCCUAUUUCAGAUCCAAAUUGGCAUUGAUGCUAAACUGCUGAGAUGAGUCACCUGGAACGAAAUCAACAAGUUUAGUCUCAUCAGCUGACUUAAAUUUCAUCACCGGCUCAUGCUCCGUGGUCGGUUUUUUCAGGGAUGUCAUAUCUGUUGGGUCAACAUUGUCUUUAUAAAAUUUCAACUCCUCUGUUGCACAAACAGACUCUGCAUAAGCCGUGUCGCCUUCCUCACAUUCCAAGGCUAUCUUUCGGCUGCCAUGAACCGUAAUGGUCCCAUUGUGACCCGGCAUCUUGAGCUGUAAGUAUAUGUAACACGGCCGUGCCAUGAACUUGGCGUAAGCCGGCCGCCCAAAUAUGGCAUGGUACGGACUUCUUAUCUUGACCACCUCAAAGGUCAAUUUUUCCACCCUGUAGUUGUAUUCAUCUCCAAAGGCCACUUCCAGUUUGAUCUUACCAACUGGAUAAGCCGACUUACUAGGCACCACACCAUGGAAAACAAUAUUGGACUGGCUGAGGUUCUUGUCAAUCAACCCCAUGCGACGGAAGGUUUCAUAAUAGAGGAUGUUGAUGCUGCUGCCUCCAUCCAUGAGCACCUUAGUGAACUUAUAUCCUCCCACCGGAGGAGCCACCACCAGGGCCAAAUGACCCGGAUUAUCAACCCGGGGAGGGUGAUCCUCCCUACUCCACACAAUAGGCUGCUCAGACCAUCUUAAAUAGCGUGGAACCGCCGGCUCAACAGCAUUCACAGCCCUCUUAUGAAGCUUCUGAUCUCGCUUACACAGACUGGUGGUAAACACAUGGUACUGUCCACCAUUGAGCUACUUUGGAUUGGUCUGGUAUCCCCCCUGUUGCUGUUGAUGACCCUGGCCGGAUUGCUGAUUAAAGCCCCCUUGAACAUUCUGAGGAUUGGAAUUUAAGCCGCUGCCCGGGCCAUGAAAGCCGCCGGCGCCUGAGCCGCCGCCCGAGCCAUUGUUGCCAUUAAAGGCAUUGGAGUUCUUAAAGGCCUUCAUGAUUGCACAAUCUUUCCAUAGAUGAGUAGCUGGCUUCUCCCUGGAGCCAUGCCUUGGACAAGGCUCAUUCAACAACUGCUCAAGCGUUGGGCCUGAACCGCCGGCUCGGGGAGGUGGCCUCCCUUUACGUCGCUGGUUGUUACCCUGUGAGCUGGCAUUGGCCACAAACUCCAUGCUGCCAUCAGCCUUACGCUUGUUACCUCCUUGGUUUGCCGGGUUAUGCUGAGGACCCUUGCCAUUGCCGUUCUUUUUUUCCUUCCCUGUCCUUUCAUCAUCUGAAGCGGGGUCCUUUGUACUAUCAGAGUCGGCGUACUUGACGAGAGUCGCCAUCAGCGUACCCAUAUCAUUGCAGUCGCGCUUAAGCCGCCCGAGUUUCAUCUUCUGGGGCAGGAAACGACAAUUCUGCUCCAACAUUAAGACUGCAGAGCCGGCAUCCAUCUUAUCAGAUGAAUGUAUUAUCUCUUUGACCCGGCGAACCCAAUGUGUCGUAGACUCACCCUCCUGCUGUUUACAGUUAGUCAAAUCCACAAUUGACAUAGACUGCCUACAGGUAUCUUUGAAGUUUUGAAUGAACCGGGCUUUCAGCUCAGCCCAAGAUCCGAUAGAAUACGGCGGCAGCCCUUUCAACCAAGUGCGGGCAGUCCCAUCUAACAUCUUGGUGAAGUACUUGGCCAUCGCCGCUUCGCUGACCUCCAGCAAUUCCAUGGCCAUCUUGUAACUCUCGAUCCAGGCUCCGGGUUGUAAAUCAGCCGUGUAAUUAGGCACCUUCCUAGGCCGCUUAAAGUCCUUGGGUAAACGUUCAUUGCGAAGAGCCGGCACUAAACAAGGGACACCUCCAGUCCUUGUAGGGAUACCCACGUCGGCGGAAGCCGUCGGAUAAGCCGGGGGUGUUUGGUAAGCCGUCAACUGAGGCAUCUGCUCCGCCUCUUGCCGUGCUCUGUCUUGGUCUGCUGCGUGAAAGGCCCCGUUAUGAGCCGGGCCGUGGCCAGGUGGCAAGUCACGGCGUCAGACAUUACUUGAGCCGGUCGCUGAGACCAUGUGUCUGCUAUAACUCGGGCUCCGGCCUGGAUGAGGAGUUGAAUGGAUCCUGUCCCGGCUAUAAGAGUAUGCCUCUUGCUGCACCAGAGCUGUCUGAAGGAGUUCUCUGACCCGGCGGGUUUCAACAGCCAUUGGAGAGUCGCCAUCAAUUGGAAGAGCCGCCAGCCGCGCCGCCGCGGCAACCAUGUUUUCCAGCGGGUUGGCAUAAUGACCCGGUGGUAUUGGCACGUACUGAGGCGGGGCGGGGUUCACCCGGGGAGGUCCCAUCACUUGGGGCUGAAUUGGUGCCCCUGCCCCGGGCACUAUAAUCUCCGGCGGGUUACUAGACCCUGCACCCGGCGUGUUGAAGAGAUUUCGAGGAUCGUAAACCGGAGGGAGUCGAGAUUGGGCCUUUUGAUGCCUCCUUAUCAUGACCUCAUUGGAUGCGUUUUGAUCCAUCGUGAGCCGGAAGGACUGUGCCUGAAUCAGCUGAGUCUGGGCGUCGAGAGCCGCCCUCUCUGCAGCCAUCCUGAUCCCCUCCGCCGCUAGAUCCUCCUUGGCCUUUGCUAGAUCCAUCUUUAACUGUGCCACCUCCGCGUCAUGCUGAACUUGAUCCGCCGGAGCCACCGUAGCGGUCAACAGGACCGUCAACUUGUCUGUGAGAUCCAUCAGCACCUGAGCUGGUGAGGGCACCGGGCUUCCUGACCCGGAGGCGGGGUUCUGAACAGGUUGCGCGCCGGCCAUGAAGAUGCCAACCCGACUCGGCGGUUCAAAGGGGUCCGGAAUACUGUCGCCGUCGGAACAACCCCUGAGCCUGCCAUCUUGAAGUUGAUACAACGAGUUUGACUCAUCCGUGGACGACUCGCCGUCAGAGCCGGCAGCCGUCUCAUCGCCAGAUCCAGACCCUUCAGAGAGUCCUCCAUGAACACAUCCCACAAAAGCGUGCUUCAAGGCAGGUAGAGCCCGGGUGGGUCGUGCACGCUGAGCCAUCUCGAUGAGAUCGGCGCAGAGAUCCGGCUUAGGGCCCGGCUCACCAAUCUUGCCAAUGAAGACAUGAAUUCCGCCAAAGGGGACCCGGUACCCGCACUCAAUUGAGCCGGCGUCGGGGCCCCAAUUUGCAUCGUCGAUGUAGAGCUUGCCGCGACGACUCUUGGUCAUCCGGCCCACAGCGUAUCCCUUGAGCCCUUCGAAGCUGCCCUUUAAGAACUCAAAUCCACCGUGCGCUGGCCCCAUGGUGGGCGCCAACUAUCAUGGAAUUGGCACGGCAGAUGUCCUUGAGCUAGGACUUAGUCGUGGAGCCAUCGAAACUAGGAAGCUUAAAGGGGUUAAACGGGACAAGGAACACGGGGUUUAUACUUGUUCGGCCCCUUACGGUGAAGGUAAAAGCCUACGUCCAGUUGAGGUGGUAUUGCUUAUGGUUUCAAUGACCAGGGAGCUUAAUUGCUAUGCCUGGCUCUCGACGAGAUCUUACUUGUCCCUAAACCGCCGCCGGGUCGUCCCUUUAUAUAGAGAGGUUGACGCCCAGCGGCCCUCAGAGUCCCGGCCGGCUCAUAAGAGUGUCCGGCUCGGACUCUCAACUAUUCUUGCCUUACACUACAAGUCUUGCUAUACGGCGGUCUAUCACUACGGGCCUUAAGCCAUCUCCGGGUCUUAGGCCCAUCAUUGACCCGCCGUCUUCAAGCUCGGUACUGGGCUUCGCGUGAUGACCAUUAUGAGUAACCCGGCCCCUCCUGGCGGGUGACUCUAAUGGUUAUAUCCUCAACAGUAAGCAUUACAGGAUUUCACUACUUCCAAAUAUAGAGUUCUCCAUAUGCACAUUUACUUCCCUAAUGUAUGGUUAGAUGAAACCAACUGUGUGGUGCAUGUUUCUACAUCAUGAAAAUGAGGAAACUAACAUGGCCAUUGAUACGCACUUAUAUUAGUAGUAGUAUAUAGAUUACUGUAAAAUAAGGAGAAUAUCCAUAUAUUCCUAACCGUUUGAUUAUUCAGGGGUACAAAUUGGCUGUAAUGACAUGAUCACAAUCGCAUGAAUUAACUCAUCCCAAAUAUAGCUGAUUUACGGCGUCUCUAAUACAUUGCCAUAGUUCUACUCAAAUUCUGCUCAACACAGGGAUAUGCCAAUCAUCACAAAAAAGUUCAAACAGUGUCAUGGCGUCAUCAUUAACAUGAGACGGAAACAACUUACACGUGCCGUCCCAGCAAUAGGUGGUGCCAUCUGCUUUGUCGAUCGCGUAGAUGAUGCCAUUGUGUUCAAUAGCAUCACAGAAGUGUGUAUCAGCUUUGACGAUGAUCCACUGUGAGCUGAGUUGUCUCUAGCUAAAGAAGGCACCGCCGUAAAGAUAGGCGAGUCCGCGGUCGAACAAGGCAAUUAGCUUGAAGUCUGCGUAAUUCGCAUGUCGUGUGGGCACUUGGCAGAUUAUAAUCUUCUGCAAAACAAGGUCCGCCCAACUGACGUGGUAAUCUAGAUGACUAGGACCGCGAUGGCAAAACUCUAUAUAAUCCAACGGAGGAAGGAUAAUCUCAUGGGAGGUCUGGAAGUUCACGAGCACCAACUUUUUACCGUCUUCUCUGCAGGCAGCCAUCCAGUGGGAGUUCAUGCCGACCCAGUACAUACCUGCCAAGAAGUUUCGGGCGAUGGUGAUCGGAUCGAAGUCGAGGGAAAUGAUGUACGGCGACCCACUACAUACGUGCAAAGAAGUUUCGGCUAAUGGAGAUCGGAUUGAAGUCGAGGGGCAUCAUGUACGCCUUCGCAUCAUGGUGAGCCAAUAUCGCAAGACCAGAUAGCAGCAAGCAGGGUGUCUUGAAAAGCUUUGGCCUCGCUUCGAUGAUGGUCGUGUGCAUGCCCCUCAAGCAUGCAGCCAGCCGCAGGGCGCUCAACAUAUCCAUACAGGAACAAUAGAGGUCGAGGACGUCACUGGGGAGGUUGCUCCAAUCGCGUCUCAUAUGGAUCUUGCGCGGUUCGCGUUCGGCCAUGGUGGAGUUUGGAAGGUGGGGUUUUGGGGGGCUUGAUUUACGGGGGAGAAGGCUGUCGGUGCUGGAGCGGCUAGCGAGGGAAUAGUGGUAUUGGGGGAGGCGAGCGAGGCGAGGGUAUGCGGGGGCACAGUGAGAUAAUGAAGAGUGACCUCAGGAUCUCCGGCGAGACGGAGAUGGAGAUGGAGUGGUGCUAGGGGAGAGGGAGACAAGGCGAGGCAUGCUAUACAGCGGCGGUGAAAGUGACUGCACAGUGCACAAGGUGAGGCUGACUUUGGUAACCCGGACACGCCGCCUGGACUGGUGUCACCUCGGGCGCAGGGUCUUGUCACUUCACUGUGAGGACCGGAUGAAUAAUAGUAUUUUGACCAUCAAGUGUACCAUAGUUGUACUACUACUACUAGUAGUAGGAGUGGUAGGAACAUGAGUACACUCCCGUGCUAGCAUGCCUCUGGGUUCACUUCAUCCUCCAGCUAUCAUCCAUAUUGCCAGCAGAACCAAAUUCUCGUGCAUGUGGAACCGUGAAGAAGGACUUUUCUUUUUUGAGGAUAACCGCAUAUUCCUUAACCAUAGUAGGAACAUGAGUAGUACUCCCUCCGGUCCUCUUUUGUCUGCGCAUAACUUUUUUCAGUAUUUCUCUAAUUAGUCUGCGUAUAUACCCUUUUGCAUGCGCCCAUUUCCCUCCAUGCCCCGCAUUCACAGCAUUAAUUAGCAUACGCAUGAGCAGCUGCAGCCAGACUCCAGCCAAUAAACUGCAGCAUGCAAGUGGGCCAUUCUGUGCGUGUGGGAGAGAGAAAAGGCAACCGAAGAGCCCGUCCAAUCCAUUGCAUGCAGCACUCAAACCACCGCAGAUCUCCUCAUGCAUGCGCAUAACUUCUCCCAUUUACUUCUCCAUCGGGAACCGAUUUUCCUCGGCUUUUUCACUACUACUCGAUCUUCAUUUGCAUCCAAACCACACUGCAUUCACAUUGUUUUAACCUCUUCACAUCCUCCUGGAGUAAUUCCGAAGCCCCUAUAAAUAGUCAUCUUCUUCAGUUAGACUAGCCAUCUAAUCCUAAUUCUCCAAACCAUAGCCCUCCGGUCCAGCGGUUCCAAAUGGCGAAAGAGAUCGAGAUGCAGGUUUUUAGCAUCCAACAUGUCCUCGUCGUAGGCUCGUUGAGCAUAGUUGCCACAGUCACCGACCACCCAAGGGUUGUUCGGAAGUGGAUCAUUAAUGUAUCCAACUCCCUCCAAAAGGUGGAGAUGAAUGUCAUCGGUCUCGACGCAGAGUACACGGAGCGUGCCACUGGGAAGAUCCAACGCGCCGCUGUCCUUCAGCUGUGCCUCGAAGAUGAUGUUUUGGUGUACCACAUCAUACACGCGCCCUCCAUACCAGGUGAGCUUCACGAUUUCUUGUCUCGGGAGGACAUAUACUUCUGUGGGGCAGCCAUCGCAGGGGACAAACAGAAGUUGGAGCCGUACAACCUUGAUUUGAAAAGCAUCGCUGACCUACGAACCAAAAUAAAAAUUCCUGUAGAAGAUUGUGAUAAACCGACACCAUCCCUAUUCGACGUAGCAAAUUUUGUGCUAGGAACAAAUCUUUAGAAGGGUGACGCGAUGCUGGCAUUAAGUUUGUCUGGAUGGGAGAAUUAUCCCUUGACGUACGAGCGGAUAAAAUAUGCUGCCCUCGAUACCCGUGUGAGUUUCGAGAUAGCUGCAAGGUCUGGAGAGCUUGUUGCGAAGCCGUCUCCCACAGAAAAUGAGAACAAGAAGAAGAAGAAGAAGAUGCUGCACCAGCAGCAGGGCAUUAUGGAUGGAUGAACUAUUUCCUCUCUUGUAAAAAAAAAUUAUUCCCUCUCUAGGUAUAUUGAUAUAGAUGGACUAUUUCGAUGGUGUGCAUGUCUUUGGAACAAGUAGUAGCGUGGGUCCGCUUGACUAUAAGGAACUAUUUAUCCGCCUAGCUUUCUCUACUACUCCUUCCAGUGAUAGGUAUGCAAUGCAUGUGUCCAUAGACAUGACAGCUUGUCCAUGAAAGUUCAACUACGGCGACCAUCACGUUUCAUCCACUGCCACUCGUGAUUCCCACGACGCCGCUCCAACCCACGGCACCACGUCCCCCGACGUGCGCCUCACCCCUCUCGGCCGCACCGCCCAUCUGCCUUUGUGUGCAUGACAUGUGGGCCACCUUAAAUGCGACGAGCAUCAAGUUUCUACCACAGCCGCACGCGAUUCCCACGAUGCCGCACGAACCCAUGACACCACUCGUCCCCCGACCUGCGGCUCACCCCUCUCGACCCCACUGCCCCUCUAAAUUUGAAUUUGAAACUUAUAAAAUGAAAAGAUUCAAAACAAAUAAACUGGGAAAGAGGGAGUAUAUCGUAGGAUGUGUCCCAUACGAAACAAGUCCCCUGGUUUGUCACCGCAAAGAUGCGGUUAGAAAGGAGCACAGCGUCUUCGUACUCGUACGGCAACAAAUCAGCCGCAGACAGCAUGGUCCACCUUUGACCGCCAUGUGCAAGGUUCGUGCUAUCUUAUUCAAUCUCACCGUGGUUCUAUCGUACCAAUUCAUGCGGUGGCCCGUUGCAUGGCUGAUCCCAAUGCUGGACAAAGGUUCUACCGGAAUGGUGUCACCGUUGUAAAUGUUGUGCAAAUUGAUGUUGGUACCCUCCCGUACAUAUGCAAGCCAGUCUCCACUCGCACCGAGCCUAACCUGUGAAACAGUGGGCAGGGGGAGAAUUAGGAAAUGGACACGGAAGUAGUCUUUAGAAUGCAUUUACUACAUGAUCAAACUCAUCUUACCUGCUCAUCGGUGGAAAUCCGAGUGCCCCUCAAUGUCGGUAUCUCAAGGGGCGUCAACUUGCAACUACGGCCACGCCGCGCUGGAGAGACCCCCAAGGAAACAUCCUCGCGCGUUCCACGGAACAUCAAGAUGCAUUUGUAUGAGUAGUUUAUCUUGUGAGAGAAAAGGAUGAACGAGGGAAGGCCUCUAGAGAUAGAGAUAGACACUACUACUAACAAUGUGCUAGCCCGUGCGUUGCAAUGGAUCCAAAGUAGUAGAAUAAUACUUGUUCACGUGCUUGAAAUAUAAACACUCUAGUUUUGAUAUACAUGUGUCAGCAGACAUGACAGCUUGUCCAUGGAAGUUGAACCACGACGACCAUCACGUUUCUUGUUUCUACCACUGCCACACCCACACGUGAUUCCCACGACACCGCUCCAACCCUACCUGUAAGCACGACGUCCCCCGGCAAGGACAUGGAUCCUCUGAUGUGGCUAUCACUGCCUUACCCUGCCUUUCCUUCGCUGACUGGUGGGACCCACACUUGUGGGUCCCACAUGUCAGUGAUAGAAUGGUAGGAUUGUUCACGUCAGGGAAUCCUCAUCCCCCCGACGUGCGCCUCAUCCUUCUCGGCCCCACCGCUCCUCUGCCUUUGUGUGCAUGACAUGCGGGCCAGCUGAACUGCGGCGACCAUCAACUUUCUACCACAGCCACACCCGAUUGGACGCGGUUUGCCUGCUCUGCUGCUGUGCUCCGAUCCGUACUCCCGCACCAUCGAAUUUUCAUCCAGCGGCUGUGACACAUUUCGUCCCGGGCAUCAAUCCUCAGAUGGAGUACUUCUGUACUACAGGUAGUACCCGCCGGUGUGGCCAUCUACGCCUCGUAACGCCCCGACGCCCAGCUGUGGCACCCUCGCCACGGCCACGCCACCACCGGCCAGUUCAUCUCGAAUGAGUGAGUCGCGAACCACACCACCACCAUGAGAAUGACAUGUGGGCCAGCCGCAUUUAAGGUCCACAUGUCAUUGACUCAUAGGUCGGGCACUAAGCCACUGAAGUUCCGUCCCAUGGGCCCGGAGAGGGAAAUGUAACUCCUGCGGCAGGCCUUGUGGUGCUCCCGCAGUACGAGCUCGUGCCAAACCCGGAAUUUGUUUCUUACUAUCUACCAACUACUACUAGUAAGGUACACGUGCAUUGCACGCAUGAGAUUCUGGUGGUUUGAGCAUUAUGCUUCUACAUGUGGAGUCUUCUAGAUUCUACAUGUGGCAAAAUCUGGUGGAAUGUAGAUGAUAUCCAACGGCCAGUAGUGCUAGGAUUUUCCAUCUUUGUACCGUCGGAUUGGCUUCAUCCAACGACCAACUUUCAAAGUUAUGGUUUGGUUUGCAGCCUAAGGUUGCCACGCCUAAGCUUAGGCGUGCCACAAGUGUGUUUGGUUGUGUUCUCGUCUCAGCAUAGUUGUUCCCUCUUCAUGCAUGCUCAACUCAACACCCCUCUUCCUGUAUGCUCUCUUCAUGCAUGCUUCUAGUGUAUUUGUGCUAAUCUAGUGUGGACUCAUGCACCCUCCAUACACUCUACCAAACACCCAAAAGUGGGUCGAGAAGGGAACUCUUGGGAUCAUGCACCCUUCAUACACCCUACCAAACACACUAGGCAUGUGUUUGGUUCAUUGCUACACUUGUGGCUUGCCACACUUUUCUAGCUACAUGGUCCACAUGUCAUAGACUCAACUUCUUGCCAAAUCUUGCCACACUUGUGGUUGCCAUUUUGUUAGCCACAUUUUUUGUGGCAGACACACUUUGCCUAAGCUUAGUUGUGGCAAAGUUAGUCAUGAAUGAAGUUCAACCAUGGAGUCUUCUAGAUUCUACAUGUGGCAGAAUCGGGUGGAAUGUAGAUGAUAUCCAACGGCCAGUAGUGCUCGGAUUUGCCAUGUUUGUACCGUCGGAUUGGCUUCGUCCAACGACCAACUUUCAAAGUUAUUCACACACUAUAUAGGGGGUAUACAUAUAGAUGUGCCGGCCCGUUGCAAUGGAUCCAAAGUAUAUCUAUUUAGUGGAGUGCACUCUAAACACAUUAUCUAUUUAUUUUUCUCUAACCUUUCGUGGCCAUGCAACCAAGCCACAUAAGCUUCAUGGGUGCCCCCACAUCAUCUUAUUCAUACUACGUUGACUGAAAAAAAGAUAAAUCACCCAAAACAAGAUCUUCCCGUUUUUUGUUCCUACGAUGCUGUGCCGUGCACGUACCUACUAGUUGUAUAGUGGUAGUACUAGUUGUGUAGUACAAACUUGGUACUAGUAGGAGUAGAGUAGUACGGAAUGCUCCUACUCUAUCAAAGAGCCCCAUCUGACACCAAAUUUCUUGGCUUCCGUGCUACAGCUAGAUCUUCCCCUCGUUUCUGUUUUCCAACCCGGCGGCGGGCGGGGUGCGGUUUGCCAAUAGUCGGUUUGCUCAACGGCGGUCCCACAUGAAAGUGAAAGUGCUAGGCAACACGCCUUCCCUAAGCUAUGUGUCGUGCCGGACGGGCCGUGGAGUACUCCCGAUUCCCGGGCGUGUGUGGGGGAGUGCGACGCGAACGCGGCAGGCCUUUUCCUUUUACUAGCAAUGUGCCCGUGCGUUGCGACGGAUCCAAAGUAGUAGAAUAGUAGUACUUGUUCACAAACUUGAAAGAAAUCACUCUUGUUUUGAUAUACUCCUAAUAUAUUACUCCCUCUGUUCCUAAAUAUUUGUCUUUUUAGAGAUUUCAAAUGGACUAUCACAUACGGAUUAUAUAGACAUAUUUUGAAGUGUAGAUUCACUCAUUUUGCUCUGCAUGUAGUCACUUAUUGAAUUCUCUAGAAAAACAAAUAUUUAGGAACAGAGGGAGUACUUUUCACUCAAAAUAUAUUUCUCAGGCUGUUUUGAUGAGGUGAGGGAGGGAUGUGGUUGCUUUCAAAAUAAUAAGGGGUUUUCUGCAAAUUGGAGCAGAGAAGUGGGCCAUUGUUGCAAAAAUGCCACAACUUACCUCACAGCCGUUAGAUGCAGAUCUAAUGGUCAGAAACGACGGAUGGCAGACACACCACCAUCACCAACUGAGUCUUUUAUAGGAGUAGGAGUAGAGAAACAUGUAUAAAUUGUAACAUUUGGUUCUACUCCUUGGCACGAUCGAUAGAUAGAAAUAAUGAUUGGAAGGCGGGGCUAUUUCCGCCAGAUAAGCAGGGUACGUAGUAGCUAGGUUUGCGCAUCGUCGGUUUGGUCACACGCGGUCUGACAUGUUCUAGUGUUUCUAGCAAGAUGCCCGCGCGUUGCACGAAGUUGAUGGAAAAGGUAAGCACAACUUAUAAAUUGAUGGAUGGAGUACUAGUUACAGUGCUGCAUAUAAUUAAGCAAAGGGAUCGCACAUGUCGGUAUUGACUGGAACGAGAAUGCAACAACACAAUAAGAAUUAAGGCCACGAUGAUGAUGCGAUCGUAGUGGUGGUUACUGAAGGCAAGAAGAAAGAUGCAUCCAUCAAUGUACGACCUCCUCCUCCUCAACUUAGUGCGCCGGGCCACCGACCGGCGUCUAAGGAGCGGCGGCUUUUGUGGUGAGGUCGAGGUGCUUCUCAGCAAAGGCAUCCAAGGCUUCCAGCCGGUUGAGGAAGGCCAACGUCGUAGCAUCCUCACUGGCCUUGUAGACACCUAUGUACAUGAUUUGCUCAUACACGUGGAUGUGUAGGUCGACAAAUUCUUGCAGGGUGAGGUGCCUCGCGGCGAGCACGACCUCCAGGUGGACAUUCUUCGUGGCAUCGGCGGGCAGUCGCAGGGCCACCAGUGCUUGAAAGAGGUUCCGGCCAUGGACGCCGAUUAGGGUGGCAGGCAAUGAGGAGCCCGGGCGCGCGGGCUGGAGGAGUACGAUGAUGUCGUCCGCGAACUUCUUGAGGACGGUGAACUUGUUGGUGGUGGCAAUGAUCAUCUGGUCCAACUGAGAGUCAUAGUUGGCGUCGACAGCGGCCAUCCACCAGCCGGUCUCCAAUACCGUCUGGAGACGAUCCUCGGCGCCAUGCCGCAGGCCGACGUCGUGGACCAUCUGGCACAACCGCUGGCCGCUCGCGCGCAUCGCCACCAUGGGUCUGUAGUGAGCUCUUUUGCGCUUAGUGUAGGUGCUUAGGCAAAUGCUUAGGUGCGUACGAUGUGGUAGAUGCAUUGGAAUGGAGGGGCGCCUUUAUAUGAGGGCAAACUGCGUUGCAUUCACAUCGUGCAACCUCUUUUCCCGGUCCUCCUCCCAUUACUUCCCUCAUGCAUUAAUUGAAGGAGGAUGCAUUGGCCGUUCAACAUUUCGGGAACCGCUACUCCCUCCCUCGUCUGCAUUAAAGCCGUAUCGGGAACUACGCCGCCCGCUGUCAAAUUGAAUAGUACUGCGCCACCCGCUGCACGCCCGGCUGAACAUGCCUCCAUCAAACAGCUCCGUUAAACCCGCAUGCAAACCGAGAAACCUACUCUGGCCACACGUCCGUUCAUGACCGGGCCGGAAUUAAACGCAACACCGGCCGAGCUCCUCCCGUCCGCCCUCAGUUUAAACGAGGCCAGACGCCGGCCAAGCUCCUCCCGUCCGCCCUCUAUUUACACGAGGCCAAACAAACAGCGGGCAAGAAUCGCACCCCUCUGCCGCUCCCCCAUCUCCUCCUUCACCAUUUUCUCCACUCUUCCGACGGCUUCCGAGGAGCCGUUCUUCGGCAUAUUACCCGGCUGGGUGGCCCGCCGAGCGCUCCGGAUAUGGGCGAGGCCACUCGGUGCUUCACCAACCUCGCUUGCCCGAUGGAGCCAGUUGCCGCCCCAAGCAGGCGCGUGGUUCAGCAACUCACCACUCCAGUUCAGCUUGAUGAGGAGUGGCGAGUUGCUGCACGCCGGCACGGCGGUGAGCACACCGGUACAGGCGUCGUCGCUGCCGCGUCGUACCGCGCCACCAGUGUCUGCGGUGCCGCGCCUCCCGUGUCUGUGGGCGCGCCUCCCGUGCCUGCGGCAGCGCCAUGCAGGCAGAGACAGAAGCCGGGUGCAUGGAGAGCGACGAGUCGGUGGCCAGCUUCUUCGUGUCCGCUGCCAUCAUCGAGGAGAAGUAGAACACGGGAGGCCGCCGCCACUUGGGUCCCAUGAAGGCCACCGCCGAGGCGACGACUGCGCAUUCAGGUGGUUUCUUUGCUUCUUCGUCUCUUCCGAGGACCUUCGUCGACCCCGCAAAGUGUCUGCCCGGCAUGAGGAAGACAAAGGGAUCCGCGGGCGGCCAUUUCGAUUAUGUACUCCCUCUCCAGCUGGCGGGAAAUUUUUGUUCUAAGAAUGGAUAAAUUGUAUGUAUCUAUAACUAAAAUAAGUCUAGAUACAUCCAUUUCUAGGACAAGUAUUUCCAGACGGAGGGAGUAUUAAUUAUACCAAGAGAGCCGGAUUGGCACCGCUUAGUUCAUGUAAAUGUAAUGAAAUCCAUCAUGUUUAUAUGAGGAUCCGGCUUUUUUAUACGAAAUCCUUCAUGCUUAUAUGAAAUCAGUCCGUGUUUGCACGAAUUUCAUCUGGUUGGUUAGAGUUGUGAAAAUGUAUGCCGCUGGCGUUUGAUGUCGUCCUCCGCGGAAGGAAGUGGGAGGAAAUUUGCCUGCUACCGUUGGAGAUGCUCUUAUGCUGGAAAUAAUAGAGUGACAUCCAAUCCAUUUGAGUUAAUUGCGUGUAUGAUUGUCCCUCUAUAAAAAGUUAAUUGCAUGUACAGUGUACACGUGACUUGCAGGGUGGCUCCAGCUUCAUACAGAAAGUUAAAAAGAAACAAGUCCAUCCUUAAUCUUGUAUUCUAAGUACUCUGUGGGUUCCACUGUCAGUACAGUAGCGAAAGAAGUAUAUAUUAAAUAAGUAAUAUAUAAUAUAAAAAUCUAAAGUUAAAAACAGAAUUCGAACUCAUGUCAUCGCGUUGCGAGCAUCCGACGCUAACCAGUCCAGCACAUUUUUGUUGUAGACCAUGCUAGAGAUAUAUCUCCAUGUCUACUGUUAUACUCCAUCCGUUCCUAAAUAUUUGUCCUUUUCAGAUUUCAAAUGGACUACCACAUACAAAUGUGUAUGUAGACAUAUUUUAGAGUGUAGAUUCACUCAUUUUGCUCCAUAUGUAGUCACUUGUUGAAAUCUCUAAAAAGACAAAUAUUUAGGAACGGAGGGAGUAGAAAACAGAGUUGGUGAUGAUGGUGUGCGUGCCGUCCUGCAAUAUACGCCGUCGGAUUUAUAUCUAGCGGAUAGGCAGAAAACUAUGGCAAUUUUGCAAAAAUAUACCCACACCCCUCUCCACGUUCGCAAAUACGGCCUUCCCUCGUUCAUCCUUUUCUCUCACAAGAUAAACUACUCAUACAAAUGCAUCUUGAUGUUCUGUGCAAUGCACGGGCAUCUAGCUAGUUUCUUUUAAAAUAGUUACUGCGAUAAUUGGGUUGAAGUGAUAUAUUUUAUGUCUGCCCCGAAUGAUUUCAGAUCACUAGUAGUAACAAAGAAAAGGUUGCCUUGCUAAUUAACAGAAAACAGGGUGAAAACUAUCACAUGAGGCCGGUAAAAACGAGGCACACUGGGUUCAGCAUCAUCGUCACUACAGCUGUGCGCGCACGAGAAGUCUACAUAUCGAGGGGGCUACUGAGCGAGGCACAGAGACACAAUGUUUGAGAGUGAAACCAAUUGACAGAUUACAAUCAGAUCGAGUUGUCACCCUUCUACUGUCAUUGUNNNNNNNNNNNNNNNNNNNNNNNNNNNNNNNNNNNNNNNNNNNNNNNNNNNNNNNNNNNNNNNNNNNNNNNNNNNNNNNNNNNNNNNNNNNNNNNNNNNNNNNNNNNNNNNNNNNNNNNNNNNNNNNNNNNNNNNNNNNNNNNNNNNNNNNNNNNNNNNNNNNNNNNNNNNNNNNNNNNNNNNNNNNNNNNNNNNNNNNNNNNNNNNNNNNNNNNNNNNNNNNNNNNNNNNNNNNNNNNNNNNNNNNNNNNNNNNNNNNNNNNNNNNNNNNNNNNNNNNNNNNNNNNNNNNNNNNNNNNNNNNNNNNNNNNNNNNNNNNNNNNNNNNNNNNNNNNNNNNNNNNNNNNNNNNNNNNNNNNNNNNNNNNNNNNNNNNNNNNNNNNNNNNNNNNNNNNNGGUGUGGGUGUGUGUGUCGGGGGGGGGGGGGCAGUGACACUUACAUAUCCCUACUCUUAUAAAAAUAGAGUUGGUGAUGAUGGUGUUCCUGCCAUCCUGCAAUAUAGGCCAUCUGAUUUAUAUCUGACGGAUAGGAAGGAAACUGUGGCAAUUUUGCAAAAAGAUACCCACACCCCUCUCCGCAUUUGCAAAUAAGGCAUUCCCUCGUUCAUCCUUUUCUCCCACAAGAUAAACUACUCAUACAAAUGCAUCUUGAUGUUCGGUGCAACGCAUGGGAAUCUUGCUAGUAGGGAGAAGGAGUUUGUGUGACACAUAUCUAGCUAUAUUAAGGGAUAGGUAGAUAGCAUUUGUGCGAGGCAUACUUAAAGCAUCACGAAGAUAAACAAAAUUGUGUGCAUGCAAGUGCCGGAAAAAAUGAAGCGAGAAACAAUGUGUGUGUGUGCGCGCGCGUGUGUGUGUGAGAGAGAGAGGGAGAGAGAGAGAGAGCGAAAUCUCAAAACAAAAGGUGCUCUGCUGGAAUCCCAUUGUAUGUAUUCAUAUGGUUUCGGAACUCGAGUUAACCUUAGGCAUAUGUGUGAGAGACAUUAUUAUACUUUGAGACAUUAGUGGCUGUGGGUGGGCGGAAUUAAAGGGGUGGGCGUGUUCGACAGAGAGAGCAUGUGUGUUUCUGUGUGAGAGACUUGUAGGACGGGGUAGAAAGACAAAUUCUAACCUUGACGGAGGGAGAGAAAUACACGAAGUGCGCGUGUGUGAUUCCGAUGCCCACAUGGAAAUGAGAUAUGUAUGCGUGUGAGAGAGAUUGCACAAUUCAUUCACGUAUCACUAUCUAGCGAUCGUAGACGUGCAUCGCUUGAACAUAAAUCAAUAUCUACUUCAUAUCGUGGCCAAAGGUACAAUAUCGAUUCAACGCUAUAAAGAUUGGACACUCACAUAUCACAUUUUUUCUAUUUAAAUAAACCUUUUCAGUUGUGCAUGCCAAAGUUACAGUGAUGUUUCUUCAAACAACCAAUGUAGCUAUCAUGUACAUGCACCAUUGUUACUCUUGCAUUCAAAAUCAUUAGUCUAGGAUGAUUUAAGGUUCUAUUAUGAAGUAAUAUAUGUAAUAUUCAUAUAUGAACUCAACAGGUACGCAAUUUAUGAAAUGGAGGCUAUGUAAUCAUAUGAGGUAACACUUUUAAGUAGCGGACUACAAUAUCCAUUUAUUUUUGUGCACCUCUACACUAACACGUCAAUGCAUUAUGUUUAAAGUAAAUAACCAAUUGCACUAAAUUAUCUAUUUACACGAGAAAUACAUAGGCUGAGCGUUUGAUCCCUUUUUUUGUGAACGCGCCACUACACCCGUACGAUUGGCCGCGCCCGUGUGAACGUCCAAGUUAUCGGCGCAUCAUCCCGAGUUAUUGUCUUUUUUUCUUGGUUGGACUUCACACUAGUUAUUAACUGUUGACGCGUGCCCCGUGUACACAGUCUCGCAUGACCUUCCCGCUAGCACAGUCCAAAAUUAGUUGAAACUGGAUACGAACGAUCCCGCGGGCGGCAACAUCUCCCGCCUCCUUCUAAAAUUUCCGCCACCUUAGUCUUUAGCAUGCGAAAUUCCCCUUUUGUUCUUGGUGCACGGAGACCAACAGUUACAAUACCGCCCUCAUCUACAUAAUAGGUCGAGGCUGCUUUGGUAACUUCCGGUUGCCCCCACUACACAACACCCCCAUUUCCUCUCCACCUCCCGCAAAAACGACUAACUCCACAGCACCAGAGCAUCUCACAUCACGCCGCCGUACUUCAUCAGCCUUUCUCCCCCCCUCUCGAAACCCUAGACUGCUCAUCCACCGGCGUACCAGAGCCCAUUCAUUGCCAGCGGCGUCCACCUCGCCGAAUCUGCUUCUGCGGCCGCAUCUACCCCUCCCACCUCCCCUAGAAAUAUGUAGACUGCUCACCCACCACUGUACCACAGCCCAUUCAGUGCCGGCCUUGUCCACGGCGCCGGAUCUGCUUCGCCGGUACUCUCAUCAACCGCAGCGCAUCUGCAGCGGCUCAUUCGUACUCCCCACCGGAGAUGCUUCGUCCACACCCCCCCGGAGCCGCCCCACCGACUCCCCCAUCGACGGCCUUUGAUCCUCUUCGCCGACACCUUCCUCAACCCUACCAGAGCCGCUUCACCGACACCAUCGUCAACCCCACCGGAGUAGCUUCGCCUAUACCAUUUUCAACCCUACCAGAGCCGCUUUGCCAACUCAGAAGUCCACGGCCUCAGAUCCGCUUCCUCACACCCUCAUCCAACCUACCGGAGCAGCUUCUGACGCCCCGUCCACGACCACAGAUCUGCAUCAUCGACACCAUCCUUAACCCAACCACCGGAGCAGCUUCACCUACCGGAGCCACUCCACAAACACCCUACUCAACGGUUCUAGAUCCCCUUACCGGACCCCGACAGCCAGCGCAGGGUCAUCACCCUUGACGUUUCUAACCUGAUUCCCACCAUCGGGAAAGAUGCCAAGGACCCGCCACGGCCUAGGUACUUGUCACCUUUAAACCCGUUCAGCAUCACCUGCCCGAUGUACUUCAAAUAUACUAACAGGUCGCUGUUACCUGAUAUGUAGCUGGCAAAAACUACAAGGACGAUGUUUCUUCUAGAUCUAACAACUUGGCCAACCAAGAUCCUGGACCGAGGCAUUGCUAUGAUCUUGUAAGCGUGUCUCUCUCUCUUGUAUUGUUCUGUGCCUGCCAGCGUGCUUUGCUAGGAUUUUCGACCAGUAAUCCCUUUGUGCAGACAAUGAUUUCUACUACUGGCUGCUAAAUUAGAUAUGUAGACGUCAUACAUGAUACUACCUCGUACCUCCGUUCCUAAAUAUAAGUCUUUCUAGAGAUUCCACUAUAGGCUACAUACGGAGCAAAAUGAGUGAAUCUACACUCGAAAAUGCAUCUAUAUACAUCUGUAUGUGGUCCAUACUGGAAUCUCUACAUAGACAUAUAUUUAGGAACAGAGGCAGUACGUUACACAAAAUCGUAGGUGGCAUGUAGGAAUUCUAGUACACUACAUUAGGCUCCCUUAAAGUGCCUGCUAGUCCAGCACACAGAGUCAUGGCUAGUUUAUGCUACGCACACAAUCAUUAAUUGGUGGUUUAAAUAUGCGCAAGGGAUAUGCAAUGUAUUAUCAUAUAGAGAUGUCUGAAAAUUAGUCGUAUCAACUUGCAGACAGGGUUACACAAUGAAAAAGUACAAGAUGUAUGUGGCAAUUUCAUGGAACAUCGCAAAAAAAGGAGAGCCAGCGGUGAGCCUAUACAGUGUGCUAUGGUACGUUACUCCUCCAUUGCAAUCAUCAUGACAUGUUAUUUGUAUGUCAGUUCUAUUGGCCAAGUUUCUUAGGGACAGUUAUUACGAGUUAUCCUAAGAAAAUAAGCACCUGUGAAUAUAAGCUCCAUGUAAUAAGCCAACCAGUUCUUUUCAUUGCGUUUUCAGCUUAUCUUUGGUAUGAUCAGUGAAAAGUCUAGAUUGCAUUAUAUUUUUUUCAUUUUGCUGCCCAUAUGAAAAUUAAUUUGACUUGCAAACAUCACAAAUUGAACCCAGUGCAGUAAUUAAUAUGAUAGUAAAACAUACCAUCACUAUUUGCUCAAAAUGCAAAUACAAAGAUACCAUCUACUUGGCACAAUCUACUUUGGUCAAUGUUUUCCAUAGAGAUCCCAUUGCCUAAUUUAGACGAAAAAUGCAUGACCCAUAUUUAAGUGAAGAACAAUUAUUUAUUGAAAUUCGAUGGUCCAAGUGGCUGGUUAUUAUCAUAUAGCAGCACCAUCUGAAAGCAUCAUAUAGCAGUAGCAGCAGCUCAUAGCAACUCAUCAUACAGCAGCAGCAGUGUGCAAUUCAUCAUAUACCAGCAGCAGCUCAUAGCAAUUCAUCAUAUAGCAGUAGCAGGAGCAGCUCAUAGCAAUUCAUCAUAUAGCAGCAGCAGGAGCAGCUCAUAGCAAUUCAUCAUAUAGCAGCAACAGGAGCAGCUCAUAGCAAUUCAUCAUAUAGCAUCAGCAGGAGCACCUCAUAGUAAUUCAUCAUACAGCAGCAGCAGGAGCAGCUUAUAGCAACUCAUCAUAUAGAAGCAGCAGCAGCUCAUAGCAAUUCAUCAUAUAGCAGCAGCUCAUAGCAAUUCAUCAUAUAGCAGCAGCAGGAGCACCUCAUAGCAAUGCAUCAUAUAGCAGCAGCAGAAGCAGCUCAUAGCAAUUCAUCGUAUAGUGGAUCAGAAUGAAAAUUUGGCAAAAAAUCAGAGGAGAUCCUCACCUUGUUGGAUGAGCUCUUCCUUCAACAGCACCUCAAGGCCACGGCCUGGGAGGUGGGGAGGGGGAAUAAGGUGCCUUCUGCCGCAGUGUGGCAUCAACCGUAGUUGUGCAGCGCCUACUGGAGUAGUGCGUUGGACAAACCACAGUGGAGCAACUGCUGGAGACCAUGAGAAUGAGGGGCGGCACCAGAGGUAGGAGCAGCCAGGGAGAGUUGCCCCUACCCGCCGACCAUGUAGCCUAGAUGGACAAAGCAUCGUCGAGGACCAGGCUAGAUGGGACUAGUGGCGACGGCUUGCUGGAGGAACCCUAUGCUGCAGGUAGGGGAUCGAGGUAGAGGGAAAGGGGAGAGGAGAUGCAAGCGGGCAUGGCAAUGAACGCUUGCGUGUUUGUUUUUACUUGAGGGUGAGGUGUGACGCGGGCGUCACCAGUUGCAUUUUGAGUGUAAUAUAGGCAGACAACAGAGUCAUUUCACUAUUCCCCUUCCCUUCAAUUUUUAGUGAGGUUCUACCUGAAACACCCCCCUCCAAAGAGAAAUUAGUUAAGCCCAAGCCCAUAACUCAAAAAUGACUUCUUUACAUCUUUUAUGGCUUAUUUUGACAAUAAGCCCUGAAAAGGCGGAAUAGAACUAGCCCUUAACCUGCAAUUCAAUUGUGCGUGCAAUGAUGAAUCACUCCUGCCUGCUAUAGUGUACAUUUGGGCAUCAUCAUACAUGGCAUAACCUAAUACAUGUGCAUUCCAUUGUAGAAUCUUGAAUAUGCAAUGUUUAUGUUAGUUCAUAUGUUGCACAUGAUGUUUAAAUGCCCCUUAAAUCUGGUCAGUCAAGUGAUGGUCUUUAAGCCUCCUUCUUUGCUUCUUUUCUUGAUAUGUAAGAUUUGCUCACACAUCUGUUCAAUUGCUUGUUUGCAUCAGCCAACCAUACUAGGACUGUUUGCUUUGAUUACUUGUUGUUCUUGACCUAACACUCUAACAGAGCUUGUCAACGAUUUAAACACUAAGGGCUGCUGUAGUGGGGCCUUUUCUAACUCAUAGGUGACAUAAAGGUUUGGCUGUACACUAAAGUAGGCUCUCCAAGAGUACCUGGAGAUCCAGUUCGAAGGUAUGCCUAGUUUUUACAUAGUACAGACAUAGUAAAUGCUCAUUUCAUUGUGUGCAAGUGCAAGAGAUGCAGCAUGUUUCAUUAUGUGGUGUUGUUUUGUUAUAAUCUCAUCCUUUUGUGUUCACAGACUGGAAAGUAUGCAUAUUUAUCUUCCAAGGAGACGAGUAACUAGUUUGUGUCACCUUGAAGAGGGGGUGCAAUGAAGAUAAUAUUGAGGAUUUCCAAGUACAAGAUGUUAGGAAGGAGCCUUGCAAGAGAAGUAGGACCACCGCUGAGCCUCUUCAACCUGUUAAGGUAAGUCACUGUAUCCAACUCAACAGUUCAAUUCCUUGUUUGUUUCAGGCAUAGUUAAUUUGCUCUUUUCAAUUGCUUUAUUUGUCCUCAGUUAAUGAGAUGCCCAAGGAAUGAUGCCUGAUGUUGGGUACUUGUAUAACUAUUAGUUGACAUAAUUAAAUGCCUUACCAUUUAAUUACUAUGCCGAAGUGUGCCUGAAGGUUUGAAGUCUAUUAACCAACUAUUAUUGCAUGAGGCUCACAAUCUAGUUUAUACUAGGCUAAUGAUUGCAUAGUUUUGCUUGCUGUAGUAUGUUUGUAUGAAACUCUCUGCUGUUCAUUAUGCUCCCUAAGACUUUAAUUGAGCUACAGAAUGGCCAACUGCUUGCUUACUUCUACGCAACGUGCUGUCUAAAUUUGUAACUUGUCUGUGUUUUGGAUUGGGCCCCAACAUCAUGCUCCUCUAGUGAGCUAAGAGAGAUUUCUGUAUGCAGGCUGCACAGACUACCUUUUUAUAAUUUUUAAAAUAUCACCUGCUUAUGCUUCAUGACGUGUAACAUUAUUGUUAGUCCUGUUUUGCCAUGUACAAAAUAGUCUGUCUUGCUCGCUCCACAGUUGUAACUAUAUUUUUGCCCUAGUCAUGUGUACUUACAGAAACAUUUCAGGAUGAAGUGACAUCAACACAAAGAUCUGCGAGCAGUGCGGCAUGGCCAUUACCGAAUGAUUAUGGAUUGGAAUUGGAAUGUGCUGAUGUUCUCGAGCAUCAACUAGAGGUGGCAAGACAACGUGUACAUGAUUCUGAACGUACAAUCAACAAGUUGAGACUGGACAUGCAGGUAUUAGAUGCAGGAGUCAAAAAAAUGAAACAAGACACUGAGGUAACAACGAAGGAAUUGGAGAUUUUGCAGACUAAAAUUUGUGCUAUCUAAAUCCGGCCAAUCCUAUUUUCUGAAGAGAUUAUAGUUCAAAUGGUAAGUUAUGUUGAUGCGCGUCCAUGAUGUAUGAGUUGUAUUUGCCCAGUGUAUGCAAUUUGCUGUUUGUGUAUGCUUUAUUAUCAUUGGUGCCGAACCAUAAUGCCCAGUGGGUAUAAUCAGAUGUAAUUUCUUUAUUGUAUAGUGUAGGAUUAUUCUACGUUUCUAUGCCUUAGUCUCUUUAUUGUAUAGUGUAUGUUUUUUAGAGGUGAUAGUAUAGAGUAGGAUAAUUCUUUGAAUAUGCUAUAUCGUCAAACGGGGGCCAACUCGCCCAAACGUUGUAGUGACCAUGGCCCUCCACAUGCCGUACAAUCCAUGGGCCAUCUACGGGACAGACGAUCCAUGGCCUUCUAUGGCUGUCGGAUUCGUGGGCCUUCUAUCUGCUGUCGGAUCCAUGGGCCUUCUAUGGGCCAUCGGAUCCAUGGGCCUUCUAUGGGCCGUCGGAUCAAUGGGCCUUCUAUGGGCCAUCGGGUCAAUGGGCCCUCUACGUCCCGUAGGAUCCAUGGGCCUUCUACGGGCCGUCUCAUCUAUGGGCCUUGUACGGGCCGUAUAAGGGGCCAUAAACAGGCUAGAGUGGAAAUCGUACGUUUUAUGGGCUGACCAUAACGGGCCGUUAAUAGGCCGUAUUUGAUGAUGCUAUGAAAAUGGCCCAACAGAUUAACGGGCCGUAAACGGACCGACAAUAUCCACGGGCUGAAUUUGGUCCACAAGCAGAAAAGGCCAGUAACGGGCCGUAAGUAACCGAAUGCUAGAAAUGAGCCCAAGAAUAAAUGGGCCCUCAGAAGGCCGAAAGGUAACACGGGCUAGAAACGACCCAGUGGAAUAAUGGGCCGCUAAUGGGUAUAAAGCGAUACACUGUUCAUUACGGGCCGGUUUCACCACGGGCCAUUAAUGGGCCAAGAGUUACAAAGGGGCUCAUAUGGGCCAAAAUACGUCAUGGGCCAUACAUGGGCCGGAAGUUAAAACGGGCUGGAAUUAUAUUGGACGGCCCAGAUGACGCUACUGGGCCUAAUUCGGAUAGGCCGUAAAUGGGCCAUGGGUUAGCGGGCCGUAAAUGGGCUAUAUGCGAACAUGCCGUUAACAGGCUUGCCGUGGGCCGGCCCGCCACCUUUUGACCAAGUCAAACGGGCCGACCUUUUCACAGGAAUGGGCCUCUGUUGGGCCGUGCCACGUGUCGACGUAUCAUAGUCGCUUUGGGUCCAAUGAGUGGAUGACAUAUGUCCCAACGGUGAGCCGACACGUGUUUCCUCUAGCCAAUGAUGAUUUUACACGUGGAAAAUCCCCAUUGGUCGGGGCUGUUAACGUGUUAUCGGAUCCAAAACCGGACCCGAUAGCUUAACGGCGUUCCGUUACGGUGGAUGCCACAUGUCGGUCACCCUUGACGAAAGCACUUCUGUGACGCGCGAUUUAUCGUCAUGGAAGUGGACACUUCCGUGAUGAUAAUUUUGGUAAUGUCAUGGAACACUUCUACGGCAGCACAGGUAUGACUAUCUUUCAUAAAUUUGUCAUGGAUGUACAUGCAUGACAGAAAACGUGACCUACUGUGACAAACACGUAUCAUCACGGAAGUGUAUUUUUUUGUAGUGUAGGCUUUUCCCUAGUAGUGUAUAAAACCCCGAGGAGCCCUCAUGCAUACGAGCGAUCGAACACAGAGGAUCGCUCACUCACACACGCAUAGCAAGCCACACCCAAGGAGAGGGCGUAGCCUAAGCCUCGGCCUUCCUUCCUUCCUCCUCCAUAUAGCUCUAGGAGCAACUCUGUACUGAUACACAUCAACUACACUCGGCAGGACUAGGGGUGUUAUCUCUCCGGAGAGCCCCGAACCUGGGUAAGUCUUGCGUCCCGCGCUCGCUCAUGCCGACCUCGCCUCUGGAGCCCACCAGUGCCCUCGAGCCUCCUCCUAUCUUUAGCCAUCCCUUGGCAUCUGUCGUGCGCCCACCACGAUAGUUAGCGCCCACCGUGGGGCAGCUCGAGCUCCUGGCCGGGAGCAUGCUUCAGACGGGGCUCCUCUCCGACUCCGACGAGCCUGUCAUGUUGGCGGACGACGUCAUCGACGCACUCGCCGCCUCCUUCGCCGCGCUGCGCAUCUCCGAUGCGCCUGCGGCCGACGAGUACCCCAGCGAGGUACUUGACUUUUCCGAAUCCCCCCUCUCCCUCAGCGGCAGCGCUCCCGCCGGGGCAAUGGACCUUUGCGUGGAGGUUUUCAUCACCGACACCGGCACCUCUUCCUCAUCGUGCGCGGAGAGGAAGGCCGCAGCGGAUCGGGCCGGCUCGCCCAACCCACUGCGCCCCAUGAUGCAGAGCCUUCGCGUUCCCAUCAGCACCGACAUCGACGCGUCCAACGUCGCCGAGGCCCGGACUCGGCUCAAGGAGGACAACCAGCGCCUGCUGGACCUGACCGAGACGCUCGCCGCCACGCAGCGUCACGUCGACUCCGUGCAGCUGGAGCGCAACGCCGCCUACGGCUUCACGCCUACCGCGGCCGAGCCAAGCCGGGUCGCGGACGUGCGAGCCCGGGGAGGCGCGAUCGGCCGUGCUUUCGGCGCCAUCCCGCCCGUCUACGAGACUCCCAUGAAGAAAAUGCGCGCCGCGCAGGCGAGGAGCUGAAGGAUCGCCUCAAGCGGGUGAACGACCUCCUCGACGCGGCCAACGCGCAGCAGGACCGCCUCAACCAACUCGCCAAGCCGGCGGGAUCCAGCUCCGCCCGCAUCGGCGGACCCGGCGACCACCAGAACACGGCGUCUUCACCACCCGGCGAGGCGCACUCCGGCCGGACCCGGCGCAACCCUGACCCGGCAACUGCCGGCGGCUUGGGCGAUGAGCCGGUCUUGGAGGACCGAUGUCGGCUCGACCCUCUGCUCCAACCCGGUUGACGUCCGACUACGGUUGACUUGGGCCCCCGCGGCACGGUCACCGACCGGCUGGGCCCGCGCGCCAUCGAUGACACCGACGCCCGCCACCGCCCCGACCGACUCGCCCUUUCCCAGGAGCUGGAGGAGAGCGGCCCUGUCAGGUCAGCGUGCUUCAGACCACGCAUCAGGGAUGAGCCCUUUACUAAAGGGUUCUUGCUCCCCCGCGAUACCCCCAAGUACAACGACACCGUGAAGCUGGAGGACUGGCUCACCGACUACACCACCGCCAUCGGCAUCGCCGGCGGUAACCACCGUCUCGCCGUGCGCUACGCGCCGCUCAUGCUCCAAGGGUCGGCCCGCACUUGGUUGAACAGCCUGCCGGCAGGCAGCAUCAACGAGUGGGUCGACUUCGAGCAGGCCUUUGCAUACAACUUCACCGGCACCUACAAGCGACCCGGCCGCCCCAGCCAGCUCGCCAUGUGCGUGCAGGGGCCGACGGAAACCGGCCGCGAAUACCUCGCACGCCGGACCGAGCUCCAGAACAGUUGCGAGGGCGUCCACGAAGUCCAAGCGAUACGGUACUUCGUCAAUGGGUUCCGGGAUGGCACCCUCCUCAAGCACAAGCUCUUGCUCUCCGAGCCGGCCACCAUGGCCACGCUCAUGGUGACGGUGGACAAGUACGCCAACGCUGACUCCGCCAUGAAGAUCCAGGUGGCACUGGAUGAAGCCGGCGAAGCAAAGCCGGUUCCCCCUCUGAAGCCGGCCGGCAAAGGAAGCCGGCAGCAGCAUAACCAGUAGAACAACAAAUGCAAGGCCGAUCAGCCGGCCCAGCACUACGAAAACCGGCUCGUCGCGGCCGCCGCGCAGGCGCCCGCGACCGACCCGGCCGCCAAGCGCCGGCAGACCGGCAAGACGACGUGGCAACCCGCCAUGAGCUUCGAGGAGAUGCUCGAUGCUCCCUGCAAGUACCACAGCGAUGCAAGGCCGUCCAUGCACACGCUUCGGCAGUGCGCCAUCACCAGGCGCAUCAUGAGGGGCGACAUCCUACCUCCUCCGGCGCCGGCUCCGGGAGCGGGGCAGCCGCCUCCGCCUCUGCCUCCACCACCACCUCCGGCUGGCGGCACGAUGCACGACGACGUCUACCCGUCCCAGAACGUGACCUAUGUCGUCUUCACCAGCCUCGGCGACGACAAACACAGCGAGCGCCUCCUUCGGCAGGAGGUGAACACCGUCGUCCCAGCCAAGCCGGAAUAUAUGCACUGGUCGGAGCGCCCGGUCACCUGGACUCGGGAGGACCACCCGGCCGUCAUGCGGAGCCUGGGUGGUUAUGCUCUCGUCCUCAACCCCACAAUCGUCGCACCUCGGUGCACAUGCAAGUUCUCCCGGGUUCUCAUCGACGGCGGCAGCAGCAUCAACAUCCUCUACCGUGACACCAUGACCAAGCUCGGCCUCGAGGCCAAAGACCUGGAGCCGACCUGGACGAUCUUCCACGGCAUCGUUCCUGGACUCUCAUGCUCUCCAAUCGGCCGGGUCCGGCUCGACGUCCUGUUCAGCGACAACAACCACUUCCGACGCGAGCCAAUCUGGUUCGAGGUGGUGGACCUGUCCAGCGCGUACCACGCGCUGCUGAGCCAGCCCGCGCUCGCCAAGUUUAUGGCGGUCCCCCACUACGCCUACCUAAAGAUGAAGCUGCCGGGUCCGAAGGGCCUCAUCACCAUCACCGGCGACUACCGCAAGUCCCUGGAGUGCACCCGAGACGGCGCCAAAUUGGCCGAGUCGCUGGUCAUAGCCGAGGAGCGGCGCGAGCUCGACCGGAUUGUCGCCCUAGCCAAUGAGACGUCGGCCGUGCUGAUCUCGGCCGACGAGCCGGCGGACGAGGCCUUGUUCAAGCCCUCCAAGGAGACCAAGAAAGUGAAGCUGAACCCGGAAGACCCCAGCUGUAGCAAGUACGUUGUCAUGGGCACCCACCUCGACAGAAAAUAGGAAGGCGAGCUCGUCGACUUCCUCCAUGAGAAUCGGGAUAUUUUUGCAUGGACCCCAAAGGACAUGCCGGGUAUCCCGAGGAAAUAAGCCGAGCACAAACUCCACGUCCGCAAGGAUGCCAAGCCUGUCUGCCAACCCCUACGGCGUUUCUCUGAAGAGAAGAGAAGAACCAUCGGUGAAGAGGUCGCCAAGCUUUUGGCGGCCGGCUUCAUCCUGGAAGUGUUUCACCCCGAGUGGCUGGCCAACCCAGUCCUCGUCCUGAAGAAGAACAAGACCUGGCGCAUGUGUAUCAACUACACCAGCCUGAACAAGGCCUGCCCCAAGGAUCCGUUCGACCUCCUGUAGAUCGACCAAGUCAUCGACUCCACUGCCGGGUGCGAGCUCCUGUCCUUACUAUAUGCUUACUCCGGCUAUCACCAGAUCAAGCUGGACCCGGCCGACGCCCUGAAUACGUCCUUCAUCACGCCCUUUGGGGCGUAUUGCUACAUCACCAUGUUGUUCAGCCUGAAGAACGCCGGUGACACCUUCCAGCGCUGCAUGUAGAAAUGCCUGCUGCCGCAACUCGGCCGCAACAUCCACGUCUAUGUGAACGACAUCGUGGUGAAGACCAAGCAGCACCUCACGCUCCUCGACGACCUGAAGGAAACCUUCGCUAACCUGCGUGAAUACAAGGUCAAGCUCAACCCAAAGAAGUGCGUUUUCGGUGUCCCGGACGGAAAGCUACUCGGCUUCCUCAUCUCGGAGCGCAGCAUUGAGGCAAACCCGGAGAAGAUCAAGGCCAUCGAGCGCAUGCGCAAGCCGGCUCGGCUGCGCGAUGUCCAGAAGUUCACCGGCUGCUUGGCCUUGGUCAGCCGGUUUCUCAGCCGGCUGGGCGAGAGGGCCUUGCCCCUGUAUCAGCUGAUGAAGAAGAUGACACCGUUCGAAUGGAACGACCUGGCGGACAAGGCUUCCCGGGACCUCAAGCGCAUGCUCUCCACCGCACCCGUCCUGGCCGCACUGGCCAAGAAGGAGCCGCUGUUGCUCUACAUCGCCACAACCUCGCGGUCGGUCAGGACGGUGAUGGUGGUUGAGCGACCAGAGAAGGGCAAGAUCCAAGCCGUCCAACGUCCCGACUACUACCUGAGCGAGGUGCUCUCCGCCUCCAAGCAGAACUACCCACAGUACCAGAAGAUGUGUUACGGCGUGUACUUCACCGUCAAGAAAUUGAAGAAGUACUUCCAAGAGCACGUUGUUACCGUGGUCAGCACGGCCCCUCUCGGCGAAAUCAUCGGGUGCCGGGAUGCCUCUGCCCGGGUCGCCAAGUGGGCGCUCGAGCUAGCCGGCCACACCAUCCUCUACGAGCCCGACACUACGAUCAAGUCCCAAGCUUUGGCCCACUUCCUCGUCGACUGGAUUGAGACCCACUACCUGCCGCCGCCGCCGGACUCGACACACUGGCGCAUGCACUUCGACGGCUUGAAGAUGCGUCUCAGCCUAGGGGCCGGCAUUGUGCUGUCCUCCCUGAAGGGCGACCGGCUCAAAUACGCGCUCCAGAUCCACUUCACCGCCUCCAACAACGUCGCCGAGUACGAAGCCCUUGUGCAUGGCCUCUGGCUUGCCAAGGAACUCGGCAUCCGGCACAUCCUGUGCUAUGGCGACUCGGACCUGGUGGUGCAGCAGUGCUCCGGCGAGUGGGACGCCCGCGACACCCACAUGGCGAGCUACCGCUUCCUCAUCCAGAAGCUGUCCGGAUUCUUCGCGGGCUGCGAGUUCCUCCACGUCCCGCGUGUUCGGAAAAUGAGGCAGCCGACAUGCUCGCCAAGAUUGCCUCGUCCCGGCAGUCCAUCCCGUCCAGCGUCUCCCUUGAGCACCUGCACAAGCUGCCUGUCAAGCCGUCUCCGGACUCUGAGUCCAUCUACGUCUCGGACGACCCGGCCGCACCUCAACCCGUCCCGGGGACUGCCAAACCCGGCCCGAGGACUGCUGAACCCGGCCCGGGGACUGCCGAACCUGGUCUGGGGACCGCUUAACCCGGCCCGGGGGCCGCAGCCAUCAAUCUGACCGCUGCUGUUGCCGACCCGGGGGCUGCCGCCCCAGAACCCGCCAUGGUGGUCGUCUUCGCCAUGGUGAUGGCACCAUCAUGGGUCCUGCCCAUCUCAGAGUUUCUGGAGAACGGGGUCCUCCCCAUGGACGAGACCGAAGCCCGGCAAGUGCAGCGCCGGGUGUCCGCCUACAACAUCAUCAACAACGAGCUCAUCAAACGCAGCUCCAUCGGCGUGUUCCAGCGCUGCGUCGAGCAGGACAAGGGCAUUGAGAUCCUCCUCGACAUACACCAAGGCGAGUGCGGGCACCACGCCGCCUCGCGAUACCUGGUGGCCAAGGCCUUCCGCCAUGGUUUCUACUGGCCCACGGUCCUCGAAGACGCCGAGUCACUCAUCCUCAAGUGCGAGGGAUGCCAGCGGUUCAGCAAGCGCAGUCACCAGCCGACGUCAGCACUCCGGACCAUCCCGAUCGCCUGGCCCUUCACGGCCUGGGGACUCGACAUGGUGGGGCCCUUCAAGACCGCUCGAGGCGGCAUGACGCAUUUGCUGGUGGCGGUGGACAAGUUCACCAAAUGGAUCAAAGCAAGGUCAAUCAAGAAACUGGACGGGCCAACGGUCGUCCGAUUCAGCAAGGACAUCGCGGUGCGCUACGGCAUGCCGAACAGCAUCAUCAUGGACAACGACACCAACUUCGCCAAGGGUGCACUCGCGUAGUACUGCUCCGUCUCUGAUACGUCUCCGUCAUAUCUACUUUUCCAAACACUUUUGCCCUUGUUUUGGACUCUAACUUGCAUGAUUUGAAUGGAACUAACCCGGACUGACGCUGUUUUCAGCAGAAUUGCCAUGGUGUUAUUUAUGUGCAGAAACUAAAGUUCCCGGAAUGACCUGAAACUCCACGGAACUUAUUUUUGGAAAAUAUAAAAAAUAUUGGUGAAAGAAUCAAGGCCAGGGGGCCCACCACCUGUCCACGAGGGUGGGAGGCGCGCCUGCCCCCUGGGCGCGCCCCCCUGCCUCGUGGGCCCCCUGGAGCUCCACCGACCUCAACUCCAACUCCAUAUAUUCGUGUUCGGGGAGAAAAAAAAUCAGAGAGAAGGAUUCAUCGCGUUUUACGAUACGGGGCCACCGCCAAGCCCUAAAACCUCUCGGGAGGGCUGAUUUGGAGUCCGUUCGGGGCUCCGGAGAGGGGAAUCCGUCGCCGUCGUCAUCAUCAACCAUCCUCCAUCACCAAUUUCAUGAUGCUCACCGCCGUGCGUGAGUAAUUCCAUCGUAGGCUUGCUGGACGGUGAUGGGUUGGAUGAGAUUUAUCAUGUAAUCGAGUUAGUUUUGUUAGGGUUUGAUCCCUAGUAUCCACUAUGUUCUGAGAUUGAUGUUGCUAUGACUUUGCUAUGCUUAAUGCUUGUCACUAGGGCCCGAGUGCCAUUAUUUCAGAUCUGAACCUAUUAUGUUUUCAUGCUAGUUUAUUUUCCCUUUUCUUGCUUUCUUCUUGUGAGUUCAAUUAACCUUAAGAAAACAAAAAAAAUUAGUGUAGCUUUUAGUUAGUUUUCUUUUCUUGCUGUAGUAGUAAUAAUUAAAAGAAAACCCAAAAAGAUUUCCCGUUCUUCUUUUGUUUGUUGGGAGCUUUCCCGUGUAAAUAGUUUUAUUUCUGUUCUUUUCUUUGGGGGUCGAUAGGAGAAGACCAUGAUUAAAUUGUUGAAGUAGCUCUUAUAUGCAUUAUUGUUGAUUUAACCAAGAGCCCAUAUUGCCUUGUCUUCUCCUGUUUAUUGAAUGCUCGCAGAUUCCAGCUUAGUCCAAUGCACGUGCACUCUUAUUAUUAUUCACAUCGUUCGGUCGUGCAAGUGAAAGGCAAUAAUGACGAUAUAUGAUGGACUGACUGAGAUGAGAGAAGCUGGUAUGAACUCGACCCCUCUUGUUUUUGUAAAUAUGAUUAGUUCAUCGUUCCUGAUUCAGGCUAUUAUGAAUAAACAUGUUUGCAAUGACAAUUAGAGAUUAUAGUUGCUCGUGCCAUUCUUGAUUAGCUAUGAGUUAUAAUGGUUUACCUUGCGUGCCAACAUGCUAUUAAAAUGGUUGUGAUGUGGUAUAGUGGGGUGGUAUCCUCCUUUGAAUGAUUCAAGUGACUUGACUUGGCACAUGUUCACGCAUGUAGUUGAAACAAAAUCAACAUAGCCUUCACGAUAUUUAUGUUCAUGGUGGAUUAUAUCCUACUCAUGCUUCUACUCAAUGUUUAUUAAUUUUAAUGCAUGUUCAUGACUGUUGUCGCUCUCUAGUUGGUCGCUUCCCAGUCUUUUGCUAGCCUUCACUUGUACUAAGCGGGAAUACUGCUUGUGCAUCCAAUCCCUUAAACCCCAAAGUUAUUCCAUAUGAGUCCACUAUACCUUCCUAUAUGCGGUAUCUUCCUGCCGUUCCAAGUAAAUUUGUAUGUGCCAAACUCUAAACCUUCAAAUGAAAUUCUAUUUUGUAUGCUCGAAUAGCUCAUGUAUCAACUAGGGCUGUCCGUGUCUUCCAUGCUAGGCGGGUUAUUCUCAAGAGGAGUGGACUCCGCUCCUCACUCACGAGAAAAUGGCUGGUCACCGGGAUGCCCAGUCCCAUGCUUUAUGCAAACUAAAUCCAAAUAAUUGCAAACAAAACUCCCCCUGGGACUGUUGUUAGUUGGAGGCACUCGUUGUUUCGAACAAGCAAUGGAUUGAUGCUUGUUGGUGGAGGGGGAGUAUAAACUUUACCAUUCUGUUUGGGAACCGCCUAUAAUGUGUGUAGCAUGGAAGAUAUCGCCAUCUCUUGGUUGUUAUGUUGACAAUGAAAGUAUGCUGCUCAAAAUAUUAUUUAUCUCUGCUUUAAAAUCGACCUCUGGCACCUCUACGAAUCCCUGUUUCCCUCUGCGAAGGGCAUAUCUAUUUACUUUUUAUAUGUUGAGUCAUCACCUUCUUAUCAUAAGCACCAGCUGGAGAGCACGGCUGUCAUUUGCAUCCAUUACUAUUAGUUUAUAUUGGGUAUGACUAUGACUGGAUCUCUUUUACCAUGAAUUACAAUGUCUAGUCAGUCCUUGAUCUUUAAAGGUGCUCUGCAUUUAUGUUUUGCGGCCCCAGAAAGGGCUAGCGAGAUACCAUCUUGUUAUAUUAUAUCAUGAUUGUUUUGAGAAAGUGUUGUCAUCCAAGAUUUAUUAUUAUUGCUCGCUAGUUGAUUAUGCCAUUGAUAUGAGUAAACAUGAGACCUAAGAGUUAUUGUGAAUGUGGCUAGUCAUAAUCUUUGCUGAAAACUUGAAUGCUGGCUUUACAUAUUUACAACAACAAGAGCAAACAGAGUUUGUAAAAGUUUUUCUUUAUCACUUUCAGUUUAUCAACUGAAUUGCUUGCGGACAAGCAAAGGUUUAAGCUUGGGGGAGUUGAUACGUCUCCGUCGUAUCUAAUUUUCCAAACACUUUUGCCCUUGUUUUGGACUCUAACUUGCAUGAUUUGAAUGGAACUAACCCGGACUGACGCUGUUUUCAGCAGAAUUGCCAUGGUGUUAUUUAUGUGCAGAAACAAAAGUUCUCGGAAUGACCUGAAACUCCACGGAACUUAUUUUUGGAAAAUAUUAAAAAUAUUGGCGAAAGAAUCAAGGCUAGGGGCCCACCACCUAUCCACAAGGGUGGGGGGCGCGCCUGCCCCCUGGGCAUGCCCCCUACCUCGUGGGCCCCCUGGAGCUCCACCGACCUCAACUCCAACUCCAUAUAUUCGUGUUCGGGGAGAAAAAAAUCAGAGAGAAGGAUUCAUCACGUCAAGCCCUAAAACCUCUCGGGAGGGCUGAUCUGGAGUCCUAAAACCUCUCGGGAGGGCUGGAGUCUGUUCGGGGCUCCGGAGAGGGGAAUCCGUCGCCGUCGUCAUCAUCAACCAUCCUCCAUCACCGAUUUCAUGAUGCUCACCGCCGUGCGUGAGUAAUUCCAUCAUAGGAUUGCUGGACGGUGAUGGGUUGGAUGAGAUUUAUCAUGUAAUCGAGUUAGUUUUGUUAGGGUUUGAUCCCUAGUAUCCAGUAUGUUCUGAGAUUGAUGUUGCUAUGACUUUGCUAUGCUUAAUGCUUGUCACUAGGGCCCGAGUGCCAUGAUUUCAGAUCUGAACCUAUUAUGUUUUCAUGAAUAUAUGUGAGUUCUUGAUCCUAUCUUGCAAGUCUAUAGUCACCUACUAUGUGUUAUGAUCCGGCAACCCCGAAGUGACAAUAAUGUAACACCCCGGAUGUAACUUUCCAUAUUUGUAACUCCAACUCUUGCCAUUUUCGGCCAUGUGUUAUGAUAUUCCCUUCGUGGUCGGGUUUUGUUUUUCGUUUUGCAUUUUGUUCAUGUCAUGCAUAUCAUAUCAUGUCAUCAUGUGCAUUGCAUUUGCAUACGUGUUCGUCUCUUGCAUCCGUGCAUUUUCCCCGUUGUCCGUUUUGCAAUCCGGCACUCCCACCUCCUCCGGCGCACCCCUCUUGUUUUCUUUUCGCGAGCGGGUGUUAAACAUUCUCGGAAUGGACCGAGGUUUGCCAAGUGGCCUUGGCAUACCACCGGUAGACCACCUGUCAAGUUUCGUUCCAUUUGGAGGUCGUUUGACGCUCCAACGGUUAACCGGGUAACCGCAAAGUCCUUUUGUGUGUUGCAGCAAAACCCCCCUCUAAACAACCCAAAACCCCUCCAAGUCACUUCCAUGCUCUAGGUCGUUCGAUCACGAUCGUGUGGGCGAAAACCGCACUCUAUUUGGAGCCUCCUAGCUCCCUCUACCUAUAAAUAUGUGUCUCUCCCGGAUUUCUCACGCAGAUGAAACCCUAGCCCGCUCCCCUUGCGCCGCCGGACACGUCCGGCCCGAGCCGGACGAACNNNNNNNNNNNNNNNNNNNNNNNNNNNNNNNNNNNNNNNNNNNNNNNNNNNNNNNNNNNNNNNNNNNNNNNNNNNNNNNNNNNNNNNNNNNNNNNNNNNNNNNNNNNNNNNNNNNNNNNNNNNNNNNNNNNNNNNNNNNNNNNNNNNNNNNNNNNNNNNNNNNNNNNNNNNNNNNNNNNNNNNNNNNNNNNNCGACCGCCGCCGCUCCUCCCGCGCGCCGCCCGCGCCCGCCGGUCGCCGUCCCCUCGCCGUCCGGGACCGCGCCUCCCCGAGUCCUCCUCUCCUCCGCCGCGCCUCCUCCUGCCGGCGAGCUCGAGCUCCGAGCCGGCCCGAUCCAGAUCCACCGGAGAUGGUUGACUUCUCCCCUCCCCCGAAAUAUUCUAAGUCCCAAAUUUUUGCAAUAUAUGCUCCCGUUCAUCGCAUCAUAACUCUCUGCAUAUAGCUCCGUUUCGUGCGUGUAAUAUAUCGAAAUGUUCGUCUCAAGAUUCUAUUCAUUUUGUUCCAUUAUGCAUGUUCAUUUGAGUCCAUCUUGAUGCCCAAAUCUCUGGUGCAAGAGUACUAGUUGCUGUUAACUGCUGUUACUUAUCAGAACUUGAGGAUUUGUUAUUUUUGUUUCAGUUAAUCUGUGCAUCUUAUAAGUAUGAGCUCUACAUGUGUUUUGAUCUAUGCCAUGCCAUCUUUCAGAGGUAUAUGCCAUGUAUUUUUGCGAUCUCUGUGGUGACUAGCACAAGCAUGCAAACUAGGCUUCGUGAUGUUUCUGAAUUCAGGGACUUGGUAAAUUUACUAAGUAUGUGACUGCUGUUAUUUUGUUGCUGUGUAUCCAUGUGUCUACAGAGAGAUCCAUGCUUAUUUUGGUGAUGUUAAGUAAGGAUGUUUUGUAGAUAUUGUUGUAAUUGUUCCAUCCAUGCCCUUGUUUGCAAUUAUGGAGUGCCAUUGCAUGACUCAAUCUUGCUCUACUUUUGCUAUAAAAUAUUCCUGGCAGAUUGUUUACGUGAUAUUCAAUUUUGCCAAGCUUGUUGUAGUUGAUCCUUUCAUCCUAUGUAUUUGCUCUUGCCUGGGAUAGCUUCAUAAACAUUCCAUCUUGCUGUAGGUAUGCUUGUUUGGUCAUGCAUUGCCUUUUGUUGAGUGAAUCAAGCUCACCAAGAUGCCUUCAUAUUACUGUUUCUGUCAUGCUCUGUUUUCUGCCAAGUCUGAAACCUGUCAACAAAACUUGCUAUGUUUACAUGGUUACCAUCAUAUCUUCUGGUUCCUUUUGGCUUAUGGUCAGUAAGGGACUUCUGUCAUAUGCAUUUAGUAGAUUCAUGCCAUGCCUUGUUUAGCUAUGUUAAGUUCCUGUAGCAUGUUGAUUUCUUGCUCUGAACAUUACUACCUGAUACUGUUUAUGCCAUGUCCAGUAAUUUCACCAAGUCUGUGAACCUGAUAUCUUUUGCACUUUUGCCAUGCUUGUUUGAACCUGUUAUGUUGUGAUCUAGCCGUAGCUCAGUCUUCAUCUUUUGUCAAACAUCUCCUGUAGGUUACUGCCAUAUGAUUUGUUGCUAUGUUGGAGUGCUGUAGCAUAGUUUCUUGAUGUAUUCUAAGUGCUAUCAUGCUGUUAAUCACAGAUUCGUGUCAUUCUUGUUUUGCUUGCCAUUUGCAAACCGUGCAUACGUUUCCGGUGAUCUUUAUAUCGAUUUCGACCGAAACCAUCUCAUCUUUCCAGUGGCAUGCUUCGUUUGCCAAGUUACUGCCUUGUUCAUCAAUUUUCCUCCGGAGCACGCAUACGCAUCGCAUAUCUCGCAUAUCAUACAUGUUUUGCAUCAUGUUGCUUGUGCAUUUCCCAUGAUUGAUUGUGGUUCCGUUGCUUGUGUUCUUGUUUUGGGUAGAGCCGGGAGACGAGUUCGUGAACGAGGAACCUGUUGAGCACGCUUACGAGGAUCAAGCUUUCGACAACUCUGAGAAUCUUGCAGGCAAGAUGACCAUACCCUCGAAAUCACUUCUAUCUUUGCUUGCUAGUUGUUCGCUCUAUUGCUAUGCUGCGCUACCUAUUCACUUGCUCUUCAAGCCUCCCAAAUUGCCAUGAACCUCUAACCUUUGUCACCCUUCCUAGCAAACCGUUGUUUGGCUAUGUUACCGCUUUUGCUUAGCCCCUCUUAUAGCGUUGCUAGCUGCAGGUGAGAUGAAGAUUGCUCCAUGUUGGAUUAUGUUUAUGUUGGGAUAACACAAUAUCUCUUAUAUUAUUAAUGCACCUAUAUAUUUGGUAAAGGGUGGAAGGCUCGGCCUUAUGCCUGGUGUUUUGUUCCACUCUUGCCGCCCUAGUUUCCGUCAUACCGGUGUUAUGUUCCUUGAUUUUGCGUCCCUUACGCGGUUGGGUGAUUUAUGGGACCCCCUUGACAGUUCGUUUUGAAUAAAACUCCUGCAGCAAGGCCCAACCUUGGUUUUACAUUUGCCUCACCUAGCCUUUUUCCCUUGGGAGUCGCGCUCCCGAGGGUCAUCUUAUUUUACCCCCCGGGCCAGUGCUCCUCGGAGUGUUGGUCCAAACUAGAGCACCGUGCGGGACCAUCCCUUGGCAACUUGGGUUACAUCGGUACCUGUACGCUUCGCUUAUCCGGUGUGUCCUGAGAACGAGAUACGUGCGACUCCUAUCGGGAUUGUCGACACAUCGGGCGGCUUUGCUGGACUUGUUUUACCAUGGUCGAAAUGUCUUGUAACCGGGAUUCCGAGACUGAUCGGCUCUUCCCGGGAGAAGGAAUAUCCUUCAUUGACCGUGAGAGCUUAUAAUGGGCUAAGUUGGGACACCCCUGCAGGGUAUUAUCUUUUGAAAGCCGUGCCUGCGGUUAUGUGGCAGAUGGGAAUUUGAUAAUAUCCGGUUGUAGAGAACUUGACACUUGACUUAAUUAAAACGCAUCAACCGCGUGUGUAUCCGUGAUGGUCUCUUCUCGGCGGAGUCCGGGAAGUGAACACGGUUUCUGGGUUAUGUUUGACGUAAGUAGGAUUUCAGGAUCACUUCUUGAUCAUUGCUAGCUUCACGACCGUUCCGUUGCUUCUCUUCUCGCUCUUAUUUGCGUAUGUUAGCCACCAUAUAUGCUUAGUCGCUGCUGCAACCUCACCACCUUACCCUUUCCUACCCAUAAGCUUAAAUAGUCUUGAUCUCGUGGGUGUGAGAUUGCUGAGUCCUCGUGACUCACAGAUACUUCCAAAACAGUUGCGGGUGCCGAUGAGACCAGUGCAGGCGAUGCCACCGAGCUCAAGUGGGAGUUCGAUGAAGACCUUGUUCGUUACUAUGUUUCGUUUCUAGAUGAUCAGUAGUGGAGCCCAGUUGGGACGAUCGGGGAUCUAGCAGUUGGGUUGUCUUCUUUUCUUUUGGUUCCGUAGUUGGACCUAUGUGUGUACUCUGAUUGAUGUAUAAUUAAUUUAUGUAUUGUGUGAAGUGGCGAUUGUAAGCCAACUCUCGUUAUCCCAUUCUUGUUCAUUACAUGGGAUUGUGUUAAGAUGACCCUUCUUGCGACAAAACCACAAUGCGGUUAUGCCUCUAAGUCGUGCCUCGACACGUGGGAGAUAUAGCCGCAUCGUGGGCGUUACAAAUUAUCGGGACCACUCCCGGUGAUGACCGUAGUUUGAGGAGUUCAUGUAUUCACUAUGUGUUAAUGCUUUGGUCCGAUACUCUAUUAAAAGGAGGCCUUAAUAUCCCUUAGUUUCCGCUAGGACCCCGCUGCCACGGGAGGAUAGGACAAAAGAUGUCAUGCAAGUUCUUUUCCAUAAGCACGUAUGACUAUAUUCGGAAUACAUGCCUACAUUACAUUGAUGAAUUGGAGCUAGUUCUGUGUCACCCUAUGUUAUGACUGUUACAUGAUGAACCGCAUCCGGCAUAAUUCUCCAUCACCGAUCCAAUGCCUACGAGCUUUUCACAUAUUGUUCUUCGCUUAUUUACUUUUCCGUUGCUACUGUUACAAUCACUAGAAAACCCAAAAAUACUACUUUUGCUACCGUUACAGUUAUUUCCAUACUACUUUGCUACUAAAUACUUUGUUGCAGAUAUUAAGUUAUCCAGGUGUGGCUGAAUUGACAACUCAGUUGCUAAUACUUGACAAUAUUCUUUGGCUCUCCAUGUGUCGAAUCAAUAAAUUUGGGUUGAAUACUCUACCCUCGAAAACUGUUGCGAUCCCCUAUACUUGUGGGUUAUCAGUCUCCGGCAUCCGCCUUGACCUGGCUUCCGUUGCACACCCGCAGUCCAACGGCCAGGUUGAGCGGGCCAACGGCCUCAUCCUAUCCGGCAUCAAGCUACGGCUCAUCGAGCUGCUCAUCCGUUCACCCGACAGCUGGCUCGAUGAGCUGCCAGCCGUCCUCUGGAGUCUCCGAACGACACCGAACCGGUCGACCGGGUUCACCCCAUACUUCCUCAUCUAUGGAGCGGAAGCCGUCAUCCCGACCGACGUCGAGUUCGACUCGCCGCGCGUCGUGAUGUACACUGAAGCCGAAGCCAAAGAAGCCCGCAAGGACGGCGUCGACCUACUCAAAGAAGCACGUCUCCUAGCGCAUAGCCACUCAACCAUCUACCAGCAAGGCCUGAGGCACUACCACAGCAAGAAGAUCAAGCCCCUCACUUUUCGGGAGGGAGACCUCGUCCUCCAACUCGUCCAAGAGCAGAACGGCCAACACAAGCUGUCCCCCCAUGGGAGGGCCCGUUCAUCGUCAGCAAGGCCUUGCGCGAUCGCAACGCCUACUACCUCAUCGACGCCCGCAAGUCAAACAAGCGCAAGAGAGACACCGCCGACGAAGAAACAACACGGCCGUGGAACGCGGAACUCCUCCGCCCGUUUUACAGUUAGCCGUAUGCACGUAUGUAUCGCUGCCCUUUGUAAUCAUCUGAAAACUAUGGAGUCCACGAACGACGCUCGGGGGCUGCCCUUUACGACCAAGCUAUUGUGUCUCCCGUAUUUAUGCAUUAUUUACCUCUUCAUCAAACCCGGCCACCGGUCCGACUCGCUCGACCCGGGGGCUGGCCAGCUUGGUCACCACCCACCGCCUUACUCAGCGAUUCCUGACGCGCUGGGACUGCCGCGGCCUCCUGCUUUGCCCUAAGCCACAGAACUGGCUUCGGCUGUUGGCCGGCAAGCGCGCAAGUCCAGAGCACCAGCACGCCAUGAACACUAAGUCAAGGACCGCCGGGUCACCCAACCGAGCCACACCACUUUAAGUUGCCGCACGACCGGCUGCUCGCCAACCGGCUUCGCCGGAUUGCCGCUAGCCGGCCCAGUGGGUGUUUCGCUCACGCUCAACGUUUCGAACGCCUAAGUACUGCGCGCUCCUCNNNNNNNNNNNNNNNNNNNNNNNNNNNNNNNNNNNNNNNNNNNNNNNNNNNNNNNNNNNNNNNNNNNNNNNNNNNNNNNNNNNNNNNNNNNNNNNNNNNNNNNNNNNNNNNNNNNNNNNNNNNNNNNNNNNNNNNNNNNNNNNNNNNNNNNNNNNNNNNNNNNNNNNNNNNNNNNNNNNNNNNNNNNNNNNNNNNNNNNNNNNNNNNNNNNNNNNNNNNNNNNNNNNNNNNNNNNNNNNNNNNNNNNUCAACAGAAGAAAAGCAAAGGCGCAGGCACCCGCGAAAUUCAUACAUACCGCCGGGUCGAUCGCCCGGCCCCGUCACUUGUAACACUGCCGCACGACCGGCUGCGCGCCAACCGGCUUCGCCGGAUCGCCGCCAGCCGGCCCAGUGGGUGUUUCGCUCACGCUCAACGUUUCGACGGCUUAAGUACUGCGCGCUCCUCUCAAAGGCUGAACUCCUUGUCACGGACCGGAGCCUCGGCCGUCAGACUCGCGGGGGGGAAGCCCGAGAGGGGAAAAGCGCAAGAAAACGGCUCAAAAGACGAAAAGCAAGAGCGCAAACAUCCACGAAAUUUAUACUUCACCAGUUCAAAUUUAAACAGGCCCAAGGCCAGAAUUCAUCUCACCCGGAUACCCCCAGUGGGUGGGUGGACCUGCUACCUAACCGAAAUUUUUACUAAGUUAAAAACAGGCAGCCUCAUGCAUCUCCCUCGGUGGCCUCCGGGUUCGCUGAGGUGCCGCUGUCCCCCCCCCCCCUUGCUGUCUGCAUGGAGGUAGACGUCCGUCUCCUCGGAGCUGCCCUCCGGGUCGUCUAGGAGCAGGCCGUAGUCGUCGGCAGGCAUGACUCCGUCAUCCUCCGACCGCUCUUGCCGGAACUCGUUGUGGAAGGCGAACCCAGCGAUGUAGCUGGCCCGAGCAGCAAUCCGGCCAGCCUCCGCCUGCAGCUGGCUCUCCGAGCCGGCUCGCUGGCCCAUCAACGUGUCCAGCGACAGGUCCGGAUGCCAAGACAUCGCGAACCUGAGCGCCAUCUUGGUGCCAACACGAGCGGCGGAACCCCGCCAGUCGUGGAGCCGAUCCGGCCCCGCCUCCAACCACCGCGCCAGACGCGUGAAGCUAUUCGGCGUGACGGAACCCGGCCAGAGGGCCGUCGUCAUCGCCGCGCCGGCCUUAGAGAGCCGCCCCAUCUGCUCGCUCAAGACUCGUAGACGAGCCUCGACGGCGGUCACGAUCUCCGGGAAGGUCCAGGCCACCCGCGGGUCAGUCCCGGAGCCGAUGAUCCCCUGCGGGUCGUGCUGAAAGCGGACGGCCUCCUCCGCUAGCUGGCACGUCUCCGGGAAGGCCCUUGUCAAGAAGAAAAGCAAGUCAGAAGAAAGUCACCAAGGACAAGAAGCCGGGGUCCUAGCCCGGCAAAACCCAAGGAAAGAACUUACUGGAGAAGGACUCUUCCAGGUGCUGUGCUUCAAGCAAUGUACCGCGCCGCUCAAGGGCAAGGGUGCGGUCGUGCUCCUGCAAUGACUUCUCCAGCUCGGCGACCUUGGCAAGGGUCGCCUUCAGCUCGGCGUCCUUGGCCUCGGCCGCCUUCUCUGCCUCCUCGCGGCGAUGGGUUUCCCCCUGACGGGUCUCCUCCGCCGCGGCCACCAGCGCCUUCAGGCGCUCCACCUCGGCCUGGAGCUGACCCUUGUCGUUGGCCAGCUUGCCGCGUUGCUGGUCCACCUCGACGAGGGCCCGCUGUGCCUCCACAACCUUGGCGGCUUCCUCCUUCAGGCGUUCCACCUCGGCCUCUAGACGACCCUUGUCGCCUUCCAGCUGCUCCCGUAGCCGGCUGGCUUCAUCGAGUGCCCGCUGGGCCCCCGUUGCCUCCGCCCACGCCCUCGCCACCUCGGCCCCAAGCCGGUCUGCGUCAGCAACGAGCCGGUCGUAGUGGAAGUCGGCUCGCAUCAGCCAGGUCCUCCAGGACAUCACCUUGGCUGCAGAAGAAAGAUUUAGAAACAAAGUACUAUUUUAAGAUUCGGCCCAACUGCUACACAGUUGGCCCGAAUCUUGGGGGCUACACCCAGUGGGUGCGCUAGCGCGCCCCCACUAAAAAAGUGCACGCAAGAAAUGUACCCGCGGCGACGUGGAGCUCCUCCUCCUUGGCAGCGAGCUGCUCCUUGAGCCGCCGGUGCAUCUCCAGGAGCCGGUUGAAGACGCCGACCCAGUAGGAGUGCAGUUGCUGCAAGAAGCAACGAUCAACACAAGACAACGGUUUAAGAUUCGACCAAACUGCUACGCAGUUGGCCCAAAUCUUGGGAGCUACACCUAGUGGGUGCGCUAGCGCGCCCCCACGAAGAAGAAGCAACAGAAAAAUAAAGGCAGAAAGCAAGGAAAACUUAUGAACACGGCGCGCUCCAGCUCCCGUGUCUGCUCCACCUCGGCCUGGGCGCAGGCGCUGGGUCAUGGCGUCCAUCGCCGCGUCCUCCUAGGUCAGAGGCCCGAAGAAGCCCUCGCUUGUCCCGCUCCGCACCGGCUGCGGCCCGAUGGCCCGGCGCUCCCCUGGCCUGGGCACCAGGGCGUGCUAUCCGCUGGCCGCCUCCCUGGCGGCCGGCACCUUCUUUGGCACCAUCACCGGUUCAGUGGCCGGAGUGGCCUGCGGCUCCACCACCAGCGGUGCCUCGCUCAUCAACGCCUGAGGCGCCCCAUCCGGCGUCGUCCGCGACGUCUCCUCGAAGACGGCGUCACCGCCGCCUCCGUCGGCCCCCGUCCGCUCGACCACGUCGGUCCGCGGCGGGGUGUCGUCCCCGAUGACCACGACCUCCCGGUCGAGGUCCAUCACAUCCACACGACCGCCUUGGCCACGCUCCCCCUCCAGCGACGGCACGAAGACCGUCACCGCUGCCACCGUCCCUGCCAGCAUCUCUGGCCACGCCGGCUCCUCGCCGGCUCGCGCCCACGUCGCUGCGGCGUUAACCCAGGCCUGGGUCGACGCCGCCUCCAACUCUGCCUCGGCCCGGUUCCAGUCCCGCCAGGCCAGGGCUUCGGCGUCGGCCGGGUCUAGGCCAAGAUCCAGAUCCACCCGCUCCUCCUCCUCGAACUGGUCGACGGUGCCGGAGCGGCUCCUCCGGAACGCGGCGCCCUCUUUGGACGCGGCGUCCGCCGCCGCCAGCGCCAACGAGAUCGCGACCUGAAACACAAGACAAAAUAAAUACGCAAGAACCAAGCAGAGCCGCUCAGCCACUCGGUUCAGGCAAGAAGAGAACUCACCACGGCACCACCGGAAUGGCAGGCCUCGCCGCCCUCUCCUGCGGAGCGCCACGCCUCCUCUUGGCGGGAGGCUUCGCGCCCCCGGCCGGGUUCGCUGUGCGCUUCACGGCCGGGGCCCGCGGCGCGACGUUGUCCUUCCCGUGCGGUCGGCUCACCGCCGGCGCCCCCCGAGAUGACCCGGCUCCGGCCGCGCCGCCGCCUCCUCCACCUGGCGCCACUACGACAGCAACUCGCAUUAGCACCCCAAGACCGUCCCGCGACCGAUGACCCAAGAAGUGAAGACAAACUUACCCGCUCUGCGCCCUGUGCCCGCGUCGGCGGUCGUCCCCUCCCCUCCGCCGUGGGCCUCAGGCUCCUUCGAGGCAACGCGCACCACCUUCAUCCGUGCCCGGUCGUAAGGAUGCCCGGGCGAAUGAGAAGAUGGGCGGCAACAAAGUACGAAGACCAAGGAUCUCAUCAUCGGUGUCGGGUUCGCAUGGCUGUACGGGGGCUUCCCGAACUCCCAGUCGUCCCGCAGGUUGGCCUUGGAGAUGUUGUUGACCCGGCACGCGACCUGGUCCGCCCCCAGCCGCAGGUUCGCCAUGCGGUUGGGGUCCUGAAGGCCGGUCAUCUGACCGAUGAGGUGGUUGCGCUACUGCAACGGCAGGACUCGAUGGACAAUGAAAGCGGUGAUGAGGUCAGUGCCGGUGAGCCCUUCCCGCUCCUUCAUCACCGACACCCGCUUGCACAGGUUGAGCACCCCCUGUGACGGAUGCUUGGGGUAGUAACCCCAAUUCCGUUUCUCCCUCGGCAGCGAGUUGAUGAAGGGCGGCAAGUUGAUGCGGUCCGCGCCGAGGUUGCGGACGUAGAAGAAGGAAUUCUUCCAUUUCUUGGCAGAAUCCUCCAACGGCAUCUUGGGGCAGUCAGCGCCUGACCGCUUGGAGAUGACGGUGGCCUUGCACUCGGACAUCUCCCUAGCCCUCGGCCCCUGCUGCUUCAAUGAGAAGAAGCGCACCCAGAGGUCGAUCGAAGGCUCAACCCCCAGGUACCCCUCGCAGAGGGUGACGAAGCCCAAAAGCUGCACGAUGGCGCCGGCGCCAAGAUGAUGGGGCUGGAGCCCGAAGAACUCCAGGAAGUUGCAUAAGAAGGUGCUCGCGGGAAGCCCGAACCCGCGCUUGAAGUGCGGGAAGAAGGCCACGUCCUCCGUGCCCUCGGGCCGCGGCUCCCGCUCGCCCUGCGGCAGCCUCCGUCACCCCCGGCAGGCGCCUGGUGGUGCGAAGAUAGGCGAUGUCAUCGAGAGUGACAGUCGAGCCCAUCCACGAGCCCGACGGCAGCGCCAUCGACAAAGGUGCAGAAGAAAGAAGGAAGAAGAUGACGAAGAAGCUCUGCUCGAAGCAACGGGCAUCGCGAUGCGCGGCGGGUGCAAGAAGCAGAGGAAGGAAGAAGAAGGCAGGGGGCGCGAGCGAGAAUGAUUUCUGCUGCCCCCUGCUCGCCCCAAUCUAUAAGCCACAGUUUGAAACAUGGGGGAUUGGGAUCAUUUGCGUUCGCGUUUCCCACUUCCCCGCAAUAACUGCGCACGUACGUGCGCAAUAACUGCCUUGAGAAUGGCAACCGACUUGCGGACGCCGCAAUAAAUCCGUGCACGUGGGCCGAGGGCGCGCGGCCGCGGGCCCCAGCACGUCGCCCUAUCCUGUCGCGCGCGUGGCCUGCCAGGCCCCUCCGGCUUCCGGGCGCCCCAUGGCGCUCGCACGAAGUCCAAAAGAUUGCCUCAAGAUUCGACGGAUUCUUCGGUUUCCCGCCCCUACUGAGGUACCGCGAUCCGGCUUCCGGAAGCCGGCACACAGUGGGUGUUGCUGGACCCGGCGGUCACAAAAUUCGCCUCCUCAAAGGGGGAAACGGCGAAGGCCCUCCCAUCCGAAGACGGCGGACCUUCAAAGCUUCGGGGACUACUGUCGGGGGGAUGAAUCCCGGGAAGGCAACGGAACCCGGAUCCUUUUCAAAAAUGAUGGGGCCAACAUCGCCCCUCAAGCCGGCACGUGCUUGGCUGGGUCGCCCAACCCGGCCAAGCCCCUCGACCCGGCCAAACUCUCCAACCCGGCCAGACUCCUCAACUCGGCCCCAACAACCAGCUCAAGACAGACGAACCCGGCACACCAAGACUUCUCCAACAAGCCAGCUCCACCCUUGGCGCGUUCAUCAACCCGGCCACGGGUCAGCUCCCAUCCCAUCCCAGCCAUAUGAUGGGACGAGUCUCCACCUACCGAUGACCGAGGCAACAGUGCCCCGCCCAUGCCUCUGGCCAGGCGGGGCGUGGCAACAGUGCCCCACCUACCCGCUGACCAGGGCCGGCGUGGCAAUAGUGCAACCAUCGCUACCAAUGACGCUAGCAAGCGGCGACCUGACGGAGCGCCACUGUAGCCGACUCAACCUGGCCACUCCCUGACAAUCGACAAGACGGCCAACAGUGCCCCCGUACCUGGCGGGCCCCGCGUUCGGAGAACCCGGCGAGCCCUGACGGGUUCCAGCGCCGGCUUCCCGGACAAUGACAAUCCGGCCCCACGGCCUUGUAACAUUAUCCUUGUACCCCUGGGGGUUGGCCUAUAAAACCCCUAGGAGCCCUCAUGCAUACGGGCGAUCGAACACAAAGGAUCACUCACUCACACACGCAUAGCAAGCCACACCCAAGGAGAGGGAGCAGCCUAAGCCUCGGCGUGCCUUCCUUGCUCCUCCAUACAGCUCUCAGAGCAACUCUGUACUGAUACACAUCAACUACACUCGGCAGGACUAGGGGUGUUAUCUCUCCGGAGAGCCCCGAACCUGGGUAUGUCUUGCGUCCCGCGCUCGCUCAUGCCGACCUCGCCUCUGGAGCCCACUAGUGCCCUGGAGCCUCCUCCUAUCUUUAGCCAUCCCUUGGAAUCUGCCGUGCGCCCACCAUGACACCAACCUAGACUGUAGUCCUAAAACGCGGACACGGCUAUUCGAAUAUAUAUAACUCUGCAGAGGGUGUACUCUUUACCCGCAAGUAAAGGAUUUCUUUGGUCAAUGCCGAGACGUUGAAUAAUUCCGAUUACGGUCUUUGGGAUGAAAACACACCUGACCCGCACAUACCAGCUUUAAUCCAUCAAGCCAUGGAAUGGAUUGAGCAGAAACGCGCCCAAGGCGUGGUAGAGCCGCGAGGCGCUACUGGGCCAAGCCCAAUCGCUCGACUGCGCGGGAGGGCUGCGACCUCGAAGGCGUGCUCGCUAGAAUAUGCUUUCCUCACGGGAAAGCAACUUCAACGGAACCCGUCUCCACUUAAGACGAGCUGGCGCGACACUGGGUCACUGACAGUGGGCCUGCCUGGCCCACUGGUCAGGUUUGACCAGUCCACGCGCGCGCCAUCUCCUCCGGCCGAACAGAGGCGGCGCUCCGACGAUGCUCGCCGGCGAAUGGCGGCACCCCUCGGGGAUCUGAGCACAUGGGUGUGUUCAGGAGGUCUAGGCGAACCUGUGGGUACCCUCCUUGGUCGCUAGAGUGGAAGGAGUCGCCGACGGUGAGCUCCCCGAUGGAGGGCGGUGUCGGGUGAGACGGGGCUUUCGCCUAUGGUGGUCGCCGAGCUAAAUUGAUGACGGGGAUGGAUCAGUGGGUGCUCAAGGAGGUCGGUGGUGAAGAAAUAUGUGAGGGGGAGGCACUGGCUGCGUCGGAACCGACUGGAACAAGGCGGCGGCCGAAGCUGCCGGAGAUGGGGGANNNNNNNNNNNNNNNNNNNNNNNNNNNNNNNNNNNNNNNNNNNNNNNNNNNNNNNNNNNNNNNNNNNNNNNNNNNNNNNNNNNNNNNNNNNNNNNNNNNNNNNNNNNNNNNNNNNNNNNNNNNNNNNNNNNNNNNNNNNNNNNNNNNNNNNNNNNNNNNNNNNNNNNNNNNNNNNNNNNNNNNNNNNNNNNNNNNNNNNNNNNNNNNNNNNNNNNNNNNNNNNNNNNNNNNNNNNNNNNNNNNNNNNNNNNNNNNNNNNNNNNNNNNNNNNNNNNNNNNNNNNNNNNNNNNNNNNNNNNGAGGAGUGUGGUGAGGAUCAUAGAGAGCCCGGAGUGAGCUUUUAUAUCCCGUCGGGGCCGGUUCCGGCGGUGUCCAGAGGAUAAGCACGACGGCGGCGAUCAUUACAGCGGUAGGCGUGGCCGAUGGAGGUAGGCGAGGGCGAUAGCGGCCUCAAUUACUCCUGGGGGUGCUGGGUGGCUCGGGGUGAGGCACGCGUCGGGGGCGGAGACGUGGCCGUGGGGGACUCAUCGGGCGAUGGUCCUGGUCGUCGUGGACGGCGGUGGACGACGCUAGGGGCCAAGCGGGGGUGUCGGCGAGCUUCUAGGUGGUCGUGCCGAUCUAGAGAAGGAUCAGGAUGAGAGGGGGAGGCAGCAGAGACACGGCAGGAGCUCGGUGCCGACGCGUGCAAAACGCAUGCUCUGGCCGUGCCCGGAGCACGUACACAGAGUGCUCGACAAAAUGCCAGGGCCACCUAAGGGUCUCUGAUGGCAGUGAAAAUUGAUAGGAUUGUGAAACUGGUUAUGAGAGAGCUAAUGGACAUCCUGGUUUGGCCAAAUGACCAAGUGUCCAGUGCAGUUUAGGAAGUGGCAACAUUUCUGUCAUGCACAUGAAGUGUUCGACAGAAUGCUAGAGCAAGCUAGAGGAUACUGUUGAUGAUGAAAUUUGGCAGGAUGAGGUCUCUUUAGAUGAUAGAGAUGGCGGUGGAGUAAUUUUGGCAAGAUGAGAAACUUGCUAGUGCAAGUUUUACCAGAAUUCAGUUCUGGACAGACACUUCAGUGGCAUGUGUGGUGAACUUAAAAGAUGCAAAUAGAGCUGAUCUCCUGGGGUUAAGGUUUUGGUUGGAAGGACUACAAUAUGGCAAAGCUUCGGAAUUAUUGGAGCUAGAAAAAAGAGGGUUGCAGUUGUAACUCAAAAAUGGGACAUAAUUGAAAAGAGGAUGUUUCACUCAAAAUUUUCAAAAGACAUAGUUAGGUUUUUAAUCAAAAGUGAUUUAUAGGCAUCACCUGACCUCUCAUAAUUUUUGUGGGAUUUUAAACAUUUAUUUAAAAUAAUCGUAGUGCAACAGAAGUGUUUCAAGCAUUCAAAAUGCUAGUAAAAGAAUUGUUUGUGGCAUAUUUUAUUAUGAAAAUAUGCCCUACUGUUAUUUGUGAUAUACUCCCUCGGUUCCUAAAUAUUUGUCUUUUUAUAGAUUUCAACAAGUGACUACAUACAGAGCAAAAUGAAUGAAUCUACAUUCUAAAAUAUGUCUAUAUACAUCCGUAUGUGGUAGUCUAUUUGAAAUCUCUAAAAAGACAAAUAUUUAGGAACGAAGGGAGUAAAUGACAAGAUUUAUAAAACAACCACAGACCACAAUAUUUCACAAAAAUAAUCUUCUAUGGAGGGAAGAAUUUUGGAAAACAGAAAAUAGAAAAGGCUGUGAGAUUAAUAAAUGACCUAGUAUAAUUCAAAGUUUUAUUUCUGGCCAAGUUUUACUUAAUAAAAUUUGAUUAAAUUUUUGGGGUGUUAUAGUUAGCUUUAUUAAUACUCAAAUCACUGUUACAUCAUCCGUUAAGAACCCCGAAAAAAUCCGUUAAGAAAUUAACGGUAAAAUCCGGGGGUGACUCAAACCAAAUAGAGGGCUGGUUUUCACACACCCAUUUAGGUAGCACAUGCGCUACUACAUCUGACUCCCUAUUAUAAUAAUCAAUACAAGCCUUCCCGAACUCACAUAACUCGCGACGACAAUCAUCCAAUAUAGGGGCUGCCACCAUAGAAUAACCUCCAUCCUGAUUAAAAGGCUGAACCACUGUGGUAUUGUCCAUUAGAACUAAAAUAAUGUUGCAACCCAUCCGAGUAGCAAACUUCAACCCUUCAUACAAAGUAGUGGCCAUGGCCAAAGUGACGUGAGGAACAUGAGAUAAUUUUUUAGUUGAUGCUGCUAAGUAGGCCCCCGGAUGAUCAUGAAUCACCGGGCCACAAGAUCAUGAAAAAUCUGUAUCUGAAAAGGAAGCAUCGACAUUGACGAUUGUCUGUCCGACUAGGCCUUUCCUCCACUGAUUUGGUGAGGGGUGGAUGAGGCAAACCGGCCGCAUGAACAAAGUUCAGUGACAACGCCUGAAUUGUUGGGGCCGUUCUCAACGAAGAAAGAACAUACUCCGAUCGGACUAUGUAGUGCCCCUGUCACCAUAGAUACCAGCAGGUGCUCGCUACGAUAUCUGAAAAUUGUACCUGUUCCAUUUAUGGACUUUGGACUACUAGGUCACAUAGGAGGUAUUCAAUAAUAGUAGCACCUGAUCUAUCAAUAUUAGUAGACUCAUCGAUAGGCUUCCUAAGAACAAGACCUUCCCAGACCGAUCUUGCCCUCUCACACUUGAAUAAUGCAUGCGCAAUAUCUUUUGCUCCACUUUUACAGAUCAUACAUUGAGAUGUAUUACCAAUAUGGCGAUUUUCUAAAACACAUAAGCAAGGAAUCGCGUUGUGCAAGAAACAUCAUAAGAAAAAUUUCACCUUGCCAGGAAGCCGCACUCUCCAAGCCUUCUACCAAACAGGGUGCGGUGAAGAGCCUUCUCCCGUAGAGUUUUGAUCUUUGUCAAAUAACAAUCUUCCCAUUGCUUGUAAUAAGCCAACCUGACACUAAAAAUACCGUUAUUAGUGAGGUUCCAAGCCAUAUAAUCCUCAGUAUAUUGAUGAUGGAUGAGAAUUUGGAGUAUACAGUCAGCAUCAUCGAGGAGAAGUUGUCUCUAAUUAAAGUCUCAUCCCACUCUCUGUGGCCAAAUCAAUGAGCUCAUUGACCGUCGUCAACACUCUAUUACCUCUGGCGGUGAUGAUCCUCCUUGAAGAGCCAUUUGGUAUCCAACAAUCAUUCCAAAUAUGAAUUUUUGUCCCAUCACCCACUCUCCAUAUACAUCCCUUCUUAUAAGUUUGGACACCAAGCCCAAAUACUUUGCCAAACAUAGGAUGACCCCUUCUUCAAUUCAUAAUUUAAUAUAUCUCAUGAGGGGUAAUACUUAGCUCUCAAUACUCUUGCACAUAAUGAUCCAUGGUUUUCAAUAAGUCUCCAGCAUUGUCUUGCCAACAUAGCUAAACUAAAACCGUGUAUAUCUCAUAAUCCUGUACCGCCUUUCUCCUUAGGCACACACAUUUUCCACCACACAAACCAAUGCAUCUUGUGUUGGUUCUCACCAUCACCCCACCAGUAAUGUGAAACUGUGUCAGUGAUUCCCUUACAUAUUUUUUGGGAGUUUUAACACACUCAUCGCAUACGUCGGGAUAGCCUGAGACACCGCCUUUAUGAGAGCUUCUUUUCCACCAAAGGACAAUGUCCCGUCCUUCCUCCAACAUUCACAAUUUGCAUGAUCUUUCAAUAAGGUUGUUGCCGCGUGUGUGCAGAACACACGCGAGACACUGUGGACUGUGGACGUCCUUUGCUGAAUUGGCGGUAGGGUGCAAGGUGAGGAUCUAUCACCAUAGAAAAUGCCGAAAUGACAUGGUGAUUUACCCAGGUUCAUGUUGCAUGGUUGCGUAAUACCCUACUCCUGCUUUUAUGUGUGGUUUUCUUUAGUUGAGCUACAUGUCCUUCCCGUGAAUGGGGAAGAGUAGUGUGCUCCUACUGGUGUUCUACAAACACUACAAAAAAAGACAACCCAUGACAUUAUGGGCCGAACAAAAAAAUAUGUCAUGCUUAUGACACUUCUACGACGAUAAUUGUGACAAAACCACGUACCAUCAUAGAUGUGGUGGGCUCCGACUUCUAUGACAGAAAAUGGGCUUUUCGUCCUGGGCGGGCCCGGGACGCAGCUGCAUGACAUUCUUUGGGCUGUCCAUGACGGAAAAAAUCGUGGUAGAAGCGAGGGCGAGGAAAAUUUUGGGGAGUUCCCGGUUACGGUGGGUGGUCGGGGCCGAGCGAUGCGCGGAGGUUUUGCGCUUUUCUCUCGUACACGUACGCGCGUGUGUGCGAGGCAUUGGGUGAUACGUCUCGAAUGUAUUUAUAAUUUUUAUUGUUCCAUGCUAUUAUAUUAUCUAUUUUGGAUGUUUUAUAUGCAUUAAUAUGCUAUUUUAUAUGAUUUUUGGGACUAACCUAUUAACCUAGAGCCCAGUGCCAGUUUCUGUUUUUUCCUUGUUUUAGAGUUUCGCAGAAAAGGAAUACCGAACGGAGUCCAAACGGAAUGAAAAUUUCGCGAUGAUUUUUCUUGGACCAGAAGACAUCCAGAGGGCUUGGACUACACGUCAGGAAAGCCACGAGGCGGACACAAGGUCGGAGGGCGCGCCCCCACCCUUGUGGGCCCCUCGUGACUCCACCAACCUAUUUCUUCCGCCUAUAUAUUCUCAAAUACCCCAAAACCUUCCAAGGGAGCCACGAAACCACUUUUCCACCGCCGCAACCUUCUGUACGCGUGAGAUCCCAUCUAGGGGCCUUUUCCAGCGUCCUGUCGGAGGGGGAUUCGAUCACGGAGGGCUUGUACAUCAACACCCACUACAAAAAAAAGACAUCCAUGACAUUUUGGGCCGAACGAAUUUUUUUCCUGUCAUACUUAUGACACUUCUAUGACUAUAAUUGUGACAAAACCCGGUAUCAUCAUAGAUGUGGUGGGCUCCUACUUCUAUGACAAAAAAUCAUGAAAGAAAAUGGGCUUUUCGUCCUGGACGCGCCGGAGACACAGCUGCAUGACAUUCUUUGGGCCGUCCAUGACGGAAAAAACCGUGGUAGAAGCGAGGGCUAGGAAAAUAUCGGGGUGUUCCCGGUUAUGGUGGGUGGUCGGGGCUGAGCGAUGCACGGAGGUUUGCGCGUUUCUCUCGUCCACGCACGCGCGUGGGUGUGAUGCGUUGUGCUCUAACUGAACCCGAGCGAGGCGUUGGGCUCUAACUGAACCCGAGCGAUUGCACUGCAGGCUACGCGUUACUGAACCCGAUCGAUCGAUCGAUGGCUGUUAACUGAACCCGAUCGAUCGAUGGCUGUUAACUGAACCCGAUCGAGCGAUUUCUUCGCUACUGCUGCUAGCUGAAGUCGAUCGAUGCUGCCUCUGGAUGAACAGUGAGUGUUGCUGGGGGGGUUGGAUGAACAGUUCCCAGUGGGGGUGGAUGAACAGGACCCCGUGGUGUUGCCUCUGGAUGAACAGGACCCCUAUCAAUCGAGCCGGUUGGGGCUGGAUGAACAGGACCCCGUGGAGGGCUGGAUGAAUAGGACCACCCCGUGGAGGGCUGGAUGAACAGUAGACGGUGGAGGGCUGGAUGAACAGUAGCCCGUGGAGGGGUGGUUGAACAGGAGCCCGUGGAGAGGGCUGGUUGAACAGUAGCCGGUGGAGUAGCGCGCAGUGGAGGUUGGAUGAACAGGAGGCCGUGGAUGAACAGUCGCAGGUGGAGGCUGGAGGAGGUCGACGGUGGUUGAACAGUAGCCCGUGGCGGCUGGAGGGGUCGACAGUGGAGAUGAACAGUAUCCCGUGGAGUCCCGUUUUGCAGUACGCCACACCCCUCCCGAUGAACAGGACCCCCGUUUCGACCGUAGCGCUCCAACACAAGUCCAUAUCCUCCGUUUUGCGGUACGCCACACCCCUCCUGAUCAACAGGACCCCCGUUUUGACCGUAGGAGGUCCAUUUCCUCCAUUUUGCGGUACGCCAGACCCCUCCCGAUGAAUAGGAUCCUGUUUUGAACGUGGCCGGUUGAACACAAGGCCGUUUCCUCCGUUCUGCGGUACGCCAGGCAUCGUUUCCAUCGGCUGUUCCGUCCAAGCCCUCCCGAUGAUCACGACGACACAUUCCAUUCCGACCCAGCCGGUUGGCUCCCCAUGAACACGACGGCGAUGAUGUUUCUGCAUUCCGACCCAGCCAUGUACACGAGCCCUUGCCGUACGUAUGCGCGAGUAGGCAUUCGAGACCCCGCCCGUAUGUACGUAUGUGGCCAUAUUUUCUUUCUUGCACACUGGCCGCUGUACGUAUGUGUACAUGCUACGUGCGCGCCUCUACAUCGACCAGUAUGUACGUACACAUUCGCGACCAGAAUGACAACGCUAUGUAUGCUUUGACCAGGUGGGUCCUGACUGUCAGGCACUUCCUUGCGUGCGAAGAUGUAGCUGGUGGGUCCCAGCAGUCAGGGGGAAACGUUUUUUUCACGAAAUACGGUGGCCCGUCCGGUGGGUCCCCGCUGUCAGUUGGAGGAAUAAUUAUUUUGCGCGUAAUAAGGAGGCACUUCCUUGCUGUGGCCGUGGACCCAGCUGUCAGCCUCUCCACGUACAGUCCACGUCCGAUGGAAGCUGUUCCUUGACCACGUUGACCACGCCACGCCGAGAGCACCAGGGUUGUGGACAACGGCGAGAGGCCUAGGAAGGGGACGACGUGGAGCCGGGGAAGACGCGACAGUGGAAGCCCGCGCGGAGAGGAGUACGAGGGUUCACUGGUUCGGCUACUGUGUGAGGCUGCCGUCGCCGCAGAAUAAUAGGGGGUGUGGGUGAGUGGAGGGUUGGCCUGGCUAGCGGUGGGAGUAGUAGGCGGUAGUGAGGCCUCCGCGGCAGCACAGCCGGCCACGGGAGGCAGGAGCAGGCGGCACGACCGGCGCUGCUUUGGGAGGCUGGAGCAAGAAGACCAGAGGUUGAAGAAGCACUACGGCCGUUGGAUGGACAUCGUACGGUCACUGGAGCUAGAAUCGUGCAUAUUGACUAAGUUGACAAAGCCCUCCGUCCCUGUCAACUUAGUAGGCCCACAAGUCAGCCUGCCACUAUACUGGGUCCCAGCUAGCAGGGGGAGUAUUCAUUUUUUUGUGCAUAAUAAGGAGGCACUUCCUUGCGUGCGAAGAUAUAGCUGGUGGGUCCGAGCUGUCAGCGGCGGUAACAUUUUUUUCGCGAAAUACAGAGGCCCUUUCGGUGGGUCCCAGAUGUCAGGUGGAGGAUUCAUUAUUUUGCGCGAAAUAAUGAGGCAUUUCCUUGCGUGCGGCUGUGGACCCAGCUGCAGCUUCUCCACGUACAGUCCACUUCAGAUGCAUGUCGGUUGUUGACCACGUUGACCAGGCCGCGCCGAGAGUCACUGCUUGUGCGUCAACCUUUUUUUAGGAAAGCCUCAAAUCUGUGGAAAAUAGCAUACAACCCAUCUGCCAUUAUUUCUAAUAAUUUACAGCCCAUUUGCUAAUUCUUAAGGUUUUUUUGGAGCCCAUAUUCUUUUUGUUAGCAUUACAGCCCAUAGUGUGGCCACAGUUAAAAAAUUAUAUGAAUUUUUGCAUAUUUCAGUGCGGUCCGAACUAUUUUUAAUCCCGAAAUUUUGAGUCACAUUCAAACUGAUUUUAAAAAUAAAUGUAUAUCAAUAUAAAAUCAAACAAAUUGUCCACGCAUAAAAAUCAAUGCAAUUUAAAAUCUCGAAAUGAAAAAAAGAAAUUUGAAACUAAUUGCCGGUUUGAUGUGUUUAAAAAUGUACAGCCCAUUUCUCAUUACUGAUAGGCCAUUUUGUCGGCCAGCCGAAUGAAGCUCUCCUCGCCUUGAAAGAUUUGCAGCCCAACAGGCCUGACAAAGCGACUUACUUGGCAAAUCACAAACAAACUGGGUUGUGGCCGUGGACCCAGCUGUCAGCCUCUCCACGUACGGUACUCUUCCGAUGGAAGUCGGUCGUUGACCACAUUGACCACGCCACGCCAGAGCACCAAGGCGGUGGAUGAUGGCAAGGACUGGGAAAGGGACGACGCGGAGCCGGGGAAGACGCGGUAGUGGAUGCCCAUGCGGAGAGGAGUACGAGGGUUCACUGGUUCGGCUGCGGUGUGAGGCUGCCGUCGCCGCAGGGCCUGGCUAGCGGUGGGAGUAGUAGGGGGUGGUGAGGCUUCAACGGCAGCACAGCCGGCCACUGGAGGCAGGAGCAGGCGGUCUCGCCAGCGCUGGUUUGGGCGGCUGGUGCAAGAAGAGCAGCGAUUGAAGAAGCAGUAGGACCGUUCGAUUCAAAUCCAACGGUUACUGCUGCUAGAAUCGUUUGUUGAUAAGUUGAGAAGCCCUGUGUACGCGUCAACUUAGUAGGCCCACAGGUCAGCCUCCAACCGGUGCGCCCCAGAUGUCAGUGGGAGGAAUCAUUUUUUCGCGUAAUAAGGAGGCAGUUGAUUGCGUGCGGCCAGGCCAGCGGAGGGAGUAGGGUGGGCCGGGGAAGCCUGCGCGGCAUCACAGCGGGCCACAAGAGGAGGGAGCAGGCAGUCCCACCGGCGCUAGUUUAGGCGGCUAGAGAAGGAAGAUCAGAGAUUGAAGAAGCACGUCGGCCGUUGGGUGGACAUCCAACAGUCACUGCUGCUAGAAUCGUGUGUUGACUGACAAAGCCUUGCGUAAACAAGUCAGCCUCGAAAUCGGUGGCGUGUACAACUCAUUUGCUAUUAUUUUUAUAAUUUUUACUCAUUUUUUAAUUCAUAUGGAAUUUAUUGCAGCCCAUUUUCCAUUUUUAGAAUUGCUGCCCAUUUUCUAGUCAGUACAAGGGUUAAAAAAUUAACUGAAUAUGUGGGAAAUUUUGAAAAUUUGCAAAUUUUUGCUAGGGAACAAAAUAUUCUUAAUCCAAAAAUUAGUAGCCAUACUAAAACAAAUUUAAAAAUAAAUUAGUACUAUUUCAUGUUAAAUCCAAUGAAAUACUCCCUCCGUCCCAAAAUUCUUGUCUUAGAUUUGUCUAAAUACGGAUGUAUCAAGUCAGGUUUUGGUAUUAGAUACAUCCGUAUCUAGACUAAUCUAAGACAAGAAUUUUGGGAUGGAGGGAGUAUAAGAUAUCAGUGAAGAACAAAAACAAAAAAAGAAACUAAUAUCUCAUUUUCUAUAAUAUUUUUGGAAUUUUCAACCCCUUUUGAUAUUACUUUUAACAGACACUGACCAUACUCUUUGAACAGGCCGGAAUGCAUCCCUCCUCGUCUUGAAAGAUUUGCAGCCCAGUAAGUCGGAGAAAACAAAUAGGCCUAGCUUGGGUAUUCUUCAAAAAGAAAUACUGGGCUACCUAUUUUCCCAAAGAAAAAACCGCUGGGCUGGUCAUGUUACUAGACGGGCCAUAGAGACCGCACAACCCAGUUUAUAGCCUGCUCCUCCGAAUUACUACUAAAAAAAGUUGUGCAAUUCUUUCGUAAUGGACUAUACGUUGAAAAUGAUGUGGGUCCCAGAUAUCAGCAGGGUGGAUUAGAUUAAAAAACGAAGGGUUCAUCUGAGUAGUAAAAGAGGUGCUUGCUUGUGUUCGGGAGUGGACCUGGUGGGUCCGUACUUUCAUACUCACAACUACAGUCCUCUCCCGAUUCACUAUGUUGACAGGGACCGUUUAAAAAAACUAUGUUGACAGGGCCGGACGGCGGCGCCGUGGCGAGCGCACCAAGGGGGAGGAUAAAGUGCUGUCGCCAAUGUGCUGGGCUGGGUUGGACAUUCUUAUUGAAAAAUAAAAAUGGACAGGAACUAUUUACGACAUUGACUACGAUUUGCAUGGGUCCACUGGUUGCAGGAAGAAAAUGUUGGGAGAAAGAAGACUGGUCGCUAUCUUUGCCUAAGAAUAAUAUCGACUGAAUGUAACGACACUAUCAUAGGAAAUAAUAUCCUCCUGUUAAAUCGUGAAUUUAAAGAACUGGUGCAUGAGCAUUUAGCUUUAUUUAUUUAUUUACUUAUUUAUGUUUAGGGGACCAUGACCAUGUACCCGGGCCGGAUUCAUGUGAGAGCCUCCCUUCCAGUUAAUUAUGGGCUUCUCUAUUGGGCCUUCAUCAGUGGGCUAUAUGUUAUCAACAAGUGGAAAAUGUGUUCCGUACGAAAAAUAGUAUGCGCUACGUACGGUACGGGGCACUAAAGGAUCGAACCGUGCAACGACUUCCAAAACAUUGUGUUUGUCGUUCUAACAACACAUUUAUUCAACCAACAGACGAAAUAUACUACUGAUUGUACAUUGAAAACAGCAGCAACAGCAACCAGGGCUGGGGGUGCAACAGAAGCAGUAAGCAUGCCAGAAGAGUGAAGACGCAGCUCUCUCUUCCAAACCAAACAUCAGCCAUCAUUACAAAAGGGCUACCAAAAAAGAACAAGUGUAUGCAUCAAACUAAAUAAAGAUCCUACUACACCAAGUGUACGCAUCUAACUAACUGGCUCAGUUAGACGUUACUAUUUAUUAACCUAUGGAGAUUGGCUGACGGCUUGAACCAGAUGGGUGCCUGAUGGGGGAAACUCCAGCCAGCAGGUCGAAGUCUGAUACUUGCGACCCUCUGUCACGACCGGUUUUUCAAUAAAAUAAUUAUUGAGAAACCAAUCCCUGUUACGGACCAGCGAGGAAGAAUUCCUUCUCACUGAUAGACAAUACAUUGGUCACAGAAGAAAAAUACCAGGAGUACUAAAUAUAAUACAAAGUUGAGCAGAGACUGCCCAACAAUUUAUUACAUGCACGCCGAUAAAACAAUACGGAGGAUAGGGUGGCAAACUUCUAACUCACGAUAAAAACGGUGGUGGAAAUAUCAUCGCGAAGCGAGUGACAUGAUUCCAGAAUACUACAACUCUUCGAGCGUCGGAGUGAGGCUCGAGAAGACUUAUUGCGGGUGGCGGAAGCGUAAACGAUACAAGUGACCAAAAUCCGGGAUCGCGCAGGACUGACUGGGACUCCUCUAGGCAUCAGACGCGCUAUCAAACUCCUCAUCCAAGAGAUCGCCUUCGUCAACAUCUGGCCAAAUCAACAAGCCAGGUGAGUACUAUGAAAGUACUCGCAAGACAGUUCGGACAUAAGGUAUAACAAAUGCAAACAUGAAGCACAUGAAUAAGUUAACCAGUGCGAUCAGACACAGAGAUAAUAAAUACUGGGUGCCAAGCGAGGGUCUGAAUGACGCCUCGAGCGGAAACUGCAGAAUAGCAAUACUGGUGCCAAACGAGUGUCUGAAAGACUCCUCGAGAGGAAAAUGCGGAAUAAUAAUACAGGUGCCAAACGAGUGUCUGAAAGACUCCUCGAGCGGAAAAUGCAGAAAUAAUAAUACGGGUGCCAAACGAGUGUCUGAAUGACUCCUCGAGCGGAAAAUGCAGAAUAAUAAUGCCACAGUCGGGCGUCGGGGCGACACCACAUAAAGGGCUUAUAUCGAAAGUGAGAAACGAGUACACGCCACAGUCGGACGUCUGCGCGACGUCACAUAAAGGGCUUAUAUCACAACUCAUUAAUACAAUAGCUCGGAGACAUAAAUUAUCACAAGCAUGAGACACAAAAAAAUAAAGUUAGUCCAUCAACUGGAAUAACAAUAAAUCUGAGAUUUUUACCGCUUGAGCUUGUUCACCGGGGGCAAGAUUUUCACACGGAUAGAUUUGGAUGUAAAGUCUACAUUACUGAUCAUGGAUACGAUGAUUUGGAAAGGAUUGACUCUGCAGAGUUUGUACUUAACCACAGCCAACGGAUUUCAGUAGUCACGGGGACUAGUUCCUUCUACGGUGUUCUGGAAGGAACACGUCUAACCAGUACACACCCAAUUUAACCAUCCGAAGCCAGGGAUCACCCUCGGAAACAUUCAGGAAAAACCCUGAGUCGGGGAGGCUACAACCUCGCGUAGCAUGGGAUCAAAUUUCUAUACGCGCGCUAUAAGGGGGUGCCCCCCCCCUCUCGGUCCCAACCGGAAACACCCAUGCCCCCUGACCGAAUGACUGGCUUUAAUCCUGGGCCAAGGUACCAUCAUCCCGGCCUCUCUGUUUGGUGUGUACACGGAAAGAGGUUACCAACUUACUAAACCGUAUCCUGGCAAUGAGACAUGUGGUAGCACGGAAAGGGGAAGGGACGAUAACACGGCUCCAACCAUGUUAACGUCGGGAAAGUCGGAUGACACAAGGCUGGCAUGCUACAACAGUACCACCUUGCUGCCCUUCAUGUCACCACAUGAUUAGGCCACCUCUCAUCAGAGGUCAUCGCAACUUUGGAACAUGCGGGAAAAGAUCGAUAACGUGGCUCCAACCACGUUAACGUCGAAGAAAGUCGGAUGGUGCAAGGCUGGCAUGCUACAACAGUACCACCUUGCUGCCCUUCAUGUCACUACAUGAUUAGGCCACCUCUCAUCAGAGGUCAUCGCAACUUCGGAACAACCGGGUCGUUGCCUUACAAGCAACGAGGUACUUAUCGACACUCACAUGCCACGCACAAACUUUCACAUGAACAUGCAAAACAUCUUCCAUAUCAAAUGUUCAAACAUGCUUGCCUGGUUCGGAGAAGUCGGAGUCUAGCUCGGCGAAGUUCGCGGCUCCGUCCCCUCUCCCGGAACCUACGGCAAUCACGAAACGGGUUACUAACGUGAAAACCAACACAUGCACAGAAACUUUGCCAAAUAUUUUUCAAAUAAAUCCCAUAAAAAACUAGACAAAAUUUGGAGAUUGACAGAAAAAGAAUCACUCAAAAAUACCUUUUCAUUAAAAAGUUAUAAAGGUUUCUGUCCAGGGACCUUUCUGUAAUGAAACAGAAAAGUUCCAGGGUUUUAACUGAGAAAACAGAAAACGCUUCGGCUGGGAAUGCGCAAGCACAAGGGGAAAACGUAUUUAGCCCGAAGGCGCCAACAGAAAACGGUUCGGGGAAAUAAAACAGAGGCUGACACGCGGGGCCCGCAUGUCAGGUUUGAAAGCUCGCCGGCGCCCGAAGACGGCGGUGGACGCCGGCGUCGAACCACGGCGAGUUAGGAGAAACGGAGGGUACCAAGAGCUUCAGUGUCUUCUUCCGCGUCGGUGGGUGGUGGACUCGUCCAACGGGGAGCACCACGUCGACGACGACACUAUCUCCGGCGGACGGCGGUUCGGGUGAGGUUGGGGAACUCCGGUGGAGGGCUGCAAAGUGCGAAUUGAGGCGCGGGUCAGAACGGGUGAUGCAAGGAGAAGCUACUUGCAAGAGAAUGGGGGCUGCGGAGCACACACGGGGGCGAAUCGGGCUGGAUCCCGUGGCGGAUCGCGGCGGCCGGAGUCGAGGAAGGAGACCCCCUCGCGGCUCUUCCAGUGGCUGGGCGUGCUCUAGGGGAAGUGUAGGGCUGGUGGGUGCUCGAGUUGAAGCUUGGGGCCCCUAUUUAUAGGUAGAUCGACGGGGUGGCCGUGAACGGAGAAUCUCCGGCGAGCGAUUAUGGCGGAGCAGUGGAUUGGAAGGUGGUUUGAGCGGUCGGGCAGCAUCAGUGGAGAUUACUGGAGUUGUUCCACUGCUAAACGGAGCUGGCCCUGGCGUAAUGGCAUCUGCCCACGGUGAGGUGACCGCACGGGCUCAACGGCGGCAGAGAGCGCGCUCCGCGCCCUGGGGUUCACGACGAGAGCGCCAGCGCAUUCGGGGGAGUGGACGGCCACGCGGCGGGCUCCGGUGGUUUGGGCGGCGCUGGGUGGAGUCGGCGGCGCCGUGUCUCCCGCUGGCGUCCGCAAAGCCGCCGCCGGCGUCGGUCACGGGGCGGCGCACCUUCUGCUGCUCGUCGCCGACGCCCGCAAGUUGCCAGGCACUCGUGCGGUGCAGGAACGAGAGGGCGAGGACGAGGAGCAAGGCGACGCGAGGGUACUGGCGAGAUCGACGCCCGUUUCUGAAGAAAACGACAGCAGCCACUUAACUGAACUCUGAACUUACUGAAUCUUGACAGUGACCAAGCAUUGCAGGUGUUCGACAGUAGGUUUUGGUAAAGAGAUAAAUUUUUCUGGAGCUGUAACUUGGUGAGAUGAUCACUCAAAGCACCCAGGGGCUGCAUGAAUUUACUUGGAAUUUUUGGAGAAAGUUUUGAAUGAAUUUCACCAAAUUUGGCAAAUCUGGUCCAAACUUGCAGCUGAUGUAGUUUGAAAUUUUUGAACUGGAGACCAGUGGAUCUUCAUGGUUCCAGGUUGAGGGUUCAAAGGACUAGGAGGGGAAAAAGGUUUGGUGGCAAAAAUCAAAACAGAAAAAGGAGUUCCUUUGUAAAUCUCCAAGUGCUAUAAGAGAAGACAGAAAUUUAUUUGAAUAGAAUUUGAAUGGAAAUGAUCACAUGAGGAGGUUCAACUUGCUGGAUUUGAUGCAAAUCAUGAUCCAAAGGUGAGGGAAGGGUUAGGAGAGAGGAUUUGCACUAAUGCCAUGGCAAGAAGGAAUAGUUGAAAGUGGCAAAGGACUUUCCAAAAGCCAUAGUGCAUUCUCAAAAAGGAUUUUCAAAGGUUAUUCUCUCAAAUGAAAAAAAACAUUUUGUCUUGAGCCCAAAUGAAAAGCAAGAACCCCCAAGGUCAAAGGCAGAUCUUGGGUGAAUCCAAAUAAAAUUUUUGCCAUAAAGAAAAAUAUUUGAGAGUGAGAGUUCUCUUGAAGAAUUUUUUUUUUAAAAAUCACUCCCUUCAAGUCAAAUAAAAUCUUUUGAAAAAUCCAAAUAAAAACUUGGGUGUCACAACACCUACCCCCUUAGGAAAAAUCUCGUCCUCGAGAUUUCUGCUGAUCCUCAAAUAGAUAUGGAUACUCUGCUCGGAGGAAAUCUUCCCUUUCCCAUGUGGCUUCAUCCUUGGUGUGGUUGCUCCACUGGACCCUGAAAAACUUUGUCGUUUUCUGACGGGUCCUCCGUUCAGACUCUUCUAAAAUCUUUACUGGCCUUUCUCUGUAGGUGAGAUCUGGUUGCAUAUCAAUGUCCUCAUGAGGUAUAUGUUUCUCCGGGUUACUCACACAUUUCCUCAACUGCGAGACGUGGAAUACGUCAUGGACGUCUGAUAGCUCCUUGGGUAGGUCUAGCUGGUAGGCUACCGUGCCUCUUCGUGCCUUCACACAAAAUGGUCCAAUAAAUCUUGGGGCUAGUUUCCCCUUUAUUUUGAACCGUUGCAGACCCCUCAUAGGAGAUACUCGGAGGUAUACGGAAUCACCAGGUUCAAAGCUGACCUCACGAUGCUUCUGAUCAUAGUAGCUCUUUUGUCGGCUCUGUGCUGUCUUGAGUCUGUCCCUGAUUUGUUUAACUUUUUCCUCGGCCUCCUUAAGCAUAUCUGGGCCGAAGAUACGGCUGUCACCUGUUUCUGACCAAUUCAAUGGGGUACGACACCUCCGUCCGUACAAUGCUUCAAAGGGUGCCAUUUGCAAGCUGGCUUGGUAACUGUUGUUGUACGCAAAUUCGGCAUACGGCAAACUCUCUUCCCAACUGGUUCCAUAGGUGAGCACACAGGCUCUUAGCAUAUCCUCCAGGAUUUGGUUUACACGUUCUGUUUGUCCAUCUGUUUGAGGGUGGUAUGCUGUACUGAAAGCUAGUUGCGUGCCCAGAGCUUGUUGUAGGUGAUCCCAAAAUUUGGAGACGAAUUGGGUGCCUCGGUCUGAUAUUAUAGUCUUCGGGACUCCAUGCAAGCAAACUAUACGAGAUAGAUAGAGCUUUGCCAGUCUUUGAGUGGAGUAGGUAGUCUUCACGGGAAUGAAAUGAGCAACCUUGGUUAGUCGGUCUGUGAUGACCCAUAUGGCAUCAUUUCCGCGUUGUGAUCGGGGUAAUCCGACAAUGAAGUCCAUUCCUAUUUCAUCCCAUUUCCACUCCGGUAUUUGGUUUGGCUGGAGUAGCCCUGCUGGCUUUUGAUGCUCGGCCUUGAUACGCUAGCAUGAAUCGCAACAAGCAACAAAUGUGGCUAUAUCUCUUUUCAUACCGUGCCACCAAAAUCUUUCCUGGAUGUCCUUGUACAUUUUGGUUCCUCCAGGAUGGAUCGAAUAUGGAGCGGUGUGGCUUUCCGUCAAGAUCUGUUGCUUGAGUUCCUCAAUGUUAGGUACGCAAAGUCUGUUUCGGUACCACAAUGUUCCUUCACUGUCUGUGACGAACUCUGAAGUCUUACUAGUAUUCAUUUUCUUCUUUAUGCCUUCGAUGCUGGGAUGUCCCUGUUGGGCCUUCUUAAUUCGUUCCAUCAAGGUGCGUUGUAUCUCCAGGUUUGAUACGGUGCCCUCGGGGACUAACAUUAUGUUGAGCCUAGCGAACUCUCGCUGAAACUCAGGCCUCAAGUUUUGCUGACCGUCACUGUCUGGGCUGGGGUUUCGACUAAGGGCAUCGGCCACUACAUUUGCUUUUCCUGGGUGGUAGUGGAUGCCGACGUCGUAGUCUUUGACCAGUUCCAACCAGCGUCGUUGGCGUAAAUUCAGCUCUGGCUGUGUGAAGAUAUAUUUGAGGCUCUUAUGGUCCGUAUAUAUUUCACAACGAUUUCCCAACAGAAAGUGCCUCCACUCCUUGAGUGCAUGUAGGACCGCUGCUAGCUCCAAGUCAUGUGUUGGGUAAUUUUCCUCAUGCUUUCGCAGUUGCCUGGAGGCAUAUGCAACAACUUUGCCAUCCUGCAUUAGUACACAUCCGAGACCUUUUCGGGACGCGUCACAAUAUACUUCAAAACUCUUGUGUAUGUCUGGCACAGUUAAGACUGGUGCGGUUGUCAGUUUUUUCUUGAGUUCUUGGAAGCUCUGCUCACAUGCUUCCGUCCAUACGAAUCUCUUGUCCUUCUUGAGCAGUUGGGUCAUAGGUUUUGCCACAGUGGAGAAUCCUUCAAUAAAUCUCCUGUAAUAUCCGGCCAUUCCUAGGAAACUCCGCACAUCUGUGACGUUGGCGGGCGGUUUCCAGUCCAGUAUGGCCUUGACCUUUUCUGGGUCUACGGCUACGCCUUCUUGGUUCAGUAUAUGGCCUAAGAAACCAACUUGUCUUAGCCAAAAUUCGCAUUUGCUAAACUUGGCGUACAACUGAUGCUUCCUCAAUUCUCCCAAAACCACUCUGAGGUGCUCAGCAUGCUCUUCGGGUGUCCUUGAGUAAACCAGAAUAUCAUCAAUGAAUACCACCACAAAUUUGUCCAUGAAUUUCAUGAACACUUUGUUCAUGAGGUGGACGAAAAAUGCGGGGGUGUUUGUUAGACCAAAAGGCAUCACUGUGAACUCGUAUAAUCCAUAUCUGGAAGUGAAUGCUGUCUUGGGGAUAUCCUCUGUUCGUACCUUCAGUUGAUGGUAUCCUGAUCUCAAAUCAAUCUUUGAAAAUACUUUAGCUUGUGCGAGCUGGUCAAACAAAUCAUUUAUCCGUGGCAUCGGGUAUUUGUUUUUGAUGGUGACCAUAUUGAGGGCUCGAUAGUCUAUGCAUAGUCUCAGUGUCCCAUCCUUCUUCUUGGCGAACAAUACGGGCGAACCCCAUGGUGAGGAGCUGGCUCGUAUAAACCCCUUGUCCAGUAAUUCCUUUAUCUGCUUCUUCAACUCCACCAAUUCUGAGGGUGCCAUUCUAUACGGCUUCUUAUAAAAGGGAGCGGUGCCAGGUGCUAAUUCAAUGCUGAAUUCGAUCUCUCGGUCUGGUGGCAUACCUGGUAGUUCUUCCGGGAACACAUCAGGGAACUCGCAUACCACUGACACUUUUCUUAAUUCUGCGAUGUCCAUCUUGUUCAGUUUUGGUUUCUGUGAUCGUGGCCUUUCUUGAGCGGAAACUCUUAUUGUCUUGCCGUGAUGGUGAGUGAGAAUCACUGUCCGAUUGAAACAGUCGAUGAAUCCUUUGUUGGUGGUUAACCAGUCCAUUCCUAAAAUGACAUCCAGUCCUUUACUUUCCAACACGAUGAGAUUUGCGUGGAAUGGUAGUCCUUCGAACUCAAUGACCACUCCUUGGCAGUAACCCUGAGCAAUUUGCUUGUUUCCGGGGGACUUGAUGAUCAUAGAUUUUUCCAAGGGGAGUAUCGGAAAACCGUGUUGUGAAACAAAACUCUUCGAAACAACCGAAUGGGAAGCUCCAGAAUCAAACAAAACCAUGGCAGGUACUGUGUUGACAGGGAACGUACCGAGCACGAUGUCUGGGGCAUUCUGCGCUUCUUCCCUGGUCACAUGGUUCAGGUGACCCUUCCUGUGGUUGUUGUUGGGAUUGAAGUUGUUGCGCUUGGGAGCUGGAUUGUUUUCACCAUUGUUCGGCUUGGGUGCCGAGUCUCUUGGUUUCGGGCACUGUUUAGCAUAAUGCCCUUGCUGACCGCAAGCAUAGCAGGUGACCCCUGGACGGUAUGUGAACUCCUUGUCUCUGGCAUGAAAUUGUCCAACGGGUCUUGGCUCAGUAGUCGUGGAUCUCCUCGUGUCUGUCCUUGGGACCUCAGUCUUGCCUCGGUUGCUGCGGGUAAGAGUCGUCUUGUCCCUCUUCCGCUUGCGGAUAUCUUCCAGACUACGGCGCUCAUUCUCCAGGGUGAUGGCCUUGUCCACCAGCGUCUUAAAAUCCGGAAAGGUGUGUACAAUCAGCUGGCAUCUUAGUGCUGGUGCCAGGCCGUCCAGGAAUUUUUCCAUCUUCUUGUUUUCUGUCAUGUGCUCGUCGUAGGCAUAACGAGACAGUUGGGUAAACUGGCCGUUGUAUUCUGUGACGAACAUGCCUCUUUGCUUCAGGUCAUUAAACUCUCUCUUCUUGAUCUUUAGGAUGCUCCUGGGAAUGUGUGCCCCACGGAAGCCUUCCUUGAAUUCUUCCCAGGUGAUGUUGUGUUCCCUGGGGUGCAUGUGUAGGAAGUUUUCCCACCAUGCUGCGGCUGCUCCAGUAAGGUAGUGUGGCGCAUAAAGCACCUUCUCAUGAUCUAAGCAUUGAGCGAUAAUCAGUUUCCUUUCAAUCUCGCGAAGCCAAUCAUCAGCUUCCAGUGGCCUAUCGGUGUGAGCAAAAGUUGAGGGGCGAGUCUUCUGUAACUCAGAUAACUUGGAAUGUGGUUGAUAGGGUUCACGGUGGUUUCCCAUAUUGAUGACAUGGUUCAUCAUCUCCUGGUGCUGUUGCUGGCUUUGCUCGAAGAGACGGCAUACUUGAGAUAGUGCCGCUUCGCUGUCCUGUUGGCUGGACUGACCCUGAGUGAAAUUGUUGCUGGUCUGUGUUCCAUAAACCUCUUCUGCAUUUUUCCAGUCUGGGGUAUCAUUUGCAAAACCCUUGAGAAAAACUGUGUAGCGCAGGAAAACUCUUGCAAAGGCAACACAAAUGAUUUUUCAUGGAGGAGAAGUGCUUAACAUAAAACUUUCAUGCGAAAAGCAAACACACGAUACAACACUCAGGAUGCGCGUACACAAUCCUGACAUGCUAUUAAAACUAGCGUACUACUCCGGAAGGCAGCAAACACACCAAUACAAACUAGCGUACAGAUAAAACAGCACAUCAUACAAGCAGACAUAACACGCGGCUACUCGGUGCUCUCAGUCGGAGAUGGUGAAGAUCUCCUUCCCCUUGCCGAUGGCAAGGCUCAGCGGUCCAGGAGAGUCAACCUCCUCCUCUCUAGCUGGUUCCUGGCGUGCGACGCUGCGCUGCGGUGAUGGUGCGGGGGCGAUUGGUGGUAGAGCGCGUGCGGCAGGCGGUGCGGCUCUGACUGGAGUGGGAGCGAUGACUCGGUCGAACUCCUCAGUGGUAGGCAGACGGCGAGCAGUGGCCAAAACGGCCGGUGCAUACGAGGCUGAAGACGAGACGAAUGUCAGAGGCGGCGCCGUGUGGAGAAGCUCCUUCCUGCUGGCAGGACCGCCCCGGACUAAGUCCAUGCGGGCAGCCACAAGAUCAUCUACGAGGUUGUCGAAAGAUUCCUCCAGAGCCUUGAGAUACUCCACAACCAUCUCGAUGGCUUCGUCUCUUUCUCCCCGAUGGCAGGAAAACGCAUAGUGGCUGGUGUAUGGCACAUGGCAUGGGAGGUAGCGGUAGCGACGAGUCUUCAUCGUAGGAAGGAUGUCCCGAAGGCGAGCUAUCGCCUCACGGGCAGCCAUCUGCAUGGCAUGCCUCUCCGUAGGCAUGGCCCUUCCCACAAAACGGAAGUGGCGUGCAGCUGAACGUCCUCCCUUGAACUGCACCACAGCCUGGUGCAUAGACACGUCGUCACUGAGCUUGUGCUGAUAGAGGGUGAACUCCGGGCGAGCUGCUGGCCCGAUCGCGAGCUUGGUGAUGGAGACGAGGAGCUUGACAAACCCCUCGGGCACGUUGGUGAACACUCGAUUCUCACAGCCGCUGCCAGCCAUCUACAAAAGUAGGCAAAAAUUCUGAGUAGUCAUGUCAUAAAUUUUAUGAUGACCAACAGAAGAUAGCUACAAUUGCAAAAUGCUGAAGAAGCACUAAAGACGCUAAUAACCGAUUAGCGAUCGCACCUAGUGGCUUCCUAUAGUCAGCCUGGCUCUGAUACCAAGCUUGUCACGCCCGGUUUUUCAAUAAAAUAAUUAUUGAGAAACCAAUCCCUGUUACGGACCAGCGAGGAAGAAUUCCUUCUCACUGAUAGACAAUACAUUGGUCACAGAAGAAAAAUACCAGGAGUACUAAAUAUAAUACAAAGUUGAGCAGAGACUGCCCAACAAUUUAUUACAUGCACGCCGAUAAAACAAUACGGCGGAUAGGGUGGCAAACUUCUAACUCACGAUAAAAACGGUGGUGGAAAUAUCAUCGCGAAGCGAGUGACAUGAUUCCAGAAUACUACAACUCUUCGAGCGUCGGAGUGAGGCUCGAGAAGACUUAUUGCGGGUGGCGGAAGCGUAAACGAUACAAGUGACCAAAAUCCGGGAUCUCGCAGGACUGACUGGGACUCCUCUAGGCAUCGGACGUGCUAUCAAACUCCUCAUCCAAGAGAUCGCCUUCGUCAACAUCUGGCCAAAUCAACAAGCCAGGUGAGUACUAUGAAAGUACUCGCAAGACAGUUCGGACAUAAGGUAUAACAAAUGCAAACAUGAAGCACAUGAAUAAGUUAACCAGUGCAAUCAGACACAGAGAUAAUAAAUACUGGGUGCCAAGCGAGGGUCUGAAUGACGCCUCGAGCGGAAACUGCAGAAUAGCAAUACUGGUGCCAAACGAGUGUCUGAAAGACUCCUCGAGAGGAAAAUGCGGAAUAAUAAUACAGGUGCCAAACGAGUGUCUGAAAGACUCCUCGAGCGGAAAUGCAGAAAUAAUAAUACGGGUGCCAAAUGAGUGUCUGAAUGACUCCUCGAGCGGAAAAUGCAGAAUAAUAAUGCCACAGUCGGGCGUCGGGGCGACACCACAUAAAGGGCUUAUAUCGAAAGUGAGAAACGAGUACACGCCACAGUCGGACGUCUGCGCGACGUCACAUAAAGGGCUUAUAUCACAACUCAUUAAUACAAUAGCUCGGAGACAUAAAUUAUCACAAGCAUGAGACACACAAAAAUAAAGUUAGUCCAUCAACUGGAAUAACAAUAAAUCUGAGAUUUUUACCGCUUGAGCUUGUUCACCGGGGGCAAGAUUUUCACACGGAUAGAUUUGGAUGUAAAGUCUACAUUACUGAUCAUGGAUACGAUGAUUUGGAAAGGAUUGACUCUGCAGAGUUUGUACUUAACCACAGCCAACGGAUUUCAGUAGUCACGGGGACGAGUUCCGUCUACGGUGUUCUGGAAGGAACACGUCUAACCAGUACACACCCAAUUUAACCAUCCGAAGCCAGGGAUCACCCUCGGCAAAGUUCAGGAAAAACCCUGAGUCGGGGAGGCUACAACCUCGCGUAGCAUGGGAUCAAAUUUCUAUACGCGCGCUAUAAGGGGGUGCCCCCCCUCUCGGUCCCAACCGGAAACACCCAUGCCCCCUGACCGAAUGACUGGCUUUAAUCCUGGGCCAAGGUACCAUCAUCCCGGCCUCUCUGUUUGGUGUGUACACGGAAAGAGGUUACCAACUUACUAAACCGUAUCCUGGCAAUGAGACAUGUGGUAGCACGGAAAGGGGAAGGGACGAUAACACGGCUCCAACCAUGUUAACGUCGGGAAAGUCGGAUGACACAAGGCUGGCAUGCUACAACAGUACCACCUUGCUGCCCUUCAUGUCACCACAUGAUUAGGCCACCUCUCAUCAGAGGUCAUCGCAACUUUGGAACAUGCGGGAAAAGAUCGAUAACGUGGCUCCAACCACGUUAACAUCGAAGAAAGUCGGAUGGCGCAAGGCUGGCAUGCUACAACAGUACCACCUUGCUGCCCUUCAUGUCACUACAUGAUUAGGCCACCUCUCAUCAGAGGUCAUCGCAACUUCGGAACAACCGGGUCGUUGCCUUACAAGCAACGAGGUACUUAUCGACACUCACAUGCCACGCACAAAGUUUCACAUGAACAUGCAAAACAUCUGCCGUAUCAAAUGGUCAAACAUGCUUGCCUGGUUCGGAGAAGUCGGAGUCUAGCUCGGCGAAGUUCGCGGCUCCGUCCCCUCUCCCGGAACCUACGGCAAUCACGAAACGGGGUACUAACGUGAAAACCAACACAUGCACAGAAACUUUGCCAAAUAUUUUUCAAAUAAAUCCCAUAAAAAACUAGACAAAAUUUGGAGAUUGACAGAAAAAGAAUCACUCAAAAAUACCUUUUCAUUAAAACGUUAUAAAGGUUUCUGUCCAGGGACAUUUCUGUAAUGAAACAGAAAAGUUCCAGGGUUUUAACUGAGAAAACAGAAAACGCUUCGGCUGGAAUGCGCAAGCGCAAGGGGAAAACGUAUUUUGCCCGAAGGCGCCAACAGAAAACGGUUCGGGGAAAUAAAACAGAGGCUGACACGCGGGGCCCGCAUGUCAGGUUUGAAAGCUCGCCGGCGCCCGAAGACGGCGGUGGACGCCGGCGUCGAACCACGGCGAGUUAGGAGAAACGGAGGGUACCAAGAGCUUCAGUGUCUUCUUCCGCGUCGGUGGGUGGUGGACUCGUCCAACGGGGAGCACCACGUCGACGACGACACUAUCUCCGGUGGACGGCGGUUCGGGUGAGGUUGGGGAACUCCGGUGGAGGGCUGCAAAGUGCGAAUUGAGGCGCGGGUCAGAACGGGUGAUGCAAGGAGAAGCUACUGGCAAGAGAAUGGGGGCUGCGGAGCACACACGGGGGCGAAUCGGGCUGGAUCCCGUGGCGGAUCGUGGCGGCCGGAGUCGAGGAAGGAGACCCCCUCGCGGCUCUUCCAGUGGCUGGGCGUGCUCUAGGGGAAGUGUAGGGCUGGUGGGUGCUCGAGUUGAAGCUCGGGCCCCUAUUUAUAGGCAGAUCGACGGGGUGGCCGUGAACGGAGAAUCUCCGGCGAGCGAUUACGGCGGAGCAGUGGAUUGGAAGGUGGUUUGAGAGGUCGGGCAGCAUCAGUGGAGAUUACUGGAGUUGUUCCACUGCUAAACGGAGCUGGCCCUGGCGUAAUGGUGUCUGCCCACGGUGAGGUGACCGCACGGGCUCAACGGCGGCAGAGAGCGCGCUCCGCGCCCUGGGGUUCACGACGAGAGCGGCAGCGCAUUCGGGGGAGUGGACGGCCACGCGGCGGGCUCCGGUGGUUUGGGCGGCGCUGGGUGGAGUCGGCGGCGCCGUGUCUCCCGCUGGUGUCCGCAAAGCCGCCGCCGGCGUCGGUCACGGGGCGGCGCACCUUCUGCUGCUCGUCGCCGACGCCCGCAAGUUGCCAGGCACUCGUGCGGUGCAGGAACGAGAGGGCGAGGACGAGGAGCAAGGCGACGCGAGGGUACUGGCGAGAUCGACGCCCGUUUCUGAAGAAAACGACAGCAGCCACUUGACUGAACUCUGAACUUACUGAAUCUUGACAGUGACCAAGCAUUGCAGGUGUUCGACAGUAGGUUUUGGUAAAGAGAUAAAUUUUUCUGGAGCUGUAACUUGGUGAGAUGAUCACUCAAAGCACCCAGGGGCUGCAUGAAUUUACUUGGAAUUUUUGGAGAAAGUUUUGAAUGAAUUUCACCAAAUUUGGCAAAUCUGGUCCAAACUUGCAGCUGAUGUAGUUUGAAAUUUUUGAACUGGAGACCAGUGGAUCUUCAUGGUUCCAGGUUGAGGGUUCAAAGGACUAGGAGGGGAAAAAGGUUUGGUGGCAAAAAUCAAAACAGAAAAAGGAGUUCCUUUGUAAAUCUCCAAGUGCUAUAAGAGAAGACAGAAAUUUAUUUGAAUAGAAUUUGAAUGGAAAUGAUCACAUGAGGAGGUUCAACUUGCUGGAUUUGAUGCAAAUCAUGAUCCAAAGGUGAGGGAAGGGUUAGGAGAGAGGAUUUGCACUAAUGCCAUGGCAAGAAGGAAUAGUUGAAAGUGGCAAAGGACUUUCCAAAAGCCAUAGUGCAUUCUCAAAAAGGAUUUUCAAAGCUUAUUCUCUCAAAUGAAAAAAAACAUUUUGUCUUGAGCCCAAAUGAAAAGCAAGAACCCCCAAGGUUAAAGGCAGAUCUUGGGUGAAUCCAAAUAAAAUUUUUGCCAUAAAGAAAAAUAUUUGAGAGUGAGAGUUCUCUUGAAGAAUUUUUUUUUAAAUCACUCCCUUCAAGUCAAAUAAAAUCUUUUGAAAAAUCCAAAUAAAAACUUGGGUGUCACACCCUCUCUCCUACUUUGGGCUGCAGAGCGUGGCGGCACAUAUCAGGGUAUGGUGCAUGCAGAGACGCAUGGUACGCUAUGUACACACAGUUUUGCCUGAUGAACGAAACCGCGCUGCCAUCAUGAUCCUUGCCGUCGGUUAUCUCCUGGUUAAUCGGAUAAUUCAGUCCAACAAACAGAGAGCGUGUACCAAGGCUACUUACCAACCUCCAGUCAAAAAUUCCUGAAGGCCCAGAGAAGUUGGGAUCCUGCUCAAAGACCUUGAAGUGAUUGUGAUUGUAUUCCGCGAAACAACACGUCUGGUACGUGCGAACGAUCAUCAAUCGUUCGCCGUCGUCUGAUCGAGCCAGGAAGCACCUGCAACUGCCAUGCCGCUUUUCUUUGAAAGGUUCUGGGAUUAGGAAGGGUACGAACAUGAGGCGACUUACAACAUCAUAUCAAGUUGGAGACAAAUAACCCUCAAAAAAAGUUGGAGUCAAAUAAAAAAGGGCUCUUGAUUGUAUGACAUGGCUAGCCAAGAUGGAUUUAAUCCCGAUAUUCACUUUAUCAAAAGGCUCUAAUGGGUUGGUUCUGAAUCUUGCAAGCUGGGAAUCAAUGAGAUGUGUAGGCAUCUUUGUUGUACUUAUUAUUUGAAUCUUAUUUGUUGGUUCUGAAUCUUGCAAGCUGGGAAUCAAUGAGAUGUGUAGGCAUCUUUGUUGUACUUAUUAUUUGGAUCUUAUUUGUUGGUUCUGAAUCUUGCAAGCUGGGAAUCAAUGGGAUGUGUAGGCAUCUUUGUUGUACUUAUUAUUUGGAUCUUAUUUGUUGGUUCUGAAUCUUGCAAGCUCGGAAACAUGGCAUGAUGAUGCAGAGGACAACAACCAUAACAAACAGUUCAAACUUGGUAGUAUUAUCUUUGUGAAAGUGCGACAAAUGUGCUGAUCGUGUGCGUCCUGAGAAUAAUAAUUCUAAUUGUUGUGCAUGUUGAUCCCGUGGCACUGAUAGAAUGAGCCAAUGCAUUGCUUGUUUUAAGUAUAAAUUUCUAUUAAAGCUAAUUAAAUUUAAGUAAAGUGACCACUAACUCCUGUUAUUACAGGACCAAUACAGACCCGCUCAUGAACCGACGUGUGGCCGGAGUAGGUUUCUUAAUGGAGGCGUUUGAAUGCGCUGAGGGUGCAUCUUCUGCCGGGUGUGCAGAACUGCUGCCGCCGCCUACACACUCGUUCACUUGAAGAGACUCCAAUGGCGAUCCGAGGGGUGAGCCUGCUGGAUAUGGACUUCAGCAAGGAGUUCCCCUUUGAGUUCGCCAUUCAGUCCUAUGGCUGCACCAAGUUGAAUGUGAUGUACACCAACGAUCCAGACUCGGUGAAGCUCUGCCUCGCCGAGUUCAAGCAGUACCUACAGGACGAGAAAGCACAAGGUUGCAGGACUAGACCUUGUGCCCAUCCAUUCUUCUCCUGACAGGGACCAGCAGAUAGCCGUUGCCUAGGAAUGUGUGCGGGACGAGGUUCUCAUCUACCACUUCUGUAGGGCCAUCAGAGGUUCUGGAGCAUUCGCCUGUUUCAUCGGCAGCGCUGACUGCACCUUCGCUACGGUGGAGAGAAGGAAGAACGCGAUGAUUCGGCCAUCUGGUGCAACAAGCUUGUCGACAUCCAGAAGCAAUACAAGAUCAUCAGCAACGAGCAGGAGAAGGACUCCGUGGUUGACCUCGCCGAGACCAUCAUCGACCCCUGAUACGCCAACAUGAAAGAAGACAACGAUAACAAAGACCUGAACACGUGGGAGGUACCUCUGAAUCUAGCCUACAUAACCUACACGGCCAAGGAUGCAUACGCAUGCUACGACAUGUACAGGUAGAUCUUGGACAUGAGGGCGUGUCUGCAUCCCGUAACCGACGAGUACACGGACAGCCGCAGCGUCAUGAUCAAGCAUGCCAGGAAGGUCUAGAUGUUGUACUUUAUCUGUUUAUAAGCGCCUUUAUCAUCUGAGUGUUUCAUGCAUUAUCCUAAGUGUUGUAAUUAUCUGUUUUGUCCGAAAUUUUUCUUUUAAGAACCCAUUAACCUGUUUGGUUUUUUUAGUGGCUAUUUGCUUAUGUAUGUAACUAGUUCACUUGUCCGUUAAAAAAAACUAGUUCACUCGGCUGCCGUGCUUUGAAUCUCCUUCCUCCCAACAUAUUCCCCUCCUCAGGUGGACCCAGCAGGUCUCGUACACAGACAUAUGGGACCAACCACCUAUCCAUUUGUAUUUCUUUAUUUUGUUCAAUCUUUCGUCCUCUUCCUAUACAGCUCAGUUCUAUUUUUCCUUUUCAUUAAUCCUAUAUCUGAAUUUUCUCCCACUUUCUUUUUCGAUGUAAACUGAGUUUUCUCCCAGUACUUUUCCCUAGAACCAACAACUGUCCCACGUCUAGCCUAAAAAAUAAUAAUACCCCACGUACUAUUAACUCAUCAAAUUUAAAUGAUAUUUUAUUUUGUAAGUUGAAAGUUUUUACAAAAUAAUAAUAAUUCUUAUUUAUAUGUAACUUGGCAAGUUAACCCCUAGUGAUUGCGUACAUAAGCUUGCAAAGAUUUUACUGACCAAUGCAGUAAUAGACGUGCAAUCAUGUGUUUAUGUUUUUAUAACAUUUCUCCGUCUAGCCCAACAUGAUAUUUUCACCCAGCCCAGCAAGUCCGCGGAUUUCGAGAAAAAUGCAAAUGGGCUUUAAAUUCUAGCAUACAUAUAAACGGGCUGCAUAGAUGCUACAUCAUUGUUUCACCCAGCCCACCAAAUGGACUAAAAAACAAAUGGACUGGCUGACAUGUGGGCCAGUAGGUCGAAGCCUAAGAAGGCGUUGGAUUUACAUCCAACGGCCGGCAUUCUUCUUCAAUCUCUCGUCUUCUUUCCCCAGCGCUGCCAGGACCGCCUGCUCCAGCCUUCGGCGUCCAGCGGCAUUGUUUUGCACUCCUCAGCGAAACGCUACCCCACCGACGGCCAGGCCAUCCCUCCACUCCGCACCUCCUGUUAUUCUCUGCCGAGUGUAGGCCCACCCCGCACCCGAACCAGUCAAGUUUCCCACUCCUCUCCGUCUGCGACUCCACUGCCGCGUCUUCCCCAUCUCCGGGUCGUUCCAGUCUGGGGCCUCGCCGUCGUCCACCGCCUCGGUGCGCUCGGCGCGGCGUGGUCAACAUAGGAGAGUCAUCGGAAGAGGACUGUACGUGAAGAGCCUGACGGCUGGGACCCACGAGGUCGAUGGUCGCAUGCAAGGAAAGUUCCUCCUUAUUACGCACUGUACGUGGACUGUACGUGGGAAGGGCUUCUGUAUUUCACGAAAAAAUGUUCCCCCCGCUGACAGGUCGGACCCACCACCUAUAUCUUCGCACGCAAGGAAGUGCCUCCUUAUUACGCACAAAAAAUGAAUACCCCCUGCUAGCUGGGACCCACCAUAGUGGGUGGCUGACUUGUGGGCCUACUAAGUUGACGGGGACAGAGGGCUUUGUCAACUUAGUCAAUAUGAUCAAUUCUAGCUCCAGUGACCGUACGAUGUCCAUCCAACGGCCAUAGUGCUUCUUCAACCUCUAGUCUUCUUGCUCCAGCCGCCCAAAGCACAAAGCAGCGCUGGUCGGGCCGCAGCGGCCUCACCACCCCCUACUACUCCCACCGCUCGCCAGGGCAUCCCUCUACUCACCCACACCCCCUAUUAUUCUGCGGCUACGGCAGCCUCACGCUGUAGCCGAACCAGUGAACCCUCGUACUCCUCUCCGCGUGGGCAUCCACUGUCGCGUCUUCCCCGGCUCUUCGUCAUCCCCUUCCUAGGCCUCGCCGUCGUCCACCGCCUUGGUGCUCUCGGCGCGGCGUGGUCAAUGUGGUCAACGACCGACUUCCAUCGGAAGAGUACUGUACGUGGAGAGGCUGACAGCUGGGUCCAUGGCCGCAGCUGGGUCCACGACCACAGCCCAGUUUUUUGUGAUUUGUCAAGUAAUUCGCUUUGUCAAGCCUGUUUGGCUGCAAAUCUUUCAAGACGAGGAGAGCUUCAUUCGGCUGGCCGAGAAAAUGGCCUAUCAGUAAUGACAAAUGGGUUGUACAUUUUUAAAACACAUCAAAUCGGCAAUUAGUUUCAAAUUUCUUUUUUUCAUUUCGAGAUUUUAAAUUGCAUUGAUUUUUAUGCGUGGACAAUUUGUUGGAUUUUAUAUUGAUAUACAUUUAUUUUUAAAAUCAGUUUGAAUGUGACUCGAAAUUUCGGGAUUAAAAACAGUUCGGACCGCACCGAAAUAUGCAAAAUUUUGUAUAAUUUUUUAACCGUGGCCACAAUAUGGGCUGUAAUGCUAACAAAAAGAAUAUGGGCUCCAAAAAAACCUUAAGAAUUAGCAAAUGGGCUGUGAAUUAUUAGAAAUAAUGGCAGAUGGGCUGUAUGCUAUUUUCCACAGAUUUGAGGCUUUCCUAAAAAAAGGUUGACGCACAAGCAAUGACUAUUGGAUUUCCAUCCAACGGUCGUCGUGCUUCUUCAAUCUCUGCUGUUCCUGCUCCAGCCGCUCAAACAAGCGCCGGCGGGACUGCCUGCUCCCUCCUCCCCGCGGCCGGCUGUGCUGCCACGCAGGCCUCACCGCCCCACCGUACUCCCAUCGCUGGCCUAGCUACACCUCUACUCACCCACACCUGUUGUUAUUCUCCGGCGAUGGCAGACGAACCAGUAAACCCUUGUACAGUCGUACUUCCCUCCGCGUGGGAAACAACUGCCGAGUCUUCCCUGCCUUCGGGUCAUUCCCAUCCUAGGCCUCGCCGUCGUCCACCGCCCUGGUGCUCUCGGCGCGGCCUGGUCAACGUGGUCAACGACCGACAUGCAUCUGAAGUGGACUAUACCUGGAGAGGCUGACAGCUGGGUCCACGGCCGCACGCAAGGAAAUGCCUCCUUAUUACGCGCAAAAUAAUGAUUCCUCCACCUGACAUCUGGGACCCACCGAAAGGGCCUCUGUAUUUCGCGAAAAAAAAGUACCGCCGCUGACAGCUUGGACCCACCAGCUAUAUCUUCGCACGCAAGGAAGUGCCUCCUUAUUACAAAAAAAAUGAAUACUCCCCCUGCUAGCUGGGACCCAGUAUAGUGGCAGGCUGACUUGUGGGCCUACUAAGUUGACGGGGACGGAGGGCUUUGUCAACUUAGUCAAUAUGCAUGAUUCUAGCUCCAGUGACCGUACGAUGUCCGUCCAACGGCCAUAGUGCUUCUUCAACCUCUGGUGUUCUUGCUCCAGCCGCCCAAACCAGCGCCGGUCGUGCCUCGUGCUCCUGCCUCCCGUGGCCGGCUGCGAUGCGGUGGAGGCCUCACCACCCCUUACUACUCCUACCGUUGGCCAGGCCAUCCCUCUACUCACCCACAGCCCCUGUUAUUCUGCGGCGACGGCAGCCUCACACCGCAGCGAACCAGUGAACCCUCAUACUCCUCUACGCGUGGGCAUCCACUGCCGCGUCUUCCCCGGCUCUGCGUCGUCCCCUUCCUAGGCCUCGCCGUUGUCCACCGCCCUGGUGCUCUCGACGCGGCGUGGUCAACGUGGUCAAGGAACGGCUUCCAUCGGACGUGGACUGUACGUGGAGAGGCUGACAGCUGGGUCCACGGCCGCAGCAAGGAAGUGCCUCCUUAUUACGCGCAAAAUAAUUAUUCCUCCACCUGACAGCGGGGACCCACCGGACGGGCCACCGUAUUUCACGAGAAAAAACGUUUCCCCCUGACUGCUGGGACCCACCAGCUACAUCUUCGCACGCAAGGAAGUGCGUCCGGGCAUAAAAAAUGAUUCGCCCCCCUGACUGCUGGGACCCACCAGCUACAUCUUCGCAGGCAAGGAAGUGCCUAACAGUCGGGACCCACCUGGUCGAAGUGUAUGUAGCGUUGUCAUUCUGGUCGCGAACAUGUACGUACAUACUGGUCGUUGUAGAGGCGCGCACGUAGCAUGUACACGUACGUACAGCGGCCAGGGUGCAAGAAAGAAAAUACGGCCACGUACGUACAUACGGGCAGGGUCUCGAACGCCUACUCGCGCAUAUGUACGGCCAGGUCUCGUGUACAUGGCUGGGUCAAAACGGAGAAACUGCGACGUCGUCGUGUUCAUGAGGAGCCAACCGGCUGGGUCGGAACGGAAUGCGUCAUCGUGUUCAUCCGGAGGGCUUGGACGGAACAGCCGAUGGAAACGAGGCUUGGCGUACCGCGGAACAGAGGAAAUGGCCUUGUGUUCGACCGGCCAUGUUCGAAAUGGGAUCCUGUUCAUCGGGAGGGGCUGGAGUACCGCAAAACGGAGGAAACGGACCUCCUACGGUCGAAACGGGGGUCCUGUUGAUCGGGAGGGGUGUGGCGUACCGCAAAACAGAGGAAACGGACUUGUGUUGGAGCGCUACGGUCGAAAUGGGGGUCCUGUUCAUCGGGAGGGGUGUGGCGUACCGCAAAACGGGACUCCACGGGAUACUGUUCAUCUCCACCGUCGACCCCCUCCAGCCUCCACGGGCUACUGUUCAUCCACCGUCGACCUCCUCCAGCCUCCACCUGCGACUGUUCAUCCACGGGCUCCUGUUCAUCCAGCCUCCACCGCGCGCUACUCCACCGGCUACUGUUCAACCAGCCCUCUCCACGGGCUCCUGUUCAACCACCCCUCCACCAGCUAUUGUUCAACCAGCACUCUCCACGGGCUCCUGUUCAACCACCCCUCCAUCCGGCUACUGUUCAGUCACAAUGAAUAUAAGAAUGCGCACAUCAGAAGAAUAUUGUGGAACAGUUCAAUGGGUAACAAACUUGGCAUCAAGGGAUUGAGGUCCAUUGUGGAUGCAAUGAAACCCACAUGCUCCCGACCUAUAGAUUCGUAUUCGGAAUAUGAUCCUAAUGACUAUUCUAAGCUCAAGGAGUCAAAGGCAGAUGGCCUAUCCUGUUCACCCAAUAAGGUGCCUGUUCUAAUUUGGCAAGGUUUUAUUGGUUGCACAUAUCUUGCAUAAGGUGUCUUGCAUUUCUUUUGCUUCGUUGCACCGCCAUCUGCUUAGUUUACUCAUGAUAUAUGUGAAGAUGCCAUGCCCAUCCAUUAUCAACACCUAUUCCAUUUGUCGUCAUACCAUGUUUUUUCAUUCAAAUGUUGUUCUUGUGUUUCAGACAUCCAAAAGGAAGAGGGUGAUUGCAGAACCUGAAGGAGUACAAGCAAAGUCCUUGAAAAAGGUGGUGCUACCAGAGAAAUCACCUAGCACCCGACGUAUAUUGGCGAUAGAACCAGUACCGCAAAACCUAGGAUGUCGCAACCAUGCUGGUCGAUGCUUUGCUCUUCUGAGUACAUAUUGUCCUAUCGCUGUCCUUACAUUCAUACCUGGUGGAUUAUGUGACAUCAUUGUGCAAUAUAGCUUUCUUAUCCACUGUUCACUCCAAAUUAUCAGAUCUAUAUUAAUGCUUAAAUUAAUGUAGAAGAAACCAAUGCCUAUGAAGAAAGUUAGUUCUGCAUUGUUCUUGUAAGUAUCUGUUGUCCUUCAUCACUGUACUUAUAUUUGUCAGCUAGUUCUUCAUGUACACUUUGCAGCUUAUUUUACCUUGUCCUCCAUUUUUCUACACAUCAAAUCUACAUUUACUCUUGCCAAAAUAUUGAAUAAAACCAAUGUUACUGAAGAAGUUUAGCUCCGCAUUGCUCGUCAGUGCCUUCUGCCUAUAUGCUGUAUUUACAUUUGUACUCUGCAUCUUAAGUUAAAUAAUCGCCAUUUGUUCCUAUAUUUUCACAUCUAUAUUACUCUUAACAAAAUGUAGAAUAAAGGCAAUACUCUUGAAGAAGAGUGUGCGGUAAAGUUCUUGAAUUGCCCCCCCCCCCAUCAAUAUGGACAAGGCCUUUAUAGAGCAUGUCUUCACUACUAAUGUAAGUUUGUCCUCCUCGAGCCUUCAAACAAUGUUGUGUAUAUUUGGAUAGCUAUGACUGAAAAUGCUGUUUAUUUUUAUCGUCUGCAUCAAAUUUCUUGUUCAAAGUUUAUAAAGUAGAAGUACAUAAACAUAAGUUUGUCCUUCUCAAUUUCAGUCUUUUAGUUGUACAAUCUAGUUCCUUAUUCGUACCAUGUAAAUUAAACUAAACAUAGAAAGUUAUCUUCUUUAGCACUAUGUGUAUGCUUGUGUUCUUGAUCUAUAAUCGAGUGGUGUGGUGAGACUACCAACAACAGCACAAUGUCAUAUCCUGCUAUGUCUCAACUAUGAACAAUGCCUUAUUAUAUUAAUGUUAUUUAAAUCGUGUCUCUUUAUUUACCAAUCUGAAAUGGUAUAAAUUGACAGUACACUCACCAUUCAUGCUUAUACGUUGUUUAGAACUACAUCUAUGCUUGUGUUCUUGAUCUGUAAUCCAGUGGUCUGGUGAAUCUGGCCGCUCCUACACAAUGCCAUUUCCUGCCGUCUUAACUAUGAACAAUACCUAUUAUGUUAAUGUUAUUUUAAAUAGUGUCUCUUUAUUUCUGACAAAGAAAUGAGAUGAAUUGACAGCGCUGAUGCUUAUACGUGCAAAACCUGUUAUCUACCUACUUGUUUCUCUUUCAGGGUGACAACACUGCUGCUAGGAAGAACUGCCACAAUGAUAGUGAGACGACCCCAUUGUUUGUCCCUCUAAAACAUAUUCCACAGGAGAAGGCAACACAUAUUGAGGGUAGGGAUACAACCACGAAGUCACAUCUUGAUGUAGUGUCAAAACUUACUCAGUGCAAGCUCGAUGAAGUAGUCGCCUGAAUCUAUUUGACUUCUUCAGUCUGAAAUUCAUGAGAAAUACAUAAUUCCGCUCAAAUACGAUUGGAACUCCAAUCUGUAUGCAAGAUUAACCUUAAGUACAUGACGUUUAUUGAUGCUGUGCAGCUUAAGUUGGUGGAUAUGAGCACCAAAGAAGCGCAGUCUCAUCAGGUUGCUAAGCUGCUUGCGCUGUAGCACCUGGGCCGAGCUAACCUUUCUUGAACUGUGUUGAAGUGAUGUCGGUUUUGUCUAUUAUUUUGUCCGCCUGUUAACUUCCACUGGUGGCGACCUGCCCAGUUUAUGUAAUCUGCUGUCUGGUUGCCCUUUAUUAUCAUUUGCGGUGAACUUUGAUGCUGAGGGGAUGUAAUAUGCUGUAAUUUCUUUGUUGUAUAGUCUAGGUUUAUUCUUGGUCGGUAUGCUGUAAUUUAGGACGGAAGGUUCAGUGGAUCUCAGUGUUGUCGGUCUUCAGGCCGGCCCGUUACUCAUAUGGACCAAAACGUGGGCCUAUAAUCAUCUUGGGCCAUUAGCGGGUCUAAACCUAUAGUAGUUUCCUUCCUUUAACAGGCCGAGUAAAGUUCUGGCCAGCUGGGCCAGAGAAUACCAUGGGCUUUUAACAGGCUAAAACCUAGAUUGGGCUGGCGUUGAGCCGAAAAUUUCACAGGCCAAAACUUCCUAAGGCCCAUGUUGGGCCCAAAUAGGAUGAGCAGUUAACAGGCCAAAAUAUAUCUCGGUCUUGUUUGGCCAAAUAAAAUUAUCAGCUUUAAGCAGGCCGGUAUCCACGCGGGCCAUAGACCCAAAAGUGUCACGGGCCAUUAUCAGAUGGGCUGUAAGCAGGCCGGAUUCAACGCGGGCUGUAAUUAGGCCCAACUGUUUCACAGGCCAUUAACAGGCCGAUAGGCCAGUUGGGCUGAAAUUUGUCCACGAAGACUACGGGCCGUUAAGAGGCCUAAAGUUUCUUCGGACAAGAAAUAGCCCAGUUUCUGCAUGGGCCGUUAAAUGGCCUAAAGUUAAACCAGGCCGACAACGUCCCAGAUACACCACGGGCCUCUAACAGGCGAAACUAUUAUCGGGCCGAACUGGUAAACGGGCAUUUAACAGGCUGAAAUAAAACAUGUCUUAGAAUGGGCCCAAAAGAACAGUGGCCUGUUAACGGGCAUGAUCCGAUAUGUGCCAUAAUUUGGCCCAAAACACAGCAGGCUGUGAACGGGCCUGAUCUGGUAUGGGCUUCAAUUUGACCCAAAACAUGGUAGGUUGUUAACGGGCCACGCACUAUUGUCUGAAAAAACAUGGUGGGCCUUUAGCUGGGCCGGCCUUUUCAUCGGACUGGGCCUCGGUUGGGUCGUGCCACAUGUCGACGUAUCAUAGUCACCUCCUGUCCCAACGGUGAGCCAACACGUGUUUCCUCAGGCCAAUGAGAAUUUUACAUGUGGAAAAUCCCCAUUGGUCUGGGCUGUUAACGGGUUAUCGGAUCCAAAACCGGACCCGAUAGCUUAACGGCGACCCGUUCCAGUCGAUGCCACAUGUCGGGCACCCUUGACGAAAGCACUUCUAUGAUGCACGAUUUAUCGUCAUGGAAGUGGACACUUCCGUGAUGAUAAUUUUGGUAAUGUCAUGGAACACUUCUACGAUAGCACAGGUAUGACUAUCUUGAUUCUGUCAUAAAAUUGUCAUGGAUGUACAUGCAUGACAGAAAACGUGACCUACUGUGACAAACACGUAUCAUCAUGGAAGUGUAUUUUUUUUGUAGUGUAUGCCAUGACUUGUUAGAAUAGCUCUCUAUGCUUCACUUAAAUUUUUAUGAGCUAUGGAAUUGCUCAAGUGCUUCACUUAUAUCUUUUUGAGCACGGUGUGCUUUGUUAUUUUUGAAGAAAUGCUCUCUUGCUUCACUUAGAUUUGUUUGAGAGUUAGUAAAUUUUUUGAAGAAAUUCUCUCUUGCUUCACUUAAAUUAAUUUGAGAGAAAGAAAUAUUAUGCUCAUGAUCUUCACCUAUAUCUGUUUGAGCUUAUCAAAAGCAACAUGAAAAUUAGUUCCAAAGUGAUAGAAAUCCAAGAAGGAUAUAAUAAAAAAAUCAUGAAGAUCAUUAGACAAAAUAAACUUGAUUCCUUGUAAUAGUCUUGAGAUAUGAUGAUGUGAUAUGUGAGUCAUGUUGAUGAGUAAUUGUGCUUUAGUAAGAAUAUUGGUGUUAAAGUUUGUGAUUCCCUAUGCAAGCACGAAAGUCAAUAGUCAUGCAAUGAAAUUACAUCUUACUUGUGGUGCAUUAUUCGGUGUUAAUUAUGUUUAAUGCUCGCUUAUGAGAUUAUUCGUUUCUUGGUUGGUUGCUUCUCAAUCUUUUGCUAGCCUUCAUUUUGCACUAAGUAUGAUCACUACUUGUGCAUCCAAAAUCCUUUAAACCAGUCUUGCCACAUGAGUCCACUAUACCUACCUAUAUGCGGUGUUCUUUUUCCGUUCUAAGCAAAUUUGUAUGUCCCAUCUCUAAUUUUCAAAAUAAAUUUCUCUUUUGUGUGCUCGUACCGCUCGUGAGGCGGUGAGGGGUGGCAAAUAUUUUCCAUGCUAGAUGUGUUAUUCUCACGACGAAUGUUUAUUCACUUGUCAUUGCACGAUAGUAAGGCAAAGGUAUUAGGGAUGCCCAGUCCCGAAAUGAAAAAUGAAUUUACUUUAUGUUGUCAAAUAAUAAAUUCCUUGGAAAGUGUUGGUAUGGAAGGCAACCGUGGAUUCGGCUAGCCAUGGAAAGUGAAAGUAUGGUGGAAAAAGGAAUAAACUUUAUUUUCUGUUUGGGAACCGCCUAUGAUAUAUCUAGCAUGGAAAGUGUUGGGAGCUCUAAGUCGUUUUCAUUGGUGGGAAAAGCAUGCCUCUCAAAAUGUUUUUAUCUCUGUAGGAUCAAAAGUAUGUCUAGAGGGGGGUGAUUAGACUACUUGACCAAAUAAAAAUCUAGCCUUUUCCCAAUUUUAGUUCUUGGCUGAUUUUAGCAACUUAGCACAAGUCAAGCAAUCAACCUACACAUGCAAUUCGAAGAGUAUAGCAGCGGAAUGUAAAACAAUUGCAUAUGAAGGUAAAGGGAGGAGUUUGAGGGAGCAAACGCAAUGUUGACACGGAGAUUUUUUAUCCGUGGUUCCGAUAGGUGGUGCUAUCGUACAUCCACGUUGAUGGAGACUUCAACCCACGAAGGGUAACGGUUGUGCGAGUCCACGGAGGGCUCCACCCACGAAGGGUCCACGAAGAAGCAACCUUGUCUAUCCCACCAUGGCCGUCGCCCACGAAGGACUUGCCUCACUAGGGUAGAUCUUCACGAAGUAGGCGAUCUCCUUGCCCUUACAAACUCCUUGGUUCAACUCCACAAUCUUGAUGGAGGCUACCAAGUGACACCUAGCCAAUCUAGGAGACACCACUCUCCAAGAAGUAACAAAUGGUGUGUUGAUGAUGAACUCCUUGAUCUUGUGCUUCAAAUGAUAGUCUCCCCAACACUCAACUCUCUCUCAUAGGAUUGGAUUUGGAAGAAAGAGGAUUUGAGUGAAAAGCAACUUGGGGAAGGCUAGAGAUCAAGAUUUAUGUGGUUGGAAUGGAAUAUCUUGACCUCAACACAAGUGUAGGUGGUUCUCUCUCAGAAAAUAUGUAUUGGAAGUGUAGGCAUGUUUUGAUGGCUCUCUCCACGAAUGAAGAGUGGGUGGAGGGGUAUAUAUAGCCUCCACACAAAAUCUAACCGUUACACACAAUUCACCAAACUCGGUGGGACCGAUUCAGAGAACUCGGUCAGACCGAUUUGGUUCAUAAUGUGACCGUUAGGCAUUUCGGUGGGACCGACAUGUCAACUCGGUGGGACCGAUAUCAUUAGGGUUAGGGCAUAACAUAAUCUCGGUGAGACCGAUUACACAAACUCGGUGAGACCGAUUUUGGUAAUAGACAAAUAGAGAGUUGGCCAGGCAAACUCGGUGGGACCGAUUCGCUCAUCUCGGUUGGACCGAAACGUUAUGAAAGGGAAACAGAGAUCUUGCAUUGCAAUCUCGGUGGGACCGAUCGCUCAUCUCGGUUUGACCGAAACGUUACGAAGGGAAACAGAGAGAUUACAAUCCCAUCUCGGUGAGACCGAGAUCCCUAUCGGUGAGACCGAAAAGACUAGGGUUUCUGGCAAUGGCUAUGUCAACUGAACUCGGUGGCUCCGGAUAGAAAGAAUCGGUGGGGCCAAGUUGGACUUAUGGUUUGGGACAUAUGUUUAUAUGAGAAAGUAGUGGAGGGUUUUGGAGCAUAUCACUAAGCAUUUUGAGCAAGAACCUCAUUAAGCAACACCUCAUCCCUUCUUAAUAGUAUUGGCUUUUCCUAUAGACUCAAUGUGAUCUUGGAUCACUAAAAUAGAAAAUGUAGAGUCUUGUGCUUUGAGCUUGAGCCAAUCUUUUGUCCUUAGCAUUUUGAAGGGUCUACUUUCUAAUCCAUGCCAUGCCAAUCAUUGAGCUUUCCUGAAAUAUUUAUCUUGGAAUAGCAUUAGCUCAGUGAACUAUAUGUUGUUAGGAAUUACCAAAACCACCCAGGGAUAGUUGCACUUUCAAUCUCCCCCUUUUUGGUAAUUGAUGACAACAUAUAGAUCAAAGCUUCGACAAAUGAUAAGUAAGAUUGAAAAACAUCGUCACUUUGAGAGGUAUGUGAUAAGCAAGAGCUCCCCCUAAAUUUGUGCAUUAUUUAAAAUUUGCUUUUGAAUGCAAAUGCACAAUCGAUUAGGAUCAUGGGUUAUUCUUCCAUGUCACAUACAUCUUGGUGGAGCGCUCAAAAUGAUAGAAGUUAAAGCAUGCACUCAUCACCAAAACAAGUGAAUGAUCGUCUAGGAUAUAAGAGAUAAUAUCAUCUAACAAGCAUUAAGGGUAGCAUAUGAUCAAACAAGUAUCUCACAAGUAGCUCACACAAGCACACAAUAAAGUUUCAAACCAAACCAAAAAUAAGUGCAAAGAGAGAUAAAAACCAACACACUCUCUCUCUCUCGAAGCCUAUGAUCUAUACAUUUUUCUCCCCCUUUGGCAACAAGUUACCAAAAAGUUCAAAAAAGCAUAGUGCUAAAUGUCUCUCAGGCUUGAUCUUCGGGAGGUGGUGUUGAGAGAACUCCAAGAACGAAGGCUUCAGAUGAAGUAGGUGGAGCUGGUGGAGUAGCUGCUGGAGGUGGAACUGGAGCUGUAGCUGAUGGUGCUGAUGUUGUAGCUCUAGUGUCUGUCACUGGCACUGCAGCAGAUCUCUGUCCUCUGGGCACUCUGGCAAAAGCAUCUGUGGUAGACUUGCCCUUCUUCUCCUCUGCUUCCUCCUGAAGUUGCUCAACUGCAGUUUGGAUCUCUGUUACCUUGACAUCAAGGUCAUAGAAUUUCUGCUCAAUGAUCCUCUCCAUACUCUCCUGGUUCUUGGUCAGGGUGGCCAAGCCCUUCUCAAUCCUCAGGAUGGAUUGGAUUAGAUAUCCAAGCUGGUCUUGCUUGCUCUUCAAGAAUACCUGAGAUGUCUCUUCCACUGUUGGCAUCUUUGCAGCCUUCUCAGCUUUAGCCUUCUCUCUCUUCUCAUGUGCUUGAGCUGAAGAUGGUUCAUUCUCAUUCAUCACUACAGUGUUAUCUUCAAAUUCAGGAUAGAUGGGCAGGUGCUCCUUGUCCAAAAGAUAUGUGAGGGAGACCUGGCUUAGGGGGUCCUCGGACGGCCGGACUAUAUAGUUUAGCCGGACUGUUGGACUAUGAAGAUACAAGAUUGAAGACUUCGUCCCGUGUCCGGAUGGGACUCUCCUUGGCGUGGAAGGCAAGCUUGGCAAUACGGAUAUGUAGAUCUCCUCCCUUGUAACCGAAUCUGUGUAACCCUAGCCCCCUCCGGUGUCUCUAUAAAUCGGAGGGUUUAGUCCGUAGGACAAGAACAAUCAUACCAUAGGCUAGCUUCUAGGGUUUUAGCCUCUACGAUCUCGUGGUAGAUCAACUCUUGUAAUACUCAUAUCAUCAAGAUCAAUCAAGCAGGAAGUAGGGUAUUACCUCCAUCGAGAGGGCCCGAACCUCGAUAAACAUCAUGUCCCCCGCCUCCUAUUACCAUCCGCCUUAGACGCACAGUUCGGGACCCCCUACCCGAGAUCCGCCAGUUUUGACACCGACAUUGGUGCUUUCAUUUAGAGUUCCACCGUGCCGUCACCGUAAGGCUUGAUGGCUCCUUCGAUCAUUGGCAACGAUGCGAUCCAGGGUGAGGUUUUCCUCCCCGGACAGAUCUUCGUGUUUCGCGGCUUCGUACUGCGGGCUAACUCGCUUGGCCAUCUGGAGCAGAUCGAUAGCUACGCCCCUGGCCAUCAGGUCAGGUUUGGAAACUUGAACUAUAUUGCCGACAUCCGCGGAGACUUGAUCUUCGACGGAUUUGAGCCCAUGUCAGGUGCGCCGCACAAUCCCGACGAGCAUGAUUUAGCUCUGCCGUCGGACCGUGUUCGGGAGAUCACACCUGCAACUACUCCGGCCCUCAAUCCAGAACAAAUUGCGCCAUCCGAGGAUGGGUGGAUAGACCCCGCCAUGGAGGCCGCACUCUCAGUGGCGAUAGAGCCGAAUACUGACUUCACCCCUUACGAGAGCCGUGUUGCCGAACCAUUGGAUUCGUCCCCGGCCACGGGCUCUGAGCCGCUUGCGUCCGUGCCUAUCGAAUCCGAUUGGGCACCGAUCAUGGAGUUUACCUCCGCGGAUAUCUUUCAGCACUCGCCUUUUGGCGACAUACUAAACUCGUUGAAGUCUCUCUCCCUGUCGGGAGACCCUUGGCCGAACUAUGUCCGGCUAGAAUGGGAUGUGGACGACGAAGAAAUUCGCGGCCCACCCACCACCCACUUAGUAGCCACUGUCGACGAUUUAACCGACAUGCUCGACUUCGGCUCCGAAGACAUCGACGAUAUGGAUGACGAUGCAGGAGACGAACAAGAACCACCGCUCAUAGGGCGCUGGACGGCCACCUCAUCGUGUGACAUAUACAUGGUGGACACCCCUAAAGAAGGGGAUGGCGACAAGACAAUGGAGGAUAAUCCCUCCAAGAAGCAACCCAAGCACCGACGUCAGCGGCACCGCUCUAAGUCUCACCAUAGCAAAAGCAGCGAUACUGGCACAAGAGACAAUAACGCUCCGGAUAGUGCCGAAGACGACGACAAUCCCCUCCAGCCAGACCUCGAGCGGGAGGAUGAACAAGCUAGCCCUCCGGAACAGGCAGCAAACGGAGAAUCAGAGGAUGACAAUUACAUGCCUCUCUCCGAAGACGAAGUGAGCCUCGGCGACGAAGAAUUUGUCGUGCCUGAGGAUCCCGUCGAGCAGGAACGCUUCAAGCGUCGGCUUAUAGCCACAGCAAACAGCCUAAAGAAAAAGCAACAACAGCUUUGAGCUGAUCAAGAUCUGCUAGCGGAUAGAUGGACCGAAGUCCUGGCAGCCGAGGAAUACGAACUCGAGCGCCCAACCAAGAGUUAUCCAAAGCGCAGGUUGCUACCUCAACUCGAGGAGGAAGCAGUGAAACCUACAUCACCAGCGUAUGAUGUGGCUAAUCGGCCACCUCGUGGCCGAGACAGAGAGGCAUUUCAGCCCGAAGUCCAGCCCGCGCCCCCCCGCCAAUCAAACAAAAAUACCAAGGCCUGGGGCAACACGCAGGACCUGCGAGACGUAUUGGAAAGCAAGGCAAAACAUGCAAGAUCGAUCUACGGAUCACGGGGUCGCGCCCCAACGUGAGACGAUGAUUGUCACGCCGGAUAUACCAAAAGAAAAUCCGGUCGGGCCGAAUACAGCAGACAAGACUCGUAUGAACUGCGUCGUGAUAUAGCCUAGCACAGAGGCGCCACACACCCCCUAUGCUUCACUGAUGAAGUAAUGGAUCACGAAUUCCCAGAGGGUUUUAAACCCGUAAAUAUUGAAUCAUAUGACGGUACAACAGAUCCCGCGGUAUGUAUUGAGGAUUUCCUCCUCCACAUCCACAUGGCUCGCGGUGAUGAUCUACAUGCCAUCAAGUACCUCCCACUAAAACUCAAAGGACCAGCCCAGCAUUGGCUGAAUAGCUUGCCAGCAGACUCCGUUGGCAGUUGGGAGGAUUUGGAAGAUGCAUUCCUUGACAACUUCCAGGGCACUUAUGUGCGACCACCGGAUGCUGAUGACUUGAGCCAUAUAACUCAGCAGCCAGGGGAAUCGGCCAGGCAAUUCUGGACCCGGUUCUUAACUAAGAAAAACCAAAUUGUCGACUGUCCGGAUGCAGAGGCCUUAGCGGCAUUCAAGCAUAACAUCCGUGAUGAGUGGCUCGCCCGGCACCUCGGCCAGGAGAAGCCGAAGUCUAUGGCAGCCCUCACGACACUCAUGACCCGCUUUUGCGUGGGCGAGGAUAGCUGGCUGGCUCGCAGCAACAACACAUCAAGGAAUCCGGGCACUUCAGAUACCAAAGAUAAUAACGGCAGACCAUGUCGUAACAGACAUAAGCGCCGCAACAACGGUGAUAACACCGAAGAUACGGCAGUCAAUGCCGGAUUUAGUGGCUCUAAACCCGGUCAACGGAAAAAAGCCAUUCAAAAGAAGUACUCCGGGCCCGUCCAGUUUGGACCGCAUACUCGAUCGCUCGUGUCAAAUCCACGGCACCCCCGAUAAGCCAGCCAAUCACACCAACAGAGAAUGCUGGGUGUUCAAGCAGGCCGACAAGUUGAAUGCCGAAAACAAGGACAAGGGGCUGCAUAGCGAUGACGAGGAGGAGCCCCGGCCGCCAAACACAGGAGGACAGAAGAGGUUCCCUCUACAAGUGAAAACGGUGAACAUGAUAUACGCAACCCACAUUCCCAAGAGGGAAAGGAAACGUGCACUAAGGGACAUCCAUGCGAUGGAGCCAGUCGCCACAAAGUUCAACCCAUGGUCCUCUUGUCCGAUCACCUUCGAUCGAAGGGACCACCCCACUAGUAUUCGUCAUGGCGGAUCUGCCGCAUUGGUCCUUGACCCCAUCAUCGACGGAUUUCACCUCACCCGAGUCCUUAUGGACGGCGACAGCAACCUGAACCUGCUCUAUCAAGAUACAGUGCGCAAAAUGGGUAUAGACCCCUCGAGGAUCAAACCCACUAAACCCACCUUUAAAGGUGUCAUCCCAGGUGUAGAGGCCCAUUGCACGGGAUCAAUCACACUAGAAGUAGUCUUCGGAUCUCCGGACAACUUCCGAAGCGAGGAGUUAAUCUUUGAUAUCAUCCCAGGUGUAGAGGCCCAUUGCACAGCUGAGGCACAAAGCAGCCUUCCAAGGCAAACCGCCAAUUCAGCGAUAAAACCGCCGGACACCUUCAAGCGAGUCCGGAGCAACCUGCAACAGGACCGCCUGGCACGUUCAGAGCUUGCCUAGCAAUUCGGCCCCCGUCCUAGUCUCAGUCAAGCGACGGAAUAUGUGCCGCGUGUACAUAAUUACGCACUAAAAAUACCAUGGGCAUAGGCGGGGGCACGACCAGGGCACGUCCCACAAUGCGGCUCAACCACCCCAGGGGUUGUAUACCUUUAUCAUUUCUUCUCUUUCAGGACAUUACUCUCUGGAAGCCCUUUCCAGCAGUCCGAUUGCUGGACACAUUAUGGGAAGGAACACCCAAGGAGGCAAGAAGCUAAGAUGUACAAGGGAAUCCUCAGGUGGUCUCUGAUAACAAUCGAAGUACCCAUUUUUAAUACCCAUACGCAGCUUACCCAUGGACAGGACAUGUCAAAUAGUCCUAUUUUUUGCUUAUUGCACUACUUGUAUCAGUACGCUUCAACGUAUUAUUUAAAUAACAAUGCAUAGCAUUAGUCUAUUAUUGCAUUACCCUUCCUUUUUCUUGUCUAUUUUAUUUACGACAACUUGCACCUGUACAUUCUGGUACGACCAGUACGCCAGGGGCUUCAGUAUACCCCAUAAUACGGCGUAAGAAGUCCGAACACUUUCGACAGUGCGGCACCCCGAACUUAUAGCAUUAUAUGCAUCAGCUCCGAAUCAUGUCUUGGGUCAAUAGUUGGGUUUGCCCGGCUCCCAUGUUUUGGUACCUUACGUUCCGCAAUAUCGGCUAAGGUAGCGCUGGGAGAACUACUGCGAUUGUGUCCCGGUUCUUCCGGACAAGCACCUCAGUAGAGAAAGCCGAAAACUGACUGUCAUGAUAAGGCGAGAGCUGGUCGCUGUUCGAGAGGUCUCAAGUCCUUAAAGACUUUUUCCGCUUCGGGCGAGGAGUCGGCCUUGCCCGACUUAGGCGUAUAUAGCGCACCAAAUUCGGCCUUCCGAAUACUAGGGGCUUCGCCAAAAUUUAAAAUUGUAGACUUCUAUGGCUAAGUGAGAGUGAUAAAGCCUUAUAGUCCGAUUGCCUGGUUCGUUGUGCUGAACACCUCCCUCGAAGGACCCAAAAUUGGGAUAAAGAGUGCUCAGGUUUAUCCCGAACACCUCAGUACUAGUUACAUGGGGGCAGAAGGCGACGAAUGGCCAAUUCUCAGAUUUUAUAAACGGCCGCACAAAAGGUAAUAUUUUAAAUUAACAAGCGUUGCAUAGCGCAAAUGAACUCGUUUCACAUUACCGGAUCACAUGAGUACGUUCAUUCAAAUAUUACAUGUUUAGCACAUUCCUCCGCCACAAGGCGGGAACUCUUCAGGACACUGUCAUUUCGGGGUGGCGAUGCUCCUUGCCUUCCGGCGACCCCUCCUUCACCAGCUUUACAGCGUCCAGCUUCGCCCAGUGCACCUUCGCCCGGGCAAAGGCCCUGCAUGCACCCUCGAUGCAGACGGACCGCUUUAUGACUUCAAGCCAUGGGCAGGCAUUCACAAGCCGCCUCACCAGACCGAAGUAGCUGUCAGGCAGGGGAUCGCCAGGCCACAUCCGGACUAUAAGACCCUUCAUGGCCUGUUCGGCCGCCUUGUGGAGCUCGACCAGUUGCUUCAGCUGGUCGCUCAAGGGCAUUGGGUGUUCGGUCCCAGUAUACUGAGACCAGAACAACUUCUCCGUCGAGCUUCGCUCCUCAGCCCGGUAAAACUCCGCGGCAUCCAACACACUGCGGGGAAGAUCUGCGAAUACUCCUGGAGAGCUCCGAACUCGGGUAAGUAAAAGGAAAGUUUCCUUCACAUGCUUGCUUUGCAUAAUGAAUUCUUUACCCGCUGCUAUCUUCUUAACCGCCUCGAUCUCCUGGAGGGCCUUGUGGGCUUCCGCCUUGGCGUUUUGUGCGCUUUCGAGGGCCUUCGCAAGCUCGGACUCUCGUGUCUUAGAGUCAAGCUCCAAGGACUCGUGUUUUCUGGCGAGAGCCUCGAGCUCUUGCUGUACCUCGCCUACCCGAGCUUCUUGCUUUUCUUGCUCGAUGCGCUCCUUGGCCGCUUUGUCUUCGGCCUCGGACAGCGCCUUCUUCAGGGUCGCCACUUCGGUCGUGGCCUCUGGCAAAUUCAUGAUGAUCCUAUUAUUUUACAACUAAAUUUCUUUUUAAUAUAUAGACAUGGUAUCGCUUACCUUUGUUCUCUUCGAACUGCCUCUUGGUAAGGCCGAGCUCUUCCUUGGACCGCUCAAGGUCCUGCUUCAGUGCAGCGACCUCCGCAGUACGUGUGGCAGCGGCCCGCAGUGAAGCCUGCAUAUGCACAUAGACAUAUUCUGAUUAGACUCCUGAGUCAUUAUUUGAUCCUCUAUUCGGCCUUUCUUCACGAACGCCAAACAGAGCAUCAGGGGCUACUGUCUAUCCAGUAAUAUUUUCCUAUAAUUUAGUUACUUACCUGAAAACCUGUUAGGAGGCUGGCACAAGCUUCAGUUAGUCUGCUUUUGGUGGACUGAACCUUCUCGAUAACCGUACUCAUGAUAGUGCGGUGCUCUUCAUCGAUUGAAGCACCGCGAAGCGCUUCCAGCAAGUUGUCCGGUGUCUCUGGAUGGACAGAGGCCACCGGCACGGGCGGCUUGCCCCUCUUAACGGGGGGUCGCCUGACAGAGUCCGGAACCACUGGAGGUUCCAGCGCAGUGUUCGGCUGGAGGCCGAAUUCGGAGCCCAUGGGAGUCUUUCUCCCUUUGCGCCCAGGGUCCGGAAUGUCGCCUCGCGGCGCCUCCAGGACUACCUCCCCUCGGCUCGGUGCCCUUUGAGACAACACCUCGGCGUUGUCCGUAGGGAGAGGGGUGGAGGUGGUCGGAAGUGAAUCGCUAUUCAUAUCCGACGGGUCCAAAGAACCAUCUGACGAAGAUACGUCGAUAUGGGCUCGGGAGGACUGCAUAAUCAUGUUCGGCGUGAUGAGAAGCAGUACAAUAAAACAUACCAUGAAUUGCUAUGGUAUCCGGAUACUUACGACUUCGCUAGGGGCUUGUCCCUGGGCAACCACUCGUCGUCGCUGUAAGAGGCCGUCGUGGAGCAGUCCGGAAGGAGGGUCCUUCCCUUCUUGGACCCUUCGGCCUCCCCGGUUGGGGCGGCUUUCCUUUUCUUGUCUCCCCCGGCUGGGGGGGGAGAACUUUCCUCUUCCUCCUCCUCGUUUUCAUGGGAGGAGUGCGCCUCAGAGUUUUCGGACGAUGAGUCCGAUAUAACCUUGCGCCAGAGACCCUUUCGGGUCCCCGUGGCCUUCUUCUUGGCCUUCUUCACCGGCACCUUGUAAGGCGCCGGAAUUAGCAUCUCCGUUAGGAGAGCAUCUGCAGGAUCUUCAGGCAGGGGGGCUGGGCAAUCGAUCUGCUCCGCUAUCUCUACCCAGUCCUGUUAGAUGGCACGGAGGCUUAGACCCCGCACAUGAUUAAACUGGGGAAAAUAAACAUCCUGUGAGAUAUAAAAAAGUUACCGGAUUGGCAUGGCGCUUUGCGCUGAGUCCGCGGUCCUCGGUAAGGGGAGGAGGUACCUCGUCACCCUUGAAAAGCACCUUCCAGACAUCCUUGUGCGUCGUGUCGAAGAGCUCUCGCAGCGUCUGGUGCUUGGCCGGGUCAAACUCCCACAAACUGAAUGCCCGUCGUUGACACCGGAGGAUCCGGCGGAAGAGCAUGACCUGGACCACGUUGACAAGCUUGAUUUUCUUGCUCAUCAUGUUUCUGAUGCAUUUCUGGAGUCCAGUCAGCUCCACCAAUGAACCCCAGGACAGGCCCUUCUCUUUCCAGGAGGUGAGCCACGUGGGGAUUCCGGAUUGGAAUUCGGGGGCCGCCACCCAGUUGGUGUUGCGCGGCUCGGUGAUGUAGAACCACCCCGAUUGCCACCCCUUUAUGGUCUCCACAUAGGAGCCUUUGCGCCAGGUGACAUUAGGCAUUUUGCCCACCAUGGCGCCUCCACACUCCGCUUGCUGGCCGACCACCACCUUCGGUUUAACAUUGAAGGUCUUCAGCCACAGGCCGAAGUGGGGCCUGAUGCGGAGGAAGGCCUCGCACACGACGAUAAACGCCGAGAUGUUGAGGAUGAAAUUGGGGGCCAGAUCGUGAAAAUCCAGCCCGUAGUAGAACAUGAGCCCGCGGACAAAUGGGUGGAAGGAAAAUCCCAGUCCGCGGACAAAGUGGGUAAGGAAAACCACACUCUCAUGGGGUUCGGGAGUAGGGAUGAUCUGCCCCGCAUCUGGCAGCCGGUGUGCGAUGUCCGCGGACAAAUAUCCGGCUCCCCGUAGCUUUGUGAUGUUCUCCUCCGUGACGGAGGAGACCAUCCACUUGCCUCCCACUCCAGACAUGCUUGGAGUGGCUUGAGGGGAAAAACGCGAACUUGGGUGCUGGAGCUCGAGUGCGCAAGAAUGGAUGAGCAAGGACGAAGAAGGCGUGGGUAAAAAGAGGAAUCCUUGUCCCUUUAUAGGGGCGGAGGAAACUAUAUGCCUCCCCACCUGCCCAGUAAAACUCGCUUAUUCCCCAAGCGCCGUAAUUGAUGGCGCGGUUGGAUUACCCACAUCCGUAUUGAUGAGAAUCCCGUGAUAAGGGGACACGAUCUCUGCUUCGACAAGACGUGCCAAGAAAACCGCCUCGCAAUACGUGCAGUAGCUGCUUGAGAAAAACGGUUCGAAUAAUGACCGGGCCAUGGUAUGAUGUCAUGCUACCAAACGUGUUAGUAGAUUAGAUUUGUGGAAAUAUUAUUCUCUCUACGGUGGUAUGUGGAACUUGUUCAAGAUCUUCUAUGGAGUAUUCGGAGGAAGAACCCGCCUUGCAAUUCUGAAGACAAAUCUGCGUGCCGCACUCAUCGUCAUUGAAGCCUGGUCCAGGGGCUACUGAGGGAGUCCUGGAUUAGGGGGUCCUCGGAUGGCCGGACUAUAUACUUUAGUCGGGCUGUUGGACUAUGAAAAUACAAGAUUGAAGACUUCGUCCCGUGUCCGGAUGGGACUCUCCUUAGCGUGGAAGGCAAGCUUGGCAAUACGGAUAUGUAGAUCUCCUCCCUUGUAACCGACUCUGUGUAACCCUAGCCCCCUCCGGUGUCUAUAUAAACCGGAGGGUUUAGUCCAUAGGACAAGAACAAUCAUACCAUAGGCUAGCUUCUAGGGUUUUAGCCUCUACGAUCUCGUGGUAGAUCAACUCUUGUAAUACUCGUAUCAUCAAGAUCAAUCAAGCAGGAAGUAGGGUAUUACCUCCAUCGAGAGGGCCCGAACCUGGAUAAACAUCGUGUCCCCCGCCUCCUGUUACCAUCCGCCUUAGACGCAUAGUUCGGGACCCCCUACCCGAGAUCCACCGGUUUUGACACCGACAAUAUGUGCCUGUGCCCAUCUUUGAGUUGAUGAGCUCCUGAAUGUGCGGGGCAUACCCACAACUUCUCUUCUGGUCAGCAGCAGUCCUCUUGAUUGUCUCAACAAUCAGGCUCAUAACUUUGAACUUCUGUGGGACAUCAAAUAUAUGCAGCAAGUUGAUGGCAUGUCCUCUGAUCAUCUUGUGAUCACCUGACUUGGGUAGCAGUGUGUGCCUUAAGAUCCAGUUUAUGGUUGGCAGACCAGACAACAAGUAAUGGACAGAUCCAAACCUAUGUGUAUCCAAGGCAGCAUCUGGGAUCUCUUUGUACAUGUUGGCCAUAGUGUUGUGGUCUUUCUUCUUCUCUGCAUAAAUAUCCAAGUCAUCCUCAUGUUCCUUAGGAGCAUUUAUAAGCUUGGCCCAUUCCUCAACUGUAGACUGGUACCUAGUACCCUCAGACAUCCAUACUAUCCUUCCAUCUAGAUAGAAGUGUGAAGUGGAGUAAAACUGCAUGAUGAGCUCAUCAUUCCACUUGGUGAGCUUCUAGGCAAAAAAAGUGUCCACUCCACAUGCCUUGAAGCUAUCAAGCACACCAGGGAAGUGAUCCUCAUUUUCCUUGAUGAAUUCCCAGUCAACCCAUCUCAUAUCACACACAAUGGGCUUCUUGUCAAGCAGAAUAGUCUCAGAAGUCCUGCUGUUCCUUAGUGUGAAAUCUGUAGUCCACAGCAGGCCUUCUCCUGAUAGCAUAUGGAUCAGACUGUCUCCAUAGUCUCAAUCAUGCAUCCUUCCUGAUCUUCAUGUUCUCUGCAAUUGGGUGUGCAUCAGUGUGGUCAGGGAUCUUGGGUUUCAGCUUCCUCAAUACAACAGAAUCAUCUUCUUCUUCUUCAGCAGCUUGAGGCAUUGGGGCCUUGUUCUUCUCUUCUGCAGGGAUGUUCCUAGUGCUUCUCUUGGUUUUUGGCUUUGGAGCUGGAGCAGCAGCCUUGGGAGCAGCUUUGGGCUUAGAUGGAGCAGCCCCUGAUUUGAUUGCAUCUCCCAUGAGCUUCUGAGCUUUGGGUGCUAGUGCAGCAUCCUCUUCCUCUUCUUCUUCAGAAGGUUCUUGCAUCAUGGAGGGCUUUCCAAUGACUCUGGCCAUGGUUUUCUUAACCCUCUCCUUUCUCUUCUUCCCUUUUUCAGCUUCUUCAGCAGCUGAUUUUGAAGCUUCAGUAGUUGAUGAUCUGACUUUUGACAUGGGCUGUCUUCUUGCUGGCAUCUUUGUUUUCAUUCCUGGCUUAGUUGCAGCAGCUGAGCCAUAUUCUUUCUUAAGCACCUUCUUCUUUGAAGUGGCUUCAUCAUCAACAGCCACAUAAUCUUCAUCCUCAGAGUCAGAAGUUCUCUUCUUCCUUAUCCUGGUAGCAACCUUUGGCAGAUUGCUUGGAGUGCUCCUGCUGCCUUCAUCAUAGCUACUAGAGGGAUCUGAGCCCUCACUCAUCUGCACCUGUUGCUCAGACCUGUUCUGACUAUCACUCUGGUCAGACAUCUCUGCAAAUACUCUGAUAGCAGACCCUGUGAAUAGGUUAUAGAUGAGGUAGAGUAGAUGAGCAUCACAAAGUACAGGAGUUUUGCAAAAAGGAUGACUUAAAAACUUAGUUUUAGUUCUUCACAGAAAGCAUUUCGGAGCUACCGAUUUGUAAACUCGGUGAUACCGAAGCAGCUUUUGGAACCUAUACUAGUGAACUCGGUUAGACCGAGUCACAGUUCGGUGGUACCGAGACUGCUACGGUUUCACAGAGAAUCAAACUCGGUCACACCGAUUUGCAAUUUUCGGUCAGACCGAAAACGCAUGUGCUCUGGCCUAAGCCAAAAUCGGUGAGACCGAUUUCUACAAAUCGGUCGGUCUGAGAUGAAUUCGGCGGAGACCUAACCCUAAAUUUUCAAAUCAAAACUAAUCUACGGGAUGUUUUCGCUGGACAGGAUGAUCUCAAUCGUGGCAAGAAUCAUGGCAAAGCAAUGUGCUAAGAAUCGGAGAUAAGGAUUAGCACAAAGUUCAAGUCCGUACCCUAGUUCGGCGACGAACCUGCUACGGCGGCAAUGGCGGUGAAGAUUGCCGUUGACGGCGGCGGAGACCAGUGGCGGGAGGUCGCUAGCGACAAGAGGACGAUCCGGACACCCAAGGAGGCAGAGCAGGUUACGCGCGGGCUAGGAGGUUCGGAAAAAUUUCCAAAAUUUGGCCCGUCGGUAUAUAUAACCUGACCCUGUCGGUGUGACUGAGUGGAACGUCUCGGUGGCACCGAGAUGCAAAACUGCAAGCAGUUACUGCAACUCAGUGUGACCGAAAGGUUCUAAUCGGUUGCACCGAGAUUGAAAACCCUAGAUCAACUUAGUGACUCGAUAGGACCAAAGGGGAUGAAUCGGUCAGACCGAGAUGCACAAAGAGGUUUUGGAGAUUUAAGUCUAUGACGAAUCGGGAACUCUGAGUGCUCCUCACACAGAGUGGUUCGAAUCUGACUUGAUCAAACUUUGUGAUGUAGCAUGAAUAGAGUUUGAGACGAGAAAAGCAUAGAUAGCUAGAGGGAGUUCUUAGGCAUUCUUGUCCAUCCAUUUGGCAAAAGAUAAAGAGCCAAACAAUCAAAACAACAAAUGGAUGUCCUCGAAUGAGUAAAAUAUGCAUUCAACAUGCUCACACAAUAAAAUGGCAAAUGAAAUAUGUGACAAAGCAUGCGCAAACACUCUAGCAUCUAUCAAGCAAUUAGGCGAUGACUAGGUCAUCUAUAUAUGAGUAUAUUUACUUAGGAGUCAAAUGAGAACAUUUGAUCAUAGGUCAUACUUAUCGUUUAAGCACAAGUGGGGUUACCACUUUUACAUAAAGCAUUGUUGUGUUCACACCAUUAGAGUUGCUUUAGCUCAAUUUAUUAGAGUAAAGCUCCCCCUAGAUGUGAUAUCCCCCCCUAAGAGGGAUGAACUAACCUUGGGUUUUGUCGAUGAUGACUUCAUGUAGGUGUUGAAGAUGUAGAUGCUCAAUGUUGAUGUAGAUCAUUCGGAGCAAUCCUUUGGAGUGAGUUGAACUUUCAAUACCUGCACGGGUUAGUCCCACAAGGAACAAACAAGAAUAUCCAUAGACAUAGAGUGAUGCAUACACAAGAUGAUGUCCAUGAAAGCAUUAGGUUUCCUUGUCCCUUGUCUCACCAACAAGAGGGUUUGUGACUCCUUGAACUAGUGCAAGAUACGGAAGUUGUUUGCACUUGUCCUCGCCAAAAUGAUAAGAGUGAAGUAUGUUGGCGGAGUCACCCUCAAGAACUCUCUAGUCCUUCUUCUUCUGGAUCCACACCAUCUUGAUGGGAAUCCUUGGAGUUGUAGUUGUACUUGAUGAAGUAGAACUUGAUGUAGUCUUGGGAACCCACUUGACCAAGGCCUUAGGUGCUUCUUCAAAUGCAUCAAUUUCCUCUUGAAGCUUGUCCUUGCCUUUUUGCUUGUGGUCUUGUGCUGGAAGAUCAUCUUGAGCUUGUGUCCCUUUGAAAGAAGUAGGAUCAUACUUCUCGUGUUGAGGAACAAACUUUGUCUUGGGGUAUUGAUCUUCUUCCCACUCAACUCCAUUGGCAUUGAACUUUCGUUCAAAACCAACACCUUGAUUCUUCCGGUGUCUUCCUUGCUUGCGCACAAUUUCCUCAAAUUUCUUACUUCCGGCAAGGCUCUUGUAAACACCUUUCUCUAUAAUUCCCUUCAAUAAGCUAUUUUCUUGCUCAAGUGUAACUUGGCUAACAACAUUGGAUUUAGCAUGAUUGUUGUUACUACUAGAUGAAGCAUCUUUCUUGUUCUUGUUGCUAGAUUUAACUUGUGGCAUGUAAGUAGACAAGAGUAAACGCUUGGCAAUGUAAGAAGAACUUUUCUUGCGAAGAUCAUCAUUGAGUGCCUUUAAAAACUCAUGCUCUUGCUCAAGGUUGAGCUUUUCAAAGCGUAGCUUAUCAUGAGUCUUUAAAAGUUCUCGAUGAUUUUCCAAGGUAGUUUCAUGAGCUAACUUAAGAGUGUUUAGUUCUUUAGUUAGUUGCUCAAUCUCCUUCUUAUCAUCGUCAUUCGUUUUAUCUUGAUUAGCAUGAUCAAUUGACGUUUCAUCAUAGUCUUCAUCACUAGAGCUGUCAACAAGGAAAUCAUCAUCACCUAGCAAAUCAUCUUCAUCACUAUUGAAAUCAACAUACUCGGGAUGUGUUACCUUUGGACCUUUGGCCAUGAAGCAUCUUCCAAUUCCUUCAUUUGGUGAGUCAAAUAUGUCAUAGGAGUUGGUUGACACAAGUGUUAGACCGGCAACACCUUCAUCUUGAGUAUAUUCGGAGUCGGAGUGAUAACUUCUUUCGGAGUGAUGGUUGGAGUCGGAGCCGGAUACCCAUUCACCAACAUGAGCUUGAUGUCUUCUUUUUGUGUAGCUCCUUGAUGACUUUUCCUUCCUUUCUGAAUCCUUGCUUCUCCGAGAGGGUCUACUCCUCCUUUCUCUUGGUGGUGAUUCUUCUCUUCUACUUCUUCUUUUGGGAGAAUCUUCCCUUCUUUUGUAGGGGGUCGUACACUCAUUGGAGUAGUGUCCGGGUCUUCCACAAUUGUAGCAAUUUCGCUCACGACUAGAAGAUCUUUUGUCAUUGUAGGACCUUGACUUGGAACUUCUUUCUUUGCUUCUACUCUUGUAGAACUUGUUGAAGUUCUUUACCAUUAGGCUCAAUUCUUCAUUUAAGGUCUGUUUCUCACUUGAUGAUGUGGGAGCAUCACACGAGGCUUUGUAAGCACCACUAGACUUGUUGUGAAGCUCUUCCUUAUCCUUGAGUGACAUCUCAUGAGCAACAAUUCUUCCAAUGACUUCCGUUCGCUUGAGAUCUUUGUAAUUGGGCAUCAUUUGGAUCAAUGUGCACACGGUAUCAUAUUUUCCAUCCAAGGCUCUUAGGAUCUUCUUGAUGAUGAAUUUGUUGGUCAUCUCUUCACUUCCUAAGCCGGCAAUCUCAUUUGUGAUGAGAGCAAGCCUAGAGUACAUUUCAGCGGCACCUUCACCAUCCUUCAUUUUGAACUUGUCAAGUUGACUUUGAAGCACAUCCAAUUUGGAUUCCUUGACGGAGUCGGUACCUUCGUGCAUAUCAAUCAAUGUAUCCCAAAUUUCCUUUGCAUUCUCAAGAUGGCUGAUUUUUUUGAAUUCUUCGGGGCCCAAUCCGUUGAAGAGAAUAUCACAAGCUUGAGCAUUGUAUUGUAGCAUCUUCAACUCUUCUGCGGUAGCUUCACGGUUAGGUUCUUUCCCAUCAAAUAAUUCACCUUGCAAGCCAAUACACACAAUAGCCCAAACGGCAGGGUUAUGUCAAAGAAUAUGCAUUUUCAUCUUAUGCUUCCAACUAGCAAAAUUUGUACCAUCAAAGUAAGGACCUCUAUGGUGGUAAUUUCCCUCGCUAGACGCCAUACUCUCCUAGGUUGUGAAACCAAGGCUAUGACCACCAAAAGCUAUGGAAAUCAAAGCAAAUGGAGACCAAUGCUCUGAUACCACUUGUAGGAUCGAAAGUAUGUCUAGAGGGGGGUGAUUAGACUACUUGACCAAAUAAAAAUCUAGCCUUUUCCCAAUUUUAGUUCUUGGCUGAUUUUAGCAACUUAGCACAAGUCAAGCAAUCAACCUACACAUGCAAUUCUAAGAGUAUAGCAGCGGAAUGUAAAACAAUUGCAUAUGAAGGUAAAGGGAAGAGUUUGAGGGAGCAAACGCAAUGUUGACACGGAGAUUUUUUAUCCGUGGUUCCGAUAGGUGGUGCUAUCGUACAUCCACGUUGAUGGAGACUUCAACCCACGAAGGGUAACGGUUGCGCGAGUCCACGGAGGGCUCCACCCACGAAGGGUCCACGAAGAAGCAACCUUGUCUAUCCCACCAUGGUCGUCGCCCACGAAGGACUUGCCUCACUAGGGUAGAUCUUCACGAAGUAGGCGAUCUCCUUGCCCUUACAAACUCCUUGGUUCAACUCCACAAUCUUGACGGAGGCUACCAAGUGACACCUAGCCAAUCUAGGAGACACCACUCUCCAAGAAGUAACAAAUGGUGUGUUGAUGAUGAACUCCUUGCUCUUGUGCUUCAAAUGAUAGUCUCCCCAACACUGAACUCUCUCUCAUAGGAUUGGAUUUGGAAGAAAGAAGAUUUGAGUGAAAAGCAACUUGGGGAAGGCUAGAGAUCAAGAUUUAUGUGGUUGGAAUGGAAUAUCUUGACCUCAACACAAGUGUAGGUGGUUCUCUCUCAGAAAAUAUGUAUUGGAAGUGUAGGCAUGUUCUGAUGGCUCUCUCCACGAAUGAAGAGUGGGUGGAGGGGUAUAUAUAGCCUCCACACAAAAUCUAACCGUUACACAUAAAUCACCAAACUCGGUGAGACCGAUUCAAAGAACUCGGUCAGACCGAUUUGGUUCAUAAUGUGACCGUUAGGCAUUUCGGUGGGACCGACAUGUCAACUCGAUGGGACCGAUAUCAUUAGUGUUAGGGCAUAACAUAAUCUCGGUGAGACCAAUUACACAAACUCGUUGAGACCGAUUUUGGUAAUAGACAAACAGAGAGUUGGUCAGGCAAACUCGGUGGUACCGCGCUCAUCUCGGUUGGACCAAAACGUUACGAAAGGGAAACAGAGAGCUUGCAUUGCAAUCUCAGUGGGACCGAUUGCUCAUUUCGGUUUGACCGAAACGUUACGAAGGGAAACAGAGAGAUUACAAUCCCAUCUCGGUUAGACCGAGAUCCCUAUCGGGAGACCGAAAAGACUAGGGUUUCUGGCAGUGGCUAUGUCAACUGAACUCGGUGCCUCCGGAUAGAAAGAAUCGGUGGGGCCGAGUUGGACUUAUGGUUUGGGACAUAUGUUGAUAUGAGAAAGUAGUGGAGGGUUUUGGAGCAUAUCACUAAGCAUUUUGAGCAAGAACCUCAUUAAGCAACACCUCAUCCCUUCUUAAUAGUAUUGGCUUUUCCUAUAGACUCAAUGUGAUCUUGGAUCAUUAAAAUAGAAAAUGUAGAGUCUUGUGCUUUGAGCUUGAGCCAAUCUUUUGUCCUUAGCAUUUUGAAGGGUCCACUUUCUAAUCCAUGCCAUGCCAAUCAUUGAGCUUUCCUGGAAUAUUUAUCUUGGAAUAGCAUUAGCUCAAUGAGCUAUAUGUUGUUAGGAAUUACCAAAACCACCCAGGGAUAGUUGCACUUUCAAUCUCUCAAAUUUUUCUUUGAGCUCUGGCACCUCUACAAAUCCCUACUUCCCUCUGCGUAGGGCCUUUCUUUUACUUUAUGCAAUUUUUAUUUUCAAUUUGAGUCUCCAUCUUCUCUUAUAUAGCACCAACUAGGAGGCACUAUGGUCGUACUUGAGCAUUCGGUGUAGCUAAUAUGGGAGUGUGUUUCAUGAAUGGAUCGAUGAUUGAGCAUGAUGGGCUAGGGAUAACUUAUUUUAGCAUUGAUAUUUUGAAAGACAUGGUUGCUUGUUGAUAUGCUUGAGUAUUUAAGUCUCAUGUCAAAACUAGACUAUUGCUUUGAACCAUAUAAAAGUCCAAAUGUCCAUGCUAUAAAGAAAAGAAUAUGAUAUGACAUGUUAGGCAGCAUUCCACAUCAAAAAUUCCGUUUUUAUCAUUUACCUACUCGAGGACGAGCAUGAAUUAAGCUUGGGGAUGCUGAUACGUCUCCAACGUAUCUAUAAUUUUUUAUUGUUCCAUGCUGUUAUAUUAUCAUUCUUGGAUGUUUUACAAUCAUUUUAUAGUCAUUUUAUAUCAUUUUUUGGUACUAACCUAUUGACCUAGUGCCAAGUGCUAGUUGUUGUUUUCUGCAUGUUUUUUACAUCACAGGAAAUCAAUACCAACGGAGUCCAAACGCAGUGAAACUUUUUGUGGAUUUUUUGGACCAGAAGACAUCCAGUGGGCCGGAGAAGCACGUGGGGGGUUCUCCGAGGGGAGCACAACCCACCAUGGCGCCCCUAGGGACCCAGGCGCGCCCAGGUGGGUUGUGCCCCCCUCGGGUGCCCCCUGAACCGCCUCUUUGCUCUAUAAAUACCCCAAUAUUCCAGAAACCCUAGGGGAGUCGACGAAAAUCAAUUCCAGCCGCCGCAGAGUACAGAACCACCAGAUCCAAUCUAGACACCAUCACGGAGGGGUGCAUCAUGUCCAUUGGUGCCUCUCCGGUGAUGCGUGAGUAGUUCUUUGUAGACCUACGGGUCCGUAGUUAGUAGCUAGAUGGCUUCCUCUCUCUCGUUAGAUUCUCAAUAUAAUGGUCUCUUGGAGAUCCAUAUGAUGUAACUCUUUUUGCGGUGUGUUUGUUGGGAUCCGAUGAACUUUGAGUUUAUGAUUAGAUCUAUCUUUUUAUCCAUGAAAGUUAUUUGAGUCUUCUUUGAUCUCUUAUAUACAUGAUUGCUUAUAGCCUCAUAUUUCUUCUCCGAUAUUUGGGUUUUGUUUGGCCAACUUGAUCUAUUUAUCUUGCAAUGGCAAGAGGUGCUUUGUAGUGGGUUCGAUCUUACGGUGCUUGAUCCCAGUGACAGAAGGGGAACCGACACGUAUGUAUCGUUGCUACUAAGGAUAAAAUGAUGGGGUAUAUUUCUACAUAAAUAGAUCUUGUCUACAUCAUGUCAUCGUUCUUAUUGCAUUACUCCAUUUUUCCAUGAACUUAAUACACUAGAUGCAUGUUGGAUAGCGGUUGAUGUGUGGAGUAAUAGUAGUAGAUGCAGGCAGGAGUCGGUCUACUAAUCUUGGACGUGAUGCCUAUAUAAUGAUCAUUGCUUGGAUAUCGUCAUGAUUAUUUGAAGUUCUAUCAAUUUCCCAACAGUAAUUUGUUCACCCACCGUUUGCUAUUUUCUCGAGAGAAGCCACUAGUGAAAUCUACGGCCCCCGAGUCUCUUCUUUAUUAUAUUUGCCUUUGUGAUCUAUUUUCUUUUGCUUUUAUUUUCAGAUCUAUUAAACCAAAAAUACAAAAAUACCUUGCUGCACUUUAUUUUAUUUGGUGUUCGAUCUAUCAAUGUUUACAACUCUCUCACGUCCGUUUGCCUAUCUUUGGCGCCGUUGCUCGAAAGGGAUUGACAACCCCUUUAACACGUCGGGUUGCGAGUAUUUGUUAUUUGUGUGCAAGUGUCAUUGACGUAGUGUUGCAUGAUUCUCCUACUGGUUCGAUAAGCUUGGUCUCAUCACUGAGGGAAAUACCUACCGUUGUUGUGCUGCAUCAUCAAUUCCUCUUUGGGGAAAUACCGACGUAGUUCAAGCCAACAUCAAGGACACACCAAAGCUUCCAGGGUUUCCUGUCCAGACACGGAGUCACCUUAUAGCUCGGCCUUGCAGUAGUCGUACAGCAUCCCACCUGUCUGGCCCAUAAGAGAAAGGCCGGCUGCCCGAGGACCCCCUAGUCCAGGACUCCCUCAGGCGCCGCACCGAAGCCAGAGGAGGUGGCUUUCCCGGCCUUCUUCCUCUUCUCCGCCUUGGCCGUGGAAUCUCUCGCAAAAAACAUCGCUGCGGGUGCUCUGAACGCUCGAGCCUGGAGAGGAAUGGAGAGGCCGAGGCAGAUAGAAGGGGAUAUAGGGUCCCGACCUCAGCCCCUAAACCUUUUAUAUCACGGAGCAAAUCAUAUGCCAGAUCUUGUCCAUAGAUCCCCGGAUCGACAGCGCGCGGCAAGGCAUCGCGCAGAACAGACGCUGCACGUGGCAGAUUUUGUGCACGAAAAUCAAGGAGCCGUGCCCCCACUUUCCCCACUAAUGCACGUCGUUACCACUUCUGCGCGCGCACACACAAAUUCAAAUCCCAAGAUUUUCGGGCGAAUCAAUCCGAUUGAUUACCCCCGGUUCCUUUCCUAAACGAUGCAUGUCAGUCCAACUGACCACCCUCCAAGGGGAUUCGUGCACUCGGCCAUGCUAAACACCUGAUUGAAGUAAACUUUAGGAUUGCUAUAAGACGAGCUCGACGCCCCUCCGCGGGUUGACUUGGCCCUUCAACAGGCUCCAAGGCGCAUGACUCGUAAACCUGGACUCGUAGAAGGCCAGCGCUGGCGUUCCCCUGGGAUAAGGAGUGGCAUCUCUCCAGAGAAUCAGGCCUCGCGCCAGCGUCGCCGCUCGAGUUGUUAUGGCAUGCUCUCACUCGGGCCUCAAGUCUAUCUCCCCCGGGAGACAAAUGAAUGCCACCAGGUUUUUCUCGGCGAUCGACAACACCCGGUUAUCUGGGAAAACUUGUAGUCCAGAAUCCAUUGUGUUUUCAUCCAAGGAGCAGCGAACCACGACUCGAAAACAUAUUCCGAGUGCCCUAGAAGCACUCAGACUUAAACAAAGGAUCGGUUCGUUUACCCUAUGAAACCUGAACCGACUCGGGGGCUAAUGAUGAGGUCACCUAUUACAGGUAGGGUCAAGGACCCAUCAUAUGGGACCCACAUGGGGCCCAUCACCACCAUUGGUAGGUCCUAGGACCAUGCCGGCAUUCAGAUGCACAUAUCAGGGAGUCCACUCGGACAGCUCGACAGCACUCGGACAACCACCCGUCACUCGGCUGGACAACCACCACUCAGACUAAAGAGGUGAAGGGACGGCGUGGGAGCUGCAACGGUCGAGGAAUCCUAAGUCGCCCUUGAAGCAGAGUCAAGACUACUGUUACCUAUAACUGAUGUAGUAGAAGCUCAUAAUACCUGUAACUGAUGCAUUCAAUGUCACUUAAUUCCCCGGCGACUGAUGUCUACUAUGCAACUUUAUUCUUGUAGACUCGUGUUGGGCCUCCAAGCACAGAGUUUUGUAGGACAGUAGCAAUUUUCCCUCAAGUGGAUGACCUAAGGUUUAUCAAUCCGUGGGAGGCGUAGGAUGAAGAUGGUCUCGCUCAAGCGACCCUGCAACCAAAUACAAGAAAUCUCUUGUGUCCCCAACACACCCAAUACAAUGGCAAAUUGUAUAGGUGCACUAGUUCGGCGAAGAGAUGGUGAUAAAAGUGUAAUAUGGAUGGUAGAAAUAUAUUUUUACAAUCUGAAUAAAUAAAAACAGCAAGGUAGCAAAUAGUAAACGGGCACAAAAAUGGUAUUGCAAUGCUUAGAAACAAGGCCUAGGGUCCAUACUUUUGCUAGUGCAAUCUCUCAACAAUGCUAAUAUAAUUGGAUCAUAUAACCAUCCCUCAAAGUGCGAUGAAGAAUCAUUCCAAAGUUCCUAUCUAGCGGAGAACAUAAGAAUAAAUUUUUUGUAGGGUACGGAACCACCUCAAAGCUAUUCUUUCCGUUCGAUCUAUUCAAGAGUUCGUACUAACAUAACACAAAGCUAUUCUUUCCAUUCGAUCUAUCCUAGAGUUCGUACUAAUAUAACACCAAAGCAAAUUCAGAUUCAUAAUACUCAAUCCAACAUAAAGAACCUCAAAGAGUGCCCCAAGAUUUCUACCGGAGAAACAAAGACAAGAACGUGCAUCAACCCCUAUGUGUAGAUUACCCCAAUGUCACCUCGGGAAUCCGCGAGUUGAGUGCCAAAACAUAUAUCAAGUGAAUCAAUAUGAUACCCCAUUGUCACCACGAGUAUUCAUAUGCAAGACAUAUAUCAAGUGCUCUCAAAUCCAUAAAAGUAUUCAAUCCGAUAACAACGAAAUCUCAAAGGGAAAAACUCAAUUCAUCACAACAAGAUAGAGAGGGGAAAACACCAUAUGAUCCAACUACAUUAACAAAGCCCACGAUACAUCAAGAUCAUGCCAUAUCAAGAACACGAGAGAGAGAGAGAGAGAGAGAGAGAUUAAACACAUAGCUACUGGUACAAACCCUCAGCCCCGAGGGUGGACUACUCCCUCCUCAUCAUGGUGGCCGCCGGGAUGAUGAAGAUGGCCACCGGUGAUGAUCCCCCCUCCGGCAGGGAGCCGGAAUAGGGUCUAGAUUGGUUUCUCGUGGCUAUAGAGCCUUGCAGCGGUGGAACUUCUCAUCUAGGAUUACCCGAAGGGUUUUGGAAUAUUUGGGAAUUUAUAGGGCGAAGAGGGGGUAUGGGAGGCCACUGAGGUGGGCACAACCCACCCGGGCGCGCCUGGGCCCCCANNNNNNNNNNNNNNNNNNNNNNNNNNNNNNNNNNNNNNNNNNNNNNNNNNNNNNNNNNNNNNNNNNNNNNNNNNNNNNNNNNNNNNNNNNNNNNNNNNNNNNNNNNNNNNNNNNNNNNNNNNNNNNNNNNNNNNNNNNNNNNNNNNNNNNNNNNNNNNNNNNNNNNNNNNNNNNNNNNNNNNNNNNNNNNNNNNNNNNNNNNNNNNNNNNNNNNNNNNNNNCCAUAAAAAUCCACAAAAAGUUUUGCGGUGUUUGGACUCCGUUUGAUAUUGAUUUCCUGCGAUGUAGAAACAAGCAAAAAACAGCAACUAGCACUAGGCACUGGGUCAAUAGGUUAGUCCCAAAAAAUGAUAUAAAGUUGCUAUAAAAUGAUUGUAAAACAUCCAAGAAUGAUAAAAUAACAGCAUGAAUACUUCAUAAAUUAUAGAUACGUUGGAGACGUAUCAGCGACGUGGAGGACAUGGGGCUGCGGUGUACUCUAUAUAAGUUGCCGCCCACCUCCUUAGUGGGGGUCAAGAAAUAUUUGUAACCAUACCCAUCAAAUCAAAACCAAGCCUCAGGGCACGAGACGUAGGGAUGUUUCCUCCUCCAAGAGGGGCUUGAACUCGUUAAACACCGAGUGUUACACCUGCGCCAUAGCUAGGUUCUGCCCCUUAUUCGUACCCCUAGAACUCAUUGUCAGGAUCGUAACCCCGACACCCCCCCCCCCCCGGGUACGCCCGCCGAGCUUGUCGCCAGCUCGUGGCCCUUCUGACCUCCUCCCGAAGCUUCCAGGGUGUCUUGUGGUCCAAUAAAAAUCAUCGUCCAAGAAAAAUCAUCAAAAAGUUUCUUUCCAUUUGGACUCCGUUUGCUAUUGAUUUUCUGUAAAGACAAAAACAAGGAAAAAACAGCAACUAGCACUGGGCACUAGGAUAAUAGGUUAGUCCCAAAAAUGAUAAAAUAGCAUAAUAAUGCAUAUCAAACAUCCAAGAUUGAUAAUAUAAUAGCAUGUAACAAUCAAAAAUUAUAGAUACGUUGGAGACAUUGAAGAAUCCCCCAGCUUAAUUCCUGCUCGUCCUCGAGUAGGUAAAUGAUAAAAACAAAAAAAUUGAUGUGGAAUGCUACCUAACAUGUUUAUCAUGUAAUCUUUUUUUAUGUGGUAUGAAUAUUCAGAUCCAUAUAAGAAUCAAAACAAAAGUUUAAUAUUGACAUAAAAAUAAUAAUACUUCAAGCAUACUAAAAAGCAAUCAUGUCUUUUCGAAAUAUCAUGGCCAAAGAAAGUUAUCCCUACAAAAUCAUAUAGUCUCGUAAUGCUCCAUCUUCUUAACACAAAGUAUUUAUCAUGCACAACCCUGAUGACAAGCCAAGCAAUUGGUUCAUACUUUUAACACGCUUCAACUUUUUCAACUCUCACGCAAUACAUGAGUGUGAGCCAUGGAUAUAGCACUAUGGGGGGAAUAGAGUAUGAUGUUGGAGGUUGUGUGGAGAAGACAAAAAAGAAGAAAGUCUCACAUUGACAAGGCUAAUCAACGGGCUAUGGAGAUGCCCAUCAAUUGAUAUCAAUGCAAGGAGUAGGGAUUGCCAUGCAAUGGAUGCACUAGAGCUAUAAGUGUAUGAAAGCUCAAAAGAAAACUAAGUGAGUGUGCAUCCAACUUGCUUGCUCAUGAAGACCUCGGGCAUUUGAGGAAGCCCAUCAUUGGAAUAUACAAGCCAAAUUCUAUAAUGAAAAAUUCCCAAUAGUAAUAUAUGGAAGUGACAAAAUAGGAGACUCUCUAUCAUGAAGAACAUGGUGCUACUUUGAAGCACAACCACAGAAAAAGAUAGUAACAUUGUCCCUUCUCUCUUUUUCUCUCAUUUUUUCGUUCUUUUUCUGUUUUUUUAUUUUGUUGGGCACUUUGGCCUCUUUUUUUCUUGGGCUCGUUUGGCCUCUUUUUCAUUUUUUAUAUUCCUCACAUAGGACAAUGCUCUAAUAAUGAGUAUGAUCAUCACACUUCUAUUUACUUACAACUCAAGAAUCACAAAUCAAUACUAGAACAAAAAUAUGACUCUAUAUGAAUGCCUCCCGCGGUGUACCGGGAUGUGCAAUGAUCUAGCGUGACAUAUAUAAAAAAUAUGAACGGUGGCGGAGCCACAAAUACUAUGCAAACUAUAUGAUCAUGCAAAGCAAUAUGACAAUGAUGAUAUGUGUCAUAAUAAAAUGGAACGGUGGAAGUUGCAUGGCAAUAUAUCUCAGAAUGGCUAUGGAAAUGCCAUAAUAGGUAGGUAUGGUGGCUGUUUUGAGUCAGAUAUAAGGAGGCUUAUGUGUGAUAGAGUGUAUCAUAUCACGGGGUUUGGAUGUACCGACGAAGUUUGCACCACAACUCGAGGUGAGGGGCAAUGCACGGUACCGAAGAGGCUAGCAAAAUGCAGAAAGGUAAGAGUGCGUAUAAUCCAUGGACUCAACAUUAGUCAUAAAGAACUAACAUACUUAUUGCAAAAGUUUAUUAGCCCUCGAAGCAAAGUGCUACUAUGCAUGCUCCUAGGGGGAUAGAUUGGUAGGAAAAGACCAUCGCUCGUCCCUGAUUGCCACUCAUAAGGAAGACAAUCAAUAAUAAACCAUGCUCCAAUUUCAUAGCAUAACGAGAGACCAUACGUGCAUGCUACGGGAAUCACAAACCUUAACACAAAAUAUUCUUACUAAACCACAAUUACUCACUAGCAUGACUCUAAUAUCACCAUCUUUAUAUCUCAAAACAAAUGCAAUGAAUCAAACUUCUCAUAUAUUCAACGAUCUUGAUGAAAGUUUUUAUUAUAUCCCUCUUGAAUACCCAUCAUAUUAGGACUAAAUUCAUAACCCAAGCAAAUUGCCAUACUAUUUAUAAGACUCUCAAAAUAAUAUAAAUGAGGCACGAGAGUUCAUCAUUUCUUUAAAAUAUAACCACCGCCGUGCUCUAAAAGAUAUAAGUGAAGCACUAGAGCAACUACCUAGCUCAAAAGAUAUAUGUGAAGCUCAAAGAGUAUUCUAAUAAAUUCAGGAAUAAUGUGUGUCCCUCUCAAAAAGGUGUGUCCAGCAAGGAUUAUUGUGGAAAACUAAAAGGCAAAUAAAUCAAAGACUCAUAUAAUACACGACGCUCCAAGCAAAAUUCAUAUCAUGUGGUGAAUAAAAAUAUAGCCCCAAGUAAUUUACCGAUGGAUUGUAGACAAAAGAGGGGAUGCCAUCCGGGGCAUCCCCAAGCUUAGACGCUUGGUUGUCCUUGAAUAUUACCUUGGGGUGCCUUGGGCACCCCCAAGCUUAGGCUCUUGCCACUCCUUAUUCCUUAGCCCAUCAAAACUUCACUCAAAACUUGAAAACUUCACAACACAAAACUCAACAGAAAACUCAUGAGAUCCAUUAGGAUAAUAAAACAAAUCACCACUUUUGAUACUGUUGUAAACUCAUUCAAAUUUCAUAUUAGCAUUAUAUCUACUGUAUUCUAACUUCACCAUGGUUCGUGCCCCCCGAUAUUACCCAUAGAUUCAUCAAAACAAGAGAACAACUCAAUGAAAACAGAAUCGGUCAAAAACAGAAUAGUCUAUAAUAACCUAAAUAUUGCUCACUACUGUAACUCUAAAAAUUCUGAAAAAUUAGGACAACGUGGGCAAUUUGUGUAUCAAUCUUGUGUAAAACAUUCAAAGUAAAAACACGUUUUUGUGAAUUUACAAAAUUCCAGAACUGGACGCAGAAGUUUCUCUUUUUCACAGAAUCAAAUCAACUAACUUCCAAAUCAUCCCAAAGGUCUUACUUGGCACAAACACUAAUUAAAAUACUAAAACACAAUCAUAACAGUAGCAUAAUUGCAUAAACUCAUAAAACAGAAAAGAGAGAUAUUGGGUUGUCUCCCAACAAGCGCUUUUCUUUAAAGCCCUUUUAGCUAGGCAUUGAUAAUUUUAAUGAUGCUCACAUGAAAGAUAAGAAUUGAAGCACAAAGAGAGCAUCAUAUAGCAUGUUAAAAUUAGAUUUAGUUCUAACAUACUUCCUAUGCAUAGGCAUUUUAUAAGAAAAUGAAUUAUCAAAACAAGCAAAAACUAGCAUAAGCAAGGAAGAAGAAUAAACAUUGACAAUCUCAACAUGAAGAGAGGUAAUUUAGUAACAUGAAAAUUUCUACAACCAUAUUUCCCUCUCUCAUAAUAAUUACAUGUGGGAUCAUAUUCAAAUUCAACAAUAUAGCUAUCACAUAACAUAUUCUCUACAUGAUCCACAUGCAUGCAAAGUUGACACUCUUCCACUAUAGUGGGAUUAUCGUCAGAUAAAGUCAUGACCUCUCCAAGCCCACUUUUAUCAAAAAAUUCAUAAGAUUGAUCAUUCUCCAAAGUAGUAGGAUCAUUAUUACCUAGAGUUGACACUCUUCCGAACCCACUUACACUAUUAUCGCAAACAUAUUCAUCAUGAGGCUUAAAUAAAUUUUCAAGAUCAUAAGUAGAAUCACCCCAAUCAUGAUCAUUGCAAUAAGUAGUGGACAUAUCAAAAUUAGCAUCCCCAAGAUUGGGGUUUUGCAUAUUAUUAGCACAAUUGACAUUAAUAGAAUUUGUAAUAACACCAUUGCAAUCAUGCUUUUCAUUCAAGGACUAUCGUUAAUCACUUCAUAAAUUUCCUCUUUUAGCACUUCAUCACAAUUUUCAAAUUCACGAAUUUCAAGCAAAACUUCAUAAAGAUAAUCUAGUGCACUCAACUCACUAGCAAUUGGUUCAUCAUAGUUGGAUCUCUUAAAAAUAUUAGCAAGUGGAUGAGGAUCCAUAAAUUUUUUGCUUCUGAUUUGGAAUAAACAUACAAUUAUGCCAAGCGAACAAGCAAACAAACCAAGUAAGACAUAAAGGCAAAUGGAAAGAAGGCAAAUAAAAAGGCAAAUAUUUUUGUAUUCUCUGAAAAAUGUUUUAGAAGUGGGUGACAGGAAAACGAGAGGCAAAUGGAUAAUAAUGUAAAUGCAAGAGAUGAGAGUUUAUGAUAGGUACUUGGUAGGCUUGAUGUAGAUCCUCCCCGGCAACGGCGCCAGAAGUUCUUCCUGCUACUUCUUGAGCUUGCGUUGGUUUUUCCCUUGAAGAGGAAAGGGUGAUGCAGCAAAGUACAGAUAAGUAUUUCCCUCAGUUAAGAACCAAUGUAUCAAUCAAGUAGGAGGAACACAAGUCUCCAAUGAUAGCACCUACACAAACAAACAAAUACUUGCACCCAACGCGAUAAAGGGGUUGUCAAUCCCUUCAUGGUUACGCAAGGAUGAGAUCUGAUAGUGAUAGAUAUAAAAGAUAGGUAAAAGUGCAAAAUAAAAUAAAAGUAAAUAAAUUGCAGCAAGGUAUUUUUGGGUUUUUGACUUUGUAGAUCUGAAAAUAAUAUGAUAAAAGAUAAACCCCGGGCCAUAGUUUUCACUAGAGGCUGCUCUCUUGAAAGAAAGCAUACGGUGGGUAAACAAAUUACUGUUGAGCAAUUGAUAGAAAAGGGGAUAAUUAUGAAGAUAUCUAAGGCAAUGAUCAUAUAUAUAGGCAUCACGUCCGAGACAAGUAGACCGACUCAUGUCUGCAUCUACUACUAUUACUCCACACAUCGACCGUUAUCUAGCAUGCAUCUAGUGUAUUAAGUUAACAAGAACGGAGUCACUACAAAAAAAGACACAUCCAUGAUAUUUUGGGCCGAAUGAACUUUUUUUCUGUCAUGCUUAUGACACUUCUAUGACGAUAAUUGUGACAAAACCCGGUAUCAUCAUAGAUGUGGUGGGCUCCUACUUCUAUGACAAAAAAUCAUGACAGAAAAUGGGCUUUUCGUCCUGGGCGGGCCGGACAUGCAGCUGCAUGACAUUCUUUGGGCCAUCCAUGACGGAAAAAAACCAUGGUAGAAGCGAGGGCGAGGAAAAUAUCGGGGAGUUCCCGGUUACGGUGGGUGGUUGGGGGUCGAGCGAUGCGCGUUUCUCUCGUACACAUACGAGCGUGGGUGCGAGGCGUUUGGCUCUAACUGAACCCGAGCGAGGCGUUCGCCUACUGAACCCGAGCGAUUGCACUAUAGGCUACGCGUUAUUGAACCCGAGCAAUCAAUCGAUGGCUGUUAACUGAACCCGAUCGAGCGAUUCCUUCACUACUGCUGCUAACUGAAGUCGAUCGAACCCUGCUGCCUCCUUCCCUUGAUGAACAGUGAGUGUUGUUGGGGGGUUGGAUGAACAGUUCCCGGUGUGGGGUUGGAUGAACAGGACCCCGUGGUGUUGCCGCUGGAUGAACAGGACCCCGAUCGAUCGAGCCGGUUAGGCGUGGAUGAACAGGACCCCGUGGAGGGCUGGAUGAACAGGACCCCGUGGAGGGAUGGUUGAACAGUAGCCGGUGGAGGGCUGGUUGAACAGUAGCAGGUGGAGGGCUAGAUGAACAGUAGCCCGUGGAGGGGUGGUUGAACAGGACCCCGUGGAGAGGGCUGGUUGAAUAGUAGCUGGUGGAGGAGCGGUGGAGGCUGGAUGAAUAGGAGCCCGUGGAUGAACAGUCGCAGGUGGAGGCUGGAGGAGGUCGACGGUGGAUGAACAGUAGCCCAUGGAGGCAGUUGACGGUGGAGAUGAAUAGUAUCCCGUGGAGUCCCGUUUUGCGGUACGCCACACCCCUCCCGAUGAACAGGACCCCGUUUCGACCGUAGGAGGCCCAAGAGAAGUCCGUUUCCUCCAUUUUGCGGUACGCCAGACCCCUCCCGAUGAACAGGAUCCCGUUUUGACCGUGGCCGGUCGAACACAAGGCCAUUUCCUCCGUUCUGCGGUACGCCAGGCUUCGUUUCAAUCGGCUGUUCCGUCCAAGCCGGUUGGCUCCCGAUGAACACGACGUAUUCCGUUGCCUACCGAUGAACACGACGCAUUCCGUUGCCACCCGAUGAACACGAAGACGACGUAGUUUCUCCAUUCCGACCCAGCCAUGUGUGCGAGCCCUGGCCGUACAUAUGCACGAGUAGGCGUUUGAGACCCCGCCCGUAUGUACGUACGUGGCCGUAUUUUUUGGCGUGGGGUUGUAUGUACGUGUACACAGUUUAGACGGGGCAACCUGAACUGCUACGUGGGGGGCUCUACUAUGACAUGUGCCGCUACUUACUCGGCCAUGGUUCAUCGUUACAGAGCGACCGAUCGACCAGUAUGUACGUACACAUUCCGGCAAGACAGAAAACGGUACGUACGCUUCGACCGCGUGGGUCCCAGCUCUCAGGGAGGAUAAGGACGCACUUCCUUGCGUGCGAAGAUAUAGCUGCUAGGUCCCAGCUGUCAGGGGGUUUUUUUCCGUAAUAAGGACGCACUUCCUUGCGUGCGAAGAUGUAGCUGGUGGGUCCCAGCAGUCAGGGGGAGAAAAUAUUAUUUUUCAGGGUAAAAAGGAUGCAGUUGCAUGCAUGCAUCCAUGGGCGUGGUGUGUCCCCACUGUUAGCCUCUCACGUACAGUCAUCUUCCGAUGACUCUUGUUUGUUGACCAUGUUGACCACACCGUGCCGGGCGCACCAAGGCCGGUGGACGACGGCGAGGCCCUAGACUGGAACGACCCAGAGAUGGGGAAGACGCGGCAGUGGAGUCGCAGAUGCAGAGGAGUGGGAAACUUGACUGGUUCGGGUGCGCGGCAGCACUGCCGCCCAAGGGCGAUAGGAGCAAGAACAGAGGUUGAAGAAGGAGCACGGCUAUUGGAUUAACAUCCAACGGUCAGCUGCUAGAAUCAUUUGUUGAUUAAGUAGACAAAGCCCUGCGUACAAGUCCGCUUAGUAGGCCCACAAGUCAGACACCAAAUCUGACGAGUCCCAGCUGUCAACGGGAGGAAUGGUUUUUUUUUUUUGCAUAACAAGGAGGCACUUCCUUCCGUGCGAAGAUACAGCCGGUGGGUCCCAGCUGUCAGGGGGAGGAAACAUUUUUUUCAGCUUAAUAAGGAGGAACUUUCCUUGCAUGAGACCAUGGACCUCGUGGGUCCCAGCCGUCAGGCUCUCCACGUACAGUCCUCUUCCGAUGACUCUUGUUUGUUGACCACGCCGCGCCGAGCGCAGCGAGGUGGUGGACAACAGCGAGGCCCCGUACGGGAACGACCCGGAGAUAGGAAGACGCGGAAGUGGAGUCGCAGAUUGAGAGGAGUAGAAGGGUUAUAACUAGUUCUGGUGCCGCGUGGGGCUGCAGUCGGUGGAGAAUAACAGGAGGUGUGGAGGGGCGGAGGGAUAGCCCGGCCGGCGGUGGGGUAGCGCUUCGCAACAAUGCGUGCUAAGCAAAGCCGCUAGCCGCCGGAGGCCAGACCAGGCGGUCCCGGCGAUGCUGGAGGAAGAAGACGAGAGAUUGAUGGUGCAUGCCGGCCGUUGGAUAUAAAUCCAAUGGAUGUGGAUGUCAUAAUCAUUUUUUGACCAAGUUGACAACGCCCUGCGUAGGCUUCGACCUAUUGGCCCACAUGUCAGCAUGCAAAAAUGUGGCAUAUAUUUAACCCAUGUUUUCUAGAAUGUACAAUCCAUUUGCUGGGCUGGGUGAACAAAUAAUUUCGCGUCAAUGCGGUCCAUUUAAUAUUUUCUAAGAAAUCCCAGCCCAUUUGCACUUUCUUGAAAUACAUGAAUUAGCUGGGCUCAUUCUAUAUGUAAUGUUAGGUUAGAAGGUGCAAUUAAUAUCAAAAAAUAAACAGAAGCGGCACAUUUUUUAUAUAUAAUAUUAACAAAUUAGCGAGUUAUUGCUCAAAAUAAAAAUGAGCGCGUUAUUAUUACAUUGGUCCUUAAAAAUCUUCGCAAGCUUUUGUACGCAAUCACCAGGAUUUUCCUUGCCUGUGAGUCAAAAACAACCAGGAUUUAUCUUGCCAACAUCUGUUAAACAUUUACUUUUAUAAGUUAAUAACAUGUGGGAUGUUUUUAUAAUGUAUAUAUAAGUCUCUAUAAAAUAUACGAUAAUCGUAAUAGUAUAAAUAUAUAUAAUGUGGUUAGAAGGCAAAACAUAAAUUGGACACAGCAUUAUUAUUCUUAUAUAUAAAUAAAUAGAACAAAGAUUUGUGUUUUAUUGAUAAAAAACAUUGGGCUGCCAAUCUUUAAGAAAAAGUAAAACCUACGCUGGGAGGCCUAUAGGCCGGUAUGGACCUCAAAAAAUAAGUUGAAACCACUGUCUCCGUAUGUCGUGGGCUACGCAUGUUAAAAAACAAAACCUAGGCCUAGCUGAUACUUGUUCGCCCUCUACAAAAAAAUGAUACCAGCUAGAUCCCCGAGCGAACUGGAUUAAAGAGGGGGCCGGCGGCGCGACUAAAGAAGCACAUCAGACGCGAUUGUUUUUCUUCGGUGGAUGGCUCUCGAUGGCUUUUUUUACUUGCCUCUUCACCAUACAACUUGUAUUUUUAGCCUCCCAGUCCGUGGUGGACCAGCAACCCAUUUGCUGGGCGGGCCAACCUACAGAAACCAGCACUCAAUUUUUCAUCAAGCCCCAAAAACAGUGCAGUACUAUGUUUGUUUUGAGGCCGAAAACAUUACGGCAGGAGUUGAGCGGGGGAGGGGGGAAGAUAGAGCAAAAAGAUUAAAAAGAGCUGAUGCGCCGUUGCUACCCUAACAAAGCAGGUGCAAUUCUUCUCGGGAAGAAGGUGUGCCGUUGACACCCACACGUCACAAAUCCCAUAGUAGACAUACUAACAAGUUCACACACAAGUACAACAGAAAAGGUAAACAUUCAUAUCAAACUCAGGUUCACAGGACACGUUCAUAUUCAUAGCCAACAUUCACAAUCAACAACUCAAAAGAUUCAUAUAUACACAAGUUCAGCAUGUCUAUGCAUCCAAAUGAUUAAUAAAUCACACGACAAUAUUCAUAGAUAAUUCACAAAAAGAUUCAGAUAUACACAUGUUCAGUAUGUUUAUGCAUCCAAAUGAUUAAGAUCAUAGCCAAUAUCAUCCAUGGACGAACUUUAAUUACCUAGGGUACAGACUGGUAAAUGGUGUUCAGUCGGAGGUACUUCUUGCUAAAAUUAAUGCUUGUACGAGUAAACUUUUGAGUACAUAAGAGGCAGCACAGACAAUCUGAACUUUGCUUGUAGGUUUAUCCUCAAAUAGUGGCCUUGUGCCGAGGGAGGUUUGAGCAACUUGCCCACUACUUUCAUCCAACUAGUUUACUAGCUCAUCUUGGUCCUGUAGCUCGCCAAAAUUCUACAUUGCAGACAAGAAAGGAGGCGGUUGAGAAAAUGAACCACCCAAAUUUGUUGUGCAAUUCAACUGAAAUGGAGCAUCCCUGGCGUGCACCCUGAUUAAGUGUCAGAUGAAUAUACGCGUCAACCAACUUGUUUGGAAUCUUUAGACUCCAUGCCAUACAGUUCGCUACCAUAUGUGCCGAUAACCAAAAGGCACAAGUUGGGACCAAAGACUGGACUGCGUUUUUCUGGGCUAUGCGCCAAGCAAUAUUUGUGGCGGGUUAAUGCCGGUUGAUACUCGAAUGAAUAUAGGCACUUCUUCUUGUGAACAUCGAUGCUUGUCUGAGUGAACUUUGGAGUACAUAGCAGCAGCAUAAGUAUCUGUCCAUCUGAUCUUUUUGUGCAGUUCUACUGAAAUCGCCCAAUGUAAUGAUUUGCCUGCGAGUUCAGGCUCCAAGUUACUCCUUUAUGAAAUCGGCAAACAGUAGCACAAUACCAAAUUACCAAUACAUAUGACAAGCACAAUAAUCAGGAUAAAGACUAGUACCAACCUGUGUGAGGUAGCAUAUCAAUUACUAUUUCCUUUGACUGGAAGCCGAGAUAAAUGAAGCGACUGACAGUAAAGGAAGGAAGGAAGCCGAGAUAAGCGACUGACAGGAAAGGAAGGAAGCUGUCGAGGCAAUGAAGCGCCCAAAGUUUUUGUGCAGUUCCACCAAAAUCGAGCAUCCCUGUUGGCACAUAUAUUGAGAGAGUGAGAUUACUGUAAUAGUGGGACUAGUUGAUGAAACAUACACUAACAAAUAGAAGCACCCUCAUUAUCUUAAUGGGUAAAGUUAGCAACAUAGUAGUCUUGCUUGAAGAGAGGUAUUAGUUUAUUUAAUCAGUGCCAAUUAGCUCAACACUCAAAGCAUUGCCAUGUAUCAUAGGUUGCAAAACUUUAACGUGCAAGGAUAAAGGAGUUUCUCAUGACUAUUGCACAAUACAAAUAGAGAUGAUAGCAAACUAAUAUGGAUGAAGGCCUUAGGCCGGUACCAACCUGAGCAAAAAAACUUAUUCAUGUAGUCCCAGAAGAUAUGAUAAAGCACUCACUGGAAUCACUCGAUAGUAUAUAUUUUUGUGCACUUCAAAUGUAUGGUUGAAAUCACUCUUGUUUACCAGUGCUGAGAUUAUAUCGAAAGAUUAUCAAGAACUUUCAGCAGAGUUAAAGCACUGGCUGGGAUACAGUUCAUUGUAUUGUCUUGUGUAGUUCCACUAAAAUGUAUGAUUGGCACAACAUGAUCCCUGUUUGCACAAGUAGGAACAAGGUGAAACCUUCAUUAGCUUAGUGAGAAAGGAUAGAAAGACAUUAGCAUAUUACUCUAAUAGUAGCAUCAAAUUCAUGAUAGACAAUACGCAAAACAUUGCCUCAUUGAACCAAUGGCAAUAAAUUGACAUGCAAAACAAUAGCACUAUUAUUUCAUGACACUACGCAGAUUCCCUCCCUGCUCCACCACAUGAUUCACCUCCACAGACACACAUACACACGUACAUGAUUCAGCAUAGGGUGCUACUAAAGAUUUGUUUAACUCUGACAGGAAAAUUAGGUAGCAAUAAAUUAGUGGUGCUUAAGUACUCCUAAUUAAUUAAGUGACCUUGCAGGAGAGACAACAGAAGUGGAAGGGCUCCCUGGAGGAUCGUCUCACAUGUAAGGUAGACAUUGCUGGAGCCCUUGAAUGGCCUCGACUGAGCCCUCGGGCUUCAGCAAGAUCACCUUGGCACUGUUGAUCGUGUAGAGCUGGGUCACAUAUGCAUCCAGAAUCCAGUUAAUUAGUAUGAUGUGUCGUCAACCCAAGUACUACUCUGCUGCAUUUCUCCAUCUAUCUCUACUCUACUCUACUUUACUUCUCUUAUAAAAAAAUAGAGUUGGUGAUGAUGGUGUGCCUGCCAUCCUACAAUAUAUGCCGUCUGAUUUAUAUCUGACGGAUAGGAAGGAAACUAUGGCAAUUUUGCAAAAAGGUACCCACAGCCCUCUCCACAUUUGCAAAUAAGGCCUUCCCUCGUUCAUCCUUUUCUCUCACAAGAUAAACUACUCAUACAAAUGCAUCUUGAUGUUAUGUGCAACGCACGGGCAUCUUGCUAGUCUUCCAAGUAAAUUAACACUAGUAGCAACACAGAAAUACAAUACCACUAGCAAAAUGUCAGGAUAACAUAGGACGGUACCAUCGUGUGAUCUCCAUUUCCUCUUUAUUCUUCUUCUUCCUCCUCUUCAUGCUCUGUUUCUCUUUCUCCUCAACAGUUGGUGAAACCAAGUACAUGAUUGGCCUUCUAUUUCAAAUUGGUUUUGUCAGUGAGGGAGUACAAGUGUACUAGUAAACAAUAGCAUUAUUUUCUCAUGGCAGUCGCAAAAUAGAGAUGAACACAUGCAUUAAAUAUCAUUCUUACCUAAAGGAAAGUUAUGGUGCCAAUAUGGAUGAUGAGGAUUGGAACACAGAUCUCCCUUUGUGCAGUUCCACCGAAAUGAACCAACUGUUCCAUUCUGACAUUCCAGUUAAACAGCACAAAAGUCACUUCUUUUAAGAAGUGUUUUGUGCAGUGCACCAAAAGGUCACAACAGCAACCAGGUGAAAUGGAUAUCCCUGUUUGCACAAAAAACUACAGAGGAAACAGUCAGAGUCUCAAACAAUUACAGGCAAAAACAUUUGGGUAAACUUGUCAUCGCUUAUAACAGUGGCAUGGCUUCAUUUUACCAGGGGCAUUAGAUUAAGAAUAGCUAAAUAUUUGGUAUAAGGGAAUGGGACAGUGGGCGCACCAGCAGCCCAGCACCAUGUACCUAAACUGGGGCAUAAACUGGUGAUUCAGAGUUUGUUGCCCCGAGAAACAAACAUCCAAGAAACAUAUCUGGGUUGGUCCCAUUUUUGUUCACUCUAGCCACCUACUCCUAUGUGUGGAUAGCAAAUCUAGUCCUGUUCAUACCACUGUGUACAGCAUUUCCCCUAUAUUUCCCUUUUCGACCAAGAGACCGGUUGGAUGACUAGUCUGUACUACUUUCACCCCCUUUCCUUCAUGUUUGUACCAAGUCCGAUGUACAUACUAAAUUCCCCCACCCCCACUUUAUUUCUUGUUUGAACCAAGUACAAGAUUUGACUCCAUGAAGUAGCUUUACCUCUAACAAUAGAGAAAAAAAUAGGUGACGUUGGACCAUCCGAUCGAGAGGGGCUGAGAGGUAGAAAAUGAUGCACAUGCAGCGACGUAGCAAGCUGGGGAAGUAGAGCUAGGGCGGUUUCGAAGGAAGAUAUACCUGAAGGUCAUCGGGAUGUGGAUAGGUGGGUGGCAGGAGGCCGGAUCCGCCCACACUAGGGCAACGACGAAGGGAUCGGAGGACCUCCCGCAUCGGCGCUCGGCUAGAGAUAACGGUGCGGCCGACAGUGGGUCUCCUCCCUCGCUGUCGACGACGGCCUAAAUGCUGCCCCUCCUCCCCUUCACCGGCGGAGGGGGAUACGUCCGAAUCUGUAACCAACGGUGAGGAUAGAAAGACAAUGUUACCACCGCUAUCUUGUUUAGAUCUGGAGAGGAUGAGAGUGUGUGAAUAGAGCAACCCUAGCAAGCAAGCGCGGAUGCUCCGGGCUAUAUAUGCACGUAGUGGGGUAGUUUUCCUUUUUCACUCCAUCAAAACAAUCGUUUAAAAUUGUGUGCGUGCCAGGUCACCGUUUUUUCUUGAGUUGUUGAUUGUUUUUUGAGAUAGCUACCCGCUUAUUCCAAGUGGUGUUACGGUGUGCCAGCUCGCACUUUGUAUCGUUCAAGUCUGGUACAAGACCCUCCAUUAAAUGAACAACCACCGCCUCAUAAAAUUUGGGAACAAGCCCACGGCUAAAAUUAUCAAAAACGUGGGCUGCCCCAACAUGCAUUAUUAUUUAUAUUUUCUAUGUCGGAGUAUCCUCAAAACAAAAUGUGAGAGUACAAUAUUUAUUGGGCCCCUUUGUAAUUGGUGCUAAAUUUUGACCAAAGAUUUAACUGACAAAAUGUUAGUGCAUAUUAACAAAAAUUAUAUCGUUUGAAUCGUAUUUCAACAUAUUUUUCAAUGAUGUAAUUUUUUGUGAUAUGCAUGAACAUUUGGUUAGUUAAAUUUAUAGUCAAAAUUUGGCAAGGUGCAUUAAAUCAACACAUGCAAGUAUCAAAAGGAAAGUAACGCCAUGCAUGCAUGCGUUGUAAUUAAUGCAUCGGUAAACGCAAAUUAUUGAAAUAUAUCGAGUGCAGUGCUUUGAUGUGUCGCGUCAACUCAUACAACAACGAGAAGUUUGAUUACUACAACGCCCUCUGCCUCGCGGACUGAGCUCCGGUGCCUUAACUGCACCUGCCUUUGGCUGUAUGACAAGUGGACCACCCACCUGUUGGGCCCACCUGUGAUACACGCAAAGGCAAGAGCAGUAAGUCAAUGAAGCUGUGUCCCUCCCUCGCCCAUGAGCAUGGUGGCUGGCAGGACUAGGAGAAGCUUUUGCUACACGCUCUCCCUCCCGCACGCGGUGGACAUGCAGCUGUUCAUUCGGUGUCAGAUGACCAGAAGUAUAAUGUAGUACUCCUCCACUGCAGUAGCACUCCAUCAUUGUUCGACUUCCCGAAGAGGCGAAGAGCCAAGCGCAGCCCGGACGCUCAUGUGGCAGUUUCAUGUGUAGAGUAGUCUAGGAUAGCGUGUACCAUGCCUGUAAGCUUAAAAUUGUUGGGGUCGGCUCCAUGCUAUGAGGCCGUCUCGAAGCAUUUUUUGGUUGAUUAAAAUAAUCUUUUGGACCUACCUGUCAUCCUAGUGAUUGUAGUUUGCACGCUCAUCUGGUCAAGACAGGAAUAUAUAUUUUAAUUUGUAGUGGGGUAAAUGUUAGAGGUUGCAGCAAACAUAUUGUACAUUGCGGGUCUUUCAGCCAAGUUUAGAGGCAAGCAUGUGGGGCCAGUGCUAUGAUGUGUCGCGUCAACUUGUACAACGAGGAGAAGCAUGAUUUUACUACUACACGCCUUCUCCCUCGCCCAUGCGCGCGGUGGCUCGCAGACGAGGAUGGGCUUUAAAUUAUACUACAACAAGCUAUCCCUCCCGCACACGGUGGACGGACAUGCGUCAGGGGAUUCGAUACUGUAGAAGUAGUAGUAACAUCAUUGUUCAUCUUCUCGAAGAGGCGAAGAGCCAAGCGAAACCCGAACGUGGUAGUUGCGAACGCUUGCCUGGCAGUCUUUGUGUACGGGUGGGGCGUGGUGCGGAGCCUUGGAGUACGCAUAUAGCCAGGCUCUUGCAUGAGAAAAAAUUGCUAUUUGAGCCCACUAUUUUAGUACACUACUUGCUAGUAUAGCCCUGUAAACUGGAAAGGAGUAUUUGCCUUUCUAGAGAUCUCAAUAAGUGACUAGACUACACCCUAAACGAGUAGUACAUAUGGAGCAAAAUGAGUGAAUCUACACCGUAAAUAAAUACGUAGUUCUCUCGUUUUCCUCUCCGCCUUGGUCGCGGUGCACAAUAUUGAGUACUCCUAUAUGACUAGUCGCUCUAUCUACAUGCGCGACAUCAAAGCAUCCGGGCCUGCGUGCCAUCCACCAAAUCACAGCGAGGUGCUACAGUCGAGACUCACCAGUCACCCCGGUGUGGCCGUCAUGACCCGUCAUAUCACAAAACCCACACCUUUACCAGCAGUGGUAAAGUGGCCUCAAAGUUGGACUGGAUGAAGCAACCAUCAUUUCCCUGUAACGCUCGUUGAAGCCCUUUCUCCCCUUUCUUGAAGAAAACCUCACUCCAGGCUACUCACUUCUGCCAUUUUUCUUCUGUACCGACAAAGGAAAGGUGGGCGAAUCAGUGAUGCUACUAUAUUUUCAUUCCAAGAAUCUUCUUUUCGGGAAGCACCGACCGAUUCUCAUAGCCUAUUCUUUUCCCGUUUUCAUUGCGAUUGUGCUUUCCUUUCGAUUGCUUUUUGUUUGUCAGUUCAUUCCUGAUGGAUCCUGGAGCACUAGGCAAAGAUUUGCCGGCAGACAACCCACUGGAGACAGCGAUCUCCAGGAAGCGAGCACCAACCAACGAGUUGACCAUGUUGGUGGGCCAACCCAUGGAGACGAAGAACUCCAAGAAACAAGCACUGGACAAAGAGUUUAUGACAUUGGCCGAUGAACUCCUCAAAGAAAGCUGGAAGAACAGCAAGGGCCCCACCGUGCCUACCCCAGAAACUCUAAUGGCCACCUAUGCGAGGCUCAAGGCCGAGUUUGAGGAGAUAGUCUCCGUUGAGAAGCAGUAUUCCCCUGGCAAGGUGAUGGCCCCAUCGAGGACGAGGAGAUGGCCUCCGGAGGGAUGGGAUCCCCCGGUGAGCUACACAAGGUAAAAAAAUAAUGGCUUACCAUAGUUGUGGUUUUUGAUUAUUUGCAAUGUGCUUGCUAAUAUGUUAGGGUUGUGCAGGUGCCGGUGGACGUCCUUGAUGAUUCCGAUGUCGUGGCCCGUCCUGUGGACAACGCCCCAGAGAUCGUUUUCGAUGUCGCGGUCCGUUCUGUUGACAUCGCCCCAAAGAAUGAUUCCGAUGCCGCUUUCCAUCCUAUGGACAUUGCCCAGAGAUCAAUUCCGAUGUCACAGUCCGUCCUGUGUACAUCGCCCCAGAGAUCGAUUCCCAUGCCGUUGUCUGUGUUGUGUUCAUUGCCCGAGAGAUCGAUGACAAGAAAUAGUUGGUCAUGCUAAUCCUUCAAGGUAGUUUGCAUUGUGUUUAAUUACCAAAACAAUGUGUGUUAUCAAACCAUCUUAGGGCUAGUGCAUUGUCUUGUGUGGGCGGUACUUGCUACUUUUGUUUGAUAGUGAAUCAUGUGAACCCUCUCCGAGUUAUGGAAACAGAUGUAUCCUCACCAGCUUUUGAUGUAAUAUAUGGCAUGCUUAGAUGUAAGUUUGAACUGUUUAUCAUAUCAGCAGGGCUUGUUUGAUGAUUCUUGGUGUUAGUAGGCUAGCUACUGUGCGAGCUAUAGUACUUGCAAAACACUCACCGAAGAGAAAUGUUGGGGCUGAUGAGCUCCUGGUAUGCUUAUACUGAUCCCUCGUCGAUCGGCCAAUAGCCCAAGCUCCUAAAAUUGUAGGCUUAGCGAUCGAUCAGACAAUAGUCGACACGGAUACAUUCAGGCCUCAUUUGGUUCAUAAGGUAGGAAAAUCGUAGCAAAAGUACAGAGACGUACAACACAAAAUCAUAGCAGUAUAGAGACGUACUCCCUCCGUUCCAAAAUAGAUGACUCAACUUUGUACUACUAACUUUGAAAUGGAGGGAGUACAAAUCCUAGGCGGGCUAGUUUGGCCUAGUGGAUUUCAGUGAUAUGACGUGGUACAGUGUCGUCCAGUCUUCGCGUGUGGUAGCAGUAUUGUGGGUAAAGUAAGUUUUCUUGAAGAAGCGGAAUUCAACGAAGUCAUGAUGGUUCCUUUGUCCGACCAACUUACAGUGGGAAAGGUUGGGCCUGCGCUACGACUGGGGUGGACCAGGAUAAUUUUGUGCAUGGUAGGUGGACCAGGAUGGUCGACGUCCCACAUGUCGGCGAAUGAAAGUAUUCUUUCCGAUAUAGAGGACGAGCAACGAGUAUUCAUUGUUUAUUUUUUAUGAAAGCUAUUGUCUCCAUUGUUACGUCGGAGGAGUGUGAAACACGGCAGCCCAGUGAACUUGGCAUGUGCACCACUCCCUCCUUCCUCAUGUAAUACUACCAUAGUGUUGACUAUAAGGUUGGCUAUAAGGUUACAACUUUUCUCACUUUCUCUCUAUCUAUUUCCUCUCAAAUGUUUUUUACCUUUCUUUUUUUUAGACACAAUUGUUUUUUAUGCCUCUUUUUUUAGAAUUAGUUUUUUUAUACCUAGGAGCACGUGUAGAGACGGGCUCUUGCAGAGCCCACUCCUUGAGUUUGUCAAUGCCUCUCUCUCCUCCACAUAAGCGGGCUUAUAGCCUAGUAUUUUACUGGUACUACUUGCUAUGAAUGCGAGCAGCUGGCGUCUGAGGGGGGAGCGCGCGCGGGGAGGUGGGGGGUUCUGGUGGGCCAAGGUGGUCAGAAGCGGGCUUGGAAGCGGUCCGGACUCCCGCAUGGCCCACCUCACAUUAUCACCAUAUAUUUCUUGGAGUCCGUGCAUGGCAGGCGGGCGAUCUCUUCUCCCUCCCCCGUCUCUCUCUUCUCAGCCGACUCCCGCCGAGCGAUUAGAUUUCGGCUAUCGAUGGUUUAUUCAAUUGCUGUCCCACAUGUCAGUGAAAAUGCAAGACAACGUGUGUCCCCUCUGGUGAGCGGCGUGCGAGCCGGACUGUCAAGGGUGCGAUGCGAACGCGACGCGUAUGAGUCGUAAGUGUGCCGCCUUUUCCUUUUGAACUUGCAAAGCAUAACAUUUUCGUGCGAUCGAUCGAUAGAAAUCCAGAACAAAAUGACGAGGGCAUUGCUUUCCCGCGCGUUAGGCGGGCUAGUUUGUGAUAUGACGUGCUACAGUGCCGUCCACUUGCUCUUUUUAUGUAAGCAAGAGUCUACACUCUUAAGUGGGAGGAGUGCGAAACACGGCGGAUCUGAUUUUGAUCGAGGGAUAACUGUUCCCUGCGAAAUAAUGGAGCGCUGUUAGCGAUUAUAGCAUGAUAGUUAGGGCAUCUCCAGCGCUGGCUCACAAAUUUACACCGGCAUCUGUCCGAGGACACUGAUGGAUGUCAUCCAAUGCUGCCCGCAUACCUUUCGACAACAGUAUGAACUAACCGGACGAAAUUCGUGCAAACAAAGCAAAUUUCAAAUUACAUUUCGAAAACUUAUCCUAUAAACUGGACGAAAUUCAUUACAUAUUUUGCACAAACCGUACUAAAACCUACUGUAAACCUAAUCUAAACGAUCGCCGGCGCCCGACCACCAUGUACGGCCAUGAACCCGAGAAAGCCGGCCAUUGCCUUUGCCUCCUCCUCAUCUGCCUCGAUAACCUCAUCCUCUGGAGCACAAGGUUCUGAAGAUUUCCGCCUCCACGUCGCCGUCAAGAGGCUAAUCGGCCGCCGAUGUUUAUCCCACCAAGCUUGGCGUCGACUGAGUGGAGGAGCGAUGGCCUUCCUGGGACCAGAGCGGCGGCGACCUACCAUGUACUACUCUUCCUCGCUACCGGCUGCGCCCGCGCACGCGCGCCGGCUUCGUGGUCGUGGCGGCAGAGGGCGGCCGGGGGGGAGCCGGCGAUCUCCUUCAUCUGCUCCUACGACAGUACGUCCAAGAGAGCUUUGGAGCGCGCCCGGAGCGGAGCCGCCGAUGUCCUUCGUCUGCUCCUGCGACAGUACAUCCAAGAGAGCUUUGGAGCGCCAGGAGGCCAUGGUUGGAGUGGUGCCGACAGAAGGAAGGGACCGGAGGAGAAUAGGUGUGGGUCUUUGGCUAUGGCUGGGAGCUGGGGCUCAAGUUAAUAUAGCGGGCGAAUGGCAAUGAACCGCGGUAGACGGAUGGACGACUGGCGCUGGAGUAGGUUCGCCAGCAGCCGCGUGUCAUUAAUGUGGGCGGUGAAUGGAAGUAUGGUCGCGGUGUCGUUAAAGCAGAGUAGUCACUUGCACCGGGAUGCCGCGCGGGUGGCGCUCUCUCGGCCGUCGCGCUGCUGCAAUGUCGGCGCCAGUGAGCAGUCGCGUCGGGCGUGAAUACGGAUGCUGCUUCAGUGACUUAACUGCAUGUGCGUUGGGUCACUGACAUGUGGGCCCGACGGGCAUCUGGCCCGCAUGUCAGUGACACACCAACUGCACCUGCAGUUAAGUCUGGUGAAUGCGGCAUUGACAUUCUGGAGAGACGGUGACCAUUUCAGGAGGGAAGCGCGUGCUAGCGAUGGAAGGGGUUUCGGUAGACCAGGGCGGUCAGACGCCGGCGUGGUGGUAAAAUGUGAACUCAUGGAUGACGAGCCUUUGAAGCGUAUGCGGCACGUAUUGACAACCAGGCAUCCAUGCAACCGCUCUUGCCGCCACCUAGCCUUCGAAGACCACCAUUAGACACCACACAACCAUGCAUAACUUACGAAUAAUGGACAAAUCGAUCAGACACACACUCGUGUGCAGUGGCACUAUGAUCGGUCGCUCACGAUAGUACAUACUACGUACCAUAGUACCCUCUCUAGCUAGGCUGUUUUAUAGAUUGUCGUUGUGAUGGACGAUAUACAUGAGCAAGGCGCUGAGUCACGAGUAUGACCGUUGGUGUUGAGCCAGGUGAAUACAUGCUCGGUGUUCACGGAGGCCUCCAGCGAACGUCUAAACAGUAAUGUCAGGCACUGCCGGGGCGCGCAGGCGACGGGAUCGCUGUCGGUGUCGAAACCGGCAGAUCUCGGGUAGGGGGUCCCAAACUGUGCGUCUAGGAUCGAUGGUAACAGGAGACGGGGGACACGAUGUUUACCCAGGUUCGGGCCCUCUCUAUGGAGGUAAUACCCUACUUCUUGCUUGAUUGAUCUUGAUGAAUAUGAGUGUUACACGAGUUGAUCUACCAUGAGAUCGUAAUGGCUAAACCCUAGAAGUCUAGCCUAUGUGAAUAUGGUAGUGAAUAUAUGCCUUCCGGACUAACCCCUCCGGUUUAUAUAGAUACCGGGGGGAUCUAGGGUUUACAUGGAGUUGGUUACAUAAGAAGGAAUCUUCAUAGUUGGUCGCCAAGCUUGCCCUCCACGCCAAGGAAAGUCCAAUCCGGACACGGGUAUAGUCUUCGGCCUUCGUAUCUUCAAAGCCCAUCAGUCCGGCCCAAUGAACAACAGGCCGGACGCCCGAGGACCCCUUAGUCCAGGACUCCCUCAGUAGCCCCUGAACCUGGCUUCAAUGACGAGGAGUCCGGCGCGCAGAUUGUCUUCGGCAUUGCAAGGCGGGUUCCCCUUUUUCCGAACUCCAAGAUAGUCUUCGGACGUGAUAAUCGUAUCCGGACCUGUUAUACACCAUACAUAGCUGCAGAGAGAACAUAAUAUUUGCACAAAUCUAAUCUGUUGACAGCUUCUUUUCAACACGACAUCGCGUCUGUCCGGUCAUAAUUUCGAACCGUUUUUCCUCUGCCAUCCCACGUCUCGAGACACGGUUGCUAUUGGCACGUCUUGUCGAAACAGAGAUUGUGUCCCCUUAUCGUGGGAUUCUCAUCAAUGCGGGCAUGGGUAACUCAACCGUGCCGUUUAUACAGCCCUUGGGAACAGGAGAAUCCUAAGGCGAGUGAGGAGGCGUUUAAUAUUUGUUGCCUUUAUAAGGAGAUAAGUGUUGGGAUUCGUAGCAUAAUUUUAAAAUUUUCCUACGCUCACCAAGAUGCAUCUAUGGAGUCUACUAGCAACUAGGGGAAGGAGUGGAUCUACAUACCCUUGUAGAUUGCGAGCGGAAGCGUUCCAAUGAACGUGGAUGACGGAGUCGUACUCGCCGUGAUCCAAAUCACCGAUGACCGAGUGCCGAACGUACGGCACCUCCGCGUUCAACACACGUACGAUGCAGCGAUGUCUCCUCCUUCUUGAUCCAGCAAGGGGGAAGGAGAGGUUGAUGGAGAUCCAACAGUACGACGGCGUGGUGGUGGAUGUAGCGGGUCUCCGGCAGGGCUUCGCCGAGCUUCUGCGAGAGAGAGAGAGAGAGAGAGAGAGAGAGAGAGNNNNNNNNNNNNNNNNNNNNNNNNNNNNNNNNNNNNNNNNNNNNNNNNNNNNNNNNNNNNNNNNNNNNNNNNNNNNNNNNNNNNNNNNNNNNNNNNNNNNNNNNNNNNNNNNNNNNNNNNNNNNNNNNNNNNNNNNNNNNNNNNNNNNNNNNNNNNNNNNNNNNNNNNNNNNNNNNNNNNNNNNNNNNNNNNNNNNNNNNNNNNNNNNNNNNNNNNNNNNNNNNNNNNNNNNNNNNNNNNNNNNNNNNNNNNNNNNNNNNNNNNNNNNNNNNNNNNNNNNNNNNNNNNNNNNNNNNNNNNNNNNNNNNNNNNNNNNNNNNNNNNNNNNNNNNNNNCCCUUUAUAUAGGCCCCUGGGGGGUGCGCCAGCCCCAAGAGAUGGGAUCUCAAGGGGGGCGGCGGCCAAGUGGGGGGGAAGGGGUGCCUUGCCCCCCAAGGCAAGGGGGAAGCUCCCCCCCUAGGGUUUCCAACCCUAGGCGCAUGGGGGGAGGCCCAAGGGGGGCGCCCCAGCCCACUAGGGGCUGGUUCCCUUCCACUUUCAUCCCAUGGGGCCCUCCGGGACAGGUGGCCCCACCCGGUGGACCCCCGGGACCCUUCCGGUGGUCCCGGUACAAUACCCGUAACCCCCGAAACUUUCCCGGUGGCCGAAACUUGACUUCCUAUAUAUAAUUCUUCACCUCCGGACCAUUCCGGAACCUCUCGUGACGUCCGGGAUCUCAUCCGGUACUCCGAACAACUUUUGGGUUUCCGCAUACAUAUAUCUCUACAACCCUAGCGUCACCGGACCUUAAGUGUGUAGACCCUACGGGUUCGGGAGACAUGCAGACAUGACCGAGACGCCUCUCCGGUCAAUAACCAACAGCGGGAUCUGGAUACCCAUGUUGGCUCCCACAUGCUCCACGAUGAUCUCAUCGGAUGAACCACGGUGUCGAGGAUUCAAUCAAUCCGUAUGCAAUUCCCUUUGUCAAUCGGUAUGUUACUUGCCCGAGAUUCGAUCGUCGGUAUCCCAAUACCUUGUUCAAUCUCGUUACCGGCAAGUCUCUUUACUCGUACCGCAAUGCAUGAUCCCGUGACUAACGCCUUAGUCACAUUGAGCUCAUUAUGAUGAUGCAUUACCGAGUGGGCCCAGAGAUACCUCUCCGUCACACGGAGUGACAAAUCCCAGUCUCGAUCCGUGCCAACCCAACAGACACUUUCGGAGAUACCCGUAAUGCACCUUUAUAGUCACCCAGUUACGUUGUGACGUUUGGCACACCCAAAGCACUCCUACGGUAUCCGGGCGAUCUCAUGGUCUAAGGAAAAGAUACUUGACGUUGGAAAAGCUCUAGCAAACGAAACUACACGAUCUUUUAUGCUAUGCUUAAGUUGGGUCUUGUCCAUCAUAUCAUUCUCCUAAUGAUGUGAUCCCGUUAUCAAUGACAUCCAAUGUCCAUAGUCAGGAAACCAUGACUAUCUGUUGAUCAACGAGCUAGUCAACUAGAGGCUUACUAGGGACAGUUGUGGUCUAUGUAUUCACACAUGUAUUACGAUUUCCGGACAAUACAAUUAUAGCAUGAAUAAUAGACAACUAUCAUGAACAAAGAAAUAUAAUAAUAACCUUUUAUUAUUGCCUCUAGGGCAUAUUUCCAACAGUCUCCCACUUGCACUAGAAUGAAUAAUCUAGUUACAUUGUGAUGAAUCGAACACCCAUUGCGUCCUUGUUGGGUGGUUGGUGCGACAUAUACCAAGGGAUGGCUUAUCAUUGUGGGAGCCAAUAAAACAUCGCCGGUGCCUGGAAACGGGAUGAGGCGAAGACAUGCACGCCGGCGAAUCUUACCCAGGUUCGGGGCUCUCCGAGGAGAUAACACCCCUAGUCCUGCUCUGCGGGGUCUCCGCAUGAUCACUAGAUCGAUAAAGGGUAGCUACAAUCGCUCCUAGAGCUGUUGGGAUCAAGGGAGAAGAAGAACAAGGCUAGCUCUUGCUUCUCUCUAUCUAUGUGUGUGCGUGUGCUAUGCUUGAAGGCCAAACAUGCAGAAGUGCGAACCAGAAGCGAACCCUUUGCAUGGGUGCUCCGGGGGGUUUAUAUAGGCCUACCCCCAGGGGGUACAAUGGUAAUCCGACUGGGAGCGGGUCCCAGCCGUCAGUGUCUAUGCUUGCCGGCUUCUCCACCGGCUGCUGGGUCCCGCCGGCGGCCGGCUACUUGGUCGACAGGCCGGCCCCACCGCCUAGGGCUUUGUCGGCGGCUGCUUACUGUAGCCGCGCCUCUGAUGAUGAGGGCUUUGUCGAGGUGAGCGUGGCUACAGUGGGCCGCCUCGGAGGCUAUCACUGUAGCCUCACCUCGUCUUGUCUCCUUAAUGGGGCUCCUGCUUCGAGGAAGGGCAUAGCCGGCUUCUGGAGGCCGGCUAUGCUCCCGGCCGACUAGGAAAAUCCGGGCCGCCUUCACGCCUCUCUCUGGCUGAAGGGGCCCGCAGUCCUUGGGUCGUACAGGAAUGGGUCGUGGAUGACGUCGAGGCUAACGUGGCUACAGUGCUGGGCCGCACGGGAGACCUCCCUCCCGUACGGCCUCCUGUAGCCAUGCCCGCCUCGGGCUUCGGGGGUCGUGGGCCGCACUGUGGCCAUGCCCCGUCAGGUCGUCGUUAUGUAGGAGUGGUUGUGGUCGUGGCCGGUUUCUAGGAGUCGGCGUCCUUCUUGGCCGGCUCCUUGGAGUCGGCGAGGCUGGGUCGCCUUCCGGGAGUCGGCUUUAGUGGUGACCGGCCGGGGAAGGCGGCCCAAAUGCUUGGAGUGCUUGAAGGCCCAAAGGCCUGAUAAAUUUUCUGAAGAGCCAGGGGUAGUCGGUUAGGCUACCCGUGGCCACUUACUCCGACAGUAGUCCCCGAAGCUGAUCGGCCUUCGAGGUGGAGUAGGGUUUUAGAAGCUCGAACAGCUUCCUAUCAUGACAAGCCGGCAGCUGGGAGCUGGCCUUGGUCAGGCACGCCGCCUGAGCCGAAAUCUUCUGGAGUCGGAGGGCGGGAACCCACUGGUACGUGCGCCGGGCCGCGGGCCGGCCACGGGCCGACGGCGCGCCACGUAGCCGGAAAGCCUGCCAGCCCACGCGCGUGACGGGAUGUUGCCGCAGCGAGGGGGCCCGCCACGUCCGUGCCCCGGCCCAGGCGCGGAUCUUUUGUAUCCCGAAACUGCCCGCACGUUCCGUGCGGCAGUUUCGGCUCGCACUUAUGCGUAAUAAACGCGAGGCGUGGGGGGAGUGGGCGCAGUUAAUCCCAUGUCUCCCCCCACGUCCGGGGUCUUCAGCCGCGUGAGGCUAUAAGUAGGGGGAGGCGGAGGGCGGCAGACCCUCGCACGCUCCUCCUACUCCCUUUGUCUUCUCGUCUUGCUCGUUCUUGCGACAGCGCCUCGCCGCCGCGCUCUUCCCCCGCACGCUCCUCCGCCGCCGUGCUAGCUUCCGCUAUGCCUCCUCACGUCGAGCAGCUUGGCGGGGAUUGGGAUGGCUCCAUCGUCCACAACGACCACAUCGACUUCCUCCGCGACACCCGGCGCCUGCCCAGCACGGACAAAGUGGAGGUCCGCCUUGCGCCGGAGAAGGAGGUCAGGCCGGCGCCGCGGGAUGGCGAGCGGGUGAUCUUCCGCUCGCACUUCCUGCGUGGCUUCGGACUGCCAGUGAGCGCCUUCUUCCGCUCCUGGCUGGACUUCUAUCAGCUCCAGCCGCACCACCUCACCCCCAACGCGGUGGUGCUGCUGUCGGCCUUCGUCACCCUGUGCGAGGGCCAUCUCGGCGUCCUCCCCACCCUCGAGCUCUGGGGGGAGUUCUUCCAGUCGAAGCUGGGUACGCGCGUGCGGGGCGUGCCGGCUCAGACCGGCGCCUUCAUCGCGUCACGGAGAUCAGGCGCCGACAACCCCUUCCCCAUCAUCACGCUGAUCCAAUCGGUGAAGAAGUGGCAGAAGUCAUACUUCUACGUGCGGAACAUGGUGAACUACCUCGUCAACUGCCAGCUUCCCGACGACUGGCAAUUCGGCAAGGAGCCAUACAACCGCGCCAAUCCUCCACCUACGGUACGCUCCCCUUCUCUUUUUCUCUUUUUCUCUCUCAGCUCUGUCGCCGAGUUCCUCUGGGCCGACUCUAACUCAGUCGGCUCACUCUUUUGACAGAAUCCUCUGCUUCGGCCGGCCGGCGGAGCGGACGUGGAACGCCGCUUCGUCCCCGACCGGACCGAGCACGACCAGGAGGACCCCGAUCUGGGGGCGGUCCAUAUGGAGGACGCCGCCAAGCCGGCUGGUGGCCAAGCCGGCGGCGAAGCAGGCGGCGCCGGGUUCUCCGCGACCUUCGACGACUGGCCGGACGAGGACGAAGCCGAAGCCGUCCCGCCCCGCUAGCCGGCCUUCGGACGCGGCGCGGGCUCCUCCGGCGCGCAGCCUGCUCGAGGUAGAGGCCAGAAACGUCGCGCCACCCAGGGCAUGUUCGGCAGCCGGACGAAGAAGCCGAGGGGUGGAGCGGCAGCCACUAGGCGGGAAGAAGCGGCCGCGAAGGCGGCUCGUUUCCGCAAAGUGGUGAAGCAGCCGCAGGCUGUGUCAGCGUAAGCUUUCUCUCUUUCUGUGUAUUCUCCUUCUUUCUUUUCUUGGGUGGUUUUCUGAACCUUUGUCUUCUUUUCCUUGAUCAGAGCUCCACUGUCACUCGAGCGGGCGGCUGCCUGCUCCGUUGUCGAGUCGCCAGGGGGCUCUGGGAGCACCACCCGCCGCGUAGAUCCCCGUGCCGCCCUCCUGGAGGCGACGGAAAGGAACGCGCGGGAGGUGCGGGAGGAGCAGGAAGCGCGGGAGGCGGUGGCACGGAGGGCAGCCGCCGCCCAGGCAGCUCGGGAGGAGGAGGCGGCGAAGGCGCUCGCCGAGGCUGCAGCCAAGGCCCAGGAAGAGGCUGAGGCCGAAGCGGUGGCAGGGGAGGCCUUGAUGGUCACCCCCCUGCGCGCCAUGGCGCCCGGGGACGCGGAUCCCUCGCCAGGGGGAGCCAGCGGUUCCCAGCCGGGUCUGGGCAGGAGCGGCGACGACGUUAUCCUCUUGAGGGAGGCGCCGGGGCCGACUCCUCCGACUAGGGCGGCCCAAGGCGGCCAGACUGAGCCUGCGCCCGCACAGUCGGCGGAAGGCGAGCCGGUCGCGGGAGCUGAGGUGGCGGUCCGGGUUCCGCCAAGCCGGCGCGCAGGGAAGGCCGCGUCGGAGCCGCAGAAGGCGGCGUCGGAGCCACGGCCGGCCGUGGGCUCCAGCUCGUCGGCCCGAGACGCGGAGGCGGCCAGCGCUACCUCCGGGUGGACGCCAGGCGGAGGGACAGCCGUGGUGAACAUCGCUGCACAAGACGUCCGGACCCGGCUCCAGGGCCAAGCCGCGGCGCUGAGGCAGUUCACCGACGAAUUCCUCGCGACGCGGGCAGCCAUCCGGGUUAGUAUUCUCAUUUUGUUCUUGAUUUUUCUCGUGGGGGCGCGUCAGCGCACCCACUGGGUGUAGUCCCCGAGUUCCGAGUCGGCUGCUGAGCAGGCGGCUUGGAACUUCUUGGAGAUUUUGUUUUUGCUGCUUUGUUCUUACUUCGGUCUUCUGUCCAUCUUGCAGGACUACCACAACCUCCGAGCAGCCGCCUUCAACUCCCAGGCUCGGGAGCUGACGCAGAAGACCGCCGAUCUCACUGAAAGCCGAGGUAUGUGACUUGAUCUCUAUCUCAUGUGGGGGCGCGUCAGCGCACCCACUGGGUGUAGUCCCCGAGAUUCGGGCCGACUGCUGAGCAGUCGGCUCGGAUCUUCCUUGAUGGUUUCUCAUUGUUCUUCUUCUCUAUCUCUGCAGCGGCCAACGCCAGUCUGAGGGCACAGCUGGGGGAGUCCCAGACUGCUCUUCGUGCCAAGGACGCGGAGCUCGCCGCCUUGGUGCAGGAGCGCGACCGCCUGGUCAAGAAGCUGGCCGACCAGGAGGAAGGCCACAAGGCUGCGCUAAAGGCUGUGCAGGAUCGUGAAGCCACCCUCCAGGCCGAGUUCGAGACGGAGGCGGCCGGCUGGGACGAGGCCAGGCAGACUCUGGUCUCCGGCUAUGGCCAGAUUGAGGACCUGGUUGACGGUAAGUCGUCUACUCCUUCAUCCUUUCUUGCCAACAGCCACUUCGGCUCGUUUUCCUGAUUUGGGGUUCUUCUUUUCUUUUCUUCUUUGCGCAGAGUACUUCCCCGGCUAUUCCACUGCCGCCAACCAGGCCAUCGAAGCUCGUCGCCAGGCGAAGAGGCAAGCCGGCUUCGAGAUCUCGCCGACCGCCGGCCGCUCGUUGGAGGAGCAGCUCCUGGCGAUCCAGGCUCGCAUCCAGCCGGCUCACAGGCUGCUCCGCCGGCUUCAGAGUGCCGGGUCACAGGUCCUGGCCGCCCUCUGGCCCGGCCAAGUGAUCCCGCGCACUCCCAGUCGGACCGCCGACUGGCUGGAGGUGGCCGUCGGCCGCUUCGAGGCUUGGAAGGCGUCAGCGGCUCGCUCCGGAGCCGGGCGGGCGCUGGAGUUCGUCAAGGCCUGGUACCCAGGCCUGAAUUUGGACCAGCUGGCCACCUGGCGGCAGCAAGCUGACACGGAGCUGGAGCCGGCGCGGCCGGCCAUCAUUCGGCGGGCUUCGGCGAUCGCCGACUACACCGACACCAACGUCUUCGCCCCCGAGGUGGACGACAAUGGAGUCGCCCAGCCGGAAGAUUGGUUCGGGCUGGACCCGGCGUGCGGCGAGGACUCGGCGGAGGAGAUCGACUCCAGCAACGAGGGCGAAGAGGAGGAGGAGGAGGGUGAAGACGUCGAGCCGGCUGGCGGAGUAGCCGGCCAGCCUGACCGUGCCUCCAGCACUACGUCGCGUGCGAGCGUGUCUCCUGCCGCAGGAGGUGGUCAAGCCGGGACUAGCUAGGCGGCCACUCCUUCAGCCGGCGAGCUACCUUCACCGACCCACUCGGCCUCCAAGUCGCACCUUAGUCUUCUUUCCUUUAUUUCCCUGUCUUGUUACUUUGAACAAUAUUUGGUUAAGUCUGCACAAUUCCACCCACUGGGUGUAUUCAAACUUAAGUCUGUUGCCAGCCUGUGGGCGGCUUUAUGUAUAUAAGUUAUGCAAUCGGUCUUUCCUUGUACUUUCGCUUUUUGUCCUUUUGCAUUUUUCCUUUGCCGCCCUCCUUUAGAUGCCGCCUCCCUAGUCAAACAGCUGCUCUGCAAACUGUAGCCGGGGAGUGCCUGGCCGAUUGGGGAGGGGGAAGUACUUUUAGCUCUGUCGGACUUAAGCUAAGUUUUUUAGAAAGCCGGCUAGCCGGCUGCUGUGACAGCCGGUAGGCAUAUACGGAGGCCGUCUUUUUGCUAUAUAGAUUAGUUGUUCCUUAGCCGUUUUUCGUGUGGGCGUCCUGUCUGUCUUCUCUCUUGCUAGUCGGACAGUCAGUUCUUUGAGCUGCGACUUUCAACAAGAGAGGACUUGGGAGCCGGCGCACUACUUUGCUGACUUCGGGAAGAACUUAGAAUAUAGCUCAAGGCGGCCAGUCCCCGGGCCGACUAGUCGGACCCGGUGCCGGACAAGAAUUCGAAAAUGUAAUAAUACAUUCAUGGAUAUGACACUCGUCAUUCAUAGAUAAAUAAAAGGCAGUCCCCGAGUACUGUUCGGGGGGGCUGUUGGUUUGUAACGUAAUACAAAAAGGGGGUAGCGUGAUACAUACUGCUUUUCAGCUGUAAAAUCGUCUUAGGAGGUUUGCGUUCCAUGGUCGCUCCGACUCCUUGCCGGAGUCGUCUCUCUUGCGUGCUCUUGGCUUUUGCGCGUCGAUCAAGUAGUAGGAGUCGUUGCUGAGUGCCUUGCUGACGACGAAGGGGCCUUCCCAAGGGGCCGAGAGCUUGUGCUGGCCGGCUAUUCGCUGGAUCAGCCGGAGCACAAGGUCGCCCUCUUGGAAGGAUCUUGGCUUGACCUUGCGGUUGUAGUAGCGGCGCAGGCCUUGCUGGUAGAUGGCGGACCGGCUGAGGGCUAACAGCCGGCCUUCUUCCAGUAGGUCGACGUCGUCUUCUCUUGCUUCUUUGGCUUCCUCCUCCGUGUACAUGGUGAUCCAAGGCAAGUCGAACUCGAUGUCUGUUGGGAUGACAGCCUCGGAACCGUACACAAGGAAGAAUGGAGUGAAGCCGGUUGACUUGUUGGGUGUAGUGCGCAGACUCCAGAGGACAGCCGGCAGCUCUUCGAGCCAGCAACCGGCCGAUCGCUCCAGUGGUACAACCAGUCGGGGCUUGAUGCCGGAGAGGAUAAGUCCAUUUGCUCGCUCGACCUGGCCGUUUGACUGUGGGUGGGCGACGGACGCUAAGUCCAGGCGGAUGCCCUGUGUCGCGCAGAAACGCGCCAGUGCGCCUUUGGCGAAGUUCGUGCUGUUGUCGGUGAUGAUGCUGUGCGGCAUGCCGUACCGAGUAGUGAUGUCGGUGAUGAACGUCACGGCAGUCGGCCCGUUCAGCUUCUUGAUGGGCUUGGCUUCGAUCCACUUUGUGAACUUGUCCACAGCAACGAGUAGGUGCGUCAUGCCACCGCGGGCUGUCUUGAAAGGGCCCACCAUGUCCAAUCCCCAGACGGCAAAAGGCCAGGUGAGGGGGAUGUUCUUGAGGGCAGAAGCCGGCAGGUGUUGUUUGGAACUGAAGACUUGACACCCUCUGCAGCUCCUCACUAUUUCUUUAGCAUCCUCCAAGGCAGUCGGCCAGAAGAACCCAUGGUGGAAAGCCUUGGCCACGAGGGAUCUUGAGGCGGCGUGGUGGCCGCAUUCGCCUUGGUGGAUGUCUUUGAGGAUUGCCACUCCUUUUUCUGGCUCGACGCAAUGCUGGAAGACUCCAGUGACGCUGCGCUUCACAAGCUCCCUAUUGAUUAUUGUGUAUGCUGCGGCUCGUCGUUGCACUAGUCUUGCUGCGAUCUCAUCAGUCGGCAGUGGUUGACUAGGAACUUGAGGAUGGGCUGGGCCCAUGAGGGAGCUGUGACUUCUUCUGCUGUUAAUGUGGCCACCAUGACUCGGGUGGGUGGGUUGGGUGUUGUAUUGGAGUCGACCGCCGCUUCUUGUGUCGUUGCAGUCCCCGGGCCGGGUUCUGAAGUCCCUGGGCCGGGUGCGACUACGUCAGUCCCCGGGGCAGUCGUCGAAGUCCCCGUGCCGCCUGCCGAAUUUCUUGAGCCGGAUCCGGCUGUUUCUGGCGCAGGCGGUAUGAAGGUGGAGUCCGACUCUGGAGACGACUUGAUGGACGGCUUGAGGAGGCGCUGGAGGGAGACGCCAGUCGGUAUGGCUUGUCGGGUGGAGCCGAUCCAUGCUAGGGCAUCUGCUUGGUCGUUGUCGGCCCUUGGCACAUGAAGGAACUCGCACCCUUCGAAGUAUCCGCUCAUCUGCUGGACGAGGAAGCGGUAGCUCGCCAUGUUCGCGUCCUUGGCGUCCCAGUCGCCAGAUGAUUGCUGGACCACUAAGUCGGAGUCGCCGUAGCACAGGAUCCGGCGUAUGCCGAGUUCUUUGGCUAGCCGGAGCCCAUGUACGAGCGCCUCAUACUCGGCCACGUUGUUGGAGGCGGCGAAGUGGAUCUGCAACGUGUACUUGAGCUUGUCGCCUUUGGGAGAGGUGAGGACGAUGCCGGCUCCCAAGCUGGUGCGCAUCUUGGACCUGUCAAAGUGCAUCCGCCAAUGGGUAGAGUCGGGAGCCGGCGGUAAGUACUGGGUCUCGGCCCAGUCGACGAGGAAGUCGGCCAAUGCUUGCGACUUGAUGGCGGUGCGGGGUUGAUAGAAAAUCGUGUAGGGCGCCAAGGCAAUGGCCCAUUAGGCCACCCGGCCGGAUGCAUCCCGGCUGCCUAUGAUCUCGGCGAGCGGGGCAGUGCACACGACCGUGAUGGGGUGCUCUUGGAAGUAGGGCUUCAAUUUCUUGGCAGCGAAGUACACCCCAUAGCACAUCUUUUGGUAGUGCGGGUAGUUUUGCUUUGAGCUGGACAGUACUUCGCUGAGAUAGUAGACCGACCUCUGGACCAGCUGAGCUCGGCCUUCCUCCGGGCGCUGGACCACAACAACAGUGCUGAUGACUCGGCUUGUCGCGGCGAUGUAGAGGAGCAUGGGCUCCUUCUCAGUCGGCGCAGCCAGGACAGGCGGAGUAGUCAACAUUUUCUUCAACUCAUGGAAGGCUUGGUCGGCUUGAUCAUUCCACUCAAAGUGAGUGGACUUCUUCAUGAGUCGGUACAGGGGGAGAGCCUUCUCUCCUAGUCGGCUGAUAAAACGGUUCAGGGAGGCUAAGCAGCCAGUGAACUUCUGCACAUCUCGCAGUUUGGUGGGAAUCUCCAUCCUCUCGAUGGCUUUGAUCUUGACAGGGUUGCACUCAAUGCCGCGUUCGGAGACCAGGAAGCCUAGCAGCUGGCCGGCUGGCACUCCGAACACGCACUUCUCGGGGUUGAGCUUGAUCUGGAAUCGGCGCAAGUUGGCAAAUGUUUCCUUCAGGUCUUCCAGCAAGGUACCACGCUUCUCUGUCUUCACCACAAUGUCGUCUACGUAGACGUGGGCAUUUCUGCCGAGUUGUUUCAAGAGACAUUUCUGCAUGCAACGCUGAAAAGUGGCACCGGCGUUUCUCAAGCCGAAUGUCAUUGUCAGGUAGCAGAAAGCUCCAAAGGGUGUGAUGAAGGCAGUCUUCAGGGGGUCGGCCGGGUCCAACUUGAUCUGAUGAUACCCUGAGUAUGCAUCCAAGAAACUUAACAGCUCGCAUCCGGCUGUGGAGUCUAUCACUUGGUCAAUCCGUGGCAAAGCAAACGGAUCCUUUGGGCAGGCCUUGUUCAGACUUGUGUAUUCUAUACACAUGCGCCACUUGUUAUUCUUCUUCAAAACCAGAACUGGAUUGGCAAGCCAUUCUGGAAAGAACACUUCCAUGAUGAAGCCGGCUGCAAGGAGCCGGGCUAUCUCUUCUCCCACGAUUCUUCGCUUCUCUUCUGAUAGUCGGCGGAGGGGUUGCUUGACCGGCUUCGCAUCAGCUCGGACAUGUAAUUUGUGCUCGGCGAAAUCCUUCGGGACACCCGGCAUGUCCUUUGGGGACCAUGCAAAGAUGUCUCGAUUCUCACGGAGGAAGUCGGCGAGCUCGCCUUCCUAUUUACUGUCCAAGUUCGCCCCAAUCACGGCGAACCUCUCCGGGUGCUCCGGGUCUAGAGGUAUCUUCUUCGUCUCUUUUGCAGGCUGGAAGGAGCCCUGCGCAUCACAGUCCUUGGGGUUGGGGGACAAGGCCGGCUGCUUGCCGGCCAUGGCCACAACCCGUUCCAACAUCUUCUUCUCUUCUGCCACCACGAGGGACUCGGCCAGCCGGCUGCUGGCCAUGGCACACUCGAUGGACUUCUUGUAGUCGCCGGCUAUCGUGAUGAUCCCUUUCGAGCUCGGCAUCUUCAUCUUCAGGUAGGCAUAGUGGGGCACAGCCAUGAACUUGGCCAAAGCAGGUCGGCCAAGCAGUGCAUGAUAGGGGCUCUCCAAAUCCACCACCUCGAACCAUAUUGCUUCCCGGCGAAAAUGAUCUUUGUCUCCGAAGAGAACAUCCAUCUUGAUCUUGCCGAUUGGAGAGCAAGAUAGGCCGGGUACGAUACCAUGGAAGACUGUGCGGCUCGGCAUGAGCUGCUUUGCUUUGAUGUUCAGCUUGUCCAUGGUAUCGCGGUACAGUAUGUUGAUACUGCUUCCGCCGUCUAUCAGGACGCGAGAAAAUCUGGCAGCUCGCCUCUCCGUCGCAAGGGUGAUGUCCAAGACCAUAGCAUAGGAGCCAGGCGAAGGCAUCACCUCUGGGUGGUCGGCCUGGCUCCAGCUGAUGGGCUUUUCCGACCAGUGCAUGAACUCGGCGGUGCUAGAGGCGACUGCGUUUACUUCUUGGUGCUGCCGGCGUCGGCUGCGCUUGUCGUCGACUUGACUUGUGAAGACGACGUAGGCGUCGUGCGCUUCGGGGAACUCGUCUUGGAUGGCGCCGACUGCCGGCCGGGCCGCCGGCUGCGGGGGAGCUGGAGGCGGCGGGCCGGGAGGCGGAGGCGGCACCAUCCCUUCGCCCUUGGUGGUGCGGGUGAGACAGUGGCAUUUCCGUGUUGUAUGGUUGGACGGCUUCGCGCCGCUGUGGAACUUGCAGGGAGCAUCGAGUGCUUGUUUGUAGGAGAAGGACGGCUGCCAAGGCGGCCGGCCUCCCUUCUUCUUGGGAGCACGCCGCUCUUCGGGCUGCUCGUCUUCAAUGGUGGCCACCUGCCGACUGGAGGAAGUCGGCAUGGGGCCCUUGCGCUUGUGGUCGUUCUGGUAGGGGCGCCGGUUGGGGUUGCCAGCCGGCUGCUUGGGAGCCGGGGCAACCACUUUCCCCGAGGCGUCCACUCGGAGCUCGGUCUUCAUGGAGGAAUCGGCAGUAGCGUAUUUGUCGGCGAUGACGAGUAGCUCGUCGAGGGUAGCCGGCUCGUCGCAGAGGAGUCGGUGCUUGAGGAGGGUGCCCUCUCGGCACCCGGCAGUGAAGUACUCGAUGGCCUGGACCUCGUGCACUCCCUCGCAGGAGUUGCGGAGCUCGGCCCAUCGCGUGAGGUAGUCGCGGGUCGACUCGUUGGGCCCCUGGACGCAGAGGGAGAGCUGGCGAGGCUUGGGAGGCCGCUUGUAGGUGCUGGUGAAGUUGCGGACGAAAACUUCGGUGAAGUCCAGCCAACUGUUGAUGCUGUAGGGCUUGAGGCUAUUGAGCCAUGUGCGCGCCGUGCCCUGCAGCAUCAGGGGGACGUACUUCACGGCAACGCGCCGGUUGCCGUUGGUGAUGCUGACGGCUGUGGAGUAGUCGAUGAGCCAAUCUUCCGGCUUCACCGAGCCGUUGUACUUGGGCGUGUCUCUGGGGAGCGAGAACCCUUUGGGAAAGGGCUCGUCGCAGAUGCGGGGGCCGAAGCAUGGCGGGCCGACAUCGUCUUCUUCUUCUAACACCAAGGAUCGAGCUAGGCGAUCGAUCCUGUGGCGGGCGUCGUUCUCGCCGACUCCUUCUCGGCGGCCGAGUCGGUCGCCAAGAGUCGGAUGCGUGACAGGCGGUGGAGUGAGGCGUCUUUCUCUUCGAGGCGGGGGAGGAGGCAGGUUUCCUUGGUGUUCAACCGCCCGAGGGCGACCAUCCGCGUCGCGCUCGAUAGUGACGCGAGUCCGGCUGCGGCUGGCAGCCGGCUCCUUGUCUUUCUUCUGACGCACACCGCUCGCAGUCGGCGAGCGGGACGUCGCGGCGUGCUCCCGGCGCGGGGGAUGGCUAUCAGCUCGGGCGCCGGCUUCGUGUCGUUCUGCAUCCGCGUCGAUCAGCUGCUGGAUCCGUCUCGUCAUGUAGGGGAGCUCAUCGACUCCCAUCCCACUGAGCUCCUCUGCAGCCGCCUGAGCGGCUCGCAGAUUCUCGAGCGGGGUGGCGUAGACGGGGCGAUCUGCGCCCAGCAUGCUGGCAACGGCUGCGCCGCGCUUCUGGACGAAGCCGGCUCGGCUCGGGCCGCUAGGCGGCGGCGUCCCGAAGGCGGCGCGGUCAACUUCGCGCUGGUGGGCCUCGGUGAGACGUCUCAUCGAGGCUAUCUUCUUGCCCUCCGCGAUGAGGGCACGGCGGCGUGCCUCCAGGGUCUCGGCGUCGGCGUCGGCCGGGAUGGGGACGGAGAGGUCGUGCAUCGCCGCUCGCUGAGCGUCGCGGGCGUUCUCGCCCGAGUCGGAGACGUGGCUGAUGACCAUCACUUCGGUGACAGCGCUGUUGCCGCUGUCAGCUCGAGGGAGUGGGUCGUCGAAGACCACCACGUUGGAGGGGUAAGCGUCGAGCGACGCGGUGUUGGAGUCGAUGAGCAUCGGGUCGGUGGAGCCGACAGACUCCAUGUCCGCGGCAGGCUCGCUGGAGACGUGAAGUUGGUCGAGGAGGCUGACAAGGCGGCUCUCGGGGUAGUCGGUGCCUGCGUCGGACGCAGGCUCGUCGGAGAUGCGAGUCUCGCCGAGCAGAUCGGCGAGGCGGCUCGCUGCGCAGGCGUCCUCGACGCCUUGCAGCGCGUCGGGGCAAGCGCCAUCGGGCGCAGCAGGCUGGCUGCGCUCGCGGGGAAGGAAGAGGGUUCCCGUCCAGAACAGGUCUCCGGACGACGGUGCACCUGGCCCCACGGUGGGCGCCAAAUGUCGGGUGGUUGGUGCGACAUAUGCCAAGGGAUGGCUUAUCAUUGUGGGAGCCAAUAAAACGUCGUCGGUGCCUGGAAACAGGAUGAGGCGAAGACAUGCACGCCGGCGAAUCUUACCCAGGUUCGGGGCUCUCCGAGGAGAUAACACCCCUAGUCCUGCUCUGCGGGGUCUCCGCAUGAUCACUAGAUCGAUAAAGGGUAGCUACAAUCGCUCCUAGAGCUGUUGGGAUCAAGGGAGAAGAAGAACAAGGCUAGCUCUUGCUUCUCUCUAUCUAUGUUUGUGCGUGUGCUAUGCUUGAAGGCCAAACAUGCAGAAGUGCGAACCAGAAGCGAACCCUUUGCAUGGGUGCUCCGGGGGGUUUAUAUAGGCCUACCCCCCGGGGGUACAAUGGUAAUCCGACUGGGAGCGGGUCCCAGCCGUCAGUGUCUAUGCUUGCCGGCUUCUCCGCCGGCUGCUGGGUCCCGCCGGCUGCUGGGUCCCGCCGGCGGCCGGCUACUUGGUCGACAGGCCGGCCCCACCGCCUAGGGCUUUGUCGGCGGCUGCUUACUGUAGCCGCGCCUCUGAUGAUGAGGGCUUUGUCGAGGUGAGCGUGGCUACAGUGGGCCGCCUCGGAGGCUAUCACUGUAGCCUCACCUCGUCUUGUCUCCUUAAUGGGGCUCCUGCUUCGAGGAAGGGCAUAGCCGGCUUCUGGAGGCCGGCUAUGCUCCCGGCCGACUAGGAAAAGCCAGGCCGCCUUCACGCCUCUCUCUGGCUGAAGGGGCCCGCAGUCCUUGGGUCAUACAGGAAUGGGUCGUGGAUGACGUCGAGGCUAACGUGGCUACAGUGCCGGGCCGCACGGGAGACCUCCCUCCCGUACGGCCUCCUGUAGCCAUGCCCGCCUCGGGCUUCGGGGGUCGUGGGCUGCACUGUGGCCAUGCCCCGUCAGGUCGUCGUUAUGUAGGAGUGGUUGUCGUGGCCGGUUUCUAGGAGUCGGCGUCCUUCUUGGCCGGCUCCUUGGAGUCGGCGAGGCUGGGUCGCCUUCCGGGAGUCGGCUUUAGUGGUGAUCGGCCGGGGAAGGCGUCCCAAAUGCUUGGAGUGCUUGAAGGCCCAAAGGCCUGAUAAAUUUUCUGAAGAGCCAGGGGUAGUCGGUUAGGCUACCCGUGGCCACUUACUCCGACAGUCCUGGUGUUGAUCAUGUUUUGCCCUAGGGAGAGGUUUAGUCAACGGAUCUGCUACAUUCAGGUCCGUGUGUACUUUACAAAUUUCUAUGUCUCCAUUUUGAACACUUUCACGAAUGGAGUUGAAGCGACGCUUGAUAUGCCUGGUCUUCCUGUGAAACCUGGGCUCCUUCGCAAGGGCAAUAGCUCCAGUGUUGUCACAGAAGAGAGUCAUUGGACCCGACGCAUUGGGAAUCACCCCUAGGUCGGUAAUGAACUCCUUCAUCCAGACUGCUUCCUGUGCUGCCUCCGAGGCUGCCAUGUAUUCCGCUUCACAUGUAGAUCCCGCCAUGACGCUUUGCUUGCAACUACACCAGCUUACUGCUCCUCCAUUCAAAAUAUACACGUAUCCGGUCUGUGACUUCGAGUCAUCCAGAUCUGUGUCGAAGCUAGCGUCGACGUAACCCUUUACGACGAGCUCUUCGUCACCUCCAUAAACGAGAAACAUAUCCUUAGUCCUCUUCAGGUACUUCAGGAUAUUCUUGACCGUUGUCCAGUGUUCCUUGCCGGGAUUACUUUGGUACCUUCCUACCAAACUUACGGCAAGGUUUACAUCAGGUCUGGUACACAGCAUGGCAUACAUAAUAGACCCUAUGGCCGAGGCAUAGGGGAUGACACUCAUCUCUUCUAUAUCUUCUGCCGUGGUCGGGCAUUGAGCCGUGCUCAAUUGCACACCUUGCAAUACAGGCAAGAACCCCUUCUUGGACUGAUCCAUACUGAACUUCUUCAAUAUCUUGUCAAGGUAUGUACUCUGUGAAAGACCAAUGAGGCGCCUUGAUCUAUCUCUAUAGAUCUUGAUGCCUAAUAUAUAAGCAGCUUCUCCAAGGUCCUUCAUUGAAAAACACUUAUUCAAAUAGGCCUUUAUACUUUCCAAGAAUUCUAUAUCAUUUCCCAUCAAUAGUAUGUCAUCCACAUAUAAUAUGAGAAAUGCUACGGAGCUCCCACUCACUUUCUUGUAAACACAGGCUUCUCCAUAAGUCUGUGUAAACCCAAACGCUUUGAUCAUCUCAUCAAAGCGAAUGUUCCAACUCCGAGAUGCUUGCACCAGCCCAUAGAUUGAGCGCUGGAGCUUGCAUACUUUGUUAGCAUUCUUAGGAUCGACAAAACCUUCCGGCUGCAUCAUAUACAACUCUUCCUUAAGGAAGCCGUUAAGGAAUGCCGUUUUGACGUCCAUCUGCCAUAUCUCAUAAUCAUAGUAUGCGGCAAUUGCUAACAUGAUUCGGACGGACUUCAGCUUCGCUAUGGGUGAGAAAGUCUCAUCGUAGUCAACCCCUUGAACUUGUCGAUAACCCUUAGCGACAAGUCGAGCUUUGUAGAUGGUCGAAUUACCAUCUGCGUCCGUCUUCUUCUUAAAGAUCCAUUUGUUUUCUAUGGCUCGCCGCUCAUCGGGCAAGUCAGUCAAAGUCCAUACUUUGUUUUCAUACAUGGAUUCUAUCUCGGAUUUCAUGGCUUCUAGCCAUUUGUCGGAAUCCGGGCCCGCCAUCGCUUCUUCAUAGUUCGAAGGUUCACCGUUGUCUAACAACAUGAUUUCUAGGACAGGGUUGCCGUACCACUCUGGUGCGGAACGUGUCCUUAUGGACCUACGAAGUUCAGUGACUUGAUCUGUAGCUUCAUGAUCAUCAUCAUUAACUUCCUCUCCAGUCGGUGUAGGCACCAUAGGAACAUUUUCCCGCGCUGCGCUACUUUCCGGCUCGGAAGGGGUGACUAUCACCUCAUCAAGUUCCACUUUCCUCCUACUCAAUUCUUUCGAGAGAAACUCCUUCUCCAGAAAGGACCCGUUCCUGGCAACGAAGAUUUUGCCUUCGGAUCUGAGGUAGAAGGUAUACCCAAUAGUUUCCUUAGGGUAUCCUAUGAAGACGCAUUUUUCCGACUUGGGUUCGAGCUUUUUAGGUUGAAGUUUCUUGACAUAAGCAUCGCAUCCCCAAACUUUUAGAAACGACAGCUUAGGUUUCUUCCCAAACCAUAAUUCAUACGGUGUCGUCUCAACGGAUUUCGACGGAGCCCUAUUUAAAGUGAAUGCGGCAGUCUCUAAAGCAUAACCCCAAAAUGAGAGCGGUAAAUCGGUAAGAGACAUCAUAGAUCGCACCAUAUCCAAUAGAGUGCGAUUACGACGUUCGGACACACCAUUUCUCUGAGGUGUUCCAGGCGGCGUGAGUUGUGAAACUAUUCCACAUUUCCUUAAGUGUGCACCAAACUCGUGACUUAAAUAUUCUCCACCACGAUCUGAUCGUAGGAAUUUUAUUCUCCUGUCACGUUGAUUCUCAACCUCACUCUGAAAUUCUUUGAACUUUUCAAAGGUUUCAGACUUGUGUUUCAUUAGGUAGACAUAUCCAUAUCUACUUAAAUCAUCAGUGAGAGUGAGAACAUAACGAUAUCCUCCACAAGCCUCAACACUCAUUGGACCACACACAUCGGUAUGUAUGAUUUCCAAUAAGUUGGUUGCUCGCUACAUUGUUCCGGAGAACGGAGUCUUGGUCAUCUUACCCAUGAGGCAUGGUUCACACGUGUCAAAUGAUUCGUAAUCAAGAGACUCCAAAAGUCCAUCUGCAUGGAGCUUCUUCAUGCGCUUGACACCAAUGUGACCAAGGCGGCAGUGCCACAAGUAUGUGGGACUAUCGUUAUCAACUUUACAUCUUUUGGUAUUCACACUAUGAACAUGUGUAACAUCACGUUCGAGAUUCAUCAAAAAUAAACCAUUGACCAGCGGGGCAUGACCAUUAAACAUAUCUCUCAAAUAAAUAGAACAACCAUUAUUCUCGGAUUUAAAUGAGUAGCCAUCUCGAAUUAAACGAGAUCCAGAUACAAUGUUCAUGCUCAAAGCUGGCACUAAAUAACAAUUAUUGAGGUUUAAAACUAAUCCCGUGGGUAGAUGCAGAGGCAGCGUGCCGACGGCGAUCACAUCGACCUUGGAACCAUUCCCGACGUGCAUCGUCACCUCGUCCUUUGCCAGUCUCCGUUUAUUUCGUAGUUCCUGUUUUGAGUUACAAAUAUGAGCAACCGCACCGGUAUCAAAUACCCAGGAGCUACUACGAGUACUGGUAAGGUACACAUCAAUUACUUGUAUAUCACAUAUACCUUGGGUGUUGCCGGCCUUCUUCUUGUCCGCUAAAUAUUUGGGGCAGUUCCGCUUCCAGUGACCACUUCCCUUGCAAUAAAAGCACUCAGUCCCGGGCUUGGGUCCAUUCUUUGACUUCUUCCCAGUAACUGGUUUACCGGGCGCGGCAACUCCCUUGCCGUCCUUCUUGAAGUUCUUCUUACCCUUGCCCUUCUUGAACUUGGUGGUUUUAUUCACCAUCAACACUUGAUGUUCUUUUCUGAUCUCCCCUUCCGCUGAUUUCAGCAUUGAAUAUACCUCGGAAAUGGUCUUUUCCAUCCCCUGCAUAUUGUAGUUCAUCACAAAGCUCUUGUAGCUUGGUGGAAGCGACUGGAGGAUUCUGUCAAUGACUGCGUCAUCCGGGAGAUUAACUCCCAGCUGAGACAAGCGGUUGUGCAACCCAGACAUUCUGAGUAUGUGCUCACUAACAGAACUGUUCUCCUCCAUUUUACAGCUGAAGAAUUUGUCGGAGACAUCAUAUCUCUCGACCCGGACAUGAGCUUGAAAAACAAGUUUCAGCUCCUCGAACAUCUCAUAUGCUCCAUGUUUCUCAAAACGCUUUUGGAGACCCGGUUCUAAGCUGUAAAGCAUGCCGCACUGAACAAGGGAGUAAUCAUCAGCACGUGAUUGCCAAGCGUUCAUAACGUCUUGGUUCUGUGGGAUUGGUGCAUCACCUAGCGGUGCUUCUAAGACAUAAUCUUUCUUGGCUACUAUGAGGAUGACCCUCAAGUUCCGGACCCAGUCCGUAUAGUUGCUGCCAUCAUCUUUCAGCUUGGUUUUCUCUAGGAACGCGUUGAAAUUGAGGACAACGUUGGCCAUUUGAUCUACAAGACAUAGUGUAAAGAUUUUAGACUAAGUUCAUGAUAAUUGAGUUCAUCUAAUCAAAUUAUUUAAUGAACUCCCACUCAGAUAGACAUCCCUCUAGUCAUCUAAGUGAAACAUGAUCCGAGUUCAACUAGGCCGUGUCCGAUCAUCACGUGAGACGGGCUAGUCAAGAUCGGUGAACAUCUCCAUGUUGAUCGUAUCUUCUAUACGACUCAUGCUCGACCUUUCGGUCCUCCGUGUUCCGAGGCCAUGUCUGUACAUGCUAGGCUCGUCAAGUCAACCUAAGUGUAUUGCGUGUGUUCCGAGGCCAUGUCUGUACAUGCUAGGCUCGUCAACACCCGUUGUAUUCGAACGUAAGAAUCUAUCACACCCGAUCAUCACGUGGUGCUUCGAAACGACGAACCUUCGCAACGGUGCACAGUUAGGGUGAACACUUUCUUGAAAUUAUUAUAAGGGAUCAUCCUACUUGCUACCGUCGUUCUAAGCAAAUAAGAUGCAAAAACAUGAUAAACAUCACAUGCAAUCAAAUAGUGACAUGAUAUGGCCAAUAUCAUUAUGCUCCUUUGAUCUCCAUCUUCGGGGCACCAUGAUCAUCUUCGUCACCGGCAUGACACCAUGAUCUCCAUCAUCAUGAUCUCCAUCAUUGUGUCUUCAUGAAGUCGUCACGCCAACGAUUACUUCUACUUCUAUGGCUAACGCGUUUAGCAAUAAAGUAAAGUAAUUUACAUGGCGUUAUUCAAUGACACGCAGGUCAUACAAAAUAAUAAAGACAACUCCUAUGGCUCCCGCCGAUUGUCAUACUCAUCGACAUGCAAGUCGUGAUUCCUAUUACAAGAAUAUGAUCAAUCUCAUACAUCACAUAUAUCAUUCAUCGCAUCUUCUGGCCAUAUCACAUCACAUAGCUCUUGCUGCAAAAACAAGUUAGACAUCCUCUAAUUGUUGUUGCAAGUUUUUUACGUGGUUUGUAGGUUUCUAGCAAGAACGUUUCUUACCUACGUAUGACCACAACGUGAUUUGCCAAUUUCUAUUUACCCUUCAUAAGGACCCUUUUCAUCGAAUCCGUUCCGACUAAAGUAGGAGAGACAGACACCCGCUAGCCACCUUAUGCAACUUGUGCAUGUCAGUCGGUGGAACCUGUCUCACGUAAGUGUACGUGUAAGGUCGGUCCGGGCCGCUUCAUCCUACAAUGCCGCCGAAACAAGAAAAGACUAGUCGCGGCAAGAAGAAUUGGCAAACUCAACGCCCACAACUGCUUUGUGUUCUACUCGUGCAUAGUAACUACGCAUAAGCCUGGCUCAUGAUGCCACUGUUGGGAUUCGUAGCAUAAUUUUAAAAUUUUCCUACGCUCACCAAGAUGCAUCUAUGGAGUCUACUAGCAACGAGGGGAAGGAGUGGAUCUACACACCCUUGUAGAUCGCCAGCAGAAGCGUUCCAAUGAACGUGGAUGACGGAGUCGUACUCGCCGUGAUCCAAAUCACCGAUGACCGAGUGCCGAAUGUACGGCACCUCCGCGUUCAACACACGUACGGUGCAGCGAUGUCUCCUCCUUCUUGAUCCAGCAAGGGGGAAGGAGAGGUUGAUGGAGAUCCAACAGCACGACGGCGUGGUGGUGGAUGUAGCGGGUCUCCGGCAGGGCUUCGCCGAGCUUCUGCGAGAGAGAGAGAGAGGUGUUGCAGGGGAGGAGGGAGGCGCCAAAGGCUGUUGUGUGCUGCCCUCCCUCCCCCCCCCCUUUAUAUAGGCCCCUGGGGGGGUACGCCAGCCCCAAGAGAUGGGAUCUCAAGGGGGGUGGUGGCCAAGUGGGGGGGAAGGGGUGCCUUGCCCCCCAAGGCAAGGGGGAAGCUCCCCCCCCUAGGGUUUCCAACCCUAGGCGCAUGGGGGGAGGCCCAAGGGGGGCGCCCCAGCGCACUAGGGGCUGGUUCCCUUCCACUUUCAGCCCACGGGGCCCUCCGGGACAGGUGGCCCCACCCGGUGGACCCCCGGGACCCUUCCGGUGGUCCCGGUACAAUACCGGUAACCCCCGAAACUUUCCCGGUGGCCGAAACUUGACUUCCUAUAUAUAAUUCUUCACCUCCGGACCAUUCCGGAACCUCUCGUGACGUCCGGGAUCUCAUCCGGGACUCCGAACAACUUUCGGGUUUCCGCAUACAUAUAUCUCUACAACCCUAGCGUCACCGGACCUUAAGUGUGUAGACCCUACGGGUUCGGGAGACAUGCAGACAUGACCGAGACACCUCUCCGGUCAAUAACCAACAGCGGGAUCUGGAUACCCAUGUUGGCUCCCACAUGCUCCACGAUGAUCUCAUCGGAUGAACCAUGGUGUCGAGGAUUCAAUCAAUCCGUAUGCAAUUCCCUUUGUCAAUCGGUAUGUUACUUGCCCGAGAUUCGAUCGUCGGUAUCCCAAUACCUUGUUCAAUCUCGUUACCGGCAAGUCUCUUUACUCGUACCGCAAUGCAUGAUCCCGUGACUAACGCCUUAGUCACAUUGAGCUCAUUAUGAUGAUGCAUUACCGAGUGGGCCCAGAGAUACCUCUCCGUCACACGGAGUGACAAAUCCCAGUCUCGAUUCGUGCCAACCCAACAGACACUUUCGAAGAUACCCGUAAUGCACCUUUAUAGUCACCCAGUUACGUUGUGACGUUUGGCACACCCAAAGCACUCCUACGGUAUCCGGGAGUUGCACGAUCUCAUGGUCUAAGGAAAAGAUACUUGACAUUGGAAAAGCUCUAGCAAACGAAACUACACGAUCUUUUAUGCUAUGCUUAAGUUGGGUCUUGUCCAUCAUAUCAUUCUCCUAAUGAUGUGAUCCCCUUAUCAAUGACAUCCAAUGUCCAUAGUCAGGAAACCAUGACUAUCUGUUGAUCAACGAGCUAGUCAACUAGAGGCUUACUAGGGACAGGUUGUGGUCUAUGUAUUCACACAUGUAUUACGAUUUCCGGACAAUACAAUUAUAGCAUGAAUAAUAGACAAUUAUCAUGAACAAAGAAAUAUAAUAAUAACCUUUUAUUAUUGCCUCUAGGGCAUAUUUCCAACAAUAAGGAUUCCCCCUUCCUCUUCUCACGCUCUUUCUCCGUCUCCGCCUCUCCGAUCUCAAGCUCGAGCGCCCAAGUUCUCAUCUCCUUUCCACUCAAGCAACCAUGUCCGGAUCCGGUGGUCAGGGCAAGUGGAUGGUCUCCUCCGUCAAGGAGGAGGACAUUACUGAGCUCCGGGCAGCCGGAUAUUUGGCGAAGGAGAUCGCCCACCGCCUGCCGGCCGAGGUACAAAUUGUCCCCAUGCCGAAGCCCACUGAGAGGGUAGUAUUCAUCCCCCAUUUCUUCCGCGGGCUAGGGUUUCCACUCCACCCUUUUGUCUGCAGGCUAAUGUAUUAUUACGGAAUAGAUUUCCAUGAUCUGUCCCCGAAUUCCUUCCUCAACAUCUCGGCGUUUAUCAUCGUGUGCGAGGCCUUCCUCUGCAUCCAUCCCCACUUCAGGCUGUGGCUCAAAGUCUUCAAGGUGAAGCCAAAGGUGGUGGAUGGCCAGCACGCGGAGUGUGGAGGAGCCAUGGUGAGCAAGCUAUCCAACGUCUCCUGGCCCAAAGGCACUUUUGUGGAGACAGUAAAGGAAUGGCAGAAGCAGUGGUUCUACAUCACAGAACCUCGCGGCACCACCUGGGCCGCGGCUGCCAGAUUCUGCUCCGGUGCUCCCAUGCGACUCACCUCCUGGGUCGAGAAGAGUCCGGACUGGAGUUCACCUGACGAGCUGAUAGCGUUGCAGACGCGCGUUCAAAGCAUGGUGACCAAGAACUUCAAGCUCGUUGACGUCAUCUAGGUGAUGCUGGUCCGCCGGAUUCUUCCGUGCCAGCGCCGGAGCCGCCCUUUGUGGGAGUUCAAUUCGAAGAAGCACUAGACCUUGAAAAGGCUCUUCGAGACUUCUCACGAAGGGGCCUGGAAGUUGCUCUUUAAGGGCAACGAGAAGCCACCGGCCACGGACUCAGACCGUGGUCACGAUUGUAAACACCCCGCCAGCGAGGUAUGUUUUCUCUGACGUAUCCCCGACUUAAAUGUUUCGAGGAUGAUUCUAAGUUUUUAUUAUUUCUCUUUCAGGACUGGAUGGAGAGGGCGAGGCGGAUCCGGUGUCCGGCCCCGCUGCCUGAAGAACCUGUCAUCUCGCGCCUGGCGAAUAUGCUGGUGCCGGUGCCAUAUAAGGCGCCGGAGAAGAAGGCCAAGAAGAAGGCCAAGGGGGCCAAGAGUGGCCCCCGUCGCAAGGGCAGUCCGGACGUGACGUCCGAAGACGACGAAGCUCAUUCCUCUGUACCUGAGGACAAUGACGAGGAAGAGGAGGAGGAGGAGGAGAACAACCCUCCCCCCGAGGAGAAGAAGAAGAAGAGGGCGGCUUCGGCGCAUCUGGAGGCGGAGACGCCCAAGAAGGGGAAAGGCGUCCCAGCGGUCAACACCUCAUGGGAUGUCGACAGUAGUCCGGAACAACGCCCCCGUACUAAGCCCCAGGCCGCAUCGUAAGUGACGUGGCUUGCUCGCGCGCACAUCCGGCCCUUUUUCUCCAUUUAUCUUUGACAUAGUUUAACUGUACUAUUGCAGUCCGGCCCGUGACCUUAUCCAGCAAUCCUCAUCUGAAGGCUCGUUGGCUCCGUCGGAGAUGGCGAGCAUGUCGCCACCGCCCGCUUACUCCCCUGGGGCUAGGGAUGACGCCGAAGUGCUGUCCCGAAAGACCGCUCUGAACUAGGGAGGAGCCCAGGACGUUGUCCGGGAGGCGCCACAAGGCGGGACCUCCACUGCCGGACACAUGAGGGAGCCAAUCCCCAUGGAGACUGGCGAAGAAGGCCGUAUCCAGUUCGGCUCUCAGCCGAAUACGAUUCUAGAGACCCAUAUGGCUCCGGAGUCGGGCGAGCAGCCCCCUUUGAAGGAGAGGGGUGCGCCGCCUCCACCGGUGGCUCCUGUCCAUCCAGGAGCGUCGGAUGACCUAACGGGGGCGCUACGAAGCGCCUCCGUCGUGGACGAGCAUCGUGUCCUUAUGGGUGCGGUGAUCGAGAAGGUUCAGUCCACCAAGAGCGGACUGAAUGAAGCCUGUAGUAGCCUGUUAACAGGUUUCGAGGUAAGAAAGAGAGAAAAACCCGAAUAGUCCGUAGCCCCUAAGACGUUGUCCGGUGUUCAGCGAGAAGAACCGGACAGGGGAUCAAUCCUUAAUUAUAAGAGGCUGACUGAAUAUAUAUCGAUAAGCAGGCGUCCCUAUUGGUCGCGACCUCGCAUGCUACCGAGGUCUCCGAACUGAGGCGGAGGCUGGAGCGGACCGAGAACGAGCUCGGCGAGGUUAAGGUUCGGCUCCAGGAUCAGCAAGGUGAGUAACGACUUGUUGUAUGUUCGGGAAAGGAUAAGCGCUGUAUAUUGACAAUGGUAUUGUGAUACAUGAAGAAGCCGCGACCGAGGUCGAGGCCCUGAGGAAGGCCCUAGGCGAGGCCGAGGAGCAGGCUGUCCAGCAGCAAGAUGCCCGUAAGAAGCUAGAGGCCCGGGUCAAAGAAGUCCAGCAGGAGCUCCAGGAUGCGGUUAACAAAUGUGAGACCUUGGAGAAUGAUGCAUCGGCUCAAGGGGCCGAGCUCACCAAGGCUCGUCAGAGCACGGAGACCGCUCGGAAUGAGGCCCAGGCCGCCCUCCAGGAGAUCCAGGAGGCCAAGAAGAUCACAGCGGGUAAGGCUUUUAAUAUGCAAAGCAAGUACGCGGAGAAGCAGUACCUUUUACUAACCCGGGUUCGGAGUUCCCCAGGGGCUUUUGCUGAUCUACCACACAGUGUAUCGGACGCCGUGGAGUUCUAUCGAGCCGAAGGAGGGGGUUCCACAGAGAAGCUCUUCUGGUCGUAAUAUGCGGUGCCAGAGCCUCCCAUGUCCUUCACCGAUCAGCUGAAACAGCUGGUGGAGCUGCACAAGGUGGCCGAAUUAGCCAUGAAGAAUUUGACAAUCCGGCUAUGGCCAGCCGAAGCUAUGCCUGGCAGCUACUUCAGACUCGUGAGGCGGAUGGUAAACGCAUGUCCUCGGCUGGACGUCAUCAAGCGCUCCGCCUGUAUUGAAGGUGCCCGUAUGGCCUUCGCUUGCUGCAAGAUGUGGUGGGCGAAGAUGAACGCUGUUGAAGUUGCCAGCGGGCUGCCGGAGGGCAAGGAGCACCGCACACCCGAGCAAUAUUUCGCGGAUGUCGUAGAGGGGUCUCGACUUGUGGCGGCGCAAUGUUCGUAGGACAUUGUAUUUAAAUAAAUGUAUUCGUGUUGCCCUUUGCCUUGUAUUAUAGGAACAAAGCCGGUUUUUGUAAAAUAAUUUUAUUAUGCUUUGAAUUGUUUCCUCCUGUGUAGCCGUGUUAUUUGUAAUCUGAGGGUUGGCUAGCCGUCGGCUUCUGCCCUCGCGUAGGUAGUACGGAGGUGUUCGGAAUGGAUUCUAAACAAUCUUGAUCCAAUUAUAUGGUCCCUUGGAGGAUUUGUUUAGCGCAACGAACAAGGCAAUCGGACUGUACGGCUUAAACGCCCUCACUUAGCCAUAGGAGUUUUAUAAUUAAGCAAGUGCGCAGCCCCUGGUCCAAGCUAGGGUGCUGUCGGCGUCUAAUCGGGAAGUGUCGAUCCUUCGCAUGAUGCGGAAAAAAUCUCCAAUGAUUUUGUAACCCUCGAAUAGCUGACCGGCUCUCGCCGUAUCAUGACAGACAAUUUUCGGCUUUCUCUACUGAGGUGCUCAUAUGGUCAAGGCCAGGGCACAAUCGCAGUAGUUCUCCCUUUACUAACCUAGCCGAUAGAGCGGAACGUAGGGUAGCAAGCAUAGGAGCCCGGCAACCCAACUAUUGACCAAAGACAUGAUUCGGAGCCAAUGCAUAUAAUGCUAAAUUCGGGGUGCCGAACUUAUAUAUAAGAAGUGUUCGGACUUUGCUGCCGUAUUGUGGGGCGACAAGUAGCCCCUGGCGAAUAUGAAACGUAAAAGAGUGUCGAUGCAGCAAAUAAGCAAAUCGAAAUAAAAUGAAGUAAGAAGCGAAAACCAUAGAAACUGGGCCACGAACCAUUUUUAUUAUAACUGGAUGGAUACGUCAAGGUGUAUCUUGUAUAGAUGGUGCGAUAAGUAUCCGGGCCUACACACCUGUGCUGCUUGCCUCCGUUGUAUGCCAAUCCUUCUAAAGGACUCGCGAUCAGGCCCGUGGAAAAAGGAACCUGAAACAAGAAAAAAAAAGUAAAAGUGCGUGUGUUCGGGAUCUGUCUGGCCGAACUGUAGACCCCGGGUUAUCUUGUGCCUCCGUCGAUGUCCAUGGAAUUUUGAGUGCGUAAUUGUGUACGCGUGGUACGAAUGCCACUACCUCAUUGGGACUGGGACGGAGGCCGAAUUGCUAGUCGAGCACUUGACGAGCCGCACCGUCCUGUUGCAGUGAAGUCCGGAACCUCUUAAUGAUGUCCGAGGGCUCGACAGCCGUACUAUGGUGCUUCUUGAGAAGGCCGCUCUGUACUUCUGCUGCUAGGGCGGCGGUGUGCUCCUCUGUUCGGAGGGAGCGUUCCGUAUUGCCAUUGACUGUUCUGACGCCGAGUGGACCGGGCAUCUUGAGCUUGAGAUAAGCAUAGUGUGGCACUGCACUGAAUCUAGCAAACACGGUUCGUCCGAGCAGUGCGUGAUAGCCGCUGCAGAAGGGGGCGAUAUCGAAGAUUAACUCUUCGCUUCGGAAGUUUUCCGGAGAACUAAAGAGUACCUCUAGCGUGAUUGAGCCCGUACAGCGGGCCUCUACGCCUGGUAUGACUCCUUUAAAGGUAGUCUUUGUUGGUUUGAUUCGCGAGGGGUUAAUGCCCAUCUUCCGCACUGUGUCCUGAUAAAGCAGGUUGAGGCUGCUACCGCCAUCCAUCAGGACUCGUGUUAGGUGAAACCCGUCAAUAAUUGGGUCGAGGACUAGUGCGGCCGAACCGCCAUGGCGGAUACUAGUUGGGUGAUCCCGACGAUCGAAGGUGAUCGGGGAUGAUGACCACGGAUUGAAUUUUGGGCGACUGGCUCUACCGCGUAGACGUCCCUAAGUGCUCGCUUACGCUCCCUUUUGGGGAUGUGCGUAGCGUAUAUCAUGUUCACCGUUUUGACUUGAGGGGGAAAUUUCUUCUGCCCCCCAGUGUUCGGCUGCCAGGGCUCUUCGUCCUCGUCCUCACUUUGUGAUCCCUUUUCUUUUUUCGGCAUUUAACUUGUCGGCCUGCUUGAAGACCCAACAAUCCCUGUUGGUAUGAUUAGCUUGCUUAUCCGGGGUGCCAUGAAUUUGGCACGGACGGUCGAGUAUGCGGUCCAGGCUGGAAGGUCCUUCGCUGUUUCUUUUGUAGGGCUUCUUCCGUUGGCCGAACUUGGAGCUACUGAAUCCGGCGUUGACUGCGGUGUCAUCGGUGUUGUCGCCAUUGCUUCGGCAUUUGUGUCUAUUGCGCCGGAGCUUUCCAGUGCUGUUCUUGGCCUCAGUGGGGCUUGCCUCGCUGGCUGUGUUUUUACUACGAGCCAGCCAGCUGUCCUCACCCGCACAAAAGCAGGUCAUGAGUGUCGUGAGGGCUGCCAUAGACUUCGGCUUUUCUUGGCCGAGGUGGCGUGCUAGCCAUUCGUCACGGAUGCUGUGUCUGAAGGCUGCUAGGGCCUCGGCAUCCGGACAGUCAACGAUCUGGUUCUUUUUGGUUAGGAACCUAGUCCAGAAUUUUCUGGCUGAUUCUCCAGGUUGUUGAACUAUAUCGCUUAAGUCAUCAGCGUCUGGUGGCCGGACAUAAGUUCCUUGGAAGUUAUCAAGGAAAGCCUCUUCCAAGUCUUCCCAGCUGCUGAUGGAAUUCUCAGGCAGGCUAUUUAACCAGUGCCGAGCUGGCCCUUUGAGCUUUAAUGGGAGGUAUUUGAUGGCGUGGAGGUCAUCUCCUCGAGCCAUAUGGAUAUGGAGAAUGAAAUCCUCGAUCCAUACUGCGGGAUCGAUUGUGCCAUCGUAUGAUUCAAUGUUGACAGGCUUGAACCCCUCGGGGAAUUCGUGAUCCAGUACUUCAUCUGUGAAGCAGAGAGGGUGUGCGGUGCCGCUAUAUCGGGCUGCGUCGUGGCGUAGCUCUGAUGGAGUCCGUCUGCGGUAUUCAGCCCGGGCGUGGUUAGGUUUAUCACGUCCGAAUAGGUAGCCCUCGUCGUGCCUCGAGGCACGUCCUCGCGAUCCGUAGAUCGAUCUUGUAUGUCCUGCUCUACUGUCCAGGGUCUGCCGGAGGUCGUACGUGUGACCCCGAACUCUUCCGUUUCUGUUUUUACGGGGCGGUGGGGCAGGCUGCUGUUCGGCCUGAGUUGCCGCUUUAUCCCGGCCGCGGGGUGGCCGGUCGGCUGCCCUGUCUCGACCACGUGGUGGUCAUUCUGCACUAUGCGAGGGAGAUGUGUGCUCCGGUGCUUCCUCAUCGAAUUGAGGUAGUAGUCUGCGUUUCAGGUAGCUCUUGGCUGGGCGCCUGAGGCCGUAUUCUUCGGCUGUCAGGACAUUAGUCCAUCUAUCGACGAGCAGAUCUUGUUCAGCUUGGAGCUGAUGUUGUUUCUUUUUCAGACUCCUUGCAAUGGCUAUGAGCUGAAGCUUAAAGCGCUCCUGCUCCAGAGGAUCCUCCGGCACGAUGAAGUCUUCGUUGCCGAGGCUUGUCUCCUCCCCGGAGGGUGGACGGUAACUAUCGUGCUCCGAGUCAUCUUCUAUGGCCUGUUCAUCAGGGUUAUCUUGCCUGUUUGCCGUGUUCCUCCUGAUCGGAUGCAGCUCCGACAGGGUCUUCAUUGUUUUCGGCAUCGCCUGGAGUACUAUUUUCUCCGGUGCCGGUGUUGCCGUCCCUUGAGCGACGAGGCUUAGGGCGGCGUUUGGGGCGUCGGCGCUUCGACUGUAUCUUAGAGAUUUUAUUCGCAUCUGGCUCUUCUUUGUCGUCGCCAGAUCCUUUGGGUGUAUCAACCAUGUACACGUCAUACGAAGAGGUAGCCGUCCAGCGUCCGGUGAAUGGCGGGUCUUGGCCUUGCUCCUUAUCGGCAUCAUCGUCCAUACCGUCGAUGUCUUCGGAGCCAUAGUCAAGCACGUCGGUUAAGUCAUCGACGGUGGCUAUGAAGUGGGUGGCGGGUGGGGAGCAAAAUUCUUCGUCAUCCGUCUCUAGCUCGAACCGGACGUAAUUCGGCUAUGAGUCCUUCUCCAAGGAAAAAUUCUUUAAAGAUUUUAGCACGUCACCCAAAGGCGAGUGCUGGAAAACGUCAGCGGCGCUGAACUCGGAGAUCGAUAACCGAUCUAGCUCGGUGUCCGCGGGCAUACACAGUCCGGAACUUAUAGCCGGAGACAAGUCCGAAGUUCCGUUGAAGCGAAUAUUGCAGGGCGUUGAGUCCGUGUGCGGCUCUAACGCCGCGGAUUCUGCGGCCUCGGAUGGCACGAUCUGCUUUGGCCCUAAGGCCGUUGCAGCAGCCGGAACCAUCUCUUGGGUGUGAUCCGAUGACAGAUUUAAGUCACGUUCAUCGGGGUGAGGGGGAGCGAUCGCCGCGGGCUCAAAUCCCUUGAAGAUCAAGUCUCCACGGAUAUCCGCGAUGUAGUUCAAGCUUCCGAAUCUGACCUGAUGGCCAGGGCGUAGCUGUCGAUCUGCUCUAGAUGGCCAAGCGAGUUGGCCCGCAGUACGAAGCCGCCGAAUGCGAAGGUCUAUCCAGGGAGGAAGGUUUCUCCCUGGACAACGUCAUUACUGACGAUCAAAGGGGCCAUCGAGCCCUUUGCCGACGGCACAGUGGAACUCUCAAUGAAAGCACCAAUGUCGGUGUCAAAACCGGCGGAUCUCGGGUAGGGGGUCCCGAACUGUGCGUCUAGGACCGAUGAUAACAGGAGACGGGGGACACGAUGUUUACCCAGGUUCGGGCCCUCUCUAUGGAGGUAAUACCCUACUUCCUGCUUGAUUGAUCUUGAUGAAUAUGAGUGUUACAAGAGUUGAUCUACCACGAGAUCGUAAUGGCUAAACCCUAGAAGUCUAGCCUAUGUGAAUAUGGUAAUGAAUAUAUGCCUUCCGGACUAACCCCUCCGGUUUAUAUAGAUACCGGGGGGAUCUAGGGUUUACAUGGAGUCGGUUAAAUAAGAAGGAAUCUUCAUAGUUGGUCGCCAAGCUUGCCCUCGACGCCAAGGAAAUUCCAAUCCGGACACGGGUAUAGUCUUCGGCCUUCGUAUCUUCACAGCCCAUCAGUCCGGCCCAAUGAACAACAGGCCGGACGCCCGAGGACGCCUUAGUCCAGGACUCCCUCACUCGCCGUUUGUGUUGCGCCAUGAGCAGGACUUUGAUUGAGAGGGCGACGUGCAUGCAUUAGCAUGGUUUGCCAGCGUGAGCGUGAGUGUCUGCACGCGUACAUGCUACUUGCCUCUAUGGACGGUGUGCGCUAAUGUGUGCAUCACGUAUAAUAUAAAAAAUGGUUUGUGCAUUUAACGCAAAGUAUUUCAUUUUCAUUUGGCUGACGAGUGUGCGUUGCAGCGAUGAGUCUGUGGUUUGAUUCCUCACAUACGCACAAUUUUGGUUUUCAUUUCUUUCUCCACUGAUAGGUAGGCCCGCAUAGAUAGAUAGAUAAAGACCACGAGCUGAUGAGGCGCAUGCGGACUGUUUGACUGGUCGACCAGAUAAAUACGGAGCUAUACGCUGAGCCAGUGACCGUAUAAUCACCAUAUCUCCUAUACAAUGAUCAAAGUGAGCUAUCAAGACAAGUUCGAUGACCGCCAAUGCAUUUUACUCGGUAAUAAAUGACCAGGAUUGAAGGGGAAUCCAAAUUUCCUUCGUCUUCUGUCCUUGAGCUCUUGACAAACCAAUGCACUAUACGGUUGUCCGGCCACUCCACCCCAGAGCUGUCAUGAAGCGUCGUUCAUGCCACCGCGCCACACACUAACCGGUAAGGAAGCGAUGGCAUCCCGCCGCGCCGAGUUCCUCGCCGCCCACGACUGCACACAAAAUGGUAGGGAAGUGAUGGCAUCCCGCCGUGCCGAGUUCAUCGCCGCUCGCGACCUCACACCUACGUGGGCGGAAAUUGAAGCUGCCAAGGCCGAAUGGGCGGUAGAGCAAGAGGCGGCCAAAGCCGCACAGAGGGAGCGGAAAAGUCAGAAAGCACUCAAGAAAAGAGAGGCCCGCCACCGCAAGAAAGAAGAGGACGCACGCGCUGCUGCGGAGAGGUCGGCGGAGAUCCAAGCACGGUGGGGUGUCGCCGAAAAAGCCGGGAAGGAGAACGACGGCGUCUGGCCAGCAUGUGAGAAGUAGUAGUACUAGUAGUUAGUGUGUGUGUCUGUGUCACCCAUACAAUUGUUUAAUUAAUUACGAGCAUGUACCAGUACUAGUUACUGCUGUAGUUUUUAGAGCAAAUUACCAGUACAUUAGCCUAGACUCAAUGGAAAAAUUCCUAUCCUAUGCAUCAAAUGGCAUCUGUUUCUCUAUAGGAAUUGAGAUGCAUGUCAUCUCACUUCCUAUGAUUUUCAUAUUCCUAUAAAAUUCCUAUCCUAUGAACCAAAAGAGGCCUCUGCUGGAGUAACUAAUGUAGCUAGCAGUACUGCUGGUACAGUAGUUUUCGUCAAGCAGCGGAAUUCAACGAAGUCAUGAUGGUUCCUUCGUCCGAGCAACUACACUGUGGGAAAUCUUGGGCAUGUGAUUUGACGGCUCAUUAGUCAUUAUUACUGUGGCGCGACGACCGGGGUGACUCUCCCUUGGAGUUCUGCGUGCAUGGCAAGUGGACCAGGAUGGUCGACGUCCCACAUGUUGGCGCACGGAAGUAUUCUUUCCGAUAUCGAGGAGCAAGGAAGCGCGCGCCAGCAAGGGAGGGGGGUUGGGUCAGCCAGGGCGGUCAGAUGCGGGCGUGGUGGUGGUAUUGGUUUUGAACCGUUUCAGGUGUAGUACUGGUAGUUUGUAAAACUAUUCAAUUAUUGCACUCAGUUUCCUAAGAAAUUGUGGUAAAAAAUGUUACUCCACAGCCCGCUUCCCUUCUCCUUCCUCUUCCACCGCCCGGGCACGUCCGCGGGAAGCGAUCGGUCAACCCUUAUAUAGGAGUGCUAGCACAAAAAGAUGCAUGCAUGACCACUAAAAUUUCCAGAUUAAAGCGCCGCUCCGGCGGGAGUACGGCGUAUGCCGUUACCUUCGGCCGGGCCAUGGCUACCAGGCGACAGCGAGCAGAGAAGAGGCGGCGGGAGGGGAAUGAAUACAGCUACUGUUUGGGUUCGCCGUCCGGCUUAAAUAAAUGCGCACCAUCACGUGUACCCGCAGGUGCACAAAUUGUAACAUACGUGUCUGCAUAAGUGGGUGUCACGUAACUGGUGUGUGUGUGAGAUUCUGAGAGACAGAGUGCGUGUGUGCGACUCUACUCUUCGGACAUGUACUCAACCUUUUGCAUCGGGAUAUAAGUAUAAUGGUAUUACACUUUAGCUAGUGAUUUACGUGGCCAUGUUAACGUGGUUAUGUAAAAAAAUGUCACUUCCUGCUCGUGAUUUGCAUUAUAUAAUUACUAGCAAGAUGCUCGUGCAUUGCACGGAACAUCAAUAUGCAUUUUUUUACAAAACACCUGUUGUGAUUGACCCAUGCAGGAGUAAUCCCAUGUGUAAAAACUAAUGAUAUCUCGAGAAUUUUAUCGGAAAACUGGUAUCUCGAGAAUUUCAUCGAAAAAAUGAAAGAUGAGAGAUAAGGUGAGGAGGAGUGGAGCAUGGUGGUGACUGGUGGUCGGACUGGGCGGAGGCAUGGGGAUGGACGACGCCGACAGGCAACAACGGCCACCAUGCUAGAUUGUUCCAGAGACUUCCUUUUUUAAUUGCUCAGCAAUGAGGUUGUGGGAGAUAAGGAUGAAUGAGGCAAGGCCUUGUCUGUAAAUGUGGAGAGAGGUGAGGGUAUCUUUUGUAAAAUUGUCAUAGUUUUCUUUCUAUCCGUCAGAUAGAGAUCGGACGGUCUAUAUUACAAGAUGGCAGGCACACCAUCAUCACCAACUCAGUUUUUUAUAAGAGUAGAGAUGAUAAGUUUGCUAACUACUAAAGUAAAGUGGAAUUUGUCCAUGUUAUACAAGUAAAUUAAGGUGAUUGUUUAUCAUACGGGUAAGGUUGGACGAAGGGUGGUAGGAACAAAUGCUCCGCCUAGAGCAUGUGUGUGUGAGAUGGAGUCUUAGUGUGUGUGGGUGUGGGUGGGUGGGUGGGUGGGUGCGUGCAUGUGUGUGUGACGUGGGGUCCUCGGUGGCGGAUGUAAUUUAAGUGUGUGUGGCUUCAUCAUAGAGAGGUGAUCUAUAUGGCAGAGGCCACCAACGAGGGGGUGCGAGAGACAAAAGGCCCGUAGAGAGGGAAGAGAAGGCGUGUGCGCGUGAGAGGAGUCGACAUCAAGAGAACGUGCUUGUUCGUGAGACACCGAGGAAGACUACUAUAUAUCGAUGGUGCAUGUAGGCGGGAAUUAAAUGAAGGGAUGGUCUUAUUGGUUUCGGCGAUAUAGGGGAAGAGUGAGAGAGGGGGUAGCUAUAAGGAGAUUGUUAAGUGUGAGUGUGUGUUUUACCCAUCCAGGCGGAAGUUAUGUGCACACAAGAAGAGAACGAUUCGAUGUGGCGUUAGGGCUGAGGGUAAUUAACUAAGUAUGGAGACAUAGGAGACCUUGAACGUGCAUGUGUGAGAGGUAUACAUGUAUACGUGGGAUGUGUGUGUGUGCGCGCGCGCAUGAUCAAGAUAAAAGAAAGAAGACAUAAGUCAUAAGAUCAACAACAUGGGAGAGACGGAUCGGUAUGACAAUAUGCAUGCAUGUGAGAGUGCAAGGAAGAAGGCCCGAUAAUUGAGCAUGUGUUUUUGUAUUUAAGAGAUAGUGGCGUGGGUUGGAGCAUGCAUCUGUGGCGAGCAGAGGGAGCGAGACACAACUAUUGUGCAAAAGAGAUCAACCUAUAGAUGCAUGUAUGGAGAGACAUAUAUAGUGUGGGUGAUAGAAAGCAAGAGUGUGUGCGAGAAAGAAAUGUUGACGGAGAAACUACAGAUAGAUACAGAGAUAGAGAUGGUAGCUAGAGGGACAUCGGCUAGUUUGAGUGUUGGAGAUGACCGCCGGGUGGUUCAGAGGGUGAAGUUAUGUGUGUGUGAGAGAAAGAUAAAAAGAGGGAACAUGACUGCAUGUAGAGAGAAACAUAUAUAGUGUGCGUGAUAGGAAGCAAGAGUGAGGGCAAGAAAGAAGGUUGAUGGAGAAACAGAUAAAUAGAAAGAUAAAGAUGCUAGCUAGUGUGCGUUAGAGAUAGGAGUCAAGUGGAUCAGAAGGCUGAGUUAUGUGUGUGGGUGUGAGAGAGAGAGUGUGUGCAUGUGAGUCACAUACAAACAAAUAUCAGAGAGAAAUGAGAUCCCGAGAGACGGAGUUUUGUGUCUGCGAGAGAAAGAUAUUUCACAACGAGAGUGAUAGCUAGAGAGACAUAUGAGGGAACGCAAGAUAUCUCUAGGGAGAGAGUGUGUGUGUGAGCGACAUACAAGAGAAUGGUGGAGAGAUAUGAGACCCUGGGAGACAGAGUUUGUGUUUGUGUGUGAGAAAGAGAUAUUUAAGAGGAAGAGUCGUAGCUUCUCAUACCUAAGGAGCGAAAUACAUCUCUGUGUGAGAGGGCGUGUGCGAGUGGCACACAGGGGAACACUACUAGGAAAAAGGCUACUAGCAGCGCGGGUAAUAUGGCUACUAGCAGCGUGGGUACCCGCGCUACUAGUAUCGCGCUACAGCUAAUAGUUAGGAGUAGCGUGACACCCGCGCUACUGCUAUUACAGAACCGCGCUACUACUAACGAAGUAGCACUAGUAGAAAAACGACUUUUAGUACCGGUUCGUAAGGACCUUUAGUACCAGUUCUGGAACCGGUACUAAAGAGUGGGGACUAAAGGUCCCCCCCCCCCUUUAGUCCCGGUUUAACACGAACCGGGACCAAAGGCCCACCACGUGGCACGAGGCGCGCCGUGGUCUGGGGGGCCUUUAGUCCCGGUUGGUAAGGAUUUUUUUAAUUUUUAUUUUUGAAAUAAAGCAAAAACAGCCAGCCUACUGGGCCGGCACGGCCUGCAUACGACUAGAAACCCAAUCUCUAGUUGGGCCAGGAUGCAGGCCCGUACGGCCCAGUAGGCCCCACAGGGCAGAAGACUUGCAAUAGACCCACAAAGGCCUGCUUAGAGAGGAGCUCGACACGGUAGCCGCGGCGAGGCUUAUAAACCGGUGCGAGCUCCUCUCAACUAGCGAGGUGGGAGUAAACAUUGUGCACUGCGGGUGGCAUCGCACCACCUUUAGUACCGGUUGGGUUGGUGGCUCCAACCGGUACUAAAGACCCCCCCCCCCCUCCUUUAGUACCGGUUGGAGCCACCAACCAGUACUAAAGGCCACCACCUCUUUAGUACCGGUUCAUGGCACGAACCGGUACUAAAGAUUUCCCACGAACCGGUACUAAUGAGUGCCGCCCGCCUGGCCGUUGGAACCGGCAUUAAUGGUCACAUUAGUGCCGGUUCAAUACCAAACCGGGACUAAUGAGUUUCACAUUAGACCCUUUUUCUACUAGUGUAGUAGUAGCGUGCUUAUAAUACCAGCGCUACUAGUAUCCUGAAUACUAGUAGCGCGCAGUUUUUUCCCAACGCUACUAGUAACAAAUCAAGAAUAAAAAAAUAAAAAUUAGACGCAAUAUUCAUGAAUGGAGAUCAGAGACACGUCCAGUGCAAAAUAAAUUAAGGUCACAGAACCAUCUUAACACUUGCAGUGUUCAUGGAUGCAGCAUUGAACAUCUCAACUCGAAGAGAUCACGAGGACGCACACAACCAUCAUCAAAAGGUUGGUACCUUCCCUAUUGUUUCACCACCAACCUAACCAGACCACUUCUCUAGAUGUAUCUACAAAGCGUCGAGGUCCUCCACCUUGAGGAACUCCGGGCGGUGGCGUCGUCCUCCACCUCUGUGACCUUCGUAUGGUGGCGUCGAGGUCCUCCACCCCGGGGACCUCCGGCAUCGCAAUCACCUGGACAAUCAUCAGUAUGACACGGUCGCGAGGCUUCACGGUGAAGUCUGCCCCCGAGUAGUUGAAGAGCACGAUGCCCAUCAGGCCGCAGUAGUCUGCGUCGAUCACCCCUGCACCCAGUCGAGAAAGUGAAAACUUGUUAGUUCGCAUCCUCGUGUAGAUCCAGUAGGGUAUUUUCUUCAAUUAUAUGUCUCUUUUAGUCUAUUAUGAAUCUUCAAAAUGGAAAAACACCUACUAAAUGCAUACCCUAGUUGUACGUGUUCAUGCUAUCUUCUUGUUUUGGUGCAUUCAAGAAAUACUAGUGUAUUUGAGCUAUAUAUUCUUGAAAUAUUUGACAGUUAACAUUCUGUUCAAAAUUUAUUAUUGCAUGGAUAGGGAAAUCGCCAACAAAGGACUUCAGAAAAUUGAUUCCCACUGCUCUUCAAAACAGGGAAUAGGCAAAGUCUUUUUUGAAUUUUGAUAUUCCAUGCCAACUUCAAGUAUAUAUGCUACCAUGUAAUCUUUGAACGUGGAUCAAAAUGAGAUUUCAGGCUUUGUGGGCCUUACCAUGAUCAGUACUAAAUUCUCUAGGCUGCUCAACCUUUCCCUGUAGGGAGCAUUUCUUUCACCAGGUAUCGCAUUGUUAAGUUUGGGAAGAAACCUGCAUCCCUUCAGAUAGUCAUCCAUAUCCUGAAGAAAAAACAGUAUACAUUUUCAGUGACUCACAAUAUAUCAUCGAAUACUGCUCAAGUCUACUUCUAAGAAUAAUUGUUUAAGAUCAGCCAAUGUUUUCUUACGAUCUUCCACUCUGUGAAGUAGAAGUAAAAACUGAAAGCUAAACACACAUUAAGAUUACCUACAUAAAAUUCUUCAGAUAGCGAAUGAGCGAUAGAAAAAAAAUAUAUACUUCAGAUAGCAAGGAGCAGGCCAACAGGCAACAACAUAAGUUUUUUAGCAGCGGCGACAGGUAACUACCGAGACAUUGCAGGUGAAGAUAUGAAUUUUGGGUACCCUUCGUCCCCCACGAGCAGACUUCGUUGACAGUGGUGCAGGGUACAGUGUUGCGCAGGCGACGCGGAGAGAGGCCUGCCUGGCCGGGGCCUAGCCGAGCUUGGCGCUGAGGACGUUGCCCACGGACACCUCCUGCACCAGCGCCGGGUCGACGUUGACUCUCCGGAGAGCACCAUUUUAAAUCGGGCGGCAGAGCAUCACUGACUGGGUGCUCGGAUCCAACUACCAUCUACUUUGACCAUCCGAACCACAUGUGACAACAAGACUCAUCCGAUCUCUUGUCCUCUACCCAAUGUCAUGAGAUAUUGAGAUCCAAUGUUAUUAGUCCAGGUCUGCUACCAUCUACUUAUACUAAUCAAAAGGCAAACCAAUCCACUUACGCCCAGUCUAUCAGGACUAAACUUGUACUCCUAACAGUGGGGCUGUAAAAUUUCCACACGCGUUCAUCUGGGCCUUAUCCUACGCCAUCUCCAAAGAUUUAAAAAUGCAAAAGUUUUCAAUUGACACGACACUUGCCAUUAUAUAUUGUAAAAAAAGUUUAUGUCAUCCGUGCAAAAAACUAAUGCUGAAGUUCUUUCUACUGCCUUUUUCUGAAUUAUUAGUUGCUGAUGCCAAUAAAAACAAGUGCAGUUCAUCUAGCAGCAUACUACCAAAUAUACGCAGCUCAGAAGUUGAAGAUACAAUAAAUAGAUACGGCUAAAAGCAUGAGACCUGCUACUUUGGAAGAUAGUAACUUACAGUAUCCUGGAGAAGGCCUCCCUGUUCUCGUUGAGCUUCCACUGAUCCUCUGCGUCGGAGGCGUAGUAGUCGUACACCAUCUUCAGGAGCUUCUCCCUGGCAAGUUUCCAGUACUCGGACACGUUCGUGAUCAUCUCCAUUCCCCUGCUCAAAUUAUUCAUCAUCAAUUCCCAGUUAAUCUAUUUGCCAAGCAGCAAAAUAGAUCAUCUGCUUUUUCUCUGAAGAGUGAAGACGCUUGAACCUGAACUGUACAUCCUCCGGAUAGCUUGACAGGGAAUAUGAGAAAUCAAGAAGGAUGGCAAGAUAUGGAACAAAUCUGGAGGCUGAUCUAUCCAUGGAGGAGUUGAUUAACUGAAGAAUCGAUCCUGGAUUCCUGAUUCGGUAUCAUAUAUAUCACUCCAUCAGUAGUUCGAGAUGUUGCUUUCGAAUCAGCGGUACUGAAAAAACGAAAUAGAAAGAUUGAGCCGAGGCGAUUUGACGAGUCUUGUUGUCUCAUGACAUUGAGCCGAGGCGGUUUGAGUGGUUGCUUAACUAGUAGCAAGGAUUGGAGUAAGAAAGCAGAGAAAUUUCGUUACCCUGGAUGGCGACGGAGCCGAGCUUGGUGGCGGGGAGGGACGAGAGGCAGCCAAGCAAGGCGUCGAUGGGCGUGCUGGCGACGCCGACGGUGCACACGUCCAUGGGAUCCAGGCCGCCGUCGGGGGCGCAAGUGCUCGGGGACGGCGCCAUGGCGUGGUGGUGGACUGGCUUGGCUGUUGGAUCUUACCCCUCUGUGUGCUAGGGCUCACCGGCGGCGGGUGGAUUGGGUUUGGCCGGAGAGAGCGAGAGGGAGAGAGAGAGAGGGGGUGUAGCGACCCGACCUCAAACGGUAAAGUCUUUGUGCUUCUGUGUCAUCCCUGGAUCGGUAAUGCUGACACACAGUGCUCGAAGGAUUUAUAACAGAGUAGCAAUCACAAACUUAUUACAUCGAAUGUCUCCAAAAAGAACUUAUUACAAUAAAUAUGGCAUAAGGCCAUCUAAUACGAUAACAGCGGAAGACUUGGAAGAUAAAGUGAGUCCAUCAACUCCAACAGCAUAGCUGAGCUGCACGGCAACGACCUAACGAACCUUACUCCUCGUCUGAAAAGUCUGCAACAUAAUACGUUGCAGCCCGAGAACGGGUCAGCACAUGGAAUAUGCUGGCAAUAUAACACAGUAGAGCAAGAACAGAAUAAUGCUACCACUACAUGCAUAUUUGGCUGGUGGAAAGGCUCUAUGGUUAUAGUUUUGCGAAAAGCCAAUUUUUUCCUACAACAAUGGAAUAAGUUUUAUUUAACUAUCAUGGUAGUUGAAACAUCAUUGAGAAGGUUCCUCCAACUCAAUCCCAAUUAAAGUAAUUAUCAACCCAACAUAUUAAAUUAGAGUGAUGAGAUACUUAGGAUAAUCCAAGUACUAGAUACUCAAGAUGUCCAUAACCGGGGACACGGCUAACCAUGAUUAGAUUGUACACUCUGCAGAGGUUUGCGCACUUUUCCCCACAAGAUUCGAUCUCCUCCGUUGGAUUUCUCGCACUACAUGGUGUUUGAGAAACGGAUGACCGAGACACAGUCUUUCAGAAGCAUUAACUCUAACCCCGGGUAGACAGUACCAACCUACAUCCCUCUACAUCUGCUAGCCUACCACUGGAAGAGGUCAGGCAACUUACUCAACUAUGCUAGAGCCCACAAUAGCUUGUGGCUGCACACGGAAGUUUCUAGCAUGAAUAAUCUUAUGAUCCCUUUGAGCCUGGGUGGCGAGCCGUAGGAUGAUCACACGGGUCCUCCGGGAUAUCCUAGGACAACACUGGAUUCUCCAGGUGCCCGUAACCAAUCCACCCAGAUGUGUAUUAAAGUACCCACCUUAAGUUGAACCAUUAAGUAAACAAUCUCACAUCUGUCAUGGAUUCACUCACCCAAACCACGUCUACGAGCAUAGCAUAGCAAUAUAAGCAAUACGUUGAAGUAACUCCCAAGGGUUUGAUAAUAACAGGGCAAUAGGUUCUACCUCAUCAACUACUUCCCAAUACCCACAAGUUAAUCACAUCCUAAUCAUGCAGUGUUUGAGGAUUGGAGCUAAUGCAUAAAAACUGGGUAUGAAAAGAGUAUGAUCAAUGUGUUACUUGCCUUGCUGACGAUACGCAAAACCUAGAGACUCGUAGUAGCACGCUUCGCACUCCGGGAAUUCUAUCGCAAAAAAACAAUAGCAUGCAUAAGCAAUCAAUCAUGGAUGCACGGGUAAAACUCAAAUAAGAAGAACUAACCAGAAAAUCCAACUUAAGAACUCCGGUUUGCAAAAAGAAUCAAAUCAAACGGAGCAACAAAACUCAAACUGCGAAAGAAACAAGAUUCGAUUACUAAUCUGGACUAAAGUCAAAUUUUACAGUACCAAAAUCUUGUUCAAGUUGGUUAAACAGAAAUAGGGUUUCGAGACGAAGAUCUAGGCGCUUGAAUCGCCUGAUUCCGAUAAACGAGCGAAAAGAUAAACUAAAACGAAAAUCGGAUCAGAAAUCGCGAUCGAAAAUAAUCGCGAAAAAACUGAGAAAAAGAAAAACUGACGAACAGGCUAACGAACGAACGUUCGUUGUCUGUAACUAAUGAGCGAAAACGGUUCGUUAAAACGAACGUACGGACGAACGUCCGCUAAAUAAUCUAAACCGAGAAAACCAACGAACCGAUAAAAAAAGCAACUAGGGUUUUUAAAAAAACCGAUGGUUUUACCUAAACCGAAAGAAAAACAGCGGCUCCGGCGGCUUCCGCGGCGGCGCGGCGAGGCGGGGGCAGCGCGGGGUGAGGCGCGGCAGGCGGCGGCGGCUGCUGCUGCUGCUUGCGGUGGCGGUGGUGGCGAUUUGGGGGCGGGGGCGGCGGCUUUUAAAGGGGAGAGGGAGGGUGGCUUGCGGGAGGGGGCGGGAGGAGUCCCGGGCGGCGACGGCGACGGCUGCCGAGUCCUGGCCGGACUCGGGCACGGCGGAGGCGGUGGCGCGGCACGGGCCGGCGGCCUGGCUCGGCUGGGUCUUGGCCCAGUCGGGCGCGGAAGAAGUUUUUUUAAAAAAAAUGGAUUCCGCCGAAAAUAAAUCCUAGAAAAAUAAAUAAAAAUCUAAAAAUGCCAAAACAAAUUUUCACCGUCUAAAUAAAAUAUUUAGAACAAGAUGAACGUUUUCUUGGCCCUAAAAUGCAAUUUUGAAAACAUGCAAUUUUUCUAAUGCAAAUAAAAUAGCACUAAAAGCCGAAUAAAAUCAAAUAUUUGAUUUUAAUAUUUUUCCUCCAAUAUUUCAUUUAUUUUGGAGAAGUCAUAUUAUCUCCUCUCAUAUAUUUUAAUAUGAAAUAUUUUCGGAGAGAAAAAUAAUUAAAACAAAUAAUCCUCGUUUCAGUAUUUGAUAAAAUUCAAAUAUGGAAACAGUGAAAUCCCCAACUCUCUCCCAGGGUCCUUGAGUUGCGUAGAAUUUCGAGGAUCGCGAAACGAAAUGCAACAAAAAUAUGAUAUGCAUGAAUGAUCUAUGUAUAACAUUCCAAAUUGAAAAUUUGGGAUGUUACAAACCUACCCCCCUUAAGAUGAAUCUCGCCCUCGAGAUUCGGGUUGGCUAGGAAAUAGGUGUGGGUGGUCUUUACAAAGAUCAUCCUCUCGUUCCCAGGUGGCUUCAUCCUCGGUAUGGUGGCUCCACUGAAUUUUGCAAAACUUGAUAACCUUGUUGCGGGUGACUCGGCUGGCAAAUUCAAGAAUCCUGACUAGCUUCUCCUCAUAGGUCAGAUCACUGUCCAACUGAAUUGCUUCUAGAGGCACUGUAUCUCUCAGUGGAAUAUCGGCCAUCUCCGCAUGACACUUCUUCAACUGUGAAACAUGAAACACAUCAUGAACUCCCGACAGUCCUUCAGGUAACUCCAACUUGUAGGCAACCUCUCCCAUACGUUCCAAAACACGAUACGAUCCUACAAAUCUCGGGGCUAACUUUCCCUUAACUCCAAAACGUUUCACUCCUCGCAGAGGUGACACUCAUAGAUAUGCUCUGUCUCCAAUUUCAUAGGUUACUUCCUUGCGUUUCGAAUCUGCAUAACUCUUCUGCCUGGACUGGGCUUCCUUCAGUCUAUCUCGAAUCAAUUUAACCUUCUCUUCAGACUCCUUAAUCAAAUCUGGUCCAAACAACUGUCGGUCUCCAACUUCAUCCCACAUCAACGGUGUUCUGCACCUUCGCCCAUACAGGGCUUCGAACGGUGCCAUCUUCAAACUGGCUUGAUAGCUAUUGUUGUAUGAGAACUCCGCGUAGGGUAAAUUGUCAUCCCAAGUAGAUCCAUAAUCUAGUGCACAAGCCCUCAACAUAUCCUCCAGAAUCUGGUUGACUCUCUCGGUCUGUCCAUCUAUCUGCGGAUGAAAAGCUGUACUGAACUCCAGCCUGGUUCCCAAAGUCUGGUGCAACUGAUGCCAAAACUUUGAGGUAAACUGUGUUCCUCUAUCUGAGACGAUGGUCCUUGGAACUCCAUGCAGACAUACGAUCCUGGUCAUGUAUAUCUUGGCCAACUUCGCACUUAUAUAGGUGGUUUUCACUGGAAUAAAGUGAGCCACUUUGGUCAAGCGAUCAACUACUACCCAUAUAGAAUCAUAUCCUGAUUUGGUCCUGGGCAAUCCGGUGAUGAAAUCCAUGCCAAGCUUAUCCCACUUCCAUUCGGGUAUCGGCAUAGGCUGUAGCAAUCCUGCUGGCUUUUGAUGUUCUGCCUUCACUCUCUGACAUACAUCACAUACGGCUACAUACUCGGCAAUAUCCUUCUUCAUACCAGUCCAUCAAAAAUGUUCCUUCAAAUCCAAAUACAUCUUGGUGUUUCCGGGGUGUAUCGAGUAUGGUGAGUCAUGGGCCUCCUGAAAUAUUAACUUCCUGAUCUCUGUGUUAUUGGGCACAUAAACACGGUCCUCAAACCAUAAGGUGUCGUGCUCAUCCUCACGAAAACCUUUGGCCUUUCCUUUGCUCAUUCUCUCUUUUAUCUCGGCAAUUUCUUUGUCAUCCUUCUGAGCUUCUCGAAUCUUUGCUAACAAUGUAGACUGAACUUCCAUUGUUGCAACAAAACCUCUAGGAAUAAUCUCCAAUCGAAGUUCCCUGAGAUCCCCUGCUAACUCCUUUGGCAAUCCUGUGCUUACGAGGGUGUUAGCAUAACUCUUCCGGCUCAAAGCGUCUGCUACGACAUUGGCCUUGCCUGGAUGAUAGUGAAGCUUCAUGUCAUAAUCCUUUAUAAGCUCCAACCAUCUCCUCUGCCUAAGGUUCAGCUCCUUCUGUGUGAAAAUGUACUUCAAACUCUUAUGAUCCGUGUACACAUCACAACGGUUUCCAAUAAGGUAAUGUCUCCAAGUCUUGAGCGCAUGCACUACAGCUGCUAACUCCAAAUCAUGUGUGGCAUAAGUCAAUUCGUGCGGUUUUAGUUGUCGUGAGGCAUACGAAACAACUCUUCCGUCCUGCAUAAGCACACUUCCAAGUCCUAAGCGAGAGGCGUCGCAAUACACUUGGAAAUCCUUGCGUAUAUCCGGCAGAAUCAGCACUGGGGCUGUAGUCAGACGUUUCUUUAACUCCUGAAAACUCGCCUCACAUUCUUCCGUCCAUAUAAAUUUGGUAUCCUUCUUCAAUAACUCUGUCAUUGGCUUCGCAAUCUUGGAAAAAUUCUCAAUGAAUCUCGGAUAGUAUCCUGCGAGUCCAAGAAAACUGCGGAUCUCGCUAACUGAAGCGGGUGCCAACCAUUCAGUGACUGACUGAACCUUGGUGGGGUCUACUGGUAUACCUUCUCCUGAUAUAACAUGUCCAAGGAAUCCAACUUCCUUCAACCAAAACUCACAUUUGCUGAACUUGGCGUACAACUGAUGUUCCCUGAGUUUCUCGAGAACUAAUCGUAAAUGCUCAUUGUGCUCCUCUUCAUUCUUCGAGUAUACCAUUAUAUCAUCAAUGAACACCACAACAAACUUAUCCAAAUAUUCCAUGAACACCUUGUUCAUCAUGCUCAUGAAAUAGGCAGGGGCGUUAGUCAGUCCAAAUGACAUGACCGUAUACUCAUACAACCCGUACCUUGUGGUAAAUGCGGUCUUUGGUAUAUCCUUCUCUCGAAUUUUCAGCUGGUGAUAUCCUGAUUGUAGAUCGAUCUUUGAAAACACUUUAGCUCCUUGCAGCUGGUCAAACAAAUCAUUGAUCAUCGGCAAUGGGUAUUUGUUCUUGAUCGUCACCUCAUUCAAUGCCCGAUAAUCAACAACCAUCCUCAAUGAUCCAUCCUUCUUCUCAACCAAAAGCACUGGGGCUCCCCACGGUGAUGAACUUCGUCGAAUGUAACCUUUCUCCAAUAACUCCUUGAUCUGCUCUUAAUCUCUUCCAGAUCAUUUGUGGGCAUCCAGUAGGGUCUCUUUGAUAUAGGCCCGGUGCCUGGCAACAGUUCUAUCAAAAACUCGAUGUCCUGAUCUGGCGGCAUGCCUCGUAAUUCUUCUGGAAAUACAUCUGGGUAAUCCUUUACGACAGGCACUUCCUCCUGAACAACUCCUGAGAGGGAAUUUACUUGGGUUCUCCUUGUCAUAUGCCUGGAUACAUACUUGAUCCUCUUUCCCUCCGGGGUGGUGAGAUAAAUCGACUUACUAGCACAGUCAAUGCUUCCUCCAUACUUUGACAUCCAGUCCAUGCCUAAUAUCACAUUCAAUCCUUGUGACUCCAAAAUUAUUAGGUCGGACGGGAAAACAUGGCUACCAAUGGUUAAGGGUAUCCGGUCGCACCAUCGGCUAGCCAUAUACUCUGCUCCAGGUGAACUUACUAACAGAGGGGUCCUAAGGGCUUGGGUUGGUAGUUUAAACUUAUCCACAAAUCCCCUUGAUAUGUAUGAAUGCGAUGCACCAGUAUCAAAAAGAACAAGGGCGGUAAAAGACUUAAUCAAAAACUUACCGAUAACCGCGUCUGGCUGCUCUUCAACCUCCUCCAUGUUAACGUGGUUCACUUGUCCUUUGUUGAAUGGUUUGGGCUUCUUCCCAGCGCUCCCAUUACCGUUUCCAUUCUUCGCUUCAGGGCACUCCGUGGCAUAGUUUCCAGUCUUCCUGCACUUGAAGCAAGUAAUGUGACUUAGGUCUCUCUUGGUGGGUGUGCAUGGAUUGGAGCGGUUCUGAUUGUUGCUUGUUCCGUUCCCAGUCCCAUUCUUGGAACCAUUGUGGUUAUGCGAACUUCCUCCAUUGUGAUUAUGACCUCCAUGGUUAUGAACAAGUCCUCCUGAGUUCGGGGUUAGACGAGGCUUCUGCUGAGCUCCUGAGUUGUAUCUUCCUUGCCCAUACUUCCUCUUACGGCUCUCAAUCUGUUGCUGCUUCCCUUCAAUCAUAAGAGCCUUAUCUACCAACUCCUGGUAGUUGUUGAAUGUUGCCACCAUCAACUGCAUGCUCAUCUCAUUGUUCAGACCUUCCAAUAAACUUCUCCUGCUUCGCGGCAUCUGUGGCCACAUCAUCAGGGGCAUAGUGAGAUAACUUGCUAAACUCAUCCACGUACUGAGCCACAGUACGGUUCCCCUGGCGUAAGUUGCGAAAUUCACGCUUCUUCAUAUUCAUAGCUCCAGUUGAGACAUGGGCUGUGCGGAAAGCUUGCUGAAACUGAUCCCAAGUGACGUUGGCUAUGGGGAAAGUGGUCGUAUAAUUCUCCCACCAUGAGGCUGCUGGUCCAUCCAAUUGAUGUGCGGCAAAGUGCACCUUCUCAGCAUCUGUGCAACCUGCGGUGGUCAGCUCCCUUCCAAUACGGCAUAGCCAAUCAUCAGCAACUAUAGGCUCGGUGCUACUGGAAAACACUGGCGGCUGCAACCUUAAAAAGCGAGCUAAGUUGUCAACUGGAGGCGGGUUGUUGUUGUUGUUGCCUUGGUUCUGGACUAACAAUUGCAUCAAGGCAUUCUGCUGCUGGAUCAACUGAGUGAGCUCCAGCGGGAAGGCAAAUCUGGUGUCACGUCUCGGAGUCAUCUGAUGGGUUUAGAGGGGAGAGAUUGGAAUAGAAAAGGGGUCUAGUGAGAAGGCACUACCCAUAUGCACAUGAGACAAACACAAUCAUAUCACUCAAUCAAUCAAGCAAGGGCAUACAAACGGUCUAGAACUAUCGUUAAGAGUGCUCAACUACUACUAUAUACAUGGGGGAAUACUACUAAUCAUUUGGUGGUCAUCUAGAAAUUUUGAUCGGUGGAAGACUCCAUGAUGUCUGCUCCAGCUUCGUCUUCAAAGUCAUCUUCACUGGAGUCGGAGUCGGUGUCGUCGAUGAUGAUGUAGUUCUCCGGGCAAGUGGAAUCGUCGUCCUCUCCUCCUGACGCGGGGUCUCCCAUGAAUACUCCGAUCUUCUUUAUCAGGUCGUCAUUCUUCUCCAAUAGUGUUGCAAUUUCCUCCUCAUAUCCAUCGCGUGUAGACUUAAGUUCUUCUUCCAGCUCGAUGAUCCUUGUCUUCGCCUUCUUCAAAUCUAUCAUGCCUGCGCACAUCUGAUUCUCCUGGAGUCGAAUGUGCUGGUUUAACUCCUGGAUGAAAGCUGCAAUGGAUCUGUCCUUCCUGGUGCUGAUCAUCUCCCAUUGCUCAUCUCGGCGUCCACAUAUUUGGUAGAUAGUGUCCUUGAGAUCCUUGUUGUAGACUUCUCCAAUGCGUCCCAUGGCAAUGUGGGCUGCCAUGCUCUUGCCUAGACUCCAGGUUGGUGCUUCAAAGGAAAACUCUAUGGGCUCAGUGACUGGUGUGAACGUCCUUCCUGGAACUUGAACUCGAAUCAUCCAGCGCUCCUCUUCUGGUAAAGUGGCGUUGUAGGUCCCGGUGAAGCUUGGUAUUCUGAUGUUCAGAUACCUAGUGACUUCCUUCAAGUGUCGUCCAAAGGGUGUGUCUUCAUCCGGUUGUGCAGAUUUGUUCCUCAAAUCCGCCAUCCUAAAGAGUAGAAAAUGGAGAGGAGUCAGAAAUGAGUAGAGAAGAGUGACCUAUGGCUUAUCUUAGUGGUCGUGUCCUACACUCAGCAUGUGCUCUGAUACCAUCUUGUAGCGACCCGACCUCAAACGGUCAAGUCUCUGUGCUUCUGUGUCAUCCCUGGAUCGGUAAUGCUGACACACACAGUGCUCAAAGGAUUUAUAACAGAGUAGCAAUCACACACUUAUUACAUCGAAUGUCUCCAAAGAGAACUUAUUACAAUAAAUAUGGCAUAAGGCCAUCUAAUACGAUAACAGCGGAAGACUUGGAAGAUAAAGUGAGUCCAUCAACUCCAACAGCAUAGCUGAGCUGCAUGGCAACGACCUAAUGAACCUUACUCCUCGUCUGAAAAGUCUGCAACAUAAUACGUUGCAGCCCGAGAACGGGUCAGCACAUGGAAUAUGCUGGCAAUAUAACACAGUAGAGCAAGAACAGAAUAAUGCUACCACUACAUGCAUAUUUGGCUGGUGGAAAGGCUCUAUGGUUAUAGUUUUGCGAAAAGCCAAUUUGUUCCUACAACAAUGGAAUAAGUUUUAUUUAACUAUCAUGGUAGUUGAAACAUCAUUGAGAAGGUUCCUCCAACUCAAUCCCAAUUAAAUUAAUUAUCAACCCAACAUAUUAAAUUAGAGUGAUGAGAUACUUAGGAUAAUCCAAGUACUAGAUACUCAAGAUGUCCAUAACCGGGGACACGGCUAACCAUGAUUAGAUUGUACACUCUGCAGAGGUUUGCGCACUUUUCCCAACAAGAAUCGAUCUCCUCCGUUGGAUUUCUCGCACUACAUGGUGUUUGAGAAAUGGAUGACCGAGACACAGUCUUUCAGAAGCAUUAACUCUAACCCCGGGUAGACAGUACCAACCUACAUCCCUCUACAUCUGCUAGCCUACCAAUGGAAGAGGUCAUGCAACUUACUCAACUAUGCUAGAGCCCACAAUAGCUUGUGGCUGCACACGGAAGUUUCUAGCAUGAAUAAUCUUAUGAUCCCUUUGAGCCUGGGUGGCGAGCCGUAGGAUGAUCACACGGGUCCUCCGGGAUAUCCUAGGACAACACUGGAUUCUCCAGGUGCCCGUAACCAAUCCACCCAGAUGUGUAUUAAAGUACCCACCUUGAGUUGAACCAUUAAGUAAACAAUCUCACAUCUGUCAUGGAUUCACUCACCCAAACCACGUCUACGAGCAUAGCAUAGCAAUAUAAGCAAUACGUUGAAGUAACUCCCAAGGGUUUGAUAAUAACAGGGCAAUAGGUUCUACCUCAUCAACUACUUCCCAAUACCCACAAGUUAAUCACAUCCUAAUCAUGCAGUGUUUGAGGAUUGGAGCUAAUGCAUAAAAACUGGGUAUGAAAAGAGUAUGAUCAAUGUGUUACUUGCCUUGCUGACGAUCCGCAAAACCUAGAGACUCGUAGUAGCACGCUUCGCACUCCGGGAAUUCUAUCGCAAACAAACAAUAGCAUACAUAAGCAAUCAAUCAUGGACGCACGGGUAAAACUCAAAUAAGAAGAACUAACCAGAAAGUUCAACUUAAGAACUCCGGUUUGCAAAAAGAAUCAAAUCAAACGGAGCAACGAAAUCUGCGAAAGAAACAAGAUUCGAUUAUUAAUCUGGACUAAAGUCAAAUUUUACAGUACCAAAAUCUUGUUCAAGUUGGUUAAACAGAAAGAGGGUUUCGAGACGAAGAUCUAGGCGCUUGAUUCGCCUGAUUCCGAUAAAUGAGCGAAAAGAUAAACUAAAACGAAAAUCGGAUCAGAAAUCGCGAUCGAAAAUAAUCGCGAAAAACCCGAGAAAAAGAAAAAUUGACAAAUAGGCUAACGAACGAACGUUCGUUGUCUGUAACUAACGAGCGAAAACCGUUAAAUAAUCUAAACCGAGAAAACCAACGAACCGAUAAAAAACGCAACUAGGGUUUUUAAAAACCGACGGUUUUUACCUAAACCGAAAAAAAACGGCGACUCAGGAUCGGAUCGGCUCCGGCGGCGGCGCGGCGAGGCGGGGGCAGCGCGGGGUGGUGCGGCGCGGCGGCGGCUGCUGCUGCUGCUUGCGGCGGCGGUGGUGGCGAUUUGGGGGCGGGGGCGGCGGCUUAUAAAGGGGAGAGGGAGGGUGGCUUGCGGGAGGGGGCGGGAGGAGUCCCGGGCGGCGACGGCGGUGGCUGCCGAGUCCUGGCCGGACUCGGGCACGGCGAAGGCGGUGGUGCGGUGCGGGCCGGCGGCCUGGCCCGGCUGGGCCUUGGCCCAGUCGGGCGCGGAAGAAGUUUAAAAAAACGAAUUUCGCCGAAAAUAAAUCCUAGAAAAAUAAAUAAAAAUCUAAAAAUGCCAAAACAAAUUUUCACUGUCUAAAUAAAAUAUUUAGAACAAGAUGAACAUUUUCUUGGCCCUAAAAUGCAAUUUUGAAAACAUGCACUUUUUCUAAUGCAAAUAAAAUAGCAAUAAAAUCCGAAUAAAAUCAAAUAUUUGAUUUUAAUAUUUUUCCUCCAAUAUUUCAUUUAUUUUGGAGAAGUCAUAUUAUCUCCUCUCAUAUAUUUUAAUAUAAAAUAUUUUCGGAGAGAAAAAUAAUUAAAAUAAAUAAUCCUCGUUUCAGUAUUUGAUAAAAUUCAAAUAUGGAAACAGUGAAAUCCCCAACUCUCUCCGAGGGUCCUUGAGUUGCGUAGAAUUUCGAGGAUCGCAAAAUAAAAUGCAACAAAAAUAUGAUAUGCAUGAAUGAUCUAUGUAUAACAUUCCAAAUUGGAAAUUUGGGAUGUUACAGAGGGACGAUAGCGAUCAGAGAAGAACGACCACCGCAGGGGUGGACGGCAGAUGAGAGGAGAGGAGGGUGGAAGGGAGGCCGGCGGUGGAAGGGAUCUCGAUCUGAUCUGAAUCGAGGGUGGGCGAUGUGGGAGUGGAUCAGGGGUGGGAGGUGUGGGAUCUGAGUGACACACUUAACGGUAGCGUGAGUAUCUCAAAAGCGCUGCAACUAUCGACUUAGUAGUAGCGCACGUUUUGCAACCAGCAUUAUUAAUAUGGUCUGUCCACGGAUCACGGUUAAGAAUAUUUACUAGUAGCAUGUUUUUAGACCACGCGCUACUAGUAAUAUUUAGUACUAGCGCGGGUAAAUGUAGCUCGCUACUAGUAAGUAGCAGUAGCAUGGGUCAAUAUAGCGCGCUACUAGUAAGCGUCUGCCUAUAAGUUUUUCCCUAGUAGUGGAAUAGUAUAGAGAAAUGAGAUCCCGGGAGACGAAGUUUGUGUUUGUGUGAGAGAAAGAGAUUUCACAUGGAGAAUCAUAGUUAGAGACACAUAGCAGGGAGCGAGAUAUACUUAGAGAGAGAUAGAGUGAUGAAGGUCGAGGGAGAUAGUACCGUCAGUGUGUUACGUAGAUAAAAGAUCAUUGUCAACAUACAGGUAGCACGAGAGAUACCCGAGAGACGAUGAACGCGUAUAGGUCUAGAGAGAUACUCCUAUAUAAGAAUGAGUGAUAGCUAUAUGAGACGAAUAUCUGGAUUAAAGGGGAUUCAAAUAUUUAAACUGGAGAUCACGACAUCGAUAAUAUCAUAACGCAAAUUAGUGUAUCAAACAUGCAUAUUCAUUUGAAUUUGGGGACACGUGUAAUGUUAUAUAGUUUAUCAAUAUUAGUGAUCCAUAGAUUCUUUAAUUAGAGACAAUGCAUGGUUUAUAUGCAAUUAAUGUCUAAACGGGAUUAGACUAUAUGUUGCGUGUGUGAAACACAUUAUAUAUGUUUGAGAAGUAAAAAAACCCGCAUGAAACACACAUUAAUAGGAGACGGUUAACGAGGAAUGCAUACGUUGGAUUUCAACAUAAAGUGGUUUCAAAUAUUUGAAAAUCCAAAUUAAGAUGGAUACAGCCUUAUGAAUCUGAGAUCAUGCCAUUUGUAAACCAUAUUUAUGUAUAAAGGGUGUUGUGCUUUUGAAAGUAUAUAUAAAACUGAUGUAUAUAGAAUUUUAUUCCAAUCGAAAAUGGAUCCUGCCCGAACAAAAAUAGAAUACAAACUAGAUUCGGAUUGAGUUGGCACGGUAAACGUGCACUCUUGCUUUGCAAAAAUUUGAACGAAGCGGGGAAAGUCGCAGUAACUGCCCGAAACCAAAAUCUGUGAGAUGGAAAUUACUGCCUAUCCCUGACACGCAAAGCCUAUCGGCUCGAUUUCUAUAGGUUUCGAUAGGGGUAGGUUUGUAAUUUCACUCAAACGUGACAUAACCACCUAUCACCCGGAUUCAUACACGGUGGGCGCCAAAACACAGUGUCUCCUCGGCCGAAAUUGAAUCCCUCCCUGAUUCAUACACGGUGGGCGCCAAAAACAAACUCUCGUCGGCAAAUAUUCAGUGUAUGCGAGAUUACCGUCCUAUCCCCAACCGACUAAUAUUGUUGUGAUGUAGGAAAUUUUAAACGGGGGCUAAGUUUGUAAAUUUCCAACAGGGAGCCUAUUUUUUGUGUAGUUGUGCCAGAUUAUAUUAAUCUACUCACCAUAUUACAACAUACAUGGGCUAUCUCAUCAGAAUCCAGUGAUAGCACACAAGGGUUUACAGGGAGCCUCUAUUAUAUUACAAUAUCCUCUGCAUUACAAAGAUAAUCUCACUACUAUUUGUGUUUUCAUGCUUUACAGAUAUUGUACGCAAUCACAACGAAUAUAAGAAUACGCACAUCAGAAGAAUAUUGCGGAACAGUUCAAUGGGUAACAAACUUGGCAUCAAGGGAUUGAGGUCCAUUGUGGAUGCAAUGAAACCCACAUGCUCCCGACCUAUAGAUUCAUAUUCAGAAUAUGAUCCUAAUGACUAUUCUGAGCUCAAGGAGUCAAAGGCAGAUGGCCUAUCCAAUUCUCCCAAUAAGGUGCCUGUUCUAAUUUGGCAAGGUUUUAUUGGUUGCACAUAUCUUGCAUAAGGUGUCUUGCAUUUCUUUUGCUUCGUUGCACCGCCAUCUGCUUAGUUUACUCAUGAUAUAUGUGAAGAUGCCAUGCCCAUCCAUUAUCAACACCUAUUCCAUUUGUCGUCAUACCGUGUUUUUCCAUUCAAAUGUUGUUCUUGUGUUUCAGACAUCCAAAAGGAAGAGGGUGGUUGCAGAACCUGAAGGAGUAUAAGCAAAGUCCUUGAAAAAGGUGGUGCUACCGAAGAAAUCACAUAGCACCCGACAUAUAUUGGUGAUAGAACCAGCGCCGCAAAACCUAGGAUAUCGCAACUAUGCUGGUCGCUGCUUUGCUCUUAUGAGUACCUAUUGUCCUAUCGCUGUCCUUACAUUCAUACCUGGUGGAUUAUGUGACAUCAUUGUGCAUUAUAGCUUGCUUAUUCACUGUUUGCUCCAAAUUAUCAGAUCUAUAUUAAUGCUUAAAUUAAUGUACAAUAAACCCAAUGCCUAUGAAGAAAUUUAGUUCUGCAUUGUUCUUGUAAGUAUCUGUUGUCCUUCAUCACUGUACUUAUAUUUGUCAGCUAGUUCUUCAUGUACACUUUGCAGCUUAUUUUCCCUUGUCCUCCAUUUUUCUACACAUCAAAUCUACAUUUACUCUUGACAAAAUAUUGAAUAAAACCAAUGUUACUGAAGAAGUUUAGCUCCGCAUUGCUCGUCAGUGCCUUCUGCCUAUAUGCUGUAUUUACAUUUGUACUCUGCAUCUUAAGUUAAAUAAUCGCCAUUUGUUCCUAUAUUUUCACAUCUAUAUUACUCUUAACAAAAUGUAGAAUAAAGGCAAUACUCUUGAAGAAGAGUGUGCGGUAAACUUCUUGAAUUCCCCCCCCCCAUCAAUAUGGGCAAGGCCUUUAUAGAGCAUGUCUUCACUACUAAUGUAAGUUUGUCCUCCUCGAGCCUUCAAACUUUGUUGUGUAUAUUUGGAUAGCUAUGAGUGCAAAUGUUGUUUAUUUUUGUCGUCUGCAUCAAAUUGUUGUUCAAAGUUUAUAAAGUAGAAAUACAUAAACAUAAGUUUGUCCUUCUCAAUUUCAGUAUUUAGUUGUACAAUCUAGUUCCUUAUUCAUACCAUGUAAAUUAAACUAAACAUAGCAAGUUAUCUUCUUUAGCACUAUGUGUAUGCUUGUGUUCUUGAUCUGUAAUCCAGUGGUGUGGUGAGACUACCAACAACAGCACAAUGUCAUAUCCUGCUAUGUCUCAACUAUGAAUAAUGCCUUAUUAUAUUAAUGUUAUUUAAAUCGUGUCUCUUUAUUUACCAAUCUGAAAUGGUAUAAAUUGACAGUACACUCACCAUUCAUGCUUAUACGUUGUUUAGAACUACAUCUAUGCUUGUGUUCUUGAUCUGUAAUCCAGUGGUCUGGUGAAGCUGGCCGCUCCUGCACAAUGCCAUUUCCUGCCGUCUUAACUAUGAACAAUGCCUAUUAUGUUAAUGUUAUUUUAAAUAGUGUCUCUUUAUUUCUGACAAAGAAAUUAGAUGAAUUGACAGCACUAAUGCUUAUACGUGCAAAACUUGUUAUCUACCUACUUGUUUCUCUUUCAGGGUGACAACAUUGCUGCUAGGAAGAACUGCCACAAUGAUAGUGAGACGAACCCAUUGCUUGUCCCUCUAACACAUAUUCCAGAGGAGAAGGCAACACAUAUUGAGGGUAGGGAUACAACCACGAAGUCACAUCUUGAUGUAGUGUCAAACUUACUCGAUGACACAAGCUCAAUGAAGUCGCCGCCUGAAUCUGUUCGACUUCUUCAGUCUGAAAUUCAAGCAGAAAUACAUGCUUCCACUCAAAUACGACUGAAAUUCCAAUCUCUAUGCAAGAUUAACCAUAAGUACAUGACGUUUAUUGAUGCUAUCCAGCUUAAGUUGGUGGUAUGAGCGGCAAAGAAGCGCAGUCUCAUUAGGUUGCUAAGCUGCUUGCGCUACAGCUCCCGGGCCGGGCUAACCUUUCUUGAACUGUGUUGAAGUGCUGUCGGUUCUGUCUAUUAUUUUGUCCGCCUAUUAACUUCCACUGGUGGCGACCUGCCCAGUUUAUGUAAUUUGAUGUUUGGUUGCCCUUUAUUAUCACUGGCGGUGAACUUUUUUUUUGACAGAAAGACUGUAAGGGGACCCCCUACAGUAUAAUUGGUGCAACAAACCCAAAUUGCAAGUACCAUGCCUUGAACCUGGGUGGAUGGGAAGGCAUCAGCCCCUUCCAACCACUAGGCUAUGCCUUAACCUGCACUAGGCUAUACCCAAAUUUCUUUGUUGUAUAGUCUAGGUUUAUUCUUGGUCGGUAUGCUGUAAUUUAGGUCGGAAGGUUCAGUGGAUCUCAGUGUUGUCGGUCUUCAGGCCGGCCCGUUAGUCAUAUGGGCCAAAACGUGGGCCUAUUAUCAUCUUGGGCCAUUAGUAGGUCUAAACCUAUAGUAGUUUCCUGCCUUUAACAGGUCGAGUAAAGUUCUGGCCAGCUGGGCCAGAGAAUAUGGGCUUUUAACAGGCUAAAAUCUAGAUUGGGCUAGUGUUGAGCCAAAAAAUUCACGGGCCAAUACAGGCCGAAACUGCCUAAGGCCAAUGUUGGGGCCAAAUAGGACGAGCAAUUAACAGGCCAAAAUAUAUCUCGGGUCUGUUUGGCCAAAUAAAAUUAUGGGCUUUAAGCACGCCGGUAUCCGCGUGGGCCAUAGGCCCAAAAGUGUCACGGGCCAUUAUCAGAUGGGCUGUAAGCAGGCCGGAUUCAACGCGGGCUGUAAUUAGGCCCAACUGUUACACGGGCCAUUAACAGGCCGAUAGGCCAGUUGGGCUGAAAUUUAUCCACGAAGACUACGGGCCGUUAAGAGGCCUAAAGUUACUUUGGACAAGAAAUAGCCCAGUUUAUGCAUGGGUCGUUAAAUGGCCUAAAGUUAAACCGGGCCGACAACGUCCCAGAUACACCACGGGCCGCUAACAGGCCGAAACUAUUAUCGGGCCAAACUGGUAAACGAGCAUUUAACAGGCUGAAAUACAAACAUGUCUUAGAAUGGGCCCAAAAGAACAGUGGCCUGUUAACGGGCCUGAUCCAAUAUUGGCCGUAAUUUGGCCCAAAACGCGGCAGGCUGUGAAUGGGCCUGAUGUAGUAUGGGCCUCAAUUUGACCCAAAACAUGGCAGGUUGUUAACGGGCCAGCCCACUAGUGUCUGAAAAAACAUGGUGGGCCUUUAGCUGGGACGGCCUUUUCACCGGAAUGGGCCUCUGUUGGGCCGUGCCACGUGUCGACGUAUCAUAGUCGCCUCCUGUCCAAUGAGUGGAUGACAUCUGUCCCAACGGUGAGCCAACACGUGUUUCCUCCGGCCAAUAAGAAUUUUACACGUGGAAAAUCCCCAUUGGUCUGGGCUGUUAACGGGUGAAAGGACAUGCGGUGCCCCCAUGUGUGGUUUUGGUAAUUGAUGACAAUCUGUAUGGACUAAUGGUUGCAUUGAGUUAUAUUUGAAGGAUUUGUCCAUAGGCAUGUCUUGAAGUCCAUGUGUUGGUUUCAAGGAGUUUAUGUGUUGACAGAGGUGCUUUUAAGGAAUUAUCCAAAGAUUGGUCAUGUGAGAGUUGAGCUUAUUGCAAGCAUGUCUUGGAGAAGAAGAUUGUGUGAUCAUUCAUGUCUACCUUCAAGACAUCAUCCAAAUGAAGAGAGUUCGAAAGAUUCAAGGUUGAUCAAGAUUAAGUCAAGAGUGAAUCAAGUUGAUCAACACACAAAGCAUACAAGAUGUACCAAGGGAUCAAGUGAUCCCAUGGUAUGGUAAGCAUUGUCCAUUAUGCUUUGUAUGCUAUACCAUGGUAUUCGUGAGAGUUUUUUGUGGGGUUAGGUUGCGGUGUGUGAUACGUCUCCAACGUAUCUAUAAUUUUUUAUUGUUCCAUGCUAUUAUAUUAUCUGUUUUGGAUGUUUAAUGGGCUUUAUUAUGCUCUUUUAUAUUAUUUUUGGGACAAACCUAUUAACCGAAGGCCCAGUGCAAAUUGCUGGUUUUUUUGCCUAUUUCAAUGUUUCGCAGAAAAGGAAUAACAAACGGAAUCCAAACGGAAUGAAACCUUCACGAGGAUCGUUUUUGGAACAAACGCAAUCCAGGAGACUUGGAGUGGACGUCAAGGAAUCAACGAGGCGGCCACGAAGCAGGAGGGCGCGCCCCCCACCCUCGUGGGCCCCUCGUGGCUCCACCGACCUACUUCUUUCGCCUAUAUAUACUCUCAUACCCUGAAAACAUCCAGGAGAGCUACGAAACACUUUUUCCACCGUCGCAACCUUCUGUACCCGUGAGAUCCCAUCUUGGGGCCUUUUCCGGCGCUCCGCCGAAGGGGGAAUCGAUCACGGAGGGCUUCUACAUCAACACCAUAGCCUCUCCGAUGAUGUGUGAGUAGUUUACCACAGACCUUCGGGGCCAUAGUUAUUAGCUAGAUGGCUUCUUCUCUCUCUUUGGAUCUCAAUACAAAGUUCUCCUCGAUCUUCUUGGAGACCUAUUCGAUGUAAUACUUUUUGCGGUGUGUUUGCCGAGAUCCGAUGAAUUGUGAGUUUAAGAUCAAGAUUAUCUAUGAACAAUAUUUGAUUCUUCUCUGAAUUCUUAUAUGCAUGAUUUGAUAUCUUUGCAAGUCUCUUCGAAUUAUCAGUUUGGUUUGGCCUACUAGAUUGAUCUUUCUUGCAAUGGGAGAAGUGCUUAGCUUUGGGUUCAAUCUUGCGGUGUCCUUUCCCAGUGACAGCAGGGGCAGCAAGGCACGUAUUGUAUUGUUGCCAUCGAGGAUAAAAGGAUGGGGUUUAUAUCAUAUUGCUUGAGUUUAUCCCUCUACAUCAUGUCAUCUUGCCUAAUGCGUUACUCUGUUCUUAUGAACUUAAUACUCUAGAUGCAUGUUGGAUAGCGGUCGAUGUGUGGAGUAACAGUAGUAGAUGCAGAAUCGUUUCGGUCUACUUGACACGGACGUGAUGCCUAUGUUCAUGAUCAUGCCUAGAUAUUCUCAUAACUAUGUGCUUUUCUAUCAAUUGCUCGGCAGUAAUUUGUUCACCCACCGUAAUAUAUGCUAUCAUGAGAGAAGCCACUAGUGAAACCUAUGGCCCCCGGGUCUAUUUUACAUCAUAUUAGUUUCCCGUCAACUAGCCAAUUUCUGUCACCGUUUAUUUUGCAACCUUUAUUUUCCAAUCUAUACAACAAAAAUACCAAAAAUAUUAUCUUAUUAUCUUUAUCAGAUCUCACUUUUGCAAGUGGCCGUGAAGGUAUUGACAACCCCUUUAUCGCGUUGGUUGCAAGGUUCUUGAUUAUUUGUGCAGGUACUAGGCGAUUUGCGUGUAGUCUCCUACUGGAUUGAUACCUUGGUUCUCAAAAACUGAGGGAAAUACUUACGCUACUUUGCUGCAUCACCCUUUCCUCUUCAAGGGAAACCAACGCAUGCUCAAGAGGUAGCAAGAAGGAUUUCUGCCACCAUUGCCGGGGAGGUCUACGCACAAGUCAAGACAUACCAAGUACCCAUCACAAACUCUUCUCCCUCGCAUUACAUUAUUUGCCAUUUGCCUCUCGUUUUCCUCUCCCCCACUUCACCUUUGUCGUUUUAUUCGCCCUUUUUCAUUCGUCUCUUUUCGCUUGCUUCUUGUGUGCCCGUUCUUAGUGAGGUUUGUCGCCAUCAUGUCUGAAAUUGGGGAGGUUAUCGUCGAAAAAGAUAAUAGUAACAAUGGGGGAAACCUUGAUACUUUUGAUAAUCCAGAUGAAGAAUCCGCUAUUCUACACACUAAAAAGUUUUGGAUUGGUAGUGGUAAUAUUAUUGGAAAAGGAGUUACUCAAGAUUUCUUUACUUGUGCCGGUGCUUUGCCCACUAUGGGAGGGUCUAUUCUUCAUAGAACUAGUAGUCUCGCGGAUGCUAUAUCUUUUCUCAUAGUUGAACUUGAAAGACAAUUUAUGCAUAUGCAUCCUUGCAUACAAAGGAUUUUCCUAGAAUUUUUCAAUAUUGAGCAUUCUUCUGUUAAGCGUGUAGCUACUAUAUUUUUAGCACAUGAGUUCAGAUUUAUAAUGAAAGAGGCCAAUGAAAUUUUUGCGCAUUAUAGGGUGGACGCUUGCCGUCCUCCCAUAUAAGCUAUCCUUUUUAAUCAAGAAGACAUAAUGCGUUUACGAUCUUUAGAUCAUGUUGCUUAUAAUGAAAACCUUAGAAAAAAGGUUCCUACCGAUGUUCUAGUUGAUAGAAUCUCUAAACUUAAUGAUGAUUUUGCUAUUCAGAAUAAUGGGUUAGGAUUUCCUCUUGAACAUAGGCUCAUGACUUUUUGCCAAAAGAAUGCUUAUAAUGAUGAAUUGGUUGUGCAAUAUGAGGGGCCGAAGGAGGAACCAAUACCUCCCAAGCUUGAUCUUGGGGACUUUUGUCCCAUUAAAUUUAGCCCUUUUGAUUAUUUUUGCCUGCCGCAAAGAAAGCUUGCUGCUGAACGUAGGGAGUAUGAGAUGAGUUUUCGCGAUUUGCCCUAUCAUUAUGGCAAUACCUGGAUCUAUUCUUGUUUUUAUGCCUAGCUAGGGGCGUUAAACGAUAGCGCUUGUUGGGAGGCAACCCAAUUUUAUUUUUGUUCCUUACUUUUUGUUCCUGUUUAGUAAUAAAUAUUUCAUCUAGCCUCUGGUUAGAUGUGGUUUUAUGUUUUAAUUAGUGUUUGUGCCAAGUAGAACCUUUAGGAUAACCUAUGGUGAUAGUUAAUUUGAUCUUGCUAAAAAGCAGAAACUUUUGCGCGCACGAAAUUAGUUUUCAUAAAUCACAGGAACGUGCUUUUCAGUUGAUUCUUUUUGCAGAAUAUUAAUAAACAAAUUGCUUAGGACUUCCUAAUUCCUCAGAAUUUUUGGAGUUACAGAAGUAUUUGAAACUAUUAGAUUUCUACAGACUGUUCUGUUUUUGACAGAUUCUGUUUUUAGUGUGUUGUUUGCUUAUUUUGAUGAAUCUAUGGCUAGUAUCGGGGGGUACGAACCAUAGAGAAGUUGGAAUACAGUAGGUUUAACACCAAUAUAAAUAAAGAAUGAGUUCAUUGCAGUACCUUAAGGUGGUGGUUUGUUUUCUUAUACUAACAGAGCUCAUGAGAUUUUCUGUUUGAGUUUUGUGUUUUCAAGUUUUCAAGUUUUUGGGUAAAGAUUUGAUGGAUUUUGGAAUAAGGAGUGGCAAGAGCCUAAGCUUGGGGAUGCCCAAGGCACCCCAAGGUAAAAUUCAAGGUCAACCAAAAGCCUAAGCUUGGGGAUGCCCCGGAAGGCAUCCCCUCUUUCGUCUUCGUCUAUCGGUAACUUUACUCGAGGCUAUAUUUUUAUUCACCACAUGAUAUGUGUUUUGCUUGGAGCGUCUUGUAUGAUUUAAGUCUUUGCUUUUUACUUUACCACAAUCAUCCUUGCUGUACACACCUUUUGGGAGAGACACACAUGAAUCGGAAUUUAUGAGAAUACUCUAUGUGCUUCACUUAUAUAUUUUGAGCUAGAUAAUUUUGCUCUAGUGCUUCACUUAUACCCUUUUUAGAGCACGGUGGUGAUUUUAAUUUGUAGGAAUUAUUGAUCUCUCAUGCUUCACUUAUAUUAUUUUGAGAGUCCUUUAGAACAGCAUGGUAGUUUGCUUUGGCUAUAAAAUUAGUCCUAAUAUGAUAGGCAUCCAAGAUGGGUAUAAUAAAAACUUUCAUAUAGAGUGCAUUAAAUACUAUGAUAAAUUUGAUACUUCAUAAUUGUUUUCAGAUAUAAAGGUUGUAAUGUUAGAGUCAUGCUAGUUGGGUAAUUGUGGAAUUGAGAAAUACUUGUGUUGAGGUUGGCAAGUCCUGUAGCAUGCACGUAUGGUAAACGUUGUGUGACAAAUUUGAAGCAUGGGGUGUUCUUUGAUUGCUUUCCUUAUGAGUGGAGGUCGGGAUCGCGCGAUGGUUAACACCUACCAACCCUUCCCCUAGGAGCAUGCGCGUAGUGCUUAGUUUUGUUGACUUGUAGAUUUUUGCAAUAAGUAUGUGAGUUCUUUAUGACUAAUGUUGAGUCCAUGGAUUAUACGCACUCUCGCCCUUCCAUCAUUGCUAGCCUCUUCGGUACCGUGCAUUGCCCUUUCUCACCUCGAGAGUUGGUGCAAACUUCGCCGAUGCAUCCAAACCCCGUGAUAUGAUACGCUCUAUCACACAUAAGCCUCCUUAUAUCUUCCUCAAAACAGCCACCAUACCUACCUAUUAUGGCAUUUCCAUAGCCAUUCCGAGAUAUAUUGCCAUGCAACUUACCACUGUUCCGUUUAUUAUGACACGCUCCAUCAUUGUCAUAUUGCUUUGCAUGAUCAUGUAGUUGACAUCGUAUUUGUGGCAAAGCCACCUUCAUAAUUCUUUCAUACAUGUCGCUCUUGAUUCAUUGCAUAUCCCGGUACACCGCCGGAGGCAUUCACAUAGUCAUAUUUUGUUCUAAGGAUCGAGUUGUAAUUCUUGAGUUGUAAGUAAAUAGAAGUGUGAUGAUUUUCAUUAUUAGAGCAUUGUCCCAUGUGAGGAAAGGAUGAUGGAGACUAUGAUUCCCCCACAAGUCGGGAUGAGACUCCCGAUGAGAAAAAAAUAAAUAAAUAAAGAGGCCAAAGAAGCCCAAAUAAAAAAAGGCCAAAGAAGCCCAAACAAAAAAACAAAAAAAUGAGAGAAAAAGAGAGAAGGGACAAUGUUACUAUCCUUUUUCCACACUUGUGCUUCAAAAUAGCACCAUGAUCUUCAUGAUAGAGAGUUUCUUAUUUUGUCACUUUCAUAUACUAGUGGGAAUUUUUCAUUAUAGAACUUGGCUUGUAUAUUCCAAUGAUGGGCUUUCUCAAAAUGCCCUAGGUCUUCGUGAGCAAGCAAGUUGGAUGCACACCCACUUAGUUUCUUUUGAUGGGCUUUCAUAUAUUUAUAGCUCUAGUGCAUCUGUUGCAUGGCAAUCCCUACUCCUCGCAUUGAUAUCAAUUGAUGGGCAUCUCCAUAGCCCGUUGAUUAGCCGCGUCAAUGUGAGACUUUAUCCUUCUUUUUGUCUGCUCACAUAACCCCCAUCAUCAUAUGCUAUUCCACCCAUAGUGCUAUGUCCAUGGCUUGCGCUCAUAUAUUCCGUAAAAGUUGAAAGAGUUUGAAAAGGCUAAGUAUGAAACAAUUGCUUGGCUGAAACCAGGGUUGUGCAUGAUGGGAGCAUUUUGUGUGACGAAAAUGAAGCAUGGCCAAACUAUAUGAUUUUGUAGGGAUGAGCUUUCUUUGGCUAUGUUAUUUUGGUAAGACAUAAUUGCUUGGUUAGCAUGCUUGAAGUAUUACUAUUUUUAUGUUGAUAAUAAAAAUUUGUCUAGGAUCUUUUGGAUCUAAGCAUUCAUGCCACAAUAAAUAGAAUUACAUUGAAAAUUAUGUUAGGUAGCAUUCCACAUCAAAAAAUUUGUUUUAUCAUUUACCUACUCGAGGACGAGCAGGAAUUAAGCUUGGGGAUGCUUGAUACGUCUCCACCGUAUCUAUAAUUUUUGAUUGUUCCAUGCUAUUAUAUUAUCUGUUUUGGAUGUUUAAUGGGCUUUAUUAUGCUCUUUUAUAUUAUUUUUGGGACUAACCUAUUAACCGAAGGCCCAGUGCAAAUUGUUGUUUUUUGCCUAUUUCAGUGUUUCGCAGAAAAGGAAUAUCAAACGGAAUCCAAACGGAAUGAAACCUUCGCGAGGAUCGUUUUUGGAACAAACGCAAUCCAGGAGACUUGGAGUGGACGUCAAGGAAGCAACGAGGCGGCCACGAGGAAGGAGGGCGCGCCCCCCACCCUCAUGGGCCCCUCGUGGCUCCACCGACCUACUUCUUUCGCCUAUAUAUACUCUCAUACCCUGAAAACAUCCAGGAGAGCCACGAAGCACUUUUUCCACCGCCGCAACCUUCUGUACUUGUGAGAUCCCAUCUUGGGGCCUUUUCCGGCGCUCCGCCGGAGGGGGAAUCGAUCAUGGAGGGCUUCUACAUCAACACCAUAGCCUCUCCGAUGAUGUGUGAGUAGUUUACCACAGACCUUCGGGUCCAUAGUUAUUAGCUAGAUGGCUUCUUCUCUCUCUUUGGAUCUCAAUACAAAGUUCUCCUCGAUCUUCUUGGAGAUCUAUUCGAUGUAAUACUUUUUGCGGUGUGUUUGCCGAGAUCCGAUGAAUUGUGGGUUUAUGAUCAAGAUUAUCUAUGAACAAUAUUUGGUUCUUCUCUGAAUUCUUAUAUGCAUGAUUUGAUAUCUUUGCAAGUCUCUUUGAAUUAUCAGUUUGGUUUGGCCUACUAGAUUGAUCUUUCUUGCAAUGGGAGAAGUGCUUAGCUUUGGGUUCAAUCUUGUGGUGUCCUUUCCCAGUGACAGCAGGGGCAGCAAGGCACGUAUUGUAUUGUUGCCAUCGAGGAUAAAAAGAUGGGGUUUAUAUCAUAUUGCUUGAGUUUAUCCCUCUACAUCAUGUCAUCUUGCCUAAUGCGUUACUCUGUUCUUAUGAACUUAAUACUCUAGAUGCAUGUUGGAUAGCGGUUGAUGUGUGGAGUAAUAGUAGUAGAUGCAGAAUUGUUUCGGUCUACUUGACACGGACGUGAUUCCUAUGUUCAUAAUCAUGCCUAGAUAUUCUCAUAACUAUGCGCUUUUCUAUCAAUUGCUCGGCAGUAAUUUGUUCACCCACCGUAAUAUAUGCUAUCAUGAGAGAAGCCACUAGUGAAACCUAUGGCCCCCAGGUCUAUUUUAAAUCAUAUUAGUUUCCCGUCAACUAGCCAAUUUCUGUCGCCGUUUAUUUUGCAAUCUUUAUUUUCCAAUCUAUACAACAAAAAUACCAAAAAAUUAUCUUAUUAUCUUUAUCAGAUCUCACUUUUGCAAGUGGCCGUGAAGGGAUUGACAACCCCUUUAUCGCGUUGGUUGCAAGGUUCUUGAUUGUUUGUGCAGGUACUAGGCAAUUUGCGUGUAGUCUCCUACUGGAUUGAUACCUUGGUUCUCAAAAACUGAGGGAAAUACGUACGCUACUUUGUUGCAUCACCCUUUCCUCUUCAAGGGAAAACCAACGCAUGCUCAAGAGCUAGCAGUGUGCAAGUUCAAGUGGAGCAUCACGAAGAAAUCAAAUGCUUGAAGCUUGCCGUCCAUUGUGGUGACAAUGGAUUUGUGAAGAUGUGCGGAAGAGUGGCUCACCCAUAGUGGAGUAUGGGGGAGCAAUCAACUAGUCUUCAUCGAGCCAACGCAAUCAAGAAAGGUGGUCCAACUUGAGGGAGUCAAGAUCGUCAUCAUCUAGCUCAAGUGGACCAUGUGCAAGGCAAAGGUUUGCCCUUGAUAGGUUUUCUAUUUUACCGAUCUCAUGGUGGUAGUUGGGAGACCGGGUUAUAGGAUCGAUUGCCGUACUAUCAAGGGGGGCUCUCAAUGAGUAGCUUUAUCGUAUCAUUCGUAGAGAGCUCAAACCAUUGCAUCCUUGCAUCAUCUUUCUUGGUUCUUGUUUGAUUCUCUUUGUGAGUCUUAGAGCUUAUGGUCAUCUUGAUGACAAGCUCGAGUUCAUCGAAAACGGAGUUCACCUGCAUCUUCUAUGAUGUUUUCGAUGUUGGAGGUUAUGCCGGUUCUUCUCUGUUGGAGGUUUCACUCCUCUAUAUGUUAGGCAUACCUCCCUUGCCCCUUCUUACUCGCUGUUUUGAUGCUACUCGUUGUCUUCUAUCCAACAAGCUUGAGUUUUCUCAAUUCGGAGAUCAUUUGCAGAAGUUAUGGCAGUUCUGGUUUUAUUGGAUCCUUUUGUUGGCUUUAGCUGCGAUAUGAAGGCAGCCAAGUGCUAAAGCCUCUGUGGCGUGCGGUAGUACUGCUCAAGGGAGCGGUAGUACCGCAGGGGCCAGCGGUAGUACCGCUCCUGGUGAGCAGUAGUACCACGGCCUCUAGCCCAGAACAUUGUCACGCACGGAAGUAGGCGCGGAAGUAAUUUUUUACUUCCGUCCCUACGCGGUAGUACCGCUCCCUGCGAGCGGUAGUACCAUGCCGGCUUUCUACUCAAAGCUAGCUCCAGCGGAUGUAGGCGCGGCAGUAAUUUUUUACAUCCGUGGACGCACGGUAGUACCGCUAUCCCCAGCGGUAGUACCGCUACCUCACCGUGUAUACUGCUGUGUGCUGCACCUGUGUGGCCGUUGAAUACUACCCCUGCGGUAGUACCACAAGGGCAGGCAGUAGUACCCCUCCGGCAGUAGUACCACUCUGUUGCCCCGUUGUAGUAGUGUUUCAUUUGGCUACAGCCGCCCUAGCGGUAGUACCGCUCCUUGGAGCGGUAGUACCGCUCGGUGCGGGCUGUGAGGAUAACGGUUGGAUUUUUCCCCACCUAUAAAAGGGGGUCUUCUUCCCCAAUGAACCUUAUCCUUUGAGCUCGUGUUCUUGCCCCAUUGCUGACCUUCUUCGAGCUUGCUAACUCUCAAUCCCUCCAUGGAUUCUUGCUAGUUUUUGAGGGAAAAGAGAGAGGAGAUCUAGAUCCACAUUUCCACCAAUCACUUUCUCCUCUAUGUGAGGGGAACCCCUUGGAUCUAGAUCUUGGAGUUCUUGGUGUUCUCCUUCUUGUUCUUCCUCUCAUUUUCCUCCCCAGAAUUAGUUGCUUCGGUGGGACUUGAGAGAGAAGGACUUGGGCACUCCGUGUGCCCUUGCCAUUGCAUUUGGUGCAUCGGUUUGAGUUCUCCACGUGAUACGUGGAAGUUACAAGUUGAGAAGCUUAUUACUCUUGGGUGCUUGGUACCCUUGAGCUUGUUCCUCUUGGGUGCUUGGGCGCCCUAGACAGUUGGUGGUGUUCGGAGCUCAAUCAUUGUGGUGUAAAGCUCCGGGUGUCAGUGUCAAAACUGGUGGAUCUCGGGUAGGGGGUCCCAAACUGUGCGUCUAAGGUUGAGGGUAACAGGAGACGGGGGACACAAUGUUUACCCAGGUUCGGGCCCUCUCUACAGAGGUAAUACCCUACUUCUUGCUUGAUUGAUCUUGAUGAAUAUGAGUAUUACAAGAGUUGAUCUACCACGAGAUCGUAAUGGCUAAAACCCUAGAAGUCUAGCCUGUAUGACUAUGAUUAUGAUUAUUCAUCCUCUACGGACUAAGCCCUCCGGUUUAUAUAGACACCGGAGGGUUCUAGGGUUACAUCAGGUCGGUUACAGAGAAAGGAAUCUUCAUAUUUGGUCGCCAAGCUUGCCUUCCACGCCAAGGAGAGUCCCAUCCGGACACGGGAGAGAGUCUUCGGUCUUCGUAUCUUCACGGCCGAUCAAUCCGGCCCAUGUAUAACAGGUCGGAUGCCUGAGGACCCCUUAAUCCAGGACUCCCUCGGUAGCCCCCGAACCAGGCUUCAAUGACGAUGUGUCCAGCGCGCAGAUUGUCUUCGGCAUUGCAAGGCGGGUUCUUCCUCCGAUGACUUUCAAAGAGAUAUAUUCGGCACUCCAUUUAACGUUGUGCCCCUCGGCUUCUGUGCGUCAACAACUUCAGCUUCCACGUGUCGAGCGAAUGCGGGAGGUCAGGGUAUUUUCACAUAUAACACCCCGGCCAUGUAAGAACAGCGUCUAUUUAACGGGAUUGGAUCUCAGAUCCAUUCUAUAUCAUGCAAAAAAUCCUCAGAGCUUGCUAGGAAAAACCAUUCCAACAUGGCCAGCGCUCCUAGCUCUUCCUCCCGUCCCCACGGCCCAGAAAAAGGCAAUUGGGAGAGAUGUUUCAUAUCUCACGGUCAGUUGGUGAAGCUGCAAACACAGGGAUUCCUUCCCCCUGCGGAUCUAGUCCCCGUUCGAGUAGGAUUGAAUUCCUUCAACGGCGGGGCUCAGGCUGAGAAUUUCCACAACCCAUCCAGGGGGGAGCGAGUGUGCUUCAUCCCCUACUUGCUAAGAGGCGUCGGAUUUCCAAUCCAUCCGUUCCUCCGAGGGCUUCUAGAGUAUUAUGGCUUCCAACUGCACAACUUCACUCCUGCCUCCAUCCUGCACAUCACGGGCUACGUCACUCUUUGCGAGCUAUUCUUGGGUUGCGAGGCCCAUUUUGAUUUGUGGAGGAAGCUAUUCUGCCUCGUCCCUCGCAACCAAGAUGGAUCAAUAUUUGAAGUGGGCGGAGCCGAAGUAUGGCGCAUCGCCGGGACCGGAUACCUGUCCGGCACGCGGAAGAAGGCAUCCGAAGAAUGGCCUUCCGAAUGGUUCUAUAUCGAGGACGUCGCCCUUCCAGACCCAGUUCGAAUGGGUCUUCUCGAAUUUACAAGGGUUCCGUUGAAGAAAUGCCACAGCUGGCGCCCUCGGAGCCUCGAGGAGGAAGAUAGUGCGGAAGUCCGUCAACUGAUUAGCAAGAUAAAGACGCUUGCCCAGCCCGGAUUAUCAAUAGUCGACGUAAUGGCGACUUCCAUAGUGCGAGGGGUUCAGCCACUCCAAUACAGAGGGCUUCCUAUGUGGCACUACAAUGGGGAAGAUGACGCCUCCCGUUGCGGUCGAAAAGGUCCGGACACCCCCGCCGCUUUGGCCAAGAUAUUGGUCGAACUAUUCAAAGGGGAGGAAGAGGAAUUCCUUCGCAUCAAGCGUCGGGAUGGAUUUUCCAUGUACAACCCUACUAGUUGGGUGAGUUACAAUCCCAUUAUUCCAUUCAAUCUACUCCCUGAGUCACUUUUAACGAACAUUACUCCGUCCAUUCGUAACAGGAAUGGCGAAAAAUCACCAAGGGGCUACACCGCCCCGCCCCACAGCCAGAGAACCAUAACCGGGACCUUGACCCUGGAUUUGAAGAGGAUCCGGACAUAUAUGUGGAGCUCGAGGAUGGGGUGUUCUACCAGGCGAGCUAUGACGGCAUGGAAGUGGCCAUCACUGCCGACUAUCCCGGUCUUCUCCCUGCCUCGCACGUAAAUAAUCAGGAGAUAUCUCCUAUGAAAGAGCCUCCUCAUUCUGCCUCAUGAUGGGGAACGUAGCGAUAAUUCUAAAAUUUCCUACAUGUCACCAAGAUCAAUCUAGGAGAUGCUAGCAACGAGAGAGAGGGAGUGCAUCUUCAUACCCUUGAAGAUCGCUAAGCGGAAGCGUUACAAGAACGCGGUUGAUGGAGUCGUACUCGCGGCGAUUCAAAUCGCGGAAGAUCCGAUCUAGCGUCGAACGGACGACGCCUCCGCGUUCAACACACGUACAGCCCGGGGACAUCUCCUCCUUCUUGAUCCAGUAAGGGGAGAGGAGAAGUUGAGGGAGAACUCCAGCAGCACGACGGCAUGGUGGCAAUGGAGCUCGUGGUUCUCCGGCAGGGCUUCGCCAAGCACUAUGGAGGAGGAGAUGUAUGAGGAGGAAGGGGGCUGCGCCAAGGGAAGGGUAUGGCUUCCCUCCCACCCCCUCACUAUAUAUAGGGGGAGGGGAGAGGGUCCGGCCCCUCUAGAUGGAUCUAGAGGAGGAGGCGGCGGCCAGGGGAAACCCUAGAUGGGUUUGGGUGCCCCCACCCCCUAGGAAACUUGCCCCCCAAGCCGGGAGGGGCGGCUAUCCUAGGGGUGGCGCCCCCACCUCUCCUGGUUACGUGAGAGGGGUUGGGAGGGGCGCACAAUCCCUUAGUGGGCUGGUUUGACACUUCCCCUUGGCCCAUAAGGCCCCCCAACACUUGCCGGGGCCUCCGAAACCCCUUUCGGACAUGCUGGCCAUAGCCUGGUACCCCCGGAACAAUUCCGGACUCCAAUACCCUUCGUCCAAUAUACCGAUCUUCACCUCCGGACCAUUCCGGAGCUCCUCGUCAUGUCCGGGAUCUCAUCCGGGACUCCGAACAACCUUCGGUAACCACAUACUAUUUCCCAUAACAACUCUGGCGUCACCGAACCUUAAGUGUGUAGUCCCUACGGGUUCGGCAACCAUGCAGACAUGACCGAGACGUUCUCCGGCCAAUAACCAACAGUGGGAUCUGGAUACCCUUGUUGGCUCCCACAUGUUCCACGAUGAUCUCAUCGGAUGAACCACGAUGUCGGGGAUUCAAUCGAUCCCGUAUACAAUUCCCUUUGUCUAUCGGUAUGUUACUUGCCCGAGAUUCGAUCGUCCGUAUCCCUAUACCUUGUUCAAUCUCGUUACCGGCAAGUCUCUUUACUCAUUCCGUAACGCAUGAUCCCGUGGCUAACUCAUUAGUCACAUUGAGCUCAUUAUGAUGAUGCAUUACCGAGUGGGCCCAGAGAUACCUCUCCGUCAUACGGAGUGACAAAUCCCAGUCUCGAUUCGUGCCAACCCAACAGACUGUAGGAGAUAUGCCCUAGAGGCAAUAAUAAAUGAUAUUAUUUAACUCCGAGUUCAUAAUUAUGUUUAUGUUCCAUGCUAUAACUGCUAUGGUUCUCGAGUCUGCAAUAACCACGAGGCUCGGAGGAAGACUCAUAUGCACGUGUGGAAUAAUAAACGGUAAAAUGUAUUCCUAGUAUGGCCUCUAAGACUAGCUCAAGUGUUGAUGGUUAUGUUUUCCUGAUCAUGGGCAUGUCUAUGUCAGCAACCUUGAGGGCAUAAUGUUAAGAGAACAUUUGUGUUGAAUCGACCCGGCAUGAUGUUAUGCUAUGAGAUUCAUUCGUCACAAGUUUAUUGGUACAUAACACAGAGAUGGUUAAAGUUUGCAUGAUUCCUUAGACCAUGAGAGUAUCGAGUUUCUUCAUGCUUGCUUCAUGAACUUUGGGGUUUGUUAAACGUCAUCCGUAAAUGGGUGGCUAUUACGGCGGCUUACGGGUUCAUGGAAAAGUGUGUCAAGUAACUUGAUAGCUCAAGAUUGGGAUUUGCUCCUCCGACGAUGGAGAGAUAUCUCUGGGCCCUCUCGGUGUUACGGUAUCCAUCAUCGUCUGGCCAGACACUUUGUGAUUUGAUCACGGGGAUGCCGGAACACGAUAACGAGAAAAGAGAACAAUACCGGUAACGAGGUAACUAGCAUAGUGGACAAGUUGUUGAUCCACGGGAAUGCCAACAUGUCUCACCUCGGGUAUUUGCAACAUAUUGCGAAGCAACAGGAAUAGCACACGGCAACUGGAGGUUCACUCGAAUAUUUAUUCGUGUGGGUAUAGGGGUCAAUAUGGGUGUCCACGGCUCCGAUGUUGAUCAUUGAUCGGAAGGGGUUCCGGGUCAUGUCUAUACUUCACCGAACCUAUAGGGUCACAUGCUUAAGGGUCAUCUAUCUACUGAAUACUAGACAGGGAGUCUGAGAGAAAAUCACCGAAAAAGUUUCGGACACCGAAAAGUUUCGGACAGCGGAAUCGUACCGCAGAGAGAGGUCAUCGGAUAAGUUUCGAUGAUACCGAAAAGUUGUUUCGGGAUACACCAUUAAGUCAAAUUGGUUUCGGCACAUGCCUGAUAAUUCUUGGAGGAUGCCAGAAUCAUUCUGGAAGCUUUUUGGAAUUUUCUGAGAUAAAAACCGGAAAUGUUCCGGAGCUGCCGGAGCCACUUCAGAUGCGUUUCGCAGAUGAAAAUCACUAAAACCGGAAUUGUUUCGGAACGCGUUGAAAAUCAUUUUAGUGGGUAUUGGAAAUGUUCUUAGCCCACAUAAAUAUUUUCAGUUCGAUCAGACGCUGAAAAAUGUCGUCGUGAAUAGUGAAAAUCAGCUUUAUGGUUACUUUAUGGAAAGCCACCUUUUGGGGCUUUGCUCCAAAAGAUCUUGGGGAUGACAUGGAUGGAUAGGAGCCAUUUUUGGGGCCCCUCAUGGGGGUGUGGCCGGCCACAUGGGGUAUCCCCCCUUGGGGACCCUCUUGUUCCUUGGUUUCACUCCUAGGUCCUUGUGGAAGGACUUCAUUCAUGUGCAUUUUGGGUUUUUUGUGAAACUACCCUACCCCCUUGGGAUUUCCUAUAAAUAGAGGUGGAGGGGCAGCCCUCCACACUCAUCCCUUGCUCUCAUACACAUGCCAUGCAUUAUCUGGCUUCUUCUCUCCCUCCCACGAAAAGAGUUUCGUAGAGCCGUAAGGCUGUCUGGGUUCCGGCAGGAACUAGUUCUGGACGGCGAAGCCCUGCCGGAUAGAUGACACCGUAUGUGUGCAACUCUUUAGAGAGAUCGUAGUUUCGGUCUUAGUUCGUGAGUGCCUCCCGAAGGGCUGUCCGUGUGACCGUCCGAGUUUCGAAGGUCCUCCCGAAGGGCUGUCCGAGUGACCGUUCGAGUUUCGAAGGUCCUCCCGAAGGGCUGUCCGCGACACCGUCCGGGGGCUGUUCGACCGCCUCCUGGAGGGCUGUCUGAGGAGCAGAUGAGGGUAUACAUCCUCGCGGUUGGGAGGUUGUAAAUCCUAGCUGUGGGGAUCUGCACCGCCGAUCGUCAUCGACUCUACUUCCCGCUGCGCUACGAGUCGGUAACGAAAAAGAUCAAACCAUGUAUGCAGUCUCCAUAGUGGUCCUGGGCUGGUCCGUAGGUCGGAAUUUUUUUUGUUUUCUGCUGCGUUCCCCUACACAGACACUUUCGGAGAUACCUGUAGUGCACCUUUAUAGCCACCCAGUUACGUUGUGACGUUUGGUACACCCAAAGCAUUCCUACGGUAUCCCGGAGUUGCACAAUCUCAUGGUCUAAGGAAACGAUACUUGACAUUAGAAAAGCUCUUAGCAAACGAACUACACGAUCUUGUGCUAUGCUUAGGAUUGGGUCUUGUCCAUCACGUCAUUCUCCUAAUGAUGUGAUCCCAUUAUCAAUGACAUCCAAUGUCCAUGGUCAGGAAACCAUAACCAUCUAUUGAUCAACGAGCUAGUCAACUAGAGGCUUACUAGGGACAUGUUGUGGUCUAUGUAUUCACACAUGUAUUACGGUUUCCAGUUAAUACAAUUAUAGCAUGAACAAUAGACAAUUAUCAUGAACAAGGAAAUACAAUAAUAACCAUUUUAUUAUUGCCUCUAGGGCAUAUUUCCAGCAGUCUCCCACUUGCACUAGAGUCAAUAAUCUAGUUCACAUCACCAUGUGAUUAACACUCAAAGUUCACAUCGCCAUGUGACUAAUACCCAAGAGUUUACUAGAGUCAAUAAUCUAGUUCACAUCACCAUGUGAUUAACACUCAAUGAGUUCUAGGGUUUGAUCAUGUUAUGCUUACGAGAGAGGUUUUAGUCAACGGGUCUGCAACAUUCAGAUUCGUGUGUGAUUUACAAAUCUCUAUGUCAUCUUGUAGAUGCAGCUACCACGCGCUACUUGGAGCUAUUCCAAAUAACUGCUCUACUAUACGAAUCCGGUUUACUACUCAGAGUCAUCCGGAUUAGUGUCAAAGUUUGCAUCGACAUAACCCUUUACGAUGAACUCCUUUUCCACCUCCAUAAUCGAGAAAAUUCCUUAGUCCACUAGAUACUAAGGAUAAGUUCGACCGCUGUCAUGUGAUCCCUUCCUGGAUCACUAUUGUACCCCUUGACUAACUCAUGGCAAGGCACACUUCAGGUGCGGUACACAACAUAGCAUACUGUAGAGCCUACGUCUAAAGCAUAGGGGAUGACCUUCGUCCCUUCUCUCUCUCCUGUCGUGGUCAGGUCUUGAGUCUUACUCAACACUCACACCUUGUAACACAGCCAAGAACUCCUUCUUUGCUGAUCUAUUUUGAACUCCUUCAAAAUCUUGUCACGGUAUGUAUUCAUUUGAAAGUACUAUUAAGCGUUUUUGAUCUAUCCUUAUAGAUCUUGAUGCUCAAUGUUCAAGUAGCUUAAUCCAGGUUUUCCAUUGAAAAACACUUUUCAAAUAACCCUGUAUGCUUUCCAAAAAUUCUACAUCAUUUCUCAUCAACAAUAUGUUAACAACAUAUACUCAUCAAAAAUUCUAUAGUGCUCCCACUCACUUCUUUGGAAAUACAAGUUUCUCAUAAACUUUGUAUAAACCCAAAAUCUUUGAUCAUCUCAUCAAAGCGUACAUUCCAACUCCGAGAUGCUUACUCCAGUCCUAAGAAGGAUUGCUGGAGCUUUGCAUACUUGUUAGCAUCUUUCAGGAUUGACAAAACCUUCUGGUUGUAUCACAUACAACCUUUCCUCAAGAAAAUCGUCGAGGAAACAAUGUUUUGACAUCCUAUCUGCAAGAUUUCAUAAAUAAUGCAGUAACUGCUAAUAUAAUUCCAACAGAAUCUUAGCAUCGCUACGAGUGAGAAAGUCUCAUCGUAGUCAACUCCUUGAACUUGUCGGAAAACAUCUUAACGACAAGUCGAGCUUUCUUAAUGGUGACACUUACCAUCAUUGUCCGUCUUCCUUUUAAAAUCCAUCUGCACCCAACAGCCUUACGACCAUCAAGUAGUUCUUCCAAAGUCUAUACUUUGCUUUUAUACACGGAUCCUCUCUCGAAUUUUAUGGCCUUGAGCCAUUCGUCGGAAUCCGGGCCCACCAUCGCUUCUCCAUAGCUCGUAGGUUCAUUGUUGUCUAGCAACAUGACUUCCAAGACAGGAUUAGUACCACUCUGAAGUAGUACGCAUCCUUGUCGACCUACGAGGUUUGGUAGUGACUUGAUCCGAAGUUUCAUGAUCACUAUCAUAAGCUUCCACUUCAAUUGGUGUAGGUGCCACAGGAACAACUUCCUGUGCCCUGCUACACACUAGUUGAAGUGAUGGUUCAAUAACCUCAUCAAGUCUCCACCAUCCUCCCACUCAAUUCUUUCGAGAGAAACUUUUCCUCGAGAAAGGACCUGUUUCUAGAAACAAUCACUUUGCUUCCGGAUCUGAAAUAGGAGGUAUACCCAACUGUUUUGGGUAUUCUAUGAAGAUGCAUUUAUCCGCUUUGGGUUCGAGCUUAUCAGCCUGAAACUUUUUCACAUAAGCGUCGCAGCCCCAAACUUUUAAGAAACGACAGCUUAGGUUUCUCUAAACCAUAGUUCAUACGGUGUCGUCUCAACGGAUUGCGUGGUGCCCUAUUUAAAGUGAAUGCGGUUCUCUCUAAUGCCUAGCCCAUAAACGAUAGCGGUAAUUCGAUAAGAGAUAUCAUGGUAUGCACCAUAUCCAAUAGGGUGCAGUUAUGAUGUUCGGACACACCAUCACACUAUGGUGUUCCAGGCGGUAUUAGUUGUGAAACAAUUUCCGCAAUGUCUUAAUUGUGUGCCAAACUCGUAACUCAGAUAUUCAUUUCUAUGAUCAUAUCAUAGACAUUUUAUCCUCUUGUCACGACGAUCUUCAACUUCACUCUGAAAUUACUUGAACCUUUCAAUAAUUCAGACUUGUGUUUCAUCAAGUAAAUAUACUCAGCAUCUACUCAAAUCAUCUGUGAAGUAAGAACAUAACGAUAUCCGCUGCGUGCCUCAGCACUCAUUGGACUGCACACAUCAAAAUGUAUUACUUCCAACAAGUUGCUUUCUUGUUCCAUCUUACUGAAAAUGAGGCCUUUCAGUCAUCUUGACCAUGUGUUAUGAUUUGCAUGUCUCAAGUGAUUCAAAAUCAAGUGAGUCCAAAUGAUCCAUCUGUAUGGAGUUUCUUCAUGCAUAUCUACCAAUAGACAUGGUUCGCAUGUCUCAAUCUUUUCAAAAACGAGUGAGUCCAAAGAUCCAUCAACAUGGAGCUUCUUCAUGCGUUUUAUACCAAUAUGACUCAAAUGGCAGUGCCACAAGUAUGUGGUACUAUCAUUACUAUUUUAUAUCUUUUGGCAUGAACAUGUGUAUCACUACGAUCGAGAUUCAAUAAACCAUUCAUUUUAGGUGCAAGACCAUUGAAGGUAUUAUUCAAAUAAACAGAGUAACCAUUAUUCUCCUUAAAAGAAUAACCGUAUUGCGAUAAACAUAAUCUAAUCAUGUCUAUGCUCAACGCAAACACCAAAUAACAAUUAUUUAGGUUUAACACCAAUCUCGAUGGUAGAGGGAGCAUGCGAUGCUUGAUCACAUCAACCUUGGAAACACUUCCAACACAUAUCGUCAUCUCACCUUUAGCUAGUCUCCGUUUAUUCCGUAGCCUUUUAUUUUGAGUUACCAACACUUAGCAACCGAACCGGUAUCUAAUACCCUGGUGCUACUAGGAGUACUAGUAAAGUACACAUUAAUAUAAUGUAUAUCCAAUAUACUUCUGUCGACCUUGCCUGCCUUCUCAUCUACCAUGUAUCUAGGGUAGUUCUGCUUCAGUGACCGUUCCCCUCAUUACAGAAGCACUUAGUCUCGGGUUUGGGUUCAACCUUGGGUUUCUUUACUAGAGCAGCAACUAAUUUGCCGUUUCAUGAAGUAUCCCUUCUUUCCCUUGCCCUUCUUGAAACUAGUGGUUUUACUAACCAUCAACAAUUGAUGCUCCUACUUGAUUUCUACUUUCGCGGUGUCAAACAUCGCGAGUUGCUCAAGGAUCAUCAUGUCUAUCCCUGAUAUGUUAUAGUUCAUCACGAAGCUCUAAUAGCUUGGUGGCAGUGACUAUGGAGAACCAUCACUAUCUCAUCUGGAAGAUUAACUCCCACUCGAUUCAAGCGAUUGUAGUACUCAGACAAUCUGAGCACAUGCUCAACGAUUGAGCUUUUCUCCCUUAGUUUGCAGGCUUAAGAAACUUGUCAGAGGUCUCAUACCUCUUGACGUGGGCACUAGUCUGAAAUCCCAAUUUCAAUCUUUGGAACAUCUCAUAUGUUCUGCGACGUUUCAAAAUGUCUUUGGUGCCAUAAUUUUAAACCGUUAGCAUUACGCACUGAACUAUCACGUAGUCAUCAAAACGUGUAUGUCAGAUGUUUCGCAACAUCUACAGACGACGCUCGAGGUUCAGCACACCGAGCGGUGCAUUAAGGACAUGAGCCUUCUGUGCAGCAAUGAGGACAAUCCUCAGUAUACGGACCCAGUCCGCAUAAUUGCUACUGUCAACUUUCAACUAAAUUUUCUCUAGGAACAUAUCUUAAACAGUAGAACUAAAGCGUAAGCUAUGACAUAAUUUGCAAAGACCUUUUGACUAUGUUCAUGACAAUUAAGUUCAUCUGAUUAUUUAAUGAACUCCCACUUAGAUAGACAUCCCUCUAGUCAUCUAAGUGAUACAUGAUCCGAAUCGACUAGACCGUGUCCGAUCAUCACGUGAGACGGACUAGUCAUCAACGGUGAACAUCUCCAUGUUGAUCGUAUCUACUAUACGACUCAUGUUCGACCUUUCGGUCUCUUGUGUUCCGAGGCCAUGUCUGUACAUGCUAGGUUCGUCAAGUCAACCUAAGUGUUUCGCAUGUGCAAAUCUGGCUUACACCCGUUGUAUGCGAACGUUAGAAUCUAUCACACCCGAUCAUCACGUGGUGCUUCGAAACAACGAACCUUCACAAUGGUGCACAGUUAGGGGGAACACAUCUCUUGAAAUUUUAGUGAGGGAUCAUCUUAUUUAUGUUACCGUCGUUCUAAGCAAAUAAGAUGUGAACAUGACAAACAUCACAUGCAAAUCAUAAAGUGACAUGAUAUGGCCAGUAUCAUCUUGCGCCUUUUGAUCUCCAUCUUCGAGGCGCGGCAUGAUCACCUUCGUCACCGGCAUGAUCUCCAUCAUCGUGUCUUCAUGAAGUUGUCUCGCCAACUAUUACUUCUACUACUAUGGCUAACGGUUAGCAAUAAAGUAAAAUAAUUACAUGGCGUUUUUCAUUGACAUGCAGGUCAUACAAUAAAUUAAGACAACUCCUAUGGCUCCUGCCGGUUGUCAUACUCAUCGACAUGCAAGUCGUGAUUCCUAUUACAAGAACAUGAUCAGUCUCAUACAUCACAUAUAUAUAAUUCAUCACAUCCUUUUGGCCAUAUCACAUCACAUAGCAUACCCUGCAAAAACAAGUUAGACGUCCUCUAAUUGUUGUUGCAUGUUUUACGUGGCUGCUAUGGGUUUCUAGCAAGAACAUUUCUUACCUACUCAAAAGCCACAACGGUGAUAUGCCAAUUGCUAUUUACCCUUCAUAAGGAUCCUCUUCAUCGAAUCCGAUCCGACUAAAGUGGGAGAGACAGACACCCGCUAGCCACCUUAUGCAUCAAGUGCAUGUCAGUCGGUGGAACCUGUCUCACGUAAGUGUACGUGUAAGGUCGGUCCGGGCCGCUUCAUCCCACAAUGCCACCGAAUCAAGAUAAGACUAGUAACGGUAAGCAAAUUGAACAAAUCAUCGCCCACAACUACUUUGUGUUCUACUCGUGCAUAGAAUCUAUGCAUAGACCUAGCUCAUGAUGCCACUGAUGGGGAACGUAGCGAUAAUUCAAAAUUUUCCUACGUGUCACCAAGAUCAAUCUAGGAGAUGCUAGCAAUGAGAGAGAGGGAGUGCAUCUUCAUACCCUUGAAGAUUGCUAAGCGGAAGCGUUACAAGAACGCGGUUGAUGGAGUCGUACUCGCGGCGAUUCAAAUCGCGGAAGAUCCGAUCUAGCGCCGAACGGACGGCGCCUCCGCGUUCAACACACGUACAGCCCGGGGACGUCUCCUCCUUCUUGAUCCAGCAAGGGGAGAGGAGAAGUUGAGGGAGAACUCCAGCAGCACAACGGCAUGGUGGCAAUGGAGCUCGUGGUUCUCCGGCAGGGCUUCGCCAAGCACUACGGAGGACGAGGAAAUGUAUGAGGAGGAAGGGGGUUGCGCCAAGGGAAGGGUAUGGCUGCCCUCCCACCCCCUCACUAUAUAUAGGGGGAAGGGGAGAGGGGCCGGCCCCUCUAGAUGGAUCUAGAGGAGGAGGCGGCGGCCAGGGGAAACCCUAGAUGGGUUUGGGUGCCCCCACCCCCUAGGAAACUUGCCCCCCAAGCCGGGAGGGGCGGCUGCCCUAGGGGUGAUGCCCCACCUCUCCUGGUUACGUGAGAGGGGUUGGGAGGGGCGCACAGCCCCUUAGUGGGCUGGUUUGCCCCUUCCCCUUGGCCCAUAAGGCCCCCCAACGCUUGUCGGGGCCUCCGAAACCCCUUUCGGACAUGCUGGCCAUAGCCUGGUACCCCCAGAACAAUUCCGGACUCCAAUACCCUUCAUCCAAUAUACCGAUCUUCACCUCCGGACCAUUCCGGAGCUCCUCAUCAUGUCCGGGAUCUCAUCCGAGACUCCGAACAACCUUCGGUAACCACAUACUAUUUCCCAUAACAACUCUAGCGUCACCGAACCUUAAGUGUGUAGACCCUACGGGUUCGGGAACCAUGCAGACAUGACCGAGACGUUCUCCGGCCAAUAACCAACAGCGGGAUUUGGAUACCCAUGUUGGCUCCCACAUGUUCCACGAUGAUCUCAUCGGAUGAACCACGAUGUCGGGGAUUCAAUCAAUCCCGUAUACAAUUCCCUUUGUCUAUCGGUAUGUUACUUGCCCGAGAUUCGAUCGUCAGUAUCCCUAUACCUUGUUCAAUCUCGUUACCGGUAAGUCUCUUUACUCGUUCUGUAACGCAUGAUCCCGUGGCUAACUCAUUAGUCACAUUGAGCUCAUUAUGAUGAUGCAUUACCGAGUGGGCCCAGAGAUACCUCUCAAUCAUACGGAGUGACAAAUCCCAGUCUCGAUUCGUGCCAACCCAACAGACACUUUCGGAGAUACCUGUAGUGCACCUUUAUAGCCACCUAGUUACGUUGUGACGUUUGGUACACCCAAAGCAUUCCUACGGUAUCCGGGAGUUGCACAAUCUCAUGGUCUAAGGAAACAAUACUUGACAUUAGAAAAGCUCUUAGCAAAUGAACUACACGAUCUUGUGCUAUGCUUAGGAUUGGGUCUUGUCCAUCACAUCAUUCUCCUAAUGAUGUGAUCCCAUUAUCAAUGACAUCCAAUGUCCAUGGUCAGGAAACCAUAACCAUCUAUUGAUCAACGAGCUAGUCAACUAGAGGCUUACUAGGGACAUGUUGUGGUCUAUGUAUUCACACAUGUAUUAUGGUUUCCAGUUAAUACAAUUAUAGCAUGAACAAUAGACAAUUAUCAUGAACAAGGAAAUACAAUAAUAACCAUUUUAUUAUUGCCUCUAGGGCAUAUUUCCAACACCUCACCCACCGCACUGUCUUGUGCUCCAAAGGGGAGGCGCUCGAUGCGUCAUUCUACACCAGAGGCAACUCCAAAGAGAGCGGUGCCCAAGCCGGGCAGGCCUUCGAAGAGGAAGGCAAGCGAAGACACGACCGAGCCUUCAUCGAAGAGGUAUGGCUUUGUAAAUAUGCCCCUUGGCAAUCACAUCCAACUGUGACAUUAUCCGUUGUGUCUUAACAGGAAAAGCGUUCACCGGACUAUGUCCAGGGAUCUUACCGGCCGCGCCUCCACAAGUCAGGUUCCCGACCCUGCUUUAAAGGCAAGGGCUGAUACGGGAGUGACGCCGGAUUGUCCCUCGGCAGAUGAGUCGGAUGAUGUAUCCGUCACAAACUCGGAGGUGGAGAGCGCCAUGAAUCAUCGGCGCCGGAGAGCCGUUCUACGCGACCCCGGCUUUACGAGCGAGGCAUUCAAUGCCUUCAGCUCGACUGAUGCAUAUAUCCAAGCUGCUCGAGACGGGCUUGCCAGAGCCACAGACCAACAUUUGAAAGGUAUGCGGGUAAAUUUAUAUUAUACAAAACUGAUAAUUAUAUACUAGUAGCCCCCGAGACUUGAAGCAGUUGAUACAACUGAUUUAAGGAUCAUUGUAUAACUAGGUGCUUAUGGAGAAGAACAGCCUGUUGUCUCAGGAACUAGAAAAGUGUCGGACCCAGCUAACUGCUGCUACCACCGAACUGGAGAAAUCCAAGAAGGCAUCACCUGGUAAUGUUCCCCUCCAUCGAGAAAACAUAAUUAUAUACCGGAAAUGCUAACACUGUUGCUCAUCUUAUGGCAGGAUCGUUAGAUCAACUGAAGGAGCAACUGAAAGCCGCCCAAGCGGAAGAACAAGAGGCCAAAAGACUACUGGCCGCGGGCGAACGUGUGCUGACACGAGUCAGAGAUGAGAAAAACAAGCUGUAGGAUGCCCACACCCAGCUGGGCGAAGAACUGAAAGAUGUACGGGCCCAGCUGGCUAAUUCUGUAAAGGAAAAUAAGAGGCUGCGCGGUGGCAUAUUUGGUAUGUGGUCACACUUACCUCCGUGUAGUUCGGAGAUGAAAGGGACUGACAGAAUUAUAUCUGUAGGUAUGCUGACCGGCCGUCCCGAAGAGGAGAUGUCCAGAAUCUCGGGCGAUCUGCUACAAGAGCUGUCGCAAAUGCACGAGCAAGCUCGGCAGGUGAUGCGAAGUAUUGCCAAGGCUUUAUGGCCAUCCGUCUCCCCUCCAGGAAGGAUGGAGGAGCUUAUACAGCUAUUCAAGGGAGCGCGGCGGCGCUUCCGAUUAUGGAAGAUAUCGGCCUGCCGGGAAGGUGCACGAGAAGCCUGGGCCAUGGUGAAAACACGGUAUACCAAGCUUGAUCCAAAUCAUAUGGCCCAGGUCGGACCUCUAGGGUCAGAUGGGAAAGAAAUUCCCAUGAAUUUGGUAUAUGACCAAGUAGAAGUAGCUGCCAGAUAUUCCCAAUAGGAUUGUAAGUUAGACAGCCUGUUAGACGGUAUAGAGGAGGAAAUUUGUGAGUCUAAGUGACUAUGUACUUUCCCUGACGUAUUUGUCCCUAGCCGGAUUGUAAAACGAUUGUCAUGGCAGACCUUUUCGCUUUGACCUCUGGACCCAAAGGUGCAGAGUGUUUCCGAAUACCUGAGCGGCAAAAUAUACCGGAGUAUGCGUGGAAACCAGGCGUAGGGGUCAUAGUUGCUUGAACAGACAAGUUGUCUCUGGCUAGCUAUGUUAUAUUACAUUGUGAUUGUAAGAAACAUCUUCCAGAGAGAAUAGUUCUGUUAAGGGUUCCUUUCCCUGGGUGUGCAUGCGGUAAUGUGCAUGUCCGGACUGUGAUUGAAAAAAUCGCAGUAUAUUCAAUAUCUGGGGGUUCAUAUUUUAAUGAAUGUAAAAACAUCUUUAGUUUGCCGACCGAAUAUUCCCUUAAGAAUGCUAGCUUUCGGCUUCACCCAGUCUGAGGUACACAUCUGGAUGACCCGGCAGUAACAAUCGCAGAGGUGCUCCCUUUAUGCCCUAGCCGAACUAACGGGAACGUAGGGCAUAAGCACAGGAGCCAGGCAACCCAGCUUGGCCAAAACUUAAGUCAUAUCGAUGCAUAUAAUGGCGAAGAAAAGGUACAUAUGGGGAAAACGCGCAUAUGUGAUGAGCUUGAUGCUCAAAAAUAACAAUAAUAAGCUUCUAUCAAAGAAGCCCCCAGGUAUAAUUGACGUACAUAUUUGAGGAUGUGUAUGUCACUAGUGCACGGUUUAGCCGCACGAAAAGCUUUAAGGCUAAAAACGGAAAAAGCAAAAAGAGAGGAAAAAGUAAUGGAAACAAUAGGGAUAAGGAGACGAACAAAGAGUUCGGCGCUAGGCAUAGAAUCUUCGGAGUCUGGCCGCGUUCCAGGGGUUCGGCUCUAGGCGAUUGUCUGACGCAUCACGCAGGCGGUACGCUCCUCCGGUGAGAACUUCGUCGAUGAUGAAGGGACCCUCCCACUUGGGCUUGAGUUUGUCUUUUUUUUCUUCUCUGGCAGGCGUAGAGCAAGUUCGCCAACGUUAUAAGUCUUGGCCCGCACUUCUCUGCUUUGAUACCUGCGAGCCUGCUGUUGAUGAAAUGCGGAACGGGCUUUUGCAACGUCGCACUCCCCCUCCAUGGCAUCUAAGCUAUCCUGCCGAUCAAGCUCGGCUUCUCUCUCUUCGUACAUGCGCACUCGGGGUGAGUCAUGAAUAAUGUGGCAGGGUAACACAGCCUCUGCGCCGUACACCAUGAAGAAAGGUGUAUAUCCGGUGGUGCGGUUGGGCGUGGUCCGCAGCCCCCAGAGUAUGGAGUCGAGCUCCUCAACCCAGUGCUUGUCUGAUUCUUUCAAAGACCGCACCAGUCUAGGCUUGAUGCCGCUCAUAAUAAGACCAUUGGCUUGUUCGACUUGACCGUUUGUUUGCGGGUGAUAGAUGGAGGCGUAAUCGAGCUUAAUGCCUAGAUUGGUGCACUAGUUUUUCACCUCAUCGGCUGUGAAAUUGGAGUCGUUAUCGGUGAUGAUGUUGUGUGGGACACCAUAACGGUGUACAACGCCGGAUAUAAAGUCUAUCACUGGUCCGACUUCGGCCGUUUUAACUGGUUUGGCCUCUAUCCACUUAGUGAAUUUAUCCACCCUGGCCAGCAGAUAUUUUUUCUUAUGGCUUCCUCCUUUAAGGGGUCCAACCAUAUCAAGCCCCCAGACCGCAAAAGGCCAAGUGAUGGGGAUUGUUUGCAGAGCGGUGGGUGGCAUAUGGCUCUGGUUGGCGAAGAGCUGGCAUCCGACGCAACGUUGGACAAGGUCCUGUGCGUCUGCUCGGGCCGUCGACCAAUAGAAACCUAUACGGAAAGCCUUGCUUACAAGGGCCCGAGCCACGGCGUGGUGACCACCGAGACCGGCAUGAAUUUCAGCCAAGAGUUGCCGCCCCUCUUCCUCGGAGAUACAUCUUUGGAGUACUCCGGUAGCGCUUUUCUUGUAGAGUUCUCCCUCGUGAACCUUGUAGGCUUUAGAGCGCCGAACAAUGCGGCGAGCCUCGUUCUGAUCCUCGGGGAGUUCUCGCCUAUUAAGGUAAGCCAAGAAGGGUUCGGUCCAUGGGGCAAUGACUGCCAUUAUGAGAUGGGCCGACGGUGUUAUUUCGGUGGCUGAGCCCCCGAUGAUAUCGGUGUGUUCGACAUCUAAGGUUAUAGUCGGGUCCGGACUGUUGUUGCCGCUCUCCCCUUGCCACACCAUGGACAGCUUGAAAAGCCUUUCCAGAAAGAUGUUAGGUGGGAUGGGGUCGCGCUUGGCGCCGAUGCGAGCAAGGACGUCCGCCGCUUGAUUACUUUCUCGAGCCACAUGAGGAAACUCAAGCCCCUCGAAGCGGGCCGAGAUUUUAAGAACGGCGUUGCGGUAAGCCGCCAUUUUUGGAUCUUUGGCAUCGGAAUCUCCAUUUAUUUGAGAUAUUGUGAGGUUUGAGUCCCCACGCACUUCCAGGCGUUGUAUGCCCAUGGAGGCAGCCAUCCGAAGCCCAUGCAACAAGGCCUCAUAUUCGGCUGCAUUGUUGGAGUCUGUGUAUAAUAUUUGGAGUACGUACUGAACUGCGUCUCCAGUGGGGGACGUUAAGACAAUGCCCGCCCCUAACCCCGCCAACAUUUUGGAACCAUCGAAGUACAUAACCCAGUUGGAAUAUGUGUCGUACUCUUUAGGGAGUUCGGCCUCUGUCCAUUCGGCGAUGAAAUCAGCCAGUACUUGGGAUUUGAUGGCCCGGCGUGGUUUGUAUGUUAUGUCGAAUGGAAGGAGCUCAAUGGCCCACUUAGCAAUCCGGCCUGUCGCAUCGCGGUUGUUUAUUAUGUCAUUGAGUGGUACUUCGGAGGCCACCGUGAUUGAGCACUCUUGAAAGUAGUGUCGUAGCUUCCGGGAUGCCAUGAAGACCGCGUAUGCUAUUUUUUGGUAGUGAGGGUACUGGGAUUUGCAUGGUGUGAGGACAGUGGAUACGUAGUAUACCGGUUUUUGGAGUGGGAACUUGUGUCUGUCCUGCUCUUGCUCGAUGACGAGCACGGCGCUCACCACCUGGUGUGUUGCCGAUAUGUAUAAUAACAUGGGUUCGCCGAUGUUCGGCGCGGCCAGGAUUGGGUUGCUCGCUAAAAAGGCCUUUAUUUUCUCCAGUUCGGCCGUUGCCGCGUCCGUCCACUCGAAGUGGUCGGUGCGUCGGAGAAGGCGAUAGAGUGGCAACGCUUUUUCUCCCAAUCUGGAGAUAAAGCGGCUUAAAGCUGCCACGCAUCCUACAAGUUUUUGGACCUGUUUAAGGUCUGUUGGCGUAACCAAUUGUGACAAAGCUCGGAUUUUCCUCAAUUCCUCUAUUGGAAACGAUGAAGCCCAGCAGUUUUUCGGCGGGGACGCCGAAAACACACUUUUCCGGGUUGAGCUUGAUGUCAUAUGUACGGAGGUUGUCGAAUGUAAGACGUAAAUCAUCUAUCAGUGACUCGACGUGCCUGGUUUUGAUGACAACGUCAUCCACGUAUGCUUCAACUGUCUUGCCGAUAUGUUUCUCCAGGCAUGUUUGAAUCAUGCGUUGGUAGGUGGCGCCAGCGUUUUUGAGCCCGAAAGGCAUAGUGUUGAAGCAGAAAGGCCCAUAUGGGGUAAUGAAUGUCGUUGCGGCUUGAUCGGACUCCUUCAUCUUGAUUUGAUGGUAUCCGGAGUACGCGUCGAGGAAACACAGUGAGUCGUGUCCUGCGGUUGCGUCAAUAAUCUGAUCGAUGCGAGGGAGGGGGAAGGGAUCCUUAGGGUAAGCCUUGUUGAGGUCUUUGAAAUCGACGCAUAGGCGCCAGGAUUUAUCUUUUUUUGGUACCAUCACCAGGUUUGCUAGUCAGUCCGGGUGUUUUAUUUCUCUGAUGAAUCUGGCUUCGAGUAACUUGGCUAGCUCCUCUCCCAUAGCUUGUCGUUUGGGUUCGGAAAAACGCCGCAGUGUUUGUUUGACCGGUUUAUAUCCCUUUAAGAUAUUGAGGCUGUGUUCGGCCAACCUGCGUGGGAUUCCUGGCAUAUUAGAAGGGUGCCAGGCGAAUACGUCCCAGUUCUCACGCAGGAACUCUCGUAGCGCGGCAUCGACCGCUGGGUCGAGUUGUGCCCCGAUGGAUGCUGUCUUCUUGGGGUCCGUCGGGUGGACUUGAAAUUUGACUAUUUCAUCUGCUGGUUUAAAGGAGGUGGAUUUGGGUCGCUUGUCCAGGAUUACGUCAUCCCUAUCCACAGUGGAGCAUAGCACGGUCAGCUCUUCGGCCGCGAGGGCUUCAGACAAUGCCUCGAGGGCUAGGGAUGCGGUUUUAUUUUCGGCACGCAGUGCUAUGUCUGGAUCACUGGCAAGAGUGAUGGUGCCGUUGGGCCCGGGCAUCUUGAGCUUCAUCUACCCGUAAUGAGGUAUAGCUUGGAAGCGUGUGAAUGCGUCUCGCCCCAGUAGGGCGUGAUAUCCGCUGUUGAAAGGGGCCACUUGGAAGGUUAUCUCUUCGGACCGAUAAUUCUCCGGCGUGCCGAAUACCACGCCGAGCGUGAUUUUUCCUGCGCAACGCGCCUCUCGACUGGGAAUGAUUCCCCGGAAGGUCGUGCUACUUUGCUCAAUGCGGCUCCUAUCAAUUUCCAUUUUCAUGAGUGUGUCCUCGUAGAUGAGGUUUAGUCCGCUGCCGCCGUCCAUGAGCACUUUGGUGAGCCGGAAGCUGUCCACGAUUGGACUGAGGACCAAGGCGGCUGGUGCCCGGACUGUCUUGAAUUUUGGUUCGUCAUCGGCAUUGAAAGUUAUGGCUGUGUAGUUCCAGGGGUUUAUUGCUGCGACUUGGCAGACUUCCGCAAGGUCGCGAAGUGCCCUUUUGCGCUGAUUUUUUGAAGCAAAGGUCUCGAAGACCGUCAAUACUCUGAGGUCGUCGUCUUCUGGGGGGUGUUGUUCUGGGGUAUUUUUGGUGAGGAGAUCUUCGCCGCUCUUGGCCACUUGCCGGAGUAUCCAACAUGCUCUAAGGCUGUGGGUUCGUGUGGCAUCCGGUGUUGUAUGUAUUUUGCAUGGCCUAUCGAGCCAUCCUUCCAGAACAGUUCCGUGCCCCAUAAUGGGCUUUGAUUUCUUUACUAUUGGGUCAGGCGCUCCACGAGGGUGCGUCCUUUUUGCCCGGACGAGGGGCUGAGUUGAAACCGGUGGUUCCCAACGAGCUGCCUGAGUUUUCCAGGCGCUUUCCAUUGCGCAGUACUUCUGUACUAUGGUUGCCAAGUCAGCAAAGUGUAAUACGCGACGGCGGUUGAUGGCGUUGAGGAUUCCUUCGUCCGUGCAAUUGUUGCAGAAUACUGAGAUUGCGUCUUCAUCGCGGCAAUCUUUAAUCUUGUCUUUGACAAGGAGGAAUCUGGCCCAGAAGUGAUGGACCGUUUCCUGAGACUGUUGUCGUAUGUACAUAAGAUCGCGUAUAGCUGGGUGGGUGGGUGGUUUUAAAUCUGAACCCUGACCCGGUUUGGGAUCCGGAGUUUGUAAAUCUUCCGAACUUAAUGGUUCAGACUCCGGGAUAUCAACUGAUGUUUUAGGCCCGUCGUCCGAUUCUAGGUUCGGAGGGCAGGGCACGUCGUUCCGCGAACAGGUAUCCGGCUCCUCGAGCUCGGAAAUCUGAACAUAGUUCGUCCUCAAUAUAGAGGAAGAGUUAUUGUCUUGCUCCUCCACUAUCGCUAUCUGAUGGGUGAUAGGCGGAGAUUUAAUUUCUCUCUGGUCAGGUUUAAGCCCAAUCCGACCGUAGUCUGUAGCGACCCCCAAGGCGGUGAUGCGAUCUAGGAGUUCGUUUAAAGACGACAACUCCGUCGGAUCCAUCCGUUUGGAGUAUUCGGAGUCAACGCAGAGACGAUUUUCGAUGACUCGAGAGGUCAUCGUCGGCUUAAAGGCCGAACAGGCGGUCAUGGUGAAGCCGCCAAGUCGGAGGGUUUGGCCCGGAGCCAGGGCUCCUCCGGAGGUGAUAUUAUCCUUGACAACAAGGCGAGCCAUCAACCCUGUCUUCGACGUCACAGCGGAACUCUCAAUGAAAGCACCAAUGUCGGUGUCAAAACUGGCGGAUCUCGGGUAGGGGGUACCGAACUGUGCGUCUAAGGUUGAUGGUAACAGGAGACGGGGAACACAAUGUUUAACCAGGUUCGGGCCCUCUCUACGGAGGUAAUACCCUACUUCCUGCUUGAUUGAUCUUGAUGAAUAUGAGUAUUACAAGAGUUGAUCUACCACAAGAUCGUAAUGGCUAAAACCCUAGAAGUCUAGCAUGUAUGACUAUGAUUAUGAUUAUUCAUCCUCUACGGACUAAGCCCUCCGGUUUAUAUAGACACCGGAGGGUUCUAGGGUUACAUCAGGUCGGUUACAGAGAAAGGAAUCUUCAUAUUUGGUCACCAAGCUUGCCUUCCACGCCAAGGAGAGUCCCAUCCGGACACAGGAGAGAGUCUUCGGUCUUCGUAUCUUCACGGCCCAUCAGUCCGGCCCACGUAUAACAGGUCGGACGCCCGAGGACCCCUUAAUCCAGGACUCCCUCACCGGGCAAGCGUCGGGGUCUCCAAUUAGGUUGUGGAGAUCACCCCGAGCAAUUUGACGGGUACCGAUGACCGCCCCCAAGGGUUCCCAAAGGGUACGGGUUCGGUGACCGCCCCCAAGGGUUGCCAUUUGUACGAGUUCGGUGAUCGCCCUCAAGGGUCCCUUAGUGGAAUCACGGCAUCUUGCAUUGUGCGAGGGCGUGAGGAGAUUACGGUGGCCCUAGUGGCUUCUUGGGGAGCAUUGUGCCUCCACACCGCUCCAAACGGAGAUUAGCAUCCGCAAGGUGUGAACUUCGGGAUACAUCAUCGUCUCCGCGUGCCUCGGUUAUCUCUUACCCGAGCACUUUUACUUAUGCACUUUACUUUGUGAUAGCCAUAUUGUUUCUUGUCAUACAUCUUGCUAUCACCUAGUAGUUUAUCUUGCUUAGCGUAAGUUGUUGGUGUACAUAGGUGAGCCUAGUUGUUGUAGGUUUGUGCUUGACAAAUUAACCGCUAGGUUUAUUCUGCAUUUGUUCAAGCCUAAACCAUAAUUAUUUUAAAGCGCCUAUUCACCCCCCCUCUAGGCGACAUUCUCGAUCUUUCAACGGGUUAUCGGAUCCAAAACCGGUCCCGAUAGCUGGCGACCCGUUACGGUCAAUGCCACGUGUCAGUCACCCUUGACGAAAGCACUUCUAUGACGCGCGAUUUAUCGUCAUGGAAGUGGACACUUCCGUGAUGAUAAUUUUGGUAAUGUCAGGAACACUUCUACGAUAGCACAUGUAUGACUAUUUUGAUUCUGUCAUAAAAUCGUCAUGGAUGUACAUGCAUGACAGAAAACGUGACCUGCUGUGACAAACACGUAUCAUCACGGAAGUGUAUUUUUUUGUAGUGAGUAAUGCCUUAAGCAAGAUGCCAUGAUUUAGAGGGAUAGAUCCAAUCAAUAUGAACAAACCCCAUCUUUUUAUCCUUAAUGACAAUAAUACAAAUAUGUGUCAUGUCCCUUUAUGGGAUUGAGCACUGCAAGAUUGAACCCAUUACAAAUCACCUCUCCCAUUGCAAGAAAAAAUCAAUCUAGUUGGCCAAACCAAAUCAAUAGAUCGGUGAGAAAUACAAAGCUAUAUAAAUCAUGCAUAAAAGAGUUCAGAGAAGACUCAAAUAAUAUUUAUAGAUAAUCUGAUCAUAAAACCAUAAUUCAUCGGAUCUCAGCAAACGCACCGCAAAAGAAGAUUACAUCAAAUAGAUCUUCAAGAACAACAAGGAGAACAUUGUAUUGAAGAUCAAAGAGAGAGAAGAGGCCAUCUAGCUACUAGCUAUGGACCCGUAGGUCUGUGGUAAACUACUCACACAUCAUCGGAAGGGCAGCAAGAUUGAUGUAGAAGCCCUCCAUGAUCGAAUCCCCCUCCGGCAGAGUUCCGGAAAGGUCCCCAGAUGGGAUCUCACGAGGACAGAAGUUUGCGGCGGCGGAAAAGUAUUUUUGGUGUGCCCCUGGUCUUCGGGGAAUAUUUGGGUGUUUAUAGAAGAAAGAUUAGGGUUAGAGGAGCCACGAGGGGGCCACAAGCUUGGAGGGCGCCCCCCUAAGCUUGUCGCCAGCUCGUGGCCCUUCUGGCCUCCCCCCAAAGCUUUCAGGGUGUCUUGUGGUCAAAGAAAAAUCAUCAAAAGUUUAAUUCCAUUUAGACUCCGUUUGGUAUUGAUUUUCUAUAAAGACAAAAACAAGGAAAAGACAACAAUUGGCAUUGGGCACUAGGUUAAUAGGUUAGUCCCAACAUAAUAAUGCAUAUAAAACAUCCAAGAUUGAUAAUAUAAUAGCAUGAAAUAAUAAAAAAUUAUAGAUACGCUGGAGACGUAUCAGGUACCAUUGCCACUUCUGGCACUGCUCAGUGUAAACCUGUGGUGACCCAACCCCGUGCGGAACUUGAUUGCAAAUCGAACGGUGGCUUUCAUGACAGGCUCAACCUUAGGUCACUCCGAGGCUGCCAAUGUUUUCCUGACACCUGAAGCCCCCUGUAGAACGGGGUAUCCGACUAAGGAGGCCCAACCCCUUAUACCGAAGAACGACGGCAAGGACUGGGAUUGCAAUAAAGCCUGCGCCAACUGGUGGUAUCUUUUGGAACUAGCACGACGUUUGGUUACCAACGCAUGUAUCGUUCCCGCGGGCCUCCCUCCGGGCUAUGGUUUCGCCGAAGUUCUAUAUGAGAAAUCCCCUUGAAGGCCACCCUGGUCCCAUUGUAGGCCCCUUGCGAAUCCCUCAGCAGAACUUCACCAAAGAGACUGGUCCAACUGGUGGUAUCUUUUGGAACUAGCACGACGUUUGGUUACCAACGCAUGUAUCGUUCCCGCGGGCCUCCCUCCGGGCUAUGGUUUCGCCGAAGUUCUAUAUGAGAAAUCCCCUUGAAGGCCACCCUGGUCCCAUUGUAGGCCCCUUGCGAAUCCCUCAGCAGAACUUCACCAAAGAGACUGGUGUGUUUUUUUAAUGAUAUUCUUGUCGAGUUUCAUGUGCUAACUUAAGAGUGUUUAGUUCUUUAGUCAAGCGCUCAAUUUCCAUCGUUGCAUUGGCAACCGUCUCAUCUUUACUAUCAUGAUCACUAUAAAGUUCAUUAUAGCUAACAUCACUAGUUUUCUCAUUGAGCAAGUCAUCGUCACCUAGCAAGUCAUCCUCAUCACUGAUACGUCUCCAACGUAUCUAUAAAUUUUGAUUGUUUGAUGCUAUUAUAUUAUCAAUCUUGUAUGCUUUAUAUACCAUUCUAUAUCAUUUUUGAGGACUAACCUAUUAACUCAGUGCCAAGUGCCAGUUGUUGUUUUCUGCUUGUUUUUGGUUUUACAGAAAAUACAUACCAAACGAAGUCCAGAUGACAAACAAGGAGACGUCAAGGCAGCACGGCCCCCCUUGUGGGCCCCUCGUGGCUCCGCCUGACCUAAUUCUAGCGCUAUAAAUUCCCAAAUAUUUCGAAACCCCCAGGAGAGGCCCCGAAACAAUCCUUCCGCCGCCACAAGCCUCUAUUCUUCCGUGAUAUCUUCUGGAAGCCUUUUCCGAUACUCUGUCGAGGAGGGAAUGCAUCAGGGAAGACAUCAGUAAAGCAACUUUGUCAAUCUCAAAGCUCCGCAACUUUGAUCUAUCUUCGGUAGGUGCUGUGCGUGGUGAUGUGAUUGAGUGCAUGUCCAUAAGAAAAAAAAACUCCUUAAUUAAUGAAAAAUCUUUUGCCCCCUUGAACAAGUAUUGUUUUCGAUACGGGCUUGGGAGUACAACGGUAGAUACGAUGCAUUUAUUACAUCGAUGAUCCAUCGUCCCGUGUGCGGCCGCCCACACCAGUUUCCUCGUCCCACGAAAGCCCCUUCCAUGCGGGCCCUCGGAAGAGCGCACGCCCACUGGCCCCACAGGCAGCGGCACGGCUAAAAACGGGGGACGCUUCCCUUUCAUCUCGCGACUAUAAAAAAGAACGGGCGGCCCUGCCUAAAGCCCCCGCCCCCUGUCCUCUCCCCUCUCCUCGCCUUCUCCGCCCUCCGCUCCAUUCGUUUCGAUCUAUUUCGGCUUCCUCUCCAAGCUUCGGCCAUGGCGGCGACGAUCCAGUCCGUGAAGGCCCGCCAGAUCUUCGACAGCCGCGGUAACCCCACCGUCGAGGUACGCGCGGAUGCGCCCAUCCCCCGUCCGCCUCCCCGAUCUGUACGUUGUGGUCCGGUUCGAUUCGAUCUGGUAGGGCGGCGGGCGUACGCAGCAACGGCUUGUUUUCGAUCUGGUGAUUCGUCCGUCGGCUGUGGGUUGGGGCUUCUGGGGCGCGGGCAGUAGGUUUCUGAUGCGCUAGAUUCGAGGGGUUUUGGGUUGGUGGGCCGGUAGGUAGGAUGCGGAUUACUGUUGCCCCUCGGCCAGACUUUAUGGGGUUUGGAUGUGCUAGAUAGAUUCGAUGUGAGGUGGUUUGUUUAGUCGGACGCUGCCUGCUCGUCAUGCAUUUUGGGGUUUCGCAGGAUGUAUCCACAGAUCGGCUGGCCGCCAUGCCCAGCGUUUAUGUAGUCAUUAUGGUUUCGUGCCCUGGUUGUUGCUCAGCGCUUAUCGUUUGAUCUGCGCAUAAUGCCGUGGUGUGAAGUAAUGUGACGAAAAUGUAAAUGAGUGUAGGCUCAUCUCAUUCUGGUCCAAGUGGUUUUGGGCGUGCAGGUAGGAUUUAUAAUGUCGUUUGCUCGUUGCCCCUUGGCCAGUUUUUGUUUCUUCAUAUGUUAGAUAGAUUUGACGCAAAGUGGCUUGUUCAGUCAGGUAGAUACUGGGUAGAACUAUUUUUUAUUUUGCCUGCCAGGCGUCCAUUGUAGGUUUUCACAGUGUGUAUCAACAGAUGGUUGUUCGCCGUGCUUGGUGUUUACAUAGCUAAAUGUAGCCAUAUGGCCUGUGUCCUAGUUGCAUGCGACAUUGUCUGGAUUUUAUUGUUUAAGCUAUGCAUAAUGCCAAAGUGUAAAAUAUUUUGGCAAGUUAUUUUGCUAAUCUCAUGGUUUUGUGCAUCAGGUUGAUGUGUGCUGCUCAGAUGGAACCUUUGCCAGGGCCGCUGUUCCCAGCGGUGCAUCAACUGGUGAGUUAUUUUGUUAUUAUCAUCACUCUCUCCUUUUCAACCUUAAGUUUUUGCUUUGGUUUCCUGAGUUCCUGACUAGUGAAGGCACAAACUCUUAUUUGGAUCAUUAUUUAUGGAUUGUGAUUGUAUUGUUUUUGUUGAACUAAUCUUGUCUGAAUCAUCCCUCUUCUGCAGGUGUUUAUGAAGCUUUGGAACUGAGGGACGGUGGAUCUGACUACUUGGGAAAGGGUGUAUCCAAGGUUUACAUCCAUUUGAGCGAAUUUUAUCUUCACAUUCUUUAAAUCUAUGUCAUAGUUCUUAGUCAUGUAAUGUGGCUGCUGUAUAUGUUUUUUUUUGCCUCAACUCUGCUUUUGUUACACUAGCAAUAUUGUUGCCAGCUUUUGAAAUUUUCCUACUUGUUUACCGAAUUAUUAUGCCAAAUGGACCAAACAGUGCUAUCUUUCCGGUUAUCCUGUUUGUGAGGACAAGUUAUUUUGCCAUGUUGGUUUGGUUUCAUCCAUACAAUGUUUCCUUGUGCUGUAUAACUUGAUGUUUCUAGUUUGUGCCAGGUUGUAGAUUUUUUUUCUUAAUUUUAAUGUGAACUACAAUAUUUUUUCUUAAUGUUAAUGUGGUAGGUUGUAGCUUUUUUUUUUGAUAUCUCAUUGCCGUUGAUUGUAUGUACUCCCUCCGUCUGAAAAAGUUUGUCCCAAGCUUGUCCCUCAAAUGGAUGUAUCUAGCACUAACUUGGUGCUAGAUACAUUCAUUUGAGGGACAAGCUUUUUCGGACGAGGGAGUAGUAGCUUAGGAUUAUGUAUUUAUGAAGUGAAUAAUCGUGGGCAAUAUCUCUUGUGCACAUUUUCUUAUUUACUAAAAAACCAACUUGCUCAAGUACUGUCAUGAAAUGAACAACUCAGGAUCAUUUAGUGCUUGAUGUUUCACUAUAGCUAUCCUGGUUUUUUCUAUUGUAGCGAAUAGUCCAUUUGCAUGCAUAAUUUAGUCUUUUCUUUGUAUUUACAUGUAUUUUUUUAUUUUUUUCGCAGGCUGUUGACAAUGUGAACUCGAUUAUCGCGCCAGCUUUGAUUGGCAAGGUUAGCAUUGUCUCUGCCCCCUUUUCUAUUGUGAUAUGAGAGUUGAAUGCAUAAUUCAUUCAGUGCUCUCUUUCCUUCCACAGGACCCUACCGCUCAAACUGAGCUCGACAACUUUAUGGUUCAGCAGCUUGAUGGAACCAAGAAUGAGUGGGGUUGGUGCAAGCAAAAGGUAUAACAUAACCCAUGAUGAGUUUUACCUUUAGAGAGGGAGUACUAAUUUCCAUUUGCAGAUUCCCUUCUAACAGCUUGAUUUCUUUUGUAAACUCAGCUUGGUGCUAAUGCAAUCCUGGCUGUGUCACUAGCUGUUUGCAAAGCUGGAGCCAGCGUCAAGAAGAUUCCGCUGUACCAGGUGUGCAUCAUUGCUAAUCUCCUCUUUUAAUAUUCUACAUUUGUUUGCUAUUGCCUAAAGUCUUCGAACAUGAAUAUUCUUCACUGCAGCACAUUGCCAACCUUGCUGGCAACAAGCAAUUGGUUUUGCCUGUUCCUGCAUUCAAUGUCAUCAAUGGUGGAUCCCAUGCUGGAAACAAGCUUGCUAUGCAGGCAAUGCUCUGACCUAAGAUUUUCACAUCUUUCAUCAUGUUGUUUUCGCACAUUUCUUAUUUAUGCCUAUACUUGCAUAUCUGCAGGAGUUCAUGAUCCUUCCUACUGGAGCUGCCUCAUUCAAGGAGGCAAUGAAGAUGGGCGUUGAAGUGUACCACAACUUGAAGGUAAUUCUUUCAUCUUCUUUUUCUCUUUGCUAUCUUGUAAAAAGCAAAUUUACUAAAACUAACAUUUUCUGUGACAGUCUGUUAUCAAGAAGAAGUAUGGGCAAGAUGCCACCAAUGUUGGAGAUGAAGGUGGUUUUGCUCCUAACAUUCAGGUAUUUCCCUGUCCUUAGAGGUUUACGAUCAGAUUUCCUUGCUUUGUUAUGCCUUGUUAUUUCGACAACAGUUGCUGAUUGUCAUGUUUGGACGUAUAGAACUACUGUGUUGUUAUAAAUUGAGGUCAAUGUUUGUGGGGUGUGAUCUGAGUUCUUUUUAUUUUCGGGUGUUGUAGGAGAACAAGGAGGGCCUUGAGCUCUUGAAGACUGCAAUUGAAAAGGCUGGAUACACCGGCAAGGUUUGUCUGCUUGAAUUAAUCUGUUGUCACGCACUUCUCAGUGAGCUUUUAAGUUAGUGACUGAAGGAGAUUUGUUGGUUUGGGAAAUUCUAGGUUGUCAUUGGAAUGGAUGUUGCUGCUUCAGAGUUCUACAAUGACAAGGACAAAACCUAUGACCUCAACUUCAAGGAAGAGGUAAUUAGCCCCAUGGUUUAUUUUGUGGCAACAAUUUGUUUUCUUUUCAUGAGCAUUUUUAACAUUUGCCCUCCCUUGCUGUAGAACAACGAUGGUUCCCAGAAGAUAUCUGGAGAUAGCCUGAAGAAUGUAUACAAGUCAUUCGUGAGUGAGUACCCCAUUGUGUCGAUUGAGGACCCAUUUGACCAGGAUGACUGGGUGCACUAUGCUAAGAUGACUGAGGAAUGUGGAGUGGAAGUUCAGAUUGUUGGUGAUGACCUUCUAGUCACCAACCCAACCGUGAGUUAUUUGUUUUCUGUUGUGUAGGUGGGCAUUUUCAUUCUGUUGGAUCACUGUAAUUAAUUUGCUGUAUCACUAUGUUGUGCAGAGAGUUGCUAAGGCAAUCAAGGAGAAGUCAUGCAAUGCUCUUCUGCUGAAGGUAUUAUUCUGUUCAAACAUAAGCUGUUAUUGAUUCUUAUCCUUUGGUCGUCAUAGUACAAGUACUCCUUCCGUCCAUAAUAAGUACCUGAUCGGAUGGAGUAUGUAUUACAUAUUCUGAUUGUUUCAUCCUUUUCAUGUGUAGGUUAACCAAAUUGGAUCCGUCACUGAGAGUAUUGAGGCCGUGAAGAUGUCAAAACAUGCUGGUUGGGGUGUGAUGACCAGUCACAGGAGGUACAUACUAGAUACUGCCUUAUUACCCAUCCGUUUUCCCCCUUGUUUCUAUUGUUAUUACCAUUUGUAUGCUUAUGUACAUUCACUGUGUGCAGUGGUGAGACUGAGGACACAUUCAUUGCUGAUUUGGCUGUCGGUUUGUCCACGGUAUAAUUUUAUAAUCUUCAUUUUAUUGUUUGUCUGAAUAAUUUUAAUGAGACUACUGUUUCUUCUCCUCUGGAUCGAUUAGGAGUAUCUGAACAAUGUUUCUUCAUGUGCAACAGGGCCAGAUCAAGACUGGGGCUCCCUGCCGCUCAGAGCGGCUUGCCAAGUACAACCAGGCAAGUGGCUUUCCUGUAAUUCUUGUACUGCUGAAGCAUUCUCCUGAUAUUCUGUUGACCAACAUGACCUCUCGCAAUAACAAAAACCAAAUUAUUCUUCCUCUUUAAUCUUCUGUUCGAUGCAUUGUGCUCAUUUAAGAAUGAUUUCUUGUCUUUUGUUUGGUGUUAAGACUGAUCUUACAUGUUUGGUUUCUGAUAUUCUUUUGUUCAGUGUAAUGUGUUUAUUUGAGCAGUCAUGUCUUGUUUUUUUCUUGAUCUGUUUCCCAAAUUUAUACUAAGGUGUUAUUUCUUUUCCAAUUGGAACAGCUUCUGAGGAUCGAGGAGGAGCUGGGCGCUGCCGCUGUGUAUGCCGGCCUCAAGUUCCGUGCACCGGUGGAGCCAUACUAGAUGGGAUCUGCAUCCGAGACAUGAUCACCACUCUGCACUUGUUUUUGUGAAAGUGGGCGUGUGUUAACUUGUGGAAUGAACUAUGGUUGAAGCUCUUAGGACUUGUCGAGCAAUAAUGUACCGCAUGUUGCUGUGAACGGGACGGAUAUGUACCUACGUACUCCAAACUUGCUCCAAUUUUGGUCUUUGUGGUGAGCGAGCAAGUACGCCUGAUUACCUUUUGGAUCUGUAGUAAACUGUUUGGCUGUUGGCAUCAUCAUAUUUGGCGUCAGUUUAAUCUUGCAGAAAGCAUGCUUUUCGUUCGCCAUUCCUAAUUUACCACUGUUUUCGGUCUCUCUGUUUUUCUUAUUAUUAUAACUAGCACAAAUGCCCGUGCGUUGCAACGGGUUAAGUAGUUUAUAUUC